This 358998-nucleotide long non-coding RNA is filed under the name Sorghum bicolor (sorghum). Its description in RNAcentral is "long non-coding RNA (SBIC_LNC017633)". The stretch from base 327520 to 327626 matches the Rfam family "Plant small nucleolar RNA R71". Lineage: Eukaryota; Viridiplantae; Streptophyta; Magnoliopsida; Poales; Poaceae. The record is from RNAcentral.
UAAAUUUUGUUUUAUAGGAAAAAGAAAGUUGUUCAUGUACCUCAAGAGCACUAAAAUUUGCAUACAUAGGUAUUGAAAGGGAAUAAAGAAUUAAAGAAAACCCAGAUUACCUUGGUCCAGUAGUGGUUACACAAGAGGAAUCUGCAAGUCACCAAACCACAUCUAGAAAAAGAUAAGGAUACACUGACAUAGUUCAAUUUGAAGCAUGGAUCAUUGCAAAGAUCUAACAAAUAAAAUUAAGAUCUUUUGUAGACAAUGGAAGCAUAAUAGCUGGCAAAGUUAGACUGUAAACCUACAGUAAAUGGAAAAUAAAUAUAAUCUCCAAUUAAAACUAUUGGCAAGCCGGUAGCAUGGAAAAGUUAACCCUCAUGACCCCACAACAUUAGCAAGGCAAAUUCAUAUUCAGAGCAAGUUCAAUGGUUAAAGCUACAACAAUUAGGUACAAGUAUAAAUUGCUUUGUACCUCUAUUUACCUUACAUAGGGAGAACGUAUAGUAUGCACAAAAUAAAUUGUUGGCAUCUCUUGGAUGAAGAUAGAAACUGAAGGUUUUACAUGGUACUGAAAUUAUGAACAUAUCCAUUUUAUUGUGAUUGCUGCACAAACCAAUGUAGCACAGACCAGCGACUUUCAGCUGUCUCCAUAGCACCCAAAAUUAAUCUCAUGCAUACCGAAGGAAAAUAAUGCAAUAGGAUGGUCCAAAUUACAUACCAAAUAAAUAUUCAGCCUACUAGUCUUAAGAGAACACUGUGAUUAUUGUUGCAACACAAGACUCGAUAGAAAAGGAUGAAGAAUGUUUCUUCUUAUGAUGCAACAGGCAAGCAUCAUCGAUGGUGCUAAAAAUGUGAACGAAAACAUUAAUUGUGCCAAAAUAAAAGCAAGUACAGCACAAGAAAGCACAAAAUUGAUGCCCAAAAACUCAAAGAAAUAGGAGAGGCAAAAGUGACCGUACACAUCCAAAGUGUAUGGCAAUGUAAUCCUUGGAAAUAGGGCAUGUACUCAGAAAUGAUAGUAUAUAAUUUGGCGUCACAGGCAAUGAUCAUAGAUAAUGAACACGCAAAGGGGCAAAUCAUUAUAGGUAGUUGCAUGAAAACCACGGAUCUCAUAAGUAAGAGUGAAUCCAACCGCAUAGUAUGUGACUAAAUACACAAUAAGCAGUAGCUCUCAUUGGUGCAUUAGAACUGCACAAAAUAGAACAGCCAGGAAUGAAUACAAGGAAACAUAGUCAUACAAUUGAAAAUUGCCUCAUGUAUUAUGGGACAAGCAUAUAAAACAAAAACAUAAUUUCAGGUGCAAUCAUCAUAGCAGUAGCCCAUUCCCUUAAUUUUGAACGCAACAACAAUACAAAACCGUACUCAUCACUGCACAUGACUGGAAUGCAAACAAUAAACAUAAGAACAACAGCGCUACAGUGGUGUCACAGAAAUGUCACUGAUACGCUCAAGUGCUCAGAUCUUGGUCAUAAUACCUCUCUGCUCUCAUAUCCAGCAAAACUGAGCACAUCACGACCUACAGAACAAGAAUCUGCAGUAACCAUGUAGAUCAACAAGAGAAAAGGAGAACACCAUAUCUACGACAAAAUGGAGCCCUCGUUCAUGCAUAUGGCACAUCAGGAGAGAGGGGAGGGAAAGAGAGGGGAGGGGAGUAAACCAGUGAGCGGACAGAUCGAGGGAGAGCAGAGCCGCGCCGACUGUCUACAAAGAGCUCGCACGGAGGGGGUAGGCGGUCGUGGCGCUAGCCAUGGCCGCCCGUGCCACGCCGCCACGCAAGGCCGUGCGUGUCGGUCGCACCACACCGUGCCGUGGGACUCGCCCGCGCAGGGGUGGGGGGAAGGGAGGGACGCUGUCCCCUCGUGCACGUCGCCACGACUGCUUGCAAGGAGCUCGCACAGAGGGGGAGGGCAGCCGCGCCCGCCAGCCAUGGCCGCGCGCGCCACACCGCUGCAUAGGGCCGCGCGCGUUGGCCAUGGCACGCCGUGCCACGGGGCCCGCCCGUGCAGGAGUAGGGGAAGGGAGGGACACCGCCGGCCUCCUCCUACGCCGUCACGUCGCGCACGUCACCGCGGCAGCCUGUAAGGAGCUCGCACGGAGGGGGAGGGUGGCCGCGGCCGCCGGCAACGGCCGCCCGCGCCACGGCACCGCGCAGGGCCACGUGCAUCGGCCGCGCGAUGCCAUGCCGCAGGGCCCGCCCGUGCGGGAGUGGAGGCACGGGAGGGAGGCUGCUGAGCUCUGCCUACGUCGUCACCUCGGGAGGGAACGAGAGAAGGAGAGGGAGAGAGAGAGGAAGGAGAAAUAGGAUAAGAUGAGAGGGCAUGGGAGGAGAUAUUUAUCUAUUGAAUCAGGAAUGCGGCAUGGACUGCUACAGUGAACCUUUUUUUUUUCUCGUGAGAAGCCGUACAGGACACAUGGCUAGGCCGAUUUCCUGCCUAGCUUAGCUGGCUUAAUAAGAGUAAAUACGAAGGAUAAGCAUCAGAGUGAAAUGUACCACGCCAAGCUGACAGCGCUUCUCCUACAGAACCGGUGUCCCUCUCCAGGCGCACUCCAGCAGACCCCUCCACUAAGCAAAACCAUAAGGCAAAUGUGAGUACGAAGAACAAAAAAGAGCAAGCAAGAACAAAAUUAGUAAGUAAAAAUAAAUUCUCCAACAUAGGUAGCAAACCCCAGCCACUCCGACGUCACCUACUGUUGGGAUAGAUGAACACCCGAGAAAAGCCCCAAUGUGGCAACCAAAUCCCAAUGCACCCCGUGGCCCAGGCAGUCGGCCUUCCACGGCGCCCCAGCGCCACGUCCGCUUGCUGACCCAGCCCCAAAGCCCGCACGCCCACCCAAUAAAGCGCAGGGAGAAGAUGACAGCCCGCGCCCACCCAAACAAGCGCAGGGGAGAAGAACAUAGAGCCCUUGCACCCGGUACGUACGCGACGCGGAAUGAAAAAGGUGCCGGGCUGGGCCGGGGCAUGGAAGCCGGAAGCGGUACCUGAGCUCGAUGUGGCGCGGAGAUGGAGCUGGCGGAGGGUUGAGGCCGGCCGCCGGCGAGACGACGGAGGCACCCGCAACGGUGGAAGGCGGGCAGCAGCUGCGGCGAGGCAGCGCGCGGCCGAUCGAUCGAUUGGGGUAAUCGGGGUUUUGCCGCAGUGACGACAGGAGGCAGUGAGCAGCGAGGUAGGCAGUAGGCACGCGUGUCGCAUAAGCAGUGGGCUAAUGCGUGUACAGUAAAUGUCAUUUUUGCCCUUUGUGUUGGUUGCUCCUUGGGACGGUACUGCACCCGCAACGGGCGAAGGCGGGCAGCUGCUGCGGCGAGGCAGCGCACGACCGAUCGAUCGAUUGGGGUAAUCGGGGUUUUGCCGCAGUGACGAGAGGAGGCAGUGAGCAGCGAGGUAGGCAGUAGGCACGCGUGUCGCGUAAGCAGUGGGCUAAUGGGUGUACAAUAAAUAUCAUUUUUGCCCUUUGUUGGUUGCUUUUUGGUACGGUACCGUGAUCAUCAGCGGUGGGAUACAUAUUUUUCAAAGCAUAGUGUCGGUACAUUGUUAUAGUUUUAUUUAGAUAUAGGGCCUGUUUUUUGGUUCGCCGUGCUAAAGUUUAGCUAGCUAAAAUUAUUUUAGUAAUUCUUGGGUGACUAAUGGAACUAAAUUAUGUUAACUCUUUUUAGACAAUGUGUUUGGAACUUUAGCAACUAAAAUGACUAAAGUUUAGCUAGCUAUAAUUUAGCAAGAGAAACCAAACAGGGCCUACUUAGGCCUUGUUUACUUUAAAAAAUUUUGCAAAAUAUGAAUAGUAGCGUUUUCGUUUGUAUUUCAUAAAUAUUGUUCAAUUAUGGACUAACUAGACUCGAAAGAUUCAUCUCGCAAAUUAUAUUUUGUAAAAUAUUUCCCUUGCUAAUUUGUUAUUUCUUUUAUCUAUAUUUAGAGCUCCAUGCAUGUGCCCUAAAAUUCGGUGUGAUGGAGAAUGUGAAAAAUUUUGUAAAAUAUUUUGGGAACUAAACAAGGCCUUAAUAAAAACAACUAAUUUAAUUAAAAUAACAAAAUAUUUUUCAUAGUUUAUAGUCUCAGAUAAUUACAUAUGAUAAUAAUAUAAUCAUGACUAAGAAAAAGAACAAUAAAGACAUGUCUCAUAUAUUUAUACUAUAAAUAAGUUCUUAAUUGCUUAGUAGAUCUCAAAGCUCUUCAGGGAUAAUGUUUGCACAUUUUGAUUACUUUGUAGAAUGUCCACCAAGCAUUCCGUCCUCAGCGAACGUCCACUCUGUGAAUGCCAGAUAGUAAGUUAACUUAUUAAUUUGCUAUGCACUCUACAAAAUUUACAUAGAGGAUAUAUAGUUUAUAUGCUUACAGGGUGGAUAGACAAUCUUUUUCCAUCCUACUAUUUCAAAUAACUAUAUGCAAAGAAGCGAGGCACUUCCCUGGAGAAGAGCAAGUGUUUAUUUGUGUUAGCUAAAUGACAUAGAAUAAUAUUACUAUAUAAUUUAAUUAAUAAUUGAGAACAUAAAUGUCGGUGUUUUCUCCCCGGGGGGUCACACCAAUGACUAAAACUUGUGUGCGUGCUCCCCUUUUUUCGGAUGGUGAUGCAAGAAAGACACAAAGAUUUAUCCUGGUUCGGGCGGGAGAAGGCCCUACGUCUAGCGGGGGGGGGAGUGUUUGUAUUAUCUUGCACCUAAGUGCUUGUACAGGGGUGAAUACAAGUUGGUAUGGAUCGAGGGAUGAAGAUGAAGUAUGGUAGCUCUUCUACGUAUGUCUUGUGUCCCCUAUCAUUUCCUGAGCCUCCCCUUUUAUAGUCCCAAGGGGAGACCUAGGUUACAUGCGUAGGUGACAGAGUAGGGGUCGAUAGGGGUGUGGCGCGCUGACCUACUCGAGGCUUCUGUACCGGCAUGGCCUCGAGUUGUCUUGUUACCCAGGGUACUGGAUGAUGAUUACGCGUGCCACCGAAUCCGGCUUCUGCAUGUCGUCCUGGAUCGGCUCAACUGCGGGCACGCCUGUACGUCGUGGCUACAGUUGCUCGGGGUGGUUGAGGUGCUGUCUUUCGCCGUCUGACUCUUUUUAGGGAAGGAACACGCUCGCUCGAGGGUCCGAUGCAGUGCUAGGCCUUGCUGACAGGAGUGUUGACUUUGGGCGUCUCGAGGGUGGUCGUGACGAGACGUUCCGUCCGCCUCGUUGUGCCCUGUCAUGCUCUGACUCAUCCGGUGGACAAGGCUGCAAAAAGGGGCGAUUGGAUGGGUGCUUGCUUCCUGUCACGCUUCCCGUAGCUAUCGGGUUAGGUGGGAACGCGGUAGGACGCAUUAAAUGCACUGGUUCCCGUACCCGCGUCAGGCGGCGGGCGGCGUCCCUGCGCUAGAGGCCUGCCGAUUCGUACGAGCCAGUUUCCGUAUUCAACGGUCAUCGUUCGGUCGAGCCCCAGCUGAUUCGCACGACUCUCUUUCCGUGUUCGAGGCCAUGGUCGUUGUCUUGUUUUGACGAUCAUGUAUGCGAUCGGGGGGCGUCGAGUCGGGGGCCUCGAUUUAUGUUCGGGUGCUCUCGUUAUACGUGUUGGUUAGGGUACCCCUUACCGAUAUCCUCAACAGUAGCCCCCAAGCCUCUGUUCGAGCGCUCUGCGCUCGAGUAGAGGCUCUUCUUUGUUGGUCGAGUUUCCGUGGGGUCGCGCGAGCGACCCCCACGGGGGUAGCCCCCGAGCCCUUGGAGGAGUCUUUGACUCCUUCGAGGGUUAUGUUGCGUAAUCCAACGGAAGCGCUCUUGAUGUUUAUCAUGGAAGAGGAGCUAGAGUCUUCGAUUGGUUGGUUUAGUGUCGCGGUUGUGACGUACUCCCGGUGGAGCGAGCGUCACCUACCCCAGAUUGAGCUCCUAUCGGGUAAUCCAAGUGAGAACCUGUGCCCCAUUCGAGGGGGUCAGCUGUAGCCCGAAGGCGUUCUCAUAAAGUGGGGUCGACGUGGUUGGGGUUACUGGUCUCUUUCGAUAGAGUCCAGCGGCAUGAUGCGUCCCUUCGUGGGGAUCCCUUUCGACCGUCUCGUCGUCGCCUUGGACAUCCCCAGCGAGUUCUCGAGGCCGGCCCCGCAUUUCGACUACUCGCUGGGCAUCCCUCACUCUGGUACUCGAGAUCGGCUGUCGAACCCAUCGUCACGAAUGCGUACCUUAGCUUACAAGGGAAGGAAGGGAUCGCGGCGGUUCGCCUUUUUGCCCGUUGGGCGCGCCUUUUUAGGCGGGAGCCGUUGCGGCACUGUACCGGCGUGGAAUUCGUAGCGCCCUGUCCGUGAGAGGAAUAAGGACCGUUAGACGGCAUAUUUACUAAGGGAGUUGUAACAGAACCGUCCAAUUUAUAAGAAUUCAAGUGAAUUAGCGACCACUGAGGCAGUCAAGCCAAUGGACUUGAACCCAUAUAAACCGGGUAGUUCGACGAAAUCUUAAAAGACCUCGAUUCAACCAACAUACAACCAAGAUCGUACAUGAUCAAGCAUCACCAUCACAGAUUACAACAAUCAACACAGAACAUAGUUUUACAUCACAUCAGAGUUUGAAAGAGGUUAUUACAAACCAUAGCAGUAGCGGAAACAAAAGUAGUUUUGAAACAACUCCAACUCAGUUCAUAAUACAUGCCAGUUCCAUGGCUAAUCCCCACAAAAGCAUAACUGAAGGUAGAAGAGUGAUCACGCCCAUGAUCUAUUCAUCAUCCGCAGCUGGGUGAUGACAGUUAGCACAAUAGCCGUGAUAGACGACAUCAUCUGCAACAGGGGUAAAUAAAACCCUGAGUACGAGAAUGUACUCAGCUAGACUUACCCGUCAUAAACCAGAAAUAAAGUGACACCAAGGAGUAUGCAAGGCUGAUCUUAGUGGACUGGUUUGACUCACUUUUUGCAUAAAAGCCUUUGUUAUAAGUAAUUCAUUUAUUCAUAUUUCAGCAGCAAGUUCAUUACUUAGCAGCUAUCCACUAGAUUAGCACCUGUUCUAAGCAAACACUUGAGUAAUUAAUCAAUUCAAUAAUAACCAUAUCAGGAUUAUCACUUUGCUAUCAACAUUCUCAUCAUAACCAUUAUGUUUGCUUAGUGAGUUCUACGUUGCCGCUGCCCAAGUCAAGUUCUCACUAUCCGGGAGAGACGGCGAUUCGAAUCGAUUCCUAUCCAGCUGGAGGGGUAUUCCUAACACUCACCCAAGCAUACUUCAUGACGGCAGCUCGGAUCACCUUUAGCACGACUCCGGACCAAUUCGCGGGUCCGUACGGCGCCGCACCCCUAGGGACCGCCAAUCUGCCAGGGUCAGGACUCUAACCUGACACCUCGGUCUUACGCCAUUGACUCCCCGCACAUCCUUACUACCAACCGGGGUGCGCACUUUAACCAGAUCGGGGUAUUCGGCCGGAGUUGCACUCGUAGGCUUCGCGGUCGGAACGACUUAUCCGGCCAACUAAGUGAUAGGCAUGCGUUCAACAUGACACGGGGACGUACAGCGAUUCGGUCCUUAAACGACACAGACGGGGAUAGAUUCACACCCAAGACCUCCAUGCCUUGUUGCUGCACUAUCGUCCUCCCGCCCGGUCUCAAGUUCAUUAUUAGCACAUGGUUAUUUCCAUGAUAGCAAAUAUAGCCAACCGUGAUCAUCAUCCACCUAUCUCUCGCAGGUGACAGGAAAUCACCCGGCUUCUACCGAGCUAAGCAUGGCUAAGCAAUACUUCGAUCCUGGACCUACUUUGGUGAGGUAUGCGGUGGACAAGGUAGUCAUUAUGCAGCAAGGGUGUCAUAUCAACGCCUACCACUUAGUGCAACAAUAUAUAACCAUAGUCAUUUGAUAGCUGAUCAUGAUAAUAAAAUAGUAGGAGGCUUAUAAUGCUCCGGGGCUUGCCUUCAACGUAGGUAGAGGGACGGUGGUCAGGGCACUCCGGCAAAUCCUCCUCCUCCUCAACUCCUUGAGGUAGUUCCCCUUGCUGUCCUUCCGACUCCGGCAGCUCGAACUCCAGCACCGUUACUCCCUUGGGUACACCUAUGUAUGCAUGACAAGGAAAUGAAUAUAGAGAAUGCACAUAUGAGGUAUGAUGUCAUGAUGAGGAGCCAAAGGAAUAUAAAACAAGGUAUAGCAUGAGCAUAACUUCUAAGAUUAAGUGAAUCAUGGAUUAACAAGUAAGUGCAUACUUCUUCUCUGGUAGAGAGACUAAAUAGACAAGUUAAACAUUUCUAGCUACUCCUACUCAGCCACUGGUUUAGUAAACAAACCAACCAGUCACAAGUUUCAGCCAUAACUCAAGCAUAUGUUAAUCAAACUAAGCAAGUAAGCACUUUCUGGAAAGCUUAGCAAAUUGGCUUCAAUUUACCUUUAGACAUCCCAGCAUGAUUCCCAACUGAAAUAAGCUAAAUCCUACAAAGUUGGCUGGCUGCUCUGGAAAAUCUAGAGAGCAAGCACUUUGCAGCAGCUACUUGGAAUAUGCAUAACUUUCAAACUACACAACCAAUUGCCAUGAAAUUUGGACACGAAGUAGAUCAGUAAGUGAGCUACAAGUCUGUUGUAGACAAGUUUCCCAGAAAGCAUCAUGUUCAAAUAGUUCUUAAUCAUUUGCUAUCAGCUGUACAGAAAUGCUCUAUGAAAGGCAAAAAUAGCCAAAAAUAAUAUUUUGCACAUAUUGAGAAUGUAUCACACGGAUAAACCAAUUGCACCAAUAGAUAGAACAUAUCUAAGAAACACCAGAAAACAUCAUGGCAAGGUCUAAAACUAUUUCUAUCAUCACCUUUUCCAUUUAUUUAAUUAUUAAUGUGAUUUAAUGAACAUAUACUUCAAUUAUUCCAAAAAUCCUAAGAAAAUUACAGCAAGCUACUUAUGCAAACACAAGAUCACUGUAAAAUUGUCAGAGCAUUUGCACAUACACAUUGUGAGGUAUAAAAAUAACAAGCUAGUAAAGGCAUGCAUAGCAUAAAUGUGAAACCUCAUCAAAAAGUGUCAAACAACAGAUUUCAGAUUUUUCCUAGCUUUGUCCACACAUAAGUACAACACUCAGCAAGUUUCAUCACAAAAGGAGUUAUAACUUAAUUACUAAAAAUAUCACAAGAAACUCCUAUUUAAGAAAGAAUUAUUUUUAACUUCUUAAAUAGACUUCCAAAAAUCAUGAACAAUUUAUCAGAGACUACUCAUAUCAUAAGUAACAACUCCCUAAAUUUGCAUGGCCAGCAGAUCAAUAGAUCUCAAGAUAUAAUUACCCACUGAAAAACCAAGAUUAGUUUAUAUCUAUUUAUUUCUGCAAAAACAUAGCAUGUUUCAUAUUUUUAUUAAAAACUAGGCUUGAGCUCGAACCUAGCAAAAUUGGAAGCACCACAUUUGGAUCUCUAAAACUACAGAUAUGAAUUUUACAAAAACAGCUUUGGCUCUGCACAACAAUGAACGAGAGGGGGUUGAAACCGAGAGGCUGACAACCGGGACCCACGCGUCAGUGAAACGGGGACAGGGGAGAUGCGCGUUGCCGGCGAAGCUCGACGACGAUGAGGUCUCGGCCGGAUCUAAGGGCACCUAUGUGUUCCUCUCAUCAAGGCGACUCUGUUGACCUACUUUACGCGCGCACUACUGGACUCUAGGGUUCUCGCCGUCGGGAAUGGCGGAGCGGCGGCGCUGCGCGGCGAUACGCCGGCGGAUCCAGGCAAUGGCGACGCGGUAGAGCGUCAUGCCGAGCAUCAGUGAAUCAAGGGGAAGCGAUUGGAACAAGAAUGGAGGAAAAUGGUGGAGCAGAGAGGCCUGGCCACGUUGCUGGUGAGCUCGAGCGGAACUCCGGCGAGGAAGAACUGCUCGGAGCUCGGCAAUGCCGCCUUACCCGUGCUCGACAGUGGCCAAGGAGGUGACGCCGAGGUAGAGGAGGCUCUGGCGAAGCUUUUCGCGGGCUGGCUUGGCCGGAGACGGCGAGAAGAGCUCGAGCGACGCGGCCGUUCCACGGCCGAGCUCGCCGAGACGAAAUGGAGAAGGGAGAGGGCUGACAGGGUGAGGUCGGGAACUAUGAAACAUGCCAUGUUUUUGUAGAAAUAAAUAGAUAUGAUUUAAUCUUGAUUAAAUAGGAGGUAAUUAUAUCUUGAAAUCUAUUGAUCUGCUGGCCAUGCAAAUUUAGGGUGUUGUUAGUUAUGUUAUGACUAGGCUCUGAUAAAUUUAGUUGUGAAGUUAAAAAAAUAGUUCUUGCUUAAAUAGGGGUUUCUUGUGGUAUUUUUAAUAAUUAAGUUAUAACUCCUUUGGUGAUGAAACUUGCUGAGUGUUGUACUCAUGUGUAAACAAGGCUAACAAAAAUCUGAAAUCUGCUGUUUGACACUUUUUGAUAAGGUUUCAUAUUUAUGCCUUGAAUGGUUUUACUACCUUGUUGUUUUUGUAUCUCCCAAUCUGUAUGUGCAAAUGUUCUGAAAAUUUUACAGUGAUCUUAUGUUAGCAUAAGUAGCUUGCUGUAAUGUUCUUAGAAUUUUUGGAACACUUGGAGUAUAUGUUCAUUAAAUCACCUUAAUAAUUAAAUAAAUGGAAAAGGUGAUGAUAGAAAUAGUUGUAGACCUUGCCAUGAUAUUUUCUGGUGUUUCUUAGAUAUGUUGUACCUACUGGUGCAAUUAGAUUGUUCCUUUGAUACAUUCUCAACAUGUGCAAAAUAUUAUUUUUGGCUAUUUAUACCUUUCCUAGAGCAUUUCUGUGUAGCUGAUAGAAAAUGCUUGAGAACUAAUUAAAGAUGUUAAUUUCUGGGAAACUUGUCUACAACAAACUUGUAGCUAACUUACUGAUGUACUCCGUGUCCAAAUUUCAUGGCAUUUGGUUGAGUAAUUUGAAAGUUAUGCAUGUUUCAAGUAGCUGCUGCAAAGUGCUUGCUCUCUGGAAUUUCCAGAGCAGCCAGUCAACUUUGUAUGUUUUAGCAUAUUUCGGUUGGGAAUCAUCCUGGGAUGUCUAAAAGUGACUUGUAGACAAUUUGCUAAGCUUUCCAGAAAGUGCUUACUUGCUUAAUUUGGUUAACAGAUGCUUGAGUUAUGGCUGAAACUUGUGACUGGUUGGUUUGUCUACUAAACCAGUGGCUGAGUAGGCAUAACUAGGAUUUGUUAACUUGUCUAUUUAGUCUCUCUAUCAGAGAAGAGGUAUGCACUUACUUGUUGUUCCAUGAUUCACUUAAUCUUAGAAGCUUAUGCUCAUGUUAUACCUUAUUUUAUGUCCCUUUGGCUCUUCAUCAUGACAUCAUGCAUCAUUUGUGCAUUCUCUAUAUUCAUGUCCUUGUCAUGCAUACAUAGGUGUACCCAAGGGCGUGACCGUGUUGGAGUACGAGCUGCCGGAGCCGGAAGAACAGCAAAGGGAGCUACCUCAUGGAGCUGAGGAGGAGGAGGACUUGCCGGAGUGCCCUGACCAUCGUCCCUCUACCUACGUCGAAGGCAAUCCCCGGAGCAUUAUAAGCCUCCUACUAUUUUAUUAUCAUGUUCAGCUAUCAAAUGACUAUGGUUAUAUAUUGUUGCAUUAAGUGGUAGGCGUUUAUAUGACACCCUUGCUGCAUAAUGACUACCUUGUCCACCUUAAACAAUACCAAAGUAGGUCCAGGAUCGAAGUAAUGCUUAGCCAUGCUUAGCUCGGUAGAAGCCGGGUGAUUUCCUGUCACCUGCGAGAGUUAGGUGGAUGAUGAUCACGGUUGGCUAUAUUUGUGUCGAGGGUAUCAACAAGGGGUACCCUCACCAAUGCGUAUAACAAGAUCAUCCGUACACACGCGCGGCCAUCGACGGCCGCAGCCUCGAAGACUGAAGUAGCGUCGAGCGAAUCGAUCAGGGCUCGAGCGACAACUGCCGUCGAAUACGGAAGCGGGCUCGAGCGAACCGAGAGGCGUCGAGCGCAAGGACACUGUCCGCCGCCUGACGCGCGCACGAGAGCCAGGGCAUUUAAUGCACCUGACGCUUCCCCACCUAACACACGGGUCACGGGAGGCGUGAUAGGGAACAGGCUUCUGUCCCAUCGUUCUUUUUGCAGCUUUCCCACCGAACGACCCAGGGCGUGUCAGGACGCGGGAAACAAGGAUGGAACGUCUAAUCGGGACCCCCUCGAGACACCCAAGGUCAGCGCUCCAGAUAUCGACACCUCGUACGGCGUCCGACCCUCGACUUCACCAGGCUCCUUCCUGGAGACGAGUCGGGCGUCGACUGACCACGCCGUAACCACUCCGCCGGAUUUGCCGCCGAGCCAUAUAAGCGUGCAUCCGCCGAACCAAUCCAAGACGGCGCGCAGGGCAGAAUGCAGGGGCACGCGUGAUCAUCACUAGGCUAUUAAGACGGGACGGCUCAAGGUCAUGCCGGUACGGAAACCUCGAGUAGGUCAGCGCUCCAUGCUGCUAUCGACUCCAAUUCCUACACCUAUACAUGUACCCUAGGUGCUUCCUUGGAACUAUAAAAGGAGGGACUCAGUAAUAGAACAAGGAUCACGACACAAGACCACGCUCAUACGUAGUAGAGCUCCACACUUCAUACCCCACUUGUAUUCGCCCCUGUACAAGCACUUAGGUGCAAGAUAAUACAAACUCUCUCCCCCCGCUGGACGUAGGGCCUUCUCUUGCCCGAACCAGGAUAAAUCUCUGUGUCUUCUUGCAUCACCAUCCGGGAAAGGGAGCACGCAUACAAAUUUACUCGUUGGUGUGACCCCCCGGGGGAAAACACCGACAGUUGGCGCGCCAGGUAGGGGUCCUGCGUGUUUUUCAUCGAUUUCCCACUCCUUUCCGGAUGGCUACUCUUGCCUCGCCAUUUCCGCGCUCCACGGUGAUUUGGUUUGGGAGUCUCGAGUUCAUGUCUACGGGCUCCGGCUACGACAUGAUCUUGCUCUCAGUCAAAGGACCAGGAGGAGCCCGCGUUACGCCAGCAAAGUUGAAGGCCCCGAGACGCCCUCACCACCACGCCUCCCCGCCUAAGAAGAGGCGCGGACAGCACCUCCGCGGCCCCUCUGCUUCAGCACGACCAACAACUCGUGCGAGGCAGGACGUAGGCCACAAGUCGGCAGCACCGUGUGACGGAGCAACAAGCGCGACGACUCAGCACCGCGCGACGACGGGAGGGGACGCGUCUCGCGCGCUCUCCCCCACCGCUGCUAGGCUACUUCCACACGGGUUGUUCACUCCAAGAGCGGCACUGCCGUUCGGAUUGGACAACGCCGUGGCGUCGCUCGCCAGGGCAGUAUGCCCAAACGCCCAGACGUACGUAGAAAGACCAAUGGUCCUCCCACGUAGCUCUGAAGCGCGGCGGCCGGCGUCCGAGCUGCCGGACCUAUCCCGAGUACAAGGCCUCCGUCGUCUAGGCCCCGGACGAUACUCGAUCACCUCCCUCAGGCAACGAUUGCUGGAGGAAGGACGUGGGUGUUUCUACGCCGCCAAACCGGACUCCGACUUCGAGACAGAUAGCUAUGACCCUACAAGGGAAUGCUAUCACAUCGAUGGGGCGGUAGAAACUACUGACGAGACACGGGAUGCUGCUGCGGGUGGUCGAGCCCCCGCGGCGCGAGAAGACCCCAGGAUGCCUGGGAACGACGGACAGGUCGACCCCCCUCCUCAGGAAGACAGAACCGCGCAGCUCGCGUAGCUGCGGGAGCUCAAGAUGAAGCUCGACGAAGACCGCGAGCGUCUCGUCCUGCUCGAGCAAAUCCUCGAGCAAGACCUGCCCUACCCGCCGGGCGGAAGUGUCCGCAGACGCGCUCUAGAGGUACAUCGACAGAUCGUCGACGACGCAGAGCCAGAGCAACCUGUCAGCCGUUUCCCUCGAGCAGGCCAGAAUGUAGUGGCAGCGAUGAUGCUGCUACGUAACAUGCCAGAACCGUCGAAUUCCCAGGCCCGACGCAUUCGAGAUGAGGUACAUACAUUGCUCCAGGUGGCGGCGGUUCAACAAGCCGAAAGUUCGGCAUCUCGACGACGAGGAGCUGCCACAGAGAAGCACGACGAACAGCCUCUAAACGAAGAGGAGGUGUCAGUCCAUCAACAACCUCCCCCUCGCGGUAGAAAGACUGCUCUCAUCCUCCCCGUCGACAAUCAACGUCGACACGACGCGCGGCACGACAUCAAAGAAAAUCGGCGCCGCCGGCACGGAGACGCGGAAGAGCGCAGUUAUAGCGCGCAUCGCGGUGGGAGAUACAACAGCGACGAGGACCGGGUGGCCCCCGAGCCACCAGGCCCACGGGUGUUCAGCAGGGCGAUCCGCAGCACGCCCCUGCCCAAUCCAUUUCGACCCCCGACCAGCAUCGCGAAGUACAAUGGAGAGACCAAACAAGAGUUGUGGCUGGCCGACUUCAGGCUGGCCUGUCAGCUAGGUGGCGCUCGAGGUGAUGAUCGAGCCAUCAUCAGACAGCUACCCCUUUUCCUCUCCGACACCGCCCGUCGAUGGCUCGAGGAACUCCCUGCCAAUCAGAUCCACAACUGGGUUGAUCUGGUCAGAGUCUUCGAGGGUAACUUCAAAGGGACCUACAUACGGCCAGGGAACUCGUGGGACCUCAGCAAGUGCAAGCAGAAGUCAGGAGAAACUCUUCGGGAGUAUGCUCGACGCUUCUCGAAGCAGCGCACUGAGCUGCCGCACAUCCCUGACCACGACGUCAUCUUGGCGUUUGUCUCAGGCACAACCAGUCGAGACUUGGUGCGGGAGUUAGGUCGCAAUCGACCUCAGACCGUCGACGAGCUGAUGGACGUAGUAGCCAACUACGCGGCAGGGGAGGAGGCGGUCGGCGCCUUCUUCAGCUCAGAAGGAAGAAAAGACAAGCAGCCCGUCGACGAAGAUGGGACCCCCAGUCGAGGCCUCAAGAAGAAUAAAAAGAAGCAGAAAGUGCGGCAGUUCCACCGGGAAGAUUCCGAUGACAACCUUGUUGCCGCCAUGGAUCGAAAGAAGCCCCGAGGCCCUCCGGAUGGUGGCAUCUUUGACAAGAUGUUGGAGGAGCCGUGCCCUUACCAUAAGGGAGGCGCCAACCACAAGCUCAAGGACUGUCGUAUGCUGAGAAAGCAUUUCGACGGUCUGGGGUUCAAAAAAGAUACGCGUGAUGACUCCAAGAAAGAGAAGGCUGGCAGCAAGGAGGACAACAAAGAUGACGACGGCUUCCCCGCCGUCCACGACUGCUACAUGAUCUAUGGCGGGCCCUCGACUCAAUUAACCAUGAGGCAGCGCAAAAGGGAGCGUCGCGAAGUCUUUGCGGCAAGAAUGGCGGUGCCCCAGUACCUUAGCUGGUCAAGCACUCCUAUCACUUUCGACCAAGAGGACCACCCCGACAAGGUAGUCUCCCCAGGCGUCUACCCGCUCGUCGUCGACCCCAUCAUCGUCAACACCCGACUCUCGAAAGUGCUGAUGGAUGGUGGCAGCAGCCUCAACAUCAUCUACCUCGAGACCCUCGACCUCCUCGGCAUCGAUAGAGGAAGCCUCCAGCCAAGCGCCGGCGGUUUCCAUGGCGUCGUGCCAGGAAAAAAGGCACUGCCAGUAGGUCGAAUUGACCUACCGGUCUGCUUCGGCACGGCGGCCAACUUCAGGAAGGAGACCCUCACCUUUGAGGUGGUUGGGUUCCGAGGCACGUACCACGCCAUCAUCGGGCGCCCGGGCUACGCCAAGUUCAUGGCUAUACCCAACUAGACCUACUUGAAGCUGAAGAUGCCUGGUCCCAAAGGCGUCAUCACUGUCAGUUCCUCCUUCGAGCACGCGUAUGAGUGCGACGUCGAGUGCGUCGAGUACGGGGAGGCGGUCGAGAGCUCCGCCGAGCUCGUUGCAAAGCUCGAGGCCAUGGCCGCUGAGGCUCCAGAGCCUAAGCGUCAUGCGGGCAGCUUCGAGGCGGCGGAAGGAACCAAGAAGAUCCCGCUCGACCCCAACAACUCCGACGGCAAAGUUCUGAUGAUCAGCGCCGACCUCGACCCCAAAUAGGAAGCCGUGCUCGUCGACUUUCUCCGUGCAAAUGCUGAUAUGUUUGCAUGGAGUCCCUCGGACAUGCCAGGCAUACCGAGGGAAGUCGCCGAGCACUCCUUGGAGAUUCGAGCCGGUUCCAAGCCAGUGAAGCAGCGGUUGCGCCGAUUCGAUGAGGAGAAGCGCAAGAUCAUUGGCGAGGAAGUCCACAAGCUUUUGACGGCCGGAUUCAUCAAGGAGGUUCAUCAUCCUGACUGGUUAGCAAACCCUGUAUUAGUUAAGAAAAAGAAUGGGAAAAUGAGGAUGUGUGUCGAUUAUACUAGUCUGAAUAAAGCAUGUCCAAAAGUUCCCUUUCCAUUGCCAUGCAUUGAUCAGAUUGUCGAUUCUACCGCGGGAUGUGAAACCCUUUCUUUCCUUGAUGCAUAUUCUGGUUACCACCAAAUAAAAAUGAAGGAGUACGACCAGCUCGCGACCUCUUUCAUCACGCCUUUUGGGAUGUAUUGCUACGUGACCAUGCCAUUUGGGCUUCGAAACGCGGGAGCCACGUAUCAACGUUGCAUGCUCCACGUAUUUGGCGAACAUAUAGGGUCAACGGUCGAGGCCUACGUCGACGACAUUGUCGUCAAGUCAAAGCGACGAGGAGACCUGAUCCAGGACCUCGAGAUUGCCUUUAGCUGCCUACGCACCAGCCGGAUCAAGCUCAAUCCCGAGAAGUGCGUUUUCGGUGUGCCUCGAGGCAUGCUCCUAGGAUACAUCGUUUCGCAGCGCGGCAUCGAGGCCAACCCCGAGAAAGUCUCGGCUAUCACGAAAAUGGGGCCGAUCUGAGACAUCAAGGGUGUACAGAGAGUCACGGGGUGCCUGGCGGCUCUGAGCCGUUUCAUCUCGAGACUAGGAGAAAAGGCAUUACCAGUAUAUCGACUUCUAAAGAAGGUCGAGCGCUUUUCUUGGACCCCCGAGGCCGAGGAAGCACUCGAAAGGCUGAAGAAGACGCUGACCUCGGCACCAGUCCUGGUUCCACCUCAACCUGCAGAGCCGCUGCUCCUCUACGUCGCGUCGACGACCCAGGUCGUCAGCGCGGCGGUGGUGGUCGAGAGGCAGGAGGAGGGACAUGCGCUACCGGUUCAGAGGCCAGUGUAUUUCGUCAGCGAGGUGCUUUCGGAGACCAAAGCACGUUAUCCCCAAAUCCAGAAGCUGAUUUACGCCGUAAUCCUUGCCCGACGCAAGCUGCAGCAUUACUUCCUUGGCCACCCCAUCACGGUGGUCUCGUCUUUUCCUUUAGGCGAAAUAAUCCAGAGCAAAGAAGCCACGGGAAGAAUAGCAAAAUGGUCGGUCGAGCUCAUGAGUGAGACUCUCACUUAUGCGCCUCACAAGGCCAUUAAAUCGCAGGCCCUGGUAGACUUCAUCGCAGAAUGGACGGACACCCAGCUCCCCCCGACCCAGGUCCAGGCGGAACUAUGGACGAUGUAUUUCGACGGGUCACUCAUGAAAACUGGAGCCGGAGCCGGCCUGCUGUUCAUCUCACCCUUGGGCGUCCACAUGAGGUACAUAAUCAGGAUUCAUUUUGCCGCAUCUAACAAUGUCGCAGAAUAUGAGGCCCUCGUCAACGGUCUCAAGAUCGCUAUCGAGUUAGGAGUCCGGCGCCUCGACGUCCGAGGUGACUCCCAACUCGUCAUCGACCAAGUAAUGAAAACCUCAAGCUGCCACGACCCAAAAAUGGAAGCGUACUGCAAGGAGGUCCGUCGACUCGAAGACAGGUUCCACGGUCUCGAGCUUGUCCAUGUCGCUCGACGCUACAACGAGGCAGCCGACGAACUCGCCAAGAUCGCAUCGACCAGAGGCACGGUGCCGCCUGAUGCAUUCUCAAAGGAUCUUCACGAGCCAUCCGUCGACCUAGGCACGGGGGCUGGCGUCGACGCCACCACCGUCCAACCAACCGAUGCCGUCGAUACGCUCUUGAUGGUGAAAGAGAUGAUGGAGAUAGAACGACGACCAGGUCGACCAUUCGAUUGGCGCACACCGUUCCUCGACUGCCUUAUCCGCGGCGAGUUGCCAGAAGACAGGUCAGAAGCUCGUCGUAUCGCUCGACGGGCCAAAUCAUAUGUGAUCUAUGGCGAAGACAACGAGCUAUAUCGACGGAGCCCGACGGGGGUCUUACGACGUUGCAUCACAGUGGAAGAAGGCCGAAAACUCCUUGAUGACCUGCACUCGGGGGCUUGCGGUCACCACGCCGCUCCACGGACCCUUGUAGGGAACGCUUUUCGAUAAGGCUUCUACUGGCCAACGGCCGUGGCGGACGCCAUCGAGCUCGUACGAUCAUGUCACGGGUGUCAGUUCUACGCCAAGCAGACGCAUCUGCCUGCCCACGCUCUUCAGAUGAUCCCCAUUACCUGGCCGUUUGCGGUGUGGGGGCUCGAUUUAGUAGGACCUCUACAAAAGGCGAAAGGAGGAUUCACCCAUUUGCUGGUGGCCAUUGACAAGUUCUCCAAAUGGAUCGAGGCUCGACCCAUCACCAACAUCCGCUCCGAGCAGGCCGUCCUUUUCUUCACCGACAUCAUCCAUCGGUUUGGGAUCCCCAAUGUCAUCAUCACCGACAACGGCACCCAGUUCACCGGCAAAAAGUUCUUGGACUUCUGCGAUCGGCAUCACAUCCGUGUGAACUGGUCUGCAGUAGCCCACCCUCGAACUAACGGCCAAGUCGAGCGUGCCAACGGCAUGAUUUUUCAAGGACUCAAGCCAAGGAUCUACAAUCGAUUGAAGAAAUUCGGCAAAAAAUGGGUCGAGGAGCUUUCCUCAGUCCUAUGGAGCCUUAGGACAACACCAAGCAGGGCCACAAAAUACACCCCGUUCUUCAUGGUCUACGGCUCUGAGGCUAUCCUCCCCACAGACCUCGAGUAUGGGUCACCUCGACUCAAGGCCUACAACGAGCAAUCGAACAAAGAGACUCAAGAAAACGCGGUCGACCAACUUGAGGAGGCUAGAGACAUGGCCCUCCUCAACUCUGCCAGAUAUCAACAAAGGCUUCGACGCUACCACGACAAGCAUGUGCGCAAGAGGGACCUCAAUGUGGGCGACCUAGUCCUACGACGCCGGCAAAGCAAUCAGGGACGCCACAAACUGACUCCGCCUUGGGAAGGUCCGUACGUGGUAGCUGAGGUCCUGAAGCCGGGAACGUACAAGCUGGCGGACGAAAAGGGGGCAAUUCUCACCAACGCAUGGAACAUCGAACAGCUACGUCGAUUCUACCCCUAGAAGUUCUAAACUUAUGUUCCUGCUUACGUUUUGUACCAAGACUUUGUAAACGAAUGAAUGAAUAAAUAAAGUCUUUCCCUCGAAACAAUUCUUCUUUCUUUGCACCGAGAAGAUUAAUAAGUCACGAUCUCGACGUUAAAAGGGGGCGCCGACUAUGACCCAUCAUAGUCAGCACCCCCUCGGGGGCUACCAGGGGGACGACACCCCCCCCCCCCCGAGUAUCGAAAAAACCAAGAAGUUUUCUUUUCUUACGUAGUAAACCUUGCACGGUUCAAGUAGCUAAGGCACCUCGAGCCCCUCAAAGGCUGAGGGACAACGAGCUGGAGAACUCCUACGCCCCCGGGCUACGGAAACUAUACUCGCUUCUCCACCAUUGAAGUGAUCGAGGUGGUCUUUUACGAAAAAUCAAGCAAGGGAUACAAACGUAGGCGCAAAGAGAAACGAAAGCAUCAAGCGGAAAGACAAAAUAAGCAUCUAACAAUUACGAAAGUGAUACGGCAUCAGUAACCCACAGAAUUAACCAAGUAUUGUACAAGGGGCCUCAAGCGCCCUGAGCAGGCUCGCAGGCCUCAGUCCGCAGCACGAUCCUCACCGCCCUCGCCUCCGCCCGAGCUAGCCUCAGGAGGGAGCACCUCAGGCUCGAAAAGCUUGGCCAACCUUUCCCCAGGAGCCUCCGCGUCGUCGAUCAAGGCAUGGAGCCUCUCCUCGUUCUCCGCGUCGGUCUUGGAGAUGUCGGUGACGAAGCCAUGGGACACCACCUCCAUGUCGUAGGAGAAGCCCGAGCAGACAACCGCCAUCGCCCGCUUCACCCCGAUGUGGAGGGCGUCCCGCACCCGAUCUCGCAGCGUCGCGCCUAUGUAGCACAACUGGUCGACCAGGGCGUCGCCUCGAGCGUCCUCCCUUGACUCAUCCAUAGGCUCGACCUCCCAAGAGGUCGAGAGAUCACUUAUCGCCGUCCGCACUCGACGGUUCAAAGCAACCUCCGCCUCGAGCUGAGCCUUGGCGUUGCGAGCCUCGGCUUGGGCGGCCAGGAGUUCAUCCUUGAGCCCUGUAAAAGCCAAUACAAAGAGACCUUAGGAAAAACUAAGCACACCUCGGAAAAAGAAAUCUGAUAGAGGAAACAUACCGCGUACGGUCUCCUCGAGGGCCGUGUUCUCGCCGACCAGCCUGGUGUUGGCCCCCUCGAUCUCUUUGUUGGAGCGUGCCAGCUCGGUGUUGGCAACGCGGAGAUCCUCGAUCGCCUUGCCAGCCUGGGCAAUGGCCCCACUCUUCUCCAGCAAUUCUCCCUUCAGACGCUCGACGUCGUUAGAGAGACUGCGGGAUCGAGCCUGCUCCGCCUCGAGAUCUUCGAGGGCCUUCUUCUUGGCUUCCUCCGCGGCGCCCCUGGCGACCUCGCCGUUCACAUGCUCUGCCUUCAUCUUUCGGAAGGACUCUCGGAGAGAGUCCAGGUCAGAUUUAAGGAGCCCUUCUCCUUGUCCAGAUCCGCGAUAACGCUCUUGUAGGACAGGGCCUCCUCCCGGGCUCUGGACGCGGCUUCCUCGACCGUAAGAGCCCGCUCCCGUAGCUGCAUCAUCUCCUCCUCCGCCUUCUUUGAGGCCUCUCGGGCCUCAGCCAAGGCAGCCUCCCUCGCCUUCUUCUCCUCAUCGAGUGCUAUGAGAUCUUUGUAAGCUUUAAGGAGCUUUUCCUGCGACUCGAGGAGUUGAUCCUUGAGGAGGGGGAGCUGCUCCCAACCGCCCCUCGUGGCGUGUAUGAAGCUGGACUUGAUGCGGGAGGUCUCUUUCAUAUCGUGCGAAUCAAGAGUCGGAUGGAUUAGAAUACAGAAACCUGAAAGCACCAUGAGGAUUGGAGUUCGAGAAACACUUACGAAAUAAGCCGGGCCGAGCCCGUUGUUGAUAACGUCCGAGAGGAGCCCCACCACAUGCUUCAUCCAAAGGCGGAGCUCCUCGACGGGUUCCCACUUCUCCGCCUCCUUCCGAUCGUCGAGGAAGAUGUCGGGCUUAGCCGGGUCGUGGGAGGCCCGGAUACGGAUGCGGUCGGGGCACCAGUGCUCCAUCUCCCGGUCAGCCCGCGCCUUAACGCCGCGGAUGAGGCCCUCGACGGUCUCGAGGGAACCCCCAUGGCGCAGAAACAGGUCGACGAGGCAUGGGAACCGUCCGUCGUCGUCCACCGUCUUCCAGGUUCCAUCCUUGGUCCCCGAUGCCCCAAUUUCAUCCUCCUCGGAAGGAAAGCGGUCCUCCCACGCCCGACGUUCCCGGAGGAACCCUGGGGCGAUCCCGUCCAUGCCGUAAAUUGUCCUCUUGAUAUCGGACUCAGGGUCGGGGGGCGUGCACUUCAGGCAGGCGAGCGCCACCACUCCAUCCGCUCGCCCCGGCUCUGCCCGGAUCGCGGCAGGUGCCCCCGGGAGGAGCCACGCCGGGGUUGGGGGGCCGUACACCGGCAGGUCCUCCUCCUCGCCGAGCUCUUGCGGCUCCGGUGGCACUGGCUGGGCCGAACCUUGGGGCGGAGGCUCGAGCGGUCCCUCCUCUUGGCCCGCCUGCUGCUGCUGCAGUUGCUGCUGCGGUGGUUGCUGCUGCGGUUACUCCUACGGUUGUUGCUGUUGCUGUUGCUGCUGCUGCUGUUGUUGUUGCUGCUGCUGCUGUGCCUCAUGCUCCUGUGGCUGCCGCGCCGCCUCGCGCUCCCGCUGUACAUCCUCCUCCCUCUUCUUUUUCUGCUCCUCGAGGGUACGGAGGCCGGCGGGCCAGGGAGUUGACCCCGCGACACGAGGGCUCGACGCUUCCUCCUCCAUAGGGCGGGCACCCCCAGACGCUGUCACCAUCAGACGUGUCGCUGAUGAUGAUAGGUUCCCCCUCGACCCCCAAUCGAGGGGGCUCGGGGGCUCCCUCUGACGCUUGCGUCUGGGACGCCUCGCCACAAGUCGGCGGCGACGAGGCAGGCACGGGACGAGACGGAGCCCUCUCGACGCCGACUGGAGGUUGGGAACUGGAGGAGCCUACAAAACAAAGGGUAAAAAGGUCAGACGUUGUAAUAACCGACACAAGAACAUCGCAAGGCCCAGAAAUAAACUACGAACCUGGUUCCUUGGAGGCGGCGCCCGUUUUGAGCCUCUUUGCCAUGGAUGCCUGGGCCUGCUCGAGGGUCCGCUUUAGCCUGAGAAAAGAUCGGUAUAUGAGCAAACGCAGAGGAAUAGGAAGACAAAAGCCACAGCAUCGAGAAGGCUUACCCCACAGGGAGAACAGCUCGCCUCCCUCCGCCCCGACCGGUGGGCCUCGAGCCACCCCGCGUCAGGGCUCCAGGCCCCUCGAGGGCAGGCGCUAGCCUAGGUGCGUCAGUUCCCGCCUGACGGGCGCCGGGACUGGCGCUCCUGCGGCCGACCUCUCCUUUCUCGGAGGCCGCUGCGCGACCGCGGGUCAGUGGCCCCGUCGCUUGGGGCCUGGCAUGACCGCUCUCCCUGAGCGCCGGGGGAGGGCGCGGCACGACUUGGCUGACCUUGGGCGCGGGAGGGGUAUCGGCGCGAGGACGGUAGGAUCCGCCUGGGCCCCCCGUCGGAGCUUCCGCCCGAGGAGCAUCGACGUCGCCUUGAGAUGGACCCCCGAGGAUCCGGUCAAGACGAGUCGCCAUCCCCUCGGAGUCCUCACUGUCCUCGUCAUCGUCGUCAUCUUUCUCGCUGGGGGACUCUUCCUCAGGCUCUCCCCUCUGCCUGGACUUGGACCGGCGCGCCUCUAAGGCUUGCCGGUCGAGGUUUUUCUUCUUCUCCCCCUUCUUCUUAGAGUCCUUGACGGACUUCGACUUUUCGGCGGACCGGCGCCGCGCGUCGCGGUCGACUUCGUCCUCCCUCACCGGGGGCCUCGAGGAUCGAAUGUCGAUCCGCCCCUGCCACCGUAAAAAGUAGACUUAGGAAAAGGGGGUGGAAAAGGAACCUAGAGUCAAGGCUACCCACGAGGAAGAAAACAUACCAGGUCGACCGAGCCUUCAUCAGGCCUCAUGGGGAAGCCGUUGACGUGCUGCGACUUGAAGUCGCCGGCGAUGGCCGCCCUGACCCGUGCGGCGACUUCAUCGUCCGCCAGAGCCACGUUGGACAUCCGGCAAGCUUCGAGAUCCCGGGACGAGACACCCGGCCCCAUUUCGUCCAUCCUCAACGGCCGAGACAUUAGGGGAAGGACCCUACGACGAUGGACGGCAGAGAGGACGAGAGCGGCGGACAAGCCCUCCAGGCGCAGCUUCUUCAUGGCGUCGAGGAGGGGGUCGAGCCGCGACUGGUGCUCUUGGACGACGCCAUACGUCCAGUUGUCUGGGCGCUCCGAGAUCAGGCGGCCCGUGUAUGCGGGGAAGAGACCGUCGUCGUUUCUUAGAUAGAACCACUGGGAGUCCCACCCAGCAUGGUUCGACGACAGCCCCACCUGGAUGUACUCGCGCGGCCUUUCCGUCUUCUUCGUCUUCAACACCAGGUUGAGGCAUCCGGCCCGCACGGGUUUCCUCACGCCGGUGGUUCCGGUGGGGGCAUUGAAAAGCUCGCCCCUGUAGAGGUGGAGCCAUAGAUCCCAAUGGGGCAUCAUCCCCAGAUAGCCCUCACACACCGCGACGAAGACCGCCGCAACGGUGAUGGCGUUCGGGGAAAAAUGCUGGAGCUCCACUCCAUAGUGGAAGCAGAGGGCCCGCAUAAAGCGACUCGGGGGAGCACCCAAGCCAUGGCGGUGGAACUUGGCGAAUGACACCACAUAGCCCUCGGGUGGCUGGGGCUCCCUAUGACUCGCCGGCGGCGCGAUCCACUCCGGCGAAGACUGCGAAGUCCGGCGGCGCAAGAGCCCUUCGUUCUCGAGCUCUAGCAGACGGCGGUCCGUCAUCAACGACGGACGCCAGUCGUCGGCGGCAACAAGCCUCAUAGGCAUCUUGGUUGAAAGGAUGGUGGAUUCACUACCGCUCGAGGGGGUGCACGCGCGCGUGGAGGAAGCAAGAGAGCAAAGGCAGCGAGAAGACGAAGGCGAGAGGACGGAAGGAGAAAGAAAGAAUGGAGCAACGCCACGGCGUAUUUAUAGAUAGCGGCCAACCGACAGAUAGAUCCGAUAAAUGAGGUAACUCCCCCCAUAAAUGCGCCGUCUAACGGUCCUUUCUCUCCUCACAGGUCGGACGCUCCGAAUUCCCCGCCGAUACAGUGUCGCAACGUCACUUACCUCAAAAGGUGCGCCCAACGGGCAGAAAGACGAACCGGCACGGCAGCUUCCUUACUUCGUAAGCCAAGGUAUGCACCCACGAUAGUCUCGAGAGGUCGAUGGCUGGCCCGUCGAAAGGGUUCGACAGCCGAUCUCGAGCACCAAGAGUCAGGGAUCCCCAGCGAGUGGUCGAAAAUCGAGGCCCGCCUCGAGGACUCGCUGGCGAUGUCCAAGGUAGGGUCGAGACAGUCGAGAGGAAUCCCCCCGAAGGGAGACAUCGAGCCGCUGGACUCUAUCGAAUGAGACCGGUAUCCCCGACCACGUCGACCCUGCUUUAUGAGGACGCCUCUGGGCUACAGCUGACCCCCUCGAAAGGGGCACAGGUUCUCACUUGGACUACCCGCUAGGAACUCAAUCUGGGGUGGAAGACGCUCGCUCUAUCGAGAGUACGUCGAAACCUCCACGCAAGGCAAAGCCGAACAGAACCUUCCACCACGGGUGUUGACAGCGUUUCUGCAAAUUUGGCAAAAUAACCCUCGAAGGAGUUAAAUACUCCCUCGAGGGCUCGGGGGCUACCCCCGCGGGGUCGCUCGCGCGCCCCCGUGGAAGCUCGACCGUAAAAACGAAAGUCUCCACUCGAGCGCCAGCGCUCGAAUGAAGACUCGGGGGCUACUGUCGAGGGUAUCAACAAGGGGUACCCUCACCAAUGCGUAUAACGAGAUCAUCCGUACACACGCGCGGCCAUCGACGGCCGCAGCCUCGAAGAUGGAAGUAGCGUCGAGCGAAUCGAUCAGGGCUCGAGCGACAACUGCCGUCGAAUACGGAAGCGGGCUCGAGCGAACCGAGAGGCGUCGAGCGCAAAGACACUGUCCGCCGCCUGACGCGCGCACAAGAGCCAGGGCAUUUAAUGCACCUGACGCUUCCCCACCUAACACACGGGUCACGGGAGGCGUGAUAGGGAACAGGCUUUUGUCCCAUCGUUCUUUUUGCAGCUUUCCCACCGAACGACCCAGGGUGUGUCAGGAUGCGGGAAACAAGGAUGGAACGUCUAAUCGGAACCCCCUCGAGACACUCAAGGUCAGCGCUCCAGAUAUCGACACCUCGUACGGCGUCCGACCCUCGACUUCACCAGGCUCCUUCCUGGAGACGAGUCGGGCGUCGACUGACCACGCCGUAACCACUCCGCCGGAUUUGGCGCCGAGCCAUAUAAGCGUGCAUCCGCCGAACCAAUCCAAGACGGCGCGCAGGGCAGAAUGCAGGGGCACGCGUGAUCAUCACUAGGCUAUUAAGACGUGACGGCUCGAGGUCAUGCCGGUACGGAAACCUCGAGUAGGUCAGCGCUCCAUGCUGCUAUCGACUCCAAUUCCUACACCUAUACAUGUACCCUAGGUCCUUCCUUGGAACUAUAAAAGGAGGGACUCAGGAAUAGAACAAGGAUCACGACACAAGACCACGCUCAUACGUACUAGAGCUCCACACUUCAUACCCCGCUUGUAUUCGCCCCUGUACAAGCACUUAGGUGCAAGAUAAUACAAACUCUCUCCCCCCGCUGGACGUAGGGCCUUCUCUUGCCCGAACCAGGAUAAAUCUCUGUGUCUUCUUGCAUCACCAUCCGGGAAAGGGAGCACGCAUACAAAUUUACUCAUUGGUGUGACCCCCCGGGGGAAAACACCGACAAUUUGCUAUCGUGGAAAUAACCAUGUGUUAAUAAUGAAUUUGAGACCGGGCGGGAUGACGAUAGUGCAGCAACAAGGCAUGGAGGUCUUGGGUGUGAACCUAUCCCCGUCUGUGUCGUUUAAGGACCGAAUCGCUGUACGUCCCCAUGUCAUGUUGAACGCAUGCCUAUCACUUAGUUGGCCGGAUAAGUCGUUCCGACCGCGAAGCCUACGAGUGCAACUCCGGCCGGAUACCCCGAUCUGGUUAAAGUGCGCACCCCGGUUGGUCGUAAGGAUGUGCGGGGAGUCAAUGGCGUAAGACCGAGGUGUCAGGUUAGAGUCCUGACCCUGGCAGAUUGGCGGUCCCUGGGGGUGCGGCGCCGUACGGACCCGCGAAUUGGUCCGGAGUUGUGCUAAAGGUGAUCCGAGCUGCCGUCAUGAAGUAUGCUUGGGUGAGUGUUAGGAAUACCCCUCCAGCUGGAUAGGAAUCGAUUCGAAUCGCAGUCUCGCCCGGAUAGUGAGAACUUGACUUGGGCAGCGGCAACGUAGAAUUUACUAAAUAAACUUAAUGGUUAUGAUGAGAAUGAUGAUGGCUAUGUGAUAAUCCGGAUAUGGUUAUUAUUGUAAUGCUUAAAACUCAAGUGUAUGCUUAGAACAGGUGCUAAUCUAGUGGAUAGUUGCUAAGUAAUAAACUUGCUGCUGAAUUUAAUAAAUGAGUUACUUAUAACAAAGGCUUUUAUGCAAAAGAUGAGUCAAACCAGUCCACAGAGAUGAGCCUGGAAUACUCCUUGGUGUCACUUUAUUUCUGGUUUAUCACGGGUAAGUCUAGCUGAGUACAUUCUCGUACUCAGGGUUUUAUUUACCUUUGUUGCAGAUGACGUCGUUUAUCACGGCUACUGUGCUAAGUGUCAUCACUCGGCUGCGGAUGAUGAAUAGAUCAUGGGCAUGAUCACCACCUUUAUCUUCAGUUGUGCUUUUGUUGGGACUUGACCAUGGAACUGGCAUGUAUUAUAAACUAAGUUGGUGUUGUUCAAAACUACUUUGUUUCCGCUACCGCUAUGGUUUGUAGUAACCACUUUAAACUCUGAUGUGAUGUAAAACUAUGUUCUGUGAUGAAUGUUGUAAUCUGUGAUGGUGAAGCUUGAUCAUGUACGAUCUUGGUUGUAUGUUGGUUGAAUCGAGGUCUUUUGAGAUUUCGUCGGACUACCGGGUUUAUAUGGGUUCAAGUCCAUUGGCUUGACUGCCUCCGUGGUCGCUAAUUCACUUGAAUUCUUAUAAAUUGGACGGUUCUGUUACAGCUGGCAUCAGAGCAAGAUUAAGCAUAUAACCAUCAUAGAUGUAUUUGAAAACAAAUGAAUUUGGUUUUCUUAAACUAAUUUGUCAAAAUUAGGUUAUAAAUAGGGUUGUUUAAAAAGGUUUUGAUAACUUAUACCAUGCCAGUGGUCAUGCCCUUUAUGCCCAUAUAAGGAUUUCUAGGUGGCUUAAUAUUACUAACAUGGGGGUUUUUCCUUUCGUCGUCCAUAUGGCGUGUAAUUAUAUGGAUACCGCUUACUUAAGUGGUAAUGAAUGGAUCACAUACCUCUACGCCAUGGUAAGCAUUGUUUGUUUUCUUUCGUCGUCCAUACGGUGUGAAAUUGUAUGGAUGCCACUUGCUUGAGUGGUAAUGUAUGGAUCUAUAUGCCUCUACGCUACGGUAAGUGUGAGCUGUGAGAGCAUGACCGUCCAACCGUCGGUCUAGGGGAGUGUUAGCUGUGGUUACUAGAAUAUUUACAUGUUUCACACAUGUAUAUAUGAAGGUACUUAAUUGUGGAUAGUAGGUGCAGCCAUGUAUACAUAUUUGAUGUAUAGGUGGGUGUAUCCAAAAUGGGUAGUGUGCUGCGAUAUAUGUCUGGGAAUAUAUAUCGGAGUACCUAGCUUGAUUGUUGGUGAUUGGAUUUACAUUUCUGCACUUAUACUAUUGUGGGGCUGGGCUGAAAUGGAAUCUUCUGCAGGUACACUAACAACGAAACGUGUAGACCGGGUAGUUGCGUAUAAAGAGUGUACGUAUAUAUGCCACCGAAUAUACCGUUAGAACUUUCUUCUAGGAAUGGAAAGGACGUAUGGAACGUGCAUGCAUCAUGAAUCAUUCAUACAUUCUUUAUGCAAUACUUGGGUAUUAAAUUCUGAAAAUAUGAUUCUUUAUCUUUCCCUGUAAUUAAUCUCCCUUACUCAAAUGUGGUCUUUCUACAGAUGGCAGCCCCGCACGCGAGUGAGACUUUUCUGGACAUGUUUGGCACUCCUACUUUGUUGUGGAGGGUGCUAAGUUCAGUUGGAUAUGAGGAACCACCUAGGUACACUUGGAUCGAGUCUGAGCAUGCAGGGGCCUUACCUUGGGUAGAUGUCCAAAGUACAGUUCCUCCUUGUCCAAAUAACCCACAGUGGCUAGGGUGGUUAGUUGACUGUGAUGGCCAAACUCCUUGGUAGGGCGCCCAAGUAGCAGCCCUAGAGGUUUUGCUAGAAAUAUGUCAAGAGUUUGGUGAUGAGUUAGUGAAUGGCCCAGUGGGAUCUAUCCCCAGAGUGAGUGUGACUGACACAUUUGUGUCCCAGAUAGGGAAUGAGUCCUUAGAGAUGAGAGAAAUCUUGCUAGGAUAUAGCUCUAGCCCUGCCAUGAGUGCCAUGCUAGCGGUACUCAAGCUGCACUAUGUACGCCAGGACACAUACAUAGAGGCCAUGCUAGCGCUCCAACGAGCUCAAGUUGGGCAGCGCAAAUUGCGCAAACGAGUGCGCAAACAUCGCAAGGCUUUUAUGGAUGCACAAGCUGAAAUCCAAAACUAUCACACCGCUUUGCAAGCCCGCCGCAAUCAAGUUGCGAAUGCAGUUAGAGAGCGCAAUUAGGCACAAGCCCGCAUGAUGCAAAUGACUAGAGAGAGAGAUGAGGCCAUGCGCUUGGCUGAAAAUAGAGAAGCUGCUAGAGUUAGAGCCUUGUUCCAUGCUGAAAUGAGAGAGGAAGAGCUGAUUACUAGGAUUGCUGAGUUGCAGUUGGAUGUCCAUCGCUUAAAUAAUAUCAUAAAUCCUAUCCCACAACCAGCCCCUUUUGAUCAUGAAGAAGCUCUUAGUGAGGAAGAUCAGGGUGAUGGCAUCAUCUCUAAUGGAGAAUCCGAGGAAGAUAUGAAGCCUAGCAAUGAUUUUAUGACCAUGUAUCAGUUUCCAUCUCUUUGUGUAAUGGACAUGUAAUCUGAAUUUUAGUUGAGACUCUAUGUAUUUGGCCAGGGUGCCCCUCCUGUAAAACUUAAGUUGUGGCAAUGACUCUAUGUAACCUUAUGCACUUAUCUGUGAUGCUCCAUGUUUAUGUUGAGCUGAAAUAAAUCUCUGCAAUGUCGUUAAUCCUUGAGGAGUUGUGGCUGUGAAUGAACGCGAGAAUAACCAAGUGUCAUGGAAGAUAUUCUCUUAUUGUACAUGGAUUAUUGCGCCUUAAUUUAUGUGAAUUUACUUUAUUAAAUUCCGUAUGGCAGCAAUUGAAGUUCAUGACAAUCAUAUCUGUUAUCCUAAACGAUAACUUGAUAUGCCUUGUGCAGAUGGCUCGCAACACUCGCUCCGGUCACAACGAGGUGCCGCCACCACCACCUCCUCCCCCGCCUACACCUACUGAGCUAUUGGCAGCUCUUGUUGAGGGCCAGCGUAUGCUCAAUGAGGCUAUGCAAACUAUGGCGCAGCAGAACCGGGGUGGUCGCCAUGCCCGCCAAGGCGGAGAGGCAAAUCAGUAUAGCAGUUUCAAGGAUUUCCAGGACACCAAGCCGCCGCUUUUCAAGGAGGCUGUUGAACCUCUAGAAGCUGAUGAGUGGCUUAACACUCUUGAACAGAAAUUCCGGUUGCUAAGGUUAACCGAAGAGCUCAAAGCGGAGUAUGCAGCCCACCAGUUGGAGGGCAAAGCAGGUGUCUGGUGGAGUCAUUACAGGACUAGCUUGCCCGCCAAUGCUGUUGUAACCUGGGACCAGUUCCAAACUGCUUUCAGGAAUACUUAUAUUCCACAAGGCUUAAUGACUAUCAAGCACACUGAGUUCAUGAACCUGACGCAAGGCACUAAAAGCUUGACUGAGUAUAUUCAUGCUUUUAACAAUUUGUCUCGCUAUGCUCCUGAGAUGGUUGACACCGAAGCCAAGAAGCUCGCUAGUUUCAAGAGAGGGUUGGGACCCAAGUUGUCCAAGAACAUGGCUGGUAACAAGAGUACCACCUUCAACGAGUUUGUGAGUGAUCCAUUGACUCAUGAAAAUUCUAAUGCUGUGUAUGCCGCAUCCAAGAACCGCAAGAGGACCUAUGAGGCAGGUGCUUCGCAGUCCAAGGCUCCAGCAGCAAGCAAGCCGGCCUAUCGCCCACCCAAUGUUGUGACAAGGUACAGGCCGCCGCAGAAAAAGUCAAAGGUGAAGACGGGAGUGCGCAAGUCCUUCACAGUUGCUCUCCCAAGAGGUGCCACGGGUCAAGGAAGUCCCAAGAAUCCUCCUGAUAACCGCCCUUGUUUCAAUUGCAAACAAGUUGGUCACUGGGCAAGAGAUUGCCCCUACACUAAGAGAAAUGCUGCAGCCGGAGGAAAUAACCGUAUGGGUCGUGUGCACUACACCACGGUUGAAGAAAUUCCGGAAGGUGAAGCAGUCACCGCUGGUAUGUUCCUUGUAAAUCAACACCCUGCAGUUGUCUUGUCUGAUUCUGGAGCUUCGCAUUCAUUUAUGAGUCAAGCAUUCGCAUCUAAGCAUGGGCAAAAUGUCAUCGAUCUUGAUAGCGGAAAAUUUUGCAUUAGUGCUGCUGGUAAUCAAAUUGCUAUGAAUCAAGUAGUGAGGGAUGUACAUAUUGCCAUAGAAGGGCGUAAUUAUGCAGCAGAUUUAGUCGUACUGCCAGGCCUAGGGAUAGAUGUUAUUCUGGGGAUGAAUUGGAUGAGCAGGCAUGGGGUGCUAAUAGAUACCUCCACGAGAGUAGUCAUGUUACGGGAGCCUGAUAGCAAGGAAGCCUUCUUAGUCCAGCUUCCCAAGAAUGAUGACAUCCGUCACGCUGCCAAUGCCAUUCGACCACUCACUUUAGCAGAGAUUCCAGUAGUGUGUGAGUUUCCGGACAGAGGAUCUGCCCGGGUUGCCACCGGACAGAGACAUUGAGUUUAAAAUUGAUUUAAUUCCGGGUACCGCACCUAUCUCUAGAAGGCCAUACCGAAUGCCACCCAAUGAAUUAGCAGAGUUGAAAAAGCAACUGCAAGAACUCCUAGAGAAAGCUCUUAUUUGGCCUAGUUCUUCUCCAUGGGGUUGUCCGGCUCUCUUUGUCAAGAAGGACAAGUCUCUACGUAUGUGUGUAGACUAUCGUCCGCUCAACGCCGUGACUAUCAAAAACAAGUAUCCAUUGCCUCGCAUCGAUAUCCUGUUUGAUCAAUUAGCCAAGGCCAAAGUAUUCUCCAAAAUUGAUCUAAGAUCUGGGUAUCAUCAAAUCAAGAUCCGACCUGAAGACAUUCCUAAAACGACUUUCUCUACCAGGUAUGGGUUGUAUGAGUAUUUAGUCAUGUCCUUUGGUCUGACUAAUGCCCCUGCUCAUUUCAUGUACCUGAUGAAUUCGGUGUUCAUGCCUGAACUGGAUAAGUUUGUGGUGGUGUUCAUCGAUGAUAUAUUGGUGUAUUCUGAAAAUGCACAAGAACAUGAGAAGCACCUUCGGAUUGUACUCACUAGAUUGCGAGAACAUCAGCUCUAUGCCAAGUUCAGCAAGUGUGAGUUUUGGCUGAAGAAAGUGCCUUUCUUAGGCCAUAUUUUAUCCGAAGAGGGUAUUUCUGUUGACCCGUCAAAGGUGCAGGAGGUUCUAGACUGGAAGGCCCCGACUUCAGUGCACGAAGUCCGGAGUUUUCUCGGUCUAGCUGGAUAUUAUCGGCGCUUCAUUCUAGAUUUUUCCAAAAUAGCUAAACCUAUGACCAAGCUACUGCAAAAAGAUGUGAAGUUUGUGUGGUCCAAGGAGUGUGAAGUUGCCUUCACCACUCUACGCCAUUUGCUGACCACCGCUCCUGUUCUGGCACAGCCUGACAUUGAAAAGCCAUUUGAUGUCUUUUGUGAUGCAUCUGGCACUGGCCUAGGUUGUGUGCUUAUGCAAGAAGGCCAAGUUAUUGCCUAUGCUUCUCGGCAGCUGAGGAAACAUGAAGCCAACUACCCUACUCAUGAUCUAGAGUUAGCAGCAGUUGUACAUGCAUUGAAGCUGUGGAGACAUUAUCUGUUGGGUAACCUUUGUCACAUUUACACUGACCAUAAGAGCCUCAAAUAUAUAUUCACUCAGCCCGAGUUAAAUAUGAGACAAAGAAGAUGGCUGGAAUUGAUAAAAGACUACAAUUUAGAAGUGCACUAUCAUCCAGGCAAAGCCAAUGUUGUAGCCGAUGCUCUCAGUCGAAAACAACAUGUUAGACCUCUUCUAGAGGAAGGUUUCAAUUUAUUGCAUCCUGUGGUCCUAGACAACAUCAUAGUCAGUUGCUCAUUAGAAAGUCAAAUCAUAGAGCUCCAAAAAUCUGAUCCUGGUAUUUUUCAUAUCAAGAGAAAAAUGCAAGAGCAAGACACCAAGCAUUUCCGAGUAGAUGAGAAGGGUGUACUGUGGUUUGACGAUCGGCUAGUUGUACCCAAAGACCGUGACCUACGCAACAAAAUUUUAGAAGAAGCUCAUUCUUCCAAGUUGUCCAUUCAUCCGGGUAGUAGCAAAAUGUACCAAGACUUGAGACCUCACUUCUGGUGGACCAAAAUGAAGAAAGAGAUAGCAGCUUAUGUUGCUAGGUGUGAUACUUGCUGUAGGGUAAAGGCAGUUCACCUCAAACCUGCAGGUUUAUUGCAACCAUUGUCAAUUCCAGGUUGGAAGUGGGAAGAAAUCAGCAUGGAUUUCAUUGUUGGACUUCCCCUUACGCAAAAAGGACACAAUUCCAUAUGGGUGAUUGUUGACCGUUUGACCAAGUCAGCCCAUUUUAUUCCCGUACACUCUACAUACCGACCAUCCGACUAUGCUGAGUUGUACUUCGCUCAGAUAGUUAAAUUGCACGCAGUGCCUCGCACUAUCAUUUCUGACAAAGGUCCUCAGUUCACUGCUCGCUUUUGGGAGCAUCUGCAUUCACUCCUUGGUACAAAAUUGGUUCGCAGUUCAGCCUAUCAUCCUCAAACCUCCGGUCAGACUGAGCGUGUGAAUCAAAUUCUAGAGGAUAUGUUGAGGGCCUGUGUUAUAUCUUCCAAGGGUGCGUGGGAGAAAUGGUUACCCUUAGCUGAAUUCUCUUACAACAAUAGCUAUCAAGAAAGUAUCCAAAUGGCUCCUUUCGAAGCCUUGUAUGGCCGCAAAUGUAGAACUCCGUUAAACUGGGUUGAACCUGGUCAAAGGAGGUACUACGGAAUUGACUUUGUCAAGGAAGCCGAAAAGCAAGUUCUCGUUAUCCAACAACACAUGAGAGCUGCCCAAGCUAGGCAGAAAAGCUAUGCUGACCGAAGAAGAAAGCCAAUCGAGUUCGAAAUAGGUGACUUUGUGUACAUAAAAGUAUCGCCCAUGAAAGGAGUAAAUCGCUUUGGCGUUAAAAGAAAGCUUGCCCCUAGGUAUGUGCGUCCUUACCAAAUCAUUGAGAAGAGUGGUAAGGUAGCUUACAAAGUACAACUACCUCCCGAAAUGAGAGCUAUUUUCCCUGUAUUCCACGUGUCUCAACUCAAGAAGUGUCUUCGUGUGCCCGAAGAGAGAGUUGAAACAAGAGAUAUCAAGUUGCAGUCAGACCUAUCUUAUGAAUAAAAGCCUGUGCAAGUUCUUGAUGUCAAGGAACGGGUUACUCGUGGGAGAGUGAUCAAAUUUUUUAGAGUUUUGUGGAACCGUCAAAAUGAGAGAGAUGCCACUUGGUAAAGGGAAGACUAUUUACAAGUAACUUAUCCCUCAUUCUACGAAAAAUGGUACGUCUUUCAAAUCUCGGGACGAGAUUUUUGUAAGGGGGGAGGGCUGUAACACUCCUAGUGUUAGCUUGCAUGUUAACCAUGAGCAUUGCAUCAACAUAAGCAUCAUCAUGAUCACUCAUGAGCAUCAUACCAUGAUCACAUGCCAUCUACUACAUGCACUAUGUGAUUAAAUUGCUUGUGUGACUUGUUUUGAGUGACUUUACUGGGUGAUCAAUACAUUUAAGUGUGCGAUCUUGUCCAAAAUACUUUAAUCAUGUUUAGAACAUCAUUGUGAACAUAGUUCAUGUUGGAGGUUGCACCCAAAAAUGCCCCAAAGUCAUGGUUAGCCCUAGGUUGACCUAGUUGACCCCCUAAACCUCUUUUUAAAGAUCUUUUAUGAAACCUGUAUUAGAAACCUUGCAUGUCAAUGACCCCUAAAGCCCAGUUGUAGAAAAUUUUAUAGGCUACAAAAGUUGUUUUAAGGCCAUCUCACGAAACUGUGCAGAACAUGCUCAAAAAAUGCACACAAGGUAAAUUUAGGGGCUGUUUGGACAUGGCAGUUUUUGGCUAAGUGUGGGAACUGACGAAACUGAAUGCCAGUUUACGUGUAGGGUACUUUGGCAGCUCGUAGUUUCUAAUUUAAGCUGAACUAGACCAAACUCUUAUAAUCAAAGUUGGAGUACUCAUUCAGCUCUCCAACUUGUAUCACUGAAGUUUUUGCUAGUUCGCACUGGUUUGGGAGUUGGAGGGCAGCGAAGUUUCGAGUUCAGACGUAUUUUUGCAGUACUUUUGCUGGUUUCUGAUCAGACUUCGAUUUGGUUGGAGUCGGGUCGUGGCCGACCAGCUCUGCUUGGCUUGCGCCGCGUGGAUGCCGUGCGUCGAUAUUGGCCCCACAUAGCUACGAAUAAAGCCGAGCGCCGUGCGACUCUGCCAAGGCAAUAGCCCACCUGUUCGUCCACAUCGCACUCGUCGCCAGGGCCAAAGAGGACAGCCGCCGCCGCCAUGGAUGUUGCUGAGGUGAAGCUUGUGCAUCGCCAUUGCGUCCGGCACCUCUCGCUACUCUCUAUCCCUCUCGUUCUCAAUAAAGUAGGGCUGCGGCCGCUCGCAUGACCGGCCUUCGGCCAAGUUGGCCGCAGGCGGGUGCCAUGGCCUGCAGCUGUGCUGCUUACCUACGGGAGCCGCCUCUUCCUUUGCCGUUCUGUGAAAGUCGAUGCGUUUCCUUGGUAACCUAUCCCGAUAGAUGCGUCUCGAUGUAAGGAGUCUGUUGGUGGUGGUCGCGUCGCCGGAAAGUUCGCCGCCGGCGAGCUAUGGCCGGUCAAAGUAGCUCCCCUGUUUUUGUCCUUAUGACGUGUGGGUCCAGAUUGACCUUGGUCCCAGCUGCCAGCCUUUGGGGUACUCAGCACUGGGUGCGUGUAGUAGUUCUUAGGGUUUGGUUAUUUUCGUUUUAAUCUUUUCUAUGUUUUCCUUUUGGAAGUUUGUAAAUUCAAUAUCUCAAGCUACAGGGAUCCGUUUUGAGUGAAACCAAUUUUGUUAGCUUCCUCUUGGUGGAUAUUAGCUAUUAAAAAUAUGAAACAUGCCAUGUUUUUGUAGAAAUAAAUAGAUAUGAUUUAAUCUUGAUUAAAUAGGAGGUAAUUAUAUCUUGAAAUCUAUUGAUCUGCUGGCCAUGCAAAUUUAGGGUUUUGUUAGUUAUGUUAUGACUAGGCUCUGAUAAAUUUAUCAUGAUUUUUGGAAGCCUAGUUGUGAAGUUAAAAAAAUAGUUCUUGCUUAAAUAGGGGUUUCUUGUGGUAUUUUUAAUAAUUAAGUUAUAACUCCUUUGGUGAUGAAACUUGCUGAGUGUUGUACUCAUGUGUAAACAAGGCUAACAAAAAUCUGAAAUCUGCUGUUUGACACUUUUUGAUAAGGUUUCAUAUUUAUGCCUUGAAUGCUUUUACUAGCUUGUUGUUUUUUUUAUCUCCCAAUCUGUAUGUGCAAAUGUUCUGAAAAUUUUACAGUGAUCUUAUGUUAGCAUAAGUAUCUUGCUGUAAUGUUCUUAGAAUUUUUGGAACACUUGGAGUAUAUGUUCAUUAAAUCACCUUAAUAAUUAAAUAAAUGGAAAAGGUGAUGAUAGAAAUAGUUUUAGACCUUGCCAUGAUAUUUUCUGGUGUUUCUUAGAUAUGUUGUACCUACUGGUGCAAUUAGAUUGUUCCUUUGAUACAUUCUCAACAUGUGCAAAAUAUUAUUUUUGGCUAUUUAUACCUUUCCUAGAGCAUUUCUGUGUAGCUGAUAGCAAAUGCUUGAGAACUAAUUAAAGAUGUUAAUUUCUGGGAAACUUGUCUACAACAAACUUGUAGCUAACUUACUGAUGUACUCCGUGUCCAAAUUUCAUGGCAUUUGGUUGAGUAAUUUGAAAGUUAUGCAUGUUUCAAGUAGCUGCUGCAAAGUGCUUGCUCUCUGGAAUUUCCAGAGCAGCCAGUCAACUUUGUAUGUUUUAGCAUAUUUCGGUUGGGAAUCAUCCUGGGAUGUCUAAAAGUGAUUUGUAGACAAUUUGCUAAGCUUUCCAGAAAGUUCUUACUUGCUUAAUUUGGUUAACAGAUGCUUGAGUUAUGGCUGAAACUUGUGACUGGUUGGUUUGUCUACUAAACCAGUGGCUGAGUAGGCAUAACUAGGAUUUGUUAACUUGUCUAUUUAGUCUCUCUAUCAGAGAAGAGGUAUGCACUUACUUGUUGUUCCAUGAUUCACUUAAUCUUAGGAGCUUAUGCUCAUGUUAUACCUUAUUUUAUGUCCCUUUGGCUCUUCAUCAUGACAUCAUGCAUCAUUUGUGCAUUCUCUAUAUUCAUGUCCUUGUCAUGCAUACAUAGGUGUACCCAAGGGCAUGACCGUGUUGGAGUACGAGCUGCCGGAGCCGGAAGAACAGCAAAGGGAGCUACCUCAUGGAGCUGAGGAGGAGGAGGACUUGCCGGAGUGCCCUGACCAUCGUCCCUCUACCUACGUCGAAGGCAAGCCCCGGAGCAUUAUAAGCCUCCUACUAUUUUAUUGUCAUGUUCAGCUAUCAAAUGACUAUGGUUAUAUAUUGUUGCAUUAAGUGGUAGGCGUUGAUAUGACACCCUUGCUGCAUAUUGACUACCUUGUCCACCUUAAACAAUACCAAAGUAGGUCCAGGAUCGAAGUAAUGCUUAGCCAUGCUUAGCUCGGUAGAAGCCGGGUGAUUUCCUGUCACCUGCGAGAGUUAGGUGGAUGAUGAUCACGGUUGGCUAUAUUUGCUAUCGUGGAAAUAACCAUGUGUUAAUAAUGAAUUUGAGACCGAGCGGGAUGACGAUAGUGCAGCAACAAGGCAUGGAGGUCUUGGGUGUGAACCUAUCCCCGUCUGUGUCGUUUAAGGACCGAAUCGCUGUACGUCCCCGUGUCAUGUUGAACGCAUGCCCAUCACUUAGUUGGCCAGAUAAGUCGUUCCGACCGCGAAGCCUACGAGUGCAACUCCGGCCGGAUACCCCGAUCUGGUUAAAGUGCGCACCCUGGUUGGUAGUAAGGAUGUGCGGGGAGUCAAUGGCGUAAGACCGAGGUGUCAGGUUAGAGUCCUGACCCUGGCAGAUUGGCGGUCCCUGGGGGUGCGGCGCCGUAUGGACCCGCGAAUUGGUCCGGAGUUGUGCUAAAGGUGAUCCGAGCUGCCGUCAUGAAGUAUGCUUGGGUGAGUGUUAGGAAUACCCCUCCAGCUGGAUAGGAAUCGAUUCGAAUCGCAGUCUCUCCCGGAUAGUGAGAACUUGACUUGGGCAGCGGCAACGUAGAAUUUACUAAAUAAACUUAAUGGUUAUGAUGAGAAUGAUGAUGGCUAUGUGAUAAUCCGGAUAUGGUUAUUAUUGUAAUGCUUAAAACUCAAGUGUAUGCUUAGAACAGGUGCUAAUCUAGUGGAUAGUUGCUAAGUAAUAAACUUGCUGCUGAAUUUAAUAAAUGAGUUACUUAUAACAAAGGCUUUUAUGCAAAAGAUGAGUCAAACCAGUCCACAGAGAUCAGCCUUGCAUACUCCUUGGUGUCACUUUAUUUCUGGUUUAUGACGGGUAAGUCUAGCUGAGUACAUUCUCGUACUCAGGGUUUUAUUUACCCCUGUUGCAGAUGACGUCGUUUAUCACGGCUACUGUGCUAAGUGUCAUCACUUGGCUGCGGAUGAUGAAUAGAUCAUGGGCGUGAUCACCACCUUUAUCUUCAGUUGUGCUUUUGUUGGGACUUGACCAUGGAACUGGCAUGUAUUAUAAACUAAGUUGGUGUUGUUCAAAACUACUUUGUUUCCGCUACCGCUAUGGUUUGUAGUAACCACUUUAAACUCUGAUGUGAUGUAAAACUAUGUUCUGUGAUGAAUGUUGUAAUCUGUGAUGGUGAUGCUUGAUCAUGUACGAUCUUGGUUGUAUGUUGGUUGAAUCGAGGUCUUUUGAGAUUUCGUCGGACUACCGGGUUUAUAUGGGUUCAAGUCCAUUGGCUUGACUGCCUCCGUGGUCGCUAAUUCACUUGAAUUCUUAUAAAUUGGACGGUUCUGUUACAGCUAGCAUCAGAGCAAGAUUAAGCAUAUAACCAUCAUAGAUGUAUUUGAAAACAAAUAAAUUUAGUUUUCUUAAACUAAUUUGGCAAAAUUAGGUUAUAAAUAGGGUUGUUUUAAAAAGGUUUUGAUAACUUAUACCAUGCCAGUGGUCAUGCCCUUUAUGCCCAUAUAAGGAUUUCUAGGUGGCUUAAUAUUACUAACAUGGGGGUUUUUCCUUUCGUCGUCCAUACGGCGUGAAAUUGUAUGGAUGCCACUUGCUUGAGUGGUAAUGUAUGGAUCUAUAUGCCUCUACGCUACGGUAAGUGUGAGCUGUGAGAGCAUGACCGUCCAACCGUCGGUCUAGGGGAGUGUUAGCUGUGGUUACUGGAAUAUUUACAUGUUUCACACAUGUAUAUAUGAAGGUACUUAAUUGUGGAUAGUAGGUGCAGCCAUGUAUACAUAUUUGAUGUAUAGGUGGGUGUAUCCAAAAUGGGUAGUGUGCUGCGAUAUAUGUCUGGGAAUAUAUAUCGGAGUACCUAGCUUGAUUGUUGGUGAUUGGAUUUACAUUUCUGCACUUAUACUAUUGUGGGGCUGGGCUGAAAUGGAAUCUUCUGCAGGUACACUAACAACGAAACGUGUAGACCGGGUAGUUGCGUAUAAAGAGUGUACGUAUAUAUGCCACCGAAUAUACCGUUAGAACUUUCUUCUAGGAAUGGAAAGGACGUAUGGAACGUGCAUGCAUCAUGAAUCAUUCAUACAUUCUUUAUGCAAUACUUGGGUAUUAAAUUCUGAAAAUAUGAUUCUUUAUCUUUCCUUGUAAUUAAUCUCCCUUACUCAAAUGUGGUCUUUCUACAGAUGGCAGCCCCGCACGCCAGUGAGACUUUUCUGGACAUGUUUGGCACUCCUACUUUGUUGUGGAGGGUGCUAAGUUCAGUUGGAUAUGAGGAACCACCUAGGUACACUUGGACCGAGUCUGAGCAUGCAGGGGCCUUACCUUGGGUAGAUGUCCAAAUUACAGUUCCUCCUUGUCCAAAUAACCCACAGUGGCUUGGGUGGUUAGUUGACUGUGAUGGCCAAACUCCUUGGGAGGGCGCCCAAGUAGCAGCCCUAGAGGUUUUGCUAGAAAUAUGUCAAGAGUUUGGUGAUGAGUUAGUGAAUGGCCCAGUAGGAUCUAUCCCCAGAGUGAGUGUGACUGACACAUUUGUGUCCCAGAUAGGGAAUGAGUCCUUAGAGAUGAGAGAAAUCUUGCUAGGAUAUAGCUCUAGCCCUACCAUGAGUGCCAUGCUAGCGGUACUUAAGCUGCACUAUGUACGCCAGGACACAUACAUAGAGGCCAUGCUAGCGCUCCAACGAGCUCAAGUUGGGCAGCGCAAAUUGCGCAAACGAGUGCGCAAACAUCGCAAGGCUUUUAUGGAUGCACAAGCUGAAAUCCAAAACUAUCACACCGCUUUGCAAGCCCGCCGCAAUCAAGUUGCGAAUGCAGUUAGAGAGCGCAAUGAGGCACAAGCCCGCAUGAUGCAAAUGACUAGAGAGAGAGAUGAGGCUAUGCGCUUGGCUGAAAAUAGAGAAACUGCUAGAGUUAGAGCCUUGUUCCAUGCUGAAAUGAGAGAGGAAGAGCUGAUUACUAGGAUUGCUGAGUUGCACUUGGAUGUCCAUCGCUUAAAUAAUAUCAUAAAUCCUAUCCCACAACCAGCCCCUUUUGAUCAUGAAGAAGCUCUUAGUGAGGAAGAUCAGGGUGAUGGCAUCAUCUCUAAUGGAGAAUCCGAGGAAGAUAUGAAGCCUAGCAAUGAUUUUAUGACCAUGUAUCAGUUUCCAUCUCUUUGUGUAAUGGACAUGUAAUCUGAAUUUUAGUUGAGACUCUAUGUAUUUGGCCAGGGUGCCCCUCCUGUAAAACUUAAGUUGUGGCAAUGACUCUAUGUAACCUUAUGCACUUAUCUGUGAUGCUCCAUGUUUAUGUUGAGCUGAAAUAAAUCUCUGCAAUGUCGUUAAUCCUUGAGGAGUUGUGGCUGUGAAUGAACGCGAGAAUAACCAAGUGUCAUGGAAGAUAUUCUCUUAUUGUACAUGGAUUAUUGUGCCUUAAUUUAUGUGAAUUUACUUUAUUAAAUUCCGUAUGGCAGCAAUUGAAGUUCAUGACAAUCAUAUCUGUUAUCCUAAACGAUCACUUGAUAUGCCUUGUGCAGAUGGCUCGCAACACUCGCUCCGGUCACAACGAGGUGCCGCCACCACCACCUCCUCCCCCGUCUACACCUACUGAGCUAUUGGCAGCUCUUGUUGAGGGCCAGCGUAUGCUCAAUGAGGCUAUGCAAACUAUGGCGCAGCAGAACCGGGGUGGUCGCCAUGCCCGCCAAGGCGGAGAGGCAAAUCAGUAUAGCAGUUUUAAGGAUUUCCAGGACACCAAGCCGCCGCUUUUCCAGGAGGCUGUUGAACCUCUAGAAGCUGAUGAGUGGCUUAACACUCUUGAACAGAAAUUCCGGUUGCUAAGGUUAACCGAAGAGCUCAAAGCGGAGUAUGCAGCCCACCAGUUGGAGGGCAAAGCAGGUGUCUGGUGGAGUCAUUACAGGACUAGCUUGCCCGCCAAUGCUGUUGUAACCUGGGACCAGUUCCAAACUGCUUUCAGGAAUACUUAUAUUCCACAAGGCUUAAUGACUAUCAAGCACACUGAGUUCAUGAACCUGACGCAAGGCACUAAAAGCUUGACUGAGUAUCUUCAUGCUUUUAACAAUUUGUCUCGCUAUGCUCCUGAGAUGGUUGACACCGAAGCCAAGAAGCUCGCUAGUUUCAAGAGAGGGUUGGGACCCAAGUUGUCCAAGAACAUGGCUGGUAACAAGAGUACCACCUUCAACGAGUUUGUGAGUGAUGCAUUGACUCAAGAAAAUUCUAAUGUUGUGUAUGCCGCAUCCAAGAACCGCAAGAGGGCCUAUGAGGCAGGUGCUUUGCAGUCCAAGGCUCCAGCGGCAAGCAAGCCAGCCUGUCGCCCACCCAAUGCUGUGACAAGGUACAGGCCGCCGCAGAAAAAGUCAAAUGUGAAGACGGGAGUGCGCAAGUCCUUCACAGUUGCUCUCCCAAGAGGUGCCACGAGUCAAGGAAGUCCCAAGAAUCCUCCUGAUAACCGCCCUUGUUUCAAUUGCAAACAAGUUGGUCACUGGGCAAGAGAUUGCCCCUACCCUAAGAGAAAUGCUGCAGCCGUAGGAAAUAACCGUAUGGGUCGUGUGCACUACACCACGGUUGAAGAAAUUCCGGAAGGUGAAGCAGUCACCGCUGGUAUGUUCCUUGUAAAUCAACACCCUGCAGUUGUCUUGUUUGAUUCUGGAGCUUCGCAUUCAUUUAUGAGUCAAGCAUUCGCAUCUAAGCAUGGGCAAAAUGUCAUCGAUCUUGAUAGCGGAAAAUUUUGCAUUAGUGCUGCUGGUAAUCAAAUUGCUACGAAUCAAGUAGUGAGGGAUGUACAUAUUGCCAUAGAAGGGCGUAAUUAUGCAGCAGAUUUAGUCGUACUGCCAGGCCUAGGGAUAGAUGUUAUUCUGGGGAUGAAUUGGAUGAGCAGGCAUGGGGUGCUAAUAGAUACCUCCACGAGAGUAGUCAUGUUACGGGAGCCUGAUAGCAAGGAAGCCUUCUUAGUCCAGCUUCCCAAGAAUGAUGACAUCCGUCAUGCUGCCAAUGCCAUUCGACCACUCACUUUAGCAGAGAUUACGGUAGUGUGUGAGUUUCCGGAUGUCUUUCCAGAGGAUCUGCCCGGGUUGCCACCGGACAGAGAGCAGAACCACAGANNNNNNNNNNNNNNNNNNNNNNNNNNNNNNNNNNNNNNNNNNNNNNNNNNNNNNNNNNNNNNNNNNNNNNNNNNNNNNNNNNNNNNNNNNNNNNNNNNNNNNNNNNNNNNNNNNNNNNNNNNNNNNNNNNNNNNNNNNNNNNNNNNNNNNNNNNNNNNNNNNNNNNNNNNNNNNNNNNNNNNNNNNNNNNNNNNNNNNNNNNNNNNNNNNNNNNNNNNNNNNNNNNNNNNNNNNNNNNNNNNNNNNNNNNNNNNNNNNNNNNNNNNNAAAAGACCAAAAAAAAGACCAAAAAAAAGAACGAACACGGAAAAAAAAGGAGGCCCCCCGUUUUUUGUCGCAGACUAACUGGUCCUGCUUUUCCGGCUAGUUCUUCUCCAUGCGGUUGUCCUGCUCUCUUUGUCAAGAAGAAGGACAAGUCUCUACGUAUGUGUGUAGACUAUCGUCCGCUCAACGCCGUGACUAUCAAAAACAAGUAUCCAUUGCCUCGCAUCGAUAUCCUGUUUGAUCAAUUAGCCAAGGCCAAAGUAUUCUCCAAAAUUGAUCUGAGAUCUGGGUAUCAUCAAAUCAAGAUCCGACCUGAAGACAUUCCUAAAACGGCUUUCUCUACCAGGUAUGGGUUGUAUGAGUAUUUAGUCAUGUCCUUUGGUCUGACUAAUGCCCCUGCUCAUUUCAUGUACCUGAUGAAUUCGGUGUUCAUGCCUGAACUGGAUAAGUUUGUGGUGGUGUUCAUCGAUGAUAUAUUGGUGUAUUCUGAAAAUGCACAAGAACAUGAGAAGCACCUUCGGAUUGUACUCACUAGAUUGCGAGAACAUCAGCUCUAUGCCAAGUUCAGCAAGUGUGAGUUUUGGCUGAAGAAAGUGCCUUUCUUAGGCCAUAUUUUAUCCGAAGAGGGUAUUUCUGUUGACCCGUCAAAGGUGCAGGAGGUUCUAGACUGGAAGGCCCCGACUUCAGUGCAUGAAGUCCGGAGUUUUCUCGGUCUAGCUGGAUAUUAUCGGCGCUUCAUUCCAGAUUUUUCCAAAAUAGCUAAACCUAUGACCAAGCUACUGCAAAAAGAUGUGAAGUUUGUGUGGUCCGAGGAGUGUGAAGUUGCCUUCACCACUCUACGCCAUUUGCUGACCACUGCUCCUGUUCUGGCACAGCCUGACAUUGAAAAGCCAUUUGAUGUCUUUUGUGAUGCAUCUGGCACUAGCCUAGGUUGUGUGCUUAAGCAAGAAGGCCGAGUUAUUGCCUAUGCUUCUCGGCAGUUGAGGAAACAUGAAGCCAACUACCCUACUCAUGAUCUAGAGUUAGCAGCAGUUGUACAUGCAUUGAAGCUCUGGAGACAUUAUCUGUUGGGUAACCUUUGUCACAUUUACACUGACCAUAAGAGCCUCAAAUAUAUAUUCACUCAGCCCGAGUUAAAUAUGAGACAAAGAAGAUGGCUGGAAUUGAUAAAAGACUACAAUUUAGAAGUGCACUAUCAUCCAGGCAAAGCCAAUGUUGUAGCCGAUGCUCUCAGUCGAAAACAACAUGUUAGACCUCUUCUAGAGGAAGGUUUCAAUUUAUUGCAUCCUGUGGUCCUACACAACAUCAUAGUCAGUUGCUCAUUAGAAAGUCAAAUCAUAGAGCUCCAAAAAUCUGAUCCUGGUAUUUUUCAUAUCAAGAGAAAAAUGCAAGAGCAAGACACCAAGCAUUUCCGAGUAGAUGAGAAGGGUGUACUGUGGUUUGACGAUCGGCUAGUUGUACCCAAAGACCGUGACCUACGCAACAAAAUUUUAGAAGAAGCUCAUUCUUCCAAGUUGUCCAUUCAUCCGGGUAGUAGCAAAAUGUACCAAGACUUGAGACCUCGCUUCUGGUGGACCAAAAUGAAGAAAGAGAUAGCAGCUUAUGUUGCUAGGUGUGAUACUUGCUGUAGGGUAAAGGCAGUUCACCUCAAACCUGCAGGUUUAUUGCAACCAUUGUCAAUUCCAGGUUGGAAGUGGGAAGAAAUCAGCAUGGAUUUCAUUGUUGGACUUCCCCUUACGCAAAAAGGACACAAUUCCAUGUGGGUGAUUGUUGACCGUUUGACCAAGUCAGCCCAUUUUAUUCCCGUACACUCUACAUACCGACCAUCCGACUAUGUUGAGUUGUACUUCGCUCAGAUAGUUAAAUUGCACGGAGUGCCUCGUACUAUCAUUUCUGACAGAGGUCCUCAGUUCACUGCUCGCUUUUGGGAGCAUCUGCAUUCACUCCUUGGUACAAAAUUGGUUCGCAGUUCAGCCUAUCAUCCUCAAACCUCCGGUCAGACUGAGCGUGUGAAUCAAAUUCUAGAGGAUAUGUUGAGGGCCUGUGUUAUAUCUUCCAAGGGUGCGUGGGAGAAAUGGUUACCCUUAGCUGAAUUCUCUUACAACAAUAGCUAUCAAGAAAGUAUCCAAAUGGCUCCUUUUGAAGCCUUGUAUGGCCGCAAAUGUAGAACUCCGUUAAACUGGGUUGAACCUGGUCAAAGGAGGUACUACGGAAUUGACUUUGUCAAGGAAGCCGAAAAGCAAGUUCUCGUUAUCCAACAACACAUGAGAGCCGCCCAAGCUAGGCAGAAAAGCUAUGCUGACCGAAGAAGAAAGCCAAUCGAGUUCGAAAUAGGUGACUUUGUGUACAUAAAAGUAUCGCCCAUGAAAGGAGUAAAUCGCUUUGGCGUUAAAAGAAAGCUUGCCCCUAGGUAUGUGGGUCCCUACCAAAUCAUUGAGAAGAGUGGUAAGGUAGCUUACAAACUAUAACUACCUCCCGAAAUGAGAGCUAUUUUCCCUGUAUUCCACGUGGCUCAACUCAAGAAGUGUCUUCGUGUGCCCGAAGAGAGAGUUGAAACAAGAGAUAUCAAGUUGCAGUCAGACCUAUCUUAUGAAGAAAAGCCUGUGCAAGUUCUUGAUGUCAAGGAACGGGUUACUCGUGGGAGAGUGAUCAAAUUUUUUAGAGUUUUGUGGAACCGUCAAAAUGAGAGAGAUGCCACUUGGGAAAGGGAAGACUAUUUACAAGUAACUUAUCCCUCAUUCUACGAAAAAUGGUACGUCUUUCAAAUCUCGGGACGAGAUUUUUGUAAGGGGGGAGGGCUGUAACACUCCUAGUGUUAGCUUGCAUGUUAACCAUGAGCAUUGCAUCAACAUAAGCAUCAUCAUGAUCACUCAUGAGCAUCAUACCAUGAUCACAUGCCAUCUACUACAUGCACUAUGUGAUUAAAUUGCUUGUGUGACUUGUUUUUGAGUGACUUUAGUGGGUGAUCAAUACAUGUAAGUGUGCGAUCUUGUCCAAAAUACUUUAAUCAUGUUUAGAACAUCAUUGUGAACAUAGUUCAUGUUGGAGGUUGCACCCAAAAAUGCCCCUAAGUCAUGGUUAGCCCUAGGUUGACCUAGUUGACCCCCUAAACCUCUUUUUAAAGAUCUUUUAUGAAACCUGUGUUAGAAACCUUGCAUGUCAAUGACCCCUGAAGCCAAGUUGUAGAAAAUUUUAUAGGCUACAAAAGUUGUUUUAAGGCCAUCUCACGAAACUGUGCAGAACAUGCUCAAAAAAUGCACACAAGGUAAAUUUAGGGGCUGUUUGGACAUGGCAGUUUUUGGCUAAGUGUGGGAACUGACAAACUGAAUGCCAGUUUACGUGUAGGGUACUUUGGUAGCUCGUAGUUUCUAAUUUAAGCUGAACUAGACCAAACUCUUAUAAUCAAAGUUGGAGUACUCAUUCAGCUCUCCAACUUGUAUCACUGAAGUUUUUGCUAGUUCGCAAUGGUUUGGGAGUUGGAGGGCAGCGAAGUUUCGAGUUCAGACGUAUUUUUGCAGUACUUUUGCUGGUUUCUGAUCAGACUUCGAUUUGGUUGGAGUCGGGUCGUGGCCGACCAGCUCUGCUUGGCUUGCGCCGCGUUGAUGCCGUGCGUCGAUAUUGGCCCCACAUAGCUACGAAUAAAGCCGAGCGCCGUGCGACUCCGCCAAGGCAAUAGCCCACCUGUUCGUCCACAUCGCACUCGUCGCCAAGGCCAAAGAGGACAGCCGCCGCCACCAGGGAUGUUGCUGAGGUGAAGCUCGUGCAUCGCCAUUGCGUCCGGCACCUCUCGCUACUCUCUAUCCCUCUCGUUCUCAGUAAAGUAGGGCUGCGGCCGCUCGCAUGACCGGCCUUCGGCCAAGUUGGCCGCAGGCGGGUGCCAUGGCCUGCAGCCGUGCUGCGUACAUACGGGAGCCGCCUCUUCCUUUGCCGUUCUGUGAAAGUCGAUGUGUUUCCUUGGUAACCUAUCCCGAUAGAUGCGUCUCGAUGUAAGGAGUCUGUUGGUGGUGGUCGCGUCGCCGGAAAGUUCGCCGCCGGCGAGCUAUGGCCGGUCAAAGUAGCUCCCUUAUGACGUGUGGGUCCAGAUUGACCUUGGGUCCCACCUGCCAGCCUUUGGGGUACUCAGCACUGGGUGCGUGUAGUAGUUCUUAGGGUUUGGUUAUUUUCGUUUUAAUCUUUUCUAUGUUUUUCUUUUAGAAGUUUGUAAAUUCAAUAUCUCAAGCUACAGGGAUCCGUUUUGAGUGAAACCAAUUUUUUUAGCUUCCUCUUGGUGGAUAUUAGCUAUUAAAAAUAUGAAACAUGCCAUGUUUUUGUAGAAAUAAAUAGAUAUGAUUUAAUCUUGAUUAAAUUGGAGGUAAUUAUAUCUUGAAAUCUAUUGAUCUGCUGGCCAUGCAAAUUUAGGGUGUUGUUAGUUAUGUUAUGACUAGGCUCUGAUAAAUUUAUCAUGAUUUUUGGAAGCCUAGUUGUGAAGUUAAAAAAAUAGUUCUUGCUUAAAUAGGGGUUUCUUGUGGUAUUUUUAAUAAUUAAGUUAUAACUCCUUUGGUGAUGAAACUUGCUGAGUGUUGUACUCAUGUGUAAACAAGGCUAACAAAAAUCUGAAAUCUGCUGUUUGACACUUUUUGAUAAGGUUUCAUAUUUAUGCCUUGCAUGCCUUUACUAGCUUGUUGUUUUUGUAUCUCCCAAUCUGUAUGUGCAAAUGUUCUGAAAAUUUUACAGUGAUCUUAUGUUAGCAUAAGUAGCUUGCUGUAAUUUUCUUAGAAUUUUUGGAACACUUGGAUUAUAUGUUCAUUAAAUCACCUUAAUAAUUAAAUAAAUGGAAAAGGUGAUGAUAGAAAUAUUUUUAGACCUUGCCAUGAUAUUUUCUGGUGUUUCUUAGAUAUGUUUUACCUACUGGUGCAAUUAGAUUGUUCCUUUGAUACAUUCUCAACAUGUGCAAAAUAUUAUUUUUGGCUAUUUAUACCUUUCCUAGAGCAUUUCUGUGUAGCUGAUAGCAAAUGCUUGAGAACUAAUUAAAGAUUUUAAUUUCUGGGAAACUUGUCUACAACAAACUUGUAGCUAACUUACUGAUGUACUCCGUGUCCAAAUUUCAUGGCAUUUGGUUGAGUAGUUUGAAAGUUAUGCAUGUUUCAAGUAGCUGCUGCAAAGUGCUUGCUCUCUGGAAUUUCCAGAGCAGCCAGUCAACUUUGUAUGUGUUAGCAUAUUUCGGUUGGGAAUCAUCCUGGGAUGUCUAAAAGUGAUUUGUAGACAAUUUGCUAAGCUUUCCAGAAAGUGCUUACUUGCUUAAUUUGGUUAACAGAUGCUUGAGUUAUGGCUGAAACUUGUGACUGGUUGGUUUGUCUACUAAACCAGUGGCUGAGUAGGCAUAACUAGGAUUUGUUAACUUGUCUAUUUAGUCUCUCUAUCAGAGAAGAGGUAUGCACUUACUUGUUGUUCCAUGAUUCACUUAAUCUUAGAAGCUUAUGCUCAUGUUAUACCUUGUUUUAUGUCCCUUUGGCUCUUCAUCAUGACAUCAUGCAUCAUUUGUGCAUUCUCUAUAUUCAUGUCCUUGUCAUGCAUACAUAGGUGUACCCAAGGGCGUGACCGUGUUGGAGUACGAGCUGCCGGAGCCGGAAGAACAGCAAAGGGAGCUACCUCAAGGAGCUGAUGAGGAGGAGGAGGACUUGCCGGAGUGCCCUGACCAUCGUCCCUCUACCUACGUUGAAGGCAAGCCCCGGAGCAUUAUAAGCCUCCUACUAUUUUAUUAUCAUGUUCAGCUAUCAAAUGACUAUGGUUAUAUAUUGUUGCAUUAAGUGGUAGGCGUUGAUAUGAGACCCUUGCUGCAUAAUGACUACCUUGUCCACCUUAAACAAUACCAAAGUAGGUCCAGGAUCGAAGUAAUGCUUAGCCAUGCUUAGCUCGGUAGAAGCCGGGUGAUUUCCUGUCACCUGCGAGAGUUAGGUGGAUGAUGAUCACGGUUGGCUAUAUUUGCUAUCGUGGAAAUAACCAUGUGUUAAUAAUGAAUUUGAGACCGGGCGGGAUGACGAUGGUGCAGCAACAAGGCAUGGAGGUCUUGGGUGUGAACCUAUCCCCGUCUGUGUCGUUUAAGGACCGAAUCGCUGUACGUCCCCGUGUCAUGUUGAACGCAUGCCUAUCACUUAGUUGGCCGGAUAAGUCGUUCCGACCGCGAAGCCUACAAGUGCAACUCCGGCCGGAUACCCCGAUCUGGUUAAAGUGCGCACCCCGGUUGGUAGUAAGGAUGUGCGGAGAGUCAAUGGCGUAAGACCGAGGUGUCAGGUUAGAGUCCUGACCCUGGCAGAUUGGCGGUCCCUGGGGGUGCGGCGCCGUACGGACCCGCGAAUUGGUCCGGAGUUGUGCUAAAGGUGAUCCGAGCUGCCGUCAUGAAGUAUGCUUGGGUGAGUGUUAGGAAUACCCCUCCAGCUGGAUAGGAAUCGAUUCGAAUCGCCGUCUCUCCCGGAUAGUGAGAACUUGACUUGGGCAGCGGCAACGUAGAAUUUACUAAAUAAACUUAAUGGUUAUGAUGAGAAUGAUGAUGGCUAUGUGAUAAUCCGGAUAUGGUUAUUAUUGUAAUGCUUAAAACUCAACUGUAUGCUUAGAACAGGUGCUAAUCUAGUGGACAGUUGCUAAGUAAUAAACUUGCUGCUGAAUUUAAUAAAUGAGUUACUUAUAACAAAGGCUUUUAUGCAAAAGAUGAGUCAAACCAGUCCACAGAGAUCAGCCUUGCAUACUCCUUGGUGUCACUUUAUUUCUGGUUUAUGACGGGUAAGUCUAGCUGAGUACAUUCUCGUACUCAGGGUUUUAUUUACCCCUGUUGCAGAUGACGUCGUUUAUCACGGCUACUGUGCUAAGUGUCAUCACCCGGCUGUGGAUGAUGAAUAGAUCAUGGGCGUGAUCACCACCUUUAUCUUCAGUUGUACUUUUGUUGGGACUUGACCAUGGAACUGGCAUGUAUUAUAAACUAAGUUGGUGUUGUUCAAAACUACUUUGUUUCCGCUACCGCUAUGGUUUGUAGUAACCACUUUAAACUCUGAUGUGAUGUAAAACUAUGUUCUGUGAUGAAUGUUGUAAUUUGUGAUGGUGAAGCUUGAUCAUGUACGAUCUUGGUUGUAUGUUGGUUGAAUCGAGGUCUUUUGAGAUUUCGUCGGACUACCGGGUUUAUAUGGGUUCAAGUCCAUUGGCUUGACUGCCUCCGUGGUCGCUAAUUCACUUGAAUUCUUAUAAAUUGGAUGGUUCUGUUACACAGUCAAGCAUUACGUAACUUAAUUUACAAAAGUAGUUCUUCCAAGUAGUAGAGUGUUAUUACAAGCCAGGUCCAGAGGAGCAACUUAAACUUUAGUACACAGAUUACAAAUUUACAGACCCUGCCCAUGGGUCACGCUCACUCUUCCUCGCCGUCAACCUCGACGACGGUCACACAACAGGGUCCAAAACAUGUCGGCUCCUGAGCUUCACCUGCAACAAUAGGGGUUAUAAAACCCUGAGUACGGCAGUACUCAACAAGACUUACCAGGCAGAAAAAGAAGAGAAAUUAGGGAUGCAGGCUUAGGGUAGACAAGGAGUGGCUGAGCAAGGAGCCAAAUUGUUUUGCCAAAAAGCUUACUAAUAGUGCAUCCUUACUUUCAAGUUUUACCCACGAAUUCCUCUCCUUAAGAGGUCGAGGAGUUCGAGGACAGUCUAUCUAGUUUCUUCUCACAGAUCAGUCUGUAAGUUCCUAGUCCUUAAUCAAAGUAUUAUCUAUCCAACGGCCAUAGCUUCAUGUCACUCUAAGUCCAGGAAUUGGGAUCCGAACCUCAUGAGACAUUUCCCCCUUUCUCAUUUUAUCACUUAGUUUCAUAUUUAACUACGGUGAGGGACGAAGGAAUUGAGUCUCCCAAUCGGGGAGCAAUGACGAUUCGAAUCGCUUAGCAAUCUAGCUGGAGUUCCUAACCACCCGACAUAUGUAGAACCAAAUCUUGCAUAUAUCAACCCAAAUCUAGCUCUCCCCAAAUUUGACCGGGUUCGCGGCACCCGAGAGCACAGUACCCCACCAUCCAGCCCAUUUGCCAGGAGGGUACACGCUACUCUCGCCAUCGCUCCAUGCCUAGUGCGCGAGUAGCCGUUCGCGUCGAGGGAUCACACGACCGGGCUUACCGAGGGCAAGUGGCUAGUACUAUAAAUUCUCAACCCAGCAGGCCAUCAACGAAACGGUCCUUAAUCGACACAGUUGGAGACACUACUUUAAGACUCCAUUCUUAAAGCAAGUCCACCGACCGGUCUCAAGUUGAAACAUCAUUGACCAUAAGUGUAUUCGACAACAACCCUUCAAACUUUCUUGUCUGAAAACCUAUCUAACAGCAGGGCUAAGCAUCGCUACGCAAUUUUAAAAUAAAACAGGUGCCAAGGACAAGAUAACAUAUAUCAAGGUAGUAAAUGCAGCAAGUAGGUUAACCCAAUUCUCAACUACCUAAUGCAGCAUUUUUCAUUCAUAAGUGAUAAAAGAUUUAAAACAUUCAAGGAGGGGUUAAUGCAUCCGGGGCUUGCCUUGGUUGUAGAGCUGAGAGGGACCCUCAGAGACUUCCCAAGUCUCGGAUCCUAUUUCCUCGAACGGAGCACCGACCUCAGGGUUCGGUUCAACGGUCGCUCCUUCGGUCACGUGUACUACACGUAAAAUGAUGUAUGCUCAUGAUAUGCAUAUGACAGAUAUUUAAGAAGGACCGAGUUGAGUACAACUCUCCUUCUCGGUGCAAGGACAUGUUAAACAGUAAUUAAAGUUGUUUAUUGUUUUAGGGUUUUUACCCAAGAGGUUGCAUUAGUAAAUUAAGACCUUUCUCAAUUCCUAAUUAUCCUUAAUUAACUGACUAUUAAACCUUUUUACCUUAAUUAAUACUUAAUUAAGUAUUGAUGGUAGUAAUUAAGUAUUAACAUCAAACAAUAAUUAAGUGCCAAAGGUCAUUAAGGUUAAUCACCUCAGGUCAUCACACAAUCCCAAAAGCACUCAAAUUCUAUUUUGAGAGAUUAAGCUAAUUAUUACUUAAUUAUUUUGAAAUUAUUACUAAAUUACUAAUUAAGGGUUUAAUGAUAUUUUAUUUAAACAUUAUCCAAAUGCUACCAAAUUUUGUGUGAAGCCAGGGAACAAUAUUCAGAGGCUUCUGACAAUUUUUGGUGAUUUUUGGAUAUACCCAUAAAUUAUUAAAAUUCAUGGAAGUUUUAUUUUUUUAAUUAAAGGAGGCAAUUUUGAGAUACAUGCAAACUACCAGAAAAUGGAAUCUAGUAUUUUUCCUCUGUCCAUAAUUUUUGAAUCCACACAUGAUUUACUAUACAAAAUCAAACAUAAAUAACAUUUUGUAAAAAAAAAGGAAGAAAACAUUGCUGCGAGCGGGCCGGGAAUUCGGCCCGAAGGCCGACCCACGCGCGCUCGGCCCAAACGCGAGCUGCGCGCGCUCUCGCCUCCGCUCAAGGCGUCGCCGACAGCGGGCCCCCGCUGUCAGCUUCAUCUUCAAGCUUCGGCCGGCCAAAUCAACGGCACGACCGAGCCAUCCUCGCCAUCUCCGCCCCUCGCGACUUGUUGGUUGCGUUCUCCACUCCAUGGCACACCCCUGGACCCCCUUGAGCACUUGUUCUCUCCUAGCCUAGCCCCCUUGGCCACGGGCGUGGCGGACGGCCGCCUCGGCCGGGCAAACAUCGGCCGCUACGAGCGAGUAGAACGCGAAUUGGAUGGCGUAUAAGCAUCGGUGCCUCACCGCGACUUCAGCGAAGCAAACGGCGGCGGUAGAGGAGCUCAGAGCAGGCCUAGCCGCGGUGAGGCGCUCGCGGUGGCGCUUUUGCCGGAGUUGGGAACGACGGAUUGGCUAGAAGCCUUAGGGGGUUAGAGCGCGCGGCGAAGGGUCCAGGAGGUAGCUGGGUUGCGGACGAAGCGGAUGCUGCACACUAAGGAGGUGAAAAGGGCGUGCUUGCGGUGAAUUUCGCGGUGGCACGGGUGUAGCUCGUCGGCGCUCUUGGAGGCAAACGGAGGCGCGUCGGCCGGUGGAGCGGCUUUAUACCCACGUAGAGCAAGCACGGAGCUUCCACGUCGGUUGGCAACACAGGCAGGCAAGAAGCUGCGUGCCCUCACGCACGCACACGGCGCUGUGCGCGCGGCGGCCGCGCUGGACAGGGGUGCCGUGAUCCCUAUCGGAUCACUGUAGCCGUCCCUAUACUCCCCCUUUCUGUCUUUUUGCGAAAAUCGACCAAAAUUUGAACUAAAUUCCAAAAUCUGUUAAAACAAAAGUUGUGCAGAAUUUUACAAGCUACAAAACAUAUUUGGGUGACCAAAACUGAUUCUAUGUGGAAAAUGGUGAAUUUGACAAAACAGUUUGAAUUUCAAAUCUCAAAUUGGGGAAAUUCCAAUUUUAAAUUGGGGCAGAUUAGAAAUUCUAAAAUUACUUUUGAUUUUUCUCAAUAACUUGAGCUCUACAACUUUCAUGUUGGUCACUUUUAAAGAUUCCAAAUAGAUUUUGAAUUGGGGAUUCAAAUUGGAAAGGGGGACACUUUCUGGAAAUCUGUAUUUUCAAAAUUACUUUAAAUUUUGUAUUAAGACUUCAAAAACUUAAAACACCAAAGUUGUACAUCUUGACAAGAUCUACAACUUUGCUUUUAAACUCAACCUCAAAUUUUGCUUGGUUUUUAAAUCGUGCAAAAGGGGGCAAAUCUAGGGUUCUAAAAUCAGGGUUUCCCCCCCUAUUUUCUCGGAAACCUUCCAACCUAGGAAUUUCACCACACUAGCUUCAAUACACCUUGCAAACACACUUUAAUUCCCUAAGCACAAGCAAUCAAAAUAAACUUGUUUUAAUUUGAUGCAUCAAGUGGUGCUUAAUCAAUAUGCGAAGCAAUGCUCAUGAUGACAUGAUCCAGUUUUAAUAACCGUAACAUCGGGGAUGUUACAGCCCUUCCCCUUAAAGAAAUCUCCUCCCCGAGAUUUAAAGCCUUAGGGUGCGUAAUGGAAAAGGAAAUUUGUCAAGCUAUUUCAUCUUUAACCUUUCCGUAAGACAAGGAGCUGGGGAAGACUACUUCAUUAUAAACAUAUAUGUACAUUAAGUACAUGACUUUGGCUACCCUUUUCCUUCACUAGAGUACACUUCCUUUUUAUCGGAUGUUGUCUUGAAGAGAAGCGUGGAACUUAGGAAAAUUCUCCAUUAGAUAAUCCUCAGAUUCCCAUGUGGCUUCUUCUUCAGAGUGCUGGCUGCAUUGCACCUUGUACCACCUGGUAGUUGUUCUUCGAGUAAGUCUAUCCCUUUGGUCUAAUACUUGGAUAGGAUAUUCCGCAUAAGUCAGAUCCGGUUCAAGUUCCACAUCUUCAAUAUCUUGAACCUGGUCUGGUACUCAAAGACAAUUUUUCAGUUGAGAUACAUGAAAUACAUUGUGUAUCCCGGAUAAUCGUUCGGGCAAUUUAAGGCGGUAAGCCACCUGUCCACACCGGUCAAUGGUUGGAAAUGGACCAAUUUAACAAGGCGCUAACUUGCCUUUAACGCCGAAAUGAUUUACUCCCUUCAUUGGGGAUACUUUUAGAUACACAUGGUCACCCUUGGCGAACCUUAAGGGUCGACGUCUUUUAUUGGCAUAGCUUUUCUGUCGGGACUGAGCAACCCUCAAGUUAUUUUGGAUUUGUCUAACUUUGUUCUCAUUUUCCUUCACUAAGUCAACUCCAAAGAACCAUCUUUCUCCGGGUUCAGACCAAUGUAGUGGAGUUCGACAUCGAUGGCCAUAUAGUGCCUCGAAGGGAGCCAUUUUAAUACUUUCUUGGUAGCUAUUGUUGUAGGAAAACUCUGCUAGACGCAAGCAGUCAUCCCACUUAUCUGGAAAAUUUAGGGCACAAGAUCUUAAUAGAUCUUCUAGGGUUUGAUUCACCCUUUCUGUUUGCCCACCUGUUUGAGGGUGGUAGGCGGUACUGUAUAAAAGCUUGGUGCCCAAAGAUUCAUGUAAGCAUUUCCAAAACUGGGAGACAAAUUAUGUGCCUAUAUCUGACACUAUUGUCUUUGGCACCCCAUGCAGACUCAGUAUACGAUCAAAAUAAAUCUUAGCAUAGGUGGAGGCAGGAUAUAAUAUCUUCACAGGCAAGAAGUGCGCCGUUUUGGUGAGACGAUCCACAAUGACCCAAAUAGAAUCAAAGCCUUUGGCCGUCUUGGGCAAUCCUACUAUGAAAUCCAUACUAAUAUCAUCCCAUUUCCAUGCUGGAAUAGGCAAGGGUUGCAACUCUCCAGCGGAUUUGAGACGAAUAGCUUUGACCUUUCGGCAUGUAACGCAUUGGCCCACAUAGCGGGCUAUUUCUAUCUUCAUUUUCGUCCACCAAAACCUUUUCUUCAGGUCCUGAUACAUAUUAUUGCUCCCCGGAUGAAUAGAAUACCUGGUGGUAUGAGCUUCAUCCAGGAUUUGCUGACGUAGCUCAGGUACCUUUGGAACCACUAACCGGUUUUUGAACCAGAUUACUCCUACAUCAUCCACUUUAAAGUAUGUGGGUGCUCUGUUAGAAAUUUUCUCUUUAAGAUAUUUCAUGCCUUUGUCUUCUUUUUGUGCCUCUAUGAUUUGAGCUUCAAGAUUGAAAUCAAUCUUUAGAUUGGCAAGGCUUCCUUGGGAAAUCAUUUCUAUCCGCAAGUUCUCUAGCUCUUGGCACAAGGUUAUCUCCUUAGGCGUCACUGUUAAGCAAUUACACUGAGCCUUACGACUGAGGGCAUCAGCUACUACAUUCGCCUUGCCAGGGUGAUAAUGCACCUCGAGGUCGUAAUCUUUGAUCAACUCUAGCCACCUCCACUGGCGCAUAUUAAGUUCAGCUUGAGUGAAAAUAUACUUCAAGCUUUUAUGAUCUGUGUAUAGGUGACAAGUGUUCCCCAACAGAUAAUGGUGCCAGAUCUUUAAAGCAUGUACUACGGCAGCUAGUUCAAGAUCAUGGGUCGGGCAAUUCUCUUCAUGUGGUUUAAGCUACCUGGAAGCGUAUGCAAUACUCGACCCUCCUGUAUUAGCACACAGCCUAUCCCUAUUCUUGAUGCGUCACAAUACACAUCAAAGUGCUUCUCAAUAUCAGGCUGGGCUAAUACAGGUGCAGUUGUUAAUAACCUUUUCAGAGUUUGGAAGGCUUGCUCACAUUCAGAUGACCAAACAAAUUUUGUUUGAUUCUUGAGCAAGGUCGUGAUUGGCUUAGCGACUCUUGAAAAGUCCGGGAUGAAGCGGCGGUAAUAUCCCGCCAUACCUAAAAAACUACGGACCUCAUGUACCGUAGUCGGGGGCUUCCAAUUCAAAACAUCUUCUACUUUACUUCGGUCUACAGCGACUCCCUCCACUGAUAAUACAUGACCCAAGAAAUGGACUUUGUCUAGCCAGAACUCACAUUUGUUGAACUUGGCAUAUAGUUGAUGCUCCCUAAGACGGGUCAGCACAAUCCUCAGAUGGUCAGCAUGUUCUUUCUUAGUUUUGGAAUAGAUCAAAAUGUCAUCAAUGAAGACAACCACAAAUUUGUCUAGCUCUGGCAUGAAGACAGAGUUCAUCAAAUACAUGAAAUGGGCUGGUGCAUUGGUCAACCCAAAGGACAUCACCAAGUAUUCAUAUAGCCCAUAACGUGUUGUGAAAGCCGUCUUGGGUACAUCUUCCGGCCUGAUUUUGAUUUGGUGGUACCCCGAUCUCAAAUCAACCUUCGAGAAUACUUUAGCCCUGGCUAACUGGUCAAAUAACAAGUCAAUAUGGGGCAAUGGGUACUUGUUUUUAAUCGUCACCUCAUUUAAGGGACGAUAAUCAACACAUAGCCUUAGUGUUUGAUCUUUCUUUUUCACAAAUAAGGCUGGGCAACCCCAUGGAGAGGAACUGGGCUGAAUAAAACCUUUCUACAACAACUCUUGUAGUUGGGUUUUCAAUUCGGCCAGUUCUUUCGGUGCCAUUCGGUAGGCCCUUCGAGAUAUUGGGGCUGUCCCUGGUUUCAAUUCUAUGCUGAACUGGAGAUCCCGGUCCGGUGGUAGACCUGGUAGGUCCUCAGGAAACACAUCCAGAAAAUCCCAAACUACCGAGAUAUUUUCAACUUCAGUCACAUUAGUGGCAUGAACUUGCCCAAUUGCCCGUUUGGGAGUAGCUAAUUGGAUUAGAAGGUAAGAAUUCUCAUUGGGCAAUGGCAUCUUAAUGGUUCGAUGUAAGGUGUCUAGCACAACCCCUCGUUGUGCCAUCCAGUUCAUGCCUAGUAUGACAUCAAUGUCAUGAUCUUUAAGGACAAUCAUACUAGUGGGAAAACUAUGCCCACCAAACUCGAUGGGUAUCUAAUGAACCAUUUCUUUAGAACUCAGUCAUCCUCCUGGCGACUGUAUAUAAAAAUGAUCUUUUGUUUCCCCAAUGGGUAUGUCAUGCUUCAUCGCAAAUGUACGAUUGAUGAAUGUAUGAGAUGCACCAGAAUCGAAAAGUAUUAAGGCAGGAUGUUUCGCAACAGGGAACGUACCCAUCAUUACAGGUUCUCCUUCCGAUAUUGUUUCCACCUCUGUAUGAAAGACUUGUCCCACUUUCUUUACAGGUUUACCCCUUUGUGCAUUCUGUCCUUUCUGAGCCCCAUUUUUGAAUUGGCUUGGCUGGGGUUGGCCAAUCGGUGGCCUUUGGAAAGUGGGGUUAUUUUGUCGAGGGUAGGGGCAUUCUUUAGAGAAAUUCCCGGGCUUACCACAAUUGUAGCAAGGAUAAUUGUCGUUUGGUGGAGCAGUAGGACGAACACCUGGGGCGUUCGGCUAGCGUGGUGCAGUGGUGAUGGCAGUAGGUCGAGGAUAGGCCGGCUGCCCGGGUCUAUACUGUGAAGGGGGAAAGGGACCACGAAAAGGUGACGGUGUUGGAAAGCAUCUGUGGCCCUGUGGAUGAUAAAUGAUCCUCUGGCGCUUUUGACCGCGACCAGAGAAGGAGGAGGAAGUGGCAUUUUUCUUCGCUUCUUUGUGCUUUCUGUUCUUUUCUUCCGAGGUGAUGGCAAUAUUAACCGUCGUAGAAAGUAGCAUUUUGACAUGUGGUCAUCAUAGUCUGAAGCUUUGUAUUGAGACCACGCAUAAAAUAGGUCUUCUUUUUAUCCGUGUUCACAUGGUCUGUGGCAUACUGAGAAAGGUGAUUGAAUUUGGCCACGUAUUCCAUCACACUUUUGUCGCCCUGCUGCAAGGCGAGGAAUUCUUCCGCUUUCAUGUCCAUAAGCCCUUCUGGAAUAUAAUGGGCGCAGAACGCGUCCUUAAAUUCCGCCUAGGUGACCUGGUGUCCUAGAUUUUGGAUAGCGAGGAAAUUUUCCCACCAAGCCCCCGCAGCUCACCGAAGCUGUUGCGCUACGAACAGGGGCUUUUGAGUCUCCGAUCAUCGGAUCAGGCUGAACUUAUGCUCCAUUGUCCAGAGCCAGUCGUCAGCCUCUAAAGGCUCAUCAGCCUUGGUGAACACCGGUUGCCUUGUCUCGGUAAAAUCCACAUACCGAGUUUCUCCCUCCCCAUUGUGUUGUGCUCUGAAGUUUGGGGCAGGGUGUGGUUGGCGCUGCGCUAGUUCGCACAACAGGCGAGCAUUGUCUGUAGUGGCACUUAGAAGAACAGCAAUUGCAUCGGCUAGGGAAUGUGGAGCACGUGGAGGGUUAGGUAUGUCCUCUCCUCUAUGAGAAGACCCGGCUCCAUCAGAUCCACGUGUGCGCAUCGGCAUCUGCUACAAGAAUUAUAUGUACUCGUUACCACUUGGAACCCAUCACUUAAAACAUAUUUUACAUACCUUAAUUUAUCUAUCAAACCUCAGUUCGGCACACUGGAAACAACGAGUACAACUUCUUGAACUUAACGAAAAGCAUUAUACUACAGACCCAACCCAACUACGGUAGACUAGGAACCCUAUAACGACGCCACCCGCAACUUCACCGAACUAGUCGGUGUGGUCAGAGCCGUAGCCCGGGUCGUCGUUGUUAUCACCAUGGUCAUCCCCUGGGUUGUCGUCGCCGGAGUCGGAUUCCUCUUCGUCGCUGGGUUCUUGGUCGGGCUCUCCAUCAUCUGCCAACUCUCCAUCAGUGUCCAUCUCCCCUUCACCUGGAGGUGGAUGAAGCUGAUGGUAUAAGUCGAAUGCGAUAUCACUGCAUCGCCAUGUCGUUGACGGCGUCCAGAUGAUGCGCCAGCUCAAGUUUCUCCAGCUGCAGCUGAUCCUCCCGCUGCCAUACGACGUCUCUUUGUGCAGUGACAGUGGCCGCCAUCUUCAUGUACAUAUUUUCCGUGUACUUGCUUUUGGUUAGCUUGGCCUUCAUUCUGGUCAGCUCGUGCAUAUGUGCGCUCUUGGCCUCCACUUCCCGAGCAAUAGCUGCAUUCCUUUCUUCCACCAUGCAGGAUAGCAUCACCUCGCAAUUCUUGGUGGCUUGUUUUUGUUUUAUUAAUUGGGCUUUGAGUUCACCAAUUUCCAUAACAUUAUACAUCCUCUCUCUCAUUACUUUGGUCAGCUUGGCAGACAACCUUUCCAUUUCCUGUUGAGACAGGGAAUGGCUACUGCUAGCUUGAUCGCUUCGCGGGGCCAACUGGUCUCGAGGCACCCCUUUACGACCAGUUCUCUUGUGAGGGGUUUGCUUCGAAUGACCCAUCCUGUAGAGGGUAAGUUUGGAUUGGUAAGAGAGACCUUAAAGGUUAGCAAGAAUGGGAUUGAUUCUAUAUAACCCAACCCGAAUAAAGUAGAAGGAAUUUAACCAAGUGACAUAUCAUGAUGCAUGCACGUACUUACGAUUCGUACUAGAAAUUCAUAACGAUAUCACUCUUUACAACAUAAGGCGAUACUUUAUGUUGCUCCUCCACAUGACCUCGAAAAUUCUAGCAAAGCCUACAGACAAGGGUAAGGUAGGACUAGAGCAUUUGGACUCAAAAUAGGCAUGUUUAUAGUUAUUGGAUCCAAAUGGAUUUGAAGUUUUUCAAGGAUACAACAGUCAUCUUAGCAACGAAUGCUCUGAUACCAGCUGUGGCAGAACCUCCUAAGUGUUUGGGCCCACCGACACCUGUCAUUGUCCUAAGGACCUUUGACGGUGAUGCCGGGGACCCUCCCACUCAAGAAGUCCGAUGAGCAUCCCAAGACGCCCAUUCCACCGCUACCUGUGGCGUAUCAAACAAGCUCGUCCUGACCACUAGUGAUGGUCAAUUAACGAGAAUUUCUUCUUCUCGCCUUUACAGGAUAGCAAGUGGCCACCUUAACACCAGGAUCAUUCGUUGCGAAGACAUUGCAGUAUCACAAACGACACAUGACCUAAAAUAAUAUUUCAGAGUAAAGCAGCGGAAGCAUUACGUAACUUAAUUUACAAAAGUAGUUCUUCCAAGUAGUAGAGUGUUAUUACGAGCCAGGUCCAGCGGAGCAACUUAAACUUUAGUACAUAGAUUACAAAUUUACAGACCCUGCCCAUGGGUCAAGCUCACUCUUCCUCGUCGUCAACCUCGACGAUGGUCACACAACAGGGUCCGGAACAUGUCGGCUCCUGAGCUUCACUUGCAACAGGGGUUAUAAAACCCUGAGUACGGGAGUACUCAACAAGACUUACCCGGCAGAAAAAGAGGAGAAAUUAGGGAUGCAGGCUUAGGGUAGACAAGGAGUGGAUGAGCAAGGAGCCAAAUUGUUUUGCCAAAAAGCUUACUAAUAGUGCAUCCUUACUUUCAAGUUUUACCCAUGAAUUCCUCUCCUUAAGAGGUCGAGGAGUUCGAGGACAGUCUAUCUAGUUGCUUCUCAUAGACGAGUUUGUAAGUUCCUAGUCCUUAAUCAAAGUAUUAUCUAUCCAACGGCCAUAGCUUCAUGUCACUCUAAGUCCAGGAGUCGGGAUCCAAACCUCAUGAGAAAUUUCCCCCUUUCUCAUUUUAUCACUUAGUUGCAUAUUUAACUACGAUGAGGGUCGAAGGAAUUGAGUCUCCCAAUCGGGGAGCAACGACGAUUCGAAUCGCAUAGCAAUCCAGCUGGAGUUCCUAACCACCGGACAUAUGUAGAACCAAAUCUUGCAUAUAUCAACCCAAAUCUUGCUCUCCCAAAUUGGACUGGGUUUGCGGCACCCGAGAGCAUAGUACCCCACCAUCCAGCCCAUUUGCCAGGAGGGUACACGCUACUCUCGCCAUCUCUCCACGCCUAGUGCGCGAGUAGCCGUUCGCGUCGAGGGAUCACAAGACCGGGCUUACCGAGGGCAAGUGGCUAGUACUAUAAAUUCUCAACCCCAGCAGGCCUUCAAUGGAACGGUCCUUAAUCGACACAGUUGGAGACACUACUUUAAGACUCCAUUCUUAAAGCAAGUCCACCGACCGGUGUCAAGUUAAAACAUCAUUGACCAUAAGUGUAUCACACAACAACCCUUCAAACUUUCUUGUUUCAAAACCUAUCUAAUAGCAGGGCUAAGCAUCGCUACGCAAUUUUAAAAUAAAACAGGUGCCAAGGACAAGAUAACAAAUAUCAAGGUAGUAAAUGCAGCAAGUAGGUUAACUCCAUGCAAACAUGUCGGCGUUCGCACGGAGAAAGUCGAUGAACACGACUUCAUAUUUGGGGUCGAGGUCGGCGCUGAUCGUCAGCACCUUGUCGUCGGAGCCGUUGGGGUCGAGCGGGAUCUUCUUCGUGCCUUCUGCCGGCUCGAAGCUGCCCACGUGACGCUUGGGUUCAGGAGCUUCUGCAGCAAAGGCCUCAAGCUUCGACGCAAGCUCGGUGGAGCUCUCGACAGCUUCUCCAUACUCGACGCACUCGACGUCGCACUCGUAUGCACGCUCAUAGGAGGAGCUGACGGUGAUGACCCCCUUCAGCCCGGGCAUCUUCAGCUUCAGGUAGGUGUAGUUGGGGAUAGCCAUGAACUCGGCGUAGCUUGGACGGCCGAUGAUGGAGUGGUACGUGCCUCGAAAUCCCUCCACCUCAAAGGUGAGAACCUCCUUUCUGAAAUUGGCCGCCGUGCCAAAACAGACCGGCAGGUCAAUUCGACCUACAGGCAACGCCUUCUUUCUAGGCACGACACCAUGGAAGCCGCUCGCACUUGGUUGGAGCUGUGUCCUUUUGAUGCCGAGGAGGUCAAGGGUCUCGAGGUAGAUGAUGUUCAGGCUGCUGCCGCCAUCCAUCAGCACCUUCGAGAGUCUCGUGUUGACGAUGAUGAGGUCGACGACGAGUGGGUAGACGCCAGGGGCGACUACCUUGUCGGGAUGGUCAUCUUGAUUGAAGGUGAUGGGGGUGUUCGACCAGUUGAGGAUCUGCUCGAGCUGGACAAGGCGCUCGCGAUCUUCGUCGAGCUUUGCUUUGAGCUCCCGUAGCUGUGCAAGUUGCACGGCUUUGUCUUCCUGCGGUGGUGGGUCGACCUGACCAUCGUUCCCAGGCAUCCUAAACCCUAAACCCUUGCUAUAGGGGCUCGUGCGCCGGCGACGGUGUCUUGUGUUUCGUCGGUGGUUUCUACCAACCCGUCGAUGUUGAAGCAUUCCCUAGUAGGGUCGUAGCUGUCGGAUUCAGAGUCGGGGUCCGGCUCAGUGGCGUAGAAGCAUCCACGUCUUUCCUCCAGCAGCAGCUGCCUGAGCGAGGUGAUCGUGUAUCGCCCAUGUCCUAGGCAUCGGAGGCCUCGCACCUAGGAGAAAUCUGGUAACUCGGUCGCUUGCCGCUGCGCCCCGACGUCACGUGGGAGGACAAUUGGUCGCUCCAUGUAUGUCUGGGCGUUUGGACAUAUCGUCCUGGCGAGCGACACCGCGGUGUUCUCCAGACCGAACGGCGGUGCUCUUCUUGAGGUGAAUAACCCAUGCGAAAGUAGCGUUGUGGGGGACGAGAGCGCGCGAGGCACGUCGUCACCCAUCGUCGUCGCGCGAUCCUCGUCACGUCGGGCCGUCGCACCACAGGCCUGGCGCGAACCGGUGACUGUGAGGAGGCAGGAUAGCGGCGACGCUGUCCACGCCUCUUCUUGGGCGGGGAGGCAUGGUGGCGAGGCCGUCUUGGAGCCCUCAGUCGUGCGGGCGCAAUGCGAGCUCCUUCCGGUCCUUUGACCGAGAGCAGGAUCAUGUCGUAGCCAAAACCAGUAGACAUGAACUCGAGGCUCCCGAACCAAAUCACCGUGCAGCGCGGAAUCGGUGAAACGAAAGUGGCCAUCUGGAAAGCGGUGGGAAAUCGGUGGAAAAAACACGCAGGACCCCUACCUGGCGGUGUUUUCCCCCCGGGGUGUCACACCAACGAGUAAAACUUGUGUGCGUGCUCCCCUUUCCGUAUGGUGAUGCAAGAAAGACACAAAGAUUUAUCCUGGUUCGGUCAAGAGAAGGCCCUACCUCCAGCGGGGGGGAGUGUUUGUAUUAUCUUGCACCUAAGUGCUUGUACAGGGGUGAAUACAAGUUGGUAUGGAUGGAGAGAUGAAGAUGAAGUAUGGUAGCUCUUCUACGUAUGUCUUGUGUCCCCUAUCCUUUCCUGAGCCUCCCCUUUUAUAGUCCCAAGGGGAGACCUAGGUUACAUGCCUAGGUGACAGAGUAGGGGUCGAUAGGGGUGUGGCGCGAUGACCUACUCGAGGCUUCCGUACGACGUGGCCUCGAGCUGUCUUGUUACCUAGGGUAUUCGAUGAUGAUUACGCGUGCCACCGAAUCCGACUUCUGCAUGUCGUCCUGGAUCGGCUCAACUGCGGGCACGCCUAUACGUCGUGGCUACAGUUGCGUCGGGGUGGUUGAGGUGCUGUCUUUCCCCGUCUGACUCUUUUUAGGGAAGGAACACGCUCGCUCGAGGGUCCGAUGCAGUGCUAGGCCUUGCUGAUAGGAGUGUUGACUUUGGGCAUCUCGAGGGGGGUCGUGACGAGACGUUCCGUCCGCCUCGCUGUGCCCUGUCAUGCUCUGACUCAUCCGGUGGACAAGGCUACAAAAAGGAACGAUUGGAUGGGUGCUUGCUUCGUAUCCCGCUUCCCGUAGCUGUCGGGUUAGGUGGGAACGCGGCAGGACGCAUUAAAUGCACUGGUUCCCGUACCCACGUCAGGCGGCGGGCGGCGUCCCUGCGCUCGAGGCCUGCCGAUUCGUACGAGCUAGUUUCCGUAUUCAAAGGUCACCGUUCGGUCGAGCCCCAGCUGAUUCGCACGACGCUCUUUCCGUGUUUGAGGCCAUGGUCGUUGUCUUGUUUUGACGAUCAUGUAUGCGAUCGGGAGGCGUCGAGUCGGGGGGCCUCGAUUUAUGUACGGGUGCUCUCAUUAUACGCGUUGGUUAGGGUACCCCUUACCGAUAUCCUCGACAAUAAAUUAAGAAGAUAUUACUACUACAUAUUAUUUGGCCAAGUAAAAUAUUUGUAUCAUGGUGUCUAAUUUAACCCAUACCGAUGCACAAACAAAGAAGAUAUUGCUCCAUUAUUACCUUAAUCAAGUGUCUUCGAUAUUGCUCUAGCUUUUUUCAUUGCGCAAUACUCACGUUGCUUCCUAUUUCUUUCAUCUCUUUGUUCAGUGGUUUCCUCGGCCCUUUUACGAGCGCGGUAUUCACGUUGUUUUCUAUUCCUCUCUUCUCUCUUUAUUCUCUCUUUAUCUACCGAUGCUCUAUCAGUGGCUGUGAAAUAUAGUGUGUGUUAUUAGUUUUAGAUUUUUUUGGGAAACUAACCAAUAUAGAUGGUCGCUAACAUACUAUGUCCGAUAGUGAUUGAUAUGUCAUAAAGUGUAGGGUGGGUUUGUCGCCGAUCCCCCAUUAUAGACCUGUAGCAGGCCCAUCGAUGAUGGCGUUCUUGUUAAUCCACAAUAGAAAACACAAAGCAAGUAUACUUACUGCAUUCAUCAUGAGUUCGUCGUCUAGCCUAGUGUGUCAGCGUUUCCCCCUACGUGGCGCCCCUGUCCGCGUUCGACGUCGCGCCCUGGCCGCGCGCCUGUUUGCGAGCCCCUGGCCGCACGUGGAGUCUUGGCGGUGCCCCAAUGACCCUCUGGCCGCAAGCCCCUGGUCGCGCACCACGUCUGCCCCGGCAAGCCCAGGCCGCGCCACGGUCGUGCGUGAGAGGGAGGUGGGGGCGGGCUGAGGGAUGAAUGAGGUGUGUGAUGAGUUUGAUCCAAGCGUUUAUGAACGUUGGAUGUGAUUGAGUUAGGGGAAUGAUAGAUUAGAGUUAAUAUUGUCCCUUAAUUUUGGGAGAUAGAUCUUCCGUGGUGGAAUUUUUCGUGUGUACUUGGUGUAGCUUAUAACUGUAGUAGUAGUUUAUAGGGUGCAUAACUGAUGGAUUAUAUAGUAGUGGAGAUUUGUGGUAAAUCUCAGUAACUACACCCGUGCCUUUUUACCUUAUACAAAUUAGAACUGAGGCUUGAUCCCUAUGAUUUCUUGUUAAAUUAUGUUUUUAUGAUUUUUUGUAUACAUAUAUGAUGGCAAUCCAACUUGAAUACCUCUCAUCCAAUUUGGUAUAUGUUGUUGACAACAACGAUCCCAUGUGUUCAGGAUGUUCGAAAACGAGAAAUCAAGUUCUUAGUUUCCUAGGAAGAGAAGAACUGAUCGGAGCCGCGUUUCCUAAGUCAUACCAAAGGUGACCCACUUGCUCUCAGACGGGGGAUGCUUGGGUGAGUGCUAGGAAUAACCCUCCAGCUAGAUAGGAAUCGAUUCGAAUCGCCGUCUCUCCCGGAUAGUGAGAACUUGACAUAGCAGCGACAAACGUAGCAUUCACUAAGUACAAUGGUUCUUGAUAAUGAUAAUAAUGAUAGCAAGAAAGAUCAUAUGAUGAAUUUGAUAUGGUUAUUAUUGUUUGUAAUAAUCAAGUGAAGUGCUUAGUCUAGGUGCUAAUCUAGUGGUAGGCUAAUGAUGAUUAAUAUGAUGCCUCUACAAAUGGUGUAGUAUCUACAUAAGCUUUUGGCAAAUAUUGAGUCGAGCCAGCUACACUUUAUACUCAGCCUUGCAUGAUCCUUGGUGUCUUUUAUGUUUUACUAGACGGGUAAGUCUAGCUGAGUACAUCCUCGUACUCAGGGUUUAUUCCCACCUGUUGCAGAUGAUGUCUUUUAUGAUGGAUUCUGCAAGACCUGUCUCCAUCCCGCUGGGGAUGAGGACUAAACCGUUGGGCACAGUUCUCUAAUGACUUUGUACCCUGUUGCUUUUGGAUGGACGUGAUGAGACUGGCAAUAACAAGAAAUUUGGAAUGUGUGUUGUAAACUAUUUUGCUUCCGCUAAUGUGAACUUGUGUUGUAACAACUAAGUACUCCGAUGUGGUGCCGCUUCGUUGGCAAUGAAUGACUAUGUAACAUUCGUUGUAUUAUGUUGAACUAUUACGAUAUUGGUUUGUUGCAAGUUGGUUUGAAAUCCUUCGUGAUUUCAGUUGACUACCGGGAUUAUAUGGGCUCAAGUCUGGAAACUUGAUAGCUAGUCGAUCGUUUCUACACUUGAACUCUUAUAAUUUGGUCGGUUCUGUGACAUGUGAUGGCGGUUGUAAUAUUGUGACAACGAACUUUUCUCCAAUAUACACAUGGUUAGAAUAAAUAAUAUAUAUGUAUACACAAACCUGUGAGAUGGCAGGGUUCCAGAAUGAUGGAUCUUGAAUGUUCAAGCACCCUGGGUUCUAAAAUCUUGUGGAAUCAGGUCGCAAGGUCGAAGUGGCAUCUGAUGUCAUGUCUAUUCCAUACUCAACAACACAAAGGGGUAAUCCUACUAAAGCUAGUCAUACACUAAAUUAGCACACAUCAAGAUCAUUAUUAGAAUCUUUACACCAAUUGCUUCCCCGGCAACGGCGCCAAAAAUGCUUGUUGGGAUUUCUUAACACAAUCACCAAAGAUAGACAAAAAAGCCUAAUCCCCAGCAAUAGUGCUAGAAAUGCUUAAUAAAAUUCGUUAGUACAAAAAUAAAUAUAAAAGAUUCUGCAAGCGCACAGAACAUCAUCGUAGAAUUUUACCGGGAGUAUUCCACGUAUCGUUAUUUAUAAUUUACCAUAGGGAAGCGGGGUUAAGAAUCUUGAUAAUUCACUAUCCUACAUCUACUAACUUAGAGUAGCAAAUAAACUAAAGGAGGGAUAAAUGACAUACUAUAAUAUAAAUCCUGAAAGACCACUCUUCCGUCUAAGGAUGCCUAACCACCGCAUCGAUCAUUCGGGGGGUCGAGACACUGCGAGGUGGGUAGUUUAUCUGGAGCGGAUGCCUCCUAAAGAGUAAUGGAGGUGUGCGAAGGUAGGCUCAAGCGUUGAUUCUGCUCAUGAGCAUAAUGGUAUAAGCUAAAUGUAUAAAUAGUUAUAGGAGGAGGACAAUGUGAAAGAUUAAGGUUCCUUUGUACUUCUCUAUUACUUAGGUUUAGGGUAAUAGAAUAUGAAAAGACAUAGCAAUCAUACAAUGGCACUUUGGAGCAACAGUCAUUGCUAAAAAUAGAAAUAAACCCUAUCCUCGGCAACGGUGCCAAAAAUACUUGUUGGUAUAAAUUAACUGCACUCCAUUAAAUAAGUUUUAAGUAGGAUUAUCCGCAAGCGCACAGAUAUCAUACCAAUGUCACAUUUUACCUGGAGGUUUUAAAUAUCAUAUCCAUAGGGAACAGUUGUGAUGAUGACAAAGUAUAUAGAGUUAACCCUACAAUUAGGCUAAUGCACUCUGAUUCUGGCUCAGUAAACUUUGUAUAAUAUCGUCUUAUCGGGCAAGUAACCCAAAUAGGAGAAGAAACAGAGUAAUCUCCUACCAGGCACCUAUAGCCUAUCAGUCCUAUCAACAGGAAGUAGACUACAGAGGAAUCAACGUAGCUAUAAAGUAACUUACGCAUGCUGCAACUGUCCGGGUGAUCAGGGGACAUCCACAAGUAAACCUAGCCUAGGCACCACGCCUACUCUAUAAAUACUACUUCAACCAAGUAAUGAAUAGAUCAAAGCACUCAAUAUGAGUUGUGAACCAAAGGACGAAUAAGAACAAGUUGCUUACUUAAAUCAGAAUGGUAAGUACAAAAGUACCUCAGAACGUAGCUCCGGACGAGAGAAUUGGAUCCAGACGAAUACAACUAUGAAGAAGCGCCGACAGGCCGAAACUCCUCUAGAAUCUCUACUCCUCUACUCAAUCUCUCUAAUCUCUAAACAAGACUAGAUCUAGAAGAGCUAAUCUCUCCUAAUUGCUACAUCUAGAUGAACUAGAAGUAAAUCAAUUAGAGGGACCCUAACCCUAAUUAUGUAGACAAUAUGAAGCACCGGGGUGUAGAAUGUCUCUAGGAAGGGGGUCUGCCCCUUUUUUAUAGCCCGGUGGGAUCGAUGUGCGCCGUAGGAUUAAACCUACUUAACCAAGGGCCGAGAUGCAUUAAGAGAGGCGGUGGAGGAAGCUUUCGAAAGGCUAUGGCUAGAAACCAUAGGGGGGCAUUGGCCGGCACUAGGGCGCCCGGCCCCACCUUGUUUCCUCUAUGGGUCUCAUUCCUUCGGGUGUCUUCUAGAGCCUUCCUGACCCCAUUGGCAGUGUUGUUGCGUCGCAGUUAAGUUUUGUGUUUAUUUUGCACUUGAAUCCCUCUUUUCGGCUCUGUAUGAAAUAAACCCUGAAAAACACAGAAUAUGCAAAACUUGUGGAAAUUGUCAGUUUAAACCCUAGGCUAGUGUGUUUUCAUGUUCUCCUUUGGGUCUAAAGUUCUAAUAAAAGUUGACGUUAUCGACCGUCAACAAAGUCUAGGAAGAAAGUAGUCAGGGAAGGCUACCAAAAAGCUAUACCAAACAUCAAUCCAAACAUGGUGGAUUAUAAAGGCCUGACAGGGCUAUGACCCCUGGGGCUACCACACUAUACGUGGGAUUGAGCGUAACCUUAGGAAAACUAUAGCCUAGCCACCAUGUCUACACUAGCAUUUACUACUCUAAUUACCAUGAAUAACUAGAGAACUCAAUACGAACAAAGGUCCCAUGCCAAGAUAUAACAACUACACUAAACAUAAAUAAGCAUAAAGUAAAUAGAGAAGAUAGUAUAUUAAAGCAUAAGUGUUACAAAGAAAAGAUACGAAGACAUACCAAAACUCUAUAGAAGACUCCUCCAGAACCGAAGCAUAGCUCCGCAUCCCCUAACUCCUGACUAGAACUAAUCUACUACAUUGGAAUGUCUAGCCCUAAUUCUCUAGAGAAGAGAGGUCAUCCAUUUUAGGGAUGCCACUACAACUCAUAAUGAUUCUCGUCUAGAGGGGUGAGGGCCUUUAUUUAUAGCCCCCUAGGAAGCACCAUAGCACUUGGAUCAAACUGACUCAAACGUGUGCUUAAGAUUAAUCCUCAAAGUCGGUGGAGGCAGGAUCCACGAGGUCCUCCCUCAUCGGUCCACCUGGCCGGGCGGCAGCCCUGACUGGGUGGGGCGCCCGCCCCUACCCUAUGGCAGGUGGGCCCCACCUUUCAGGUGGUAUCUUCUCGAGCCUUCUAGAGUACUUCUGAGCUGGCGUUUCACAUGAUCUCUCUAUGUAAAUCUGACAUGUGGACCUCCUUUUGUUCUUAUUCCGAUAGACAAUCACCAAAACUUGUGCAAUUCUAUUAGUGAUAAGCCCUAUAGCUAGAUAGUAUUCUCAUUUUAAUCCUUUCUCAUGCUAUGUUGACAGUUAAAAAGAGUACUUCUCUACCGUCAACAUCCCUGCAAAACAGAGUUAACUGAUUCCGACAUCUAAACUUAUAGGGCCAAAAACUCUAUUUUCCCGACCUUUUUUGCAUUUCUAAAAUCUCCGAACAUAGCACAUGGAGAAUCGAAUGUAAAUUUUUUUCUUUAUGAUUUUUGUUUAGAGAUUGUCUCAAUCCAUGUUAUAGAUCAAAAGUUAUGGUUCUUUUAGCGAACAACACUUUUCCCGGCAAUCCGUCGCCCCGUAGUAAAUCCCAUCUACUACCGCCGCACAUCAUAUGCGCCCGGCACUUGACCUAGGGUUCAAUUAGAUCAAUCUGAUUGAUCCCUAUCUGACCAUGACUAGGUUUACAUGUAUCACUUAACUCGGAUGAUGGAAUUCCGACAGGUAUGAGUAGAUCGUUACAAUACCAGCACAGCAAGACCAUAAACCAAGAUCAGAGACUCAUCUAAAACUGCACAUAUGUCUAUUUGUAUCCAAUCAAAUAUAUAACAAUGCAGUAACAAUUUUGAUACCACUGAUGGAUUAUGAGGACACUACGAUAGCUAGAAAAUAAAAAUUUUGACCUCAUAAAAUAGGAUCAACUGCUAGUUAUAGAUCACGGGAUUACCACUGGGCGCACAGGUGCAGUGGAAGUGACUCUGUGUAGUCAUGCACGUAGUAGCAAUGUCGUGCAGUUUUGUGGUCAUCCACCACGUCAAUCCCUCUCGCGUGGUUCAUCCUUGUGCUCCAGAUGCAGCACCUCUGAGGUAUCCCACACGUGCGGGGAAGAAGCGUUACGCCUUCAGACUGCUAUGUCCAUGAGGAGUAAUAGGCACAAGUGUGGGUGAGCAGUGGUGACUGCCUAAUGGCACGAGAUAACCAUGGCCAUGCCCCCUCCUCUUAUAUAGGCAUCCUCUAAUCAGCGCCGAGUUGGAGGCCUAAUUAUAAAACCGUAAGCUUUGUCUAAUUCGGGUCCAACCUGAAUUAGGCUAACAACCCCUUAAGUGUGCAACCUAUAACACCCUAGUGUUAUGGUUGCAUUCUACCUCUUGCAUGACAUGAGCAUAAUCAUCAUCAUUUCAUUUCAUGAGCAUCAUGUCAUGUGGAGCAUAUCAUUUCAUGUGCUAUGUAUGCUUUUCUGUCUAAUUUAUGCUUGCUAUGCUUAUGAUCUUGUGUACUUUGUGCUAGGCUAUGUUUACAACCUUGGUAAAUAGUUUAUCUAUGUUUAACAUGCCCUAGGGAUCAAUGUUCAUGUUGGUCACUUGCUCUAAUUAUGCUUCUAAGUCAUAGUUUGUCAUGGGGUGACCUCUUUUGCUUAGGCUUUUAAAAAGUGCUUCACAAAAUGUUUGCAUGUCAAAAUUCUCCAAACCAAAGUUGUAGCAAGUUUUGUAAGGAACUAAAAUUGUUUUAGGGCCAUCUCAUGAAAAAAUGAUCACAACAUGCUCAAAAAGGGCUCACAAGUCGAUUUGGGUGCUGUUUGGACACUUACAAAAUUUUCUAAGUCUUCUACUCGACACAGUUUGCUCAAAGGAAAUUUGGAGCUUUGCAUCUUUUCAUCUAGGCUGAUUUGGCUCUUGCUCCAAUUGACAAAGUUAUAGAUCUCAUUUAGUUCCUCAAGUUUGUCAACUGCACCAUCUCCUAAUUCGCAAUGAAUUGGGAGUUAUUCAUCGUUGAAAUAGCUAUGUCAGUCGGUAUUCGAAGCCCUGAUGGCAUUCUUUAGGCACGCGUGCUGGCCGACCACAGCAAACUCCGGCUGCCAUCUGGCGACCGUACGCCGUCAUUGACCCCACCGGUCAGGUCGUCCGUGCCUUCAUGGCUACCACGCCACCCCACACUCGCCCAGCACCUCUCCCAAUCGCUCUGCUCUCUCUCUCUCUCUCGCGCGCGCUCUCUGAUGGUAGCGACGCCAUCGCCAUUGACGCCGAGCGUCUCACGAGCUCCACGCGCCCUCAUCUUCAUGCCGUGCCUCCUCUCCGAGCGUUAGCGAGUCCGCCACGAGCUCCUUCUUCUCCAUCUCUCCGUUGCUCAAGAUCGACCCAAGGUAAGCUACAUUUCUCGAGUUCGCCGUCGUCAAAUUCACGGCCGGCCGCGACCCCUACUCCGGCAAACCUCGGCGCUGCCCUAUCCUUACCCUCUUCCUUCUUUCCAAGUCGCAUUAGGGCUUACUUAGGUCCGCGUCUUACCCUGCGUCACAUCCUAUAGCUAAUGGUGACGCCACCGAGAGGAAACACGACCACCGUGCCACCGCGCUCACUGCCGGCGACCACCCCGCACGUCGGUAGGCUCACCGGAGCCCAUAGAGUUAGGCCUUUCCACCUAGGAAGCCCCGCGCUAACUCGCUAAUGUUGUAGCUGCCUCAUUUUGAUGCUCUACCGACAAGAGACAGUCGGCAUAAGCCGGGAUAGCCCCGCUGUGCCGCCAUGACCGAUGGUGACCUUGAUGUGUUACUCCAGCUCUCGCACCACUUGCCUCUAUCGACGCGGAAGGACUCAGGGAACACCCUGGUGCCCUUGGAUCCACCGAAAAAGCUCACCAUCGGCAAGCGUUUGCCGACGAGCGUGUCCUCUGGCUUCUGUGUCACUGACACGCGGACCCCGCUGUCAGCGACCCCGUUUCCCUCCUUCCCAUUUAUUCAAAUUUCUAGAUUUUGCUCAAUCUUGCAAAAUUCAUAUCUCCUGUUUCUGAGCUCCAAAAUGUGUGAAACCAAUUUUGUGAUCUUCUCUGAGACGGAUAGUUUUUCUUAAAAUUAUAAAAUGUGCCAUGUGUUCUGUGAAAAAUAAUUAUUAUGAAUUAAUCUUGAUUAGUCAAAGUAAAUUCAUAUCUUUCUGUGUAAUGCUCGAAAUGUGAUGAAAAUUUUUUGGCAGGCUUUGUAUGUUAGUAGUAUGCUCUGGUAAUUAUUUCAUAAUUUUUGGAUGUUGUAUGACUGGUAUGUAAUUUAUACUUGCUUGAUUGCUUAAAUCCUUGUAUAAAUCACUAUAAAUAAUGCAUGCUUGUGCUGGUGUUCUACUUUGGCAUGGUUGGUGUUCAUGAUAGUAGAAUCAUAAAGAUAAUCUGAAAUCUGUUGUUUGACACUGUUUAACCUAAGAUUUCUAAUUUAUGGUUAAAAGCACCUUGUCAAAUGAUAAUUAUAUAUCUAAAGUUGGGCAUGUGCAAUUGCCCUGAAACUUUUAUGGUGAUGAGUAGGUGCCAUGCAUAUGCUUCUCUAAUUGUUGUUGAGUUUUCUGAGUACUUAUGCAUAUGUUCCUUAAUUAUGCUCUUUUAUGGAAAUAUAUUAAUAAAUGCUAUAUAAAUAAUGGUUUGGUAAGUAACAUAUGGUUUUCUGUUAAUCUUGUAUCAUAUGUCUUCUGGUGAGUCACUUGGUUGACUCUAAAUAUACUUUUCCAUGUUAGUAAAUAAUUAAUUUAAGGUUAAUUAACCUUUCUGGACAUCAAAGGAGUAAUCUGGUAAUUGCUUGAUGCUAAGCAUGUUUUCUGGGGAACUUGUCUAUACAAAAGUUGUUGUAAACUUUAUGCUCUAUCUGUGGUUAACUUUUGGUGGUAUUUGGCCAAGUGGUUUAAAAGUUAUAGCUGUUCUAAGUCAGGUUCCAGAAGAGGGUGUUCUCUGUUUGUCUCGAACAGAACCUGGAACGUUUUUUAUUUGACCUGUUUAACUUGUGAAUCAUGCUUACGUGUCUAAAGAUGAAAUGUAGAUAAUUUUAUAAGCUUUUCAUAAUGUCUUAAUUCAUGUUUGUAGGAUCUGUACAUCUCUAGUUAUGGUCUGUUCUCUGUGCUGCCUUACUGAGCAUAAAGUGAUGUUGGUUGGUGUAGCUAGUGUGUAUCUUUGUUAAGUCUUGUGGUGUUCUUAGGUAAACUUCUUGAGGAGUUUACUCUGUAAAUGAGUGUCUAGUGAGGGCCUAUGAUAGUAAUCAUGUGAUGCAUCCAUCAUUCCCUUGUAUGUACACAUCCUUUACUCAGUGCACGUACAUGCAAUUGGUGCAUCGAAAGUCGGAGCUUAGUACGAGAUCGAGAGGGUGAACCCGGAAGACCAGGAGAACACCCAGGAGCCGGUUGCCCAGCCAGUAGGACCCAAGGAGCACGAAGAAGAAGUCAAGUGUCCGAGUCACGAGCCCACAUCGUUCGUGAUAGGCAAGCCCCGAGAGCAUUAUAAGUCUCCUAUUUAUUUUACCAAGCAUGAGUAAAUAUGUUAAUAUUUAUUGCUGCAUUACGUAUAGAAGUUGUAUGAAACCCUUGGUGCAUUAUAUAUUUCCUUGUCUAGAUAUCUUACCUUACCCUGGUAUAGAGUCAGGAUCAAGUAGUAGCUUAGGCAUGCUUAAAUUGGUAGAAGUCGGGUGAUGUCCUGACACCUACGAGCUAUAGGGUAUGAUAAUAGAUCACGAUUGGCUAUAUUUGCUAUCGUGGAAAAGACCCUGGCUAAAAUGACUUAAGCCAGGCGAAGUUUUGCAAGGUGGUAGUAACUCCAUCUAUGGCAGCUAAGGACUGAUCGUUGUACAUCCUCUCGUCAUGUUGAACACAUGCGUGACACUUAGUUGGCCGGAUAACUCGUUCUGACCAUGAAGCCUAGUAGUAUGACUUAGGCUGAGGCCGGAAGACCGCCAAGUAUAAAGUGCGCACUACCGGAGGAAGUGUGGUGUGCGGGGGGCCAUUGGCGUAAGACCAAGGGUAGGUGAUUUAAAAGUCCUAAUUGUCCUGGCAGAGUGGCAGCCCUGGGAGUGCGGCGUUGAUCGGAGCCGCAAUUCCUGAGUCGUACCAAAGGUGACCCGCUUGCUCUCCAACGGGGGAUGCAUAGGUGAGUGCUAGGAAUAACCCUCCAGCUGGAUAGGAAUCGAUUCCAAUCGCCGUCUCUCUCGGAUAGUGAGAACUUGACAGAGCAGCGGCAAACGUAGCAUUCACUAAGUACUCAAUGGUUCUAAGAUGAUGAUAAUGACGGCAAUAGUGAACAAUUUGAUAAAACCUGAUAUGGUUAUUAUUUUGUGAUGUUAAUCAAGUGAGUGCUUUAGUAUAGGUGUUAAUCUAGUGGUAGGUUAAUGAUAAUUAACUUGAGGCUAAUAAGAAUGGUUUAUUAUCCAACUUAAGCUCUUUAUGCAAAAACAUGUCAAGCCAGCUCCACUAUUUAAAGUAAGCCUUGCAUGACCCUUGGUGUCCUUGUUUUGGUUAGACGAGUAAGUCUAGCUGAGUACUGUAACAGAACCGACCAAAUUAUAAGAGAUUAAGCCUAACAGUGACCAUUUGCAUAGUCAAACCAUUACGCUUAAGCCCAUAUAAUCCCGGUAGUCCGUGAAAUCUCGAAGGAUUUCAAACCACACAUCGCACAACAGCCAAGAUCGUAAUAAGUUUAGCGGUCGCCAUUCACAAAUACAUCCAGAUUACAACAUUCAUAAAAUACAUCGGAGUUCUUAAAACUAUUACAAACCAAGUUCUUCAAGUGGCGGAAGCUUCAUAGUUCGAAAAUACAACACACACGCUUAGUCUGAUACAGUGCCAUAGUUUGGUCAUUCCCACAAAAGCAAAAGAAGAGGCGGAGUGACCAUCGCCCUUGGUCUAGUCAUCACCCAUGGCUGGGUACAGACAGAGGAUGCAAUAACCAUAGUACAUUUGACCAUCUGCAAAACAACAUGGGAGUAAAAUCCUGAGUACGAGAAGGUACUCAGCUAGACUUACCCGUCAUAAACUUAAAAUAAAGACUCAUCAAAGAUCAUGAAGGCUAUAUAGUGGGGUAGCUGACAACCAUUUUGCAAAACCGUAGGAUUUUACUAUCAUAACCUACAUAAAUCUUUCUUCUUUUAAUUUGCUCAACUUGAAAGUAUCAUUACCUAUUAUCUAGGUUCGCACCUGCACUAUUGCAAGCAAGUAUAGGGAUAUGAUAGUACUUCAUCAUAGCAUACAUAAACCGUUUCAUUAAAACCCAAGUGUUCCAUAGUCCUUACUACGAGGACGAAGCUCAUGUCAAGUGCUCACUAUCCAGGAGCGAUGGCGAUUCGAAUCGAUUUCUAACCAGCUGGCGAAUUUAUUCCCCACACAAACCACACUCACUGAUCAAGUGAGCUACAGGUCACCGUAUUGCACUAUCCAGGACCAAUUCACGGGUUCGACAGGCACCACCCGUACCCGAGGACGGUUCCGGCGACCGAGGUAUCCAAGGUAUACCAAGGUUGCACGCCGCGCCCUCGUCGUUCUCCUCAGCCAUCACCAAUACAGCGCGUACAUCGGGCCAAUUCCCGGCCCGGAUAGUGCUCACGCUUCACUGUUGGAACGACUUAUCCUUCCAGCUAAAUGUGGGGCAUGCGUUCAACAUGACAAGAGGGCCGUCAACGAUCGGUCCUUAAUCGACGCAGGCAGGGGCACUAUGGUCAACCCACCAUAAGACCCUGCCCGGUCUCUAAUUACAUUCCACACUUGGUUAUUCUUUUUCCCCAAGCAACCACUGCUUAAUCAAGCAGGUAUCCACCUAUAUCUCGCAGGUGAUAGGGAAUCACCUGACUUCUACCGGACUAAGCAAGCUAAGCAUAUACUCCGUGCCUAUCUACAUAGGACAAGGUAGAUAAACGAGUAGGGAUAACAAGGAGUACAUAUGCAUCAACGGUAUCAAGCAACUCCUAUCACUUAGAUGCAAUAUAGUAGAACAAGUAUAGUGCAUCAUGUAAGUUAGCGAGAAUAGGGAGACUUAGAAUGCUUCGGGGCUUGCCUUUCUCAAACGUGCUUGGUCGGUGAUCCGGACACUCCUGUAGUUCUCUCCGGACUCUUGUGCUUCCGGAGGUUCCUGCUCUUGAAUCUCCUCUGGCUCCUCGGGUCCCACCUCGUUCUCCUGCGAGCCUGUAUGAUGCAUGUGUGCUCAUGAGUGGAGUGCGAGAUGCCCGAGUGGAUGCUCGUAUGAGAAAGUACCAAAGGAUCAUGACAUGAUGCAUAGGUGAUACACUUGGUCAUGUUCAUUACAAGGUAGUCAACAUCAUCCAAGAACAAACAAUUGAAUCAAACAUCUAUUGCAUUCUCUUCCACAAUUAUUUUUCUUUUUCAAAUGUGACCAGUAACCCACAAGUGGCUUCAAAGAUACACCAAACCCAAACUUAUUCUAUUCAACCUAUAUAUACAACAAUUCAUAAUUUUCUUUAUUCAUUUCUAGGCCCAUUAAAAUUUACAUGCAGUUCUGUUCAUCAAUAAAUUCCACAAAAAUUACAGGAGACUACUAGUCAAGCAUAGAGUCUACUGUAAAUUUUUCAUAAUUUUUGGAUACUUAUUUUGAGCUACAAAAAUCACAAGAUUAAUUAAUAAGGUAAGUAUAAUUACUCCACUGUGAUAUAAGUGUCAAACAGCCGACUUCAUAUUUUUACAGUUUUUCUAAUAUUAUAAGAAAUAACCACAAAAAUUUCCAGAUUAUUUGCAUGAUCCAAAUAAUUACUAAAAAUCAUAAACCACCGCCAUGCAAGCAUUUAAAUUACCAUAAAUUCAUUUAUACACCAAAUAAUGUGUAGCAACAUUUUCCCAGUGAGUUAGCAUACAUGCAAAGCCCAUAAAACAAGUUUCAUAUUUUUCUGAGUCAUAUUUUAUUUACUAUGCAUUUUCCAAGUUUAGCAAAAACAUUGAUUAAAUAUAUUCAUACAGAAAAGUUACUCAAACAUGACAUGCAAUUACAUCAAACUGUAGAUCUGGAAAUAUAGAGCACACCAAAAUUUAUUUCAUCAAAUUUGGAGCUGUAGAACUCAAGAUAUGAAUUUUACAAGUUUUGAAUCAAUUUCUGGAAAACAUUUAUUCAAGAAAACCGACGAAAAAGGCUAAGCACACCCAGGUCUACACCCACCGGGGUCCCCCUGUGACUGACAAAGGGCCUCUGACCCCACCGGUCAGCGAGACCGAGAGGGAGCUCACCUCCGACGAGCAGAUCUCGCCGGCGGUGAGGUCCCCGGCCACGGGGUGAGCACCAACGUGCUCCCCGCAGCGAGGCGCACCCAGCGGUACCCUCGGAUUGGCCGGAGGAUGACCGGAACACCUCCGGCGAGCAUGCAUGGCGGCACGGCGGCGCUACUCGCCGUGGCUAGGCCGCUCCGGUGCGGUAGAGCGCGCGCAAACGGCUCUCCGAGCUUCCUCACCACCCUACCGACCUAGCGCAACCAAGAACCAGCGAAAAGAGGCAGAGAAACGCAAGAUCCGUCGCGGCGGAGUACUCCGGCGAGCUCGGGGUAACUCCGGCGAGCGAUUCACGGCACUCGACGGACUCUCACCUCGGUAGAACGCUCGCACAAGCUUACCCUAACGAUGGCGAAGGCGCUGGUGGCUUCGGUGUCGAGGUUUGGCCACUGGAGUGGCCGGCGGUGAGCAGCGGAGCUGCUCCGGCGAUGGCGCUGCGGCGGAGUUCUACGGCUCAGUCGCGCUCGCGAGCGGAGGGAGGAAGGAAAAGGGCGCGGGCGACAGAAUGGAGGGAGUAGCCUGGGGGCGCGGGGCGGCGUCCCGACCAGGAGGGGUUGGAGGCCGGCCGCGGCGCGUCCAACGCCGGCGUACGGCCGCCACGUGGCCGGCGCCGGGUGGAGCGAGGCGGGCGCCGCGCGCGCAGGAGAGAGGGGGAGGGGGAGGCAGGCCGGGCCGUUUGCUGGGCCGAAAAAGGAGGCGGGGUUGGCCCAGCAGCGCCUGCCCCUUUCCUAUUUUUUUUUUGAAUUUCUUUUCUCCAAAUCUUUUCUAAAUUCAUUUGGACCAAUUUAAAAUCAUUUUCACCUGUUGCUCCCAAAAACAAAGUUGUUCCAAAACAAAAACCCUACAACUUUGUUUUAAUAAGCAAGACCAAAUUCCCAAUAGAAUUUGAAUUUACAAAUUAAAACUAGUUCUAGGUUUUUAAAUAAAUUCAUUUUGGACAUUUUGUAUAAAUUCCAUUUCUCAAAUUCCAUAGCUCCAAAAAUUGCACAAAAUAUUCUUAAUUCUUCUUACACAUAAAUCAACCUAGUUUGAAUAUUUCACAUUUUUAGAAGCAAGCAUCAUAUUUUUAACAUAAUUAAAACACAUGAAAUAAAGCACAUAAAAUCAUGUUUUGGGAUGAAUGACAUGCUCAUGAUGCUUUGCUUGAUGAGAAUGCUUAUGCAUGUUGUGAUAGGGCUAAAUGUAUGCUUAACACCUAGGGGGUUACAGACCUUCCCCCCUUAGGGAAAUCUCGUCCCGAGAUUUUGGGUUACUAACGAUUUCUUAUGAAAUUUUGGAUAAACUGUUUUCAAGUAAUCCUCUGUUUCCCAGGUGGCAUCCCUAUCGUCAUGAUGACUCCACACCACCUUAUAUGUUCUGAUAAUUCUGUUUUGGGUUACCCGUUCCUUGGUAUCCACAAUCCCCACUGGUUGCUCCUUAUACUCUAAGUCUGCUUUUAUUUUGAUCCCUCGAGUUUCAAUUCUUUGCUCAGGUACUCUCAAACAUUUCCGCAGUUGCGACACAUAGAAGACCGGAAAGAUCGAGCUCAACUCUUCAGGUAACUGAAUCUUGUAGGCCACGGGGCCUUUUCUCUUCAGUAUUUGGUACGGUCCCACAUAUCUGGGUGCAAGCUUGCUUCGAACUCAGAAACGCUGAACUUUCUUCAUUGGCGUAACCUUGAGGUACACAUAGUCACCUACCUUGAAUUCAAGUGGCCUUCUUCUCUUAUCAGCAUAACUCUUUUGUCGUGAUUACGCUGCUUGCAUAUGCUGCUGUAUGAUUUGCACCUUCUUCUCGGCCUCAUUCACGAAGUCGAUACCAUAGUAUCGUCUUUCCCCACGUUCAACCCAAUUUAACGGAGUUCUACACCUCCGACCAUACAGAGCUUCGAACGGGGCCAUCUUGAUGCUCUCUCGAUAACUGUUAUUGUAGGAGAAUUCAGCCAGAGGUAACAAUGAUUCCCAUGAUCCCUUGGACGAUAGCACACAGGCCCUCAGCAUAUCUUCUAACACUUGAUUUAGCCUCUCCGUUUGGCCUGAAGUCUGGGGAUGAUACGCCGUGCUUCUUAUCAGACUGGUCCCCAAAUUCUUAUGCAUUCGAUCCCGGAAGUGAGCGGUGAACUGUGGUCCUCUAUCUGAUAUGAUGGUCUUGGGAAUACCAUGCAACUUGACAAUCUCAGCCAUAUAUAUAUCGGCAUACUCGGGAGGUCUGUAUGUGUUUUUAACUGGAAUGAAAUGAGCCGACUUGGUUAAUCGAUCUAUGAUUACCCAAAUCGAGUCAUUCCCCUUCCUCCUGGUUGGUAAACCUGUGAUAAAGUCUAUACUGACCUCUUCCCAUUUCCACUCUGGAACUGAUAACGGUUGCAACAGACCUGCAGGUUUCAUAUGGAUGGCCUUAACUCUGCAACACGUGUCGCAACGGGCUACAUAUGCGGCUAUUUCUUUCUUCAUCUUGGUCCACCAAAAGUGGGGUCUUAGAUCUUGAUACAUUUUGCUACUGCCAGGAUGAAUAGAAAGCUUAUAGAGAUGGGCUUCAUCCAUGAUGCGAUUCUUCAAUUCACGAUCUUUCGGAACUACUAACCAAUGUUGAAACCACAGUACCCCUUUCUCAUCAACCCGAAACUAAGUUUUUGGGUCAUCUUUGAUCUUCUCUUUGAUGUGGAAAAUACCCUUGUCUGUUUUCUGUCCUUCAAUGACUUGACUCUCGAGUGAACAACUGAGUUGUAUGUGACAUAAGACCUCAGGAUGCAUAAGAUUGAACCCAUCUUCAAACAAUGGUUGAACCACUUGAUAGUGCGGUUUAUGACUCAACGCAUCUGCUACUACAUUAGCCUUGCCUGGAUGAUAGUGAACUUCCAGAUCAUAGUCCUUGAUUAACUCUAACCACCAUCGUUGCCUCAUAUUUAGCUCGGACUGAGUGAAGAUGUACUUCAAACUCUUAUGAUCGGUAUAAAUGUGACACUUAUUUCCCAGCAGAUAAUGUCUCCAAAUCUUCAAAGCAUGCACUACUGCUGCUAACUCGAGGUCGUGCAUUGGGUAGUUGACUUUGUGCUUUCUCAACUGUCGGGAAGCAUAAGCUAUCACCCUGCCAUCUUGCAUCAACACACAUCCCAGGCCACUCUUCGAUGCGUCACAAAACACAUCAAAAGGCUUUUCUAUAUUAGGUUGUGCCAGAACGGGAGCAGUGGUUAGCAACAUCCGCAAGGUGCGGAAGGCUAACUCACACCCUUCCGUCCAGACAAACUUUUGAUCCUUUUGUAGCAAACUUGUCAUUGGCUUAGCAAUCUUGGAGAAGUCAGGUAUGAAACGACGAUAAUACCCGGCCAGACCAAGAAAACUUCUAACUUCCGAGACAGAAGUUGGUGCCUUCCAGUCCAUGACUUCCUGCACUUUUGACGGAUCCACAGCGAUCCCUUCUUUAGAUAGAAUAUGCCCUAGGAAAGGAACUUUCUUCAACCAGAACUCACACUUGCUGAACUUGGCAUAUAACUGAUGCUCUCGUAAUUGUGUCAGCACGAUUCUCAGAUGCUCGGCAUGAUCUUGCUCAUUUUCUGAAUAAACCAGAAUAUCAUCGAUACAUAAAAACUGAAUUCAUCAGAUACAUAAAGUAUGCAGGAGCAUUCGUCAAUCCAAAGGACAUGACAAGAUACUCAUACAACCCAUAUCUGGUGGAAAAAGCAGUCUUCGGGAUAUCUUGCGGACGAAUCUUGAUUUGGUGGUACCCAGACCUCAAAUCUAUCUUAGAAAACACUCUUGCCUUGGACAACUGAUCAAACAGGAUAUCAAUCCUUGGCAAAGGAUACUUAUUCUUGAUUGUCACUGCAUUGAGUGGACGAUAGUUCACGCACAUGCGCAAUGACUGAUCCUUCUUUUUCACAAACAACGCUGGACAACCCCAUUCCGACGAGCUUGGCCGGAUGAACCCUUUAUCCAGUAACUCUUUUAGUUGAUUCUUCAACUCAGCGAGUUCGUUUGGUGGCAUCCAGUACGGCCUUCUAGAUAUUGGUGCUGUACCCGGUAUCAACUCAAUUGCAAACUCUACUUCCCUAUCUGGUGGAAGUCCUGGUAAAUCCUCAGGAAACACAUCAGGGAACUCACAUACCACGGGUAUGUGUUCUAGUGGAAUCACCUGUACUGCACACGAAAGACUAACGAAGUCCAACCGUCGGGGUAGCUUGACUUGAAGCACACCCUUCCCUUGUGGGUCUCUGAGGGAAAGAGUUCUAUUCCCGACAUCUAUAACCGCGCCCCAGUCAGUCAUCUUGUUCAUUCCAAUGAUGACAUCCAAAACCAGCCCUGGCAUGACCACAAGGUUUACGCGAAACCUCCGGCCACUGAUAUCCAAAGUAACUCCUGUUACUGUUUUAUUAGUCAACACAUCGGCUCCGGCUGAGCUGAUGUGAUAGCCAUAACCUAACUUAGCAACUGGCUGGUCAUGCUUUUGUGCAAAUGCUUGGCUCAUGAAUGAACGCGAUGAUCUAGAAUCAAACAAAACAACUGCGAGAUGUUGGUUGACAGAAAACAUACUAGCUGUUACCGGUUCUCCUUCCUGGAUCUCCUCGAUCGAGGUAUGGUGCACACGAGCUGGAUAGGUUGGCUGCUGCCUCUUGGGAUAGGGACAUUCCUUAGCAAAGUGCCCCAUCUUGUGGCAGUUAUAGCACGGACCCUUGGGCGCAUUGUUGACGGCAGGUGCUGCAGCUUGAAUUGCCUUUGGCUUGGCAGGAGCUAUUGCCACCUUGUACGGCUUCUGCUGCGUUGGAUGCCCGGUGUUCCUUCUCUAUGACGGUCGAAACCUAGCACCUGGGGCAGGAGGACGAUACUGCUGUCGCCCUGCCACUGGUGCCCUGGACUGGGAUGAUCCGGCUUCAAAAGCCCUCUUACGUGACUUGGAUGCACUGUAGUUGUUAUUAUUGUUCUCUUGGGUCACACAGUCACUGAUAUAGGCAUUGAAGGUAGCCCUGUCUCCUGUACCCAUGGUCUUCAGCAUCUUUGGAUUCAAACCUCUCUGGAAACUAGCAAUCUUCUUAGCCUCCGUGUUUACAAAUUCAGGGGCAUAGCGAGCGAGAUUGUUGAAAGCGUGUAGAUACUCCUUCACAGAUUUUGUCCCCUGGGACAGCCUCAUGAACUCCCCGAUCUUCAUUUCAACUAACCCCAAAGGAAUAUAAUUUCCCCGAAAAGCGGUGGUGAAGCGGUUCCAGGUAAUUGGGGUCCCCUCUGGGUAGGUGGUACGGUGAUGGGACCACCAAAUCCCAGCGGGUCCUUGCAACUGAUGUGCCGCAUACUCAGCCUUAAGUUCUUCUGUCAUUCGGAGGAGACGAAACUUCUGCUCCAUAGUGUUGAUCCACUCAUCUGCCUCGAGCAGUUCCAAAGCCUCUUUGAAGAUUGGUGGCUUGGUAUCCAUGAAGUCCUUGAACGAACUGUACUGGUUGACUUCUCGGCCGCCCUGGUUAUCCCCACGACGGGUGUUGUCAGCUAUGUUGCGCAGAGCCUCUUCCAUAUUGCGUUGCAUCUGUUCCAUGUUGCGUUGGCUCCCCAGAAACUGCGUGAAAAACACGUCCGCAGUGUACGGAGGAGGCGGUGGUGGUGGCGGUGUUGGCGCUCUGUCCUCAUUCCGUUGAGCCCCACCUCCGGAUGUACCUGCUCCAAGACCCGGAUUGCUGUUACCCCCGCCACGUGUUUGCACCAUCUACAUACGUCAAUGAUAAGCAAUUGUUAGGAGUUGCCAUCAACGGUAGGAAUGCGUAGAAUCGUGCCGUACUGAAUUUACUGAGGGAAUAAAUUCGCACAACAAACAGAGGCUCAACAAUUCAUCAUCUACGCACAACAUCACUAACAGAUUGCUUAACGUUCACGCAACAAGGUUCGUGUACAUCCAACUUGCCAGCAUACAUACACUGGACUUCCAGCAUUAACUCAUAAAGUUUUACAUAGCCCAGAUCCAAAGGUACACGACAUGCCAUGCAACAUACAACACAAAAGAAGAAGGACUAGCUCUAAAGCCCUAGCAUCUAGUCGCUAUGAUCACUGUCCAUGCCGGAGCCCUCCUCAUCCUCAUCUCCACUAGCAGCUGCUCCUAUCUCGGGAUCCGGGUCCAUCUCGUCCUCAGAGUCUAGCUCAGCUGCUCCAGGCAGGUGGUGAGGGUGGAGCUGGUUAUGCAGCUGGUGGAUCUCCUCAUGCAAGUUCUCAUUGUACUCCUCAGCAUUAGCUAGCUGCUGCUCUAGCUCUAGCUGUCGGGCCCUCAAAGUGUCCUCCUCGUGCCAGGCUUCAUUCCUCUGUCCAAGCACAUGGACUAGCAUGCGCUCGCAGUUCCUGUGAGCAGUAGUCACCCUGUCCUUCUGCUCCCGUACUGCAAGCAGGUCCUGACUCAGCUCACUGUUCUUCUGGACUGCCUGAUCUCUCUCUGUGGUCACACGGGCCAACUCUGCCUGUAGCCUCUCAACCUCAGAGUCAAACUCAUGCUGCAACUGAUGCUUCUCAUCCUGGACGGUGAGAAGAGACCCAGACAAGCGACCCAAACAACGCUCCAGGCCUCCAUAGGUCUUCAUCAACGCGUACAUGGCACUCAUAGCUGCACCGUCACUGUGCUGGUCCUCAUCCGCACUCCUCUCUAGAGCAUUCACCUCAGACUGAUCCCACACCGAAGUGUAGGGGUCAUCCCGGGGAAACACCCCAGCGAAGGCGUGGGCCAGCUCCUGUGGCAACCUCUUCAUGAGGUCCCUCAGAACUGCGAAAGCUGCCCUGCUGGCACCGUGGAAAGGCGUGACACCUCGGGACUCGUACACCCAACCACCCCAAGCAGGGUCUCCUCCACUGGUAGGGACAACUGCCUCGAUCCCCACCAGGGUCUCGUCACCAAGCGGCUCCUUAUCCCAAUAGUAGCGAGGCUCCCUUCCUUCGGGAUACCCCAUCGAACUGAGCACCCUCCAAAGCAAAGUGGGCAUCCCAAACUCCUCCAGGAACUUGCUCUUAUGUCGCGAGCUCCUGGCUGCCAACGGAUGGCGAGGGGCCCGCCCACCAGUGGACUUGCGAGCGGUGAGCCUAGUGCGUGCCAUCUGCUGCAAAUGGAAUACCGUGGGUAAGAGCGAGGAUUACAUUUAAUUAUUUUAUUUAGAAUUAGGACUGAUUAAAUUGAGGGAGAAAGUAAGCAAUGAUAUGAAAUGAACAUGAUGCAUGCACGAACUUACGAUCUCACAAACCUAGAAACAAGGUUAACACUAAGCGGUAUAUGCGGUCGCACACAACGUUCUCUUAUAACGUAACUAGCGUUCUAAGCGAGAACGUGGUUAGUGUACCUGCAGAAAACUCAUUUCAGCCCACCCAUAGUAUGACCGUGCAGAACAACAAUUUAAAACUAUGCACUUCACAUACACAGACACCCGUCCAUGCAUGUGAUGUGUCACUACCCACAUCAUCGCCCUAAUGACGGCAUUGCCUCUCAGGACGGAAUUCCCAACAUGCGGUAUUGUUUCCAAGACACACCAAACAUGUGUGCAUGACACAGUACCUAACAACACUCCCCUAGACCGGUAGUGUAUCCGAUCAUGCUCUCACAGCUCCCACUUACCGUGGCGUAGAGGAAAAAUGGAUCCAUACAUUACCACUCAAAUGAAUGGUACUCAUACUAUUGCACGCCGUAUGAGCGACGAAAUAAAAAUAUGAUGCAUUAACCCCCAAGUCAGUACUUAAGUAGCCACCUUAGAGUCCUUAAUUGGGCAUAAAGGUUAUGACCAUGGCACACUAGAUAGUUUUCCCAAAACUCGGUUUAACACCUUGAUCAUUAUUGAUUAGUUAAUAAAAUCUUUUUAUUAAACUGAUUUAGGUUUUUGUUUAGAACUUACUUAUGAACAGUAACUCGCUAAACCUUGCUCCGAUGCCAGCUGUAACAGAACCGACCAAAUUAUUAGAGAUUAAGACUAACAGUGACCAUUUGCAUAGUCAAACCAUUACGCUUAAGCCCAUAUAAUCCCGGUAGUCCGUGAAAUCUCGAAGGAUUUCAAACCACACAUCGCACAACAGCCAAGAUCGUAAUAAGUUUAGCGGUCACCAUUCACAAAUACAUUCAGAUUACAACAUUCAUAAAAUACAUCGGAGUUCUUAAAAUUAUUACAAACCAAGUUCUUCAAGUGGCGGAAGCUUCAUAGUUCGAAAAUACAACACGCACGCUUAGUCUGAUACAGUGCCAUAGUUUGGUCAUUCCCACAAAAGCAAAAGAAGAGACGGAGUGACCAUCGCCCUUGGUCUAGUCAUCACCCAUGGCUGGGUACAGACAGAGGAUGCAAUAACCAUAGUACAUUUGACCAUCUGCAAAACAACAUGGGAGUAGAAUCCUGAGUACGAGAAGGUACUCAGCUAGACUUACCCGUCAUAAACUUAAAAUAAAGACUCAUCAAGGAUCAUGAAGGCUAUAUAGUGGGGUAGCUGACAACCAUUUUGCAAAACCGUAGGAUUUUACUAUCAUAACCUACGUAAAUCUUUCUUCUUUUAAUUUGCUCAAGUUGAAAGUAUCAUUACCUAUUGUCUAGGUUCGCACCUGCACUAUUGCAAGCAAGUAUAGGGAUAUGAUAGUACUUCAUCAUAGCAUUCAUAAACCCUUUCAUUAUAACCCAAGUGUUCCAUAGUCGUUACUACGAGGACGAAGCUCAUGUCAAGUGCUCACUAUCCAGGAGCGAUGGCGAUUCGAAUCGAUUUCUAACCAGCUGGCGAAUUUAUUCCCCACACAAACCACACUCACUGAUCAAGUGAGCUACAGGUCACCGUAUUGCACUAUCCAGGACCAAUUCGCGGGUUCGACAGGCACCGCCCGUACCCGAGGACAGUUCCGACGACCGAGGUAUCCAAGGUAUACCAAGGUUGCGCGCCGCGCCCUCGUCGUUCUCCUCAGCCAUCACCAAUACAGCGCGUACAUCGGGCCGAUUCCCGGCCCGGAUAGUGCUCAGGCUUCGCGGUCGGAACGACUUAUCCUUCCAGCUAAAUGUGGGGCAUGCGUUCAACAUGACAAGAGGGCCGUCAACGAUCGGUCCUUAAUCGACGCAGGCAGGGGCACUAUGGUCAACCCACCAUAAGACCCUGCCCGGUCUCUAAUUACAUUCCACACUUGGUUAUUCUUUUUCCCCAAGCAACCACUGCUUAAUCAAGCAGGUAUCCACCUAUAUCUCGCAGGUGAUAGGGAAUCACCCGACUUCUACCGGACUAAGCAAGCUAAGCAUAUACUCCGUGCCUAUCUACAUAGGACAAGGUAGAUAAACGAGUAGGGAUAACAAGGAGUACAUAUGCAUCAACAGUAUCAAGCAACUCCUAUCACUUAGAUGCAAUAUAGUAGAACAAGUAUAGUGCAUCAUGUAAGUUAGUGAGAAUAGGGAGACUUAGAAUGCUCCGGGCUUGCCUUUCUCAAACGUGCUUGGUCGGUGAUCCGGACACUCCUGUAGUUCCUCUCUGGACUCUUGUGCUUCCGGAGGUUCCUGCUCUUGAAUCUCCUCUGGCUCCUCGGGUCCCACCUCGUUCUCCUGCGAGCCUAUAUGAUGCAUGUGUGCUCAUGAGUGGAGUGUGAGAUGCCCGAGUGGAUGCUCGUAUGAGAAAGUACCAAAGGAUCAUGACAUGAUGCAUAGGUGAUACACUUGGUCAUGUUCAUUACAAGGUAGUCAACAUCAUCCAAGAACAAACAAUUGAAUCAAACAUCUAUUGCAUUCCCUUCCACAAUUAUUUUUCUUUUUCAAAUGUGACCAGUAACCCACAAGUUGCUUCAAAGAUACACCAAACCCAAACUUAUUCUAUUCAACCUAUAUAUACAACAAUUCAUAAUUUUGUUUAUUCAUUUCUAGGCCCAUUAAAAUUUACAUGCAGUUCUGUUCAUCAUUAAAUUCCACAAAAAUUACAGGAGACUACCAGUUAAGCAUAGAGUCUACAGUAAAUUUUUCAUAAUUUUUGGAUACUUAUUUUGAGCUACAAAAAUCACAAGAUUAAUUAAUAAGGUAAUUAUAAUUACUCCACUGUGAUAUAAGUGUCAAACAGCCGACUUCAUAUUUUUACAGUUUGUCUAAUAUUAUAAGAAAUAACCACAAAAAUUUCCAGAUUAAUUGCAUGAUCCAAAUAAUUACUAAAAAUCAUAAACCACUGCCAUGCAAGCAUUUAAAUUACCAUAAAUUCAUUUAUACACCAAAUAAUGUGUAGCAACAUUUUCCCAGUGAGUUAGCAUACAUGCAAAGCCCAUAAAACAAGUUUCAUAUUUUUCUGAGUCAUAUUUUAUUUACUAUGUAUUUUCCAAGUUUAGCAAAAACAUGGAUUAAAUAUAUUCAUACAGAAAAGUUACUCAAACAUGACAUGCAAUUACAUCAAACUGUAGAUCUGGAAAUAUAGAGCACACCAAAAUUUAUUUCAUCAAAUUUGGAGCUGUAGAACUCAAGAUAUGAAUUUUACAAGUUUUGAAUCAAUUUUUGGAAAACAUUUAUUCAAGAAAACCGACAAAAAAGGCUAAGCACAACCAGAUCUACACCCACCGGGGUCCCCCUGCGACUGACAGUGGGCCUCUGACCCCACCGGUCAGCGAGACCGAGAGGGAGCUCACCUCCGACGAGCAGAUCUCGCCAGCGGUGAGGUCCCCGGCCACGGGGUGAGCACCAACGUGCUCCCCGCAGCGAGGCGCACCCAGCGGUACCCUCGGAUUGGCCGGAGGAUGACCGGAACACCUCCGGCGAGCAUGCAUGGCGGCACGGCGGUGCUGCUCGCCGUGGCCAGGCCGCUCCGGUGCAGUAGAGCGCGCGCAAACGGCUCUCCGAGCUUCCUCACCACCCUACCGACCUAGCGCAACCAAGAACCAGCGAAAAGAGGCAGAGAAACGCAAGAUCCGUCGCGGUGGAGUACUCCGGCGAGCUCGGGGUAACUCCGGUGAGCGAUUCACGGUGCUCGACGGACUCUCACCUCGAUAGAACGCUCGCACAAGCUUACCCUAACGAUGGCGAAGGCGCUGGUGGCUUCGGUGUCGAGGUUUGGCCACUGGAGUGGCCGGCGGUGAGCAGCGGAGCCGCUCCGGCGAUGGCGCUGCGGCGGAGUUCUACGACUCGGUCGUGCUCGUGAGCGGAGGGAGGAAGGAGAAGGGCGCGGGCGACAGAAUGGAGGGAGUAGCCUGGGGGCGCGGGGCGGCGUCCCGACCAGGGGGGGUUGGAGGCCGGCCGCGGCGCGUCCAACGCCGGCGUACGGCCGCCACGUGGCCGGCGCCGGGUGGAGCGAGGCGGGCGCCGCGCGCGCGGGAGAGAGGGGGAGGCAGGCCGGGCCGCUUGCUGGGCUGAAAAGGAGGCAGGGUUGGCCCAGCAGCGCCUGCCCCUUUCCUAUUUUUUUUUUGAAUUUCUUUUCUCCAAAUCUUCUCUAAAUUCAUCUGGACCAAUUUAAAAUCAUUUUCACCUCUUGCUCCCAAAAACAAAGUUGUUCCAAAACAAAAACCCUACAACUUUGUUUUAAUAAGCAAGACCAAAUUCCCAAUAGAAUUUGAAUUUACAAAUUAAAACUAGUUCUAGGUUUUUAAAUAAAUUCAUUUUGGACAUUUUGUAUAAAUUCCAUUUCACAAAUUCCAUAGCUCCAAAAAUUGCACAAAAUAUUCUUAAUUCUUCUUACACAUUAAUCAACCUAGUUUGAAUAUUUCACAUUUUUAGAAGCAAGCAUCAUAUUUUUAACAUAAUUAAAACACAUGAAAUAAAGCACAUAAAAUCAUGUUUUGGGAUGAAUGACAUGCUCAUGAUGCUAUGCUUGAUGAGAAUGCUUAUGCAUGUUGUGAUAGGGCUAAAUGCAUGCUUAACACCUAGGGGGUUACAAGUACAACCUUGUACUCAGUUUUUAUUCCCACUUAUUGCAGAUGACAUCUUCUAUGACAGUUUCUACAAGACCUGUCUUCACCCUGCUAGGGAUGAUGACUAACUGUUGGGUGUGGUUCUCUAAGACUUCGUACCUAACUUGCUUUUGGUGGAUGUGACGAGACACUGGCUGUAAUAAUAAAUUUGUGAUGUUGGUUUGAAAACUAUGUUGCUUCCGCUACUAGGAACUUGUUUUGUAAUAACUUAAGUGAACUCUGAUGUGUGUCGCUUCGUCGACCUUGUAUGAAAUGCUAUAACAAUCGAUGUAUUAUGCUGAACUCAUUACAAUCUUGGUUUGUUGCCAAGUUGGUUGGAAAUCCUUCGAGAUUUCGGUUGACUAUCGGGAUUAUAUGGGCUCAAGUUUGGAAACUUGAUUGCUCUGGUGAUCAUUUCUACACUUGAACUCUUAUAAUUUGGUCAGUUCUAUGACACCCUAUGGGUUCAUGUGCAUGUAGACAUGGGCCAAGUACUCCUACUCGCCCAACAGUUGACAGCGGCCUCUAGCAAGGUGUGACAACUCCUAUACACAUGCAAGGAUCAUAUCAAACAAACCACUACAUACACAUACAUUUUAUUCCCUUGCCACAUGAUAUUUGGUCCAACUCGUGGGCUAACACUUAACCGAAGCAUGGCCAUGCAUUUAUUGAUCCAAUCAGUUGAGUCAUCUAGUGAUAUCUCUCUCACAUAGAGAGGGGCAAUUUUCAUCUUGAUCAUCUAUGUCUCACGGCAUGUUCCCCGACAUACCCGAAGACCACCUUUAUAACUACCCUAUUACAGAGCAGCAUUUAAUAGUCCCUAAGUAGGUAGUUUCACAUUUGAUAACAUACGACAAUCUCAGGUCUAAGGACAUAACGUACAUGAUGUAUAAAGAGAUAAUAAGAACAUCUCAUAUUGGGUCAGUCUAGCCCCAUGUCUAUGACUUGUGAAACAUAGUCAUCAACUAAUACAUGUGCUAAUCUAAUAUUCAUGUGUGUCCUCACACGAACUCUGAUUAGGGACAACUUUAGAAUAAUCAUAUAAGUAAAAGAGUUUCACAAAUAAUUCACAUAAUUAUCAAUCAAUACAAGUUUUUCUAUAACAGAUAUUCAUCAAACUCAUAAUAGAUGUCAUGGAUUCAAUCGUAAUAUCAUCAUCUCUAUGAUUACCUUUAGGGCUUAUUCCCAACAAUGUGUUAAUCCCAAAUUUUGGUGAGACAAGGAACUGCCUGUGGGCCCGCUUCAUGGGAAGGAGGAACGGACAGAUAGUGGAUUGACUAAAUAGAAGCGUGGAGGAAAGUAGUCGAUCAAGGGAUGUCAAAUCAAGGCAAGAUAGAAGAAGACGUAUCAGGUUUUAUUACAAAGAAGGAAUUGGAGUCCCAAUUACCUUUUUCAGUAGUCGUGUAAUAUUAGGACACAUGACUAGGUUCUAGAACUCGAUCCGUGUAAUGAUAUAAUCAACCAAAAAAUACAAACACUUUUCAGCUCCGGCCACCAACCUUAGGAGUAGGAGUAAGAGUAGAUCUCGACAAGAUCUUCGAUAAAUCGAGUUGCAUCGGUUGAUUUUGACCAUCGGUUUGCUUGUGAGUAUUGUCAUGGUUUAUGUUUAGUUUAUUACGACUGCAUCUUCCGAACUCGUGUUAAGCUCAAUUGAACUAGUUAUCGACUUAGAUCUUAUUUGUAAGGCUGCAUUAUUUUAAUCUCUUACAAAGAUCGAUUUAAGUUAUUUUUUGGCUCUAUUGAAUUGACAAUUUAAUAGGUUCAGUAAGUUAUCAAUAUUGUUUAAAGUUUAACGUUUUGUUCAUUAUAACAAUAUUCUGCCCAAUCAAGAUUCAGCAGAUUAGUUCAUGCUUUAAAUAUAAACACUUGUUGCAAAUUUUAAAUAAAUAACGAUUAUCAAGUAAAUUUAAGAUAACUAAUAUGUUGAUCUUGAUUGUUGCAUGUUAUGUGUUCGAGAUAUUUAUUUAAUCAUGAUUAAUUUGGUAACAAAACUGAAUUUACUUAUGGCGAAGUAAAUAGAUCUCGUUCGUGCUUUAUGGAUCCUAUAUCGACUAAAUAGCCGAUCUAGUUAAGCUUGAACGAAUAGCGCAUAUGUGUAAACCCGACUAUAGAAUUAAAUAAAUUAGUUAAUUGUGUUAAAAUUAUUGUAGCCUACUGGACUUUAGAGCAGGUGAAUAUAAAUUUAAUAUGUUUAUGAAAGUAACUUAUUAAGACCUUAGUCCUUCAGACCAGUGUUGACGGUCAAUAACGUCAACUUUUAUUAUAACUUUAAACCUGAAGGAGAACAUGAAUACACACUAGUAUAGGGUUUAAACUAACAAUUUGCAUGAGUUUUGCAUAUUCUAUGUUUUCCAGGGUUGAUUUCACAGAGAGCUGAAAAAGAGGGAUUCUAGUGCAUAUUUACCACGAGACUCAUCCGUGGCAGAAAAUAUCGUCAUCAGGCUCAAGAAGGGUCUAGAAAACACCCGAAGAAACGAGAGCCGUGGAAGAGGAAAGGUGGAGCCGGCAGGCCUCACCCUAGGACUAGUCGGCGCCCUGUUUUGCUUGUUGCCCGCCGCCUUCUGGAGUCUUCCUCCUAUGCAUCCUUGGAAACCAAGCAAAGUAUCCCUCCUUCGUUAUUAUGAAUAUGACUUUGUACUACUUCAAUAUAUUGCUUAUGACUUUGCUCUACUUAUUUAUAUUCAAGAUUAUAUUGUUCUUAGUUUAUCAUAGUUAUAUACUUGGUUUAGUUAGAUUGGAUCUAUAUACAUGUUUAGGACCGUAUAGCGUUUAUCCAUUGGAUCCAUGGGUAAAUGAUAGAUAUUGUGUAGGCGUGGUGCCUAUACCGUAUUUAUGUGCGAUUGUACCCAAUAUGCCAGAUCGUGGGGUAGUUCGUGAUAGUGACAGCUUCAUUGAUUCUUAUAUAGUCCCCCUCUCGUGUAUUGUGCUGGCAGAGCAACAUUAUUACACGGGAGUGAUUGCUAUGUUUCUCAUAUUCCUUGCUAAUAUCACUAUGCAUGGGCGUAGUCUUGUCUCACAAUGAUUGCUAAGUAUGCUUGCACUAACUAUGAUAAUGCUAGACUAUAUAGUUGAGAAUAACAUAGGAAAUAUUCUUGUAGUUCGUUCUAAUACCAUGCUAAUGACUUGCUAGAAUAUCUAAUUGAGGUGCUUAUCGUAUUUAUUAUGUGGCUAUGUCAUGCUGAUCAGAUUAAUUAUCUUUGUCACUAUUUAUUACUUUAUAUAUUCUUUAUGUGACACUUAUCCCUGUAUGAAAGAGUUAGAUAAAUAUUCUUAAUUAUACAUGCAAUGAUAGAUACUCAAUCUUAUAUUCCAUUCUAUAAUCAACAUUGAUGAUUACUAAUCCCUUCCCAGUGGUAAAAAUAUAAAUAACGAUACCUGGAAUACAUCCCGGUUAAAAUGCUACAUCGGUAUUAAUCUGUGCGCUUGCAGAGCCCAUUCAUUAUUUAUUUAGAUGAGCAAUUGCAUAUUUCAAUACCGCGUCUCUCAUGUCAUGCUGGGGAUGACAAGUUGGCUUAAGUGGUAUGAGGGAUAGGUUUGGCAUUUUUGGCACCGUUAUCAAAAUUAGAAAACUAAGUCUACUUUUGGUAGUAAUGUUAAGAAUACCCAACAAGCAUUUUUGGCGCCGUUGCCGGGGAAGGUUGAUUACUAAUCAAGAAUGAAUAUAGAAUUUUGAGUUGUCAUUCGCAUCACUAAUAUGAUUGAGCUUAUCAAUUCUCUCAUACAGUUUUAUCCCGAUAUUUUCCCAUUUUAUCUUAUGCAGGGUAAUGUAUGAAUAAAAGACAUCUUCCAGGAAAUUUUGUUGACAAUCCCAAAGCAUUAUUCAGAAAAACAAGAGCCAAGCUCAAGAAGAGAUCAUCAACACUUCAGCAAGAAGCUUCAUCCAAUCAAGAAGAUCACCGGAACUUGUCUUCAGAGUUCGAAGCCAUGGUGAACAAAUCGAUCCGUGAGUUCUCAGCUCCCACUAUGGACAACAUCCGCACUGGACCUGCUGCAGAGAUCGACGGCAACUUUGAGCUCAAGCCUGGACUUAUCUACAUGGUGCAAUCCAACCAGUUCUGUGGGAAGGCACACGAAGAUGCUAGUGCUCAUCUCCAACACUUCCUAGAGAUUUGCAACACAUUCACCAUAUCAGGAGUCCCCAGAGAUGCUAUACUACUUCGCCUCUUCCCAUUCUCACUGUUAGGAAGAGUGAAGCAGUGGUUCUACGCUACAAAGGAGAGGAAUACUACGUGGGCACUCUGCUCCACGAACUUUCUGGCUAAGUUCUUUCCUAUGGGCAAGACCAAUGCUCUCCGUGGCAAGAUUACAAGUUUUCAGCAACAACAUGAUGAAUCUGUUCCGAAAGCAUGGGAGCGCUUCCAAGACUACAUCCUAGAAUGUCCCCAUCAUGGAAUGGAGAGUUGGCUACUGAUGCAGACGUUUUAUCAUGUACUCGGCAGCAGUGCCCAAGAAACCAUGGAUGCUGCAGCUGGAGGAGCAUUCCUAUCACUUACCAAAUCAGAAGCCACAGCUCUUGUGGAGAAGAUGGUGUCCAACCAAAGCUGGAAUGAAGAGAGGACCCAGACACGCAAGAGAGGUGGAGGUAUGCAUCAGCUCAAGGAGGUAGACAUGCUGUCUGCAAAGCUAGACCUGCUCAUGAAGAAGCUCGAUGAUAGAGCUGGAGAUAAGAAAGAAGUUAUGCACAUCUACGACUCUCACAUGACUUGUGAAGAGUGUGGAGAUACUGGACAUUCAGGCAAUCACUGCCCUGAGAUGCUUGAGGAUGUGAACUACAUCAACAACUACAACAACUACUACAACCGUCCUCAACAAAAUCAAGGUUAGGAAUCAACAGAGGCCUAACUACUCAGGUAAUUAUCAAGGUAACAAUUCUUACAAUAAUAAUAAUAAUUAUUUUCCAACUCUGAGAGAGUUAGUGUCUAAUCAAGGAAAGCUAAUGGAUAACCUAUCUAAGAAAUUGGCAUCUAAUGAUGAAAUGCUAGAAAAUAUAAAUAAUAGAAUGGAUAAUUUCUGUGGUGCCAUCAAGAAUCAAAUUAGCAUUAAUAAAAUGAUUAAAUCUCAGUUAAAUCAAAUAGCUGCUGCUGUUUCUGCUACUAACCCCGGUAUACCCUCACAACCGGAAGGAUUAGAAUCUACAAAUAUUGUAGACAUGUUUGAUGCAGGUAAUUGAAGUAACCCCGUCACUGAAGUUGCUACUUGUUGACACUAGCUAACACCACUUAGAUACUAGGUUGUCAUCCCUAGCAUGGCGCGAGAGUGUACAAAGGUAUUUAUAAAUGUAAAGGCUCUCUAGAAAAUAAUCUAUUCUAUCCACAAGCGCACAGAUAAAACACCUCAUUGUAGCAUUUCACCAGGAUAAGUAUUCCACGUAUUGUUAUUUAUAAUUUUGCUCAAGAGAACUAAGAAAGAUGGAAUUAAAUCAAGGGACAAAAUCUAUCAAGGCAUAGACUAGAGAUAAACUUGCAAGAACAUGAUUACUAAUGAGAAACUCAUCACCCAGUCACUUACUUUAGCAGGGGGUAAACCAUAAAGAUAAUGAUAAUGAAUUAUAAGUUCAUGGGUAGAUAACACAACGAUUAGAAAAUAGACUACUCCUCAUAUAUGUAGGUGAUGUCGGAUUAGCUAGAGAAUGGAUUCUAAGUUAUCUACUAACUACUAAGUCAUAAUCUACUCUAGUUAUCUACAAGAUCAUGUAUAGCAUAAAAGAAUCUUCAUUCAUGUAUAAGGAACAUUGAUAAAGUAAAUCAGAACAUCACAUGACUUACUCCACAAUACCGGUUCUGCCUGUCCUAUCAACGGAGGGUGGACUAUAUAAGAAUCAACGAAGCUGUCACUAUCGCGAACUACCACACGACCCGGCCAAUAGGAUACAUUUGCAGAUAAAUAACAUCUAAGCACCACGCUCACAUGUGAUCUAUCACCUAACUCCCUCACGUCAAGAGCUAAGCGCUUUGCAAACUUAUACAUAAACUCAUUAUCAAUUAGAACUAUAUCAAAUAUAGAACUAGAGCAAACUAAGAACAUAAUAAUUAGAGACAUAAUGCAAUUAGAACAAUAGAAUUAGAGAAAGAUAUAAAUAAUACCAAUCUUUAUUACCAAAGAUCCGAAUCCAGAGCGUCGUGCUCUACUUCUCUAAUUGCUAUCUAAUCAACCUCUAAACUUGAAGGAUUAGGGAGUAGCUAAUUCUAAUUCUCUAUGGGAGAGAAGCUCUAAACCCUAACUUUUGCGCUACCUCUGAAUAAUAAUUUCUCCUCUUCUCCUCCAGGGGCCAGGGGGUCUGGUUUUAUAGUCCCCUCAAGUGAGCGUGAGCCAUUGGAUCAAACCGACAUAGAUUGUAUGGUUUAGAUUGAUCCUUUAGGUCGGUGGAGUCUUGCCCCGAAGCAGAGUCCUGUUUGGAGUCCUGGCCUGGGCGGGCGCCCAAGGGGGGUGGGCGGGCGCCCAGCCCCCGAGCCCGAAUCGCGUCCCGUUCGUUCCCGUGGCUUCUAGACCCUUCUAGACUGAGGAAAAUUGCGCGGCACAUAAUUAUCUCAUUGUAAACAUGACAUGUGGGCCUUCUCUCCAUAUUUUCUUAUAAACCCCUGCAGAAAUAGAUAAACACCAAAGCUCGUGGAAUUCUGUGAGAUAAAACCCUAAUUCUAGAUGUUCAUUUCAUAUUGAUCCUUUUUCAUGUUUAUUUGAUUAUAAAUUUUAGUACUUAAGGACCGUCAACAAACUCCCCCAAGCUUACCCUUUGCUCGUCCCUGAGCAAACAGCUAAACUUAGACGGAUCAGGAGUUGCUUCGAUGUUUUCUUUCCUGACAGGCACACAUGCUUUUAAAAAAUUCUUCCAGAUUAAAGUGAAGUGUUAUGAAGUUUAGUACCUGCACUUAAAUCUUAAGUAAUCGCAAGACAAAAUAGUUAAGUCAAGCACUAUCCCUCCUGUCUAUACUUCCCCUUUGUUCCAGAGUUUUUCAUAAGUUUUCAAAAUAAAACUCAGAGUUCCCAGCAAUGAUUCUCUCAAGUCUCUCUAUAUGUGGUAUUUGUGGAUCCUUACCAUGAUAUCACUUACCUAUAGCUAAUGGAGUAUUUAAGUGGAGCUCAUAGGAGUGAAAACAGCUCAUACAUAUAUUGUCUAAUCGAGCCAUGGAUCCAAAGGAACUCAGCAUAUACUUAAAUCAAGAUGUGCAUGUGUGAUGGAGUAAAUGAUAGUGAUGGUGAAAAUGCAUAAGUGAUAAUAAAAUUUACUUCUCAUUGCUCCUCAUAUUGCUAUCUCUCCUCCUUUUUGAUCUUUGCUUUGGGAGAACAUAGGCUAUCUUUUUUUUUCUUUUCUUUUCUUUUUUUUUCAGGUGGGUAGUAGAUACCCCUAAUUCUACUGUGGGACACUUGUCCAUUUUUUCCGCUCAAGUGGGCAUCUUUGUACCCCUAAUUCUACUUCGGACACUUGUCUAUUUUUACCUCUCGUCUCACUCUUUUUUUCUUUCUUUAUCGAGGUUCCGGGCACUUGCCCCUUUUUAUUUCCUCGCAUAUUUUUGCAUAACCCAUGCCUCUUCUGCAUUGUAUCUUUUUAGAGAGAGAGAAUAACAAUAUUCGGGACAGUGAGUGAAAAUAUUUUUUUUAGCAAUUUUAAUGAUUGAUAAUGAAUGUUGUGGUAGAUGUGUGCAAGUGAAUAUCUUAAUUUAACCACAUGAAAAGCUCCUAAGGGUCUACACAGCUCGAUCAAACUCAAUGUAAAUAUAGUAAAAGAUGUUAUAGCAAGUAUGGCUGUGGUAGGUAGUUUUGCUAUGCUAGGAACUCAUCAUGUGAUUUGUAAGUUUUCAAAAUAAAUCUCUAGAACUUAGUGUAGUAGGAACAAGAUAAAUAGUGGCUCAACUUUAUAUCAUGCCUUUCUCUUACCUAGACUUUAGUUUUAUGCUUCCCAAAGAUAGUAAUUUUAGUUUUAGUAAUUCCUGGACGAAUUCUAAUAUAAAAGCUAGGUACUUGUAAGUAAGCAAACAGAGCAACUGUUCAUCAUUUCCAUCAUGCAUAUUUUUGGUCUUUUUAUUUUUUUUCUUCUAGAGAUUAAACUUAGCAGAUAAAUAAAGCACACUUAUCUACACACUCUUUUUAUUUUGUUUUCAUGUUUAUAGAAUGCAGUAACAUUAAAGCAAGAAAAUAUUUAUUUGGUUUUCUAAGUUUUUUUUAAGAUAAAUUAAAUACUAAGACAGAAUAGAAUAAAUAAGAAGAGCAAAUAAAAACUUACUUGAUAAAUUAGGGAGGAACUCCCCCAAGCUGGAUGUUGCCGUCGGUCUUAACCGAUGUUCCAGAACCGCAUCAUGGUUGUGAUGUUGUCGUUCAUUGUUGUUGUAUCUUGUCUCAGCUCUUCUACUGCAGCGGCAUGGUCCUGGUUCCAUUUUUGUUGCUCUUCCAGGAGUCUUCCAUGUUCUGCUUGCGUGUUCUAGAUGUCGAGGAGGGUGUUGUCGGUACGAGUGAAGAAAGCACCGGCCUCUUGGUAGUAGUCAUUCGUGAAAGCGUCAUCCUGCAUCAAAUUGGGGCGGAGGUCUGGAUCCUAAAGCUCCAUAUGGAUCAGUGGAAUACCUGCCCGUAUGAAAAGGCGGGUUUGUCCACUGGUGAUCUUGGCUCUCCGGCCAAGUCUCCUCUGUUGGCUCUUGUGGUUGCGCAUGACGAGCCCAUGGGUCUCGAAGGACUCGUGGAUUGUAAUCGCAAUAAUGCAGGUGCGCUACUUCUUCUGGUCCAGGGUCAGCUCCAUACCAAGUGCGUUCUCGGUGAGUGGUUAUCCUUUCAGAUGCCACUCGCUGUGGAGUUCUCUGGUUCACUGGUGUUGCUGCAAUCUCAAUCAAAAAGUUUUGCACAGUGUAGAGGCCAAGGUUCGGGUUAGGUAACUGAAUCUUGCCUUUAUCAUCAUACAGCAUAUACAUUAUAUUCCCCUCUUUCUUUAACAUCCGAGCUUGUCUAAAUGUGUCAUAGCCAUGGUAAAUUCUUAAUUCUUCUAUGAAGUCUAACGAUGAGUUUUCUAGUAAGUGAAGAUUAGUGGCUAGACGAGUGAUAAGUGAAGUACAUCCUACUGGUCCCUGCAGACUAGGUAUACUAAGCCAAUGUGAAACUAAUAGUGUAACAGGUGAAGUAGGUACUUUACUAAUAGCAGCAUAUAAAAGUUGUAAAUCUCCUACUCUUACUUUCCUAAUAUCAUCGCGAUAGAAAAGAUUGUACCCAAGCCAUUUGUGGAACAUCCUAAGAGUGGGGUGUUCCAUGUCACUGGUUCGGGCUUGACUGUAAAAAUUAUCUCUAGAUAUUUCUCUCCAAAACUGGUGUCUCUCAAAAUUGGGUAAAUCGGAGUCAAUGUUCAGGAUGCAUCUUGAAGAGAAACCAAGAUAGUCACUUAGCUCUCUCCAAGACAACAUAAUUUCCUGUUUAAACAUCCGAAAAACAAUUCCCCCCUCAUAGUAUUGUAAGGUGCAAAGAAAUUCGAGGGUGAGAAGACGAGAACCCAGCUCAGUUAUAUUCCAAAAAUUUGUCCAACCCAUCAUCUGAAAAAUAAAGUCAAAUUUAGUGUCCAUACCUGUUUCUUGUAGUAGGGUUGGAUCGAGAGUAGAGGUGUGAAUGAAAUCUUUAUUCUUCAAUUGCUGAUAGACUUCCUUCUCUCUUCGGGUCUUCAGUCCAAGGUCUCCUAUCUUGAGAAGGACCUUGACUUGCUGACCUGAUGAAGAUGAUGGAGCUUGUGUGGGUGUCGGGUAGAUGCUCAUCUCUGAUGGCUGUGAGGAGUGUCGGGAUGAACUCCUUGUACCAAUGUUCUUGAGAGCCUUCCCUGCAUUCUUCACAUUCUUAAACAUCCUGCAAACAAAAGUUGGCAAAAACACAACUGGUGGAAAAUGUGAAAUAAAAUGUUAGUGGUUAGCUGUCCGGAGUGUCAGUAGUCCAGGGGUUAAUCGUUCAAGAAGUUUCUAUUUUGGUAGAGCCUCACCCUAAACAACUUUUACUUCCGCUUGGACAGCGGGAUCACUACUUGCUAGGUGAUAAACACUCUCUCAAAAGAACUUCAACCUUCUCUUCCACUCUCCUCUUUCUUUCUACUCUCUUCUCUCUACUCUCCUCUCUUCACUACAAGAACUCCUUCUCGGGAAAUUGAGACUUGUGUGGUUUUCUGGAGUGUUUGUGUGGAGAGAAGGGGAGCUGGAGGUGGCCUUUUAUAGGCUGAGCAGGGGACAGGGCGGGCGCCCAAGGUAGGUGGGCGGGCGCCCACUCCUGGUGUCCAUCCUGGGUGUGCCUCCUCCACUUGCUUCCUUGCUUUGAUCUCACGCAGAAUAAUGUUGUGUUGGUAGUGGUUGGACGGUGGAAAGAUGUCAGGUGAGUGGAAACAUAUUUGUGGAUGAAAUUAUAUGAUGGGAUGUAUGUGAGGUGAAGUGUAUGACAUGUGGGACCCAAGGAGUGUGGGUCAUGCUUCUAGAAGAUUAAUAUAAAUAAAUAUAAUGCAGGAAAAUCUAUGAGAGUUGAAACUUAAUGCAAAUGAUAUUGGAAAAUAUUUUUGUGCCUCCACAAUAAUUAAUAAAUAUGGCUUGUUACACACCACAAAUAUUAUUUAUAUGGGGCUUUUUGAUUAUUAUAAUAAUGCUAUGAAUAAAUGUGACUAAUGCAAGAUUUAAUUAUGCAAGAAUUUAAAUAUGAGAAAAUAAUAUGCGGGAUAAAUACCGAUUUACCUCCCGGUGAGGGUUGGGGAUUUUUAGGUCCCCCCAAGCUGGACCUCCAAAUCUCUAAUCUUCUGAGUUACCUUCCUCUGGAGAUGGUGUCUCCAGUGGUUCUUCAUGAACUUCCUUCACUGUAGAGUCUCUCUCUGGUCUGGGUUUGAAUGUGAAGUGUUCUUCUUGACCGUUUAUGUUGAACUUGAUUUCUCCCUUCCCGACAUCAAUGUGGGCAUUGGCAGUGCUCAGAAAUGGCCUUCCAAGGAUGAUGGACACUUUCGAGUCAGGACUCAUGUCCAGUACUACGAAAUCUACUAGCACCAGGAAAUCUCUGAUCUUGACUGGAAUGUUCUCGGCGAUGCCCAACGGGUGUCGAACCGAUUGAUCCGCUAGUUGCAAGCACAUUGAUGUUGGUUCUAAAGUUGCAUGCUCAAGCUUUUUGUAGACUGACGCUGGCAUCACACUGACACUUGCUCUGAGAUCACAAAGUGCAUUGUUGAAGUGUUGGUUUCCGAUCGAGCAAUCAAUAGUGGGACAUCCUGGAUCUUCCUUCUUCUUUGGUGGUUUAUUGAGGAUGGCCGCACUACAUUCUUCUAUCAGCUUGAUAACCUCAGUGGUGGGCAGUGGUCUCUUCUUGUUAAGAAUAUCUCUGAUGUACUUUGCAUAUGUAGGUACCUGUAUGGCAUCCAGCAGAGGUAUGUUGACAUAUAAUUUCUGAAUGACCUCUACAAACUUACCAAACUGCUCAUCCGACUGCAGUCCUCUGUUUCUUCUGGGAAAUGGCAAAUAGUUGGUGUCGUAAAAAUCUUUCCUCAUUUCUCCAGUUCUUGGUGGUUGUAGCAGAUCUUCUGCUUCAACUGGGCUUUCUUCUUCUAUCACUGCUGGUUGUACUGGUGCUGAUGUUCUUUGUUUCUCUUUUGGAUAUGGUGGAUCUCUCGUAGCUUUACCUCCUCUAGUAGUUAUAUUGUUUACCUGCUCAAGGUUAGUAGCAACAGGCAGUGCAGCAGCUAUCUUUAUUAAUUUAAGCUCUACCCUUUUAUUAAGAGUGUUUUGCUCAUCAAAGGCAGUUAGUAGAAAAUCCAUUUUAUUAUGUAUAUCUUUUAGAGAUGAUUCAUUUGUAUCUAGCCUUUGUUUAACUUCAUCAUUAAUUUUGGUUUGUUGAGCAAUUAUCUCUUUUAAUAAAAGUUGCUUGACAGUAUUACCUGAAUUCAUACCUUUGCUAUUGGGUUGACUCGAAGUUGGUUGAUAUUUGUAUGCUGUCUCAAUGGCCCUUUGAUCUUCUUUGAACUUGGCCCUCUGGUCAAUCCAAUGGAGCAAAUUUUCCAUCUUAGUUGGUAAUGCUUUUACUUCCUCUGAUAUUUCUUCAGUUUGAUGACAUUGUUGAGCUUUAUCUUGGAACCAGCUUUGAUUUUCUGCUAUCUUAUCCAAAAGUAUCUCUGCUUUUCCAGUUGUAAGCUCCAAGAAUGAUCCUUUAGUAGAUGCAUCUAGGCACUCACGAGCCUUCUGGGUUAAUCCAUGGUAGAAGGUCUGCAUAAGUAACCAUGUGGCCAUUCCAUGGUGAGGACAGUCUGAUAUGUAUCCUUGAAAACGCUCCCAUGCUUCUGAAAUGGCUUCUGUCUUCUGCUGUUGGAAACUGACAAUAUUUCCUCUUAAAGCAGUUGUUUUGCCUAUAGGGAAAAACUUUGAUAGAAAGGCAUCUGACAAGUUCGUCCAGUUGUUGAUGUUAUCUUGAUGAGUGUAGAACCACUUCCUCGCUUUUCCUUCUAGUGAGAAUGGAAAAAGAAGAAGGAGUAUGACGACUUUGCCAACUCCGUUGAUGUGGAUUGUGCUUCCAAUCUCUAAGAAAUUCUGCAAGUGUGUACUGGCAUCUUCAUGUGCCUUUCCACUGAAUUGUGUAGCUUGCACCAAAUUGAUGAGGCUUGACUUGAGCUCAAACUCGGGUAUUCCUUCUUCUACUGCAAAACUUGGACCAGUUGGAAUGUUGUCAAGACUUGGAGCAGAGAAUUCUUGCAAGGUCUUUUGUGCCAUAGCUUCAGCAAUUGGUAGCUAGCUUCUUCUUCUCUUGAUUGCUUUGGUUCUGAUGAUGGAGAGUUGAAUGUACCCAAAGUCAAUCCUGUUAUACCCUGUAUAAAAAUAUAAACAUAGAAAAACAACAGGGUGAACCUGCCAAAGCAGCGGUGCCUUGUUAUGAUUUCUCACUUAGUAGCUGUUUUUAUGCAAUUAUUUCUCUAUAGUCUAGUCUAAUAUUUUAUAUGAAUAACCUUGACUGAUUUUCUGGCUUUCCUAAAUAUUAACCUUUUGUUCCCUUUUAUGACUUAUUCCUCAGACUCGUAUAGAUUCCUAUAAGUCCCCGGCAACGGUGCCAGAAAUGCUUGUUGACACUAGCUAACACCACUUAGAUACUAGGUUGUCAUCCCUAGCAUGGCGCCAGAGUGUACAAAGGUAUUUAUAAAUGUAAAGGCUCUCUAGAAAAUAAUCUAUUCUAUCCGCAAGCGCACAGAUAAAACACCUCAUUGUAGAAUUUCACCAGGAUAAGUAUUCCAGGUAUCGUUAUUUAUAAUUUUGCUCAAGAGAACUAAGGAAGAUGGAAUUAAAUCAAGGGACAAAAUCUAUCAAGGCAUAGACUAGAGAUAAACUUGCAAAACCAUGAUUACUAAUGAGAAACUCGUCACACAGUCACUUACUUUAGCAGGAGGUAAACCAUAAAGAUAAUGAUAAUGAAUUAUAAGUUCAUGGGUAGAUAACACAGCGAUUAGAAAAUAGACUACUCCUCAUAUAUGUAGGUGAUGUCGGAUUAGCUAGAGAAUGGAUUCUAAGUUAUCUACUAACUACUAAGUCAUAAUCUACUCUAGUUAUCUACAAGAUCAUGUAUAGCAUAAAAGACUCUUCAUUCAUGUAUAAGGAACAUUGAUAAAGUAAAUCAGAACAUCGCAUGACUUACUCCACAAUACCGGUUCUACCUGUCAUAUCAACGGAGGGUGGACUAUAUAAGAAUCAACGAAGCUAUCACUAUCGCGAACUACCACAUGACCCGGCCAAUAGGAUACAUUUGCAGAUAAAUAACAUCUAAGCACCACGCUCACAUGUGAUCUAUCACCUAACUCCCUCGCGUCAAGAGCUAAGCGCUUUGCAAACUUAUACAUAAACUCAUUAUCAAUUAGAACUAUAUCAAAUAUAGAACUAGAGCAAACUAAGAACAUAAUAAUUAGAGACAUAAUGCAAUUAGAACAAUAGAAUUAGAGAAAGAUUUGAAUAAUACCAAUCUUUCUUACCGAAGAUCCGAAUCCAGAGCGUCGUGCUCUUCUUCUCUAAUUGCUAUCUAAUCAACCUCUAAACUUGAAGGAUUAGGGAGUAGCUAAUUCUAAUUCUCUGUGGGAGAGAAGCUCUAAACCCUAACUUUGAUGGCUACCUCUGAAUAAUAAUUUCUCCUCUUCUCCUCCAGGGGCCAGGGGGUCUGGUUUUAUAGUCCCCUCAAGUGAACGUGAGCCAUUGGAUGAAACCGACAUAGAUUGUAUGGUUUAGAUUGAUCCUUUAGGUCGGCGGAGUCUUGCCCCGAAGCAGAGUCCUGUUUGGAGUCCUGGCCUGGGCGGGCGCCCAAGGGGGGUGGGCGGGCGCCCAGCCCCCGAGCCCGAAUCGCGUCCCGUUCGUUCCCGUGGCUUCUGGACCCUUCUAGACUGAGGAAAAUUGCGCGGCACGUAAUUAUCUCGUUGUAAACAUGACAUGUGGGCCUUCUCUCCAUAUUUUCUGAUAAACCCCUGCAGAAAUAGAUAAAUACCAAAGCUCGUGGAAUUCUGUCAGAUAAAACCCUAAUUCUAGAUGUUUGUUUCAUAUUGAUCCUUUUUCAUGUUUAUUUGAUUAUAAAGUUUAGUACUUAAGGACCGUCAACACUACUGACCUUCUGCUGGUCAAGAGAGGCGAUCCAGGAUGCCCUGUCAUCCCGAUCUCCAUCGGCAUGGUGGACUUCCCAGAAGCACUCUGUGACUUUGGCUCUAGCGUCAACAUUAUGCCCAGGGUACUCUAUGAAAAAUUCUUUACAUAUCCUUUAUUAGAGACAACCAUGUGUUUGCAGUUUGCAGAUCAGACGAUAAGUUUUCCAAAAGGAAUAUUGAAGAACCUUUGUGUCCGAGUUGGUACCUUAUACGCCCCAGCAGACUUCGUGGUGAUAGAGACCGGUAAUGAUGAGAGGGCACCCAUCAUCUUAGGGAGGCCAUUCUUAAACACCUCGGGAGCUGUCAUCUACGCUAGUGCUGCCAAUAUCAGUUUCUACAUUAAAGGGAGAAAGGAGAUGUUUUCCUUCAAGAACAAGACUACACAAUUCCGAGAUCAAUCCAAACGUGAAUCAAGGAAGAGGACCAACAGGAGGAACAGGAACAAGCAAGUGUGGACCGAGUCAGCUAAGAUGGUCACUGCAGUUCAUGGAGGCCAAGAUCAUCAACUUAAGUCACCAACUUUGACCAAGAAGGACGACCCAGGAAUACCAAGCAUCUAUUGUUCCAUAAAUGUAUACAACUUCUACAAGACGACUUGUGACACUAGAUCGGGCGUCAACAUAAUGGCUGCAGUCACCUAUCGGCUCUUGUUCGGAACCAUGCCCCUAAAAUCAACAUACAUUCAGCUCCAGAUGGCAGAUCAGACGUUUCGAGAAGUUAAAGGAACAGUAACUGAUGUCCCUGUCAAAAUAGACGAUCAUUUUGUCUACACGGACUUUCAGGUUAUUAACAUGGGAGAAGACGAAUACGAUCCACCCGUCAUCCUUGGAAGACCGUUCCUCAACACCGUUAAAGCAAUCAUCUACAUUGGAACCGGAGAAGUCCAUAUGCACUUUCCCUCAGAGAAGGUACCCCGCUAUUUUACUGACCCUAACUAUAUCGUUGAAGACUCUAAGCAGGUCAGAAAAUGACGUAACCGCAACCAGAGGAGGCAGAUCAUCAAGGACGGAUGGGCAGACUAUGAAGGAGAAGGAUAAGGUCAGAAGACAUACAGUUUAAACAGAAUUAUCCAGAGGAGACCGUAGCACCAAGUCAGGUAUGGAAAGAGAAGAUAACUAUACAUGAAGAGGAGGUGCUGCCGGAAGUACCGACUCCGCCACCCAACGAAUCCUAGGACAACUAGAAAACAGAGAGUCCCGUUCAGAGGACUUAAAAACACCGAACGCCUUGCCAAGAGAAUUUAAGAAUCGAGAAGACUAGCACACGGAGGACAUUCUAAUCGCUGUCAGGAUAUUGCCGACUUUCAAAUACACCUCUGCCACCUACUAGCUAUAUCAAAAGAAAUUACGCCAAAAUUCAGCUUGGAGGAGAGCACCCCCAUUUAUCCCGCUAAGUAUUUCUAUCUAUCUUUAUACUUAUACUAUAUUAAAAUAUAAAUAUACAUAACUAUGGAAAACCAAAUAAAGAUUUUAUGCUUAUAUAUUUAUGUCUUUUGCUUAGUAUGUUUAAUAAAUAAAUAAAGUGGCUAUGCUAAUCUGAAUCUUAAUAAUAAAACUCUAGCAUGGAUAUGAUGAAUAGUUGCUCUGCCUAAUUUUCAAAUUUGCGUUUUCUCUAUAGUUUAGACAUAACUGUUAUAAUUUAAAGCUUGCUCUAAAUCUAAACUUGUGGGAAGAAAACUUGAUCUGAAGUCUAAGUUGUUAACGGAUACGAUAUGGGAAGGUUGAGCUGUUGUUUAUCUAUUCCUAGAGAUGCUAGAAUUCUAGGGAACUUUAUCUUUAAAAAUCUUUAAAAUGUUGCACGAUGAGUUCCUGUAUGAUGAGAGUUUAAAUUCCUACCACCACCAUAUAUACAUGCUUGCUAGCCCUUGAGCCACACAUUUACUUUUUACUGCUUAUGAGCAUUGAGUGUGGUCAAGCUGUGUAGACCCUUAGGAGCUUGUCAUGUGGUUAAAUCAAGAUUCACUUGCACGUUCACUUAUUUCCAUCUCCAGAACCAACCAAAAACAUUCUACUCCUAAUCCGGGAGAGAAUAGCCAAAAACAUUUCUGUUUUUCCCCUGUGAAAUAAAUGCUCAAGUUAUCUUGGUUACUACCAUGUAACACCCUAAAAUUUACUCCUUUUGAAAUAUAGAUAAAAUUAUUUAAUUUUAUAUUUUUGUGCUCAUGAAAAUAUAGGAAACAUAAUAUUUUUUAUUAAAUUAGAAUUUAUCAUAAGGCUUAGCAAUAUUAUUAUUCAUACAUGCUAGUGCAUAUGUUUUGAUGUGAUGCUUGUUGCUCCUUUAUGUGUUGAGUGAGCAAAGUUUUUAAAAUACGUUUAGUAGGUCGGUCUUCCUUCUGCGGCACAUCUUUAUUUUUUUUCCUACAAUCAAAUUCCUUGUUUCUCAGCUUAGGCUUUCAUUUGGAGAUUCUUAGAAAUCUUUUCUUUGUCACCCAAAUCACUCCUUCCAGUUCUUUGUCCGUCAAUCAAUCUCUAAAACUUACCAGGAAUUAUUUCAGCAUUUUUUGGAACUUGUUCCCAUUUGACUGUGAGCAUAAUCUAAUUUUUAGAUGCUCCAAAUUAUCUUAUCAUGGUCUCCAAAUAUUUUAUUUGGGUUCCUCAUAUUCCAUAAUAUCUCUGAGAAUUUGCUCCGAAUUUUUGGAGCUUUCGAAGUAUUUUUCGUGGCUUAAAUAGUAAUUCGAGUUUCUCUAGAAUAAUUAUUUUCAGCCCUGAAAUUAAAUAUUCCGAAAAUAAUAAGUUGUAAACCUAGUCAAACUUGGUCCAAACCUCAUGUAUAUAUAUACGUCACGUUCAUCUUCGAUCUUUUUCAGCAUCACAUCGUAUCCUUAGACUUUCGAGAGCCGCCGCCAAAUAAAAGAUGAGAUCGAUUACACCUCUGUUGCCGCCGGUAUGCAACACUCAAGCCGUCGUCUUGAUCGGGUCAUUGGCGUUGGACCAACACCUGAGUCCGUACGUCAUGUGAUGAAGCACUCACGAGGUGCUGACCAUAUUACCUUAGACAAGGGUAUCGAUCUGCCACCGGCGCUGUUGGCCGCCUGAUUUGCAAGGUGGAUAUGNNNNNNNNNNNNNNNNNNNNNNNNNNNNNNNNNNNNNNNNNNNNNNNNNNNNNNNNNNNNNNNNNNNNNNNNNNNNNNNNNNNNNNNNNNNNNNNNNNNNCCAUAUCCACCUUUUGUCGAUGCAUCUGUAUCUAUCUAUUUCGAUUAUCAUUAGUGUUCCAUCUGUUGUCUGAUUGCAUGCUUCCGUCACGAUGCCCAGACACCUAUACAGCUGCAGUCCAUCUGCUUCCAGCCUUGAAGAUCAGCAAGCAAGCAAGCUCGUCAAUCACCUAGAGAUCUAAAUGCAAAUAAGAGCCAUACAUACGUACAAACGAGCAAGUUAAUUCCUCAUGCACUCCAACAGAAGCAAUUGACAAAUCGGAGGACAUCUGUCCACAAUUUUAUUAAGUUUGUGUAAGCCCUUUAUCUAUCCACCUCGAUCCACCACAGUUUCACAUCUAAAUUUCGUUUUCGUCAAUCUUGUUGUAUUGUGCUCGUAGUAACGUGAUCUGUGUGUUAGUGUAGAUGUUUUCCUGUCACAUAUAUUUUUCCGUAUAUAGUUAAUUAUUAAAUUGAUUAAUACGCUUGCAACUAGUUCUACAAAUUAAAUCAAUAUAGGUUCUAUACUUCGGUAUUAUUGUACAUAGACGUUAAUAUAAUAAUUAAUUACUAAUAUAAUCAUGUUUCUCAAUUAUAAAUUGCUUAGCUUGAAACAUGCGUCGUACAUAAUUCCAAUAGAAGUUCCACACGCUAUUUUUUAAAAAAUUAGAGUUUAACUUGCUUAAUUUAUAUGAUCACAUUUAUGAACAAAAUAUGUUUAGUUUUAACUUGGUUAUUAAAGGGGAAAACACAAAUUGACUAAUCUGAGUUAAUUUAUUCAUAUGAUUUUUUUCAUAAAUCAAGCUCGUAAUUAUUUAUUUUAUAAUGUAAAUCUCUCGAUAGUCGUUCCUUUUACACCGUAGCUUUGAUCUCGAUGUUUCUUGCGAUACCGUGACCGCAAAACUAGUUCUCUUUUAGUACAUUAUUUUCUCUUGGGUGGUGUAUUGUUCUUAGUUAUUUCUAUUUGUUUGCUUGUAUGUUUGCUGGCGUGCUUAGUGUGCUGCGAUUUACAAGUAGAAGAAAGACUGUCUACAAGCGCCGGAUAUUGGAAGGUGUUGACCAUAUGCUAAUGUUUGAGAAAGUACGAGCAAUUGGAUCAAGGCAAGUAUAGCAUUUGGGUUUUAUUUCUGUGACCAUGAUCUUGUGACUUGAUUAAUGUUUAAGCAACAAAUGAUAAAAAUGACUUUUUAGCAACUUGAUGAUUUGUCUGUACGUGAUCACCCGAGACAACAGUGCAACCAUGAGGGCUAUAAUGGCUCUGGCUUUAGCUCAGUAUGAAGACCUUUUCUAGCUUGUUAGAGGUUACCCGAAAGGGCAGAGGGGCUGAACCAACACGGGUAUAGUGCGAGCCCCUGUCCCUAUGUGUAUAGGUUGCGCGUCAUUGUGCCAUUCGGAAGGGGAGUAUCUAUAUCUGCUCGCAAAGGAAACCAUGAGGCCCUAACAUGUUUGAUGAACUUUUGAAAGGCUUCAUAGUGAUCCCUGCCGACCUCCCUAGGAAGGGGGUUAAGAGAUUAGCUACCUCGGACGAAAGGGUAAAUCAUGACUCAUAGGUAAAGAUGUACAACCUCUGCAGAAUGUUAAAAACUAGUAUACUAGCCGAGCUCACGGUCAGGAGCGGCCUUGGGGACAUCUACAUUAAGGGUGAUGAAUCUUAUGUGUUAAAUAUGCUCAUUGUUUAUUGUUUAAUGCUCUACAUUAUUUAUGUCACAUUGAUCAUGAGAUUGUUGGCUAUACAAUCUAGUUGCUAUACUUGUUGAGUUUGACAUGGACUCACUCUUGCUUUUUCCCCCAAACUUCAGGAGAUGUUUUAGGCUUGUGAUCAACCAGUCAGUUGGAUCCUGUAGAGUGAAGUGAACACCCGAAGGUUGGAGUUGUCUAUCCGUUGUUUGCUAUCAAAGGUUAUCUCUUUUAUACUAAGUACGUUAUAUAUUUAUGCAUUGUCUUUUGAUAUUACCCCGUAUUUGUAGCUAUAUGUGAGAUUUGGUCUCUAAAACUCACAUAUGGUGCAUAUCUGGUUUUGUCCUUAAAAUCGGGUAUUACAUACCACUUGCUACAUUAUCUCAUGAGAUGAGUGCUCUAAAAAAAGAGAGAAAAAAGGAUACGAGGAAAUAAAAAGGGGCAAGUGCCCGGAACCUCGAAAAAAAAAUUGAGACGAGAGGUAAACAUGGACAAGUGUCUGACUGUAGAAUUAGGGGUACAAGAUACCCACCUGAGAGGAAAGAAAAAAAAGAGAGAGCAUCUCAUUCUCCUCAAAAAGUUUCAAAAAGCAAGAAAGGUAUGUAUCCCCUCAAAAGAGCAAAAGAAUUAGACUUUUACCAUUGUUAUCAUCAUCACCAUACGCUAUUUAUUCGCCACACAUCCACAUCUUGAUUUGACUUAUUGACUUGUUUCUUUGGAUCUAUGGUUUGACUAUACAAUAAAUGUCUUGUAAAUAUGUAUAUUUUAUCUCCCACCUAUGAGCUCCAGAUAUUAAAGCCUUAUUAGAGUAGGGUGAGAGAGAAGGCAAUGUCACGAUGCUUCAUAUCACAAAUACUACGUAUCUUAAGAGAAGGCAUAUACCAUCACUGCCUUGGUAAGGAUCCAGAAAUACCAGAAAAGAGAGAUAUGAGAGAAUCAUACAAGGAAUCUCUGAGUUUUAUUUGAAAAUCUUCAAAAACUCCAGAGCUAUAGCUGAUCAAGAAUAAGAGACAUGGCAUUUGAUUAGACCGUUCUAUCAUUUAACUACUCAAGACAGAAGUGACGGUUACAAGUCCCAUGGUGAAAGGUAAAGUAAGUAAGUUUUAUGUCUUGACAGUUUACUCUAACUUAGAGAUGAGACCGCAAUUAAAAGCAUGUGUACAGUCAAUUUAUAAAAGGCAUUACAAAAAUUUCUGAUCCAUCGCUGAGAUUAUCCUUGCUCAGGGACGAGCAAGAGGUAAGCUUGGGGGAGUUUGUUGACGGUCCUUAAGUAUCAAAUUUAAUUGUCAAAUAAACAAAGAAAAGGAUCCAAAUGAAAUCAACAUCUAGACUUAGGGUUUUAUCUGACAGAAUUCCACGAGUUUUGGUGUUUGUCUAUUUCUGCAGGGGGUUAUCAGGAAAUACGAAAGAAAGGUCCACACGUCGGGAUUACGUAGAGAUAUCAACGUGCCGCGCAAUUAUCUUACAUCUAGAAGACUCCAGAAGCCACGGGAAGGAAGCGGAGGCCGAAUGGAGCCUGGCCCUGGGCGCCCGACCAGGAGACCAGGGCGACCGCCCCCCUUCUGAGUCCAAUCAGGACUCUCUUUCGGGAUCGAUCUCCACCGACCUAAAGGAUCAAGGAUAACCGUUCAAUCAAUGUCGAUUUGAUCCAACGGCCCAUAUUCACUUGGAGGGACUAUAAAACCAGACCCCAUGGCCAAGGAGGAGGAAGCCUAUCAACCCUAAUUCAUUAUUCCUCAAGGGAGAAGAAGCCUCUGAUCAAGCCUAGAGCCACCACAUCAAUUAGACAUCUAGAUUAGCGUAUCUACAUAGGAUUAGAACUAGAAGGAGUCAAUAUUCGAUUGGUUUUCGGAUCUGUCAAGAGGAUUCUUGGUAAUUCUCUAAUUGUUCUUCUAAUUGUUCAUCUUUGUUCUUCGAUAUUAUGAAUAUGACUUUGUUCUACUUCAAUAUAUUGCUUAUGACUUUGCUCUACUUAUUUAUAAUCAAGAUUAUAUUGUUCUUAGUUUAUCAUAGUUAUAUACUUGGCUUAGUUAGAUUGGAUCUAUAUACAUGUUUAGGAUCGUAUAGCGUUUAACCAUCGGAUCCAUGGGUAAAUGAUAGAUAUUGUGUAGGCGUGGUGCUUAUAUCGUAUUUAUAUGUGAUUGUACCCAAUAUGCCAGAUCGUGGGGUAGUUGGUGAUAGUGACAGCUUCAUUGAUUCUUAUAUAGUCCCCCUCUCAUGUAUUGGGCUGGCAGAGCAACAUUAUUACAGGGGAGUGAUUGCUAUGUUUCUCAUAUUCCUUGCUAAUAUCACUAUGCAUGGGCGUAGUCUUGUCUCACAAUGAUUGCUAAGUAUGCUUGCACUAACUAUGAUAAUGCUAGACUAUAUAGUUGAGAAUAACUUAGGAAAUAUUCUUGUAGCUCGUUCUAAUACCAUGCUAAUGACUUGCUAGAAUAUCUAAUUGAGGUGCUUAUCAUAUUUAUUAUGUGGCUAAGUUAUGCUGAUCAGAUUAAUUAUCUUUGUCACUAUUUAUUACUUUAUAUAUUCUUUAUGUGACACUUAUCCCUGUAUGAAAGAGUUAGAUAAAUGUUCUCAAUUAUACAUGCAAUGAUAGAUACUCAAUCUUAUAUUACAUUCUAUAAUCAACAUUGAUGAUUACUAAUCCCUUCCCAGUGGUAAAAAUAUAAAUAACGAUACCUGGAAUACAUCCCGGUUAAAAUGCUACAUCGGUAUUAAUCUGUGCGCUUGCAGAUCCCGUUCAUUAUUUAUUUAGAUGAGCAAUUGCAUAUUUCAAUAACGCGUCUCUCAUGUCAUGCUGGGGAUGACAACUUGGCUUAAGUGGUAUGAGGGAUAGGUUUGGCAUUUUUGGCACCGUUAUCAGAAUUAGAAAACUAAGUCUACUUUUGGUAGUGAUGUUAAGAAUACCCAACAAGGGUCCCUCUAGUUGUUCUAGUUCUAGUUCAUCUAGUUCUAGUUCAUCUAGAUGUAGCAAUUAGUUGAGACUAGUUCUUCUAGAUCUAGUCUUGUUUAGAGAUUAGAGAGAUUUAGUAGAGGAGUAGAGAUUCUAGAGGAGUUAUGGCCUAUCGGUGCUUCUUCGUGGUUGUAUUCUUCUGGAUCCUGUUUCUCUCUCCUGGAGCUGAGUUCUUAGGUACUUUUGUACUUACCCUUCUGGUUUAAGUAAGCAUCUUGUUCUUAUUUGUUCUUUGGUUCACAACUCAUAUUGAGUGGUUUGACAUUGAUCGUAACUUGGUUGAAGUAGUAUUUUAUAGUGUACGCGUGGCGCCUAGGCUAGGUUUACUUGUGAAUAUCCCCUAAUCCGCCGGAUAGUGGUAGUUCGCGUAGGUGACUUUAUAGCUGCGUUGAUUCCUCUAUCGUCCACUUCCCGUUGAUAGGAUUGAUAGGCUUAUAGAUGCCUAAUAUGGGGUUACUCUGAUUCUCCCCCUAUUCGGGUUACUUGCCCUAUAAGACGGUAUUAUACAAAGUUUACCGGAGUCGGAACCAGAGUGCAUUAAUAUUUACUUUUUCUUGAUAUGAUCUAGCCUAAUUGUAGGGUUAAGUCUAUAUACUAUGUCAUCAUCACAACUGUUCCUUGUGGAUUCGAUAUUUAAAAGCUCUAGGUAAAAUGUGAUGCUGGUAUGAUAUAUGUGCGCUUGCGGAUAAUCCUACUUAAAUCUAUUUAAAUGGAGUGUAACUAAUUUAUACCAACAACUAUUUUUGGCGUCAUUGCCGGGGAACAAUUUGUCGAUUUUGAUUUAGUCUAGCUUACUCUUGUAUUAUACUUUUAUAUAUUCCUGUUUUUAUCUUAGUCUCUUCAUUAUUUUUGUGUUCAUCCUUAUAGAUGUUUUUAAUUAUAUUGCUAUUUAUCUUUAUGGCAUGUGCAAAAUCUUAAAGCACAAACCUUAUCAUAAUAUCUUUAAGCUAUGCCCAUGUCUACAUAAUAUAAUAAACCCUUCUCAAUUAUAUCAUGGGAUCAUUAAUCCUGACCUUGGUUUGCUGGGCCCCUUGUUUAUUCAACAUUUAGGAUCUUACCAAGAGUUACAUGAAAUCCCUUGAUUUAUCUUCUCGAGAGUUCUUUCUUAUCUUUUAAAAAGCAAGAUAUUAUGCUCAAACGAGUUGCUCUAUCUAUUUCUGAACUCCCCAAAAGAAGAAAAGAAUUUAUUAUCUAAACUAAAAAUAGAAGUCUUGAUAACUAAAAUACAAUCAUAUCAUUCUUAAGAUUUAGCUUUCAAUCCUAAAUCUUCAAAAUUCCACUUUAAUGAUUUAGAUUUCCAGUUAGCUAAGAUGCUCAUAAAUUAAUGCAUAUCAGAUCUUCUUAGAAGAGUAUCUUGGAAAAAGCAUCAUCAAUUUCCUUUCCUUCCUAAAAAGACAUUGGGAAAAAUUCAAGGAUGGCAUGCCAAGUGAUGCCAUAGAAGGAGAGCCAAGCCACAUAGAAAUAGAUUCUAUCUUCUCCCCUUCUAUGGCCAUAAACCCAUCUCUAAACCCAUCCUUGACCCCAAUGAAUCUUUUUAUGCUCCUUCUACUAAACUUCAUAAUGACCUUAGAAAUCCAUCCAGACAUCCUAAGAAUAGGAGUCAUGAAAAUUAUAGGAAUACCCAAGAAGAGCAACAACAAUAGUAGGAACACAUAGAACAUAUUAGAAAUACAUAUGCUUGGUCUAAAUUCAAAUGUUAAGCUUAAAUUAAUUUCUUUGAUAAAUAAAACUCACCCAAGUUUAGAGAAAGCUUUAGAUGAGACCAACCUUAGGGACAUCAAUUCAUGGGAAAUCCUAGAAAAUAAAAUAUCUAAUAAAUGUCAUAGGCAUGAAAUAAUAGAGGCAAACUUAUUGCCUAUAGACAACCAUGAAGAGACACCCUUGGAGUUUGAAAAGGGAGAUCAUAUUGUCGAGCAUAUGAAUUAUUUCAUUAAACACCCUAUCAGACCCAUGCUCAUAUGAGAGAUCUCCUGGAUCAAUUAGUCUCUAAUAUUAAGCUCCAUCAUUCCUUCAUUGUUAUCUCAUGCUCUGAAAUCUCUGCUAAAUUCUUGUCAGGUGACAGGAGGAGCAUUGUUGGGACGAGCAACUUGAUAUGACUCCCAUCAGGUCUGAGCUGCUCCCUGAAGUUAUCCAUAAGCAUAUAACACCUUUUCCAUAUCAUUGCAUUGUGAUAUAUUCAGUUGUCUCUGCACAGCACAUAGCCAAUCAUCUACCUCCAUAGGAUCAGCCGAGUGAGUAAAUACUAGAGGUCUUCCCUUCAUAAAUUCCUCAUGCUUAUCUCUCACAUAAACAGGUGGUGGGGUGGUGGUGGUGCAGGUUCAUGCUGAAGGUGCUGCAUAAAAGCAUGCAUCAUCUCAUUCUGAGUCUGCAUGAGCUCUUCCACAAUAAUUGGGGCAUUGGCACCCCAACCACGGCCUCUGCCUCUGCCUCUUCCCCUUGCUGCCAUCUGAAUUCCAAGGUACAGAAACAUAUCUCAAUAAUAUCCAACAUGAUAAAUACAAGAGAUAAUUGAAUCUGAAUUUUUCUGGGCGAUAUCCAACAUUAGAAGUUCAGAAAAUCAGUCUGUCGAGUUCCAGAACUCAAAAGGAGACAUUCUUUGCACCGUUCCAGAAUUCCAGACUACGCAGAAACCUCAACUUUAAACAGUUAUAUCUCACAGCUCUUAAUAGGUAAUAAUUUUAUUCUUGCAGCAUUGGAAAGAUAAUGAAGUCUAGUUGUUCCUAGAAAAUUUUGAUAAACUUUUCACGAACAGAAUUUGAGGUAUAUUAGAAUUAUUGCAAACUGCUUCAGAAAUCAGCAAGAGACAAACAAAAUUUAAACCAAACCCAACUAUUUAGUUCAUUAAUCCUUAUGCCUUAGGCCUAUAAACUAUAUGAAAUUGUGGAGAAAAUCCACAAGAUCAUUACACUCGUUACAAAGAACCAAAUCAAGCAUAAGCAUAAUAACAACCAAACCAAGCAUUAAAGGUUCACACUUCAAGCAUUGACUCAACUUACGGUACUAUCGUUCUCUUCCUAUUAAGGGUAAAGAUCCUAAAACUCCUAUUUCAAUGACGCCAGAAAGUGGUAAGAGAAUGUUCUAAAAGCAUAUCAAGGCAAGGAGUGAAGGUAAGAACAAGUCUUUUAAAAUAAGCAACAAGGUAAAGAUGAAUAGUAGGGGAAAAGAUAUAGUGUAGGAUAAAAUUUCAAGGUUUAUAGAACUAGGAUUUUAUAGCAAUUUUGAAAACUUAAGAUGGCCAAUUUCUAACUAGGCUUGCGUUCAAUAGUCAAUAAAGCUUUGAUACCAAUUUGUCACACCCAAAUUUCAAGAACGAAAUAGAGUGCAUAAAUAACUCAUGUGCGCCCCAGAAACAGUCGCACAUAGAAGUUGACAAACCUCAAAUAGUACCAUCACAAUGUUUAUUACAUAGCAGAAUAAUAAUUAUUACAUAGUCUCAAACAAAUAAAGAUACUCUCGAUGGAAGCACCACACAGGACACUGUCAACUGGUUGACUCCAAGCCUAGUACUCAUAACCGUAGUCCUCAUUCCAGUCAUCUUCUUUAACAUAUCCUGAGGUGUUAUGAAAUAGCAAGAGUGAGCACAUAUCGUACUCAACAAGUAUAACCAGGGGUUCAUGAGGCUCAAUAAGCUGAUGCUAGUUUAAUUGCAUUUAGCUUUUAUAGUAGAUGGCAUGCUUAUAUUUAGAUAUCAAAUGAAAAGGUAGCAUAAUUAAAUCCCAUAACCACAUGAUCAAUGUAUACAAGAAUUAAGAAUAAAACAUAUAAAAACAUAAUAAACCAUCAUUUAUCAUCAUUAAUCAUGUUUAUUAGGGUCCAUCUAUUCUGUCAGUUUUCUGGGCCGCCCGUAUUGAUGGGCACUGCUAGUAUACCAGAUUUAACACUCUGUAGAGGUUGUACAUCUUUACCCAUGAGUCAUGAUUUACCCUUUCGCCCGAGGUCGUGAGUCUCUUAAACCCCUUCCUAGGGAGGUCGAUAGGGAUCACUAUGAAGCUUUUCAAAAGUUCAUCUAACAAGUUAGGGCGGCAAGGUUUCUCAGGCGUGCAAAUAUAGAGCCCCCUUCCAAAUGGCACAAUGAUGCACAACCUAUACACAUAAGGACAAAGGCCACGGUAUACCCAAAAUAGCAAGCCCCUCUAGCGCCCUUUCGGGUAACCUCUAACAAGCUAGAUAAGGUCUUUAUACUUAGCUAAAGCCAGAGCCGAGUUGUCCUAGCUUUUGCCAAGGGAUAAGUCCUUAUGGAGGGUCAAGAUCAAUCUAGCAAAAGCUAGAGUUCUUUCUACCCUUAAUAAUCAAGUUGCUAGGAAGCUUAUUUUAUUUGUUUAUUGUAUAUCCAAAUAUUCAUGUUACAAGAUCAUGGAUUAUAAUCAAGCACUAGCAAGAACUACCCAAAUGUAUAUCCAAAUAUGUAUCAAGGAAUACAAGAUAACAAUCAUCUAUGAUUUCAUUAGGGUUGUCAAGGUGGACACAUGCAUACGAUAUAUGUAUUAAAAGUGUGUAGGUAACAAGGAUAGUCUCAAGUUAUACUUGCCUUGAUCGAAGCUUACUUGGAACUCCUACUGGUCGUCAAAAGAUUGGCCUUGAUCACCAACGUAUUGCUCACUGUCUAUACCCGAUCAUCAAUCAACAACACGCAUUCCAAUGGGGACAAUCAUACACAAAGUAAACAAGCUAUAAUUAGAACAAUACACCAACCGUGGUAAAACAAAUAUAAAAGUUUAUAAAAAUGUUCUACACAGCGCUAGGAUCACACAGACAUAAAGAUCAUGAAAAUCAGAAUUAAAACUGAUAAGUUAUUAUUUUUCUAAGAUUUCCUAUAGAAAAAUAAUUAAUUAAAUAGUACCAUGAAAAUAAAAAAGAUAGAAAUUGAGAAUACAGUGAUACUAACAUGUAGAUCUCGCAAAGACGAACCUAAUGCAAUUUGAAUGGACCAAAUCGGAGUUAAAAUGAGCAUUAUAUAAGCAUUUUAAAAUCAGUGGCAAACUUGUAAAUACUGAAAAGCGUAUUUUCCUUUAAAUCGGCAAGAAUACGUUUUCAGAGCUGAAAAGCGUAAACCCUCCAAGGCGCCAUGGACCGUGGGUUGGUUCUCAAAAAUUCCAAGGGCUCUUUAACAAAAGUUACCCCGAAUGGGUAUCUUCUAAUCCCGAGCGUCGAUAGCAAUUUGGACGGCUGAGAGGGAUCGGGGCGGGUUUCGGCCGGGCGGCGGCGAGCCCCCACGGCGGACGCCAUGGCCGGCGUCCAAGCUUCACCGGAGUUCAUCGUUUGCACACUUUAGGGGAUCUCUAAGCAACAGAACUACACCGGGGGAAAGAGAAGAAAGUCGCAAGCUCACCAGUGCCCUUCGUUCGCGCCGAGAAGGAGUAGAGAGGCCGUGCGAGGUGGCGGCUCGAUUUUGGGACUCGGCGAGAUCCGGUUUGAGUUCAAACGGCGGCUAGGGCUCGGGUUAAACGGCUUGAGUGCGAAAGGGGACCUGCGGGGUGAGGAAGGAGCUUUAUAGGGUGUCCCAAGCGCGAUAAACGGCAACAAAUCCCGCCCAGGCUGGGAUAGGCACGCCUGGUUGCUUUCGGUGGGAGUCCUGCUUGGCUACCUCUCGAAGAAGAAGGGGAUGGAAGAGCUGACACGUGGGCCCGGUGAGUCAGAGAAGAGGGAGGGAGAGUCAAGGCGCUGCCGUGGGGCCGGGGUGUUAGCGACCGCAGGGGAUAAAGGGGAGGGCGCGCACAGUAGGCCUGCUGGGCCGGUCUGGACCGAGAGGGGAGCCAGGUGAGCUGGGCUUCGCGUGGAACUGGGCCACCAUGCCGAACAGGAGGAAAGUCUACCUAUUUCAUUUUUUCUAUUUUGUUUUCUAAAGCUUUUUGAAAAGGGAUUUUAAAUCUUUUUGAGAUAAAACAAGCACACAGUAAAAUAAGUAAAUAUUCCAGCAUGUAUGCACAAGCAUGUUACUAAACUUAUGAUAAAUUUUAAUUUCAACAAAAUUUAUUUAUUUACUAAAUUAAAUGCUCACAGAUAUACUUAAAUAAAUCAAAUUAAAUCAUAUUAAUUAGAAAUAAUUUUUUGGGUGUUGCAGGAGUAAAAGAUGGACAAGUGUCCUAACAAUUAAAACAAUGGGUACAUAGAUGCCCGCCUCCCAGAUAAAAAGAGAGAGAGAGAGAGAAAGAAAAAUAAGAAAGAAAGAAAGAAUAAAGAUAGCCCAUGUUUUCCUGCGAGUUCUAAGUUUAAAAGGAGGGAGUAAUUUUCAAAGAUCAAAAGUAGAAUUAGGAUUUGCCACUAAAUACUAUAUAUAUACCUAUCCACCAUAUUCCAUACACACGCACAUCUUGGUUUGAUUGUAUGCCUUGAUUCUCUGUAGAUCCAUUGUUUGACUUUACAAUCUAUGAAUUGCAAGUAUGCUCAUCCUUGUUAUUGCCACUCCUAUAAACUCCACUAUAUAUAUCCUUAGUUGUAGGAAGGCAUAACCUCAUUAAUUCCUAAGUGAGAUCCAUAAAUACAACAUAAUAAGAGACUUGAGGGUGUCAUACAAUUAAGCUCUGAGUUUUAUUUUUCGAAAACUUGCAAAACUCCAGAAUAUUGGUACUGUGAGGAAUUUGAGACAUAGUGCUUGACUUGAUUGUUAUAUCUUUCGAUUACUCAAGACUUAUGGAAAAGUUGUAAAGCUCCAUGGUUAAAGGUAAAAUGGGUAAGUUUGAAAGUUAGACCAGAGGACAAUUUAUGUUUAAAAGUAAGUGUACUUAAAAGAAAUAAAAGCAUUGUAGCAACUCCUGAUCCAAGUUUAUAAAUUAGGCUUGGGCUGUUUGCUAAGGGACUGGCAAAAGGUAAGCUUGGAAGAAUUGUUGACGGUCGAUAACGUCAACUUUUAUUAGAACUUUAAACCCGAAGGAGAAUAUGAAUACACUAGUAUAGGGUUUAAACUAACAAUUUCCACAAGAUUUGCAUAUCUGUGUUUUCCUAGGUUUAUUUCACACAGAGCUGAAAAGAGGGAUUCUAGUGCAUAUUUACCAUGAAACUCAUCCGCGAUGGAAAAUAUCGUCAUCAGGCUCAGAAAGGGUCUAGAAGACACCCGAAGGAAUGAGAGCCGUGGAAGAGGAAAGGUGGGGCCGGUCAGCGCCCUGUUUUGCCCGUUGCUCGCCGCCUUCUGGAGUCUUCCUCCUACGCAUCCUUGGAAGCCAAGCAAAGUAUACCUUCGUCGAUUUUAAGUCGGUUUGAUCUAACGGUGCACACAAGAUGAAGACGCAGAUCGUUGACAUGGCGGUUCCUUGCCCUCUACUCCACCUCGGCCUAUAUAAUGACGCCCAAGGCUCCCCCAAGAGACAUUCUACACCUCGGCGCUUCAUAAUCUCUACAUAAUUAGGGUUAGGGUCCAUCUAGUUGUUCUAGUUCAUCUAGAUGUAGCAAUUAGGAGAGACUAGUUCUUCUAGAUCUAGUCUUGUUUAGAAAUUAGAGAGAUUUAGUAGAGGAGUAGACAUUCUAGAGGAGUUCUGGCCUGUCGGUGCUUCUUCGUGGUUGUAUUCUUCUGGAUCCAGUUUCUCUCGCCCAGAGCUGCGUUCUGACGUACUUUUGUACUAACCCUUCUGGUUUAAGUAAGCAUCUUGUUCUUAUUUGUUCUUUGGUUCACAACUCAUAUUGAGUGCUUUGAUCUUGAUCGUAACUUGGUUGAAGUGUGGCAGAACCUCCUAAGUGUUUGGGCCCACCGACACCUGCCAUUGUCCUAAGGACCUCUGACGGUGAUGCCGGGAGUCCUCCCACUUUAGAAGUCCGAUGAGCAUUGCUGGGCGCUCAUUCCACUGCUACCUGUGGCGUACCAAGUUGGCUCGUCCUGACCACUGGUAAUGGUCAAACAACGAGAACUGUUUCUUCUCGCCCUUACAGGUUAACAAGUGGCCACCUUAACACCAGGAUCACUCGUUGCGAAGAUAAAGCAGUAACUCAACGACACACGACCAAAAUAAUAUUUCAGAGUGAAACAGCGGAAGUAUUACAUAACUUAAUUUACAAAAGGAGUUCUUCCAAAUAGUAGAGUGUUAUUACAAGCCUGGUCCAGCGGAGCAACUGAAACUUUAGUAUAGACAGAACAAAUUUACAGACCCUGCCCAUGGGUCACGCUCACUCUUCUUCGUCGUCAACCUCGACGACGGUCACACAACAGGGUCCGAAACAAGUCGGCUCCUGUGCUUCACCUGCAACAGGGGUUAUAAAACCCUGAGUACGGGGGUACUCAACAAGACUUACCCGAUGGGAAAAGAGGAGAACUUAGGGAUGCAGGCUUAGGGUAGACAAGGAGUGGCUGAGCAAGGAGCCAAAGUGUUUUGCGUAAAAAGCUUACUAGUAGUGCAUCCUUAUUUUCAAGUUUUACCCCCGAAUUCCUCCCUCGCAGAGGCCGAGGAGUUCGAGGACAGUCUAACUGGUUGUUUCCCCACAGACGAAUCCGUGAGUUCCUAGUCCUAUCAUAAAGUAUUAUGUAUCGAUGGCCAUAGCUUCAUGUCGCUAUGAGUCCGGGAAUUGGGAUCCGAACCUCAUGGGACAUUUUCCCCUUUCUCAUGUUAUCAUUCAGUUGCAUAUUUAACUACGAUGAGGGUCGAAGGAAUUGAGUCUCCCAAUCGGGGAGCAACGACGCUUCGAAUCGCUUAGCAAUCCAGCUGGAGUUCCUAACCACCCGACAUAUGUAGAACCAAAUCUUGCAUAUAUCAACCCAAAUCAAGCUCUCCCCAAAUUUGACCAGGUUCGCGGCACCCGAGAGCACAGUACUCCACCAUCCUACAGCCGAUCUAGAUGUUUUCCGGUCAUCUCAGAUCCGUAAGGUGGGUACACACUACUCUCGCCAUCUUUCCACUCCCAGUGCGCGAGUAGCUGUUCGCGUCGAGGGAUCACAAGACCAGGCUUACCGAAGGCAAGUGGCUAGUACUAUAAAUUCUCAACCCAGCAGGCCAUCAACGGAACGGUCCUUAAUCAACACAGUCGGAGACACUACUUUAAGACUCCAUUCUUAGAGCAAGUCCACCGACCGGUCUCAAAUUGAAACAUCAUUGAUCGUAAGUGUAACCCACAACAACCCUUCAAACUUUCUUGUUUAAAAACCUAUCUAGUAGCAGGGCUAAGCAUCGCUACGCAGUUUUAAAAUAAAACAGGUGUCAAGGACAGGAUACAGAUAUCAAGGUAGUAAAUGCAGCAAGUAGGUUAACCCAAUUCUCAACUACCUAAUGCAGCAUUUUCAAUUCAUAAGUGACAAAAGAUUUAAAACAUCCAAGGAGGGGUUAAUGCAUCCGGGGCUUGCCUUGGUUGCAGGGCAGAGAGGGACCCUCGGAGACUUCCCAAGUCUCGGAUCCAACUUCCUCGAACGGAGCACCGACCUCGGGGUUCGGUUCAACGGGCGCUCCUUCGGUCACGGACACUAUACGCAAAAUGAUGAAUGCUUAUGAUAUGCGUAUGACAAAUAUGCAAGAAGGACCAAAUCGAGUACAACUCGCCUUCUUGAUGCAAUACAGAAUUAUCGCUAAAUAAAGUUGCUUAAUAACUUAAUGAUUUUACCCAAGAGGUUGCAUCUGUAAACUAAGACUUUAUUUAAUUCAUACUUAUCUUAAAUUAGUUAAUUAUUAAUCCUAAUUACCUUAAUUAACUCUUAAUUAAUUACUAAUGACAGUAAUUAAGCAUUAAGGCUAAACAAUAAUUAAAUGCCACAGGUCAUUAGGGUUAAUGACCUCAGGUCAUCACACAAUCCCAAAAUCACUCAACCCUAAUUAUGAGGAUCUAAAUAAUCACUAUUUAAUUAUUUUGGAAUUAUUAUUUAAGUGCUAAAUAAGGGUUUAUUAAUAUUUUAAACAAACAUUAUCCAAAUGCCACCAAAUUUUGGGUGGAGCCAGAGAAUAAUAUUCAGAGGCUCCCCAUAAUUUUUGGUGAUUUUUGGACAUACAAUUAAAUUAUUAAAAAUCAUACAAGUUUUAUUUGCUAAUUAAAAGGGCAAAUUUUUAUAGACAUGUAAACUACCAGAAAACAGAAUCCACUAUUUUUCUUGUGUUCUACCCACUUUAUGGAACCUAUACAAAAACUUUCAUCAUUUUUGGAUUAGCACACCAUUUAACAUAUAAUUUCAAACAUCAAACAAAAAUUGCAUAAAAAGAAAAAGAAAAGGGUCUUUGCGCAGUGGGCGGCCUGGAUCUUGGCCCGCAGGCCGGCUCAUGUGCGCUCGGCCCACAACCACGUUGUGCAGACGGCCCGCUUAAACACGGCCCAAAUCGGCCCGGGGGCGCUCCACCGCGCGGACGGCGCGCGCUGCCCCCUCUUCUCACGCUGCGGGACGCUGACAGGGGGGUCCCACCUGUCAGCUUCGCCUCCCACGUGCACGGCGGCCUUGCCGCGCUUCCGGCCGCCGAUAGCGAGGUUUUGAGCCUGCGUGUGCGUGCGCAAACGCUUCGCCUCGAAAUCGCGACCACGUUGAUACCCUUUAUCCACACUCUACCCUACCACCACCACCCCGGCCACGAGAAAGGCGGGCGGCCGCCAUGGCCGACCCUCGGCCGGCCGCUAGAGCCCGGUAGAGUGCACACGGAUGGAACCGGGAGCUUCCAGGAGGGUUAAGGAGUACGGUGCUCACGUCACCACGGCGGGAGAAGCAGUAGAAGACUCUGGCGUCGUUGGCUGAGUAGUCAGGCGGGUGCUCCGGCUCCGGCGAGGUUGUUCCGGCGGUCCUGUUGGCGUCCAGUGAGAAAUAGUGAGCGCAUGAGUAUCGGGGAAACAAGAAGAACUCGAAACGACCGCCUUCAAGGCGUGGUACCGACUGGAGCAGCGUGCUCACGUGAAGGGUUCCAUGGCGGCGACGCCGGCCGGACUUAGAGAAGAAGGAGAAGCUCUGGCGUUUGAGGGGGUUAGGGCGUGAGCUUGGGGGUGCUCUGGGUCCGCAAGGAGAUGGCGAAUACGGCAGAGUACUCAAUUUGGCGCGAGGAGAACUGGGUACGGUGGAUUUCAGAGAGAGGGAUGUCGAGUUUCUCCGGCCGUGGACAGCGAACACGGACGGCGUCGUCCACGUCGGUGCUCAAGUGGAGGGGAAGGCAAGCCCGAGGCAUCCACGUCGCCUGGCGACCCUAGCAGCAAGCAGCUGCGUGCACUCACGCAUGCGCGCGGCGCUGCUCGCGCGGCAGCUGCGCUGGACAGGGAGCCGGUGAUCCCUAUCGGAUCACUGUAGCAACCCCUAUCUUCCCCCCUUUUAUCCUCUUGCGAAUUUCAGCCAAAAUUUGAACUAAAGUCCAAUUACCACCAAAAUAAGAGUUGUACAAAAUUUUGUAAACUACAAAUCAUCUUUUGGUGCCCAGAGCUGAUUCCGAGUGGAAGGUAGCCAAUUUGGCCAAACAGUUUGGAAUUUCAACUCAAAUCAAUGAAAUUCAAAUUUUUGAAUUGGGGGCAAAACAGGAUUUCCAAAAUUACUUUUGUUUUUCCUAAACAGCUUGAAAAACUCCCAACAUGAAAGUUGCUCAAAUUUUUGUGCUCUACAACUUUCAUGUUGACCACUUUUCAAAAUUCCAAAUGGAUUUUGAAUUGAGGGUUUAAGUUGGAAAAGGGGACACUUUCUGGAAAUCUGUAUUUUCAAAAUUACUUUGAAGUUUGUAUUGAAACUUCAAAAACUCAAAACACCAAAGUUGUACAUCUUGCCAAGAGCUACAACUCUGCUUUUGAACUCAACCUCAAUUUUUGCUUAGUUUUUGACUUAUGCAAAAGGGGACAAAUCUAGGAUCCAGAAAUCAGGGUUUUUCCCCCCUUAGCUUUUCGGAAAAAUUCCACCCUAGGGUUUUUAGCAACCACACAAGCAUCAACAUCCCACAUAAACACACUCUACCUCCCUAAGCUCAAGCAAUAAAAAUAAACUUGUUUUAAGUUGAUGCAUACAAAUGUGCUUUAACAACUAUGCUUUGCAAUGCUUAUGAUGACAUGAUCCGUUUUUAGUAACCGUAACAUCGGGGAUGUUACAGCCCUUCCCCCUUAAAGAAAUCUCGUCCCCGAGAUUUAAAACCUUAGGGUAAGUAAUGGAAAAGGAAAUUUGUCAAAACUCGUUCAUCUUCAACUUUUCCAUAAGACAAGAAGUUGGGGAAAAAAAAAUACUUCAUUAUAAGCAUAUAUGUACAUUAAGUACAUGGCUUUGGCGACUCUUUUCCUUCACUAGAGUACACUCUCUGGUUAUCAUAUGUUGUCCUGAAGAGAAGCAUGGAAUUCAGGAAAAUUCUCUAGCAAGUAAUCUUCAGAUUCCCAGGUGGCUUCUUCUUCAGAGUGCUGGCUCCAUUGUACCUUAUACCAUUUGGUGGUUGUCCUUCGAGUAACUCUAUCUUUUUGAUCCAGUACUCGGAUAGGGUAUUCCGAAUAAGUUAGAUCUGGUUCAAGCUUUACGUCUUCAAUAUCUUGAACUCGGUCUGGUACCCGAAGACACUUUUUCAGUUGAGACACAUGGAACACAUUAUGCACCCCGGAUAAUCGUUCGGGCAGUUUAAGGCGGUAAGCGACCUGUCCACAUCGGUCAAUAAUUGGAAAUGGACCAAUGUAACAAGGCGCUAAUUUGCCUUUAACACCAAAACGAUUUACUCCUUUCAUUGGGGAUACUUUCAAAUACACAUGAUCACCUUUGACGAACUUUAAUGGUCGACGUCUUUUAUCGGCAUAACUUUUCUGUCGGGACUGAGCAACUUUCAAGUUAUGUUGGAUUUGUUUCACUUUGUUCUCAGUCUCUUUCACUAAGUCAACUCCGAAGAACCAUCUUUCUCCAGGUUCCGACCAGUGUAACGGAGUUCGACAUCGGCGACCAUACAGUGCCUCAAAGGGAGCCAUUUUGAUACUCUCUUGAUAGCUAUUAUUGUAGGAAAAUUCUGCUAGAGGCAAGCAGUCAUCCCACUUAUCUGGAAAAUUCAGGGCACAAGAUCUUAAUAGAUCUUCUAGGGUUUGAUUCACCCUUUCAGUUUGCCCACCAGUUUGAGGGUGGUAGGCUGUGCUGUAUAAAAGCUUAGUGCCCAGGGACUCAUGUAAACAUUUCCAGAACUGGGAGACAAAUUGUGUGCCCCUAUUUGACACUAUUGUCUUUGGCACCCCAUGCAGACUUAGGAUACGGUCGAAAUAAAUCUUAGCAUAGGUGGAGGUAGGAUACAAUAGCUUUACCGGCAGAAAAUGUGCUGUUUUGGUGAGACGAUCUACUAUGACCCAAAUGGAAUCAAAGCCCUUGGCCGUCUUGGGCAAUCCUACUAUGAAAUCCAUACUUAUGUCAUCCCAUUUCCAUGCGGGGAUAGGCAAAGGUUGCAACUCCCCAGCGGAUUUGAGAUGAAUGGCUUUGACCUUUCGACAGGUGUCACAUUGGGCCAAAUAGCGAGCUAUUUCUAUCUUCAUUUUUGUCCACCAAAACCUUUGCUUCAGGUCCUGAUACAUCUUAUUGCUUCCCGGAUGAAUGGAAUACCUCGUGGUAUGAGCUUCAUCCAGGAUUUGCUGACGUAGCUCAGGUACCUUUGGAACCACUAACCGGUUCUUGAACCAGAUUACUCCCGCAUCAUCCACCUUAAAGUCUGUGGGUGCUCUAUUAGAAAUCUUCUCUUUAAGAUGUCUCAUGCCUUUGUUUUCUUUUUGUGCCUUUAUGAUUUGAGCUUCGAGAUGGAAAUCGAUCUUUAGAUUGGAAAGGCUUCCUUGGGAAAUCAUUUCUAUUCCCAAGUUCUCUAGCUCUUGGCACAAAGUUAUAUCCCUAGGCGUCACUGUUAAGCAAUUACAGUGAGCCUUACGACUGAGGGCAUCCGCUACUACAUUUGCCUUACCCGGGUGAUAAUGCACCUCAAGGUCGUAAUCUUUAAUUAGUUCUAGCCACCUUCGCUGGCGCAUAUUAAGCUCAGCUUGAGUAAAGAUAUACUUCAAGCUUUUGUGAUCUGUAUAUAAAUGACAUGUGUUCCCCAACAAAUAAUGACGCCAGAUCUUUAAUGCAUGUACCACGGCGGCUAGUUCAAGAUCAUGGGUCGGGUAAUUCUCUUCAUGGGGUUUGAGUUGUCUGGAAGCAUAUGCAAUUACGCGACCCUCCUGCAUCAGCACACAGCCUAAUCCGAUCCCUGAUGCGUCACAAUAUACAUCAAAGGGUUUUUCAAUAUCUGGCUGGGCUAAGACAGGUGCAGUUGUCAACAACCUUUUCAGAGUUUGAAAGGCUUGCUCACAUUGGGGUGACCAAACAAAUUUUGUUUGACUUUUGAGCAAGGUUGUGAUUGGUUUGGCGACUCUGGAAAAGUCCGGGAUAAAACGACGGUAAUAUCCCGCCAUGCCCAGAAAACUACGGACCUCAUGUACCGUAGUCGGGGGUUUCCAAUUCAACACAUCUUCUACCUUGCCUGGGUCUACAGCGACUCCUUCCGCUGAUAAUACAUGACCCAGGAAAUGAACUUUGUCCAGCCAGAACUCACAUUUGCUGAACUUGGCAUAUAGCUGAUGCUCCCUGAGACGGGUCAGCACGAUUCUCAAGUGUUCAGCAUGUUCUUUCUUAGUCUUGGAGUAAAUCAAAAUGUCGUCAAUAAAGACAACAACAAAUUUAUCUAGUUCUGGCAUGAAGACAGAGUUCAUCAGGUACAUGAAAUGGGCCGGUGCGUUAGUCAACCCAAAAGACAUCACCAAGUAUUCAUACAGCCCGUAACGGGUUGUGAAAGCGGUCUUGGGCACAUCUUCCGGCCUAAUUUUAAUUUGGUGGUACCCUGAUCUCAAAUCAAUUUUCGAGAAUACUUUGGCCCCGGCUAACUGGUCAAAUAAUAAGUCAAUGCGGGGCAGUGGGUACUUGUUCUUAAUCGUCACCUCAUUUAGGGGACGAUAGUCGACACACAGCCUUAAUGUUUGAUCUUUCUUUUUCACAAACAAGGCUGGGCAACCCCAUGGAGAAGAACUGGGCUGAAUAAAACCUUUCUGUAACAACUCUUGUAAUUGGGCUUUUAAUUCGGCCAGCUCUUUCGGUGCCAUUCUGUUGGCCCUUCGAGAUAUUGGGGCCGUUCCUGGUUUCAAUUCUAUACUGAAUUGUACAUCCCGGUCCGGAGGCAGACCUGGUAAGUCUUCAGGAAAUACAUCCGGAAAAUCUCGAACUACCGGAAUAUCUUUCACUUCAGACAUACUAGCGGCAUGAACUUGCCCAACGGUCCGUUUGGGAGUAACUAACUGAAUUAGCAAAUAAGAAUUCUCAUUUCGCAAUGGGAUUUUAAUGGUUCGGUGCAAAGUGUCUAGCACAACCCCUCGUUGCGCCAUCCAGUUCAUGCCUAAGAUGACAUCAAUUUCUUGGUCCUUAAGAACAAUCAUGCUAGUAGGAAAAUUGUGCCCACCAAAUUCGAUGGGUACUUGGUGAACCAUUUCUUUAGACAUCAGCCGUCCUCCUGGCGACUGUAUAUAAAAAUGAUCUUGUGUUUCCCCAAUGGGUAUGCCAUGCUUUAACACAAAGGUGCGAUUGAUGAAUGUAUGGGAUGCACCAGAAUCAAAGAGCAUUAAAGCAGGAUGCUUCGCAACAGGAAACGUACCCAUCAUCACUGGUUCACCCUCUGGAAUUGUCUCCACUUCAGUAUGGAAGACUUGCCCUGUCUUCUUUACCGGUCUACCUUUCUGUACCUGUUGCCCUUUUUGAACCCCAGUUCUGAACUGACCCGGCUGGGGUUGGCCCAUAGGUGGCCUUGGAAAGGUAGGGUUGGUUUGGCGGGGAAAAGGGCACUCUUUAGAGAAAUGCCCAGGUUUACCACAAUUGAAGCAAGGGUAAUUGUGGCUGGGCGGAGCAGUAGGGCGAACACCCGGGGCGUUCGGCUGGCGUGGUGCAAAAGCGAUGGCAGUAGGUCGAGAAUAUACCUGCUGCCCGGGUCUGUACUGUGGAGGGGAGAAAGGACCACGAUAAGGUGACGGCGUUUGGAAACGUCCGUGGCCCUGUGUCACACCCGGAUGUAAAAGAGCAUUCGGGUGCCAAAUCACAUGUGCGCUAGGAUCUCAAAUUCACACACAUGGACCGACAUCAUCAAUGGUACAAAACACAGUGUUCAAACGAAUUACAUAAAUGAGAGUAAAAGUACCAUUAUUACAAGCCAAAUGUUUAUCAAAGUGCGGAGGGGAAACAUAAACUAAACUGUUCCAUAAAUAAAGGGAAAACUAAACGCCGACGUAGCAGGACCACCUUGCCACAGGAAGGUCGACGGUAGAACCACACGAGCCUAACAACCAGGAGACUCAGGGUAGUCCUCAGGGAAAUCGCAAUUGUACUCCUGAUCGUCCGAGCAACCUUUAAUGAUUAUAGCAAGGGUGAGCUCAUGUCGAACUCAGCAAGCACAGACGGAAAGUAAUGACAUGCAAGGCUUAAAACAAGGUAAAGCUGACUUGGUUUGACUGCGGUAGCAUUUUAGUUGAUCGCUUUUAAUUAUAACAAUUACUAGAACAACCUAUUACUAAAUACGAGUAGCAUAAACCCAACCUUUAAUUAGUGUAAGUAGUAAUUAGCAUCUUUUUAAAAGACUAUCCUAAUCAUUAUAGUAAUAGGGAUCAACCCCAAUUAUUACCACAGGAUAGCAAUCCUGCCAUCACGGAAUAGCCAUUCCGCCAAAACACGAGGUAGCAACCUCGCCAAGGUCCAUCUCCAAGUAACCAGUGAAUCCAAUUUGCUCAUCAAGUGAGGGUCUGGGCCGCUCGUGACCGUGAGCACGGCUGAUAUAUCAGUUUUACACUCUGCAGAGGUGUGCACGUUCACUCCAAGUCGUGAUUCCCAUUUGCCCGGGGUCGCGACUCCCCAAAACACUUCCAAGGUGAGCAGGCAGGGUCUCACUACGAGACCUUUCACAGGGUCCAACUAAUAGGAUGCCACUCGCAAGUUUUUGCCGGGGCGCUCGGCAGUCGAUACCCAUAGCCAUGGCGUACCGAUCAACCGACAACUUAAUAUUCAUUACCCAAGUUACUUCCUCACGCCUACCCGGAAAGUAACACCCUACUAGUGGAGGUCCUGCUAAUUAGUCAAGCCAGAGCCAUAUAGCUUGGAGCUGCACUGUAAGUCCCAGGGGGCCGCUCCCUGACUAAGUCCUUACGGAGAGCAGAGACGGGUACGCCCGGCAAUCCGGACCACCAACGGUACCCGCUCCCCCUGUCACCACCAUCAUCACGAUGCUCGCAAGCAUCCAACAUCGCCAUCACCGCAGUGACCAAAGAUUCAGCACAGUUUAAGCAUCAAGUUAAGUAGAGAGUAAUUCUUGUUUAGACAUGUGUAUAAGAUGAGUAGAGCAGCUAAGCAGACCUAGUAUAGCCUAGUCUACCCAAAUACAUAACCCCCAGGUGAGCAAGGAAUAAUAAGUAAAGCUAGUCAUGUCCUUAGGGUUUGCAUUCAUUGGACACAUGCAUAUAAAGUAAAUGACAUUAAUGAGUAGGUUCGAAAUGAUCAAUGGUGUCUGCACUUGCCUUGAUCGAAGUCGGGUUGCUCGAACUCAGCGGGAUCCUGAACCUCUUCCUUCACGAACGUCUCGUUGGCUAUACGCGACAAUCAUCAAUCAUAGGGACAAUACAUGCAAGCAAACAAACUUAAUCAGAAACAGUACACCAAAGCAUGCAAAAACAAAAAGCAACUGCACUACUGUAAUCUACUCGGCGAAACGAAACCAUAGCGACCAGAAUCACCUAAAUCGGAGUUACGAUGCAAAAGUUAUGGCUAAAACAAGUUGAAUGGCAUUUUUGUAGAUAAACUGAACUAUUUUUCGUAAUAAAACUAAUUAAAACUGAAUUAAAACGCAUUUUAGAUUAAAUAUAUAAAUACCAACGGGUGCAGGGGUUAAACUGUAAAAGCAGGGGCACAUUUUAAAUGAAACUAUAACUGAGUUGGAUCGCGGGUUAAUUUUUAAGAAACGCGAGGGCCUUUUCGCAAAAAGGCCAGGGGCGCGCGGGCUGGCCAGCUUGGCUGGCCACGUGGCGGCCGGUGAGUGGCCGGUCUACAGCACUAUGCUGUAGACCGGGGCGCGGGGGGGGGGACAGGCCGCGGUCCACGGUGGACCGCGCCUGCGGAGCGGCGGGGCGGCGGCCUCCUGGACCCGGUCCAGUGGACCGGCCGCACGGGGGGCGCAGGGCCGCGGUCCACGGUGGACCGCGCGCCGGUGCGGAGCGCAGGGGCGGCCGGCGGCGGCGGUGGCGCCAUUGGCGCCGCCCGGAGCUUCGGCGGCGGCGCUGCAGGGCACGGGGGAGCGUGCCGAGGGCACGAACGGGGUCGGCGCGUCACGACGAGCGCGAUGGCGGGCUUACCUUCGCGAGCGGACGACGACAAGGAGAAGGCCGACGGCGGCGGCGCGGAUUUCGAUGGCGUCGCUGCGGAAAACGGCGAGCUCGGGCUAGGGUUUCGCGUAGGGGCGCGUGCGGGCGAGGCCGAGGCCUUAAAUAGGACGGUGGUCCCGGGGUCCUCGUUCCGCGCGCGGCACGGAAGCCGAGAGGCGGCGCGGCGGCUGCCCCGUCCGUUUCGGACGGGAGGUUGGGGGCGGCCCUGACGGGUGGGGCCCACCCGUCAGCGGCAGCGGGCAACAGGGGCGCUGCUGGGCCGCGGCUUGGGCCGAAGCGGGGAGAGGGGGGGGGCGCGGCUGCUGGGCUGGGGAGAGAAGCCGGCCCAGAGAGGGCGCUUGCCCCUUUUUUUUUCUUUUUUUUUUUUAAACAGAUUUCCCCUAUUUAAUUAUUGCUCCGAAAUUCAAAUAAAGGCACAAACAAAUAAAUAAAAUCAAGCAAAAAUCAUGCUGCAGCAUGAAUGCAAACUUAAACAUGUUUCUACCUUAUAUUUAAUUUUAUUUAAUUUUGUAAAUUAUUUAAUAAUUCCCAAAAAUUCAAAUUGAGCCAAAAUUAAAUCAAAUUUAAACUAAAUUUAAAAUUCAAAAAUUUGGAGUGUUAUAAACCUACCCCCCUUAAAAGAAUCUCGUCCUCGAGAUUAGGAUGAACCAGGGAAUAACUGAGGGUAUUUGGAUAUUAGAUCAUCUUCUCUUUCCGAGGUUGCUUCUUCCUCGGAAUGGUGUUUCCAUUGUACUUUACACAUCCUGAUAGUUUUACUCCUGGUAAUUCUCUCUGCUGUGUCCAGGACUUUGAUAGGGCUCUCUUCAUAAGUUAGGUCCUCCUGUAAAUCCAGUUCCUCUAGUGGCAACUGUUCUUCAGGCACUCUCAAACAUUUCUUGAAUUGGGAGACAUGGAAAACAUUGUGCACGUUGGAUAAACUAACAGGCAGUUCAAGCUCAUAAGCCACUUCUCCUUUCCUCUCCAAAAUCUUGAAAGGACCAACAUAUCUUGGAGCUAGCUUUCCCUUGACAUUGAAUCUCUUUAGACCUCUCAUCGGAGACACUUUCAGGUAUACAUAAUCACCUGCCUGAAAUACAAGUUCCCUUCGUCUCACAUCAGCAUAACUCUUCUGUCUAGACUGAGCUGCCUUCAGAGUUUGUCGGAUGAACUGAACUCUUUCUUCGGCUAUUCUCAAUGAAUCAGGGCCGAACACUUGCCUUUCACCAGUCUGGUUCCAGAACAACGGAGUCCUACACUUCCUUCCAUACAAGGCUUCAAAAGGAGUCAUCUUAAGACUAGUCUGAUAGCUAUUGUUAUAGGAGAACUCAGCGUAGGGCAAAUUAGCAUCCCAACUAUCCCCGUACUGUAAAGCACAAGACCUGAGCAUAUCCUCUACUAUCUGGUUGACUCUCUCCGUCUGACCAUCGGACUGAGGGUGAUAAGCAGUACUGAAUCUGAGCUCAGUUCCCAAAGCAUCAUGUAACUUCUCCCAAAACUUUGAUGUAAACUGUGUACCUCUAUCAGACACAAUCCUCUUGGGAACUCCAUGCAGACACACAAUCCGUUCCAUAUACUUUUCUGCUAACUGAUCUCCACGGUAGUUAGUUCUGACCGGUAUGAAAUGAGCUACCUUGGUCAAUCGAUCUACUACAACCCAUAUUGAGUCAUAACCUCGUUGAGUUUUCGGCAAUCCCACUAUGAAGUCCAUGCUGAUCUCAUCCCACUUCCACUCAGGUAUCUUCAACGGUUGCAACAACCCUGCUGGCCUCUGAUGUUCCGCUUUCACUCUCUGACAGGUGUCACAUAAUGCCACAUAUUCACCAAUAUCUUUCUUCAUACCAGGCCACCAAUAGUUUUGCUUCAAGUCCUGAUACAUCUUAGUACCUCCUGGAUGAAUAGAGUAAGCAGAUUCAUGGCACUCCUUCAGUAUCACAUCCUUGAUUCUCUGAAUAUCAGGCACACACAAUCGGUCCUUGUGCCAAACAAUUCCUUCUUGAUCAACUUUGAAUCCAGGUGCUCUACCUUCCUCUAUCAGCUUAAGUAUCUUUUUGAUCUCUUCAUCCUCUUUCUGACCUUUUCUGAUCUCUUGCUCAAGAGUUGGUUCUAUGUCCAUAGAAGUACCUUGGGUAUUAGCAACAAACCCCAAAUUGAGAUACUCAAAUUCUGCCAGUAGUUCCAUCGGUAACUCCGUGGCCUCCAACAUAUUCACUUGACUCUUUCUACUCAGAGCAUCAGCAACUACAUUAGCUUUGCCCGGGUGGUAAUGAAUCUCCAGUUCAUAGUCCUUGACCAACUCUAACCAUCUUCUCUGUCUCAGGUUCAAAUCAUUCUGAGUGAAGAUGUAUUUCAGACUCUUGUGAUCCGUGUAGAUAUCACACUUAUGACCCAGGAUGUAGUGUCUCCAGAUCUUCAGUGAAUGGACCACAGCUGCUAACUCAAGGUCAUGAGUUGGAUAAUUCACCUCAUGUUUCUUCAACUGUCUAGAUGCAUAGGCAAUCACCUUUCCCUCUUGCAUCAGUACACAUCCCAAACCUUGCUUGGAAGCAUCACAAUAGAUAGAAAAGCUUUUAGUCACAUCUGGCAAAGUCAAAAUUGGUGCAGUAGUCAACCUCUUCUUCAACUCCUCAAAACUAGCCUGACACUGUUCAUUCCACUUGAAUGGCUUACCCUUCUCUAACAAAGCAGUCAUGGGCUUGGCAAUACUGGAAAACCCUUCAAUGAACCUCCGAUAGUAACCAGCCAUUCCAAGAAAACUUCUGAUCUCUCCAACCGUCUGAGGCGGACUCCACUUAAGAACAUCUGCCACAUUCUUCGGACUGACAGCAACUCCACCAUUUGAAAUGACAUGACCAAGAAAAGACACUUCCUUCAACCAGAAGUCACACUUACUCAGCUUGGCAUAGAGCUGAUGUUCCCUCAAUUUCUGCAACACAAGCCUCAGGUGAUCCUCAUGUUCUUCCUCAGUCUUGGAGUAGAUCAAGAUAUCAUCAAUAAAGACUACCACAAACUUAUCCAAAUACUCCAUAAAAACUUUAUUCAUCAGAUACAUAAAGUACGCUGGAGCAUUAGUCAAUCCAAAAGACAUAACUGUAUAUUCAUAAAGUCCAUAUCUGGUGGUGAACGCAGUCUUUGGGAUAUCACUAGGUUUAAUCCUCAACUGGUGAUAACCUGACCUCAGAUCUAUUUUGGAAAACACACAAGCUCCUUUCAACUGGUCAAACAAGUCCUCUAUUCUAGGCAAAGGGUAUUUAUUCUUAAUGGUGACCUCAUUCAAAGAUCUAUAGUCUACACACAUCCUCUGUGUCCCAUCCUUCUUCUCUACAAAGAUAACUGGAGCUCCCCAAGGUGAGGAACUAGGACGGAUAUACCCCUUAGACUGUAACUCCCGUAGUUGUUUCUUAAGUUCUUCUAACUCAUUAACAGCCAUUCUAUAAGGUCUCUUAGAUAUGGGUGCAGUACCAGGUAAUAAAUCAAUAACAAAUUCGAUCUCACGUUCAGGUGGCAUACCUGGCAAAUCCUCUGGGAACACAUCAGGGAACUCUUUCACAACUUGAAUAUCUUCUACUGACCCACUACUCAGAUGGUAAACUGUUCCUUCACUACUAGGUGACAUAGAAACUCUGACCUCAAUUCUGUUCCCACUAGGUGCAGUUAGAGCCACUGUCUUCUCAGCACACUGAAUAGUACCCUUAAACUUGGACAACCAUCUCAUUCCCAAUAUCAUAUCUAAACCUUCGGAACCCAACACAAUGGGAUUGACAGGAAAAUCUACCCCCCUUAUUUUAAUGCUCAUUCCCGGACACAAAGUAUUAGUAUGCAUCUUUCCCCCAGGUGAUUUAACUAUCAUGGUGUUUUGCAUGGUACAGGUGGCUAUACUAUGUUUCUCAACAAACUGUGCACUUAUAUAAGUAUGUGAUGCUCCAGUAUCAAACAAAACAGUAGCUGGGCAAGAGUUGACAAGAAACAUACCAACUACCACAUCUGGAGCCUCCUCAGCAGUUUCCAACUUCACAUGAUUCACCCUUCCAUUGUUGUUGUUAUUCCUCUGCCUCUGGGGGCACGCAUUCGCGUAGUGUCCAAGCUGACCACACUUGAAGCAGGUAUUUCCAGUGGGGGCGGGGUUGACAUUGGGCUUCAUUGGGACAGUGUUGGAGUUCUGGCGAGAGCCUGAUGGUGCUGGGGCAUUCUGGCGAGGCGCCUGACUAGCGGAGCGCUGCAUUUGGUUGUUGUUGUAGCGUUGGCUCGUCUGCUGACUAUGGUUGCUGUACCUGACAUUCUGUUGCUGUCCUUGGUUGUCUGACUGAUAUGCAGGGCGAGACUGAGGGCCCUGCUGGUUGUUGUAACGGGGACGACUGGCACCAGCCUGCUGCUGAGAGGAGUUAUACUUCCUCUUCUUGUCCUCCAUCUUACGGCGCUUGCUCUCAAGCACCAAUGCCCUGUCCACCAUCUCCUGGAAACUGGCAUACUUGACAUUUGACAUCAUGUAGGACAGACCGUCAUUCAAACCUUCCAGGAAGUGGUCUUGCUUGUCUUCAUCAUUCUCCACUUCAUUGGGGCAAUACCGCGACAACUGAGUGAACUUGUCACGGUACUCACAAACUGUCAUCGAGCCCUGCUUCAGAGACAGAAACUCCUUCUUCUUCAGCUUCACCAAUCCAGCAGGCACAUGAUGAGUCUUGAAGGCGACCUUGAACUCAUCCCAAGUGAUAGUAUCCGGGUCCUGAUGUGCAAAGCAAUAUGAAUCCCACCAGUCCUGUGCGGCUCCCUGAAGCUGCCCAGAGCCAUACAGAACCUUCUCCCUGUCAUUGCACUGAGCAAUGACCAGCUGCUUCUCCACUGCUUUAAGCCAAUCCUCAGCUUGCAUAGGAUCAGCUGAGUGGGAGAAGAACGGUGGGCGUCCCUUCAUGAACUCUCCACGCUUGUCCCUAGGUGGAGCAAACGCGUUGUUACCUCCUUGAUGUUGGUUCUGAUUCUGGUUUUGGUUCUGCUGCAUGUGGUUCAUAAUAUGAGCCAUCCCUUGCAUCAGUUGAGUCUGCAUAGUCAUCAACUGCUCUAUGGUCAUGGGCUGAUUCCCAGGAGGAGGAGGGUUGGCAUUAGUCCCGCUCUGAUCAUUGUUGUUGUUGUUGGACUGCCCAUUGUUUCCUCCAUUGGUGUUGCUCCUGGUGUGGACAGGCAUCUGAUGUAUAAAAAUAAUAUAAUAAAAUCAGAUGCAGUUCAUAUGUGUAAACCUGAGCUGUAAUGUAAACUGCAAUGUGAAAAUCUUUCCUCUCAGUAUGAACCAGCUGAUAGUCACUUUCCUUUCUCAGUUGAUAAUCAUAGUACUCACAACAGAUGUAAUAUAUAGAUACUGAACUGAUCAUGAUAAAGUAAGACUGAUAAGAUAAAGCGAUUAUGAAAUAUGAUAAAGCACAAAUAAAGGAGACCGAUGAUAACCCAAACUAACUAUCUCAAAUAAACUUAAUACUUAAUCUUGUUCUUGAUGCGUUGUGGACAUAACCCACAACUCAUCGCACUCAUUACAAAGAACCAAAUCACACCAUUAACACAAUAAUAAAUCAAGUUCUCACACAGACCGAGCAAAGCACACUAAGCAAACCACUAAGCAAUAGACUCGCAUAACUAAGAUCGUGCUAACGUUCUAAGCGUGGCACUAUUUAUUACUAAGCUGGGAAUAGUUCCUAUUCUAUAGUAGUACGAGCGCUGGCAUCCCCAUAGGCUGGAUCUCCACGAGGCGGAGAGAAAGCAGGCCACUUAGGUGAAGGCGGUGGCACUCCAGUGAUCUGAGCCUCCAGCUGUGCUAUCCUCUUCCUGGCGUCGUCCAACUCCUUCCUGACUUGCUUCAACUCCACUAGUGAAUUGUUGAGCUCGGUGUUAGUGACCGCCACCAGCUUGACAGUCCUGUGCAUGCGGGGGUCUUGCUCAUCAGUGGUGGAAGCAAUAGUCAUCGCCAACUCUCCACGGCGACGGCGAGGGUAGUAACGACGCUCAUCCUGGCUGAUCUCCUCGAAGAAGUGAUCACGGUAUGCGUAGAAAGCCUGGCGAGCAGCAUCAUUAAUGCCUGCCAUCUGGGUAGACCUCUCAGCCACAGCCUCAUGUAUGGACAUGAUCCUCAGUGCCCUCAACGUCGGGUUAGGCCUGCCGACGUGUGCCCAGACCUUCCAGUACGCCGGGUAGUCUGGGUGACUCCAGUGCUCACUGCGGUACUCCACUGAGAACAUGCCAUGUCCCAGCUGCUGGUCAAGGAGACGCUUCAGCUCGCUGUGGAAGAAACACUCUCCACCAUCCCUGGUGCAGACGGUCACAAUCCACCCAUCAUCAGCAGCAAAAAGUCCAUCUUGACCUCCAGGUCCUCCAGGUCCACCGGGUCCUCCGGGUCCUCCAGGUCCUCCAGGUGCAUCCUCAUCAUCAUCAUCCUCAUCAUCAUCAUCCAUGUCAUCAUCACCGAAGGGAUCAUCUCNNNNNNNNNNNNNNNNNNNNNNNNNNNNNNNNNNNNNNNNNNNNNNNNNNNNNNNNNNNNNNNNNNNNNNNNNNNNNNNNNNNNNNNNNNNNNNNNNNNNNNNNNNNNNNNNNNNNNNNNNNNNNNNNNNNNNNNNNNNNNNNNNNNNNNNNNNNNNNNNNNNAAACUUUGGUGGUAUUUAUGGUAAGAUAUAAAAGCAAGUAAUGAAGGUAUAAAGUGAAAACAAGGUAAUGGAAUUUAUUGUCAAGGCAGAAAUAAAACAUAACUCAAGUAAUAAAUGAAAAACAAGGAUCAAGAAGGUAAUAUGAGUAGAAUGAUAAUAAAUGACAAGGUAUAAAAGAAAGGUUCAAAUAACAAGUAGUAAAAGUUGAAACAAGGAUAUAAAUGCAAUAUGAGAAAUAGAAAGCAAUAAAUGAUAACAAGGUAAUAAAUGCAAGAAGUAAGUGAAUAAACUGAACUGUUAGUAAAAGUAAGUAGAUAAGGCUAACAGAUAAAGUCUAAUGAGACAGGUUGGUGAGGUAGUUAAUAGAUCCAAUGGUGUAUUCCACCCAAAAGGGACAAUCUAAACGACUGUUUCUAACUAGGCUGCGUGAUCCUACGGUCAACACGGCUCUGAUACCACUUCUGUCACACCCGGAUGUAAAAGAGCAUUCGGGUGCCAAAUCACAUGUGCGCCAGGAUCUCAAAUUCACACACAUGGACCGACAUCAUCAAUGGUACAAAACACAGUGUUCAAACGAAUUACAUAAAUGAGAGUAAAAGUACCAUUAUUACAAGCCAAAUGUUUAUCAAAGUGCGGAGGGGAAACAUAAACUAAACUGUUCCAUAAAUAAAGGGAAAACUAAACGCCGACGUAGCAGGACCACCUUGCCACAGGAAGGUCGACGGUAGAACCACACGAGCCUAACAACCAGGAGACUCAGGGUAGUCCUCAGGGAAAUCGCAAUUGUACUCCUGAUCGUCCGAGCAACCUUUAAUGAUUAUAGCAAGGGUGAGCUCAUGUCGAACUCAGCAAGCACAGACGGAAAGUAAUGACAUGCAAGGCUUAAAACAAGGUAAAGCUGACUUGGUUUGACUGCGGUAGCAUUUUAGUUGAUCGCUUUUAAUUAUAACAAUUACUAGAACAACCUAUUACUAAAUAUGAGUAGCAUAAACCCAACCUUUAAUUAGUGUAAGUAGUAAUUAGCAUCUUUUUAAAAGACUAUCCUAAUCAUUAUAGUAAUAGGGAUCAACCCCAAUUAUUACCACAGGAUAGCAAUCCUGCCAUCACGGAAUAGCCAUUCCGCCAAAACACGAGGUAGCAACCUCGCCAAGGUCCAUCUCCAAGUAACCAGUGAAUCCAAUUUGCUCAUCAAGUGAGGGUCUGGGCCGCUCGUGACCGUGAGCACGGCUGAUAUAUCAGUUUUACACUCUGCAGAGGUGUGCACGUUCACUCCAAGUCGUGAUUCCCAUUUGCCCGGGGUCGCGACUCCCCAAAACACUUCCAAGGUGAGCAGGCAGGGUCUCACUACGAGACCUUUCACAGGGUCCAACUAAUAGGAUGCCACUCGCAAGUUUUUGCCGGGGCGCUCGGCAGUCGAUACCCAUAGCCAUGGCGUACCGAUCAACCGACAACUUAAUAUUCAUUACCCAAGUUACUUCCUUACGCCUACCCGGAAAGUAACACCCUACUAGUGGAGGUCCUGCUAAUUAGUCAAGCCAGAGCCAUAUAGCUUGGAGCUGCACUGUAAGUCCCAGGGGGCCGCUCCCUGACUAAGUCCUUACGGAGAGCAGAGACGGGUACGCCCGGCAAUCCGGACCACCAACGGUACCCGCUCCCCCUGUCACCACCAUCAUCACGAUGCUCGCAAGCAUCCAACAUCGCCAUCACCGCAGUGACCAAAGAUUCAGCACAGUUUAAGCAUCAAGUUAAGUAGAGAGUAAUUCUUGUUUAGACAUGUGUAUAAGAUGAGUAGAGCAGCUAAGCAGACCUAGUAUAGCCUAGUCUACCCAAAUACAUAACCCCCAGGUGAGCAAGGAAUAAUAAGUAAAGCUAGUCAUGUCCUUAGGGUUUGCAUUCAUUGGACACAUGCAUAUAAAGUAAAUGACAUUAAUGAGUAGGUUCGAAAUGAUCAAUGGUGUCUGCACUUGCCUUGAUCGAAGUCGGGUUGCUCGAACUCAGCGGGAUCCUGAACCUCUUCCUUCACGAACGUCUCGUUGGCUAUACGCGACAAUCAUCAAUCAUAGGGACAAUACAUGCAAGCAAACAAACUUAAUCAGAAACAGUACACCAAAGCAUGCGAAAACAAAAAGCAACUGCACUACUGUAAUCUACUCGGCGAAACGAAACCAUAGCGACCAGAAUCACCUAAAUCGGAGUUACGAUGCAAAAGUUAUGGCUAAAACAAGUUGAAUGGCAUUUUUGUAGAUAAACUGAACUAUUUUUCGUAAUAAAACUAAUUAAAACUGAAUUAAAACGCAUUUUAGAUUAAAUAUAUAAAUAGCAACGGGUGCAGGGGUUAAACUGUAAAAGCAGGGGCACAUUUUCAAUGAAACUAUAACUGAGUUGGAUCGCGGGUUAAUUUUUAAGAAACGCGAGGGCCUUUUCGCAAAAAGGCCAGGGGCGCGCGGGCUGGCCAGCUUGGCUGGCCACGUGGCGGCCGGUGAGUGGCCGGUCUACAGCACUAUGCUGUAGACCGGGGCGCGGGGGGGGGACAGGCCGCGGUCCACGGUGGACCGCGCCUACGGAGCGGCGGGGCGGCGGCCUCCUAGACCCGGUCCAGUGGACCGGCCGCACGGGGGGCGCAGGGCCGCGGUCCACGGUGGACCGCGCGCCGGUGCGGAGCGCAGGGGCGGCCGGCGGCGGCGGUGGCGCCAUUGGAGCCGCCCGGAGCUUCGGCGGCGGCGCUGCAGGGCACGGGGGAGCGUGCCCGAGGCACGAACGGGGUCGGCGCGUCACGACGAGCGCGAUGGCGGGCUUACCUUCGCGAGCGGACGACGACAAAGAGAAGGCCGACGGAGGCGGCGCGGAUUUUGAUGGCGUCGCUGCGGAAAACGGCGAGCUCGGGCUAGGGUUUCGCGUAGGGGCGCGUGCGGGCGAGGCCGAGGCCUUAAAUAGGACGGUGGUCCCGGGGUCCUCGUUCCGCGCGCGGCACGGAAGCCGAGAGGCGGCGCGGCGGCUGCCCCGUCCGUUUCGGACGGGAGGUUGGGGGCGGCCCUGACGGGUGGGGCCCACCCGUCAGCGGCAGCGGGCAACAGGGGCGCUGCUGGGCCGCGGCUUGGGCCGAAGCGGGAGAGGGGGGGGGCGCGGCUGCUGGGCUGGGGAGAGAAGCCGGCCCAGAGAGGGCGCUUGCCCCUUUUUUUUUUCUUUUUUUUUAAACAGAUUUCCCCUAUUUAAUUAUUGCUCCGAAAUUCAAAUAAAGCCACAAACAAAUAAAUAAAAUCAAGCAAAAAUCAUGCUGCAGCAUGAAUGCAAACUUAAACAUGUUUCUACCUUAUAUUUAAUUUUAUUUAAUUUUGUAAAUUAUUUAAUAAUUCCCAAAAAUUCAAAUUGAGCCAAAAUUAAAUCAAAUUUAAACUAAAUUUAAAAUUCAAAAAUUUGGAGUGUUAUACCCUGUGGAUGAUAAAUGAUCCUCUGGCGCUUUUGACCGCGACCAGAGAAAGAAGAGGAAGCAGCCUUCUUCUUGGCUUCCUUAUGUUUCCUAUUCUUUUCCUCUGAGGCGGUAGCAAUAUUUACCGCCUCAUAGAAAGUAGCAUUUUGGCAAGUGGUCAUCAUGGUUUGAAGUUUAGUAUUUAGACCACGCAUGAAACAGGCUUUCCUCUUUCUGUCAGUGUUCACAUGAUCCGUGGCAUAUUGAGAGAGAUGAUUAAACCUUGCCACGUAUUCCAUAACACUUUUAUCGCCUUGCUGCAAGGCGAGAAACUCUUCGGCCUUCAUGGCCAUGAGCCCUUCGGGGAUGUAGUGGGCGCGGAACGCGUCCUUAAAUUCGGUCCAAGUGACUUGGUGUCCGGGAGCUUGAAUAGCUAAGAAGUUCUCCCACCAGGCACCUGCAGCUCCCCGAAGCUGCUGAGCUGCAAAUAAGGGUUUCUGAGUUUCUGAACAUUGAAUCAAACUGAACUUAUGCUCCAUGGUUCGGAGCCAGUCAUCCGCUUCUAAAGGCUCAUCGGCCUUAGUGAACACCGGGGGCCUGGUCUCGGUAAAGUCCACAUACCGAGCCUCUCCGUCCCCGUUGCGCGGUGCCCUGAAGUUUGGAGCAGGGUGUGGUUGACGCUGUGCUAGCUCGCGCAGCAAGCGAGCAUUGUCAGUAGUGGCACUUAACAAAACAGCAAUGGCGUCAGCCAAAGAUGGCGGAGCAGGUGGAGGGUUGGGGAUAUCAUCCCCUCCCUGAGAUGUUCCAGCUCCAUCAGAUCCGCGAGUACGCAUUGGCAUCUGUUACAAGAAUCGUAGAUACCUGUUACCACGUGAAAUUCAUAACACAGAACAUAUAUUACAUUCUUUCAUUCACUUAUUAAACAUUAGUUCGACACACCAAGAGUAAACAGGUACAACUUCUCAAACCGAAAGAGAACUUAUAUUACAAACCCGAACCCCACUACGGCAAGCUAAGACCCCUACAACGACGUUGCCCUCGGUUUCACCGAACUAAUCGGUGUGGCCAGAGCUGUAGCCCGGGUCGUCAUCGCCAUCAUCCUGAUUACCCCCUGGGUUGUUGUUAUCGGGGUCGGACUCCUCUUCAUCAUUGAGGCCUGGGUCAGGUUCUCCAUCGUCUGCCAACUCGCCAUCCGUAUCCAUUUCUCCUUCGCCGGGAGGUGGGUGGAGUUGAUGAUACAGAUCAAAUGCAAUAUCACGAUAUUGCAUAGCCAGGUCAUUGACUGUAUCUAAGUGAUGUGCCAGCUCCAGUUUCUCCAGCUGGAGCUGGUCCCCUCGUUGCCACGCGACAUCCCGUUGUGCGGUGACCGUGGCCGCCAUCUUCACAUACAAAUCCUUAAGAUACCUUGCCUUGCCCAACUUUGCGUUCAUCCUAGUUAGCUCAUGCCUAUGGGUGCUCCUAGCUUCUUCCUCUCGGGCAAUGGCUGCAUUCCGCUCCUCCACCAUCCGGGACAACAUAGCUUCACAGUUUUCCGUAGCUUGUUUUUCUUUGGCCAGUUGAACUUUAAGCUUGCCAAUCUCCAUAAUAUUGUACAUUCUCUCUCUCAUCACCUCAGUCAAUUCGGCGGACAACCUGUCCACCUCCUGCUGAGGCGGUGAACGGCUACUACUGGCUUGAUCACUGCGUGGAGCUAGCUGAUGUCGGGGAACUCCUUUUGGACCGGUCCGCUUACGCGGGGUCUGCUUCUGACGAGCCAUCCUAUAGAGGGUAAGUUUAGAUUAGUAAGAGAGACCUUAAAGGUUAGCAAGAAUAGGAUUGAUUCUAUUCACCCAACCCAACAAGGAGGAAGGAACUUAACCAGUUAAUACAUCAUGAUGCAUGCACGAACUUACGAUUCCUACUAACAAUUCGUAACGAUAUUACUUUAAACUUUUACAACAUAGGGCAAUACUUUAGGUUGCUCCUCCAUACCACUUCAAAAAUUCUAAGAAAGCCUAUAGACAGGGGUAGAUUAGGGCUAAGCACUUGGACUCAAAAUAGGCAGGUUCAUAGUAUUAGAUCCAAACGAAUUUUUUGAAAUUUUUCACUAGGUACAGCAGUCAUCUUAGCAACGAAUGCUCUGAUACCAGCUGUGGCAGAACCUCCUAAGUGUUUGGGCCCACCGACACCUGCCAUUGUCCUAAGGACCUCUGACGGUGAUGCCGGGAGUCCUCCCACUUUAGAAGUCCGAUGAGCAUUGCUGGGCGCUCAUUCCACUGCUACCUGUGGCGUACCAAGUUGGCUCGUCCUGACCACUGGUAAUGGUCAAACAACGAGAACUGUUUCUUCUCGCCCUUACAGGUUAACAAGUGGCCACCUUAACACCAGGAUCACUCGUUGCGAAGAUAAAGCAGUAACUCAACGACACACGACCAAAAUAAUAUUUCAGAGUGAAACAGCGGAAGUAUUACAUAACUUAAUUUACAAAAGGAGUUCUUCCAAAUAGUAGAGUGUUAUUACAAGCCUGGUCCAGCGGAGCAACUGAAACUUUAGUAUAGACAGAACAAAUUUACAGACCCUGCCCAUGGGUCACGCUCACUCUUCUUCGUCGUCAACCUCGACGACGGUCACACAACAGGGUCCGAAACAAGUCGGCUCCUGUGCUUCACCUGCAACAGGGGUUAUAAAACCCUGAGUACGGGGGGUACUCAACAAGACUUACCCGAUGGGAAAAGAGGAGAACUUAGGGAUGCAGGCUUAGGGUAGACAAGGAGUGGCUGAGCAAGGAGCCAAAGUGUUUUGCAUAAAAAGCUUACUAGUAGUGCAUCCUUAUUUUCAAGUUUUACCCCCGAAUUCCUCCCUCGCAGAGGCCGAGGAGUUCGAGGACAGUCUAACUGGUUGUUUCCCCACAGACGAAUCCGUGAGUUCCUAGUCCUAUCAUAAAGUAUUAUUUAUCGAUGGCCAUAGCUUCAUGUCGCUAUGAGUCCGAGAAUUGGGAUCCGAACCUCAUGGGACAUUUUCCCCUUUCUCAUGUUAUCAUUCAGUUGCAUAUUUAACUACGAUGAGGGUCGAAGGAAUGGAGUCUCCCAAUCGGGGAGCAACGACGAUUCGAAUCGCUUAGCAAUCCAGCUGGAGUUCCUAAACACCCGACAUAUGUAGAACCAAAUCUUGCAUAUAUCAACCCAAAUCAAGCUCUCCCCAAAUUUGACCAGGUUCGCGGCACCCGAGAGCACAGUACUCCACCAUCCUACAGCCGAUCUAGAUGUUUUCCGGUCAUCUCAGAUCCGUAAGGUGGGUACACACUACUCUCGCCAUCUUUCCACUCCUAGUGCGCGAGUAGCUGUUCGCGUCGAGGGAUCACAAGACCGGGCUUACCGAAGGCAAGUGGCUAGUACUAUAAAUUCUCAACCCAGCAGGCCAUCAACGGAACGGUCCUUAAUCAACACAGUCGGAGACACUACUUUAAGACUCCAUUCUUAGAGCAAGUCCACCGACCGGUCUCAAAUUGAAACAUCAUUGAUCGUAAGUGUAACCCACAACAACCCUUCAAACUUUCUUGUUUAAAAACCUAUCUAGUAGCAGGGCUAAGCAUCGCUACGCAGUUUUAAAAUAAAACAGGUGUCAAGGACAGGAUACAGAUAUCAAGGUAGUGAAUGCAGCAAGUAGGUUAACCCAAUUCUCAACUACCUAAUGCAACAUUUUCAAUUCAUAAGUGACAAAAGAUUUAAAACAUCCAAGGAGGGGUUAAUGCAUCCGGGCCUUGCCUUGGUUGCAGGGCAGAGAGGGACCCUCGGAGACUUCCCAAGUCUCGAAUCCGACUUCCUCGAACGGAGCACCGACCUCGGGGUUCGGUUCAACGGGCGCUCCUUCGGUCACGGACACUAUACGCAAAAUGAUGAAUGCUUAUGAUAUGCGUAUGACAAAUAUGCAAGAAGGACCAAAUCGAGUACAACUCGCCUUCUUGAUGCAAUACAGAAUUAUCGCUAAAUAAAGUUGCUUAAUAACUUAAUGAUUUUACCCAAGAGGUUGCAUCUGUAAACUAAGACUUUAUUUAAUUCAUACUUAUCUUAGUUAAUUAUUAAUCCUAAUUACCUUAAUUAACUCUUAAUUAAUUACUAAUGACAGUAAUUAAGCAUUAAGGCUAAAGAAUAAUUAAAUGCCACAGGUCAUUAGGGUUAAUGACCUCAGGUCAUCACACAAUCCCAAAAUCACUCAACCCUAAUUAUGAGGAUCUAAAUAAUCACUAUUUAAUUAUUUUGGAAUUAUUAUUUAAGUGCUAAAUAAGGGUUUAUUAAUAUUUUAAACAAACAUUAUCCAAAUGCCACCAAAUUUUGGGUGGAGCCAGGGAAUAAUAUUCAGAGGCUCCCCAUAAUUUUUGGUGAUUUUUGGACAUACAAUUAAAUUAUUAAAAAUCAUACAAGUUUUAUUUGCUAAUUAAAAGGGCAAAUUUUUAUAGACAUGUAAACUACCAGAAAACAGAAUCCACUAUUUUUCUUGUGUUCUACCCACUUUAUGGAACCUAUACAAAAACUUUCAUCAUUUUUGGAUUAGCACACCAUUUAACAUAUAAUUUCAAACAUCAAACAAAAAUUGCAUAAAAAGAAAAAGAAAAGGGUCUUUGCGCAGUGGGCGGCCUGGAUCUUGGCCCGCAGGCCGGCUCAUGUGCGCUCGGCCCACAACCGCGUUGUGCAGACGGCCCGCUUAAACACGGCCCAAAUCGGCCCGGGGGCGCUCCACCGCGCGGACGGCGCGCGCUGCCCCCUCUUCUCACGCUGCGGGACGCUGACAGGGGGGUCCCACCUGUCAGCUUCGCCUCCCACAUGCACGGCGGCCUUGCCGCGCUUCCGGCCGCCGAUAGCGAGGUUUUGAGCCUGCGUGUGCGUGCGCAAACGCUUCGCCUCGAAAUCGCGACCACGUUGAUACCCUUUAUCCACGCUCUACCCUACCACCACCACCCCGGCCACGAGAAAGGCGGGCGGCCGCCAUGGCCGACCCUCGGCCGGCCGCUAGAGCCCGGUAGAGUGCACACGGAUGGAACCGGGAGCUUCCAGGAGGGUUAAGGAGUACGGUGCUCACGUCACCACGGCGGGAGAAGCAGUAGAAGACUCUGGCGUCGUUGGCUGAGUAGUCAGGCGGGUGCUCCGGCUCCGGCGAGGUUGUUCCGGCGGUCCUGUUGGCGUCCAGUGAGAAAUAGCGAGCGCAUGAGUAUCGGGGAAACAAGAAGAACUCGAAACGACUGCCUUCAAGGCGUGGUACCGACUGGAGCAGCGUGCUCACGUGAAGGGUUCCACGGCGGCGACGCCGGCCGGACUUAGAGAAGAAGGAGAAGCUCUGGCGUUUGAGGGGGUUAGGGCGUGAGCUUGGGGGUGCUCUGGGUCCGCAAGGAGAUGGCGAAUACGGCAGAGUACUCAAUUUGGCGCGAGGGGAACUGGGUACGGUGGAUUUCAGAGAGAGGGAUGUCGAGUUUCUCCGGCCGUGGACAGCGAACACGGACGGCGUCGUCCACGUCGGUGCUCAAGUGGAGGGGAAGGCAAGCCCGAGGCAUCCACGUCGCCUGGCGACCCUGGCAGCAAGCAGCUGCGUGCACUCACGCAUGCGCGCGGCGCUGCUCGCGCGGCAGCUGCGCUGGACAGGGAGCCGGUGAUCCCUAUCGGAUCACUGUAGCAACCCCUAUCUUCCCCCCUUUUAUCCUCUUGCGAAUUUCAGCCAAAAUUUGAACUAAAGUCCAAUUACCACCAAAAUAAGAGUUGUACAAAAUUUUGUAAACUACAAAUCAUCUUUUGGUGCCCAGAGCUGAUUCCGAGUGGAAGGUAGCCAAUUUGGCCAAACAGUUUGGAAUUUCAACUCAAAUCAAUGAAAUUCAAAUUUUUGAAUUGGGGGCAAAACAGGAUUUCCAAAAUUACUUUUGUUUUUCCUAAACAGCUUGAAAAACUCCCAACAUGAAAGUUGCUCAAAUUUUUGUGCUCUACAACUUUCAUGUUGACCACUUUUCAAAAUUCCAAAUGGAUUUUGAAUUGAGGGUUUAAGUUGGAAAAGGGGACACUUUCUGGAAAUCUGUAUUUUCAAAAUUACUUUGAAGUUUGUAUUGAAACUUCAAAAACUCAAAACACCAAAGUUGUACAUCUUGCCAAGAGCUACAACUCUGCUUUUGAACUCAACCUCAAUUUUUGCUUAGUUUUUGACUUAUGCAAAAGGGGACAAAUCUAGGAUCCAGAAAUCAGGGUUUUUCCCCCCUUAGCUUUUCGGAAAAAUUCCACCCUAGGGUUUUUAGCAACCACACAAGCAUCAACAUCCCACAUAAACACACUCUACCUCCCUAAGCUCAAGCAAUAAAAAUAAACUUGUUUUAAGUUGAUGCAUACAAAUGUGCUUUAACAACUAUGCUUUGCAAUGCUUAUGAUGACAUGAUCCGUUUUUAGUAACCGUAACAUCGGGGAUGUUACAUGAAGUAGUAUUUCGUAGUGUAGGCGUGUGUUGACACCAUUUUUGGGCACGUGUCCAGGCCGACAGGAUAGGACGGCAGUGUUUUAUUUACAGGAUGAGUUGCCGAUGAGGAUGGUUGCCGAUGAAGGAGAUGUUGAACAUGAUUAAGUCUACAGGCGGUGAUCUGUUUGUACCGAUGGCUAUGAUGAGGAAGUCUGCCGAUGAUACGAAAGGAGAGUUCGGAAGCCGCCGAUGGUUUGUGGAAGAGUUUCAGUUUGUCACGGGGGAUAGUUUUGUUAUUUCCUUAAUUAUUUAAAUCGUUUUGUAUACGGAUUCCGUGUAAUUUGGAAUUCGAAUUCUAAUCGUGUCUGGCUGUAGCUCUUUGAGCAGGGUAUAAAUAUAGACCCUAGGACCUUGUAAUGAGACAUCUAUCAAUCAAUCAAACACACGUUUUUACUCAUAUUCCAGCAUCUACUUUUUUCGACGACUUCGUCAUACUUUUUUUCCCUUUUAUUACGAGUUCUUAGGAAUUCGUCGACUUAAGCUCGGCGUGUUCUCGAGUUCCGCGUAAGUACCUCUUAGCCGUGACAUCCGGGCGCAUCGCUGUUGUCACGACUAAAGUACUCGAGUUAUCACCUUUGCCGAUAGUAAGGUUAAAUCGGCUGGCACGCCUUAACGUUUGAAUCGGGUAUUAGCCCUUUGUGUUUGCAGACCAGCUUUUGCACCAACACAUCUUUUGGCACGCCCGGUGGGACUAAUCCAAGAUCAAGAUAAACAUGUUGACUUCUGAGUUUGAUCAAGAGAACGUCAUCCCCGUGACGGAAGCCAAUCUCAAGGAUGAGCAGAAGCAAGCUAUUGCUAAAGCCAUGGAGGAUUGCAAGCAACAAUGCCUGAGGUCCUUCAGCAUGAACAGGAGCGGUGAGGUGAUUCAGAAGGAUGCACUGCCGGCCCCUCGGCAGGUUACUUUUGAGUCCAAUACUGGUAAACUUCAAGAUAUGGUUGACAGCGCUAUCAACCGUGCUUUGAUCAACCAAGCUGGUGUACUGUCUAAUACGGUUUUCAAUGCCGUGGCAAGAACUUUCAAGGAAGGACAAAUCCCACCAGAUUAUGUGGGCCCCACUUAUCACCAGCCAAAGUCACCAGUGGUCACAGCUCCAUCGGCUGCCACGGCCACUGCGGGUAUGGAGAUUCCUGUUCCACCAAGUACGUUAGGAGUCACCAAUGGACAGUCUAUGCUGAUGACAACUAAUCCCCAGACUUCGGACGGGCAGAUUAAACUUGCCACAGAUCUGUUAGCAUCGGCAAUGACAGGGUUAACCUCUCCUCCCAACUAGUGGGGUUAUGGCAUGCCUCCAGAGUUAACACCGGGUACGUCACAGAUGACUGAUAUGAGAGGCAAGACUCCUAUGGCUUCGGCACCUCCUAAUAUGCCGAUGAACCAGAGUCCCCAGUAUACUACAACUACUACUGCAAGACCUCAUACUGGGAAUUCUCAAGCUCCAAUGUUCCAGAUGCCUAACGCAUCGGCAGACUCGAUGCUGAUGCAACAGAGGUCUAUGGCUCAAUCAGGGUAUGUCAAUUCGAUGAUGAUGCCCAAUUACCAGUCAUCGCAGGGCCUAUGCCGAUGAAUGCUAAUAAUGGAUGGCUUGGGCAGCAAGUCUUUCCGCAAACACCCCUACAGAGUCACCAGGCUACAGGGUUCCAGCAAGGACAGAUCUAUCCCGGGUUCCAGAAUAAGGGGAUCCCUAACCAGCCAAUGAAUCUCGGGCAGCAGUUCGUCGGAUAGCAGAUUGGCGGGCAACAGCUUGGUGGUCCACAGGUUGGAGGCCGGGUGAUCAACCCCAUGUUCCGUGCAGAUCGUGCACCGAACAGACACAUGGAGGCCUACCAGCAGGCACCUGAUCCGCAACCACCCCAUCGGCAAGAUGCCGAUGCAUACUGGGCCAAUAAGAUUGCUGAAGUAAUGAGAGACCAAUUCGGGAUAAAACCCAAAGUCAAUACUUACUCUUAUCGGACAACGUAUCCUCCCGCAUAUGAUUUGAUCCCGCUUCCGCAUCGGUACAAGGUGCCGGAUUUUACUAAGUUUUCUGGGCAAGACGACACGUCAACCAUGGAGCAUGUCAACAGGUUCAUCAUUCAAUGCGGAGAAGCCGGUAACAGGGACGAAUUGAGGGUUCGUCUAUUUUCAUCGUCAUUGUCUGGAUCGGCCUUUACCUGGUUCAUAUCACUACCUCCCAACUCAGUGAUUACUUGGGCCGAUCUGGAGAAACAAUUCCACAAAUACUUCUUUUCCGGGGUUCAUGAGAAGAAGAUCACCGAUUUGGUCAAAUUGAGACAACGCAAUGAUGAAUCGGUUGAGGGUUUUGUACAGAGGAUACGGGAAGUCAAGAACAAGUGCUAUAGUCUGGUUCUGGACGAUCGGCAGCUAGCCGAUUUGGCUUUCCAGGGUUUGUUGCCGCACAUCACAGACAAAUAUGCAUCUCAGGAGUUUGAAAGCUUAAGUCAUUUGGUGCAGAGGAUUUCUGAUCAAGACAUCAAGCCUUUCGAGCCCAAAAGAGCAUGGAACAAGAAGGUAUCAUUUGUUGAUGAGGCAACAAGCUCAGAUUCUGAUGAGGAACCAGUCAUCGGCUUGGCAGAAUGGGUAAAGAACAAGAAGCCGAUGUCUUGCCCUUUUGGGCAGAAGGAACUAGAAAAAUUCGCUUUUGACACCGCUAAGGCCGAUAGGAUAUUUGAUUUUCUACUUCAGGAAGGUCAGAUCAAGCUGUCUCCUAAUCACGUGAUCCCAUCGGCUGAGGAGUUAAAGAGGAUGAAAUAUUGCAAGUGGCAUAAUGCAACUUCUCAUGACACCAAUGAGUGUAUGGUUUUCAGGCAGCAGCUGCAAUCGGCUAUAGAGUUUGGGAGAAUCAAGUUUGACAGUUCCAAGACUCAGAAGCCGAUGAAGAUAGACCAACAUCCUUUCCCAACAAACAUGUUGGAUGCUAAGGGAAAGGCUAAGGUCUUAACGUCAGAAGCAGCCGAGAGAAGUGCAUCGGUAGAUCCUCAGUAUCAAGUUACUACUGCCGAUGCAAGUGGUAGGGGCUUGAUUCAGGAAGGAACCAGCUCAGGUAGACCUCCUCGGUCUGGCAUCGUUAUAACUCAUAGAAGGCCUCGAGAUAACUGGUAGCAACGGGAAGAUCGGUAUCGGCGCCAGCAAGAAGAUUAUCGUCGGGAGGAAGAGAGACGCCGACAGGAGUGGAAUCGGCAUAGAGAUCACUGGAACUGUCCAUUCUUCAUCCAUUGUUGGGAGGAGAAUAUUAAGCUUCCCACUGUCAGAGACGACCCUGAGUGCAACGGUUAUGAUCGGUAUGAUAGGACCGAUCGGCGUUAUUACGAUGACAAUCGGCGAUUUGAUGGGCCGAUCAGAGGAAGAGCAUCAGUUCAUGAUAGGCUGGGGGCAGGCUCAGCGUGCACGAUAGGCUUGGUGAUCGUGUCCAAUAUUUUCCCAGGAACCAGGAAGAGCUCGAGGAGAUGGCUAAUGCACGAGUCCCCGAUGAGUUCAUAUUUUGCAGGGAUGCUAACACGCAUCGGAUGGAGUCAAGAGAGAUCAACGCCCAGCAGCAAGGCAGAAGCCACUUCCUCCAUGGUGUCCGGAAGUGUUGACCAAGACACAGAAAAGGAGAUUGCAGCGUGGAAGGCAAGAGGAGCUAAGCAAGGGCGAGAACUCUGGUCAGUCUGGAGGUCAGCAGCAAUCAGAUCCUAAGAGGGAAGGUCCAUCGGCAGGGGUUAACAUGUUUUUUAUGUUGCCGAUGGAGUUUCUUGCGCCAUCCAGUGAUGAUGAGUUGGAAUUUUCUGGUCAGAUAGCUCAGUUGGCUUUGGAUCCGAUGACAGCUAUCUUUGAGAAACCUGCCGAUGAUGAAAGACAGCAUCUCAAGGCUCUGUUCGUCAAAGGGAGGGUUGACAGGCAGCCAAUGACCAAGAUCUUAGUUGAUGGUGGGGCUGCUAUCAAUAUCAUGCCAUAUGCAGUAUAUCGGAAGCUUGGGAAAGGAGAUCAGGAUUUGACCAAGACCGAUAUGAUGCUUAAAGAUUUUGAGGGAAACGUGUCUCCAGUCAAAGGGGCAAUAUGUGUAGAGUUGACCAUUGGCAGCAAAACCUUGCCGACAACUUUCUUCGUGAUCAGCGGAAAGGGGGUUUACAUCUUAUUGUUGGGAAGAGAUUGGAUUCAUGCCAAUUGUUGCAUCCCAUCUACAAUGCACCAAUGCUUGGUUCAGUAGGUAGGUGACAAAAUUGAGAUUGUCCCGGGGGAUUCUUCUUAUGUUAUUGCGUCGGCAGAGGCGGAUACCUAUGAGAGGACUAGGUGCAUUUUAGGAGAAGUUUGGGAGAAAGAUUUUUCAAGGUUGCCGAUUACGAAAUUCCACCGAUCCAAGCAGUCGGUUCUGACGAAGGUUUUUAAUGGAUAGGUUCGCCGAUGAUGGAAAAUUGGGCCAGGGGUUCACAUCGGCCGACGAUCUAGUAGAGGUAGAUAUAGGUAGUGGUGAUAAACCUAGACCCACUUUUAUUAGUGCUAAGUUAGAUUCUGAGUGUAAGCAACAGUUGACUGAUUUGUUAAAGGAAUAUAAAGAUUGCUUUGCUUGGGAUUAUACUGAGAUGCCUGGUUUGGAUCGAUCAAUUGUUGAACAUCGGUUACCUAUUAAGUCUGGAUUUCGGCCACAUCAACAGCCAGCUCGCCGAUGUAAUCCUAACAUCCUCCCUGAUAUUAAGGCCGAAAUCACCAAACUUAUUGAAGCUAAGUUUAUUCGGCAGUGUCGGUAUGCCGAAUGGAUUUCCAAUGUUGUUCCGGUCUACAAGAAGAAUGGGAAACUUCGGGUCUGCAUUGAUUUCAGGAAUCUCAAUAAAGCUACGCCGAUGGAUGGAUACCCAAUGCCAAUUGCCGAUCUGUUGGUUGACGCUGCGGCUGGGCAUCGAAUUAUUAGCUUUAUGGAUGGCAAUGCAGGAUACAAUCAAAUAUUCAUGGCUGAAGAAGAUAUUCCAAAGACUGCGUUCAGAUGCCCUGGUCAUGUUGGAUUGUUCGAGUGGAUAGUCAUGACUUUUGGCCUUAAGAAUGCUGGUGCUACUUAUCAGAGGGCCAUGAAUUUUAUAUUUCAUGAGUUCAUCGGCAAACUGGUAGAAAUUUUAUAAUCAGGCUGAGUAUCAGGCUUUGAUAAAAGGAUUGGAGUUGUUAAGAGAAGUUCGUGCUGACGCUGUCGAAGUCUUCGGGGAUUCUAUGUUGGUUAUAAAUCAAUUGGCCGGGAGCUAUGAAUGCCGAAGUGAAGUUCUCAUAACCUAUUACGAGAAGAGCAUGCAACUGUUAAAGGAAUUAAAAGAUUUCCGUUUAGAGCAUGUUCCCCGAUUUCAUAAUGAAGAGGCCAAUCGGUUAGCUCAGCAUGCCUCAGGAUAUCAGCCUAUGAUUAAUAUAGUAUCGGCGAUCGAUGCCGAUGAUUGGAGGAAAGAAAUUAUUGAUUAUUUGAAAGAUCCAUCUAAGAAGGUUGAAAGACGAGUUCGAUUUCAAGCGACCAAAUAUGUGCUCCUCGAAGAUGAAUUAUACUAUCGAACUAUUGAUGGAAUUCUUCUCUGAUGCUUAGGUAAUGAUGAAGCUAGGAGUUUGAUGGGAGAAAUUCAUGAAGGGGUGUGUGGAGCACAUCAGUCGGCUUUUAAGAUGAAGUGGAUGAUUAGGAGGAAUGGAUAUCAUUGGCCGACUAUACUUGAGGAUUGCUUUAAGUAUUUCAAAGGGUGUCAGGGAUGUCAGAAGUUUGGUAAUAUUCAAAGGGCACCUGCAUCGGCUAUGAAUCCUAUCAUAAAGCCUUGGCCGUUCCGAGGAUGGGCUAUUGAUCUGAUCGGCCAGAUUUAUCCACCAUCUAGCAAAGGGCAUAAGUUUAUUCUAGUUGCCACUGAUUACUUCACUAAGUGGGUCGAGGCUAUUCCUUUGAAGAAAGUCACAUCGGCCAAUAUGAUUGAUUUUGUGAAGGAGCAUAUUAUUUACCAAUUCGGGAUUCCUCAAACGAUUACUACCGAUCAGGGCACUAUGUUUACUUCGGGGGAAUUUGAUGAAUUUGCAAUCGGUAUGGGGAUUAAAGUGUUGAAUUCUUCUCCUUAUUAUUGUCAAGCCAAUGGGCAGGCCGAGGCAUCUAACAAAGGAAUUAUCAAGCUUAUCAAACGAAAGAUUGAAGAAAAUCCUAAGCGGUGGCAUACAUUAUUAAAUGAAGCGUUGUGGUCCUAUCGGAUGGCUUGUCAUGGAUCAACCAAGGUGUCACCCUAUCAAUUGGUAUAUGGACAUGAUGCAGUGUUACCUUGGGAAAUUAAGGCUGGAUCUAGGCGAUUAUCUUUUCAAGAUCAAUUAGCUGCCGAUGAUUAUGCCACUUUGAUGACCGAUGAGUUAGAUGAUCUAGCAGGACAUCGGUUAAAGGCUUUAAUGAGUAUAGAAGAAAAUAAGAAGAGAGUUGCUAGAUGGUAUGAUAAGAAAGUAAAGGCUAAGGAGUUUGCCGAUGGGGACUUGGUAUGGAAAUUAAUUUUACCAAUCGGGACUAAAAGUUCGAAGUUUGGAAAGUGGUCUCCCAAUUGGAAAGGUCCUUAUCGGAUAAGUUGAUCGGCUCCUGGAAAUGCCUAUAUUCUAGAAACUCUCGAAGGAGUUGAAUUUCCCAGAGCAUUAAAUGGCAAAUAUUUAAAGAAGUACUACCCCAGCAUAUGGGUCGAUGCAUAAAAGUUUAAGUGCCGAUAACACUCCUAUCGGCUGGAUUUAAAUGUUUGAGGGCAGGACUUAAUGUUUCAAAAGAUGCCGGUAACAGUCCUAUCGGCUAGACUAAAAGCUAAAAGAGCAGGAAAACACAGAUGUGUUGCCGAUGAGAGCUUCACGUGUUCAGCAGCGUCUGGAUCGCCGAUAUGGCGCGUAGCCGGAUUUGGUUGACUGCUUCUAUCUCCUUGAUAUCGUCAUCGGCAGAGCCUUCUAUCGGCUUCAGCUUCUUCUUCAACUGUAGCGCCUUGCGACCGUGGACGUUCCGCUCAUGCUCAAGGAGCUUGAUGGUCUCUGGCAGUUGACUCUCUUCCUGUUGGGCUUGGGACAAAGCGUCCUCUACUUGUUUGAGUUCUGGCAACAGGGAUUCCUUUUUUGCCGAUAAAUCAGAUAUCUUCUGCUUCAGCGUGUUUCCUGAAGAUCUCAAGAUGCCGAUGUUCUUGUGCUUCUCAUCGGUCAGGAGCUUCUCUUUCCUCAUUUCUUCAGAGAGCUGAGUCUGAGCAGCUCUAUCGGCAAGACGCCGAGAAGCCCUCUGGUACUGCAACUGACGACUCUCCAAAUGUGCGGCUUGGAAGAGGAUUUCUUCGACGUCGGCUGGGAUCUGGCCUCUGAGAGUUCUGAAUAGAACUUUGGCUGGGUCGGAGUCAUCGACCAAUUGCGCUGUGUCUUGAUGAAGGAGGACCGACAAUUCUUCCAGCUUGGCCCUGAUCUCUGCCGAUGUGAUGCCAACUGUCUGGGAAGAGCUUGCUUCUUCACCUUCUUCUUCAGAGAUGUCGAUGGCGAAAGAGAAAAGGCUAUCGGGAGAAUCUUGUUCUUGGGAAAGAAAAACAAAGUAAAUUAGUUCAUGCUCGGAGAAUCGGCAAAUAAUACUGAUGAAGGCUGAGCGACUUACUUGCUUCAAGGCUAUUUCUUGCCUUUGACUGGAAGAUGCCGGUGAGGCCAUAGGUUGAUCGGCCAGAGUUGCCGAUGAAACAACAUCAACUGAAAGAAGACAGGAAGAGUUAUGAGGUUGAAUGAGAAUAAGUUCAUCGGUGGCAGUAUUAUUAAAAUAUGUUACCCGGAGGAGGAACGAUGAUUGCUUGAGUCGGGGGAACUGCCGAUGAUGUAAUUGGACCUGCCGGGCCAAUUGUUUGUCCACCCAUGUCAGCUGAUGUACCUUCUGCUUGGGGUUCGUCCUGCUGGGGUUCGUCUGCUUCUGGUGCUUCCUGCGGAUGAGGGGGAGAUGGUGCUUGCUGGAUCUCUACAUCUGGAGGGGAGGGAGAAGAUUCCACCGGAAUAGGAGAUGCCGGAGGAGGAGGAGGAGGAGGAGUCGCCACUUUUUGGCGCUUUGUUCCAGGCCUGGUACCCUUGACGCCCUUCCUCUUUGGCUGGCUGGACUGGGGGGCAUCGGCACCUUGACGUUUGGCUUUUGCCGAUGCACUGGUUUGCUGCAGCAAUAAAAAGGAGUUUAUAAAUACAAAUGUAGCCAAUGUAAAGGUAAUCGGUAUAAAUGAAAAAGGGUUGACAAAUUGCCUUGAAAGCAUGUGCCAGAGCGGAAGCAGCUACCGUUGGUGAUGUCUGAGUUCUCUUGGUGGUGACUUUCUUGAGGCGCGCGCCUCGGUGCACAAUGGUAGCCAGAGUGGGAGCAUUGUGGCCGAUUGAAGAAAUUGGGCCUGGUGGAAACAAGUCAAUCAGCUUACCACUUCUGCUAACCGAUGGGGGGAUGUUGUCAACCUAGAAAAGGGAUAUUAAGGUGAGUUACCGAUGGAAAUAGGAUUGAAAAAUUGGAGUACCGGUUCGAAAUACUUACAACGUCGUCGGGGACUUUGUACUCGGGGUCGAUCAUGACGCGGUACGAGAGGGCUGAUUUGCAGAAUAGAUGCUCCUUCCAUUCUGCCCACCAUAGCUUGUAUGCCUGAGUAAUGAAAGCGGCUGGAACCCAUUCUGAAAAAUCUGCAUCUGUAUCGACAUUCGGUGGUAGUUGAGCUACUCGAAUCCACUCAAGAAAGUUGGUGAUGGGCUCCCUGGGUUUUAUCACAUCGGCAUAACAAAGUGCAAUCGGCAGCUGGCCGAAAGCUAAUUGACGAGCUAAUGCCGAUGGGUUGUAGAAUUCAUAAGUCUGGGGAGAGGUUUUUGUGCUACCAAAGAAAUUCACUAGUAUGGCUCUAGGAGUCACAAUUGCCAUCAUCACCUCAUUGUCCCUGUCAAGAGCUUCGUCAAAUGGAUUGAAAACCAGAGGGAGCAUACUGUCUGGGUCAUCAUAGGCCAACCAUGGUCGUUCAUCUCUGGCCAAGCCCUCAUAUAGAGUCUGGAAGGAUCGGCCGAUCUGAUCUGGAUUACUCCCUGAACCAGGCAAGACUAUGACGGCUUCGCCAAAGUUUAGGGGAGCACGUGUUGCCGAUUCCUCUUCACCCAGUACAUGAUUUUCAGUUAUAUCUCUUGGGAAAUGCUGUGUGAAUAAGUUAAAGUUGAGGCGCUUGUGCAGAUGCAGAUUAAGCCACAUAUUGAUAAACCACCAGGGGCCGCCUAAGUUGCCAGUAGACUGGCCGAGCAGGAGUUUCUUGGCCACCUGAUGGAGGAGAUGGUAAGCAGUGCCAAGCAAGUAUCAGCCGAGAGGAAAUCGGCCACCUUUAGCCAGUUUCUCUGCUGCCGAUAGAUAGACAGAAGUCGGUCCUGCCGAUCGACCACAGAACACAAACUUGUCCAGCCACAUGUUCAGAAAGGUGGUUUGUUCCUUUAUGCUGACAGACCCUAUCCCACGAUACUUCUGAAUGUACCCUGACCAGCCGCCGAUGGCGCGAGUUUCCACUUUGGCACUAGGAGCAGUGUCAAAAAAGUGGGUGCUAUCGGCAGAAGAUAUAUCUAGACUGGUGAGCAUGGCUACAUCGGCAAGAAUAGGAGAAGCAGGGCCGUGGCCAAAGACAAAAGCGUUGAGGGUAUCUGACCAAAAGUAAGAUGCAGCUAUCAACAAUGAUUCAUUCCUGUGCAUAUCGGCAAUGGACAACCUAAUGCAUUGAUCUAGCUUUCUCUCGCCCCACUGGACUUCAUUGGAGUUGCUGACCCUCAAGAACCAGUCUUUCCACCCUACAGUAGGGCUGGGUCACGAACGGAAGGUGUCUUUCCACAGAUCUAAAGAAAAAUUUUUAGCUCUAAAAAGGAUCCUGUUGGUUUCUGCGUUAAUUAGAUCGGUUGGAUCUGGAUCCCGUAGCGGGUCGAGGCAUUGGACAUGUGGUUGAUCGGUGGGGAUGACGAUUUUGUUAGACAAUUCCUGUGGGUUUGGAAAUAAAGAAAAAGAAUACAAAGAAAGGAAAAGAAAAAUGUUCAGUAAAAUGGAUUACAGAUGAACAGGAAUGCAGGGAAAAGUACAGGAGAUGGAGUGAAGAACUCACCUCAGGGACGAUGAAGCUAAUGGCCAUCUUGCCACAAGGAGGAUGUCUGAGAGCUCCGGGGUCGGUGAAGAAGAAUCUUCGUCGGAAGUUUUGGAGAUCUUGAAUGGCGCCGCCGCUGGGAAAGUAAAGAUGGGAUGGUGGAAUGAUGUGAUGGAGAAAGAGUACCCGAGAAGGAACUAUUUAUAGGACAAAAUGGGCAAGGGCAAAUCUGACUUAUCUCCUUGCCGCAUCCGAGAAAUCCGAGGGUACUCAGGUAGAUAUGGUGUGGGGGUACAAACCCCUAUACCCUUACGGCUAGACUUGGGCCAGGAGGCUUGGCCCAUUUCGUGGUGCUGCGAGACUUCUUCCACUCCUUGGCCAUCAGUUCGGCCCUCUUCCUGGAGUCGCUCUUCGCCAUUAGAGGUGCGAAUGUGGGCUUGAGUUAGGAAGAUGCAGGCGAUUGGGGGAGAUGAGAGCGGAAGGUUUGAAGGCAAUGGCAGGGUAAGCAGUACAGGCGGAACUAUCAGGCUCUUAUAACCCGCAACUCCACCUCUCCCACUUCCCGAAUUCUCGGGAAGUGGGCGGGCCAUGCGGCGGAUGCGGCGUUUCGGUUUACAAUGAUUAUAGACAAUUAAUGCGGAGGAUUUUUUGUACCAAUUGAUGGUUUCCUUUUCUCAAACCAUGCAAAGGCGGCUGCACAGUUGCCAGGCGCAACUUUUCAUGCAUCCGUCUGACACCCCGUCAGGAGGCCUCGUCACGUCAACUUUAACUGGGAAGAUCUUUUCAAAAAACAAGAAGACACAUACGCCAGAGAGUCAACAAUCCGGGGACUGCACCGACCAUCGGGCAUUCAACGCUCGGGGACUGGUCGCCCAGUCUAUCAGCUCGGAACUUCAAGGACUGCGCCGACCAUCGAGCACUCGACGCUCGGGGACUGGUCGUCCAGUCUAUCCGCUCGGAACUUCAAGGACUGCGCCGACCAUCGAGCACUCGACGCUCGGGGACUGGUCGUCCAGUCUAUCAGCUGGAACUUCAAGGACUGCGCCGACCAUCGAGCACUCGACGCUCGGGGACUGGUCGUCCAGUCUAUCAGCUCGGAACUUCAAGGACUGCGCCGACCAUCGAGCACUCGACGCUCGGGGACUGGUCGUCCAGUCUAUCAGCUGGAACUUCAAGGACUGCGCCGACCACCGAGCACUCGACGCUCGGGGACUGGUCGCCCAGUCUAUCAGCUGGAAGCUUUAAAAGACUGCACCGACCACCGAGCACUCGACGCCCGGGGACUGGUCGCCCAGUCUAUCAGCUAGACGCUUUAAAGAACUGCACCGACCACCGAGCACUCGAUGCUCGGGGACUGGUCGUACAGUACAGCGACACAAUUCUAAAAAGCACUUGGUGCUUGGUGACUGGUCGAUUAAUCUAUUCAAUUGCAGUCAGACUAGUAAAUUCCACUUUUUAGACCUUGCUACAAGGCUCAUACUUCGCCUUCCAGCAAGCUCGGGGACUACAUCGGUACGAUGCAUCUGGCGAUGCAUCUCAGUUACAGAAUUUCUUUGAGGACUUUUGUUUUGACCCUGGCACCACGUGCCUGCGUCACCUACUACCAGGCUCGGGGACUAAGUGGGCACACUUCACCUUGCGGUGAAUUUGCUUGCUUUUUUGAUGUUUCUACCUUUCAAAAAAGUAAAGUGGGCACACUUCACCAGGAAAGAAAUCUUUUUUAAUUUAGAGCACCAUGCAUUCUUCGAACAACCUGCUUCUUUGAACCUACUUCUUCGAUGUCAAUGUUGAUCAACUGUCUUUUGAGUUGGUCAAAAUACCGUUGCAACUGUUCGGGCAAUUUUCCUGAAGACGUCAAGCCUCACUGAUCGAAGAAGCUCAAGACGGCGUGUUACAGCAUAAUACAUGGUGCUCGGGGACUAGCUGUGGGGGUAUAAACCCCUAUACCCUUACGGCUGGACUUGGGCCAGGAGGCUUGGCCCAUUACGAGACGAGUUCAAAGUUUGAUCCGACAACCUGGAGUUCCGCGCAAGGAAACAAGAUGUGGAGAUCAAGCAGGAUUCUGAUCGGUUAGAAUAGGAAUUGAUAUCGAAUUACCCAUGGCAAUUGUAACCGACUAGGAUUAGUUUCCAGAUCUGUAACCCUGCCCUCCAGACUAUAUAAGGAGGGGCAAGGGACCCCCCUAGGGGACAACAUAUUCUCUCAACACAAAUCAAUACAACCAGACGCAGGACGUAGGUAUUACGCCAACUCGGCGGCCGAACCUGGAUAAAAAGCUUGUCCGUGUCUUGCGUCACCAUCGAGUUCGUAGUUUGCGCACCGUCUACCGAUAAACUACUACCGUGGGUAUACCCCAAGGUAGACUGCCGACUAGCUUUCGUCGACAUAUGGUAACUGUUCGCACGAUAAUCAAGGGAUUGUGCAGGUGAUUUGACGGGAAGCGGUCAUUAUCUGGAGAUAUUUUAUUGUGCGGGAUCUCCUAGUCAGUCCAUCGGCAGCGUCCUGUAACGGUCAUAUUGCCGAUGGGCGAGUAAAGUGAAGAUAGCCGUUUGUAUGAACAUCCUGAUCAGUUCAUCGGCAGAUCUUUGUAACGGUAAUAUUGCCGAUGUACGGUUGAAAAGGAAAUUCCCGUUUAGGAAGUUGAGGAUUUCGAGGAAUAUGCAGAAGAAUAGGAUCAGAGUUGUUCAGAUUGAGGCUGUCGGUUACCAGAUUAGGAGCAUUAAUUGCGGGAAAAGGCAUCAUUACUGCAGAGAAUUUCGGAGCAUUAAUGAUUUCAUACUCCAAAAUUGGGGGGCAUGUGUUGACACCGUUUUUGGGCACGUGUCCAGGCCGACAGGAUAGGACGGCAGUGUUUUGUUUACAGGAUGAGUUGCCGAUGAGGAUGGUUGCCGAUGAAGGAGAGGUUGAACGUGAUUAAGUCUACAGGCGGUGAUCUGUCUGUACCGAUGGCUAUGAUGAGGAAGUCUGCCGAUGAUACGAAGGGAGAGUUCGGAAGCCGCCGAUGGUUUGUGGAAGAGUUUCAGUUUGUCACGGGGGAUAGUUUUGUUAUUCCUUUAAUUAUUUAAAUCGUUUUGUAUACGGAUUCCGUGUAAUUUAGAAUUCGAAUUCUAAUCGUGUCUGGCUGUAGCUCUUUGAGCAGGGUAUAAAUAUAGACCCUAGGACCUUGUAAUGAGACAUCUAUCAAUCAAUCAAACACACGUUUUUACUCAUAUUCCAGCAUCUACUUUUUUCGACGACUUCAUCAUACUUUUUUUCCCUUUUAUUACGAGUUCAUAGGAAUUCGUCGACUUAAGCUCGGCGUGUUCUCGAGUUCCGCGUGAGUACCUCUUAGCCGUGACAUCCGGGCGCAUCGCUGUUGUCAGGACUAAAGUAUUCGAGUUAUCACCUUUGCCGAUAGUAACGUUAAAUCGGCUGGCACGCUUUAACGUUUGAAUCGGGUAUUAGCCCUUUGUGUUUGCAGACCAGCUUUUGCACCAACAGCGUGGUGCCUGGGCUAGGUUUACUUGUGCAUGUCCCUUGAUCAGCCGGACAAUGGUAGUUCGCGUAUGUGAGUUUAUAGCUGUGUUGAUUUCUCUGUAGUCCACUUCCCGUUGAUAGGAUUCAUAGGCUUAUAGGUGCCUGAUAGGGGGUCACUCUGAUUCUCCCCCUAUUCGGGUUACUUGCCCGAUAAGACGGUAUUAUUCAAAGUUUACUGGAGUCGGAACUAGAGUGCAUUAGUAUUCUCUUUUUCUUGAUAUGAUCUAGCCUAAUUGUAGGGUUAAGUCUAUAUACUAUGUCAUCAUCACAGCUGUUCCCUGUGGAUUUGAUAUUUAAAACCUCCACGUAAAAUGUGACGCUGGUACGAUAUCUGUGCACUUACGGAAAAUCCUACUUAAAUCUAUUGAAAUAGAGUGCAGUUAAUUUAUACCAACAACAACCAGUGUUAAUGAGUUAUUGUUUAUUUAAUGAACAAAAGGAUAAAAAUGCAUAAACUAUUUCCUGUAUACAAGUAAUGUAUCGGCUCAAUAGUUGAUCCAGCCACUUCCAUUCGUAAGCUUAGUAACCUAAUCAUAUUUAAAAGUAGUUCAAUGACUGGAUAACAAAUGUCAUAAUGCAUCAUCAUUAUAUUAUCUUUAGGAGUUGACUUUCUAGUCAAUUUUCUUUGGUUAACGGCUAUUUCGAGCCAUAUAUUCUGGAACUGUCUGGCAACAACCGGCAGAUUCUAUAAUUUGACAUUUGUCUUUUUUCCUUAUAAAUUUUAGAUCAAAUUGACUCGCACGCCCCCGAAUUCAAGUCACCAACUUAAACUCCUACAUUGAGGCUCAGGANNNNNNNNNNNNNNNNNNNNNNNNNNNNNNNNNNNNNNNNNNNNNNNNNNNNNNNNNNNNNNNNNNNNNNNNNNNNNNNNNNNNNNNNNNNNNNNNNNNNCAGAGAUUGUAGAGCAGGAAACAAAUUUUGGCACCAACAUAUGGUUAACAACCAUCAACACCAUCCAUGUAUGCAAACAUAAGCGAUUUUAUCCGACGGUGUGCAGAAUGUCAAUAGCACGGCAAUAUUAAUGCUUGAGAUGCUAUGUCUCUCACUAAAAAUCUACAAGUAGAAUUGUUUGAUGUUUGGGGUGUAGAUUUAUGGAACCUUUCCCUAAAACCAAUAAUUUCAAGUAUAUCCUAGUAGCCAUAGAUUAUGUUUCCAAAUGGGUAGAAGCCAUGCCUUAUAAUUCGGCCAAUUCCAAAGCGAUUUCAUCUUUCCCCGUUUUGGAGUUUCUAGACUAGUCAUUAAUGAUGGAGGAUCACACUUCGUAGACACACAGUUUAGAAGCUUUUUGACAAGUCUAGGAAUCUAACACCAUGUAGCCACACCUUAUCACCCUCAAACUAGUGGCCAAGUAGAAACCUCUAAUAAACAAAUAAAGAACAUCCUGCAAAAUACAGUAGAGGAAAUGGGAAAGUCCUGGCAUGUUAAGCUCUAUGAUGCUUUGUGGACAUAUCGAAUAGCCUUUUCUUUGACCCCCUACUGGUAUUUUAUUAUUAAAAUAUUUACAGAUUACAAAGAGAGUGCCAAGACUAAAAGUCACGAAACAAAGAAAGAAACCAAGAAAAUGAAAAAAAAUUACAUAAAGUUCUGCAGCCAUAAAUGAAUCUGUAGAUGAUAUUUUGCUUUAGCUCGUAGAAUAACUAGAGCAAAUUCCUUCUUGAAAAGUGAUUUGCAUCUUUGCACUGUAUGCGAGAUAUUGUGGAAAAUCAGGUCAUUUCUCAUCAUCCAAAUAGACCAACACAUAGUGAUAAUAAUUUCCAUGAAGAAAGGCAAUUGGAACUAAACUUUGAGGUUCUCUACUAUGGCCAGAGGAUCCAAAGCAUUAGGUAUCACGAGAUGAAGAGUGUUCCAGCAAGCCACCGAGAAGGGACAAUGAUAUAGCAGAUGACUGAUUUCUUCAUCAAUACCACAAGCACAGAGGACACAGCUGUAAUCUUGCAGCUGCAUAUUCUUUCGUCUGAGCAGUGCCCUGGUAUUCAAUCUCCUGUGAAGGACUAACCAAAAAAAGAAUUUCUUUUGUUUUGAUAAGAAGAUUUCCAAAGCCACUGGAAGGAUGGAUGGAUCUGCCUAUGACCAAUGAGAAGUCUACAGGCUUUCUUGGAUGAAAAAUCUGGAGAGCCCCAGAUAUAGGACCAAGUGUCCUUAACAUCUUGUAUCUGAAGAUUUUGAAUGAGCAACUCCAAAUCGAAGUAUUGAGCAUAGGCUUCUCGAGGUAGAGGUAAAUGAAACUGAUCAUGAAGGGGAUUAGAAUUGCACCCAAGAAUACAGAGGGUCUGGGUUCUUCACAAAGGAAAAGAGUUUAGGAAAAGCUUGAUUCAGAAUUGUCCCAUUCCAGAGGUCUUGCCAAAAGAAACAAGUCUUUCCAUCAUGAACUGUGACCAUGGCAAUCCCUUUAAAAGUAUCCAAAAGUUUUAGGAUGUCUUUCCACCAAAAAGAUCCUCUAAAAUUUGCCCUUACAAUUGGAAGUCUAUUCCUUGUGUAAUACUUAUCCCAGACCAUCUGAACCUAGGGAAUUGAAGCUCUAUUAAAGAAUUUCUGCAGAUGCUUUAGCAGUAAACUCUCAUUUUGAGCAUAGAGGUUUAGGACACCGAGUCAUCCUUCAGUUUUGGGGAGGCAAACCAGUGGCCAAGCUGCUUUUGGGGGCUUUUUACUUGUCAUGUCCGAGCCCCUCCAUAAAUAAUGUUUUCUAUAUUUGUUAAUCUGUUUAAUCACAGUCUUUGGGAGCAAGAAGGUGCACAUUGCAAAAGUUGGAAGAGCUGUCAAGACUGCAUUAGUGAGUUCUAAUCUUCCUGCUUCAGUCAAGAAGGAAGAGAAGCCUACAAGUCUUCUUUCACUUUUUGAAACCAAAUCGAAUAGCCUAUUAAACCCCAAUAGGAAUGUCUCCAUACCAAUUCGUGUAUGGAAAGACUUGUCACUUACCCGUAGAGCUAGAAUUUAAGGCUCAUUGGGCCAUAAAGAAGUGGAACAUGGACCUCGAGCUAGCCAGACAAAAUAGGAACAUGCAAAUUUUUGAGCUAGAGGAAUGGAGAGAGAGAGUGAGCUUAUCAUAGUGCCAAGAUUUAUAAAGAUAGAAUUAAAAGAUGGCAUGAUAAAGGAUUAAACAUAAAGAGUUUCACCCCGAAGAUAAAGUUUUACUUUUUAACUCACGUGUGCGUCUCUUUGGUCAUGGUAAGCUUCGAAGUAAAUGGGAUGGACCAUUCAAGGUCGUUGCGGUAGCACCCCACGGUGUCGUCACACUAGAAAGUGAUGAUGGUAAGCUAUUUAAGGUGAACGGUCAACGCGUUAAUGUCUACUUUGAAUAUGAGAAAGAAGAAGCAAGAGAAAUGACGUGGUAGCAUUCAGAGACCCCGAGCAUUGUGCAUGCUUCUUGAAUGCAAGCAACCUUGGGCCUUAACCCCUUUUAAUGGACCAAAGAAACGACUAAAAAGAUCUUUUCAGGGCCUCUGACCAACCACACGUGCACAGAGUUCAAAAAUUUUGGAAUUUCCGGCUCGGGACCCGGCGCCCACCGACUACACCCGGCGCCCACCAACCCCCUUCCACGAUUUCACGUCGGUUUGCCACGUGUUGGCCGAUCUACGCCUUUGGGAGUUCAAAAUUCCAAAUAUCAUCGAAAACUCGCAACAGAAAGAAGGAUCGGGAACUUUAAAUCCUGGCUCCAUCACUAGUCUUGAAUUAGUGAGAGAAGCAAUAAUACAAGACACAGCUUGUUCCAGAAUAAAUUUUGAAUGCUCUAGUUUUCUCGGGCCUUCCAAUUUUGUCUACAUUGGAUAAUCUUCGCACCAGCAUAUGUUACAAUACCAGCCAUUUCCAUCGAGUACCAUCCUGCACCCUAAACAAAAAGGUAUUCCAGAAUUAAAAGUUGCACCCUAAUCCACUAGCUUGAACCCAUAUUUGAGGGUAUUCGAGGGCAGUGUUCAUAAGCAGGAACAGGAUUUGGAAGCAUGUAGUCACUGAGCUGAGGAUGGCAGCAUAACAGCUCCCAACAUCUGGAGAGUAUAGCCAGCAAAAUGAGCAUUGGUGGACCAAUUGGCAGCAUAUCAGCUCCCAACACCUGGAUAGGAUAGCAAGCAAAAAAGAGCAUUCGACCAAUUGACAGCAUAACCGCUCCCAACAUCUGGAGAGGAUAGCCACCAAAAAGAGCAUGCAGAUUGCCUAGGGUAACUUGAGGGUGCAAGGUCGUCUAGUCUCAUUCUUGUACUCCCUGCAUCACUUCUCAGAUAAAUUUGGAACUUAGAUGUCAGAGUAGGUACAGCAGGUUAUAAGUUAAUAGAACUUUGCUGGAGAAACCCACAUGCUAAAAGGUUGUUGUUCAUUUUGCAGCCAGUUCACAUCAAUCCUGGGAAAUGGAAUGAAAUUAGAGGUUCAACACUAGUAUUCCACGAAAACAAAUUUCGUAUGCAAAUGCAAAUUUCGUAUUCAAAUGGACAUGUAGCACUUGAGAAUAAAAUGCACAAAGAAACACAAAUUCUCAUACAAAUUUAGGGCCAUUCGGACAACGCAUAUGAAAUUACCAUCAUAUCGAGAAAAAAUGCUGGACAUUUCUAUUCACAGAACUGCAAUAUGUGAGAUUAAACACGUCCUAUCCACUUCAUUAUGAAGUUCCCACACAACACAUAAAGUUUUCAUCACAUCCAAAAGCCGAUGCAUGGAAAUUUCUAUGCUCAGAUAAUUAAGCCAAAAUAGAAAAAAGAAAUAUAUUAACAUCAUUGCAAAGUAACAAAAAAAAGAAAAAAUUCCCUUGGCUCGGAGAUUCAGUUGGACACUGGAAAUCCAAAGUUAUAGAAAAGGAAACACAUUCCCAUGAAAACUUUGGAUAAGAAUAAUGGGUUCAAAUAGUGUGCAUAGGAUAAGAUUCUCACGAUAUUAUGAUAGUUUAACCUUCGUUCAAGAAAAGAAUAUUCACUAACCUGGCCUGGGAAUUCUUUAGUUCAUGUUUAUACUUUAGUAUCAUCUGGUAAUAUUUCAUCCUCAGAUCUUUACCCUUCUGUUUUACCCUAUUCAUCACAAAGACAUUGUAUUCCAUUUUAUCAAAUGCAGAUUCCUCAUUUUUCUGAAACCAUUCGCAGAUCGCUUCUGUAAUAGCCAUCACAUAUACACCACAGUUAUAUGAGUCCUCCUGCUGUGGCAUAGGGGCAUCACAGACAUCUUUGGCAAAAGCAGAACGCGAAAAUUCGGUGUGUACAUGUUGGGUAGAUACUAUCCUGAUCGUCCAGCCAAUCUCGAGAUAUGUGUAACUGACUCUGACAGCUCCUUUGUAUAUCCCUUUUUCUCCCAUACGUUCCUGUAUACGUACUCNNNNNNNNNNNNNNNNNNNNNNNNNNNNNNNNNNNNNNNNNNNNNNNNNNNNNNNNNNNNNNNNNNNNNNNNNNNNNNNNNNNNNNNNNNNNNNNNNNNNUACUCAUACAUUAUCUAUACAAAUUCUAUAUACCUCUAUUUUUUGUGUUAUCGUUCUUCCUCCCCUGACCGGCUCCAGGUCGCUUCUUUCCAAGAUCCCAAUCCAAAUCUCGCUGCCGGCGUUCUUCCCCAUCGAGCGCUCUCUCUCUCCCACGACCUUUUGUUGCGCAAUCUCUCUCCUCCGUUCUAUCCCUCUCCUCUACUCCAUGCCGUCGCCCUAAUCAGCUGCGCCAUCUCCACCGCCGCUCGCCGCUGCUCUUGCCGCUGCUCCCAUCUACCCCUCCGGCGCUCGCCGCUGCUCCAGUCUGCCGCUCCCUCCGACGCUCACUGCUGUUUCGCUUCGCCACCCCUCCGGCGCUCGCCGCUCCCAUCUACCCCUCCGCCGCUCGCCGCUGCUCCAGUCCGCCACUCAAUCUGAUGCUCACUGCUGCUUCGCUUCGCCACCCCACUCAGACGCUGCUCUUGCCUCUCUCUAAAUCAAAAUUUUCUUGACAAGCCAUCUUUUUUGGAUGACUGGUAAGUACUGAAAGUGUUUAUUGUAACUGGUUUUUUAUGUUGCGUUACAGUAUAAAGUUCAGAUCCAUGUUUUUUCUGUUGCCAAAUCCCAAGUUGCAUUACAGGAUCCAUGUCUUCACCCAGCACAAUCUUUCUUUAUAAUAUUUGUACUUAUUAUAUUAUUUGAAUAAAUGCAUCUGUCUAUUUUUUUGUCGAACUACUCACUGACGCUGUUGGUCAAAUAUUUAGAUGAACAUAUUUUUUUCCAUAUCUCCAGUUAUAUUCCUUUUAUGACUAAUUUAUUUAUUUUAGCAAUAUUAAUGUACACCUGAUAUAAAAGAAUGGCUUAUGUUACGAUCAUAGAAUUUCCCAAUGUAUUGUCUUAAGAUUUCGUAAGUUGCCUUUGAGAUUUGUACUAGUUUUUUUUUCUUUGAGCACUUUGAUAACAUUUGGCUUAUAUCUUUCACUCUCCUUGGUGUAGAAAUCUUGGUCACAAUCAGCUCUCGAAGAUCAAUUAUUGUUUAAUCAGCUCACAAAAUAUAACAAAGUUGCAUGUUAUUUUUCUUUCUUGAGCUAUUUAAAAUUGGUAGAGCAAGGGAGCAUAUGUACCUUCAAAAAUAGAUGUUAUGCCUUGGCUUUUGAAUGCUUCCUUAUACUGUUUGAUGACUCGUGAGAGGAGCUGUAGUUUCUUUUUCAUGGACAGGCUAGUUACACAUUAUUAUUUCCAAAAAAAAUCAUUUAGUUACAGUUCUAAAGCUAAGCACAAAUAGGUGAUCAGGCAGCAGCUUCUCCCCUAACUCCUAGAGAAGUACAAACCUGUAGAAAAAAAAUCUGAUUAGUUAUUAUGUGUUAUCCUUCGAUAUAGAGUAGUGGGAGCUCACUUUUUGUGAACGUUGGAUUGAUGGGGGAUGGGAUUAGUAGGGCCUUGCAGAACUGGGGAUCAAAAUUGUGUAUUCGUGCACAUAUCUCCAAGCAGGUAAAGUCAGAUAAAUGGUUUCUAUACUGCUGUUUUUUUGUAUUAUGAUAUUCAAAUCCUUUGCAACAUCAAGUGAGCUAGUGUGGUACCUGACCAUGCAUUUCUUUGAUCCUAUUCAGAGAAUUUAAAAUUUUGUCAAUUCUGGCUAUGUUAUUUUAAGGUUCAAGCAUAUUUUAAAGUCUAAAGCUGAUGCUUGCAUGAGAGAGGAGUAGAAGGAACAUGUUGAUUUUACAGCUAACUGGCAAUCAUGCUAUUGUUCUCGUUUUAUCUGACCGUAGAUGUUCUCUCUAUAGACUGCAAGUGAUAAGAAGUUUGGUGGACUAAGUUUAUCAUCUGAAGAUGUUUGGUCAAGUCUUGCAGUUAUAUGUAAAAAUUCCCACUGUUCGCGCUAUUAACAUGCUACGCAUGGUUGCAAAUAAAAUGAGUUUUCAGAACAUAGUGGCCAUGCCCAUCUUCAGUCAGUGUAUCUUAUGGGAUUAAAUGUCAUCUUAAAUCGUAAAUGUGUAGGGACCAACUAGUAAAACAAUAGUAAUAUACUUCAGCGCUACCAAAAGAAUUCCAGUAAAAAGAAGCUAGUUGCAAGACUUAUUUUGUUCAACAUUUUCAAAUUUAAGUACAGAUUAUUCAGCUACUUUUUAGUACAGAUUAUUCAGCUACAUUUUAGUGCAAUUCCUAGAGAACAAGUUCAGUUUCACAUGAUUCUUAAGCAUAGUCACCGACUUUUUGAUAUACUUAUCAGAUGCUGAAUAAAAGGUUGCAAUGACUAGUAUAGAUUUCUCUGAAUGCAGACCUUGUUAGGAUAAUACAAAAACUCAAAAAGUUUGGGUCUAUACUUGUAUGAUAACAUUCAAACAUAUAUUGUACAAUGUUCUCAGUUUAUUUUGCUAUAAAUUUGUCGUAACUACCAACCAUGUCUAUGAACUAACAAUUUUGGAAGCCAAUCCUUUUACAAAUUUUGCAUUUGUGUAUGGUUGCAGGCUUCAGGUAGGGAGCAUUACUAGUGCUAAUAAGAACAAGAAGGAUUUUGUUAGCAGCAUUACAGUGACGGAGGCCUGCUAGGAGUCUUCUAGGUAACAACAACUUGAGUAGAUGUUUUGUAGCACAAGUUGAUUCUUAUUCUUACACACCCCUAGCAAUUUUUAUUCUGUAAAUUUACUCUGGAUGGAAGAUCUAGAUUCUAUAAGGCGAUAACUUAUUGAGAAUAGAUCUCUUCCUGACCUUUUAUUAGGUUUUUAUUAAAAAUCUAGAUUCCAUAAAUGCAAUGGGGUUUUCCUGUUCUGAAAAUUUGUACUAACCCUUUUUUUUCUUGUCCAUAUUCAAGAUUAAUCUUUUUAUUGAUAGCUCGUCAGAUCUCUUCUCCCUAUUGACAGCUUGAGGUCUUCCCCAAUUUGCAUAACUCCAAUACCUCUUUGGUCUUUGCUGCAAGCUGUUCUUUAGACCACCAAGGUGUGCCAGGCUAGCAAGCGAUGGCGCCGCAUGGGGCUGCCAUUCCCCCUCUAGAUCAGUCAAAUGAUUUGUCUCAGCCGCGAGUGGACACGACUUCCUUCAUCCAACUCAUGUGUUCUCUCCCAGUGUCACAGUCCACUAAAACCGUAGCUUUCCCUCCAGCCUAUCAAUCUUGGCAACCACAUUUUUCUCAAAGGUACUUCUUGUUUAUUGUGUUCUCAAGGCUUAUCCAAAUUAAUUUUGCUAGCUUCCUAGUGCAGAUUUGAUUCCAUACACUUCUGUGAUUAUCUCUCUCUCUCAAAAGAAUCAUAUGUUAAAUGUUCUUCUUUUUCUAUUGAAGAGAUCAAGCUGAGAGGAUCUCUUUCAUGGACCUUAUGAGGGGAGCUGGCAAUGGUGUUUGGAAUAAGGACAAUAUUUUUGAGGACAGUUCUCCUAUUUUCAAUGGCUCUACCACCUUUAGAUCUGUGAGUUCUGAUGCAGGUAAUUGCUUGAAGGUUUGUUGAAAACAUGACACAUAUGAGUACUUCUGUAUUUCUAAUCUUGAACAAACCCAACAUCUAAAAUAGUGAUUGUUGUGAUCAUCUUCAUCAUAUUGUGGAAGUGCCAAGUGUUUGUGAUGCCCUGGGCUAUAGCAAACUUCUAUAGGAUUCUUUGGCCCGAGAAAAAAAGUUAUAGACAAAUCGGCUUAAUUAUAGAGAAAGAUUACAUAGAGAACUCACUUUAGCAUUGACUGUGAAUCAGUCCCAAUAGGAUUCACGCAACCUUUGAUUUUUCUUUCGCAUCAGUCUGUUAUUGGACUAACUCAUCAAUUUGUUUAAUUAUCCAUUGAUUAGUGCUACAAAUACUAUAUGAUUACAGGUUCUCAUUUAGGAAUUUUCAAUAAUAUGUGACAUCUCUAAAAUGUUAAAUAAAAGAGAAAUCCAUCUAUUGACUAAACAACACAUACUAUUUCAUCUUUAAAAUGCUAACUAGAAUAAGUUAUCUGUGAUUAGUGCAACCCAAAUGGUAGGAACAUCUGGUGGAUGGAGUCAACAUUGUGCGAACAAACACUCAUAAAAAUUCCAAUGAGGUUAUUUAUAUUUUCUUUUUAUCUAUGUUAAGGUACAACACAUUUGGAUCUUCCAUGCGCCGAUGUUAUUAAGCUUGGGAUGAGCAAUCUAGGUACGCCCAUAGAUGCUAGUGGGAAAAUGGAAAAAUUUUCUGCACAAGACCGUGUGUCUCCAGGUCCAUUUGAUUCCACUAUCUUGAGAUCCACCAAUUCUCUUUCAGGUAAUCAUCUAAAAAACUUCUACUAGUACACAAUCCCUUAAUUUUAUCCUAAAGUUACCCAUACUGUUAUUUCAAUUGUCCUGAGCAUGGCAUUUUCUAAUGUACUAGGGAUGCAUGGCACAUUUCUGGAUCUUUGUCCCUCUUCUUCUAGGACGACCAUGCUACCUGGGAAAAAUCCUAAUGGCUACAAUCCUACUUCAACCUUUCAAAUCAUCAAUGAAGAGUUGACAUAUAAGUAUGGGGCCAAUGCAGUCCAUGUUACUCCUGAUUCUCCUAGUAGGCUUGUUGUGGAUGAUUCUGGUUAUGCUAGCUCAGAGUCUUCAUUGUAUGACGUUGACUCUGAUGAUGAAGAUGGUGCUCUUGGUUUUCAAGAUGAAAACAACAUUGAAGGACAUAAGUAAGUCAUGUGUUUCUAUAUAUUUUUAAAGUCAUAUCACUAGCUUAUAACAUCUUAACUAAUGGUAACUACGCAUAUAUUUUUUAUAGCUUGGCUGGGUCUUCUGAAUGUCCAGUCAAUAAAAUUUGUAAUGCUAGGGAACAAGUGCCUAGCACCAUCAAUCAAGGUGAUGCUAAUCCAGUGGAGGAUUGUCCUUGUAUUAAUGGAAAUCCAUUUAUGCAUGUUAUGACUCAAGUUACAGAAGACACGGUGCAAACAGUAGCAUGGAAGAAAAGGUAUUUACUUUCCUAUAAUGAUGUGGCAUGCCAUCUCAAGUUUACUCUAACAUCUAAAACAAACAUUGUUGCCUCACUAUAUAUUCUAAUUGCAAUGUGUCUAUUUAAAAUUGAUAAAAUUUGCUAUAUAUGACUUUUACUUCUUGGUAAUAUAUGUGAAGUUCCAUGUACUGCCCAAUAGGUGAUAACUUUCUAGUCUAUUUUGUUUGAUAAUAAAGCUGACUUUGUAAAAAGAAUGUUGCCAUGUACAAUUCUGAUAUCUAUGUGAAUUUCUUGGUGCUAUUUGUGCAUUACCAUGUACCAUAGCAUUCCAUCUAAAGUUGGGCUAUAGUAAUGAAUUAUGAAUGUGACUUGGCCAAGUAUCUUUCUAAAAAUUGUUAAUAUGCAUGAGCUAUAUAUACAUCCAGUUAUAUAAUCUAGUUAAACUUAAUAUUUGUUUGACUUCUCGAAGUUCGUGAUAUGUACUUAUUUUAGAACAGAGCGAGUACAAUGAGCUCAUGGAUGGCAAUGGUUGAUGAUCUAAAAUACUUCAUCUAUCCCAAAAAAUGUCGCUAUGAUUUUUGUGCUGGUCAAACUUUUUAAGUUUGGUUGCGUUUAUAAAAUAUUAGUAAUAUUUGUAUGUCCAAUUAAGUUCAUUAUAAAAACAGAUUCAAUGAUCAAUCUAAUCAUACUAAUUAGUGUCGCUAUGGUUUAUAUACUAGUCAAACUUUUCUAAGAUUGAUUAGAUUUACAGAUAAUAUUUACAACAUUCAUAUCUCCAAUUAAGUUUUUAUGAAAAUAGAUUCACUGGUUCAUCUGAUGAUACUAAUUAUGUACUAUAAAUUUUACUAUUUUUUAUAAUAUUUGAUUGAAGUUAAAAAUAUUUGACACCUCGAGAAGCGAGAAUGACACUUAUUUUGGGUCAUAGGGAGUACACCCACAAUGCAAUACAAAAACAAAUGCAUAUCUUAUACUUAUAGGAGUUAAAGAUACUUAAUUUUACAAUCAAACAUUUCUCCAAGACACAAUACAAAUCCUUGACUGGUUUCAUUGAGAAAUGUAAAUAAAUAAAGAUUAAUAAAAGUUCAUGAAGAACGUGGGAAAAAGUAAAUGAAAAUGAGUUAACAAAAAUAAAAUAAGUGGUGCAAGUCAAGGGAAGAAAUAACUCAAGAGCAGCAAGGCCUUGUUUAGUUCACCCCGAAAACCAAAAAGUUUUCAAGAUUCCCCAUCACAUCGAAUCUUGUGGCACAUGCAUAAAAUAUUAAAUAUAGACGAAAACAAAAACUAAUUACACAGUUUAGCUGUAAAUCACGAGACGAAUCUUUUGAUCCUAGUUAGUCCAUAAUUGGAUAAUAUUUGUCACAAACAAACGAAAUUGCUACAGUACCGAAAAGUUUUCACUUUUCGGAACUAAACAAGGCCCAAGUGGGUUAGUGAUUGUAUUAGUUGAAUAUAGGAAUGGAAUAUUUUUGUUCUUUUAUACAGUGUUUUGUGAUAAGAUAUUAUUUCUAAUAUAAAUUUAGAAUAUUAAGGCUGAAACAACAUACUGUGCAUGAUGAAAAAUAAAACUGAGAUAUUUAUAUAGAAGUAAACUAUUAAAAAGGCAUAUAAGAGUAAGCUAUUAAAAAGGCACUGGCAAUAAGUCGUAGAAAAUAACAGAAAAAAGUACAUCAAAUGAAAAAUUAUUUAUUGAAUAUAAGAUCAGUGUGUGAAUGAAAAAAUAAAAAUAAAAUAUAAGAUCAGUGCACGAUUAGUAAUAGAAGAUUAAAAAUAUUUCUAUUAUUUAGAUGUGCUGUUACCAAAGAAAUACAGUUAAAAAAAUAUUUGCAAAAAGAGGAGUGAAUGGGUGGGCAGCUGCUGACACAACUGUGCGGCCGCACAUGGGUGGGUGAGUGUGCCAGCAGCACAUGCAAGUGGGCGGCAGCACAAACAUUGAAAAAGGAAAAUCCAAGGAGAAUACGGUGGAAAAAAAUGUUGGCACAUGUGAAUACGAGGAGAGAGGAAGGUGUCGCAAAUCCCGAGAGCAGCUUUGGACGGGGAGGAUAGUGGCUGCCCAGCAUGUACAUGCUGGGAGACAUUUUUGGCAAAAGCAGGGUUAAAUUCUUUUAUUCUUCCAGAAAUAAAUUUCCCCACUUCCUGGUUAGCUGGCCUUGCAGUGUCAUAACGAUGGAGCAUGUGCCUUGUGUUGUCCAAAACUAACAAGCUAUAAUGGACCCCAGCAUCAGAAUCAUAGGCAUUCAACUGGUGACUAUUCAGAGGAAUAAAUACUAAUUUAUAUCGAAGCAUUCUUGUGAUACCAUUGUUAUCGUGCAUUAACAUUGUUGAUUCAGCUUGACUUAACAGUAGGAUCUUCUCAUUUCUGUAGGUGGUAGAGAGGAAGGCUAAUAUUCUCUGAAUUACACCAUCAGUUAUCAACCGUGUACCAGUAAGACUUUCUAGGUCUAUUUGCAGUGCUUUAAGCUGCGCAUCACUUAGUCCAUCUGUACGCUCAGAUGGUACAUUAAGAUUUUUUAGGUUUGUAUGCAGUGCUUGACGCCGUUCACUUAGUCCAUCCGUACGCUCAGAUGGUACAUUUUCCUGCAAGAAAAAGAAAACCAUAGCACAUUUAAAGCUAUAAGGCGCACUACAUGGCCUUGCUGGGAAACAAAACUAAAUCUGCAGCUUGAUCUUACGGAUCAAGAAUCUACUUUCCAAAAGUGAGUGAGAUUAAGUAAUAUUUCUAAAACUUUAAGAAGCAAAACAGAAGUGGUAUUGCAUGCACUGAGUUCUUUAGAAGUGGCAUUGCUUACACUGAGUUAGCAUGAAUAUCCCUGAAACAAUGCUUUUCUGCAGAAGUAUUCUCUAGUUCAGUGGUAUUCAAGAUAGCUGGGUCACGGACAGCUUCAUGGUUUCGUAUCAUCUGGUGAUAUUUCGUCCUCAUAUUGUGAACUUCACCCAACUCUUUUACCCUGUCUCUCAAUUCAUGUGUUAAUUCCUCAUUUUUCAUACACCAUUCAUAGAUCACUUCUGUAAUGGUCAGCACAUAUACACCACAAUUAUAUGGGUCCUGCCGCUGUGGCAUAGGGGGCUGAUAUAUAACCACUUUGGCAAAAGCAGGGAUCACUUUUCUUAUACUUUCAGCAAGAGAUUCUGCAACUGCCCGGUUAGCUGACUCUAUAAUGUCAUAAUGAAGGAACCUGUGUGUGCCUUUCUUUCUGUUGUGCAAAACUAACAAGCUUAAAUGGACCAGCAUAAGAAUAGGGACGCAUAUCUGCACUUUUCAGAGGAAUAAAUACUAAUGAAAAAUCAAGCAGUGGUAAUCUUGCAAUAGCAUCCAUAUUGGACAUUGACGUCACUGACUCGCGUAACAAUAGGAUCUCCUCAAUUCUAAAGGCGGUAGUAGACAAGAUGGCAAAUAUUCUCUGAAUUACACCAUCAGUUAUCCGCUUUGUACCAUUAAGACUUUCUAGGUCUGCAAGCCGUGUUGUAUGUUGUGCAUCACUUAGUCCAUCAUCUUUAUGCUCAGAUGGUACAUUUUCCUACAAGAAAAAGAAAACCAUAGCACAUUUAAAGCUAUAAAGCGCAAUAAAUGGCCUUGCUGGGAAACAAAACUAAAUCUGCAGCUUGAUCUUAUGGAUCAAGAAUCUACUUUCCAAAAGCGAGUGAGAUUAAGUAAUAUUUCUAAAACUUUAAGAAGCAAAACAGAAGUGGUAUUGCAUGCACUGAGUUCUUCAGAAAUGACAUUGCUUACACUGAGUUCUUCAGAAGUGGCAUUGCUUACACUGAGUUCUUCAGAAGCCUGAAUAUCCCUCAAACAAAGCUUUUCUGUAGAAGGAUUCUCUAGUUCAGUGGUAUUCAUGAAAGCUGGGUCACGGACAGCUUCACGCACAACAUCACUUAGUCCAUCGUGUUUAUGCUCAGAUGGUACAUUUGCCUGCAAGAAAAAGAAAACCAUAGCACAUUUAAAGCAUUAUGCGCAAUCUUCUAGAUCGAAUCUACAUUCUAAAACUGAGGAGUGAGAUUAAGUAAUAUUUCUAAAAACUUUAAGCAAAACACAAGUGGCAUUGCUUACAUCCAGUUCUUCUUCAAAAGCAUUCAGAUCCUUCAACCAAAGCUCUUUUGGUUUAGUCUUCUUUAGUUCAGAGAUAUUCUUCUUUUGAUGUUCACAUUCAGCUUCCAGCUCCUCUACCAUCACAGUAAAGUUAACAAUUGGCAUGAACAAGAGGUAGUCAUAUCCCCUUAUGAUUCCUUGUGCAUUGGCACCAUCCUGAUUCUCCCAAGAGGGCUUGGCUUGUUCAAAUUCCUCAAACUGCAUUUCUCUGAGCUUCGUAUGUAGGCCUUCUUUAUCCAUGUCAAAUAAUUUGAUUUCUCCAGUUCGAACAGCUUUAAUAAAUCUAACUUUGUUAUGUGCCAUUUUCAAGUCGCGGCCAGCCAUUUCCACUAGCUUUUGCUGCAUAUUGACAAUUACUAAAUGUGAUAUCAAAUAGUCUAAAGAAUAUGUGUCGUUCAAUUAUUAAAUGGAAACGUACCUUUCUUUUCUCAUAAAAAGCAAGCCUCAAGGCAUAGAAUUCCUUAAGUACUGAAAUAAAUGACACAAUUUUGUUACAAUACGACAAAAGAAAUAAAAAAUGGAGGUCUUGUAGCAAAAAGGUAGUACAUACUUUGCUCUGGACUGUCAUACUUUUUAAUUAUGCCAUUUGAAUCCAACAAAUGCAUAUUUGAUGUUCCCAUUGAUGUUCUCAGUUCAAACUUCCUCUGAAGAUCUACUUCAUUGGCUUGCACCAAAUUCUCAGAAUUCUCAUGCAAGUGUAUCAUAAUUUCAACAUCAUUGCCGCCUCUCUUUUUUUCAUAACUCUAUAAAAUUAUUAUGAUUAAAAACUAGUGGACAACAAUCAUUUCAUGAUUAAAACAUACUAUGUAAUCAAUUACCUUGAUGAAUUUGUCUUCUCCGUCCAUAAAAGUUUUAAGCUUCUUUUCAUACUUCUCCAUCGAGAUCUUCACUGGGAGCUCACUUAUUUUUAGUGUAGUUUUGUCAACAACCUUUAUGAUACCACUAGCGGUAUAGGUAACACCUGAUUUCUUGGUCUUGGUAGUUUCAUUUUUGACACACACUUCUCCCUGUUGGUUCAUGUACAGAAAAUAAAACACCAACAUUGGAUUUUUUAAGACAAAAAUAAAAACAGAAUUGUAAAAAAAGCAUGUAUUACUAACGAGGAAAUGUCUGAACCACGUUUCAUUUCUUCCAACGUCUUUGAUCCCUGUAUCAUUAGUUUCAAAUUGUGUACAAUAUCUUUGGGUUUGUAACAAGGAAUCUUUGUGCUCCAUCCAGUACCAAUUCCUUCAGCUCCAUUGACUAAAAUCAUUGGAAGGAUUGGCAAAUACCUAAAAAGUGACAACCAGGCCUUAGCUACUUAUUAUAAAGGUGAAAUUGCUGAGGAUGGAUGGAGCACGUGGUGCCUAGUUAUUACCAUCAAGGUUCAAUUGAUUGCCCAUCUUCACACAAAUAAUCGAGCAGAAUAUCAUCAUUUUCAUUAAAUAUCCUACGAGUGAUACUUGAUAACUCUGUGAAGAUAUAUCUAGCACUAGCAGCAUGUUUGCCUCCCUAAAAUGAAAAACUAGCAUGAAUAAAAUGUUUAACAACUAGUUUCUCAUAGUGGAUUGUUAACUCGCCUCUAAUCUUGUACCAAAUUGCCGAUUGUGACGCAAAAGAUUGAUAUUGUUGCUUCCAACAAAAUCUUGAGCCAUUCUUACUAUUGUGUUUGAUAGAUUUUCUUCACCGUGAUGAUAAGUAGAACAUUGUGCCACAGACGCGGCGAACUAUGCCACCUGUGAUCAAGUAUUAAAUUAGCAAUAUUAUAAGGCAAAUUUAGAGAGAACAUGACACAUAAAUCAUAAUAUGGCAGCCCGACCAGAGGCUCAACCCUUUUCUACUUAUAAGCUAGGACUGAAGCUUUGGAGUGGAUAUGAUUCUCAUCAUCAUAGACUUUAUGGAACAAGCUUGAGAUUGACAACCCACAAGACAAGAGUUUCAAGUCUACCUUUAUAUAUUCAGGUGCCAGUAUACAUAAGGAAACUAACACUAGUACAUGGGCACACUAUACAGGCGGUUGGUAACAUAUUUCUACAGGCGUUUUCCGGAUCCGCCUGCGCUGGAGGCCAGUACAAAUCGUCCAUUUCCACAGGUGGUCACUUGAGAGCCGCCAGUAUAAACAUUUUACACAGACGGUUCUCUUAGGAAACCGCCUGUGUAAAUGUUCAUUUACACAGACGGUUUCCUAAGAGAGCUGCCUGUGUAAACCUAUUAAAAUAUAUAUUAUUUAUUUAUUUUUUAAUUUAUCUAUUUAUUUAUUUAUUAUUUUAUUGUUAUUAUUUAAAUAUAUUGAUAUUGGUUGGUCUUGUAACAUAGCAACAUGUAAUUUAAAUACUUCAUCUCAUACAUACAUACAUACAUUUGUAUACAUCAAAGUUUGGUGCUCAAAGACAUAAAGUUAAUUACAAGAGUAUAUCCAUCAUCACACAUCAUUUAUAUAUACAUCAAAGUUUGUUUCUGUCCUCUAAUAACCCUCUUUAGUAAGUCUGAGCUUACUAAUCUCUGUUAGCACUCGGAACUCUGGCCUGGAUAAUUGGCUUUCAUCAUCAUGAUAUUUGCCUUCACGUGGAAUGACAUGCUUCAUGAUGAACGAGCAGAUGUCCUCAACUAUGUUGUCUAAAGCACGUUCGUCCAUGCGCUCCGCCGUCCCUUGCUUAUAUACCUGCAAAGAAAGUUUAUAAACAUUAUAUAUUUUAUGACUUCCUACUUUAAUAGACUAUUACUUAUAUUACCUUGUCAGGGUUCCUUGCAUAUCGUCCGUUUUCUCUCAUGUUCUCGCACACGUAGUAGCCACAGAGGACAGAUAACGGUGGUUGCUUCAUGCACUGUAUAACAGGAGAGUGGUUAUUUAAUUAUAGUUGCAACUGUGGUCGUAUGUGUAUGAUUUGUAUUUAUAAUAGUAAAUUUCUAUACGUACCGGCCAGUUAUGUAUAACCUCCAAUGGUUGCCCUGGUCUCUUGGACUCGCACUUUCCAUGAUUUAUCUUAUAGAACCUGUAUGCCCUAUGAUCUCAAAUAGAAUCACCAUGUUAUUGUCAAAUUCUCACUAUGCUUAAGUAUGCAUGCAUAGCUUGACUUACAGCUCUAGCAGUUUGAUGAAUGGAGCAUAGCUUUCUUUCGGGAAAUCUGCUGAGUCUAAUACCAACACCCUUCCCUCCUUGGGAUAAAUGAUGAAGCAUAUCCAGUGCCUCCUGCUCGAAUUAAAUCCAUGAUGCAUUUAUGCAUUGGAAUAAUUUAGAUAGAUAUUUGUAAACUCACACUUACCCAAAGUGGUACGGGGCCACCACCGCUUUCCUGUCUUGAAACUUUAUUAGUGAAUGUCCAAUGUAGAAGGCGUAUUUAGCUUCAAAAUCAAGUUUCAACUUUCGGAGUUUCUCAUCCCGUUCUGCACCUUCCAAACCCUGUACCUCUUUGCUGUCAUUCCCGAUCCGGAAUGUGUGCCGAUCUUCGGCUAUAUCUAUUGGGCAGAGAUAGGCAUUCCUUUCUUCGGCACAAUAAUUUAGGUCCGAACCAAAAUACAUAUCUUGUUGAUCAUAUAACAUUCUGCAAGACAGAAGCAUGUCAGAUAUUGAAAAUUGAUGCAACUACAAUGUGUGUAACUAUGUAACACUUACAAUGCAAAUGCCGUUACGAUUUGUACAUCUAGCAUCUCGUGGUUCAUCAGUGCCCACAUGUCAUCAAAUGUAAGCAUGCAUUUGUCAGUACUCUGGCUGAGAAAUGCUAUUUGUGGUAUGCGCAUGCUUAUGGUGUCGAUGCCAGGAGAAGAGGCUCUCAUGUACCAGUCAUGAAACCUUUUUAUACCACUUGGUUUCUUCAUAAGUUUGUCCGACUGAGUAGAGGCUUUCCCCACACGUACUUUUUGGGGAUAGUCUUGUAGUCUUCUGCAGUUGGCACCUUGAAAUUGACAGGAGUUAUGACCUUAGGCGCCGGCACCUCUGACUUUGCUAGCUCAGAAAUCUCAUGCUCUUGUAUUGUGCGUUUCGAAGCAAUGCCUGACAAAAAUCUCACUUGCCCAGCUGAUUUUUUCUUUGGCUCGAAUGGUGAAAUCAACUUAGGUAUCAGAAAUACUUUCUUCUUUGGCACCUUUGGUGGCUCACUUAUUGGUUCUGGAUCUUUUAGUUGUGAGGAAGGGGUGGAAUUGAAUGGUGGUGGAGAUUGUGUUGACUGUGGGGUAGAAAGAUCAUGGAGACGAGAUGGUUGAUGGACAGGGAAAACAUGGAGAGGUGAUUCUGGUGGGUCAGGAAGAGACUGGGGAGGUGAAGGCGGUGGGUUAGGAAGUGGAUCGACAUGAGCUGACGACUCUUGGGUUAGUGGCAUCUCUUGAGAGGGUGCUGGUGGCUCCCUUAGUUGCACGUCCCUCCGAGGCCAUAGGAUAAAAUUGUUUAUCGCCUGUCCCAGUUUCACAAUGUCCUCGGGACCAAGGAUGUCUAGAAUCUCGUCCUCAUAUCCUUGGACCACGGUUGAUACCUCUACUCUGCAGUAGUCUUUAGGGAUGUCAGCACCAUGGUAUUUAGGUCCUCCUGGGAUCACUUUGCCCGUGGCUACUUCCCUUGUACGAUGAUUGUUAAUCCCAUAUCUUAUGACAAGGGAGCAAGGUGUAGAACUAACAAUGUCGUCAACUGGAUAGUGAUCCUUAUUUGCCGUAGAUGCGACACUGCUUGGAAUGAUUGUUUCACUUGAUGCCACCAACGGUUGCGACACCACUGGGACUAGCUGCAUUUGGGGAGCUUGAGUGCUCAUUUGGGUAGCUGCAUUUGACAUGGCACUCGCUAGUUUCUGCAUCAACUCAGGUGGAGGAUUUUCUAGCAACUUCUCCAUCAUAUCUUGGAAGUCUUUCUUAGCCUCUUCCUGAAAAUAAUUUGCCAUUUGAUCCUUGUACCGAUCACGUUUCUUAUACUCAUUUGCCCAUUGAGGGCCGAAUCCAUCCUUCCAUCCUUCUUUGGAUGAGAUGCCUCGAACACGGCCAGGAUGCUCGGGGUUACCGAGGCCAACACUAAGGAUAUCCCUCUCCCUUCAUGGCGUAAACUUGCCUUCCUGCUGCAUGCCUGCCACAACAAAGAUGCUCUUCAUUGCUUCAUCAAGCAUUGGGUCUUCAAAGGACACACCCGUCUCGGUUUCCUUUGGUUUCCGAGCACGGAUCCAAUUCGCGGACCUUUCACCGACUUGCUCGGACAACACUGGCAACCCUGCUGCCUUCUUCGCAGCCUCUUCUUGCCUCCAUUUAGGAACUAGGUGCCGGUAACCACCUGUGCCUAGAUGGUGGUGGUACUUGUUCCUCUUUGCGAGCUGGGAGUUGGCUUCGCUCCGAGCUAAGAAGUUAGGGUCAUUCCUUUGCUCUAGAAAAAUAGCCCACUGCCCUUUAGUAAUAUUGUAUUUGGAUGUCGGAUCCAUCCCUCUCUUUGCAUACUUGACAUUCAUCUCCGACCUCCAAUUUCGGAAACUAACCGCACAUUGCUUCAUUGUAUAUGCCUUCACUAAAUCUUCUGGCACAUUCCUAGGAAACUGGAACCUGGUCUUAAUCUUAUCCCAAAUUUUGAUCUUGUGAUUAUUCGACACACCGGCCCAGUUCAGAAAAAUUCAAUUAGUGGGUGACGUCGCACGAAAAUUCAAUUAAACCGGAUAAAGUAACAAACCACAUCAGAAAAAUCCCAAACUUGGUGGAUUGAACAUCAAUGGCACUGGUAACCCUUAGUAAAAGUUUGAGACGGUACAAAAGUACCUCAAAGAUAAUUGCUCUCAGUGUGAAUGAUUCUUUGCGGUACUCGUCGAAUAUUUGAACAACUGUUUCCCAUAGUAUCUUCAUGUCUUGCAUUAAGGGCUCCAAGAAAACAUCCAUAUCAACUCCAGGUUGUGUAGGUCCAGAGAUAAGGAUGGUUAGUAAAAGGUACUUUCGCUUCUGCAUCAACCAUGGAUUGAGGUUGUAGAUGGUGAGGAUCACUGGCCAUGUGCUGUGCUUGCUGCUCCUCUCAGCAAAUGGAUUCAUUCCGUCAGUACUCAGUGCGAACUUAACAUUCCUUGGUUCAUUAGCAAAGUCCUUGUGGUUUUCAUUGAAAUCUUUCCACUGCUGGCCAUCGGCUGGGUGCCGAAGCUUCCCAUCGUCUUUGUGCUCAUUAGAAGCAUGCCAGCUCAUAAGUUGGGCAUCCUCUGGAUUAGCAAACAAGCACCUCAAUCGAUUGAUCACAGGAAGGUACCACAUCACCAAAGCAGGAAUCUUUUUCUGCGCAUAAUAGUCUACUUCUUCCUUUUCUUUGCCGGGGGGUUUCGAACUACUCUUCUGGGUCUUUUGUUGAGCCUUCUUUCGUUUUUUGCCCUUAGGCACAGAGGCAACACACUCUUCCACUAUGUAGUCUUUAUUUGUCUUGUACCUACUUGCACCACACUUGGGACAGCUGUUGUGAGUGGAUCUUCUAUGGCCUCGAUAUAGGAUACAAUGAUUUCUACAAGCGUGGAUCUUCUCAACACCCAUUGUGAGUGGGCUGAUUAGCUUCUUUGCAUAAUAUGUGUUAGCAUGCACUUUGUUAUUCUUAGGAAGCAUGUCUGCGAUAAUGCUUAAGAACACAUCAAAGCCAGCAUCAGAAAGACCAUAUCUAGCUUUGCACACCAACAAUUUUAGCACAGACCGCAGCGUCGUGAACUCUUUGGUGCAACCCUUGGACUCAUCAUACAAAGGCUCUUCUGCUGCCUUCAUUAGGGCCUCCAUACCUUUCAUGAAGAACACUGAUGGAUCUUCUGCAUGACGACGCAACAUUGCCUCUAGAAAUUCUGCAUCUUCCGCAGCCAUGUUAGUUUCGGUGCCACCUUCAUUUCCUCCAAUAAAACCAUGAUCAGGAACAUUUGGCACAACAUGUUCAGUGGCUAGACCAUCGGUAUUAGGUUGUUGUGUCUCGUGUACGAACUCAAACCCAUCAACAAUUCCAGUUGUAUAAGGCGCAGAGCUACCCUCUCCAUGCUUUGUCCAAAUCAAGUAAUCUUUCAUAAAUCCUCGACGGACCAGAUGAGUAAGGAUUUGUUGAAUGUCAUCAGAUAUAACAAGAUUUCUACAAUCCAUGCAUGGACAAUGUAUGUGCGUCUUUCUUGUUCUUGAAGCAUGGUUUUGAGCAGCAUCAAUAAACCUCUGGACCUCAGUUAUGUAUGAUGGAUCUAGUCUUGAUAAAUUAUACAUCCAAAAUGACCUCUCCAUCACUACCUGUAAAACACCAUUCAAAUGAUCUAAGGGUUUACAAAGGAUUUAUCUAGGGUUUAUUAGCUAGGGUUUAUGGUUAAGCUUGAGAUUAAAGGAAAAAACCUAAGUUACAUAAUUAAAAAAUAAUCUAAGUAUAGCAUAACUAUAUAAAUACAUCAAUCAUUAUAAACAGAUAGAUGAUGUGGAAGGUGAUAAUAAAAAACCUAACUACCAUAUAAUUAAAAAAAUCACAAUUAUCUCUCUACAUAAAUAUACAAAGAACACACCAUUGGUUUAAUCUUGUAAAAACUAGCUAAAUUGAGAAGCAAACAUGUUGAAAGGCAUUAUCCAACCAUAUUAAGCAACCCCAUCUAACCAUAUCAACAAAUAAAGACAAGAAGCUAGCUAUUCUUCUCUCUCACUCAUAAAACAUACAUACAUGUUGAUAAAUAAAUUGAAAAAUUUAUAAAGAGAGAGAGACAUAAAAUAGAAAACCUAAGUAUAGCAUAACUAUAUAAAUACAUCAUUCAUUAUAAAUAGAUAGAUGAUGUGGAAGGUGACAAUAAAAAACCUAACUAUCAUAUAAUUAAAAAAAAUCAACAAUUAUCUCUCUACAUAAAUAUACAAGAACACACCAUUGGUUUAAUCUUAUAAAAACUAGCUAAAUUGAGAAGCAAACAUGUUGAGAGACAUUAUCCAACCAUAUUAAACAACCCCAUCUAACCAUAUCAACAAAUGAAGACAAAAAGCUAGCAAUUCUUCUCUCUCACUCAUGGUGAAACCCUAGAUCCAAAAAGUGGCUCAAAUUGAGCUAGAAUGAGCAAAUUGAGGCAAUAGGGACAUAAACUAACCUCUUUUAGCAACCUCCUUCCUAGAAAUGAAGAUCAAAACCUCCCUCCUUUUAUUUUGAGAAAUCUGGAACUCCAAAAUCGCCCCCAAUGGAAGGUGGGUGCGAUAUACUGUGUUCUGGUCGGGGAGGAAGAUGGGGUAUUUAUACAGAGAUAACACAGGGGGUGGCUUAAGUCUACCGCCUGUGGAAAGAGUUUCCACAGGCGGCCGAAAAUCUCUGACACCGCCCGAUUUAUACCACAGGCGCGUCGUAACUGGAGCCGCCUGUGGUAUAAAAAGGGGGCGCCAGCAAUGACCCUCUUUCUACUAGUGUAAACCUAAAUAUAUAAUGGCGAUCCAAUCUGAAGAAACUAUGGAAUACAAAAGAUCGAAGCCUACCAUAUUCUCGGCCAUAGCGCUGACUGAUAUCAAAAUAUGUGGAAAAGAUUCAUAUUAGAAAAAACAAAUGAUAGUUGGGAUGCUAUACCUUUGUUUCCUUGUUAAAUUUUUUCUUAAAUGCGCUGAACAUUAUCUUUCUCUGCCCUUUUUUUAAAUCCAUCUACCAUUGAUGGUAUAGACCGAUGCAUGUCUAAUACCAUGUAUAAUGUGAGCCCUUUCUUAAUGAAGUCAAGGAUUCUUAUCGUUUUCCCAGUUUGAGGAAGUACACUUUCUUCAGGAUGAAAUUUUUGUUAUCACAUUAAUGUUGGUCCUUAAAUUAACCUGAAUGAAUCUUUAAAAAUAAUAUCAAGAUCGACCUUGCAGUUAUGAAGAAAGUUAUAAAUCCAUUUCUUCCUUUCCUCCACUUUAUGUUUACUGAAUGCUGUCUUGAUAGCCUUAUCAUCUUCUUCAUUCACCCACACAAAAUAUUUCUGAUGGAUGUCAAUAUCUUGGAAAUAUUGCAUCCCUUCCUUAAGUGUGCUCGUGCCUAACCCCUGUAUAUAUGAAAAAUGUCCAAGUUGAAGACCACAUAGAAAAAUUGAAAUGAUUAAAAUUUGGGCAAAAAAACACACCUUAUAGUACUUUAUAGACCAUUUACUUAAUUCUGUCCCAUUUUACUUUUCUCCCAUGCCAAACAUGACUUGGACAUUCCCCUGUAUAAUCCGUAACCUAAACAAGUUUUAAUCCGUGACAUGGUAAGUUUUAUUAGUCUUAAUAACUGAAACCUUAAAAAAAAUGUUAAAGCAAGUAACAAGUGUCAUACCUUUACAAUUGGGGUAACUAAUUCACACAAAAAGGAUUUGGAUUUAAUCUUCAUAAGGGAAGGCCAAAAAACAUGAAAUAAGUUAAUGAUCAAUCCUUUAAUAUGAAAUCCAUCUGGAUCCUGGUCGGUCAUGACCAUAACUUUACCAUAUCUCAAAUCCUUCAAAUCCUUUUCAUCAUUAUAGUGUUUUUUGUAGUCUAAACCAAUAAUCUUUCUCAUAUUGUUAAUUUCCUCAUUGUCCAAGAUCUUUUUUAAAGACGCAUCUCUCACAUUCAGUAGCUUACCCUUCAUUGCAAGAACUCCAAAGUAGUCCCAACGAACAGAACCUUGCUGCAGAGGAGAACAAAACUUACUCAAUACUCUUGUCAAUAUAAAAGUAACAUAUGUGCAAUGAAAUGUGCAAUCAACAGUUACUAAUUGCAGUGAACUUGAAUAUAAGAAUAAGAACUACGUGGAAAAUAAUUUUUCUAACAUCUUCAUCUAAUCAUUAACACAUAUGUGCACAUACGAAACUUGGGAUUCCCAAAUACAAGUCCGAUUAUAACCUUUUAUCCUAAAGACUCAAGUCCGAUCAUAACCUUUAAUCCUAAAGACUCAGCUAACUAAAAAAAUCUGAAUCAAAACCUUUUUGCCUUGAUUAAACUCUUGGCUGAAAUUUGAGUUUUUCAUAAAAAUCAAGGAAAUUUGGGACAGACCACACUAAAUCACUAAAUCUGCCAUUGAUACUUGGUGUAUCAAAAUGGACUUAAUUAAUAAAGGGUUGGGGUCAAAGCCUAAAAGGUCAUACUAGAAAAUACAAGAAUUUGCUAAAAACGAGUCGGAGGUGUUAGAAAAACAGGAGGAGCUUGAUGUGCUCAAGCUGGAUAUAAAGUCUUCCUGAGCUCGAUGUGGCGCGGAGAUGGAGCUGGCGGAUGGUUGAGGUUGGCCGCCGCGAGACGACGGAGGCACCCACAACGGCGGAAGGCGGGCAGCAGCUGCGGCGAGGCAGCGCGCGGCCGAUCGAUCGAUUGGGGUAAUCGGGGUUUUGCCGCAGUGACGACAGGAGGCAGUGAGCAGCGAGGUAGGCAGUAGGCACGCGUGUCGUGUAAGCAGUGGGCUAAUGGCUGCAUAAGCAGUGGGCUAAUGGGUGUACAGUAAAUGUCAUUUUUGCCCUUUGUGUUGGUUGCUCUUUGGUACAGUACCGCACCCGCAACGGGGGAAGGCGGGCAGCAGCUGUGGCGAGGCAGCGCGCGGCCGAUCGAUCGAUUGGGGUAAUCGGGGUUUUGCUGCAGUAACGACAGGAGGCAGUAAGCAGCGAGGUAUGCAGUAGGCACGCGUGUCGCGUAAGCAGUGGGCUAAUGGGUGUACAGUAAAUGUCAUUUUUGCCCUUUGUUGGUUGCUUUUUGGUACGGUACCGUGAUCAUCAGCGGUGGGAUACAUAUUUUUUAUAGCAUAGUUUCCGUACGUUGUUAUAGUUUUAUUUAGAUAUAUGGCCUGUUUUUUGUAACACCCAGUGUUAUGGUUGCAUUGAUCAUGUGCAUAGCAUGAGCAUCAUCAUCCAUUCAAAGCAUCCAUGAUCAUCAUCUCUCUUGAGCCAUGUCAUUCUAUGCAAAAAUGUGUUUUAAAUUGCUUAAAUAGGCUUCCUAUGCUUAUGUUUGAGUGAACCAUGCUUGUGUUUGUACUCAAUGCUUUGGUAAUUAGUUUAUCUAUGCUUGACUUAACUUUGGGAACAAUGUUCAUGUUGAUCACUCCUCCAAAAUAUGCCUUGAAGACAUGUUUGUGCAAAUAGGCCCUAGAAACCUCUUUUGCUUAGGCUUUUAAAAAGUUUCAUAAUAUGUUUGCAUGUCAAAACUUUCUACAGGAAAGUUGUAGCAAAUUUUAUAAGGAACAAAAGUUGUUUUAUGGCCAUCUCAUGAAAAUGAUCACAAAUAGCUCAAAAGUGACCCACAAGGCAGAUUUGGGGCUGUUUCCAACACUUAGAAAAAUUUCUAAGUCUUGGAACGAAACCAGUUUGCUCCAUCAAUUUUGGAAACUCUAUAUCUCUCAAUCCCGGCCGAUCUGGCCUUUGCUCUAGUUGACGAAGUUGUAGAACUCGAUUGGAACUCCAACUUUGUCAACUGCAUCAUCUUCUAUCUCGAGCAGGUUUGGGAGUUAUCCGUUGCUGAAGUCGCUCUGUCAGUCGGUAGCCGUUUUCUCUGAAUCGAAGCCGAGCUCGCCGUCGUGGAUGGCCAGAGCGCCAUAUGUCCACCAGAUGUCGCUCGUACGCCGGCGAUGGCCCCGCUCGUCAGCUCCCAGCGCGCGCAUGACGUCCACGUCGACGCCCUGAGCAGAGUGGACGCGUCCACUCUCGCUUUCCUCGCCCUCUCGCGCCUGUAAACCGCCCGCAGCGAGCUCACCGUCGCGAGCUCACUCCGGCGAGCUCGUGUGCGCUCGUCGCUGCGUCUCGGUCCACCAAAUUCCACCCAUAGCUCCGCCAUGAACCGCUCUCCAUUCUCCACCCUCUAACUCGCCGAGAAACCCACCGGUGAGCCGACAUUUCCUUCUUCCCCCAAAUCGGGUCGCCGUGACCGUUUUCUCCGGCGAACUCAAUGCCGAGCCAUGUGAAGCCUCUCGUCGUCUCCGGUUAGGUCCUAGAGGUAGCUUAGGUCCUUAGCAAGCUUUUGCACCACUUGGUGGACGCUCUACCAAGCUCUCCGUCGUCGGACACGGUGCGCAGCGCCGCCGUGCUUCCGCCGGAGAUGGGUGCUCUCGUGGCCAGCGUGUUCCACGAGGAUCCAAGCCAAGCCGCGUACCUAGGAAGCUCCGCCGUAGUUCGUUGGUGCUGUAGAAGGUCUUAGGUCGCGCUCUACCGGCCUGAGGGCUCCGGCGUAACGCCGAGCACCUCCGCCGAGCCGCCAUCGUCGACGGUGAGCCCCUUCCGGUGGCUCCGCCGUGGGAAAAGUGGGAUCAAUCGAGUCGCUAGAGUCUGGGGAUCACGUUGGUGCCCUUGGUUUGGCCGGAGACCUCGCCGUCGCGGAGAAAUCGCCGGCGAAAGUCGCCUCGGCCGCGAGGAAGAAGAACCUGACAGAUGGGACCCACUAUCAGCGUCACUCUCCUUCCCUCCUUUUCUUUUAUUCAAAAUCUGGAUUUUUGACUUUCUUGCAAAAAUCAUAUCUCCUUGUUUCUUAGAUCCAAAAAUUGUGAAACAAAUUUUGUGAUAUUCCUUGAGAUGGCUAGUUUUUAAUAAAAAUAUAAAAUGAACCAUGUUUUCUGGGAAAAUAUUUAUUAAGGAUUUAAUCUUGUUAUUCAUGGAUAAAUGCAUAUCUCUUGUUAUACUGCUUAGUUUGCUCUGAAAAAUUUAUGGUAGCCUCUCCUUGGUAUUAGAGUGCUUUGAUAAAUAUUUCAUGAUUUUUGGAGUAUUGCAGUUUUGAUAUGUAAUUUAUGAUUGAAAUAUGGCUUGUUUCUUUAAUUAAAUCAUAUAAAAUAAUUGGUGCUUAUGCUGGUGUUCUACUUUGGUAUUAAACAUGUGUAUGGUAUUCCUAAGAUAUAAAUAAUCUGAAAUCUGUUGUUUGACACCAUAUAAGUCAUGUUUCUGAAUUUAUGAAAUAAGCACCUAGUUACAUUUUAAAUGUAUAUCUUUAAUUUGGUAUGUGCAUUUGCUCUAAAAUUUUUAUGGUAGUGCUUUGAUGCUAUCCUUGUGCUUCUGUAAUUUUUGUAGAUUUUUCUGAGCACUUUGACUAGUAUCUUGUAAUUAUGCUUCCUUCUAGAAUUAAUUAAUAAAUGCCUUGUUAAGUAAAUGUUUGGAAGUUUCCAUCUGGUGUUCUGGUUGUAUUAUAAUAUGCUUGUGGUCAUAAGCCAUGUGGUUGGCAUGGUUUGUGUCUUGGUCAUGUCACUAACUAAUUAAGUAAAGGGUUAAAGGCUGUUUUGGGCAGCAAGGAAGUGAUUUAACUUUUGCUUAGUGAUAACUUGGCUUUCUGUAACACUUGUCUAAAUCAAAGUUGUUAUAAACUUAUUGAACUAGCUGUGGUUUAAAUUUGAGGUCAAUUGGCCUAGUAGUUUAAAAGUUAUAACUCUUCCAAGUUAGGUUCCAGGUGCUCUCUGUUUUUCUGGGACAGAACCUAGAACUUUGUUUAAAUGACUGGUUUAAUGUAUGAAUCUGGCUGCCAUGUUUAAAGAUGAGUUGUAGCCAAUUUCAUAAGCUUUCCAGAAUGUCUUCACUCAUGUUUGUUGGACCUGUAUAUCAUUAGUUAUGAUUUAUUUACUGAGUAUACUUGUUUUGUGUUGCUUGCUGUUUUAGUAUCAUGAUAGGUUUUGGGCUAAGGUAACUUAUUUACUCAUGUGAGCUUGUAUGACUUUUGCUCCGUAAAUGAGUGUCCAGUAAGUUACUUAUGUUAUCAAGCAUUCAUCUUUAGCAUGUGCAUCUUCUUAUCGUUCGAGCAUGCAAUAGGUGCAUCGGACGCGACAGCCUCCUUCGAGCUGCAAGUGAAUCCUGACGGUCAGGAGGGCAGCCAAGAGGUGGAGGUCCAGCAAGCCGGACUCGAAGAGCCCGGAGAAGAAGUUGAGUGCCCGAAUCAUGAGCCGGCGUCGUUCGUGAAAGGCAAGCCCCGGAGCAUUCUAAGUCUCCCUUUAUUUUCGAAAGUUCACUUAAUAUGUUAUAUCUAUUGAUGCAUUACGUAUAGGAGUUGUGACGAGACUUUUGCUGCACUUUAUUCCAUCCUUGUCCAGAUAAUUCAUCCUACCCUGGUUGUAGAGUUAGGAUCGAGUAGCAGCUUAGCCAUGCUUUAAUCGGUAGAAGUCGGGUGAUAUCCUGUCACCUGCGCGAUAUAGGGUGAUGUCGGAUCACGAUGGUAUAUAUGUGCUAUCGUGGAUGGAACCUGAUUAAAUUGACUUAAGCCGGGCGAAGUUUUGCAAGUUUGUAGUAACUCCGUCUGUGGCAGCUAAGGACCGAUCGUUGUACGUCCUCUUGUCAUGUUGAACGCAUGCCUGACACUUAGUUGGCCGGAUAACUCGUUCCGACCGCGAAGCCGAGUAGUAUGACUCAGGCCGGAAGACCGGCAAGUAUAAAGUGUGCACUACCGGAGGAAGUGCGGUGUGCGGGGGACCAUUGGUGUAAGUGUAACGUCCCGCCUCCACGAGGCUGGGCCCGCUUACAUCUGGCAGCUUUUCUAGGCUAUAGUCAGUCCCCACAGACCAACAAUUCGUCUUUUCUGCACACUUUGUCCUCACUCGCGCGCAUCCGGGAAGUACUUCCCGGUCGGUCACCCAUCCCUAAAUUGCUCUAGGCCAAGCACGCUUAACUUUAGAGUUCUUUCGAGAUGGGCUUCCGGAAAAGAAGUUGCAACUUGUUGGUAUGAGUCUCCUAUUAAUCCUAUUAAGCCCUGGGCCGGGUGUUACAGUAAGCCCAAAGGCAGGUGAGUUAAAAUUUCUCACCUCCCUGGCAGAGUGGUAGCCCAGGGAGUGCGGCGCUGAUCAGAGCCGUGAUUCCUGAGUUGUACCAAAGGUGACCCGUUGGCUCUCCGGCAGGGGAUGCUUAGGUGAGUGCUAGGAAUAACCCUCCAGCUAGAUACGAAUUCGAUUCGAAUCGCCGUCUCUCCCGGUUAGUGAGAACUUGACAGAGCAGCGACAAACGUAGCAUUCACUAAUGAACUUGGUUCAUGAUAAUGAUGAUAGCAGGAAGAACAUAUGAUGAAUUUGAUAUGGUUAUUAUUGAAUGUAAUAAUCAAGUGAUGUGUUGUAGUACAGGUGCCAAUCUAGUGGUAGGCUGAUGAUGAAUAAAUAUGAUGCUCUCGAAAUAAUUUAGUCGUAAUUUAAGCUUUUGGCAAAAGGUGAGUCAACCAGCUCCACUUGAUAUUUAGCCUUGCAUGAUCCUUGGUGUCUUUUAUGUUUUACUAGACGGGUAAGUCUAGCUGAGUACAUUCUCGUACUCAGGGUUUAUUUCCCACCUGUUGCAGAUGACAUCUUUUAUGACGGUUUCUGCAAGACCUGUCUCCAUCCCGCUGGGGAUGAGGACUAACCGUUGGGCACGGUUCUCUAACAACUUCGUACCUGUUGCUUUUGGAAGGACGGUGUAGACUCUAGCAGUAACUCAAACUUAUGAACUGAACUUUGGAAUGUGCGUGUAACUAUUUUGCUUCCGCUACUUCGAACUUGUGUUGUAAUAACUUAAGGACUCCGAUGUGGUGCCGCUUCGACGGCAAUGAAUGACUAUGUAACAUUCGCUGUGUUUAUGUUGAACUAUUACGAUCUUGGUUUGUUGCGAGUUGGUUUGAAGUCCUUCGUGAUUUCAAUAGACUACCAGGAUUAUAUGGGCUCAAGUUUGGAAACUUGAUUGCUUGGUGAUCGUUUUUGCACUUGAUCUCUUAUAAUUUGGUCGGUUCUGUGACAGCUGGUAUCGGAGCAAGUUCAGCAUUAUAAAUGCAGCGUUUGUGUAUUUAAAAUAAAAGAGUUUUUAAAUAAAAUAGUGUAAAACGAAUAAUUAAGUUAUGCCAGUGGUCGAAUCCUCCUUGCCCACAUAAGGACUCUAGGUGGCUAUUUAAGUACUGACUUGGGGGGUUUUAUUUAUGCAUCUCCGGCAGUACUCACGUAUGGAUGUGUGAUGACCGCACUAUGCUAUCCUGUGGUCUAAUGGUGGAGGUAGCCUUCACAUGUGAAUUAGCCACAUAUGUCGCUAGAUUUAAAUUAUGCAACGUCGCACCUACGCCCUGGUAAGUGUGAGCUGUGAGAGCGUGAUCGUCCAAACGGCAGUCUAGGGGAGUGUUCGCGGUGGUUUUCUGGAGUGGUUACAUGUCAAAACCAUGGCACCACGAAAGAAACUUAAUUGGGGAGCAUUUAAUUUCUCGGGUAGUUGUGGUGUCAUUGUUUAUGCAUGUUGGGCAUGUCCAAGCAAUGUGCACUUAGUUUACUGCUUUAUUGAGUGAUAUUUUGGGAACUGUUGGGCUGAAAUGAAGUUUUCUGCAGGUACUCUAACAGCGCACGUGUAAACCGAUAGUUAUCGUAUCGAGAGACGAAUGUAUGCCACCAUAUAUCCGUUAGAAUAUUAAUUUUCUAAGUUUGUGAGGACGUACGGUUCGUGCAUGCAUCAUGUCGCAUUCAUACAUACAUUCUGUCUACUCCUUCCCUUACAAUUUUGCCCCUUUUAAUUAAAUAAAUAUUGCUUAAACUAAUCCUCUUUUACCCAUGGUAUUCCUAUUCCUUUCCACAGAUGGACGCACCCGCUUCGCCCCGUCCGAGUGACACUUUCUUGCACGAGUUUGGUACUCCUACCCUGCUUUGGAGGGUGUUACGGACUGUUGGGUAUACUGAGCCACCUCAGUAUUCUUGGUGGGAGAUGGAUAGCACAGGAGGGAUUCAGUGGUUUGCUGUGCAGGGAGUUGUCCCUCCACAUGGGGACAAGCCUGCAUGGACAGGCUAGACUUGUAGCUCAUAUGGGCAGACUCCUUGGGAGGCAGCCCAGGUUGCAGCCCAGACAAUCCUGCACGAUAUCUGUCAGAGGUGUGGUGACGAGCUGACGGGAGGACCAGCGGCCUCCAUUCCCAGUGCUGACCCAGCAGCAACGGAGUGGAAACAGGCUGACGGUUGUGCUUUGGUUCGAGGCAGGGGAGAGAGAGCUGAGAGUUCUAGUCCUGCUAUGAGUGCUAUGAUGGCUGUGCUCAAGCUGAUUAGUCAGCGAGAGGGCACCUAUGCACAGGUGAUGGUGGCUGUUUGCCAGGCCUAGGAGAUGCAGCAGAAGGCUGAGAAGCGUGCUCGCAAGUUUCGCAAGCAAGCUAGACUCCUGGAGCAAGCUCAGAAGGACCGCAAUGACUGGGAGGACAUUGCGGAGUACCGUAGGCAGCAGUGGGUGAAGGCCAUUAGAGAGAGAGAUCAUAAGCAGGAUCAGAUGAGCCAGUUAGCUAGAGAGAGGGAGACCAUACAGGAGCGCUUAGUGCAGCUCACCCGUGAGAGGGAUACUGCACUCCGCGUGUCAGAGAACAGGCGCCGAGCAUGGGAGAUGCACCGAGUUCAGUCGCUUGAGUGGGAGAACUAUAUGCAGGAUCAGAUUGAGGCUGGUCUUGUGGAGAUUCACCGUCUCAACAACUUGCUACACCCUAUUCCUCGCCCUAUACCCGUGUAUCCAGAGGUGGGACCUCAGGUGAUUGUAGCUGAUGAUGAUGGUAUGGAUGUCGAUGGACCAGCAGCGGCUGCACCACCUUUGCACGAGGACGUGGAGGACGAGGAGCUUGAGCCGGUUAGCGACGAGGAUGGAGAGGCGAUCUUCGACGCUGACUCGGACGACGAGACUGGAGUGUAGGGAGUAGUGGGUAGUGUUGUGUGAGGAUCUUUUGCAGUAUGCUAGUCGGCCGUGGUGCUUUUGUAACCAUGUUGUAACCCGGAACUUUGACCAUGACUCAUGGCAUGUACUGUGAUGGUGUAACAACUGUAUGGACCCAAUGUGCAAUCUUAACAUGUUUGUUAUGUUAUGACGAUGUUUCCCGUUGUGGUGCAUAUUGCGGAUAUCUCUGUCAUGUGUUGGAUUGGUGAUGUUGUUUUGUGGAAUUGAAUUAUUGUGCCUUUUCUAUAAAGUUAUUCUCUGGAAUACUUUCAGGCAUGAAUAUAAGUUCUUCUGCAGCAAAUCUUGUCAUCAUCAAUGCUCACUGACUAUGUCUUUACAGAUGUCUCGUGGCACCCGAGGUGCGGAACAGCGUGCAAACAUGAAUCCACCACCUCCUCCUCCACCACCCAAUCCUGCUGAGUUAAUGCAAAUGAUGGUGGACAAUCAGAGGAUGCUCACUGAGACCAUCAAUCGGAUGGUGAAUCGGGGUGGUCGCAAUGCACAUGAAGGGCCAGCUCCUAAUCAGUACAGUAGCUUCAAGGACUUCAUGGAUACAAAGCCCCCACCUUUCAGAGAAGCUGAAGAACCCCUUCAAGCUGAAGAAUGGCUGAAUACGGUGGAACAAAAGUUCCGCUUGCUUCGGUUGACUGAAGGUUUGAAGGCAGAGUAUGCAGCUCAUCAACUGCAGGGUCCAGCAGGCAUCUGGUGGAAUCAGUAUUGGGAAGCUCUUCCAGCCGACACCGUGCUUGAUUGGAAUCUUUUUUGUGAUGCUUUUAAAGGCCAUUUCAUUCCUCCUGGUGUCAUGGAGAUGAAGCAUACUGAGUUCAUGCAGUUAACUCAGGGCAACAAGACUUUGAAGGAGUAUUUGCAUGCUUUCAAUCAUUUAUCUAGGUAUGCUCCUGAGUUUGUGAACACGGAGACGAAAAAGAUUGCUAGUUUCAAGCGGGGUUUGGGCCCCAAAUUGCUGAAGACUAUGGGCCGCACUAAGUGUGCAACUUUCAAUGAGUUUGUCAGUGAUGCUCUCACUCAAGAGAACUAUAACACUAUGUACACUGCGACCAAGACUCGCAAGAGGGCUUUUGAGGCCGGCCGGGUCAUCUCAGUCCAAGGUUCUAGUGGCCGCCAAGCCACCGUUCCGUGCUCCAACGCCGUAUCAAAGGUACCGCCCUCCAGUGAAGAAGAAUCAGGCAAAGACAGGUUUUCCCAAGGGGUACUCUAUUGCUCUUCCUAGGGGCAACACGGGUCCCAACUAUGCUAAGACUCCACCUGCCAACCGUCCGUGCUGGAACUGCAAUCAGACCGGGCAUUGGCAGAGCAACUGUCCUUACCCGCCGAAGAAGGGCAACCAAGGGAACGUCCGUCAGGGGCGUGUUCACUACACUGCUGUGGAAGCAAUUCCCGCUGGUGAGGUAGUCACGGCUGGUAAGUUUCUGGUUAAUCAACAUGAUGCACUUGUGCUUUUUGAUUUUGGAGCAUCGCAUUCCUUUGUGAGUUCUGAAUUUGUGUCUAAGCAUAGCAUCAAGGCCAUUACACUUGAUAAGGGCAGUUAUUGUAUUAGUGCUGCGGGAAAUGAUAUUUCCACCAAUCAAGUGGUUUUGGGGGCAACUCUGGAAAUAGGAGGCCAUCAGUUUCUUGCUGAUUUGGUUGUUUUACCCGGUGUGGGCAUAGAUGUAAUUCUGGGGAUGAAGUGGAUGAGUGGCAAUGGAGUUCUGAUCGACACCACCACUCGUGUAGUGAUGUUGAAAGACCCAAAUACCAAGGAGGCAUUUCUAGUGCAACUCCCUCGUGAUAUUCAAAUCCGUAGCACUGUAAAUGCAGUUACAUCUAAGGCUAUUCAGGACAUUCCGGUGGUGUGCGAGUUUCCGGACGUGUUUCCUGAUGAUUUACCCGGGCUUCCUCCGGAUCAGGAUGUGGAGUUCAAGAUUGAAUUGAUUCCAGGUACCGCUCCUAUCUCUAGAAGACCUUAUAGAAUGCCACCCAAUGAAUUAGCUGAGCUUAAGACCCAACUAAAUGAGUUGUUGAAGAAGGGUCUUAUUCGUCCUAGUUCGUCUCCUUGGGGAUGUCCAGCUAUCUUUGUGAAGAAGAAGGAUCAAUCUUUGCGCAUGUGUGUGGACUAUCGUCCCCUAAAUGCGGUGACUAUCAAGAACAAAUACCCUCUUCCUCGCAUUGAUAUCUUGUUUGAUCAGUUGUCUAAAGCUAAGGUAUUCUCUAAGAUUGAUUUGCGAUCUGGAUACCAUUAGAUCAAGAUCCGUCCUGAAGAUGUACCUAAGACAGCUUUCUCGACGAGGUAUGGGUUGUAUGAGUAUCUCGUCAUGUCCUUCGGUCUUACAAAUGCACCUGCUCACUUCAUGUAUCUCAUGAAUUCGGUGUUCAUGCCCGAAUUGGACAAGUUUGUGGUGGUCUUCAUUGAUGAUAUCUUGGUAUAUUCCUGCAAUGAAGAGGAGCAUGCAGAGCAUCUGCGUGUAGUGUUGUCCCGUUUGCACGAACAUCAGCUUUAUGCCAAGUUUAGCAAAUGUGAGUUUUGGCUAAAGAAAGUACCUUUCUUGGGCCAUGUCUUAUCUGAAGAAGGCAUAUCGGUCGAUCUGGCCAAGGUGCAAGAAGUGCUGGAUUGGAAAGUUCCAACUUCGGUAUACGAGGUUCGGAGUUUUCUCGGUCUGGCCGGAUAUUACCGUCGAUUCAUUCCGGAAUUCUCCAAAAUAUCCAAGCCUUUGACUCGUCUGCUUCAGAAAGAUGAGAAGUUUGUGUGGACACCUGAGUGUGAAGAGGCAUUCCAAAAGUUGAGGACAUUGCUGACAUCAGCUCCUGUCCUAGCUCAACCUGAUAUCGAGAAGCCCUUCGAUGUCUUUUGUGACGCGCCAGGCAUUGGUUUAGGCUGUGUGUUGAUGCAGGAAGGUCGUGUUAUCGCGUAUGCCUCACGCCAACUUCGAAAACAUGAGGUCAAUUACCCUACUCAUGACUUAGAAUUGGUAGCAGUUGUUCAUGCUUUGAAAAUCUGGAGGCAUUAUCUGCUGGGUAAUCUGUGUAAUAUCUACACCGAUCAUAAGAGCCUCAAGUAUAUCUUCACUCAACCUGAACUGAACAUGCGACAGCGAAGGUGGCUUGAGUUGAUUAAAGAUUAUAAUCUACAAGUGCACUAUCAUCCGGGCAAGGCAAACGUAGUGGCGGACGCCUUGAGUCGGAAAGCGCACUGUCACUCAAUCCAAGUGGAAGAUCUGUUGUUGUCACAUCUUAUGCAUCCACUUGUGCUCAACCAGAUUUCUCUGGAAAGUACCAUUCGCAAUCGAGUCAUCGAAUUGCAGCAGACAGAUGUAGGCAUCCGCCAUUUAAAGAGGAAAAUGAAGCAAGAAGAAACCAAGCAUUUCCGGGUCGAUGAGAACGGAAUUCUUUGGUUCAAGGAUCGACUUGUGGUCCCAAAAGACCGCGAGCUGCGAAAAGAUCUUAUCUGAAGCUCAUUCAUCCAAAUUGUCUAUCCAUCCUGGUAGUAGCAAGAUGUAUCAGGAUUUAAAACCGUUGUUUAGGUGGACAAAGAUGAAAAAGGAGAUAGCUGCUUCUGUCGCUCGUUGUGACAAUUGUUGUCGUGUGAAGGUUGUUCACAUGAAAGCUGGUUUGCUUCAACCCUUGUCAAUUCCUGGUUGGAAAUGGGAAGAAGUCAGCAUGGAUUUCAUCAGUGGACUCGCAACUUCUGUUAAGGGUUAUGACUCCAUCUGGGUGAUUGUAGAUCGUUUGACCAAGGUUGCUCAAUUUAUUCCAGUCCGAACUGACUACCGUCCACAUCAAUAUGCAGAGUUGUACUUCGAGCACAUUGUUCGUCAGUAUGGUGUACCUCGAACUAUUGUAUCACAUCGUGGACCACAGUUCACUGCUCAUUUUUGGGAAUGUCUGCAUGUGCAGAUUGGUACUCAUUUAGUCCGUAGCUCUGCUUAUCAUCCCCAAACGGCUGGUCAGACUGAACGGGUUAACCAAAUCCUAGAAGACAUGUUGAGGGCAUGUGCUCUCUCUUUAAAGGGUUCUUGGGUUAAGUGGUUGACAUUAGCUGAGUUCUCCUACAACAAUAGUUAUCAGGAGAGUAUCCAAAUGGCUCCAUUUGAAGCCUUGUACGGUUGAAAGUGUCGAACCCCGUUGAAUUGGGUAGAAGCCGGAGAGCGAAGGUAUUAUGGCAUCGAUUUCGUGAACGAAGCCGAGCAGAAAGUCCGAACUAUCCAGCAACAUCUGGAAGCUGCUCAAGCUCGUCAGAAAAGUUAUGCCGACAAGAGAAGGAAGCCAAUUGAGUUUUCAGUUGGUGACCAUGUGUACAUCAAGGUGUCUCCGAUGAAGGGUGUACGAAGGUUCGGAGUCAAGCGAAAGCUUGCACCUCGCUAUGUGGGACCUUAUCGGAUUCUCGAAAAGAAAGGGAAUGUGGCAUACAAAGUUCAACUCCCUGUUGCGCUUCGAGCUAUUUUCCCUGUAUUCCACGUAUCACAAUUAAAGAAGUGCCUUCGUGUACCGGAGGAACGAGUGGAAGUUCGAGAUAUCAAGUUGAAGUCAGACUUGGUAUAUGAAGAAAAACCCGUAGCGAUUCUUGAUCGCAAGGAACGGGAGACGCGUAAUCGUGUGGUUAAACUCUACAAGGUAUUGUGGAGCAACCACGGGGAAGAAGAUGCUACUUGGGAGACGGAGGAUUAUUUAAAAGAAGUUUACAAAACAUUCUUCGAAAAUCAGUAAGCUUUCAAAUCUCGGGACGAGAUUUUUGUAAGGGGGGAGGGCUGUAACACCCAGUGUUAUGGUUGCAUUGAUCAGGUGCAUAGCAUGAGCAUCAUCAUCCAUUCAAAGCAUCCAUGAUCAUCAUCUCUCUUGAGCCAUGUCAUUCUAUGCAAAAAUGUGUUUUAAAUUGGUUAAAUAGGCUUCCUAUGCUUAUGUUUGAGUGAACCAUGCUUGUGUUUGUACUCAAUGCUUUGGUAAUUAGUUUAUCUAUGCUUGACUUAACCUUGGGAACAAUGUUCAUGUUGAUCACUCCUCCAAAAUAUGCCUUGAAGACAUGUUUGUGCAAAUAGGCCCUAGAAACCUCUUUUGCUUAGGAUUUUAAAAAGUGUUUCAUAAAAUGUUUGCAUGUCAAAACUUUCUACAGAAAAGUUGUAGAAAAUUUUAUAAGGAACAAAAGUUGUUUUAUGGCCAUCUCAUGAAAAGUUGUAGCAAAUUUUAUAAGGAACAAAAGUGACCCACAAGGCAGAUUUGGGGCUGUUUCCAACACUUAGAAAAAUUUCUAAGUCUUGGAACGAAACCAGUUUGCUCGAUCGAUUUUGGAAACUCUAUAUCUCUCAAUCCCGGCCGAUCUGGCCUUUGCUCUAGUUGACGAAGUUGUAGAACUCGAUUGGAACACCAACUUUGUCAACUGCAUCAUCUUCUAUCUCGGGCUGGUUUGGGAGUUAUCCGUUGCUGAAGUCGCUCUGUCAGUCGGUCGCCGUUUUCUCUGAAUCGAAGCCGAGCUCGCCGUCGUGGAUGGCCAGAGCGCCAUCUGUCUGCCAGAUGUCGCCCGUACGCCGGCGAUGGCCCCGCUCGUCAGCUCCCAGCGCGCAUGACGUCCACGGCGACGCCCCGAGCAGAGUGGACGCGUCCACUCUCGCUUUCCUCGCCCUCUCACGCCUGUAAACCGCCCGCAGCGAGCUCACCAUCGCGAGCUCACUCCGGUGAGCUCGUGUGCGCUCGUCGCUGCGUGUCGGUCCACCAAAUUCCACCCACAGCUCCGCCGUGAACCGCUCUCCAUUCUCCACCCUCUAACUCGCCGAGAAACCCACCGGUGAGCCGACAUUUCCUUCUUCCCCCAAAUCGGGUCGCCGUGACCGUUUUCUCCGGCGAACUCAAUGCUGAGCCAUGUGAAGCCGCUCGUCGUCUCCGGUUAGGUCCUAGAGGUAGCUUAGGUCCUUAGCAAGCUUUUGCGCCACUUGGUGGACGCUCUACCAAGCUCUCCGUCGCCGGACACGGUGCGCAGCGCCGCCGUGCUUCCGCCGGAGAUGGGCGCUCUCGUGGCCAGCGUGUUCCACGAGGAUCCAAGCCAAGCCGUUUACCUAGGAAGCUCCGCCGUAGUUCGUUGGUGCUGUAGAAGGUCUUAGGUCGCGCUCUACCGGCUUGAGGGCUCCGGCGUAACGCCGAGCACCUCCGCCGAGCCGCCAUCGUCGACGGUGAGCCCCUUUCGUAUCUCCGCCGUGGGAAAAGUGGGAUCAAUCAAGUCGCUAGAGUCUGGGGAUCACGUUGGUGCCCUUGGUUUGGCCGGAGACCUCGCCGUCGCGGAGAAAUCGCCGGCGAAAGUCGCCUCGGCCGCGAGGAAGAAGAACGUGACAGAUGGGACCCACUGUCAGCGUCACUCUCCUUCCCUCCUUUUCUUUUAUUCAAAAUCUAGAUUUUUGACUUUUUUGCAAAAAUCAUAUCUCCUUGUUUCUUAAAAUUGUGAAACAAAUUUUGUGGUAUUUCUUGAGAUGGCUAGUUUUUAAUAAAAAUAUAAAAUAAACCAUGUUUUCUGGGAAAAUAUUUAUUAAGGAUUUAAUCUUGUUAUUCAUAGAUAAAUGCAUAUCUCUUGUUAUACUGCUUAGUUUGCUCUGAAAAUUUUAUGGUAGCCUCUGCUUGGUAUUAGAGUGCUUUGAUAAAUAUUUCAUGAUUUUUGGAGUACUGCAGUUUUGAUAUGUAAUUUAUGAUUGAAAUAUGGCUUGUUUCUUUAAUUAAAUCAUAUAAAAUAAUUGGUGCUUAUGCUGGUGUUCUACUUUGGUAGUAAACAUGUGUAUGGUAUUCCUAAGAUAUAAAUAAUCUGAAAUCUGUUGUUUGACACCAUAUAAGUCAUGUUUCUGAAUUUAUGAAAUAAGCACCUAGUUACAUGUUAAUGUAUAUCUUUAAUUUGGUAUGUGCAUUUGCUCUGAACUUUUUAUGGUAAUGCUUUGAUGCUAUCCUUGUGCUUCUGUAAUUUUUGUAGAUUUUUCUGAGCACUUUGACUAGUAUCUUGUAAUUAUGCUUCAUUCUAGAAUUAAUUAAUAAAUGCCUUGUUAAGUAAAUGUUUGGAAGUUUCCAUCUGGUGUUCUGGUUGUAUUAUAAUAUGCUUGUGGUCAUAAGCCAUGUGGUUGGCAUGGUUUGUGUCUUGGUCAUGUCACUAACUAAUUAAGUAAAGGGUUAAAGGCUGUUUUGGGCAGCAAGGAAGUGAUUUAACUUUUGCUUAGUGAUAACUUGGCUUUCUGUAAAACUUGUCUAAAUCAAAGUUGUUAUAAACUUAUUGAACUAGCUGUGGUUUAAAUUUGAGGUCAAUUAGCCUAGUAGUUUAAAAGUUAUAACUGUUCCAAGUUAGGUUCCAGAAAUAGGUGCUCUCUGUUUUUCUGGGACAGAACCUGGAACUUUGUUUAAAUGACUGGUUUAAUUUAUGAAUCUGGCUGCCAUGUUUAAAGAUGAGUUGUAGAUAAUUUCAUAAGCUUUCCAGAAUGUCUUCACUCAUGUUUGUUGGACCUGUAUAUCAUUAGUUAUGAUUUAUUUACUGAGUAUACUUGUUUUGUGUUGCUUGCUGUUUUAGUAUCAUGAUAGGUUUUGGGCUAAGGUAACUUAUUUACUCGUGUGAGCUUGUAUGACUUUUGCUCCGUAAAUGAGUGUCCAGUAAGUUACUUAUGUUAUCAAGCAUUCAUCUUUAGCAUUUGCAUCUUCUUAUCGUUCGAGCAUGCAAUAGGUGCAUCGGACGCGACAGCCUCCUUCGAGCUGCAAGUGAAUCCCGACGGUCAAGAGGGCAGCCAAGAGGUGGAGGUCCAGCAAGCCGGACUCGAAGAGACCGAAGAAGAAGUUGAGUGCCCGAAUCACGAGCCGGCGUCGUUCGUGAAAGGCAAGCCCCGGAGCAUUCUAAGUCUCCCUUUAUUUUCGAAAGUUCACUUAAUAUGUUAUAUCUAUUGAUGCAUUACAUAUAGGAGUUGUGAUGAGACUUUUGCUGCACUUUAUUCCAUCCUUGUCCAGAUAAUUCAUCCUACCCUGGUUGUAGAGUUAGGAUCGAGUAGCAGCUUAGCCAUGCUUUAAUCGGUAGAAGUCGGGUGAUAUCCUGUCACCUGCGCGAUAUAGGGUGAUGUCGGAUCACGAUGGUAUAUAUGUGCUAUCGUGGAUGGAACCUGAUUGAAUUGACUUAAGCCGGGCGGAGUUUUGCAAGUUUGUAGUAACUCCGUCUGUGGCAGCUACGGACCGAUCGUUGUACGUCCUCUUGUCAUGUUGAACGCAUGCCUGACACUUAGUUGGCCGGAUAACUCGUUCCGACCGCGAAGCCGAGUAGUAUGACUCAGGCCCGAAGACCGGCCAGUAUAAAGCGCCCACUACCGGAGGAAGUGCGGUGUGCGGGGGACCAUUGGCGUAAGCCCAAAGGCAGGUGAGUUAAAAUUCCUGACCUCCCUGGCAGAGUGAUAGCCCUGGGAGUGCGGCGCUGAUCGGAGCCGCGAUUCCUGAGUUGUACCAAAGGUGACCCGUUGGCUCUCCGGCAGGGGAUGCUUGGGUGAGUGCUAGGAAUAACCCUCCAGCUGGAUAGGAAUUCGAUUCGAAUCGCCGUCUCUCCCGGUUAGUGAGAACUUGACAGAGCAGGGGCAAACGUAGCAUUCACUAAUGAACUUGGUUCAUGAUAAUGAUCAUAGCAGGAAGAACAUAUGAUGAAUUUGAUAUGGUUAUUAUUGAUUGUAAUAAUCAAGUGAUGUGUUGUUGUACAGGUGCUAAUCUAGUGGUAGGCUGAUGAUGAAUAAAUAUGAUGCUCUCGAAAUAAUUUAGUCGUAAUUUAAGCUUUUGGCAAAAGGUGAGUCAACCAGCUCCACUUGAUAUUUAGCCUUGCAUGAUCCUUGGUGUCUUUUAUGUUUUACUAGACGGGUAAGUCUAGCUGAGUACAUUCUCGUACUCAGGGUUUAUUUCCCACCUGUUGCAGAUGACAUCUUUUAUGACGGACUUCGUACCUGUUGCUUUUGGAAGGACGGUGUAGACUCUGGCAGUAACUCAAACUUAUGAACUGAACUUUGGAAUGUGCGUGUAACUAUUUUGCUUCCGCUACUUCGAACUUGUGUUGUAAUAACUUAAUGACUCAGAUGUGGUGCCGCUUCGACGGCAAUGAAUGACUAUGUAACAUUCGCUGGGUUUAUGUUGAACUAUUACGAUCUUGGUUUGUUGCGAGUUGGUUUGAAGUCCUUCGUGAUUUCAAUUGACUACCGGGAUUAUAUGGACUCAAGUUUGGAAACUUGAUUGCUUGGCGAUCGUUUUUGCACUUGAUCUCUUAUAAUUUGGUCGGUUCUGUGACAUUUUUGGUUCCUCUUGCUAAAGUUUAGCUAACUAAAUUUAUUUUAGCUAUUCUAGGGUGACUAAUGGAACUAAAUUAUGUUAACUCUUUUUAGUCAAUGUGUUUGGAACUUUAGCAACUAAAAUGACUAAAGUUUAGCUAGCUAUAAUUUAGCAAGAGAAACCAAAUAGGGCCAUACUUAGGCCUUGUUUACUUCUAAAAAAUUUUGCAAAAUAUGAAUAGUAGUGUUUUCGUUUAUAUUUUUCUUAGAUUAUAGUCUCAGAUAAUUAUAUAUGAUAAUUAAUAUAACCAUGACUAAGAAAAAGAACAAUAAAGACAUGUCUCAUAUAUUUAUACUAUAAAUAAGUUCUUAAUUGCUUAGUAGAUCUCAAAGCUCCUCAGGGAUAAUGUUUGCACGUUCAUUUUGAUUACUUUGUAGAAUGUCCACCAAGCAUUCUAUCCUCAGCGAACGUCCACUCUGUGAAUGCCAGAUAGUAAGUUAACUUAUUAAUUUGCUAUACACUAUACAAAAUUUACAUAGAGGAUAUAUAUAGUUUAUAUGCUUACAGGGUGGAUAGACAAUCUUUUUCCAUCCUACUAUUUUAAAUAACUAUAUACAAAGAAGCGUGGCAUUUCCCUGGAGAAGAGCAAGUGUUUAUUUGUGUUAGCUAAAUGACAUAGAAUAAUAUUACUAUAUAAUUUAAUUAAUAAUUGAGAACAUAAAUGAUGAAGAUAUUACUACUACAUAUUAUUUGGCCAAGUAAAACAUUUGUAUCAUGGUGUCUAAUUUAACCCAUUCCGAUGCACAAACAAAGAAGAUAUUGCUCCAUUAUUACCUUAAUCAAGUUAGGGGAAUGAGAGAUUAGAGUUAAUAUUGUCCCUUAAUUUUGGGAGAUAGAUCUUCCUUGGUGGAAUUUUUCGUGUAUUCUUAGUGUAGCUUAUAACUGUAGUAGUAGUUUAUAGGGUGCAUUUAGUUAAGUUCAUAACUGAUGUAUUAUAUAGUAGUGGAGAUUUGUGGUAAAUCUCAGUAACUACACCCGUGCUUUUUUACCUUAUACAAAUUAGAACUGAGGCUUGAUCCCUAUGAUUUCGUGCUAAAUUAUGUUUUUAUGAUUUUUUGUAUAUAUAUAUGAUGGUAAUCCAACUUGAAUACCUCUCAUCCAAUUUGGUAUAUGCUGUUGACAACAACGAUCCCAUGUGGUCAGGAUGUUCGAAAACGAGAAAUCAAGUUCUUAGUUUUCUAGGAAGAGAAGAACUGAACUUGGACAAUGGAUUGGAAUUGGGCGGAAAUGGUGAUAUUUAAUAGUAAAAAACCCCUCUCCAAUCAUAAAUACAUACAUGUCACUUUGGGCCUUGUUUAGUUCCGAAAACUUUAACACUUUCGUUUUUAUUUGACAAAUAUUGUUCAAUUAUGGACUAACUAGAUUCAAAAGAUUCAUCUCACGAUUUACAGAUAAACUGUGCAAUUAAUUUUUGUUUUCAUUUACAUUUAGUGCUUCAUACACAUGCUGCAAGAUUUUGUGUGACAGGAAAUCUUAAAAAGUUUUUGGUUUUUAGAAUGAACUAAACAAGGCCUUGGUCAGUGGGGCGAAAUGCCUACUUGUAGUGACGCAAUUGUAGAAUGACUAGUAGGAAGCGCGCCCCCUGGGCGCGAGUUGUCAUGUAUUUCUAAGAUUAUACAGGUAAGCUACACAUGUUGCAUACAAUGGCCAUGUAUAUGAUUGAGGUCUAUUGAUGCAUACAAAGUUAUUAGAGGAUGAAUACAGUGGCCAUCGAGGGCAGAAAUAAUAGACAAAUUCUGGGGCAAAAGAUGCAUGUUUAGUUUUAGCACAGUAAUAGGAAUAUAGGAUCAGAGAACGGAAACGAACACGGUCAUAUUGCCUAUGGUGUUAUAUGUACCAUACAAAGCCAUUACACAAGCUUAUCGGUAUUUUAUACAUUGCUUCGUCAGUGGCAAUUUACAAAAGUUUAGGGGCAUUGAAGGUCCACUUUCUAAUGACAUGGACAUAUAUAGCUGGCUUUCUUGUUGGCUGCGCUGCCAAUUGUGACAAGAAAUUGCCGCAUCUACAUCCUGAGUACCAGCACAGGGAGCAAAUAGACUGUUUAGUCUCAUAAAGAAACAGUUAUUGUCUGGAUUACCUGUAAGUAGGGGAGUAUAUUUUUUUGGUCUACUAUGUAUACACAAUGCACACAACAGUGAUGCAUCACCGGACACAAUAGAAGCAAAUACUUCUUUAUAGACGACAUUUUUUUCAUUUAUACAACGGCCAUCCUCGGCUUCUAUGAAAUGGCUGUCACUACCUGAAACAUCCAAGUAUCAAUGAGAAAGAUGUAGUUGGUAGACUCGGUAAUCACCGGCCCAACUUGCCAGCCAAUGAAUGUAGAGACAAGAACAUCUUGAUGCAAAAAAAAUUAUAAUUUAACAAUGAAUGGACAUACAUAUCAGAAAUAUCACUGUAAAUUAUUUUUUUUCACACAUGCAUACAAGAUUGAACUUAGAUAUAUAACAUAGACUGUAUUGUAAAGAUUAACUAGAUAUAACUAAAAUAUAUUCAAUUUUGCUCAUGCUCUAUGCACCAGACAUCUUGGUAUGGACAAAUGGAUCUGCUGCGUGAGCAGAACUCUGAAAUCCAAAAGAAGGUAUGCAAGGCUAAAAACUAACAAAGGAAGCUGAACUAAACACGACAGGAGAAGGUAAUAUUUAUGUGGCAACUACUGAGCAUCCGGACCAUCAAGUUCUAUUUUUCAAAGCAUCAAGUCCUAUAUUUAUGGGAAAGUUGUCAAACAAAAAUGUGGCCUGCACGAAUAUUAUCACCUGCAAGGGAGGCAUGAAGCCUAUCCCAUCUCAUAAUUGAAGUGCAUGAGUCCAACCAAUUUCCCCGGUGAUCAUGGAUACGAAGAAUAAGUUGUGAUGCUAAACCAAAACAUAGAUGACUUUCCAAGUGUGCAGCCUGCAUAGUAAAAUAAGAAAGAAAAAUCAUAUUUUUGACAUGAAUGCAAGUAGUACCAAGUUGCUGGAUUGUUGACCAGUUCUCCAUUUUAUUUUGUAUUUUGAAACAUCUUUUCUUUUGAAUAACUUACUGAUAUAUUGUCACACCCAAUUUCAAGGAAGAAAUUGAAUGCAUAAACUUAUGUGCGCCCAGAGAUCAAUCACACACAUAAGUCACAAAUUAAAUAUCAUCAUCGCAGUGUUUACAACAAACGUAGUUAUUACAUCACAAAGUCUGGUAUAAGAGCGGAAAUAUAAAUAUGAUAUUCUAAGAUAACUAUCUCAUGGUCCUCACACAGGGAAGGUCGACUGGUGAAGCACAAGCCUAAUAGUUCUCAGGGUAGUCCUCAUAGCCACCACCAUGUGUUACCCAUCCGGGAUUUUUAUCCAAAGAAAAGAAAUAUACAAGCGUGAGUACAUCUCGUACUCUACAAGCAUAGCGUGAGGAUUUAUGAGGCUCAAACAGGCUAAACUAGGUUCACUGCAUCAGCUUUUAGUAGGUCAGUGUUUUAUCAUUAAUUAUUAUAGAUUAAGCUUAAGCUCCCAAAAAUCUCAUAUAAUCAGUUAUUAGAACCAUAGUAAGUCAUUAAGUCACAUUAAAGCAUAAUUAUUCAUCAUCAAGUACCAUAUAGCCAUCAGUAACCAGUUAUUCUGUGAGUUUUCCGGGCCGCUCGUGACCGUGAGCACGGCUGUUAUAACAGUUAUACACUCUGCAGAGGUUGUGCACUUUCCUAUGGCACAUUUCCAUCGCGGCUAUACUCAUAGAAACAGGGGCAGCCCUACACCCAAAGUGGCAAGCGCCUCUUGCGCCCUUUCGGGUAACCUCUAACGAGUUAGAAAAGGUCCUAUUACUGAGCUAAAGUCAGAGCCAUAUGACUCUCCCGGUUGCACUGUAAGUCCCAGCUUUUGCCAACAGAUAAGUCCUUACGGAGGGUCUAGGACAACAUGACCAACAGUCAUUUGUACCAUAGCCCUAUGUUCCAUUUAUCAUAAUCAUGUUUAAUCAAUUAACCAUGGUUCCACCACUGAUUUCAGAUCAUAUAUAAUUGGAGUUAGAGCACUAGCACUUCUACCCAUAUGCAAUAAAAACCCUUGGGAACAAGGUAAUUGUCAUCAACAUCUAGGAUGUCCUUAUAGUUUGCAAUAUUAUACACAUGCAGGGUGAAAUGCUUAAAAAUGAGUAGGACAACAAGGUAAGCCCAUGCUAUACUUGCCUUGGUUCACGUACUCCUGCUGUUCUUGCUGGUCCUGUUGGUCCCCAAAGAGCUCCGGACUCCCGAAAAACUCCUCACCGUCUGGGCUCGAUCAAAACAUCACAAUCAUCACGCAUACCAAGACAAACAUGCAAGAGAACAAUUCCUAAAGUUAGAACAGUACACCAGCAUUAAAUAAAUUAAAUAAAAGUUUUCCAAAAUCAUCUACGUGCUGCUACGAUCACGUCAACGCGAAAUUCACGAAAAUCGGAGCUAAAACGACCAAGUUAUGACUUUUCGACGAUUUCCUAUAGGCCAAUAAUAAAUUAAACCUAACCCUGAAAAUAAAAAGUGGCAAACUACAGAAACAGUAGUACUAUCAUGUAGAGUAUUUAAUUACGAAUCUAACGCAAUUUGAACGGGUCAAAUCGGAGCUAUAACGAAUAUUUUAUGGCCAAAACAAGUUCAGUGGCAAUUCUGUAGUUUCCCGAAAGCGUAUUUUGACCUAACCGACGGAUAAUACGUUUUCUAAAAGAGAAAGCGUGUUUCGCUCGAAGGCGCUAAGGACUGCGGCCGAAUUUGGAAAUCUGGGAGGGGCUCUUUAAGCAAAAUUUCCCCCCGAAGGGGUACGGUGCAUCCAGGGCCGUUGAUCUGGAAUCGGACGCGCGAGAUUAGAAAGAAGAAAACAGAGGGGGGGGGGGAAGGAGCGGCGCGCCGGCCGGAGGGGAGGAAGGGCGCGGCGGGCGCCAUGGCCGGCCGGGCCUGAGCUCGCCGACGCGACCCCAACAGAGGCUACGGCGGACCAUUUUCUAAACCGAGACCGCUGGGAGAGAGAGGAGGGCGAGGGGAACGCGUCCCCGGCCUUGGAACGCUCCGGGAAACACCCAAGCUGCUGCGCCAUGGCCGGCGGCGAAAAGCUUCUCCGGCGAGCGCGGCCGGAGUGAUUGAAGACUCCGUUUUGCUCGGGAAAUGGACGGGGAGAAAGAGGGAAGGGAGAGGAAGCUCACCACGGCGCUAAAUCGGAGCGAAACCGGCUCUGGAAGGGAGCUUCACGCGGCGGGCGAAGAACUCCGGCGACGGUUUCUGCGCACUCGCGAUUGGGAGCAGAGCCGAGGGAAAAGAGGGGGAAAAUGGGGAGAGGAGGACUCGGGCGCGCGGACUCCCUCCACUUGAAGCCGAGACGCGGGGGGGCGGAGAACGUGGGCGCGGGGAGAGCGGCUUCGACGGUUGCUGCCGAGAGAGAGGAAAUCGGGGUUGGGCGGUUGGAGGUAGGGGGUGGUCCUGACGGGUGGGCCCCACCCGUCAGCCGCCAGGGAGAAAGAGGGGGGAGGGAGGGGAUCGGCUGGGCCAGGCCCAAGAAGGAGAAAGGGGGCGCACGGGUUUUGGGCCAAAAUGGCCGAGAGAAGGGGAGGGAAGAGAGAAAAGCUCUUCCUUUUUAUUUUCCAAACAAAAUUUUCAAACUCUUUUCCAAAUGAGUUUUUGAAUUCAAACAUCUUUUCUUCAAAUCCACUCAUCACAUAAAUAAAUGCACCAGCAUGUAUGCAACAAAUUAUUGGCCUAACUUAUAUUUAAUUUUAUUUUCUCCAAAUUUAUUUAUUUUCCUAUAUUGAAAAUGCUCACAAAAUUAUUUAAUAAAGCCAAAUUCAUCUAUUUUUAAAAGAGCCAAAUUUUGGGUGUUACAAUUCUACCCCCCUUAAAAAUAAUCUCGUCCUCGAGAUUGGGUGAUGCUUACUCAAACAGAUGUGGAUACGACUUUCUCAAGUCCUCUUCUCUUUCCCAGGUGGCUUCAUCUUCGGUAUAACGAUUCCAUUACACCUUACACAUCUUUAUAGUUCUGCUUCUUGUAACUCUAUCUGCAGUUUCCAAAAUCUUUAUCGGAUACUCUUCAUAUGUGAGAUCUUCUUUAAUGGUCAACUCUUCUAUAGGAAUCUGCUCUUCGGGUACCCGCAAACACUUCUUCAACUGAGAAACAUGGAAUACAUCAUGUACACCUGACAAACUCUCAGGAAGUUCUAACUGAUAGGCUACUUCUCCAUGUCUUGCAAGAAUCCUGAAAGGUCUGACGUAUCUCGGUGCUAGCUUACCCUUCACAUUGAAUCUCUUCACACUCCUCAUUGGAGAUACCUUCAGAUAUACAAAAUCACCCUCUUUGAAGCUCAAGUCCCUUCUUCGGGUGUCGGCAUAACUUUUCUGCCUCGAUUGUGCCACCCUUAGAUUGUCCCUAAUCAUCCUCACUUGUUCUUCAGCACUUCUUAGGAUGUCUGGCCCAAACACCUGUGUUUCACCAGUUUGAUUCCAGAAUAAAUGUGUCCUACACUUGCGACCAUACAAAGCUUCAAAUGGUGCCAUCUUGAGACUCUUCUGGUAGCUGUUGUUAUAGGAAAACUCAGCAUACGGCAGACUUUUGUCCCAACUUGUGCCAUACUGCAGAGCACAAGCUCUCAGCAUGUCCUCCAAGAUUUGAUUAAUUCUCUCUGUCUGUCCAUCAGUCUGGGGAUGAUAAGCAGAACUGAAGUUCAGCUUAGUUCCCAUGGAUCUAUGUACUUUGUGCCAAAAGUGCGACGUAAACUGAGUUCCUCGGUCGGACACGAUCUUCUUUGGAACUCCGUGUAAGCACACAAUCCUUUCCAUGUACAACUCGGCUAACCUUGCCCCUUUGUAGUUGGUUUUGACUGGUAAGAAAUGUGCAACCUUAGUGAGUCGGUCUACUAUUACCCAAAUCGAGUCAUACCCACGUUGAGUACGUGGCAACCCGGUAAUAAAGUCCAUACCGACUUCUUCCCAUUUCCAUUCAGGUAUCUGCAUUGGUUGCAGCAACCCUGCAGGUCGUUGGUGCUCAGCUUUCACUCUCUGACAGGUGUCACACAAAGCAACAUACUCUGCUACAUCCCUUUUCAAUCCAUACCACCAAUAUCUCUCCUUUAGGUCCAAAUACAUCUUGGUACUCCCAGGGUGUAUUGAAUAAGUAGAGUCAUGCGCCUCACGCAGAAUUGUAUCUCGGAUAGCCUUCACUUCAGACACACAUAUCCUUUUCCCAAACCAUAGGGUACCAUUCUCAUCUAUCCUGAAGCCUGGUGCCUUUCCAAGCACUACAUUAUCUGCUAUCUCUUUUAAUUUCUCAUCCUCCAACUGACUCUUACGUAUCUCUUGUUCCAAUGUUGGCUCUACCUCUAGACCCAUGGUAUGAUUCACAAAGCCUAUGUUGAGGUGUUCUAUUUCGGCUCGCAACUCAGCUGGAAUAAAUGUCAGCUGAAGUCUGUUGACAUAGCUUUUCCUACUAAGUGCAUCUGCAACUACAUUUGCUUUCCCAGGGUGAUCUUGCACUUCCAGGUCAUAAUCCUUGAUCAACUCCAACCAUCGACGUUGCCUCAGAUUCAGGUCUGACUGGGUGAAGAUAUACUUUAGGCUCUUAUGGUCUGUGUAAAUAUCACACUUAUGACCAAUCAAGUAAUGCCUCCAGAUUUUUAAGGCAUGGACCACUGCGGCUAGCUCCAGAUCAUGAGUAGGGUAAUUCAACUCAUGUUUCCUCAGCUGCCUAGAUGCAUACGCCACUACUCUUCCUUCUUGCAUGAGCACACAACCUAAACCUAAGCAAGAAGCAUCACAAUAGAUGGAGAAGCUCUUGCUUAAGUCAGGUAAGGUCAACACUGGAGCUGUGGUCAACCUCUUCUUUAACUCCUCAAAGUUAGCCUGGCAUUUUUCUGACCAAACAAACUUAGCACUCUUCUCUAAUAAGGCCGUCGUGGGCUUAGCAAGUUUAGAGAAUCCUUCAAUGAAUCUCCUAUAAUAUCCGGCCAAUCCCAGAAAACUACGGAUUUCACUCACAUUGGUCGGGGGUUUCCAAUUCAACACAUCUUGCACCUUGCUGGGGUCCACGGCUAUCCCUCCAUUGGAGACCACGUGUCCCAGAAAGGAGACCUCCUUUAGCCAAAACUCACACUUGCUUCUUUUGGCAUAUAGCUUAUGUUCUCUAAGCUUCUGCAAGACUAGCCUCAGAUGCUCUGCAUGUUCCUCUUUAGUUUUGGAAAAGAUGAGUAUGUCAUCAAUGAACACCACUACAAACUUAUCCAAGAACUCCAUGAACACCAUGUUCAUGAGAUACAUGAAAUAUGCGGGUGCAUUGGUUAGCCCAAAAGACAUAACUGUGUACUCAUACAGGCCAUACCUAGUAGUGAAGGCUGUCUUAGGUACAUCCGAGGCACGGAUUUUCAGUUGAUGAUAACCGGAUCGAAGGUCUAUUUUUGAGAACACACAAGCACCUUUUAACUGAUCAAACAGGUCAUCAAUUCUAGGCAAAGGGUACUUGUUUUUGAUGGUUACUUCAUUUAGUGACCGGUAAUCCACACACAUUCUCCUGGUACCAUCUUUCUUAUCGACAAAGAUAACGGGUGCUCCCCAAGGUGAUGAACUAGGACGAAUAAAAACCUUCUCUAGCAACUCCUUAAUUUGCUUCUUAAGUUCCUCUAGUUCAUUCACUCCCAUUCUAUAAGGUCUUUUAGCUAUAGGUGCAGUUCUAGGUAAAAGUUCAAUAAGGAAUUCGAUGUCUCGGUCAGGUGGCAUACCUGGCAAUUCAUCAGGGAACACAUCAGGGAAGUCAUCCACCACUUGGUUCUCCUCAUUGACCUCAUCACUCAACUGGUUCACGGUAGCAGUUGGAGGUGCUUGCACUGCCACUUCUACACAAAUUCUAUCCCCUUUAGGUGAUGUUACUACCACAGACUUCUCCUGGCAUUGAAUCACUGUCCGAUGUUGCUUCAUCCAAUCCAUCCCCAGGAUAAGGUCAAUACCAGAAGUUCUUAGCACAAUGGGGUUUACUUUGAAGUCUACCCCCCUUAGAGAAACACUAGUGGAGGGGCUCCAAUAGUUCGCUGGCAUAGUACCCCCCGGUGAAUUCACUAGCAUUGAGUUUUUCAUGGCACAUAAAGCUAUGCUAUGUACUCUAACAAAAGCUUGCGAGAUGAAAGAAUGCGAAGCUCCGGAAUCAAAAAGUACAGUAGCAGGGAUGGAGUUGAUACUAAACGUACCCAGCAUGACCUCGGGUGCCUCCUGAGCUGAAUCAGUAGACACAUGGUUCACACUUCCAGUGUGGGGUGGUCGAGCAUUGGGCCUCUGAUUGUUGUUCUGAUUCUGUGGAGCUGAGGGGUUCUGCUUCUUCGGGCACUGAUAGGCAUAGUGACCCACUUCACCACAACGGUAGCAAGCAUUGGGGUUGUUUGCCACUGCUGUCUUCACUGGAGCAUUGUUGGGCACACCUGGACGUGGUGCCUGGGGGUUAACUUGCUGCUGAGGGCGCUGAUUACCAAACUGCUGCUGGUACUGGGGACGCUGCUGGUUCUGGUUUUGGUUGCGCGGAGGGUACUGGCCCUGAUUCCACUGACUAGGGGGCCUCUGGUUCCUGGGAGGAAAGCCCUGCUGAGGAAACAUGCGCGGACGAGUGUUGCUGCUAGAUGCCUGCCCCUGAAUCUUCCUCUUCUUAGCAUCCAUCUCUUUGCGCUUAUUGUCAAUCACAAUAGCACGGUUCACAAGUUCCUGGAAGCUGGGGUAAACAUUGGACAUCAACUGCAGUUGCAGGCCAUCAUACAGUCCUUUUAGGAAACGACGUUGCUUGUCAGAAUCCUUGGCCACUUCACCCGGAGCGUAACGUGACAAUUGAGCGAACUUGUCACGGUACUCAGCGACAGUCAUGGAGCCUUGCUUGAGAGCACGGAACUCCUCUUGUUUGAGCUCGAUGAGCCCCUCUGGAAUGUGGUAAGACCGGAAACUCUCUGUGAAUUCCCUCCAAGUGACAGGCGGUGCGUUGUCUGGGCGUCCAUAUUGGUAGGACUCCCACCACUCUUGUGCAGCCCCUUGCAGUUGUCCGGAGGCAUACAACACCUUCUCCAUGUCAUUGCACUGAGCAAUGUUCAGCUGCUUCUCCACAGCUCUUAACCAAUCAUUAGCUUCUAAAAGGUCACUAGCAUGUGUAAAAAUAGGGGGACGUCCCUUCAUGAACUCUCCCCUCUUAUCUCGAACCUGGACCGGUGGUGGUACGACGGCUGGCUGGUGAUCCAGGCGAUCCAUCAUAGUUUGCAUCAAUUGAGUUUGCAUCAACAUGAGCUGCUCCAUUGUCACAGGCUGUGGUGGUGGCGGUGGGUCCACCGGUGCGCCACGGCCACGUCCACGGCCACGGCCUCGACCUCGACCACGGCCUCUUCCUCCUUCGUCAGCCAUCUGUUUCCAACAAAGGAAUAAGCUUUUAGAGGUUUCCAUAAUUAAUAACUGAUUAUAAUAUCGAAUAGACUGCUGAAAAUUUUCUGGACAGGAUGCAAAAUCAGCAGUGCAGUAUUUAACUCAUAACUCGAGUUUCUGAUAUCCAACAGAGGCGUGCCAUACAUGUUUGGAAAGCUUAUAAAAUUUGUUACAACUUUUGUUCAGACCACUUUUACAGAUUCUGACAUUAUCUUGAUCAAAAACAGGGGUAAUGCGAACCUGUUCUGGGCUCUAGUCUGCGCAAUAGUCCCAAAUUGUAACAAGGAUAUCUCCCAGAUCCGAGCAGGUUUUGACAUGGUUCCAGUUGCAAAUGAAUGAUAUAUCAGUCUAGUUUCCUCCACAAAAAUUUCAAAAUUUUUGGACGUACCACUUCAGAGAUAAAAGUUAAACAUCACAGGCUGCUCCAGAAAAAUAGCACAGCAACAGCAGAAUAUACCAACCCAACUAAGCAUUCGAUAAUUAAACUUAAGGUAACAGAAGUUUGUAGAUAAAUCCACAAUCUUCCAGCAGUCAUUACAAAGAUUCGAAUCAUGCAAAUACACAAACAAAUUCAACGGACACAUCAAUUGUUCACAAGCACUCCAAACUCAACUGACAUAACGAGACUACGAAAUAAAACAACUAUGGCAUCCUAGGCCUAUGGUGCGUCGCCGGAGAUGCUAGGAGGUGCGGUCUUCUUCUUGUAGAGCGGUGGCAACUCAAGCUGCUCUCUAAGGCUGUCCACCAUCUCCUGGAAGCGAUCUAUGGAAUCCUGCUGAUCACGUAGCUCCACCUGUAGGUCAUCAUUGGCCAUCUGCAGGACAUGCAUAUGCCUAACAGUUGCAUCCAAUGGCGUGUCAACCUCCUGCGGGUUCUCGAUAGACCAAGUGCCAAUAGUAGAAUCAUGGCGAGGGAGAAACUUGUACUGGUCUGCUCUCAUGGCCUCAUAGCGAAGGCCAUGGUAGUGAGUGUAAGCCAUCUGGGCGGCGUCCUCCAUGCUGUCCUGUGCCUCAGCUCGCCUAGCAACGUGUCCAUGGAUGCUCUCCACCAUAUAGCUGUCAUGUGCCUCAUUCCCCACAGUGAUGGUAAGAUCCGACCUCCAGUACGUGGCUUCAUAGGGGUGUGUGUACUCUGCACAGCAGUACAUAAUGCCAAUCUCCUUAUCGCCAUAGUAAGUAUCCAGCAUCUCCCUAAGCAAGUUGUGGAAGUAGGCUGUCAUUGAAGGAUACUUGUAGUGGAUGGUGGUAGUCCAUCCUGGGUUUUCUUCCUCAGGACCAGCUGGAGGCACCACCUCUGGUACAGCAGGGGCAGCAGGUGCAACUGGUGGAGCUGGUGGUGCAGGUGCAGCAGGUGGAACAGGUGCAGUGGGUGGAGGUGGAACAGGUGCAGCUGCUACAGGGGAGUCCAUCCAGUUCUCAUCAUCAUCAUCCACCUCUGUCACCAUCGCUGGGUCCUCUUCCUCCAUGGGGACGGUCUCGUUGUCGGAGAUGUGCACCACUGGCAGGGACGACUGGGGCGUGAACUGAGAGAUGUAGCUCCUGGUGUUGGCACGGCGAGACCUCGUGACAGGCGGCAUCUAUAAAUUUUAUUUUAAGAUUAGAUCAAUAUUUUGGCAAUAGAAUAAGUGAUAUAAGCAUAAUAAAUUUUAUAAAAUAACAAAAAGUAAGGUAGAAAGCAUUAAAUAAAUAAAACAAAAACUCUAUAUCGACCAUUGCUACCUAGGCUUGCGUCCUACAGUCAACACGGCUCUGAUACCAAUUUGUCACACCCAAUUUCAAGGAAGAAAUUGAAUGCAUAAACUAAUGUGCGCCCAGAGAUCAAUCACACACAUAAGUCACAAAUUAAAUACCAUCAUUGCAGUGUUUACAACAAACGUAGUUAUUACAUCACAAAGUCUGGUAUAACAGCGGAAAUAUAAAUAUGAUAUUCUAAGAUAACUAUCUCAUGGCCCUCACACAGGGAAGGUCGACUGGUGAAGCACAAGCCUAAUAGUCCUCAGGGUAGUCCUCAUAGCCACCACCAUCUGUUACCCAUCCGAGAUUUUUAUGCAAAGAAAAGAAAUAUACAAGCGUGAGUACAUCUCGUACUCCACAAGCAUAGCGUGAGGAUUUAUGAGACUCAAACAGGCUAAACUAGGUUUAGUGCAUCAGCUUUUAGUAGAUCAGUGUUUUAUCGUUAAUUAUUAUAGAUUAAGCUUAAGCUCCCAAAAAUCCCAUAUAAUCAGUUAUUAGAACCAUAGUAAGUCAUUAAGUCACAUUAAAGCAUAAUUAUUCAUCAUCAAGUACCAUAUAGCCAUCAGUAACCAGUUAUUCUGUGAGUUUUCCAGGCCGCUCGUGACCGUGAGUACGGCUGUUAUAACAGUUAUACACUCUGCAGAGGUUGUGCACUUUCACCGUGAGUCGUGUCGCCCAUAUGCCCGGGGUCCGUCGACCCCCAAACACUACCAAGGUGAGCGGGCAGGGUACACUAUGAAGCCUUCCAUAGGCCUAUUCUAACCAGUUAGGGCCGCGAGGUUUCCUCGGCAGGCAGAUGUAGAAAACCCCCCUUUUCUAUGCCACAUUUCCAUCGCGGCUAUACUCAUAGAAAUAGGGGCAGCCCUACACCCAAAGUGGCAAGCGCCUCUUGCGCCCUUUCGGGUAACCUCUAACGAGUUAGAAAAGGUCCUAUUACUGAGCUAAAGUCAGAGCCAUAUGACUCUCCUGGUUGCACUGUAAGUCCCAGCUUUUGCCAACAGAUAAGUCCUUAUGGAGGGUCCAGGACAACAUGACCAACAGUUAUUUGUACCAUAGCCCUAUGUUCCAUUUAUCAUAAUCAUGUUUAAUCAAUUAACCAUGGUUCCAUCACUGAUUUCAGAUCAUAUAUAAUUGGAGUUAGAGCACUAGCACUUCUACCCAUAUGCAAUAAAAACCCUUGGGAACAAGGUAAUUGUCAUCAAUAGCUAGGAUGUCCUUAUAGUUUGCAAUAUUAUACACAUGCAGGGUGAAAUGCUUAAAAAUGAGUAGGACAACAAGGUAAGCCCAUGCUAUACUUGCCUUGGUUCACGUACUCCUGCUGUUCUUGCUGGUCCUGCUGGUCCCCAAAGAGCUCCGGACUCCCGAAAAACUCCUCACCGUCUAGGCUCGAUCAAAACAUCACAAUCAUCACGCAUACCAAGACAAACAUGCAAGAGAACAAUUCCUAAAGUUAGAACAGUACACCAGCAGUAAAUAAAUUAAAUAAAAGUUUUUCAAAAUCAUCUACGUGCUGCUACGAUCACGUCAACGCGAAAUUCACGAAAAUCGGAGCUAAAACGACCAAGUUACCACUUUUCGACGAUUUCCUAUAGGCCAAUAAUUAAUUAAACCUAACCCUGAAAAUAAAAAGUGGCAAACUACAGAAACAGUAGUACUAUCAUGUAGAGUAUUUAAUUACGAAUCUAACGCAAUUUGAACGGGUCAAAUCGGAGCUAUAACGAAUAUUUUAUGGCCAAAACAAGUUCAGUGGCAAUUCUGUAGUUUCCCGAAAGCGUAUUUUGACCUAACCGACGGAUAAUACGUUUUCUAAAAGAGAAAGCGUAUUUCGCUCUAAGGCGCUAAGGACUGCGGCCGAAUUUGGAAAUCUGGGAGGGGCUCUUUAAGCAAAAUUUCCCCCCGAAGGGGUACGGUGCAUCCAGGGCCGUUGAUCUGGAAUCGGACGCGCGAGAUUAGAAAGAAGAAAACAGAUGGGGGGAAGGAGCGGCGCGCCGGCUGGAGGGGAGGAAGGGCGCGGCGGGCGCCAUGGCCGGCCGGGCCCGAGCUCGCCGGCGCGACCCCAAUAGAGGCUACGGCGGACCGUUUUCUAAACCGAGACCGCUGGGAGAGAGAGGAGGGCGAGGGGAACGCGUCCCCGGCCUUGGAACGCUCCGGGAAACACCCAAGCUGCUGCACCAUGGCCGGCGGCGGAAAGCUUCUCCGGCGAGCGCGGCCGGAGCGAUUGAAGACUCCGUUUUGCUCGGGAAAUGGAUGGGGAGAAAGAGGGAAGGGAGAUGAAGCUCACCACGGCGCUAAAUCGGAGCGAAACCGGCUCUGGAAGGGAGCUUCACGCGGCGGGCGAAGAACUCCGGCGACGGUUUCUGCGCACUCGCGAUUGGGAGCAGAGCCGAGGGAAAAGAGGGGGAAAAUGGGGAGAGGAGGACUCGGGUGCGCGGACUCCCUCCACUUGAAGCCGAGACGCGGGGGGGGGGGGGGAGAACGUGGGCGCGGGGAGAGCGGCUUCGACGGUUGCUGCCGAGAGAGAGGAAAUCGGGGGUGGGGCGGUCGGAGGUAGGGGGUGGUCCUGACGGGAGGGCUCCACCCGUCAACCGCCAGGGAGAAAGAGGGGGGAGGGAGGGGAUCGGCUGGGCCAGGCCCAAGAAGGAGAAAGGGGGCGCGCGGGUUUUCGGCCAAAAUGGCCGAGAGAAGGGGAGGGAAGAGAGAAAAGCUCUUCCUUUUUAUUUUCCAGACAAAAUUUUCAAACUCUUUUCCAAAUGAGUUUUUGAAUUCAAACAUCUUUUCUUCAAAUCCACUCAUCACAUAAAUAAAUGCACCAGCAUGUAUGCAACAAAGUAUUGGCCUAACUUAUAUUUAAUUUUAUUUUCUCCAAAUUUAUUUAUUUUCCUAUAUUGAAAAUGCUCACAAAAUUAUUUAAUAAAGCCAAAUUCAUCUAUUUUUAAAAGAGCCAAAUUUUGGGUGUUACAUAUAUCAUGGUAAAUUAGAGAUAUCAUUCCGUAAAUAUCAAUUAAAAGAACUGUAAGCUGAGGAGAAAAGAACUGCACUUCAAGUGUCAUAGCUCGUGCUGCUUGUCCACUGCAUUCACAUCCCUUACCUGAUGAGUAUGGACGCACGAACGAACUCGAACGAACCAACCUGCGCGGUAAACAAGGUAAUGAAACAAAGAGAAACACAGGAAUAUAAAUACAGAAGCAAAUGGGAAGGAGAGCUCUUUGAAUUUUAUAAUAUAUUCUACAAUAGGAAGGAACCAUCUACCAAAGAAAUUGAGAACAAGUCAUUCUCAUGCAUGAAGACUUUAUAUUUUAAUUAAAUGAAGUAAAUUUGCACUAUUCAUUUCAGACUUAGUCGACAAUUCAGGCUCCUGCUCAGUAGUUACACACCUGAGAACAAUCCACCAGCCGAACAAGCUGAAACCAUAGCAACUCAGUCAAGAAUAUUUUAGAUGAAAGUAAAUAUUUUUAGUCAAUAAGAAUACAUAUAUCAGACACAAGAGGUAGUCAUAUCCCCUUAUGAUUCCUUGUGCUUUGGCACCAUUCUGAUUCUCCCAAGAGGGCUUGGCUUGUUCAAAUUCCUCAAACUGCAUUUCUCUGAGCUUCGUAUGUAGGCCUUCUUUAUCCAUGUCAAAUAAUUUGAUUUCUCCAGUUCGAACAGCUUUAAUAAAUCUAACUUUGUUCUGUGCCAUUUUCAAGUCGCGGCCAGCCAUUUCCACUAGCUUUUGCUGCAUAUUGACAAUUACUAAAUGUGAUAUCAAAUAGUCCAAAGAAUACGUGCGAUUCAAUUAUUAAAUGGAAACGUACUUUUCUUUUCUCAUAAAAAGCAACCUUGAAGUCAUAGAAUUCCUUAAGUACUGAAAUAAAUGACACAAUUUAGUUACAAUACGACAAAAGAAAUAAAAAAUGGAGGUCUUGUAGCAUAAAGGUAGUACAUACUUUGCUCUGGACUGUCAUACAUUUUAAUUAUGCCAUUUGAAUCCAACAAAUGCAUAUUUGAUGUUCCUAUUGAUGUUCUCAGUUCAAACUUUCUCUAAAGAUCUACUUCAUUGGCUUGCGCCAAAUUCUCAGAAUUCGCAUGCAAGUGUAUCAUAAUUUCAACAUCAUUGCCGCCUCUCUUUUUUUCAUAACUCUGUGAAAUUAUUAUGAUUAAAAACUAGCGGACAACAAUCAUUUCAUGAUUAAAACAUACUAUGUAAUCAAUUACCUUGAUGAAUUUGUCUUCUCCGUCCAUAAAAGUUUUAAGCUUCUUUUCAUAAUUCUACAUCGAGAUCUUCACUGGGAGCUCACUUAUUUUUAGUGUAGUUUUGUCAACAACCUUUAUGAUACCACUAGCGGUAUAGGUAACACCUGAUUUCUUGGUCUUGGUAGUUUCGUUUUUGACACUCACUUGUCCCUGUUGGUUCAUGUACAGAAAAUAAAACACCAACAUUAGAUUUUUUUAAGACAAAAAUAAAAACAGAAUUGUAAAAAAAAGCAUGUAUUACUAACGUGGAAAUGUCUGAACCAUGGUUUCAUUUCUUCCAACGUCUCUGCUCCCUGUAUCAUUAGUUUCAAUUUGUGUACAAAAUCUUUGGAUUGUAACAAGGAAUCUUUGUGCUCCAUCCGGUACCAAUUCCUUCAGCUCCAUUGACUAAAUCAUUGGAAGGACUGGCAAAUACCUAAAAAGUGACUACCAGGCCUUAGCUACUUAUUAUAAAGGUCAAAUUGCUGAGGAUGGAUGGAGCAAGUGGUGCCUAGUUAUUACCAUGAAGGUUCAAUUGAUUGCCCAUCUUCACUCAAAUAAUCGAGCAGAAUAUCAUCACUUUCAUUAAAUAUCCUGCGAGUGAUACUUGAUAACUCUGUGAAGAUAUAUCUAGCACUAGCAGCAUCUUUGCCUCCCUAAAAUGAAAAACAAGCAUGAAUAAAAUGUUUAACAACUAGUUUUCUCAUAGUGGCUUGUUAACUCACCUCUAAUCUUGUACCAAAUUGCCCAUUGGGACGCAAAAGAUUGAUAUUAUUGCUUCCAACAAAAUCUUGAGCCAUUCUUACUAUUGUGUUUGAUAGAUUUUCUUUACCGUGAUGAUAAGCAGAACAUUCUGCCACAAACGCGGCGAACUGUGCCACCUGUGAUCAAGUAGUAAAUUAGCAAUAUUAUAAGGCUAAUUUAGAGAGAACAUGACACAUAAAUCAUAAUAUGGCAGCCCAACCAGAGGCUCAACCCUUUUCUACUUAUAAGCUAGGACUGAAGCUUUGGAGUGGAUAUGAUUCUCAUCAUCAUAGACUAUAUGGAACAAGCUUGAGAUUGACCACCCACAAGACAAAAGUUUCAAACAAGCUAGUCUACCUUUAUAUAUUCAGGAGCCAGUAUACAUAAGGAAACUAAAACUAAAUAUAAAAUGGCAAUCCAAUCUAAAGAAACUAUGGAAUACAAAAGAUCGAAGCCUACCAUAUUCUCGGCCAUAGCGCCGACUGAUAUCAAAAUAUGUGGAAAAGAUUCAUAUUAGAAAAAACAAAUGAUAGUUGGGAUGCCAUACCUUUGUUUCCUUGUUCAAAUUUUUCUUAAAUGCGCUGAACAUUAUCUUUCUCUGCCCUUUUUUAAAUCCAUCUACCAUUGAUGGUAUAGACCGAUGCAUGUCUAAUACCUUGUAUAAUGUGAGCCCUUUCUUAAUGAAGUCAAGGAUUCUUAUCGUUUUCCCAGUUUGAAGAAGUACACUUUCUUCAGGAUGAAAUUUUUGUUAUCACAUUAAUGUUGGUCCUUAAAUUAACCCAAAUGAAUCUUUAAAAAUAAUAUCAAGACUGACCUUGCAGUUAUGAAGAAAGUUAUAAAUCCAUUCCUUUCUUUCCUCCACUUUAUGUUUACUAAAUGCUGUCUUGAUAGCCUUAUCAUCUUCUUCAUUCACCCACACAAAAUAUUUCUGAUGGAUGUCAAUAUCUUUGAAAUAUUGCAUACCUUCUUUAAGUGUCCUCGUGCCUAACCCCUGUAUAUAUGAAAAAGGUCCAAGUUGAAGACCACAUAGAAAAAAUGAAAUGAUUAAAAUUUGAGCAAAAAAACACACCUUAUAGUACUUUAUAGACCAUUUACUUAAUUCUGUCUCAUGUAUACUUUUCUCCCAUGCCGUAUAUGUAAUGCCCGAUUCUUUUCCCUCAUGGUGCGGUUAAGAAAAUUUUCCACUAGGUAGCAUAGAUCACACCUUUGUGUGCACAUAACCAUAAAAUAUCUAAGAAGAUAGUUAUCACUUCAUAAUAGUUUAAAAUGCAUCUUCCAGUGAUAUCAAGGUACUACCCCCUUAAGACAAGGUUGGUUAGGGGACAUUAGAGACUAAUUCUCCUAUCCUUUUUCGACACUACACAUCAUAGUCUUUUAAAUUCCUUGUACCAAGUCUCUUAAUCCAAGGUUGGUUUCAACACUAAGUUCCAUCUAUUGGUACCUUUAUCGCAAUUAAGUUGUUUCACUCUCAUAUUGUAUAUGUAGCUUUGUAGCCUUUGGUGUCAUCUGAUCCUCGUACGCAACUCUUAAUCCAUGAGUAUCAGCAAUGACAUAUAUCUCUAUUAAAAUUCUCUAAAUGGGAUGAUUAUCUUGAACAAACCAAACACUUGAUGUCGUUAUUGAUGUUCCAGUCAUUAACCACUUAUUCUCCCUGUAGUUCUUUAAUUGGGCUACCCCCCUUAAGAAAAGUCAACUAGGGGACCAAGAAAGGUAGCUUGCAUGUUUUCCAGACAAGUUAACUAACAUUGAGAACAUCUGACAUCCCAAAGAACUUUUGUGCAAGAGAACAAAUAGGAUUUCUGAAAUUUUCUCAUGAUAUGAAAACACCAUUGUAGUAAAACAGGUAUAACUCUUAUUCUGUUAAUCCAAUAGAGUUGUAGCUUAUACCGUUAGAAAACUUAUGAAAUUUCCUACAACUUUCAUUUAGAAUACCUCCUUAGGUUUUGUAUUUAAGCUUAGGUAAUAGCCAAACUUAAAAUCUAUCCUGACAAUGUCUCAACAAAGGUGCAGUAAUCUUCCAGAAGUUAUAUCUCAAGCUACUUAACUCAUCUGGAGGUGAUCCUUACAUUUUUAAAAAUCUUAGCAAAUACUUUUCAAAUUUUGUAUACAACAUUUUCCCAGAUUCUGACUUUAACUUGACUGAAAAUAGGAAAUGCCAGAUCUAUCUAGAUUUUGAAACAGAACAGAAACAUCCAAUUGUAAAUGUCAUAUCUCAGGUUCUACUUCUCCAAAUGAGUUCCAGCUUAUACUAUUCGAAAGCUUAGAAAAUUGUCUACAACGUUUCUAUAGAACACGUUUCCAAAUUCUAUAGCUAUAUUUGUCUCAAACAGUAGUCAACCGAAACUGGUCCAGAUUCCUAACAGCACAACUGUAUCAUCUUGUGAUUUUUGUAACUUCUAAACAUAAUAGCUAUGAGGGUGAUUCUUGCGGUCAGAGAAAGAUCUUGAAGUCUAGUUAUUCCCAGAAAAAUUUGAAAACUUUGUACGAACCGAACUUGAGACACACCAGAAUUAUUGCAGACUGCUCCAGAAAAUAACAAGGGAUAGAAACAAGAGAUAGCCAAACCCAACUACUUAUUUCAUUAAUCCUUAUGCCUUAGACAUAUAAACUAAUGAAAUUGUGAGGAAAUCCCACAAGAUCAUUGCACUCAUUACAAAGAUCCAAAUCAAGCAUAAACAUAAUAACAAACCAACUAAGCAUUAAAGGUUCACACUUCACUCAACUUGCGAUACUAUCGUUCUCUUCAUAGUAAGGGUAAAGAUCCUAAAACUUAUAUUUCAAAGACGCAAGAAGGUGGUAAGAAAAGGUUCUAAUAGCAUACCAAAUCAAGGAGUGAAGAUGAGAACAAGUGCUUUUAAAAUAAGCAACAAGGUAGAGACAAGUAGCAAGGAUAGGGAUAUAGUAUGGAUGAAAAUACCAAGGUUUAUAGAGCAAGGAUUUUAUGACAAUUCCAAAACCUUAAGACGACCAAUUUCUAACUAGGCUUGCGUCCUACAGCCAGCAUUGCUUUGAUACCACUUUGUAAUACCCGAUUUUAAGAUCAAAACCAGAUAUGCACCAUAUGUGAGUCUUAGAAGUCAAAUCUCACAUAUAGCUACAAAUAAGGGGUAAUAUCAAAAGACAAUGCAUAAAUUAUAUAACGUACAUAAUAAAUUAGAGAUAACAUUAAGCAGCUUAUAGCGGAAGUAACUCCAAACUUCGGGUACUAACUCCACUCUAUAGGAUCAAACUAACUGGUUGAUCACAAGCCUAACUUCUUCUGAGGUUUGGGGGAAAUAGCAAGAGUGAGUCCAUGUCGAUCUCCACAAGUAUAGCAACUAGAUUGUAUAUAUCCCACAAUCUCACGAUCAAAGUGACAUAAAUAAUGUAAAACAUUAAAUAAUAAAUAAUGAGCAUAUUUAACACACAAGAAUCAUCAUCGUUGAUGCAAGAAUCUCCAAGGCCGCUCUUGACCGUGAGCACGGCUAGUAUACCAGUUUUUAACACUCUACAGAGGUUGCACAUCUUUAACCAUGAGUCAUGAUUUACCCUUUUGCCCGAGGCCCGUCGACCUCUUAACCCACUACCAAGGAAGGUCGGCAGGGAUCACUAUGAAGCCUUUCAAAAGUUCGUCUAACAUGUUAGGGCCGCAAGGUUUCCUUUGCGCGCAGAUAUAGAUACCCCCUUCCAAAUGGCACAAUGACGCGCAGCCUAUACACAUAAGGACAGGGGCUCGCACUAUACCCAAAACGGUUCAGCCCCUCCACCCUUUCGGGUAACCUCUAACAAGCUAGAAAAGGAGCUAAAGCCAGAGCCAUUAUAGCCCUCAUGGUUGCACUGUUGUCCAUGGUGAUCACGUACAGACAAAUCAUCAAGUUGCUAAAGAGUCAUUUUUAUCGUUUAUUACUUAACAUUAAUCUAGUCACACGAUAAUGGUCACAGAAAUAAAAUCCAAAUACUAUACUUACCUUAAUCCAAUUGGUUUUGCUGAUCUUGCUAGUUGUCCAAGUACUGAUCUUAUUUGUUGUAGCACGCUCAGUCACCCACGAGUUGUUCACCGUCUAUUCCCGAUCAUCAAUCAUCAACAUACAAAUAAUCGGGACCAAACAUACACGAAGCAAACAAUAGAAAUAAAUUAAAACAUUACACCAAUCAAUAGAAAAGUUUGAAAACUAAUCUACGCAUUGUUGCGAGCACACAGACAUAAAAAGCACGCUAAUCGGAGCCACGGAGAAACAAAAACGACAACUGGAAGAUUGUUUUUAUAAAAGAGAGAAAACUUUAAGCUUCAUCUAUUAUUUUAACAAUAUAAAAGCAUGCAUAAGAUAUUUCAGGGGAUAUAUCCAAAUAAAAUUAAGUCAAAACACAAUUUAGUUUAAAAGAGCUACUCAUGUUUUAUUUAUAUAAACAAUGCUGUAUAAUUUAGUCAAUUUAAACUUGGACAUGCAAAAUAUAAACUGAUAUGGGUAUAAACUAGUUUAAUAUGUGAAGCGUGUUUAAACUUAACAAAUUAUAAAUAAAAAAAACAUAUUCAUGCCAUAAUUCAUCGUAUUAAUAUUUAUGUAUAAAAUACCGGAGCUUAACAUCUAUUUUCCUUUUAAUUAGAAACUAGUUGUAUUUAUAUUAAUCAAAUUAAUAUAAACUCAAUAAAGUCAUACAUAUGUGAUAUGAAGAACGUUAGCACUAUCUUGCAGUACGAGAUGGACACUAUGAGAUCGGCUUGGAGUGGAGACAAUAUGGAUAUAUGAGAACGUGAGAGUGGACUUCUGAAAAAAAAUAGAUUAAAAGGCUCACCGGUGAUUUUCGAUGUCAGGAUUUAACACCGCUCGGUGGCGAUGAAAUUGACGUCAACUGAUUUUGGAGAACGUGGGCAUGAAGACAAGUUUUGCAUCUCUCGACAACGAAUGCAGUAUCAUGGAGAAACUCCGAGUGGUUACGGCUCCCACAGCCAUACAAAUGCAUCGACGAAGACUAUGCACAACGUCGCAACACGGGCUUGGCGGCAAGACAGAUGCUUAGCAUGCCUAGCGUGGCUUCCUUCAGUCAUGGCCAGCGACUGCUCAAUGUCCAGAAAACAAACAUUGAGACAUUGCAUCCUUCGUAGCAACUGGUGCUGAUCUGCAUCCUCAACAACGAGGAGCAGUGAUUACCAUCAAGGUAUAUACACACAUAACAGAGAUAGGACAAAUGUGCAGGAGAUCGAAAAUUGGCAGUAGAUGAACCUGUACGAGGUUGGCUUCCUUACAGUAGCUGAGUCUUCACCUAUCUCGGCAGUGAAAGCUUCACAAGAUAUCAAGUUGCCGAGCACCACACCGGAGUCCGAGGAAGAUGUAUGUGUACAUCACGGCAAUGGAGGAAGAAAAUAUAAGAGAUUUCUAAACCAGAGGCUCUUUUUGUGUUGUUUUGGUUUGCCCAACUAGCGAUAUGGUACAAAUCAAUGUUGCACCCUUCAUCUUUAGUAAUGAGCCUAAUAAAUAUUAAAGCCCAUUAAUAAAUUAAGGCAUGAGUCUUUAGGAAUUAUUAAGAUUAUUGCACAUAGGCAUUGACGUUGGAAAAAGAGUAAGAGAUUUAUUAUUUUUAGAAUUAAUUAUUUUUAUGGAUAAAAUAACUCUUGAAAAUCUAGAAUUAUUAUUUAAGCCAUGAAAAAUACUUCAAAAGCUCUGAAAAUUUGGGGAAAAUUCUCAAAGAUAUUAUGGAACAUGAAGAACCCAAGUUCAGUAUUUGGAGCUCAUGAUAUGAUAAUUUGGAGCAUCUAAAAAUUAGAUUAUGCUCCACGGAAAAGGCUAGAAAAAUUCCCGUGAAGUUAUAGAGAUUGUUUGACGGAUGAGAACUGAAAGGAGUGAUUUGGGUGACAAAGAAAAGAUUUCUAAGAAGCUCCAAAUGAAAGCCUAAGCUGAGAAACAAGGAAUUUGAUUAUAGAAUAAUAUAAAAGACAUAUCGGAUAAGAAGAUCGACCUACUAAACGUAUUUUAAAGAUUUUGCUCACUCUCAACAUACAAAGGAGCAACAACAAACCUCGCAUAAAACAUAUGCACCAGUAUGUAUGCACAACAAUGUUGCUAUACCCUAUGAUAAAUUUUAAUUUAAUGAAAAAAAUAUAUUUUUCUAUGUUUUCAUGAACACAAAAAUACAAAAUUAAAUCAAUUUCACCUAUUUCAAAAAGGAACAAAAUUUUAGGGUGUUACAGUAUACUCGUUUAGUGUAUAGAAAACCUGACUUGGACAUUCCCCAGUAAUCCGUAACCUAAACAAGUUUUAAUCCGUGACAUGGUAAGUUUUAUGAGUCUUAAUAACUAAAACAUUAAAAAAAUGUUAAAGCAAGUAACAAGUGGCGUACCUUUACAAGUGGGGUAACUAAAUCACACAAAAAGGAUUUGGAUUUAAUCUUCAGAAGGGAAGGCCAAAAAACAUGAAAUAAGUUAAUGAUCAAUCCUUUAAUAUGAAAUCCAUCUGGAUCCUGGUCGGUCAUGACCAUAACUUUACCAUAUCUCAAAUCCUUCAAAUCCUUUUCAUCAUUAUAGUGUUUUUUGUAGUCUAAACCAAUAAUCUUUCUCAUAUUGUUAAUUUCCUCAUUGUCCAAGAUCUUUUUCAAAGACGCAUCUCUCACAUUCAGUAGCUUACCCUUCAAUGCAAGAACUCCAAAGUAGUCCCUAUGAACAGAACCUAGCUGCAGAGGAGAACAAAACUUACUCAAUACUCUUGUCAAUAUAAAAGGAACAUUUGUGCAAUGAAAUGUGCAAUCAACAGUUACUAAUUGCAGGGGAACUUCAAUAUAAGAAUAAGAACAACGUGGAAAAUAAUUUUUCUAACAUCUUCAUCUAAUCAUUAACACAUAUGUGCACAUAUGAAACUUGGGAUUCCCAAAUACAAGUCCGAUUAUAACUUUUUAUCCUAAAGACUCAAGUCCGAUCAUAACCUUUAAUCCUAAAGACUCAGCUGACUAAAAAAAUCUGAAUCAAAACCUUUUUGCCUCGAUUAAACUAUUGGAUGAAAUUUGAGUUUUUCAUAAAAAUCAAGGAAAUUUGGGACAGACCACACUAAAUCACUAAAUCUGCCAUUGAUACUUGGUGUAUCAAAAUGGACUUAAUUAAUAAAGGGUUGGGGUCAAAGUCUAAAAGGUCAUACUAGAAAAUACAAGAAUUUGCUAAAAACGAGUUGGAGGUGUUAGAAAAACAGGAGGAGCUUGAUGUGCUCAAGCUGGAUAUAAAGUCUUCCAUUCAAUCUAAGUUUCAUGGAAGAGAAGGAUAUGGCAUAAGGGAUCUAAUUCUAUGUGGUUGUUGAAAGAUCAUAACAACUCUGAGUACUUUCAUAGAAUAGCUCAUGGUAGAAAGAGAAAGAACACCAUUUCUUUGCCUAAACCAUAUUGAGAUCAUUAUUGAGGGGGAUGCUGCCAUCGUGGAGCAUGCUUCUUAAUAUUAUAAUUUGUGCUAGAAUGUCUUGGGCACAAGGGGUUUGACAAGAGAUAGUGUGAACGGACUACUUCUGGCACUAAUAAGAUUGAUGUGGCUAAAAAGAGAUUCUUUUGGCAAGGUCAUUUGAAGCGGAAAUACCACUUGAUCAAAUGGAAUGAGAUCACUAAACCCAAAAACAAAGGAGGGUUGGGGGGUCACAGACCUAAGGAAAAUGAACAUCAGUCUCCUAUGUGAAUGGUGGUGGAUGGUGGUGGCUGAGAAUGGAUGUGGAAUAUGAAAAGAUAAUAUUAGGAAGAAAUAAGAAUACCAACAUGAUAAGUGGUGUGAUCAAGUCUCCUUAAAAGACAAGUUCCUCAAUUAUAUGAUAUCAAUGUUGAACAAAACGUUCUGUUUCUUUUAUGAAACAAAGAAGUUAGCAUCUCUCUUAUAGAAGAUGGCUCAAUUGAGAAGGUUACUGUUAGAAUAUAAUUAUAACAGCCCAUAUUGGGCUUACGGAUCAUUGGCCUUGUACUCCUAGCCUGACUUGUAUUAAUACCACAUUGUAACUUGUAGAUGUACUGCAAGACUUCUAGGCUUUAUAAUGAUGGUCACCCCCUUGGUUAGGGUGUGCGGUGUUUCUACAUGGUAUCAACCUAAUUAUGAUUUUUUCCUUCGGCUCGCACCCCCCACCCCUUGCCCGUGCGACCUCUCUGAGGCCGUGCGCCACCGCACCAGGCCACGCCGCCCCCAGGCCACGCUCAGGUCGCGCCGCCGCUAGGCCACGCUGCCCAGCCGCGUUGCCUCCCUCAGGCUGCGCCACUGCCAGGCCACGCCGCCUUCUGAGGCCGCGUCGCCGAUCCAGAUCGUGCUGCCUCCGAUCCAGCCAUGCGAUCAUCUUCUUCACGCUGUGUCGUCAUGACGACUCCGGCCACCGACUCUAGCAUGUCCAGCUCGACCUCCUCGGCGACCUCUGGUGACGCCAUGGCGGACGCCCUCGCUCCUCCGUUCUUCGCCGCCUACGUUGCCAUCAACGUCAAGCAGCACGUGUCGAUCGUCCUCAGCUUCGAGCGCCCCAACUUCAACAAGUGGAGGGCGUUCUUCACCGCCCUCUGCACCAAGUACGGGCUCCUUGGCCACAUCGAUGGCACGCUGCGUGCACGUCCGGCAGAUCCUACAUGGUCUCAGCCCGAUGCCUGCAUUCGUGUGUGGAUGUAUGGCUCUGUCGAUGAUCCUAUCCUUGACCUCGCUAUUGAUGACGCCGACCACGACGCCUGCGCCCUCUACGUCUCCAUCGAGGCCUUGUUCCAAGCUAACAAGGAACUACGCACCGUCGUCCUCGGCCAAGAAUUCCACAGCAUGUUCCAGGGCGACCUCUCUGUCGACGCCUACGCCAGAAGCUGAGCGCAUGCUGCGCACCUUGAACAACACCGUUCGCACACUUCUGGUUCAUGCAGCCAUGCCCCGAUCUUAUUGGGUGGUGGCUCUCUCCGCUGCCACCGCCAGCCCCCUCCGCAGGCAGCGUGGCUGCUCCUGCAGCCACUGCAUCACGGAAAGCAGCACCGCCUCCUCUCCGCGUCUACACUCGGCGUCCUCGUCCGACUCCACCAGCGGCCGCCGCUCCUGCAGCUGCAGCGGCAGCACCGGUGGCGGCACGGCCGGUCCCAGCUCCUCCCUCCUGGGAGACACGAUCCCAGAUGGCAUCAUUACCACCGCCCAUCCAGCAGUACAGUUUCACUGCAGAUUCCACGACGCUGGCUUCCCCGCUGCCCGCCAACUCACGUGCUGCAAUGGCGGAUCCUAAUUGGCGGGCGGCCAUGACCAACGAGUACAAGGCACUCAUCGACAAUGGCAAGUGGGUCUUCAAUCACAAGUACCAUGUUGAUGGCUCUCUCGCCCGUCACAAAGCACGGUGGGUCGUUCGUGGUUUUUCGCAGCAGUACGACAUCGAUUACGACGAGAAGUUCAGCCCGGUUGUCAAACCGGCCACCAUCCACAUCGUCCUCAGCAUCGCUGCUUCUUCAUCCUAGCUGAUUCAUCGGCUGGAUGUGAAGAACGUGUUUCUCCACGAUCAUCUGGAUGAGACUGUCUAGUGCCAACAGCCACCUGGCUUCGCCGACCCGGCCACCCCCGACCACGUCUGCCUCCUGCAAAAGUCCCUAUACAGACUUAAGCAGGUGCCCAGGGCUUGGUACCAGCGGUUUGUCGGCUUCGUUCAACGCUCCGGCUUCACUGCUUCCGUCUCCGACACGUCCCUCUUUGUUUACAAGGAGGGCGCCGACGUUGCCUACCUGCUGCUCUAUGUCGAUGACAUCAUUUUGACUGCUUCGUCGCCUGUUCUACUUCAGCGCAUCAUCCGGCUUCUUCACUCUGAGUUCGCCAUGAUAGAUCUCAGGGAGCUCCAUCACUUCCUCGGGAUCUUUGUCACGCGGACCUCCGAUGGCCUCUUCCUCUCCCAGCGACAGUAUGCCAUGGACCUCCUCCAGCGUGUCGGCAUGGCCGAGUGUCACUCUACAGUGACUCUUGUGAACACUCAGGCUAUGCUCUCAGUUACGGAUGGUGCUCCGGUGGCUGAUGCUACCCAGUACCACAGUGUGGCUGGCGCUCUACAGUACCUCACGCUGACUCGUCCGGACCUCGCCUAUGCCAUCCAGCAGGUGUGCCUCUUCAUGCAUGACCCGCGUGAGCCUCAUCUACCGUUGCUCAAGCGUGUCCUCCGGUAUGAGGAGGGCACUCUGUCCACCGGGCUUCACCUUGGUGUUGGCGGCAUCGACAGUUUGAUCGCUUACUCCGAUGCUGAUUGGGCUGGAUGUCCGGACUCUUGGUGCUCCACUUCAGGCUACUGUGUCUUCCUUGGUGACAACUUAGUCUCUUGGUCCUCUAAACGACAAACUAUGGUUUCUCACUUGUUGGCUCCGACAGCUGCUUCAGGAGCUCCAUGCGCCCAUUGCUUCAGCAACAAUCAUCUACUGUGACAACGUCAGCGCCGUCUAUAUGACUGCCAACCCAGUACAUCAUCGUCGCACGAAGCACAUUGAGAUAGACAUCCACUUUGUUUGUGACAAAGUGGCCUUGGGACAGGUUCGGGUGCUCCAUGUCCCAUCGUCUCAUCAGUUUGCGGACAUCAUGACUAAAGGGUUACCUGUACAGUUGUUUCCUGAUUUUAGGUCUAGUCUUUGUGUUCGUGACAAUCCCGCUUAGACUGAGGGAGGGUGUUAGAAUAUAAUUAUAACAGCACGUAUUGGGCUUACGACCCAUUGGCCUUGUACUCCUUGCCUGAAUUGUAUUAGUACCACAUUGUAACGUGUAGAUAUACUGCAAGCCUUCUAGGCUAUAUAAUGAAGGUCACCCCCCUGGUUAGCGUGUGCGGUGUUUCUACAGUUAUGUGAUAUAAUGAUGAUUGUGAUAGAGCAAGAUGCAAGUUCCCUCAAUUAUAUGAUAUCAAUGUGGAACAAAACUGUUCUAUUUCUUUUAUGAAACAAAGAAGUGAGCAUAUCUCUUUUAGAAGAUGGCUCAAUUGAGAAGGUUACAUGUUAUCUUAUACCACAAUACUAAUGAUGAUUGUGAUAGAGCAAGAUGGGAGUGGGAAAAUUUGUUAACUUCUCUAUCAAAUCUACUUAUAAGAAGCUAUGUAGGGAUGACUAUGGGCCUAACUUCAAACAAGUUUAGAAGGCUACGAUACCUCUGAAAUAUAAACUUUAAAAUAAAAAUGGAAAGGUGAUGAAUCAGACACGGUGAAGGAAACUGUAAGUUUGGUGCUAAUUGUAGUCCCAUCAGUUUGGAGCAAUUUUGGAAUUAGUAUCAUUGGAUUAAGUUUGGUGCUAAUUGUAGACCCAGCAGUUUCGACCAAUUCUGGACUUGAAUUCAUUGGAUUAUACCAAAGGGUAAAUCUGUCUACAUUUUGGGCUUAGGCAACUGUUUGCUGGGUGCUGUGGUUAACUCCAAAUGCCACAUGUUUUGAUAACAAGAGGAUUAGACCUCCUAGUCAGAUCAUGUCUUAUGUGUUUUGACAACCAGACGUUGGAUUGCUUGGCACGCUUGGACAGGUGUUUUUGCUAGUUCUGCUGGUUGGUGAUCCCUUAGUGAUUAGCCUAGUGGCCAGGAUUAACUUUUUUAUGUUUCAUAGAGCACCAAUAAAAUUUGGUUUUUAAACUUAUGUUACUCACAUGUUGUCAAUAAAAAAGAACAUAUGUGCAAUCAAAUGUGCAAACAACAAUACUCUUGUUAAUAAAAAAAGGAAUAUAUGUGCAAUAAAAUAUGCAAUCGACAAACUUAAAAUUGUAAUACUCACAGCUAGAUCUUUUGCCGAGUCUCCUUCGGUAAAAAUCAAAGUGCAUUUCUGAGAGUCCACUCCACCAGCACGAGUUGCAUCCUGAAACUUCGUUUGAUUUGCUUCAAUGUUCUCAUCCUCUUCUUUAAGUGCCCAUGCAAGUGUCUCCUUUAAAGCACAUCUAAAUAUUUCUUUAAAGAUAAAAGAAUGUGCCACUGAAAUUUUUUUACUUCAUAUUAGCAAUACACGGGCAUCAAAUCAACAUACAACCUAUAUUAUUAAGAAAACAAAACCACAAACCUUGAGUGAGAAUCUCCUCGAACUUAGCAUUUCUGAGAGCAGAUCAAUGUAAACUUCUGCAUUAUAUGUUUACUUUAUAUUAGCAAUAUGGAGGCUUAUAAGCAACACAACUUACAUUUUAAAAAAAACACACACACACAAUCACAUACCUUGCAACUGUGGUUCACCAUAAAAAAAUGGAUAGUCCGCAUUUAUGAAGGCCCAUAAGUGGCUCUUCACGUCCUCAAUGUUCUGAACAUUCUUCAUUUUCCUUUUGAUUGAACUUUUCAGAUGUUCUUCAACAUGUCUUGUGAUAGUAUCAAAUUGAACUCCUCCCUCUAUUACAACACCAUUAACAAAGUUGAACUGAAAAAUUACAAAGAUAGUGAGUUGCAAAACAAACGCAGCCGAUAGAGAAUAUAGCCUACAUAACUUUGGCUAGGAACACAAACCUCUUGGUAUUGGCCAUUUCUGGUUAAAGUAAUACACACCUCCCCAGCAAAGGAUAACUUUUGUUAUACACUAAAAUAAAAUACAAGAGUAAAUAAUUAAAAAACAAACAUAUGGUUUUGUUUAUCCUAAAUAAAACUUAUGUUUUUAUGAAAAUUUUAAAACUUUUUGAUGUCUUCUUGGAAGGAGAUGGCAGGUACAAAUCCACAUAACUUGAAAAAUUAUUAGUGAGCAAAUGGCCAUCUAGAUGAACCUUUAGUUUCUGGUUGUUUCUUCUUUUUUAAAGUGCAACCAGAUCUACCACCCUUUUUCUCAUAAGGGCUGCCAUAUCAUCUUGAAGCUCAUUACUGUAAAAACUCAAUGUGGUCCAAUGACACCCAUUAGAGCAUUUUGUGAUUUUAGCAUUUCUUUUCUUCCCAGGUUUGCCAUAAAAAACCUAAAUUUGUGUUGAAUAAGAUAUGAAAUUAGUGUUUAGUUAAGUCAUUUUAAAAAAAAUUAAACUUACACCUUUUAUGCUACUACUAAUUUCUAAACUAAGUAGAGGUUAAAUAAACAAUACACAUUAGGUGACAACAAAAGUAGUAAACACAGGCUAUCAUAAAUCAAACAUUGUGACACAAAUAAAAAUUUAUACUUGUAUUAAAGUACUCCCGCCGUAUCGGAUUUAGAAGUCGAUUUGGACAAGGUUUGAGUCAAAUAUUGGGAAUAUAAAUCAUCAAUAACUUUUAAAUUGUUGAGUUUGCAAAUGUGAAAAAUUAUAUGAAUAGAUUUGUCUUGAAAAAUACUUUCAUAAAAGUAUAUCAAUAUCAUUUUGUCCCAAAUAUUUUAUAAAAAUAAGAUGUCAAAGUUGUGUAUUGGAGACCAUGUCACUAUUCUAAACGACUUCUAAAUUCGAUACGGAAAGAGUAUAGAUUUAUCUACCUUUUAUCUAAAAAAACACUCUAGAAUAGACCCUAACAACAAAAUCAUACUCAAUCCAUCCAUCCCAAAAUAUAGCAACCUAGGAGGGGAUUGGACACAACCUAAUAUUUUGGGAGUAAUUAACAUGGUGUAACACCCCAAAAUUUACAAUUUUCCAAAAUAGGAUAAAUUGUUAAAUUGUGUAUUUUUGUGCCCAUAAAACAUAGGGAAAAUAAUAUUUUUCAUUAUAUUAAAAAUUAUUAUAGGGUUUAGCAACAUGACUGAGCAUCCAUGCUGCCGCAUUUUAUUUUGUCUGAGUGGUUAUUUUGAAUUUCAAAAAGGUUUUCAAAUUUUCUUGUAAACUAAUUAAGCAAAGGUUUGAAAAUAGAAUUAGAAAAGUAUUUAUUUUCUCUUCCUCCCUCUCCGUGGAUUUCGGCCCGAAGCCUUCCUGCGGCCUGUUUUCUCCCCCUCCCUCCUUCCUUCUCUGCGCGGCCCAAUCCGCGGCCCAGGCAGCCCAGCAACCGCGCGCGCAUCUCCACCUCGCAGCAGCCGCUGACAGGGCGGUCCCGCGUUCCGUGUCACUGCCAGACGGGGCCCACCUGUCGGACCCGUCUUCUACUCGUAACCAAGCAGGACUCGGUGAGGUUUCCGCUGCGGCCACGCGCAAACUGUCACAGAACCGACCAAAUUAAUUUAUAUAAUUUAAGUAAGGAAACAAGCCACAUUUCAAUCAUAAAUUACAUAACAAAGCUGCAGUGCUCCAAAAACACAGAAAUAUUUACCAACACACUCUCAUACCAUACAGAGACUACCAUAAAAUUUUCAGAGUAAACUAAGCAGUGUAACAAGAGAUAUGCAUUUAUCCACAAAUAACAAGAUUAAAUCCUUAAUAAAUAUUUUCCCAGAAAACAUGGUUCAUUUUAUAUUUUUAUUAAAAAACUAGCCAUCUCAAAGAAUACCACAAAAUUUAUUUUACAAUUUUUGGACCUCAGAAACAGGAGAUAUGAUUUUUGCAAGAAAGCCAAAAAUCAUGAUUUUGAAUAAAAGAAAAGGAGGGAACGAGGGGACACUGACAGUGGACCCCAUCUGUCGGGUCCUUCUUCCUCGCGGCCGAGGCGACUUUCGCCGGCGAUUUCUCCGCGACGGCGAGGUCUCUGGCCAAACCAAGAGCACCAACGUGAUCCCCAAACCCUAGCGACUCGAUUGACCCCCUUUUUCCCACGGCGGAGCCACCGGAAGGGGCUCACCGUUGACGAUGGCGGCUCGGCGGAGGUGCUCGGCGUUACGCCGGAGCCCUCAGGCCGGUAGAGCGCAACCUAAGGCCUUCUACAGCACCAGCGGACUACGGCGAAGCUUCCUAGGUACACAGCUUGGCCUGGAUCCUCGUGAAACACGCUGGCCACGAGAGCACCCAUCUCCGGCGGAAGCACGGCGGCACUGCGCACCGUGUCCGGCGACGGAGAGCUUGGUAGAGCAUCCACUAAGUGGCGCAAAAGCUUGCUAAUGACCUAAGCUAUCUCUAGAACCUAACCAGAGACGACGAGAGGCUUCACAGGGCUCGGCAUUCAGUUCGCCGGAGAAGAAGGUCACGGCGACCCGAUUUGGGGGAAGAAGGAAAUGUCGGCUCACCGGUGGGUUUCUCGGCGAGUUAGAGGGUGGAGCUUGAAGAGCGGUUCAUGGCGGAGCUUUGGGUGAAGUUUGGUGGACAAUGGCGCAGCAGGGAACGCGCGCGAGCUCGCCGGAGUAGCUCGCGAAGAGAGCUUCCGGGCGGCCGCGUUUCAGACGAGAGGGCCGAGGCAGAGCGAAGUGGACGCGUCCACUCUGCGCGGGGCGACGCCGUGGAGGUCAUGCACGCGACGAGAGCUGACAAGCGGGGCUAGGAGCGGCGUACGAGCGACAAUUGGCGACGGAGCUCUGCCGCCGGUUGGCCACGUCGACGAGCUCAGAUUGGAUUCAGAAGAAAUGAUGCUUGCGUGACAGAGCAACUUCACCGAUGAUUAUCUCCCAAACCAAAGCGAAUUAGAAGAUGGUGCAGUUGACAAAGUUGGAGUUCCAACCGAGAUCUACAACUUUGUCAAUUGGAGCAAAAGCCAAAUCGGCCUGGAUUGAAAGAUAUAGAGUUUUCAAAAUCGAUCAAGCAAACUGGUUUCGUUCCAAGACUUAGAAAAUUUUCUAAGUGUUGGAAACAGCCCCAAAUCUGCCUUGUGGGUCACUUUUGAGCUAUUUGUGGUCAUUUUCAUGAGAUGGCCAUAAAACAACUUUUGUUCCUUAUAAACUUUGCUACAACUUUGCUGUAGAAAGUUUUGACAUGCAAACAUUUUAUGAAACACUUUUUAAAAGCCUAAGCAAAAGAGGUUUCUAGGGCCUAUUUUCAUAAGUAUGACUUAAAGGCAUAUUUUGGAGAAGUGACCAACAUGAACAUUGUUCCUAAAGUCAAGUUAAGCAUAGAUAAACUAAUUACCAAGGCAUUAAGCACAAACACAAGCAUGGUUCACUCAAACAUAAGCAUAGGAAUCCUAUUUAAGCAAUUCAAAACACAUUUUUGCAUAGAAUAACAUGGCUCAAAAGAGAUGAUGAUCAUGAUAUGCUUUGAGUAGAUGAUGAUGCUUAUGCCAUGCACAUGAUCAAUGCAACCAUAACACUGGGGUGUUACAGCCCUCCCCCCUUACAAAAAUCUCGUCCCGAGAUUUGAAAGCUUACUGAUUUUCGAAGAAGGUUUUGUAAACUUCUCUUAAAUAAUCCUCCGUCUCCCAAGUGGCAUCUUCUUCCCCGUGGUUACUCCACAACACUUUGUAGAGUUUAACCACACGAUUACGCGUCUCCCGUUCCUUGCGAUCAAGAAUCGCUACGGGUUUCUCCUCAUACACCAGGUCGGACUUCAACUUGAUAUCUCGAAUUUCCACUCGCUCCUCCGGUACACGAAGGCACUUCUUCAAUUGUGAUACGUGGAAUACAGGGAAAAUAGCCCGAAGCGCAACUGGAAGUUGAACUUUGUACGCCACGUUCCCUUUCUUUUCGAGAAUCCGAUAAGGUCCCACAUAGCAAGGUGCAAGCUUUCGCUUGACUCCGAACCUUUGUACACCCUUCAUCGGAGACACCUUGAUGUACACAUGGUCACCAACCGAAAACUCAAUCGGCUUCCUUCUCUUGUUGGCAUAACUUUUCUGACGAGCUUGAGCAGCUUCCAGAUGUUGCUGGAUGGUACGGACUUUUUGCUCUGCUUCGUUCACGAAAUCGAUGCCAUAAAAUCUUCGCUCGCCAGCUUCUACCCAAUUCAACGGAGUUCGACACUUUCGACCGUACAAGGCUUCAAAUGGAGCCAUCUUGAUACUCUCCUGAUAACUGUUGUUGUAGGAGAACUCAGCUAAUGGCAACCACUUAACCCAAGAACCUUUUGAUGAGAGAGCACAUGCCCUCAACAUAUCUUCAAGGAUUUGGUUAACUCAUUCAGUCUGACCGGCCGUUUGGGGAUGAUAAGCAGAGCUACGGAUUAAAUGUGUACCAAUUUGCUCAUGCAGACAUUCCCAAAAACGAGCAGUGAACUGUGGUCCACGAUCGGAUAUGAUUAUUCGAGGCACACCAUACUGACGAACAAUGUGCUCGAAAUACAACUCCGCAUACUGAUGGGGACGAUAGUCAGUUUGAACUGGAAUAAAUCGAGCAACCUUGGUCAAACGAUCUGCAAUCACCCAGAUGGAGUCGUACCCCUUAACAGAAAUUGGGAGUCCACUGAUGAAAUCCAUGCUGACUUCUUCCCAUUUCCAACCAGGGAUCGACAAGGGUUGAAGUAAACCGGCUUUCAUGUGAACGGCCUUCACGCGACAACAAUUGUCACAACGAGCGACAAAAGCAGCUAUCUCCUUCUUCAUCUUUGUCCACCAAAACAACGGUUUUAGACAAUUUGGAUGAAUGAGCUUCAGAUAAGAUCUGAUUUCGCAGCUCGCGGUCUUUUGGGACCACAAGUCGAUUCUUGAACCAAAGAAUUCCGUUCUCAUCGACCCGGAAAUGCUUGGUUUCUUCUUCCUUCAUUUUCCUCUUUAUAUGGUGGAUGCCUACAUCUGUCCGCUGCAAUUCGAUGACUCGAUUGCGAAUGGUACUCUCCAGAGGAAUCUGGUUGAGCACAAGUGGAUGCAUAAGAUGUGACAACAACGGAUCUUCCACUUGGAUUGAGUGACAGUGCUCCUUCCGACUCAAGGCAUCCACCACUACGUUUGCCUUGCCCGGAUGAUAGUGCACUUGGAGAUUAUAAUCUUUAAUCAACUCAAGCCACCUUCGCUGUCGCAUGUUCAGUUCAGGUUGAGUGAAGAUAUACUUGAGGCUCUUAUGAUCAGUGUAGAUAUUACACAGAUUACCCAGCAAAUAAUGCCUCCAGAUUUUCAAAGCAUGAACAACUGCUGCCAAUUCUAAGUCAUGAGUAGGGUAAUUGACCUCAUGUUUUCGAAGUUGGUGUGAGGCAUACGCAAUUACGCGACCCUCCUGCAUCAACACACAGCCUAAACCAAUACCUGACGCGUCACAAAAGACAUCGAAGGGCUUCUCGAUAUCAUGUUGAGCUAGGACAGGAGCUGAUGUCAGCAAUGUCCUCAACUUGUGGAAUGCCUCUUCACACUCAGGCGUCCACACAAACUUCUCAUCUUUCUGAAGCAGACGAGUCAUUGGCUUGGAUAUUUUGGAGAAUUCCGAAUGAAUCGACGGUAAUAUCCGGCGAGACCAAGAAAACUCCGAACCUCGUGUACCGAUGUUGGAACUUUCCAAUCCAGCACCUCUUGCACCUUGGCUGGAUCUACUGAUAUGCCUUCUUCAGAUUAGACAUGGCCCAAGAAAGGUACUUUCUUCAGCCAAAACUCGCAUUUGCUAAACUUGGCAUAAAGCUGAUGUUCACGCAAACGUGACAACACUACACGCAGAUGCUCUGCAUGCUCCUCUUCAUUGCAGGAAUAUACCAAGAUAUCAUCAAUGAAGACCACCACAAACUUGUCCAAUUCGGGCAUGAACACCGAAUUCAUAAGAUACAUGAAAUGAGCAGGUGCAUUCGUCAGACCGAAGGACAAGACAAGGUACUCAUACAACCCAUACCUUGUCGAGAAAGCUGUCUUAGGUACAUCUUCAGGACGGAUCUUGAUCUGAUGGUACCCAGAUCGCAAAUCAAUCUUGGAGAAUACCUUAGCUUUAGACAACUGAUCAAACAAGAUAUCAAUGCGAGGAAGAGGGUAUUUGUUCUUGAUGGUCACCGCAUUUAGGGGACGAUAGUCCACACACAUGCGCAAAGAUUGAUCCUUCUUCUUCACAAAGAUAGCUGGGCAACCCCAAGGAGAAGAACUAGGACGAAUAAGACCCUUCUUCAACAACUCAUUUAGUUGGGUCUUAAGCUCAGCUAAUUCAUUGGGUGGCAUCCUAUAAGGUCUUCUAGAGAUAGGAGCGGUACCAGGAAUCAAUUCAAUCUUGAACUCCACAUCCCGAUCCGGAGGAAGCCCGGGAAGAUCAUCAGGAAACACGUCCGGAAACUCGCACACCACCGGAAUAUCCUGAAUAGCCUUAGAUGUAACUGCAUUCACAGUGCUACGGAUUUGAAUAUCACGAGGGAGUUGCACUAGAAAUGCCUCCUUGGUAUUUGGGUCUUUCAACAUCACUACCCGAGUGGUUGUGUCGAUAAGAACUCCAUUACCACUCAUCCACUUCAUCCCCAGAAUUACAUCUAUGCCCACACCGGGUAGAACAACCAAAUCAGCAAGAAACUGACGGCCUCCUAUUUCCAGAGUUGCCCCCAAAACCACUUGAUUGGUGGAAAUAUCAUUUCCCGCAGCACUAAUACAAUAACUGCCUUUAUCAAGUGUAAUGGCCUUGAUGCCAUGCUUAGACACAAAUUUAGAACUCACAAAGGAAUGCGAUGCUCCAGAAUCAAAAAGCACGAGUGCAUCAUGUUGAUUGACCAAAAACUUACCAGCUGUGACUACCUCAUCAGCAGGGAUUGCUUCCACAGCGGUGUAGUGAACACGCCCCUGACGGACGUUCCCUUGGUUGCCCUUCUUUGGCGGGUAAGGACAGUUGCUCUGCCAAUGCCCGGUCUGAUUGCAGUUCCAGCACGGACGGUUGGCAGGCGGAGUCUUGGCAUACUUGGGACCCGUGUUGCCCCUAGGAAGAGCAAUAGAGUACCCCUUGCGAAAACCCGUCUUGGCCUGUUUCUUCUUCAUCGGAGGGCGGUAUCGCUGGUUGGGAGUUGGAGCACGGAACGAUGGCUUAGCUACCACUGGAACCUUAGACUGAGACGAUCCUGCCCCGGCCUCAAAAGCCCUCUUGCGAGUCUUGGUCGCAGUGUACACAGUGUUAUAGUUCUCUUGAGUAAGAGCAUCACUGACAAACUCAUUGAAAGUUGCACACUUAGUGCGGCCCAUAGUCUUCAACAAUUUGGGACCCAAACCCCGCUUGAAACUAGCAAUCUUCUUCGUCUCCGUGUUCACAAACUCAGGAGCAUACCUAGACAAAUGAUUGAAAGCAUGCAAAUACUCCUUUAGAGUCUUGUUGCCCUGAGUUAGCUGCAUAAACUCGGUAUGCUUCAUCUCCAUAACACCAGGAGGAAUGAAAUGCCCUUUGAAAGCUUCACGGAAAAGAUUCCAGUCAAUCACGGUGUCGGCUGGAAGAGCUUCCCGAUAUUGAUUCCACCAGAUGCCUCCCGGGCCCUGCAGUUGAUGAGCUGCAUACUCUGCCUUCAGACCUUUAGUCAACCGAAGCAAGCGGAACUUUUGUUCCACCGUGUUUAGCCAUUCCUCAGCUUGAAGGGGUUCUUCAGCUUCUCUGAAGGGUGGGGGAUUCGUAUCCAUGAAAUCCUUGAAGCUACUGUACUGGUUAGGAGCUGGCCCUUCCUGUGCAUUACGACCACCCUGAUUUGCCAUCUGAUUGAUGGUCUCAGUGAGCAUCCUCUGAUUUUCCACCAUCAUUUGCAUCAGCUCAGCUGGAUUUGGUGGUGGGGGAGGAGGUGGUGGAUUCAUAUUUGCACGUUGUUCCGCACCUCGGGUGCCACGAGACAUCUGUAAAGACACAGUCAGUGAGUAUUGAUGAUGACAAGAUUUGCCGCAGAAGAACUUGUAUUUAUGCCUGAAAGUAUUCGAGAGAAUAGCUUUACAGAAAAGGCACAAUAAUUCAAUUCCACAAAACAACAUCACCAAUCCAACACAUGACAGAGAUAUCCGCAAUAUGCACCACACAGGAAACAUCGUCAUAACAUAACAAACAUGUUAAGAUUGCACAUUGGGUCCACAAAGUUAUUACACCAUCACAGUACAUGCCAUGAGUCAAGGUCAAAGUUUCGGAUUACAACAUGGUUACAAAAGCACUACCACUAGCUGCCAACUACAAAAGAUCCUCACAAGACACUACCCACUACCCCCUACACUCCAGGCUCGUCAUCCGAGUCAGCGUUGAAGAUUGCCUCUCCAUCCUCGUCGCUAACCGGCUCAAGCUCCUCGUCCUCCACGUCCUCGUGCAAAGGUGGUGCAGCCGCUGCUGGUCCAUCAACCUCCAUUCCAUCACCAUCGGCCACAAUCACCUGAGGUCCCACCUCUGGAUACACGGGUAUAGGGCGAGGGAUAGGGUGUAGCAAGUUGUUGAGACGGUGAAUCUCCACAAGACCAGCCUCAAUCUGAUCCUACAGAUAGUUCUCCCGCUCAAGCGACUGAACUCGGUGCAUCUCCCAUGCCUGGCGCCUGUUCUCCGACACACGGAGUGCAGUAUCCCUCUCAUGAGUGAGCUGCACCAAGCGCUCCUGUAAGGUCUCCCUCUCUCUAGCUAACUGGCUCAUCUGAUCCUGCUUAUGAUCCCUCUCUCUAAUGGCCUUCACUCACUGCUGCCUACGGUACUCCGCAAUGUCCUCCCAGUCAUUGCGGUCCUUCUGAGCUUGCUCCAGGAGUCUAGCUUGCUUGCAAAACUUGCGAGCAUGCUUUUCAGCCUUCCGCUGCAUCUCCUGGGCUCGGCGAAUAGCCACCAUCACCUGUGCAUAGGUGCCCUCUCGCUGUCUGAUCAGCUUGAGCACAGCCAUCAUAGCACUCAUAGCAGGACUAGAACUCUCAGCUCUCUCCCCUGCCUCGAACCAAAGCAUAACCAUCAGCCUGCUUCCACUCCGCUACUGCUGGGUCAGCACGGGGAAUGGAGGCCGCUGGUCCUCCCGUCAGCUCAUCACCACACCUCUGACAGAUAUCGAGCAGGAUAGUCUGGGCUGCAACCUGAGCUGCCUCCCAAGGAGUUUGCCCAUCUGAGCUACAAAUCCAGCCUGUCCAUGCAGGCUUGUCCCCAUGUGGAGGGACAACUCCCUGCACAGCAAACCACUGUAUCCCUCCUGUGCUCUCCAUCUCCCACCAAGAAUACUGAGGUGGCUCAGUAUACCCAACAGUCCGUAACACUCUCCAGAGCAGGUUAGGAGUACCAAUCUCGUGCAAGAAAGUGUCACUAGGACGGGGUGAAGCGGGUGCGUCCAUCUGUGGAAAGGAAUAGGAAUACCAUGGGUAAAAGAGGAUUAGUUUAAGCAACAAUUAUUUAUUUAAAAAGGGACGAAAUUGUAAAGGAAGGAGUAGACAGAAUGUAUGUAUCAAUGCGACAUGAUGCAUGCACGAACCGUACGUCUUCACAAACUUAGAAAAUUAAUAUUCUAAUGGAUAUACGGUGGCAUACAUUCGUCUCUCGAUACGAUAACUAUCGGUUUACACGUGCGCUGUUAGAGUACCUGCAGAAAACUUCAUUUCAGCCCAACAAUUCCCAAUAUAUCACUCAAGAAAGCAGUAAACUAAGUGCACAUCGCUUGGGCAUGCCAACAUGCUCAAACAAUGACACCACAACUACCUGAGAAAUUAAAUACUCCCCAAUUAAGUUUCUUUCGUGGUUCCAUAGUUUCGACAUGUAACCACUCCAGAAAACCACCGCGAACACUCCCCUAGACCGCCGUUUGGACGAUCAUGCUCUCACAGCUCACACUUACCAGGGCGUAGGUGCGACAUUGCAUAAUUUAAAUCUAGCGACAUAUGUGGCUAAUUCACAUAUGAAGGCUACCUCCACCAUUAGACCACAGGGUAGCAUAGUGCGGUCAUCACACAUCCAUACCUGAGUACUGCCGGAGAUGCAUAAAUAAAACCGCCCAAGUCAGUACUUAAAUAGCCACCUAUAGUCCUUAUGUGGGCAAGGAGGAUUCGACCACUGGCAUAACUUAAUUAUUUGUUUUACACCAUUUUAUUUAAAAAAUCUUUUAUUUUAAAUACACAAACGCUGCAUUUAUAAUGCUGAACUUGCUCCCAUGCCAGCUAUCACAGAACCGAGCAAAUUAAUUUAUAUAAUUUAAGCAAGGAAACAAGCCACAUUUCAAUCAUAAAUUACAUAACAAAGCUGCAGUGCUCCAAAAAUACUGAAAUAUUUACCAACACACUUUCAUACCAUACAGAGACUACCAUAAAAUUUUCAGAGUAAACUAAGUAGUGUAACAAGAGAUAUGCAUUUAUCCAUGAAUAACAAGAUUAAAUCCUUAAUAAAUAUUUUCCCAGAAAACAUGGUUCAUUUUAUAUUUUUAUUAAAAACUAGCCAUCUCGAGGAAUACCACAAAAUUUAUUUCACAAUUUUUGGAUCUCAGAAACAGGAGAUAUGAUUUUUGCAAGAAAGCCAAAAAUCAGGAUUUUGAAUAAAAGAAAAGGAGGGAAAGAGGAGACACUGACAGUGGAGCCCAUCUGUCGGGUCCUUCUUCCUCGGGGCCGAGGCGACUUUCGCCGGCAAUUUCUCCGUGACGGCGAGGUCUCCGGCCAAACCAAGAGCACCAACGUGAUCCCCAAACCCUAGCGACUCGAUUGACCCCCUUUUUCCCACGGCGGAGCCACCGGAAGGGGCUCACCAUCGACGAUGGCGGCUCGGCGGAGGUGCUCGGCGUUACGCCGGAGCCCUCAGGCCGGUAGAGCGCAACCUAAGGCCUUCUACAGCACCAGCGGACUACGGCGAAGCUUCCUAGGUACACAGCUUGGCCUGGAUCCUCGUGGAACACGCUGGCCACGAGAGCACCCAUCUCCGGCGGAAGCACGGCGGCGCUGCGCACCGUGUCCGGCGACGGAGAGCUUGGUAGAGCGUCCACUAAGUGGCGCAAAAGCUUGCUAAGGACCUAAGCUAUCUCUAGAACCUAACCAGAGACGACGAGAGGCUUCACAGGGCUCGGCAUUGAGUUCGUUGGAGAAGAAGGUCACGGGGACCUGAUUUGGGGAAAGAAGGAAAUGUCGGCUCACCGGUGGGUUUCUCGGCGAGUUAGAGGGUGGAGCUUGAAGAGCGGUUCACGGCGGAGCUUUGGGUGAAGUUUGGUGGACAAUGGCGCAGCAGGGAACGCGCGCGAGCUCGCCGGAGUAGCUCGUGAAGGAGAGCUUCUGGGCGGCCGCGUUUCAGACGAGAGGGGCGAGGCAUAGCGAAGUGGACGCGUCCACUCUGCGCGGGGCGACGCCGUGGAGGUCAUGCACGCGACGAGAGCUGACAAGCGGGGCCAGGAGCGGCGUACGUGCGACAAGUGGCGACGGAGCUCUGCCGCCGGUUGGCCACGUCGACGAGCUCAGAUUGGAUUCAGAAGAAAUGAUGCUUGCCUGACAGAGCAACUUCAACGAUGAUUAUCUCCCAAACCAGAGCGAAUUAGAAGAUGGUGCAGUUGACAAAGUUGGAGUUCCAACCGAGAUCUACAACUUUGUCAAUUGGAGAAAAAGCCAAAUUGGCCUGGAUUGAAAGAUAUAGAGUUUUCAAAAUCGAUCAAGCAAACUGGUUUCGUUCCAAGACUUAGAAAAUUUUCUAAGUGUUGGAAACAGCCCCAAAUCUGCCUUGUGGGUCACUUUUGAGCUAUUUGUGAUCAUUUUCAUGAGAUGGCCAUAAAACAACUUUUGUUCCUUAUAAAAUUUUCUACAACUUUGCUGUAGAAAGUUUUGACAUGCAAACAUUUUAUGAAACACUUUUUAAAAGCCUAAGAAAAAGAGGUUUCUAGGGCCUAUUUUCAUAAGUAUGACUUAAAGGCAUAUUUUGGAGAAGUGACCAACAUGAACAUUGUUCCUAAAGUCAAGUUAAGCAUAGAUAAACUAAUUACCAAGGCAUUAAGCACAAACACAAGCAUGGUUCACUCAAACAUAAGCAUAGGAAUCCUAUUUAAGCAAUUCAAAACAUAUUUUUGCAUAGAAUAACAUGGCUCAAAAGAGAUGAUGAUCAUGAUAUGCUUUGAGUAGAUGAUGAUGCUUAUGCCAUGCACAUGAUCAAUGCAACCAUAACACUGGGGUGUUACACAAACCCCGCGGUUGGCUUGACCCGCACGCCGAGGAGGAUUUAAAUAGCGACCUCCGCUGCCCCGCAACCCCCCAUCUCAACCCCAGCACCAGCCGCCGCGUAGCUUCCGCCGCGUUUCAUCCCCGAGAUUCGAGCCGAAACCAAUCCGCCGCCGCAGCGCGUCCUAGCUUCUGUGAGCGACUUGCCGGGCUUCGUCUCCGUCGUGCGAAGUCGCCGAGACUUUCCUUUCGCGCUCUACUUCUCUGUACGCAUCGCUAACGCUCGCCGAACUUUCUUCCAGGGCUGCCGUCCGCCGUUCUCCGUUGCGGACGCACUCCGACCACCCAUUGACCCCGUUUUAGCCCUAGGUAAGAUCGCGGUAAGCUUCUUUACGCCCCUGUGCCCUUGGUUCCGUGAAUCGUGCUCUAAAUCGCUAGAUUGACUAACACCGGCGAGGUCUGGCAAUGGCACCGCCGCGGUCUGCCCCGACUCCGGCCGGCCAGCUCCCCUCCCCCACCCCGAUCUAAUCUCAGCCUUAAAAUCGAGAUCCAACGGCCGAUAUCGGAGGAUACCCCUUCGGCCGUUUGUUUUGCAGAAAACCCCCCAAAGGUUUUAAAGAGUCGACCCGCGGUCCUUAGCGGAUUUUCCAAAAUACGUUUUCUAACUCCGAAAGCGUAAUCCCGUCCGUUCAGAUUCAAAAUACGUUUUCACAAAAUUACAAGUUUGCCACUGGUUUUAUAUUGCUCAUAAAAUAUUCAUCUUAAUUCUGUUUUGACUCGUUCAAAUUGCGUUGGCUUUGUAUUCAAAAGAUCUACAUGUUAGUAACACUGUUUUCUCAGUUUGAAACUUUUUAAUUCGGUGACCCAAAUUAAUUAAUUGUUUUUCUAAAGAAAAUCUUAGAAAAUUCAUAUAUUCUUCGUUUUAACUCCGUUUUGAUCCGUUCAAAUUUCGUUAGAUUCGCUUUUGCGUAAUCUAUAGAUUAGUAGCUCUGUUAUACAUGCUUCCAACUUUUUAAAUCUGAACUUAGUUUUAAUCUAUUAUUUUAUUAAAGGAAAUCUUAUUUAAAUCAUAACUUCUUCGUUAUAGCUCCGAUUUUCGUGUACUUUACGUCUGUGUGAUCGUAGUGCGAUGUAGAUUUAUUUUAUAAACUUUUCAUCUUUAUUUUCUACUGUUGGUGUAUUGUUCUAAUUAUAGGUUUGUUUGCUUUGUAUGAUUGCCUCUGGAGGAUUGAUGUUGAUGUGAUGACUGAGUUUAGUCGGUGAGCUUUUACGUGGUGAUCAAGAAGCAGUUUGUGGAAGGUUUGGAACUAAACUAAGGAUCUGAGUUUCAAGGCAAGUAUAGCAUGGGAUCAUCCUUGUUUCAUAAUAACUUUAAUCACUUAAUUCAUAUUGCAUGUGUCUCCUUGAUAAGGAUUUUCUACUAUUGAUCUUAUACCUUGUCACCUAUGGUUUUGCAUUGGGUAGCUUAUGCUAGUGCUCCACUAAACCAUGAUCUUGUAAUUUGAAUUAAUGGAAUAUGCAAUAAACAUUAAAAGAGGACUUUUUAGCAACUUUGGAAAAGAGGGCUGGAGCAUUGGGCUAUCUUAUGGUGCUUUAGUUUCUCUCCAUAAGGACUUAUCUGUAUCUGACCAUCCGAGACAUACAGUACAACUGUGAGGGCUACAUGGCUCUAGCUUUAGCUCAGUAUGAGGACCUUUUCUAGCUUGUUAGUGGUUACCCUUGUGGCGCAAGUGGGGGAUAGCAGACCGUGGAUUCCUGCAGGUGAGUCACACGGACUGACUAACAAAACCUAGCGGCCCUAACUUGUUAGAUGAACCUUUGAAAGGCUUCAUAGUGAACCCUGCCGGCCUCCCUGGGAAGGGGGUUAAGAGACUCGUGACCUCGGGCGAAAGGGUAAAUCACCACUCACAGUGAAAGUGUACAACCUCUGCAGAGUGUAAAACUGAUAUAUCAGUCGUGCUCACGGUCACGAGCGGCCUUGGACCAAUACAGAAUAAAUGAUCACUAAUGGCAAAUUAUUAAAGUUAUUGUUGUUAAUAUGUUGUUUAUGCUAUUCUUUAUUCACUUUACUUGAUCAUGAGUUUACCUUGGGACUUGACAACUUGAUGCUACUCAUAUGCUAAAAUUGUGACAACUAAAAGCUACAUGCAGUUCAACCAGUGUCUAGCCUUUGAGCCUCAUGAACCCUAUGCUAUUCUUGCUGAGUACGAGAUGUACUUACGCUUGCCUUUACAUUUUAUUUGGAUAAAAAUCCCGGAUGGGUACCAGAUUGCAAGCUUGGAAAAGAGUUUAGGCUUGUGCUUAACCAGUCAGUUGUCCUUGUGGAUUUGGAGCUUUCGCCUGAAGAACGGAGAGUCUUUCUGCUGUUUGCUAUCUAAGGUUAUAUCUUUUAUACUAAGUUCGCUAUAUAUAAGCAUUGUCUAUUGAUAUUACCCUUAUUUGGGGCUAUAUGUGAGAUUUGACUUCCUGGACUCACAUAUGGUGUGUAUCUGGUUUUGUCGUUAAAACCGGGUGCUACAAUCAUUUAAUGCAAAAUAUAAUUUGAAUAAGCCUUUACUACGAAGCACUAUACCUUCUUGCAUUUCCGGUCACUUGCAUUAAAUGUUGUGAUCACAAAUCGUGAAAAGAGGGAUGAGCCUUGAGGAUCCAUAUACUUUCUAAUGGAGGAGUUUCUGAGCAAGAGAGUAUCCCAGGGGUCGAAGUUAUCAUUUUCAAUCGGAAAGAAAACUCCAAAGCAACGUAUGGAGAUAUAGCGCUUGUCCACUUUAAUGUUAACAUCCAGGUCAAUCUUGUCGUUUGUAAGGAUCUCUGUAUGGAGUUCUUGUUCAAGUUCAAAAGACAUUAAUAUCUCAUCAAAUAUAGUUUGUAGAAUUGGGAUGUAGUUGACAUUUCGAUGCACCAUGGCAUGGCCAUUGUAAAACCAUUGCAUUUUUGUUUGCAUCUUUAAUAAAUUGUGCUUGUCAAGCACCUACCAAUGAGAAAUUUUACUACAUUUGUGAGGGCUACGGAAAAUAAAAAAAUGAUAUGUGCCAAUGAGAAAUAUUACUACAUUUAUGUGGAGGGGGGAGCUGCCGGGUUGCAUCGCCGCUCGCUAGGGGACGCUUGUGAGGGUGCAAGCCACUAGCGGCUGCGUCGCCGCUCGCCAUGGGACGCUUCAUCUUGUCAGCUUGGACAAAUGCACCGAGAGGGAAAAUUUUCCAAAACAGUAAGUGAGCAUUGUGUGGUCUAAUAGAACUUAAGGAAUCUACAAAAAAAACAACAAAACCACUUGAAAAGGGGUAAGUAUGGCCACGUGCUCGUAACAACGUUGAAAAUAUCUCAUGGUAGACAAUGUUUGUUUCAUGUGUGCAGUCAGCGUUCAUAUGCUCUAUCAAUAUCUCUAGAUCUCUUUGAGGUGACAUGUGAAACAGCAACAUACAAGCAUCGGAAAAUACAGGGUUUUUUGGGUAGUUACCAACAUUGGACAAUGUCUGCCCUUGGCUCCUAUUGAUAGUCAUUGCAUAGCAUACCUUAACUUUAUGUUGUAAUGCAACACAUUUUCUUCUUCUGAAAGGAAACAACAAAGCAAAGUGGCAAGUAACAAUACUCAGGACAUAAGGCAUCCCAAUAUACUGAGGUUGUGAUAUCCAACUUCACCAUCCUGAAAAGAGCACACAUGAAGGGAGCAAAGGGAACCAGGUUGAGGUGGACCAAUGGGGGAUUUUGGGGACGAUGUGGCCCGGUUGGCUGGAUGGGGUGAACCUUUGGUUUGUAGGGGUAAAUUUGAAAUACAUAUAAGAGAAGUGUAAAGGACCAAAGCACAAAACAGCGUCCUGUUUAUUUUAAGUGUCUUUAAUACUAUGAUUUUGCCUACAUGAAUGCAACAGAUGAGGCAUGAGAGCAACCUCAAAAGCAUUGGAAAGUCAAUAUAUAUGCUCAAGGUGGAAAAUAAUUUCAUUUUUUAGGAAAAAAGAACAUAAAUGGAGAAAUCGGUGUUAUUUUUGUCAGCAAAAUGAAUAGGUAAGAAGUAAUUAAUCCUCAGAUUUGUUUAUGCAAAUGGUACUUCAUGAGCAUCAGAUGUAUCAAUCAGAAGCAAUACUGGGACACAUCAGGUGAGCUCACUGAGACAACAACAAGCAACUUUGUUCAGAAUAGAUGGAAAACUGCAUUUUUUGAUAUAGUGUGAUGUGAUAGUGUGAUCAAAACUACGCUUUUCAAAAUUAAAGAAGCAUUAUGCAGCGCUCACAUGGAGCACCAAACAAGAACUCAACAACUCAGUGUUAUAAGAGAACAUUCAACACUUAACCAUGCGCCUAAUCCUGAAAGGCCAGAUUACAAAUACUGUUGCAUGGAGUUUUAAAAUACCAACUACUAUUACUUUAAAGUGGCACUACAGUAAUUGUAUUUGCAACUUGAGAUGCAAGUACUAACACCUGUAGCAGAAAACUAAAGUGAAACUUAUUAGAAAUUACCACCUAUAAUUCAGUGGACAAGGGUACCUGACCUAUUGAAACUUUGGGGGUUCAGUUGAGCUUGUCAGGUAAUCUUGUCAGUGUCAUUUUAAGUUCUGCUUAACCUGCACCAAGCAGCAAAAGUGCUUUGAGUAGAAAAAAGGCAAAAACUUUAGUAAGUUGACCGGCCACCUCCAUGUUUGUUUCACUGCAGCUCUUUCUUUUUCCAUGCACCAAAGGACUAAAUGCUCUAAAUAUAUGUUUCAUGGAAACAUUGCAAGGGCAACAUAUAGAUGUGUAGCUAUCACUAAUCAUCAUUUAUCCAUGAAGGCUAGAAUACAUCUGACUAUAUGACAUAAGUAUUUGAGGGGCAUGGGUAUUCACUAAGAUAAUUCUGUAGUACUGAUAUGAAGUAAUUAAGUAUGGGAAAAAUUAAGAACUAAGAAUGGACCUUUGGUUUUAACAAACCUAAAUGCUUAUACCAAAAUAUGGGUUGAAUAUAAUAGUCAAGUGGUCGUAAACCAAGCAAAGAAUAUUUAACUUAGAAGCCUAUAUCCAUUGCAAUGUUGUCACAACAACCAGAUGGAUUAUUUUCUUCGCACUAUAAGUUGCUAGAACCUUGGGCACCAAAAGAUUUUUCACUCACCUAUGUAGGGAAUGCUUGUUUUCAUUGUUCUCUAGGAUGAUGUGCUCGAGUAUAUUGCUAUGAAUGUCCAUGACAUGUGGAACAUAGCAGAGGAGGAACCAUUCCAAUUGUCAUGUUGCCAAUGUUGUAGAGUCUUCUCAAAUCAAGAGCACCAGUCAUACUGAACACCGCCAACCAACAGGCCAGCUAUAUUCACCUAAAAAUUUAUUAUGAAUUGCAUACGAGGCAAAGAAAACUAACCUAACAUUCAUAACAGAAUACCAAACGAGGAAAGGAUCCUUACUCAGAAUUCAGAAAAACAAGAAAAUGGGACAAUCUCUCGGUGUUGAAUGGCCAGAUAGACCUGUUUUUAAUUCGAGUGUUCCAUCCUGGCUCUCAUUGCAUAACCAUAUAUAUAGUAUCCAUUGCGGCACCUAGGUCUGUCACUGUUAUCUAAAAAUCAAAACCGUUACUCCGAAAGGGAAGAUCAAAUUUUAUCGAAUUCCUAUACUGAGUAUAUGGUUAGUAGGUCAGAUUAGAUCCUACUAGGAUAAGUAUAGGAGCUGCUGACAUAUUUGUAGGUCCUCUGUUGUGCAUACCCUGCUUCAAGGCAACAAAGGGGAAAAACAUGAGUGAGCCUAGCAGCAGACAUAACACAUAAUCAGAAUGAGAAAGCACUUCACAUGUGAAAAAAGGAAAGAUAGAAAAAGGGUCAUGUGGAUGCCUAUGGAUAAUAUGUAUUGAUUACUUAUCAUUGAUGGGAACAAACAGAUUUCUAAUCAAUUGAAAUUUAUUUUGCACAAGAGGCUAAUGCUAUCCUAAUCCACACCAUUCUGUGCAUCUAGAAAAGACAUGAAAGAAAGACACAACCGCCAAAAGGAAAGAAACUCACCAACACACCUUCCAAUCUUAUUAGUCUACGCAGAUCCUCUUGGAUGAGGUCCUAAAUCACAUAGCAUAGAGAAAAGGAGCAUCAGCAAGCAUGAAGCAGAAGGAAGAUGUGCUCCAAAUCCCCAAGAACACAAUAUUGAAGAAUAGACAGAAAGAAGUGUGUGGGUAAGAUCAUGUAACCCUGUUGUUUCCAUCAGGUAGAAAUAGUGUACAUAGUAUUUUAAAGUUGGAAAUGCAGAUGUUUAAUUAUUGUACUGUAAAAUAUGUAAAUUUAAGAGUAAGGAGAAGCUGAAGUUUAUUACCUGACCGAAGAUGUGUAAGCAUGUCUAGAUACAUGUGUUGGUUGUCUAACACUGAAAAAUAGAAAUAAUCUAGGAAAUAAAAUACGAUAAUGCUUUUAGAUUUGCAGUUGUGUAAUGAAGAUGUGUAAGCAUGUGUACAUACAUGUGUUGGUUGGCUGACACUGACAAAUAGAAAUAAUCGAAGAAAUAAAAUACGAUAAUGCUUUUAGAUUUGCAACUGUUUAAUCAGCAUUAGACUGCAAAUAUUACCCGGGUGAGAAAUUCUGCAUGAGUGAUGUUUAGACUAUUUGAGCAGAACCUCCAAAGAACCCUACAUCCUCAAGCACAAGCGUCGUGUAUCAGUGAAAGGAAAUUCCAAAAAAUCAUGAAGGUACAAAUGAUGCCAAAAAUGUUACAGGGCAGCAUCACCUAGAGAGCACGGACCUAGCAGAGGGGCAUAGAAGGCAAGCAAACCAAAGUGCACUGUGUUACAUCGGGCUGGACUAUGGGCAACCACCCGUGCUUGCGUGCCGGCCGAUUCGGAGCUGAGGUCGGAACUAUGCCGGUAUGUUACCCACACCAGGGUCGCUGCCACCUACGGCGGGGCAAUACCCUAGGUCACCUCAUCGCCACCGCUACCGCUGCCAUGUUGGGGGCUCGCUGUCGCUCCGUACGUCACGUGUGGAGGUGUGGAGGAGAACAAGGGCCGCGGUCAUCGUGCCGAGUGGCAGCCAAUGUGGAGGUCCACUUGUGCCACCGGCCUAUCCGCAUCGGAAGGGAUGGGGAGAGAGAGAGAAUGGAAGGGAAGAGACUGUCGAGACUUAUACGCACGGUGGACGGAGAAGGAGGGGGCUAGCGCUGCGCUGGCUUGGGGCGUCGUCGUGCCGUCGCCCCUGGCUCGGCCACACCGCCCGUGGGGCGCUGUCGUCUCGUCGCCUCCACCUCGGGCUCGAGAGAGAGGAUGGGGAGGUCGUGCUAUUUUUUUAUGAGGAGUGGGGAGAGCGCUAGAUGUUUUUGUGGAGGCCGACGUGGGCUGCUCGUGGCCACACAAAGGGAAUCAGCAAAUCAGGCUAAGAUGGACCAAUGGGAGGGGGAGGAGGUGAGGUGGCAUUGAGGUGCACCAAUGGCAGAUUUGAGGAGACGUGGCUGGGGUAGCGACACGGGGAGCAACUUAGAAUUGUUAGGGUAAAUUAGUCCAAAGAUUUUAGAUAUAAAAAUAAGAAAUUCGCAAGAUAAUAGAAGUGUAGUAGUUUCGAAAUUUAUACUAUACAAUCCGCAGUAAUUGAAAACUAUCUGGAAUUAUUUGCAUGCUAGUCGCAUGGAAAAACUAACCGUUUCAUGAAGUCCACAAUAUUAGCAAGUCCGCAAAGAAUAUUUAACUUAGAAGCCUAUAUCCAUUGCACUGUUGUCACCACAUCCAGAUGGAUUAUUUUCUUAGCACUAUAAGUUGCUAGAACCUUGGGCACAAAAAGAUUUUUCACUCACCUAUGCAGGGAAGACUUGUUUUCAUUGUUCUCUAGGAUGAUGUGCUCGAGUAUAUUGCUAUGAAUGUCCAUGACAUGUGUGACUUAGCAGAGGAGGAACCAUUCCAAUUGUCAUGUUGCCAAUGUUGUAGAGUCUUCUCAAAUCAAGAGCACCAGUCAUACUGAACACCGCCAACCAACAGGCCAGCUAUAUUCACCUAAAAAUUUAUUAUGAAUUGCAUACGAGGCAAAGAAAACUAACCUAACAUUCAUAACAGAAUACCAAACGAGGAAAGGAUCCUUACUCAGAAUUCAGAAAAACAAGAAAAUGGGACAAUCUCUCGGUGUUGAAUGGCCAGAUAGACCUGUUUUUAAUUCGAGUGUUCCAUCCUGGCUCUCAUUGCAUAACCAUAUAUAUAGUUUCCAUUGCGGCACCUAGGUCUGUCACUGUUAUCUAAAAAUCAAAACCGUUACUCCGAAAGGGAAGAUCAAAUUUUAUCGAAUUCCUAUACUGAGUAUAUGGUUAGUAGGUCAGAUUAGAUCCUACUAGGAUAAGUAUAGGAGCUGCUGACAUAUUUGUAGGUCCUCUGUUGUGCAUACCCUGCUUCAAGGCAACAAAGGGGAAAAACAUGAGUGAGCCUAGCAGCAGACAUAACACAUAAUCAGAAUGAGAAAGCACUUCACAUGUGAAAAAAGGAAAGAUAGAAAAAGGGUCAUGUGGAUGCCUAUGGAUAAUAUGUAUUGAUUACUUAUCAUUGAUGGGAACAAACAGAUUUCUAAUCAAUUGAAAUUUAUUUUGCACAAGAGGCUAAUGCUAUCCUAAUCCACUCCAUUCUGUGCAUCUAGAAAAGACAUGAAAGAAAGACACAACCGCCAAAAGGAAAGAAACUCACCAACACACCUUCCAAUCUUAUUAGUCUACGCAGAUCCUCUUGGAUGAGGUCCUACAUCACAUAGCAUAGAGAAAAGGAGCAUCAGCAAGCAUGAAGCAGAAGGAAGAUGUGCUCCAAAUCCCCAAGAACACAAUAUUGAAGAAUAGACAGAAAGAAGUGUGUGGGUAAGAUCAUGUAACCCUGUUGUUUCCAUCAGGUAGAAAUAGUGUACAUAGUAUUUUAAAGUUGGAAAUGCAGAUGUUUAAUUAUUGUACUGUAAAAUAUGUAAAUUUAAGAGUAAGGAAAAGCUGAAGUUUAUUACCUGACCGAAGAUGUGUAAGCAUGUCUAGAUACAUGUGUUGGUUGUCUAACACUGAAAAAUAGAAAUAAUCUAGGAAAUAAAAUACGAUAAUGCUUUUAGAUUUGCAGUUGUGUAAUGAAGAUGUGUAAGCAUGUGUACAUACAUGUCUUGGUUGGCUAACACUGACAAAUAGAAAUAAUCGAAGAAAUAAAAUACGAUAAUGCUUUUAGAUUUGCAACUGUUUAAUCAGCAUUAGACUGCAAAUAUUACCCGGGUGAGAAAUUCUGCAUGAGUCAUGUUUAGACUAUUUGAGCAGAACCUCCAAAGAACCCUACAUCCUCAAGCACAAGCGUCGUGUAUCAGUGAAAGGAAAUUCCAAAAAAUCAUGAAGGUACAAAUGAAGCCAAAAAUGUUACAGGGCAGCAUCACCUAGAGAGCACGGACCUAGCAGAGGGGCAUAGAAGGCAAGCAAACCACAGUGCACUGUGUUACAUCGGGCUGGACUAUGGGCAACCACCCGUGCUUGCGUGCCGGCCGAUUCGGAGCUGAGGUCAGAACUAUGCCGGUAUGUUACCCACACCAGGGUCGCUGCCACCUACGGCGGGGCAAUACCCUAGGUCACCUCAUCGCCACCGCCACCGCUGCCAUGUUGGGGGCUCGCUGUCGCUCCGUACGUCACAUGUGGAGGUGUGGAGGAGAACAAGGGCCAUGGUCAUCGUGCCGAGUGGCAGCCAAUGUGGAGGUCCACUUGUGCCACCGGCCUAUCCGCAUCGGAAGGGAUGGGGAGAGAGAGAGAAUGGAAGGGAAGAGACUGUCGAGACUUAUACGCACGGUGGACGGAGAAGGAGGGGGCUAGCGCUGCGCUGGCUUGGGGCGUCGUCGUGCCGUCGCCCCUGGCUCGGCCGCACCGCCCGUGGGGCGCUGUCGUCUCGUCGCCUCCACCUCGGGCUCGAGAGAGAGGAUGGGGAGGUCGUGCUAUUUUUUAUGAGGAGUGGGGAGAGCGCUAGAUGUUUUUGUGGAGGCCGACGUGGGCUGCUCGUGGCCACACAAAGGGAAUCAGCAAAUCAGGCUAAGAUGGACCAAUGGGAAGGGGAGGAGGUGAGGUGGCAUUGAGGUGCACCAAUGGCAGAUUUGAGGAGACGUGGCUGGGGUAGCGACACGGGGAGCAACUUAGAAUUGUUAGGGUAAAUUAGUCCAAAGAUUUUAGAUAUAAAAAUAAGAAAUUCGCAAGAUAAUAGAAGUGUAGUAGUUUCGAAAUUUAUACUAUACAAUCCGCAGUAAUUGAAAACUAUCUGGAAUUAUUUGCAUGCUAGUCGCAUGGAAAAACUAACCCUGUCAUGAAGUCCACAAUAUUAGCAAGUCCGCAAAGAAUAUUUAACUUAGAAGCCUAUAUCCAUUGCACUGUUGUCACCACAUCCAGAUGGAUUAUUUUCUUAGCACUAUAAGUUGCUAGAACCUUGGGCACAAAAAGAUUUUUCACUCACCUAUGCAGGGAAGACUUGUUUUCAUUGUUCUCUAGGAUGAUGUGCUCGAGUAUAUUGCUAUGAAUGUCCAUGACAUGUGUGACUUAGCAGAGGAGGAACCAUUCCAAUUGUCAUGUUGCCAAUGUUGUAGAGUCUUCUCAAAUCAAGAGCACCAGUCAUACUGAACAACACCAACCAACAGGCCAGCUAUAUUCACCUAAAAAUUUAUUAUGAAUUGCAUACGAGGCAAAGAAAACUAACCUAACAUUCAUAAUAGAAUACCAAAUGAGGAAAGGAUGCUUACACAGAAUUCAGAAAAACAAGAAAAUGGGACAAUCUCUGGUUGUUGAAUGGCCAGAUAGACCUGUUUUUAAUUCGAGUGUUCCAUCCUGGCUCUCAUUGCCAUAUCCAUAUAUAUAGUAUCUAUUGCGGCACCUAGGUCUGUCCCUGUUAUCUAAAAAUCAAAACGGUUACUCCGAAAGGGAAGAUCAAUUUUUAUUAAAUUCCUAAACUGAGUAUAUGGUUAGUAGGUCAGAUUAGAUCCUACUGGGAUAUGUAGGAGCUGCUGACAUAUUUGUAGGUCCUCUGUUGUGCAUACCCAGCUUCAAGGCAACAAAGGGGAAAAACAUGAGUGAGCCUAGCAGCAGACAUAAUACAUCAGAAUGAGAAAGCACUUCACAUGUGAAAAAGGAAAGAUAGAAAAAGGGUCAUGUGGAUGCCUAUGGAUAAUAUGUAUUGAUUACUUAUCAUUGAUGGGACCAAACAGAUUUCUAAUCAAUUGAAAUUUAUUUUGCACAAGAGGCUAAUGCUAUCCUGAUCCACACCAUUCUGUGCAUCUAGAAAAGACAUGAAAGAAAGACACAACCGCCAAAAGGAAUGAAACUCACCAACACACCUUCCAAUCUUAUUAGUCUACGCAGAUCCUCUUGGUUGAGGUCCUACAUCACAUAACAUAGAGGAAAGGAGCAUCAGCAAGGAUGAAAUAGAGGGAAGAUGUGCUCCAAAUCCCCAAGAACACAAUAUUGAAGAAUAGACAGAAAGAAGUGUGUGGGUAAGAUCAUGUAACCCUGUUGUUUCCAUCAGGUAGAAAUAGUGUACAUAGUAUUUUAAAGUUGGAAAUGCAGAUGUUUAAUUAUUGUACUGUGAAAUAUGUAAAUUUAGGAGUAAGGAAAAGCUGAAGUUUAAUACCUGACCCAAGAUGUGUAAACAUGUCUAGAUACAUGUGUUGGUUGUCUAACACUGAAAAUUAGAAAUAAUCUAGGAAAUAAAAUACGAUAAUGCUUUUAGAUUUGCAGUUGUUUAAUGAAGAUGUGCAAGCAUGUGUACAUACAUGUGUUGGUUGGCUAACACUGACAAAUAGAAAUAAAAUACAACAAUGCUUUUAGAUUUGCAACUGUUUAAUCAGCAUUAGACUGCAAAUAUUGCCCAGGUUAGAAAUUCUGCACGAGUCAUGUAUAGACUAUUUGAGCAGAACCUCAAAAGAACCCUACAUCCUGAAGCACAAGCGUUGUGUAUCAGUGAAAGGAAAUUCCAAAACAUCGUGAAGGUACAAAUGAAGCCAAAAAUGUUACAGGGCAGCAUCACCUAGAGAGCACGGACCUAGAAGAGGGGCAUAGAAGGCAAGCAAACCACAGUGCACUGUGUUACAUCGGGCUGGACUAUGGGCAAUCACCCGUGAUGGCGUGUCGGCCGAUUCGGAGCUGAGGUCGGAACUAUGCCGGUAUGUUACCCACACCAGGGUCGCUGCCACCUACGGCGGGGCAAAACCCUAGGUCACCUCAUCGCCACCGCCACCGCCGCCACAUUGGGGGCUCGCUAUCGCUCCGUACGUCACCCGUGGAGGUGUGGAGGAGAACAAGGGCCGCGGUCAUCGUGCCGAGUGGCAGCCAAUGUGGAGGUCCACUUGUGCCACCGCCCUAUCCGCAUCGGAAGGGAUGGGGAGAGAGAGAGAGAACGGAAGGGAAGAGACUGUCGAGACUUAUACGCACGGUAGAUGGAGAAGGAGGGGGCUAGCGCUGCGCUGGCAUGGGGCGUCGUCGUGCCGUCGCCCCUGCCUCGGCCGCACCGCCCGUGGGGCGCUGUCGUCUCGUCGUAUCCACGUCGGGCUCGAGAGAGAGGAUGGGGAGGUUGUGCUAUUUUUUUAUGAGGAGUGGGGAGAGCGCGAGAUGUUGAGUGGAAGCCAACGUGGGCUGCUCCUGGCCACACAAAGGGAAUCAGCCAAUCAGGCUAAGAUGGACCAAUGGGUGGGUGAGGAGGUGAGGUGGCAUUGAGGUGCACCAAUGGCAGAUUUGAGGAGACGUGGCUGGGGUGGCGACACGGGGAGCAACUUAGAAUUGUUAGGGUAAAUUAGUCCAAAGAUUUUAGAUAUAAAAAUAAGAAAUUCGCAAGAUAAUAGAAGUGUAAUAGUUUCGAAAUUUUUACUAUACAAUCUGCAGUAAUUGAAAACUAUCUGGAAAUAUUUGCAAGCUAGUCGCAUGGAAAAACUAACCCUUUCAUGAAGUCCACAAUAUUAGCAAGGUAAAAUUGUAUCCAAAUCAAGUUGGAUGGUCAAAGUUGCAGAACAAGAUUCAGGGCCAAAUGAACACCCUCCUUAGAAUUUGCAACAUCCGAGUUGUCUGCUACUUGGCUAAAUCAAAUUGAACAAACAUUGAGGAUGUUGCUUAUCUCCUUGCUGUGACAAAAAAGAGGGGACAAAGGGGAAGCAAAAACAAACCUCGGAGGAACUCAUAGCAGUGCUUAUCUCAUCCUAGGGUUUAUUCUUUUGAGUUUUAAAGUGUCUGCAACAUAAUUUAAGGAAAGGUCCAAUAGCAUUAGUUUGUUCCCAAUCAGAGAAUUGGGAACAUAAAUUGAAGAUGAUGCAAUCAAGUUCGACAGAUCUUUAAGAAUAUCUUGUAUUGUGUGUUGCCUUAAAUUUUGUAUAUAGGAAAAAGAAAGUUGUUCAUGUACCUCAAGAGCACUAAAAUUUGCAUAAAUAGGUAUUGAAAGGGAAUAAAGAAUUAAAGAAAACCUAGAUUACCUUGGUCCAGUAGUGGUUACACAAGAGGAAUCUGCAAGUCACCAAACCACAUCUAGAAAAAGAUAAGGAUACACUGACAUAGUUCAAUUUGAAGCAUAGAUCAUUGCAAAGAUCUAACAAAUAAAAUUAAGAUCUUUUGUAGACAAUAGAAGCAUAAUAGCUGGUAAAGUUAGACUGUAAACCUACAGUAAAUGAAAAAUAAAUAUAAUCUCCAAUUAAAACUAUUUGCAAGCCGGUAGCAUGGAAAAGUUAACCCUCAUGACCCCACAACAUUAGCAAGGCAAAUUGAUAUUCAGAGCAAGUUCAAUGGUUAAAGCUACAACAAUUAGGUACAAGUAUAAAUUGCUUUGUGCCUCUAUUUACCUUACAUAGGGAGAACGUAUAUUUAAUACCCGAUUUUAAGGACAAAAUCAGAUAUGCACCAUAUGUGAGUUUUAGAAGUCAAAUCUCACAUAUAGCUACAAAUAAGGGGCAAUAUCAAAAGACAAUGCAUAAAUAUAUAACGUACUUAGUAUAAAGGAGAUAACCUUUGAUUGCAAACAGCGGAUAGACAACUCCAAACUUUUGGUAUUAACUUCUCUCUACAGGAUCCAACUGACUGGUUGUUCACAAGCCCAAAACUUCUCCUGAGGUUUGGGGAGAAUAGCAAGAGUGAUUCCAUGUCGAACUCCACAAGUAAAGCAACUAGAUUGUAUAUAUCCCACAAUCUCAUGAUCAAUGUGACAUAAAUAAUGUAGAGUAUUAAACAGUAAUAAUGAACAUAUUAACACACAAGAAUCAUCAUCCUUAAUGUAGAUGUCCCCAAGGCCGCUCCUGACCAUGAGCUCGGCUAGUAUACUAGUUUUAACACUCUGCAGAGGUUGUAUAUCUUUACCCAUGAGUCAUGAUUUACCCUUUCGCCCGAGGCCCGUCGACCUCUUAACCCACUACCAAGGAAGGUCGGCAGGGAUCACUAUGAAGCCUUUCAAAAGUUCGUCUAACAUGUUAGGGCCGCAAGGUUUCCUUUGCGCACAGAUAUAGAUACCCCCUUCCAAAUGGCACAAUGACGCGCAGCCUAUACACAUAAGGCAGUGGCUCGCACUAUACCCAAAACGGUUCAGCCCCUCCGCCCUUUCGGGUAACCUCUAACAAGCUAGAAAAGGUCUUCAUACUAAGCUAAAGCUAGAGCCAUUAUAGCCCUCAUGGUUGCACUGUUGUUCCGGGUGAUCACGUACAGACAAAUCAUCAAGUUGCUAAAGAGUCAUUUUUAUCGUUUAUUACAUAACAUUAAUCUAGUCACACGAUCAUGGUCACAUAAAUAAAAUCUAAAUGCUAUACUUGCCUUAAUCCAAAUGAUCUUGUUGAUCCUGCUGGUCUUACUAGUUAUCCAAGGCUCUGAUCUUGAUCACUGAAGCACUCUUGUUCACCACAGAUUGCUCACCGUCUAAACUCGAACAUCGAUCAUCAACACAUAACAAUCGAAGACAAACAUACACGAAGCAAACAAGACUACAAUUAGAACAGUACACCAAUCAUAUAAAAAUGGUAUAUAGAGUUCAUAAAAAGAUUCUACGCAGCACUACGAUAUCAUAGACGUAAAGAUCACGAAAAUCGGAGCUAAAACGGAGAAGUUAUGAAUUUUCUAAGAUUUUAUAUAGAAAAGUAAUUAAUUAAUUAGGGUCACGAAAAUAAAAAGUUUCGAACUGAGAAAACAAUGUUACUAACAUGUAGAGCUCAUUAAAACAAACCUAACGCAAUUUGAAUGGGUUAAAUUGGAGUUAAAAAGAAUAUUUUAUGGCCAAAAGAAAGUUGGUGGCAAUUCUGUAAAUAGUGAAAACGUAUUUUUAAUCUAAAACCGAGCUGUUUCCAAACUGAAAGAUAAAGUGAUUGGGGCUUACGUUGGUGAACAGGAAGUAGGUUCACCGGCAGUGACGCUUUCUUGGAGCUACAGCAACGCCGGAGCAGCCGACCGUUCGUAGAUGUCGUGUAUAGGCGAGACGAUGGCGAUCACAUUGUAGAGAGGAAAAUAUAAAUUUUAUUUUACUUAGAGGCUUCCUAUACGAUAGUCUUUGAUGUGCUUUGCCUAUGGGGUUGGUACAUAUAUAUAGAGAGAAAAACUCCCCACCUCCACGUCAACUAGCGAUAUGGUACUAAUUGAUUUGCAACCUUCAUCCUUACUAAUAGGCCUAAUUAAUUAUUAAAGCCCAUUAGUAAAUAACUAUAUGGUCAUUUGGGAUUUAUUAUGGGCUUUGACGUUGGAAAAAUAAUAAGAGAGUUAUUUUUUUCGGAAUUUAUUAUUUUCAUUGAUAAAAUAAUUCUAGAAAAGUUUAGAAUUAGUAGUUAAGCACGAAAAAUACUCCGAAAGCUCCGAAAAUUUGGGAAAAAUUCUCAGAGAUAUUAUAGAAUAUGGGGAACCCGAAUAAAGCUUUUGGAGCUCAUGAGAAGAUUGUUUGGAGCAUCUAAAAAUUAGAUCAUGCUCAUAGAAAAGUGAGAACAGAAGCUAAAAAAAAUACCCGAAAAAUUUGUAGAGAGUGCUUGAUGGACGAGGAACUAAAAAAAGUGCUUUGAGUGACAAAGAAAAUAUUUUAGAAAGGUCCUAAUAAAAAUUUGAGCUUAGAAACAAGGAAUUUGGUUGUAGAUAAAACAUAAAUACGUGCCGAAUAAGAUCGAUCUACUAAACGUAUUUUAAAUAUUUUUCUUACUAUCAACACAUAAUGGAGCAACAAGCAUCACAUCAAAAUAUAUACACCAGCAUGUAUGCGUAAUAAUAUUGCUAAGCCUUAUGAUAAAUUUUAAUUUAAUAAAAAAUAUUAUUUUUCCUAUAUUUUCAUCAGCACAAAAACACAAAAUUAAAUAAUUUUAUCUAUAUUUCAAAAGGAGUAAAUUUUAGGAUGUUACAGUAUAGUAUGCACAAAAGAAAUUGUUGGCAUCUCUUGGAUGAAGAUACAAACUGAAGGUUUUACAUGGUGCUGAAAUUAUGAACCUAUCCAUUUUAUUGUGAUUGCUGCACAAACCAAUGUAGAUAGACCAGCGACUUUCAGCUAUCUCCAUAGCACCCAAAAAUAAUCUCAUGCAUACCGAAGGAAAAUAUGGCAAUAGGAUGGUCCAAAUUACAUACCAAAUAAAUAUACAGCCUACUGGUCUGAAGAGAACACUGUGAUUAUUGUUGCAACCACAAGACUCGAUAGAAAAGGAUGAACAAUGUUUCUUCUUAUGAAGCAACAGGCAAGCAUCAUCGAUGGUGCUAAAAAUGUGAACCAAAACAUUAAUUGUGCCAAAAUAAAAGCAAGUACAGCACAAGAAAGCACAAAAUUGAUGCCCAAAGACUCAGACAAAUAGGAGAGGCAAAAGUGACCGUACACAACCAAAGUGUAUGGUAAUGUAAUCCUUGGAAAUAGGGCAUGUGCUCAGAAAUGAUAGUAUAUAAUUUGGCGUCACUGGCAAUGAUCAUAGAUAAUGAACACGCAAAGGGGCAAAUCAUUAUAGGUAAUUGCAUGAAAACCACGGAUCUCAUAAGUAAGAGUGAAUCCAGCCGCAUAGUAUGUGACUAAAUACACAAUAAGCAGUAGCUCUCAUUGGUGCAUUAAAACUGCACAAAAUAGAACAGCCAGGAAUGAAUAGAAGGAAACAUAAUCAUACAAUUGACCAUUGCCUCAUGUAUUAUGGGACAAGCACAUAAAACAAAAACAUAAUUUCAGGUGCAAUCAUCAUAGCAGUAGCCCAUUCCCUUAAUUUUAAACGCCACAACAAUACGAAACCGUACUCAUCACUGCACAUGACUGGAAUGCAGAAAUAAACAUAAGAACACCAGCGCUACAGUGGUGUCACAGAAAUGUCACUGAUACGCUGAUGUGCUCAGAUCUUGGUCAUAAUACCUCUCUGCUCUCAUAUCCAGCAAAAUUGAGCAGAUCACGACCUACAGAAAAAGAAUCUGCGGUAACCAUGUAGAUCGACAAGAGAAAAGGAGAACACCAUAUCUACGACAAAAUGGAGCCCUCGUUCAUGCAUAUGGCACAUCAGGAGAGAGGGGAGGGAAAGAGAGGGGAGGGGAGUAAACCAGUGAGCGGACAGAUCGAGGGAGAGCAGAGCCGCGCCGACUGUCUACAAAGAGCUCGCACGGAGGGGGUAGGCGGCUGUGGCGCCGGCCAUGGCCGCCCGUGCCACGCCGCCGCGCAGGGCCGUGCGUGUCGAUCGCGCCACACUGUGCCUUGGGACCCGCCCACGCAGGGGUGGGGGGAAGGGAGGGACGCUGCCGCCUCGUGCACAUCGCCGCGACUCAGAGGGGGAGGGAAGCCGUGCCCGCCAGCAAUGGCCGCGCGCGCCACGCCGCCGCAUAGGGCCGCGCGCGUUAGCCACGACACGCCAUGCCACAGGGCUCGCCCGUGCGGGAGUAUGGGAAGGGAGGGACACCGCCGGCCUCCUCCUACGCUGUCACGUCGCGCACGUCGCCGCGGCAGCCUGCAAGGAGCUCGCACGGAGGGGGAGGGCGGCCGCGGCCGCCGGCGACGGCCGCCCGCGCCACGGUACCGCGCAGGGCCACGUGCGUCAGCCGCGUGAUGCCAUGCCGCAGGGCCCACCCGUGUGGGAGUGGAGGCACAGGAGGGAGGCCGCCGAGCUCUGCCUAUGUCACUGCCUCACGCACGUCGCCGCCUUGGGAGGGAACGAGAGAAGGAGAGGGAGAGAGAGAGAGGAAGGAGAAAGAGGAUAAGAUGGGAGGGUAUGGGAGGAGAUAUUUCUUUAUUGAAUCACGGAUGCGUCAUGGACUGCUACAGUGAACCAUUUUUUUCCUCGUGAGAAGCCGUACAGGACACAUGGCUAGGCCGAUUUCCUGCCUUAGCCGGCUUAAUAAGAGUAAAUACGAAGGAUAAGCAUCAGAGUGAAAUGUACCACGCCAAGCUGACAAUGCUUCUCCUGCAGAACCGGUGUCCCUCUCCCAGGCGCACUCCUGCAGACCCCUCCUCUAAGCAAAACCAUAAGGCAAAUGUGAGUACGAAGAACAAAAAAGGAGCAAGCAAGAGCAAAAUCAGUAAGUAAAAAUAAAUUCUCCAACAUAGGUAGCAAACCCCAACCGCUCCGAUGUCACCUACUUUUGCGAUAGAUGAACACCUGAGAAAAGCCCCAAUGUGGCAACCAAAUCCCAAUGCACCCCGUGGCCGAGGCAGUUGGCCGUCCACGGCGCCCCAGCGCCGCGUCCGCUUGCUGACCCAGCCCCAAAGCCCACACGCCCACCCAAUAAAGCGCAGGGAGAAGAAGACAGCCCGCGCCCACGCAAACAAGCGCAAGGGAGAAGAACAUAGAGCCUUUGCACCCGGUACGUACGCGACGCGGAAUGAAAAAAGGUGCCGGGCUGGGCCGGGGCAUGGAAGCCGGAAGCGGUACCUGAGCUCGAUGUGGCGCGGAGAUGGAGCUGGCGGAGGGUUGACGCCAGCCACCGGCGAGACGACGGAGGCACCUGCAACGGCGGAAGGCGGGCAGCAGCCGCGGCGAGGCAGCGCGCGGCCGAUCGAUCGAUUGGGGUAAUCGGGGUUUUGCCGCAGUGACGACAGGAGGCAGUGAGCAGCGAGGUAGGCAGUAGGCAAGCGUGUCGCAUAAGCAGUGGGCAAAUGGGUGUACAGUAAAUGUCAUUUUGCCCUUUGUGUUGGUUGCUCUUUGGUACGGUACCGCACCCGCAACAGGGGAAGGCGGGCAGCAGCUGCGGCGAGGCAGCGCGCGGCCGAUCGAUCGAUUGGGGUAAUCGGGGUUUUGCCGCAGUGACGACAGGAGGCAGUGAGCAGCGAGGUAGGCAGUAGGCACGCGUGUCACGUAAGCAGUGGGCUAAUGGGUGUACAAUAAAUGUCAUUUUUGCUAUUUGUUGGUUGCUUUUUGGUACGGUACCGUGAUCAUCAGCGGCGGGAUACAUAUUUUCAAAGCAUAGUGUCCGUACGUUGUUAUAGUUUUAUUUAGAUAUAGGGCCUGUUUUCGGUUCCCCUUGCUAAAGUUUAGCUAGCUAAAAUUAUUUUAGCUAUUCUUGGGUGACUAAUGGAACUAAAUUAUGUUAACUCUUUUUAAUCAAUGUGUUUGGAACUUUAGCUACUGAAAUGACUAAAGUUUAGCUAGCUAUAAUUUAGCAAGAGAAACCAAACAGGGUGUACUUAGGCAUUGUUUACUUCUAAAAUUUUUUGCAAAAUAUGAAUAGUAGCGUUUUCGUUUGUAUUUGAUAAAUAUUGUCCAAUUAUGGACUAACUAGACUCAAAAGAUUCAUCUCGCAAAUUAUAGAUAAACUGUAAAUUAGUUAUUUCUUUUAUCUAUAUUUAGUGCUCCUUGCAUGUGAUGGAGAAUGUGAAAAAUUUUGCAAAAUAUUUUGGGAACUAAACAAGGCCUUAAUAAAAACAACUAUUUUAAAUAAAAUAACAAUAUAUUUUUCAUAGUUUAUAGUCUCAGAUAAUUACAUAUGAUAAUUAAUAUAAUCAUGACUAAGAAAAAGAAAAAUAAAGACAUGUCUCAUAUAUUUAUACUAUAAAUAAGUUCUUAAUUGCUUAGUAGAUCUCAAAGCUCUUCAGAGAUAAUGUUUGCACGUUCAUUUUGAUUACUUUGUAGAAUGUCCACCAAGCAUUCCGUACUCAGCGAACGUCCACUCUGUGAAUGCCAGAUAGUAAGUUAACUUAUUAAUUUGCUAUGCACUCUACAAAAUUACAUAGAGGAUAUAUAGUUUAUAUGCUUACAGGGUGGAUAGACAAUCUUUUUUCAUCCUACUAUUUUAAAUAACUAUAUACAAAGAAGCGUGGCACUUCCUUGGAGAAGAGCAGGUGUUUAUUUGUAUUAGCUAAAUGACAUAGAAUAAUAUUACUAUAUAAUUUAAUUAAUAAUUGAGAACAUAAAUUAAGAAGAUAUUACUACUACAUAUUAUUUGGCCAAGUAAAAUAUUCGUAUCAUGGUGUCUAAUUUAACCCAUACUGAUGCACAAACAAAGAAGAUAUUGCUCCAUUAUUACCUUAAUCAAGUGUCUUUGAUACUGCUCUAGCUUUUUUCAUUGCAUAAUAUUCACGUUGCUUCUUAUUUCUUUCAUCUCUUUCUUCAAUGGUUUCCUCGGCCCUUUUACGAGCGCGGUAUUCACGUUGUUUUCUAUUCCUCCCUUCCCUCUGUAUUCUCUCUUCAUCUACCGAUGUUCUAUCAGUGGCUGUGAAAUAUAGUGUGUGUUAUUAGUUUCAGAUUUUUUUUUUGUGAAAAUAACCAAUAUAGAUGGUCGCGUACAUACCAUGUCCGAUAGUGUUUGUCGUCGAUCCCCCAUUAUUGACAUGUAGCAGGCCCAUCGAUGAUGGCGUUUAUGUUAAUCUACAAUAGAAAACACAAAGCAAGUAUACUUACUGCGUUCAUCAUGGCGUUCGUCGUCUGGCCUAGUGCGUCAGCGUUUCCCCCUACGUGGCGCCCCUGUCCGCGUUCGACGUCGCACCCUGGCCAUGCUCCGGUGUCGCGUCCUGGCCGCGCGCCUGUUUGCGAGCCCCUGGCCGCACGUGGAGUCUGGCAACCAGGGCGCGGAGUCUUGGCGGUGCCCCUGUGACCCUCUGGCCGCAAGCCCCUGGUCGCGCGCCCCGUCUGCCCCGGCAAGCCCAGGCCGCGAGCCCUCGUCGUGGACAGGAGAAUGCGAAUAGAGGGAAGAUACACGGUCGUGCAUGAGAGGGAGAUGGGGCGGACUGAGGGAUGAAUGAGGUGAGUGAUGAGUUUGAUCCAAGCGUUUAUGACCGUUGGAUGUGAUUGAGUUAGGGGAAUGAUAGAUUAGAGUUAAUAUUGUCUCUUAAUUUUGGGAGAUAGAUCUUCCUUGGUGGAAUUUUUCGUGUGUACUUAGUGUAGCUUAUAACUGUAGUAGUAGUUUAUAGGGUGCAUUUAGUUAAGUUCAUAACUGAUGGAUUAUAUAGUAGUGGAGAUUUGUGGUAAAUCUCAGUAACUACACCCGUGCCUUUUUACCUUAUACAAAUUAGAACUGAGGCUUGAUCCCUAUGAUUUCGUGUUAAAUUAUGUUUUUAUGAUUUUUUGUAUACAUAUAUGAUGGCAAUCCAACUUGAAUACCUCUCAUCCAAUUUGGUAUAUAUUGUUGACAACAACGAUCCCAUGUGGUCAGGAUGUUCGAAAACGAGAAAUCAAGUUCUUAGUUUUCUAGGAACAGAAGAACUGAUCGGAGCCGCGUUUCCUGAGUCAUACCAAAGGUGACCCGCUUGCUCUCCGAUGGGGGAUGCUUGGGUGAGUGCUAGGAAUAAGCCUCCAGCUGGAUAGGAAUCGAUUCGAAUCACCGUCUCUCCCGGAUAGUGAGAACUUGACAAAGCAGCGGCAAACGUAGCAUUCACUAAGUACAAUGGUUCUUGAUAAUGAUAAUGAUGAUAGCAAGAAAGGUCAUAUGAUGAAUUUGAUAUGGUUAUUAUUGUUUGUAAUAAUCAAGUGAAGUUCUUAGUCUAGGUGCUAAUCUAGUGGUAGGCUAAUGAUGAUUGAUAUGAUGCCUUUACAAAUGGUGCAGUAUCUACUUAAGCUUUUGGCAAACAUUGAGUCAAGCCAGCUACACUUUAUACUCAGCCUUGCAUGAUUCUUGGUGUCUUUUAUGUUUUACUAGACGGGUAAGUCUAGCUGAGUACAUCCUCAUACUUAGGGUUUAUUCCCACCUGAUGCAGAUGAUGACUUUUAUGAUGGAUUCUGUAAGAUCUAUCUCCUUCCGGUGGGGAUGAGGACUAAACCGUUGGGCACGGUUCACUAACGACUUCGUACCCCGUUGCUUUUGGAUGGACGUGAUGAGUCUCUGGCAAUAAUAAGAACUUUGGAAUGUGUGUUGUAAACUAUUUUGCUUCCACUACUGUGAACUUGUGUUGUAACAACUAAGUACUCUGAUGUGGUGCCGCUUCGUCGGCAAUGAAUGACUAUGUAACAUUCGCUAUAUUAUGUUGAACUAUUAUGAUAUUGGUUUGUUGCAAGUUGGUUUGAAAUCCUUCGUGAUUUUAGUUGACUACCGGGAUUAUAUGGGCUCAAGUCUGGAAACUUGAUUGCUAGUCGAUCGUUUCUACACUUGAACUCUUAUAAUUUGGUCGGUUCUGUGACAUGUGAUGGGGGUUGUAUUCUUGUGACAAUGACCUUUUCUCCAAUCUACACAUGGUUAGAAUAAAUAAUAUGUAUGUAUACACAAACCUGUGAGAUGGCAGGGUUCCAGAAUGAUGGAUCUUGAAUGUUCAAGCACCCUGGGUUCCAAAAUCUUGUGGAAUCAUGUCGCAAGGUCGAAGUGGCAUCUGAUGUCAUGUCUAUUCCAUACUCAAUAGAACAAAGGGGUAAUCCUACUAAAGCUAGUCAUACACUAAAUUACCAGACAUCAAGAUCAUUAUUAGAAUCUUUACGCCAAUUGCUUCCCCGGCAACGGUGCCAAAAAUGCUUGUUGGCAUUUCUUAACACAAUCACCAAAGAUAGACAAAAAAGCCUCAUCCCCAGCAAUAGUGCUAUUAAUGCUUAAUGACAUGCGUUAGUGCAAAAAGAAAUAUAAAAGAUUCUGCAAGCGCAUAGAACAUCAUCGUAGCAUUUUACCGGGAGUAUUCCACGUAUCGUUAUUUAUAAUUUACCAUAGGGAAGCGGGGUUAAGAAUCUUGAUAAUUCACUAUCCUACAUCUACUUACUUAGAGUAUCAAAUAAACUAAAGGAGGGAUAAAUGACAUACUAUAAUAUAAAUCAAUUAAGUGUAUAUAAGAGAAUUCGAUGAUCCAAUCCUGAAAGACCACUCUUUCGUCUAAGGAUGCCUAACCGCAGCAUCGAUCAUUCGGGGGGUCGAGACACUGCGAGGUGGGUAGUUUCUCUGAAGCGGAUGCCUCCUAAAGAGUAAUGGAGAUGUGCGAAGGUAGGCUCAAGCGUUGAUUCUGCUCAUGAGCAUAAUGGUAUAAGCUAAAUGUAUAGAUAGUUAUAGCAGGAGGACAAUGUGAAAGAUUAAGGUUCCUUUGUACUUCUCUAUUACUUAGGUUUAGGGUAUCCGAAUAUGAAAAGAUAUAGCAAUCAUACAAUGGCACUUUGGAGCAACAGUCAUUGCUAAAAUUAGAAAUAAACCCUAUCCCCGGCAACGGUGCCAAAAAUGCUUGUUGGUAUAAAUUAACUGCACUCCAUUAAAUAAGUUUUAAGUAGGAUUAUCUGCAAGCGCACAGAUAUCAUACCAAUGUCACAUUUUACCUGGAGGUUUUAAAUAUCAUAUCCAUAGGGAACAGUUGUGAUGAUGACAAAGUAUAUAGACUUAACCCUACAAUUAGGCUAGAUCAUAUCAAGAAAAAGGAAAUAGCUAAUGCACUCUGAUUCUGACUCCAGUAAACUUUGUAUAAUAUCGUCUUAUCGGGCAAGUAACCCAAAUAGGAGAAGAAACAGAGUAAUCUCCUACCAGGCACCUAUAAGCCUAUCAGUCCUAUGAACAGGAAGUAGACUACAGAGGAAUCAACAUAGCUAUAAAGUCACCUACGCAUGCUACAACUGUCCGGCUGGUCAGGGGACAUCCACAAGUAAACCUAGCCUAGGCACCACGCCUACACUAUAAAUACUACUUCAACCAAGUAAUGAAUAGAUCAAAGCACUCAAUAUGAUUUAUGAACCAAAGGACGAAUAAGAACAAGUUGCUUACUUAAAUCAGAAUGGUAAGUACAAAAGUACCUCAGAACGUAGCUCCAGAUGAGAGAAUUGGAUCCAGACGAAUACAGCCAUGAAGAAGCGCCGACAGGCCGAAACUCCUCUAGAAUCUCUACUCCUCUACUCAAUCUCUCUAAUCUCUAAACAAGACUAGAUCUAGAAGAACUAGUCUCUCCUAAUUGCUACAUCUAGAUGAACUAGAACUAGAUCAAUUAGAGGGACACUAACCCUAAUUAUGUAGACAAUAUGAAGCACCGGGGUGUAGAAUGCCUCUAGGGAGGGGGUAUGUCCCUUUUUUAUAGCCCGGUGGGAUCGAUGUGCGCCGUAGGAUCAAACCUACUUAACGAAGGGCCGAGAUGCAUUAAGAGAGGCGGUGGAGGAAGCUUUCGAAAGGCGGUGGCUAGAAACCCUAGGGGGACGUCGACCGGCACUAGGCGGCCGGCCCCACCUUGUUUCCUCUACGGGUCUCGUUCCUUCGGGUGUCUUCUAGAGCACUUGAAUCCCUCUUUUUGGCUCUGUAUGAAAUAAACCCUAGAAAACACAGAAUAUGCAAAACUCGUGGAAAUUGUCAGUUUAAAUCAUAGGCUAGUGUGUUUUCAUGUUCUCCUUUGGGUCUAAAGUUCUAAUAAAAGUUGACGUUAUCGACCGUCAACAAAGACUAGGAAGAAAGUAGUCGGGGAAGGCUACCGAAAAGCUCUACAAAACAUCAAUCCAAACUUGGUGGAUUACAAAGGCCUAACAGGGCUAUGACCCCUGGGGCUACCACACUAUACGUGGGAUUGAGCGCUACCUUAGGAAAACUAUAGCCUAGACACUAUGUCUACACUAGCAUUUACUACUCUAAUUACCAUGAAUAACUAGAGCACUCAAUACGAACAAAGGUCCCAUGCCAAGAUAUAACAACUACACUAAACAUAAAUAAGCAUAAAGUAAAUAGAGAAGAUAGUAUAUUAAAGCAUACGUGUUACAAAGAAAAGAUAUGAAGACAUACCAAAACUCUAUAGAAGACUCCUCCAGAACCGAACAUAGCUCCGCAUCCCCUAACUCCUGACUAGAACUAAUCUACUACAUUGGAAUGUCUAGCCCUAAUUCUCUAGAGAAGAGAGGUCAUCCAUUUGAGGGAUGCGUCUACAACUCUUAACGAUUCUCCUCUAGGGGGGUGAGGCCCUUUAUUUAUAGCCCCCGAGGAAGCACCAUAGCACUUGGAUCAAACUGACUCAAACGUGUGCUUAAGAUUAAUCCUCAAAGUCGGUAGAGGCAGGAUCCAUAAGGUUCUCCCUCAUCGGUCCACCUGGUCGGGCGGCAGCCCCUGACAGGGUGGGGCGCCCGCCCCUACCCUUUGACAGGUGGGCCCCACCUUUCGGGUGGUAUCUUCUCGAGCCUUCUAGAGUACUUUUGAGCUGACAUUUUGUAACACCCUAGGUGUUAAGCAUGCACUUAGUCUUAUCAAAGUCAUGCAUAAGCAUUCCCAUCAAGCAUAAGCAUCAUGAGCAUGUCACUCUUUUCAAAAUAUGAUUUUAUGUGCUUCAUUUCAUGAGUUAUAAAUAUGCUAAAAAUAUGAUACUUGCUCCUAAAAUGGUGAAAUAUUCAAACUAGGUUGAUUUAUGUGUAAGAAGAAUUUAGAAUAUUUUUGUGCAAUUUUUGGAGCCAUGGAAAUUGAGAAAUGGAAUUUAUACAAAAUAUCCAAAAUGAAUUUAUUUAAAAACAUAGAACUAAGUUUUAAUUUGUAAUUCAAAUUCUAUUUAGUAUUUGGUCUUGCUUAUUAAAGCAAAGUUGUAGGGUUUUUAGUUUGGAACAACUUUGCCUUUGGGAUAAAGUGGUGAAAAUGAUUUGAAAAUGGCCAAAAUGAAUUUAGAAGAGAAAUUGAGAAAAGAAAUUAAAAAAAAAAUAGAAAAGGGAAAAGGGGGCGCUAGCAGGCCGCGCCCUCACUUCUGGCCCGCUGGCCGAAGCCGGCCCGGCCCGCCCGCGCCUUCCCCUUCCCCUUCCCCGUGCUCGCGCCCGCGUCCGCGCGCGGACGGCCUCGCCGUGCCGCCGUGGCGCGCCGGCAGAGCCUGGCCGCCGCGUGGCGGGCAUGCGACGGCGUGGAGAGGCCCUGGUCGGCCACCAGGAGCCCCCGGUCGCGUCCGCCGAAGCCCCCGCUCCCAUUUGCGCCCUCCACUCGCGCUCUCGCCUCUCUGCUCGCUCGCGCGCAGCAGUCACCGCUCCGCCGCACGCCAUAGCCGCCGACGGCUCGGAGCUCCUCUCCCGGCCAGCUCCGGCCCUCUCCUUCCUCUUCGCGACCACCACCGGCUCCGCCUCGUCCUCCCGCGUCGCGUGCUUGCGCUCUUCCGCGCUCGGUGAGCCCCGCGUUCUCGCUAGAGCUCACCGGAGUGAGUCGGAGCUCCGGCGACCUCUCGGCUCGCACGGUUCUCCCUCUCCUCUCUGUCUCUGCUUGCGUUCAUAGGUGCCUUGGAUCCGCCUUGGCCUUGCGCACCUUUUCGCGUCGUUAGCUUACGCUCUACCGCCGUGAAACGGCCGGACCACGGCGAGCAGCGCCGCCGCGUCCGCCAUUCGCGACGGCGAGGUAGUUCCGGUGCUCGUCCGGUGCCAAAGAGGGUACGGUUGGACUCGUCUCGUUCUCGCGAAGCCGUAGGUGCUCCCGGUGUCGCCGGAAACCUCACCGGCGGCGAGAUUCCGGCCGAUCUUUGGCCGCGGAGUCACGGGAUGGAUGACAGGUGGGGUCAUCUGACUCGCGUGUCCCGCCUGUCAGUGACUCCGAGGGUUUGAAUCCGGGUGCGCUUAGCGUUUUAGGUUGUUUUCCGUUUUAAAAGUUUUUCCAGAAAAUGAGUUAUGUAUUCAAAAAUCCAUAUCUUGAGGAAUAUAGCUCCAAAAAUUGUGAAAUAAAUUUUGGUGUGUUCCUUAUUUCCAGAUCUAUAGCCUAGUAUGUUUGCAUGUCAUGUUUGAGUAAUUUUUCUCUGUGAAUAUAUUUAAUCCAUGUUUUUGCUAAACUUGGAAAAUGCAUAGUAAAUAAAAUAGGGUUCAGAAAAUGUGAAACUUGAUUUGUUGGCUCUGCAUGUGUGUUUACUCACUGGGAAAAUAUAGUUACAUAUUAUUUGGUGUAUAAAUGAAAUUAUGUUAAUUUAAAUGCUUGCAUGGCAGUGAUUUAUGAUUUUUAAUAAUUAUUUGGGUCAUGCAAUAAAUCUGGAAAAUUUUGUGGGUAUUUCUUAUGAUAUUAGACAAAUGGUAAAAAUAUGAAAUCUAUUGUUUGACAUUUAUAUCACAAUGAAGUAAUUAUACUUACUUUAUUAAUUAAUCUUGUGAUUUUUGAGGCUCAAAAUAAGUAACCAAAAAUUAUGAAAAAUUUACAGUAGACUUUAUGCUUAGCUGGUAGUCUCCUGUAAUUUUUGUGGAAUUUAUUGUUGAACAGAAUUGCAUGUGAUUUUUAAUGGGCCUAGAAAUGAAUAAAGAAAAUUAUGAAUGGUUGUGUAUAUAGGUUGAGUGGAAUAAGUUGGGUUUGGUGUAUCUUUGAAGCAUCAGGUGGGUUGCUGGUUGCAUUUGAAAAAUAAUUGUAGAAGAGAAUGCAAUAGAUGUUUGAUUCAAUUGUUUAUUCUUGGAUGAUGUUGACUACCUUGUAAUAAGCAUGACCAAGUACAUCACCUAUGCAUCAUGUCAUAACUCCUUUAGUACUUUCUCAUACAAACAUCCACUCGGGCAUCUCGCACUCCACUCACGAGCACACAUGCAUCAUACAGGCUCGCAGGAGAACGAGGUGGGACCCGAGGAGCCAGAGGAGAUUCAGGAGCAGGAACCUCCGGAAGCACAGGAACCCGGAGAGGAACUGCAGGAGUGUCCAGAUCACCGACCCAGCACGUUUGAGAAAGGCAAGCCCCGGAGCAUUCUAAGUCUCCCUAUUCUCGCUAACUUAUGUGAUGCACUAUACUUGUUCUACUAUAUUGCAUUUAAGUGGUAGGAGUUGCCUGAUACCGUUGCUGCAUGUAUACUCCUUGUUAUCCCUACUCGUUUAUCUACCUUGUCCUAUGUAGAUAGGCGCGGAGUCUAUGCUUAGCUUGCUUAGCCCGGUAGAAGUCGGGUGAUUCCCUAUCACCUGCGAGAUAUAGGUGGAUACCUGCUUGAUUAAGCAGUGGUUGCUUGGGGAAAGGAAUAACCAAGUGUGGAAUGUAAUUGGAGACCGGGCAGGGUCUUAUGGUGGGCUGACCAUAGUGCCCCUGCCUGUGUCGAUUAAGGACCGAUCGUUGACGGCCCUCUUGUCAUGUUGAACGCAUGCCUCACACUUAGCUCGAAGGAUAAGUUGUUCCGACCGCGAAGCCUGAACACUAUCUGGGCCGAGAAUCGAGCCGCCAUGCGCUGUAUUGGUGAUGUUGAGGAGAACGACGAGGGCGCGGCGUGCAACCUUGGUAUACCUUGGAUACCUCGGUCGCCGGAACGGUCCUCGGGUACUGGCGGUGCCUGCCGAACCCGCAAAUUGGUCCUGGAUAGUGUAAUACGGUGAUCUGUAGCUCACUUGAUCAGUGAGUGUGGUUUGUGUGGGGAAUACCUCGCCAGCUGGUUAGAAAUCGAUUCGAAUCGCCAUCGCUCCUGGACAGUGAGCACUUGACAUGAGCCCUGUCCUCGUAGUAAGGACUAUGGAAAACUUGGGUUAUAAUGAAAGGGAUUUAUGACUGCUAUGAUGAGGUACUAUCAUAUCACCAUACUUGUUGUGAUAGCACAGGUGCAAACCUAGGUAAUAGGUAAUGAUACUUUCAACUUGAGCAAAUUAACAGAAGAAAGAUUUAUGUAGGUUAUGGUAAUAGAACUUUGCGGUUUUUGCAAAAUGGUUGUCAGCUACCCCACUAUAUAGCCUUCAGGAUCCUUAAAGAGUCUUUAUUUCAGUUUGUGACGGGUAAAUCUAGCUGAGUACCUUCUCGUACUCAGGGUUCUAUUCCCAUGUUGUUUUGCAGAUGGUCAAAUGUACUAUGGUUAUUGCAUCCUCUGUCUGUACCCAGCCAUGGGUGAUGAUUAGACCAAGGGCGAUGGUCACUCCGUCUCUUCUUUUGCUUUUGUGGGAAUGACCAAACUAUGGCACUGUAUCAGACUAAGUGCGUGUGUUGUAUUUUCGAACUAUGAAGCUUCCGCUACUUGAAGAACUUGGUUUGUAAUAACUUAAGCACUCCGAUGUAUUUUAUGAAUGUUGUAAUCUGGAUGUACUUGUGGAUGGCGACCGCUAAACUUAUUACGAUCUUGGCUGUUGUACGAUGUGUGGUUUGAAAUCCUUCAAGAUUUCACGGACUACCGGGAUUAUAUGGGCUUAAGCGUGAUGGUUUGACUAUGCAAAUGGUCACUGUCAGGCUUAAUCUCUUAUAAUUUGGUCGGUUCUGUUACAGCUGGCAUCGGAGCAAGGUUUAGCGAGUUACUGUUCAUAAGUACGUUCUAAACAAAGUCUAAACCGGUCUAAUGAAGGAUUUUAGUAAUUAAUAAAGAUCAAGGUGUUAAACUAAGUUUUGGAAAACUAUCUAGUGUGCCAUGGUCAUAUCCUUUAUGCCCAAUUAAGGACUCUAAGGUGGCUAGUUAAGUACUAACGUGGGGGUGAAUGCAUCAUAUUUUAUUUUGUCGCUCAUACGACGUGCAAUAGUAUGAGUGCCAUUCAUUUGAGUGGUAAUGUAUGGAUCAAUUUUUCCUCUACGCCACGGUAAGUGGGAGCUGUGAGAGCAUGAUCGGAUACACUGCCGGUCUAGGGGAGUGUUGCUAGGUGCUGUGCCAUGCACACCUGUUUGGUGUGUCUUGGGAACGGUACCGCAUGUUGGGAAUUCCGUCCUGAGAGGCGAUGCCGUCAUUAGGGCGAUGAUGUGGGUAGCAACACAUCACAUGCAUGGACGGGUGUCUGUGUAUGUGAAGUGCAUAGUUUUAAAAAUUCUUGUUCUACAUGAUCAUAUUGUGGGUGGGAUGAAAUGAGUUUUCUGCAGGUACCCUAACCACGUUCUCGCUUAGAAUGCUAGUUACGUUAUGAGCGAACGUUGUAUGCCAUCGCAUAUACCGCUUAGUGUUGACCUUGUUUCUAAGUUUGUGAGGUCGUAAGUUCGUGCAUGCAUCAUGUUCAUGUCAUAUCAUUGCUUACUUUCUCCCUUAAUUUAAUCUGUCCCAAUUCUAAAUAAAAUAAUUAAAGGUAAUCCUCGCUCUUACCCACGGUAUUCCAUUUGCAGCAGAUGGCACGCACUAGGCUCACCGCUCGCAAGUCCACUGGUGGGCGGGCCCCUCGCCAUCUGUUGGCAGCUAGGAGCUCGCGACAUAAGAGCAAGUUCCUGGAGGAGUUUGGGAUGCCCACUUUGCUUUGGAGGGUGCUCAGUUCGAUGGGGUAUCCCGAAGGAAGGGAGCCUCGCUACUAUUGGGAUAAGGAGCCGCUUGGUGACGAGACCCUGGUGGGGAUCGAGGCAGUUGUCCCUACCAGUGGAGGAGACCCUGCCUGGGGCGGCUGGGUGUACGAGUCCCGAGGUGUCACGCCUUUCCACGGUGCCAGCAGGGCAGCUUUCGCAGUUCUGAGGGACCUCAUGGAGAGGUUUCCACAGGAGCUGGCCCACGCCUUCGCUGGGGUGUUUCCCCGGGGUGGCCCCUACACUUCGGUCUGGGAUCAGUCCGAGGUGAAUGCUCUAGAGAGGAGUGCGGAUGAGGACCAGCACAGUGAUAGUGCAGCUAUGAGUGCUAUGUACGCGCUGAUGAAGACUUAUGGAGGCCUGGAGCGUUGUUUGGGUCGUUUGUCCGGGACUCUUCUCACCGUUCAGGAUGAGAAGCGUCAGUUGCAGCGUGAGUUUGACUCUGAGGUUGAGAGGCUGCAGGCAGAGUUGGCCCGUGUGGCCAGAGAGAGAGACCAGGCAGUCCAGAAGAAUAGUGAGCUGAGUCAGGACCUGACUGCAGUGCGUGAGCAGAAGGAUAGGGUGACUACUGCUCAUAGGAACUGCGAGCACAUGCUAGUCCAUGUCCUUGGACAGAGGAAUGAAGCCUGGCACGAGGAGGACACUUUGAGGGCCCGAUAGCUGGAGCUAGAGCAGCAGCUAGCUAAUGCUGAGGAGUACAAUGAGAACUUGCAUGAGGAGAUCCACCAGCUGCAUAACCAGCUCCACCUUCACCACCUGCCUAGAGCAGCUGAGCUAGAUUCCGAGGAUGAGAUGGACGCGGAUCCCGAGAUAGGAGCAGCUGCUAGUGGAGAUGAGGAUGAGGAUGGCUCCGGCAUGGACAGUGAUCAUAGCGACUAGAUGCUAGGGCUCUAGAGCUAGUCCUUCUUCGUUUGUGUUGUAUGUUGCAUGGCAUGUCGUGUACUUUUGGAUCUGGGCUAUGUAAGACUUUAUGAGUUAAUGUUGAAAGUCCAGUGUAUGUAUGCUGGCAAGUUGGAUGUACGUGAACCUUGUUGCGUGAAUGUUGAGUAAUCUGUUAGUGAUGUUGUGCGUAGAUGAUGAAUUGUUGUGCCUCUGUUUAUUGUGCGAAUUUAUUCCCUCAGUAAAUUCAGUACGACAUGAUUAUACACAUUUCUACCGAUUGAUGGCAACUCCUAACGAUUGAUUAUCAUUGGCGUAUGCAGAUGGUGCAAACACGUGGCGGGGGUAACAGCAAUCCGGGUCUUGGAGCAGGUACAUCCGGAGGUGGGGCUCAACGGAAUGAGGACAGAGCACCAACACCGCCACCACCACCGCCUCCUCCGUACACUGCGGACGUGUUUUUCACGCAGUUUCUGGGGAGCCAACGCAACAUGGAACAGAUGCAGCGCAACAUGGAAGAGGCUCUGCGCAACAUAGCUGACAACACCCGUCGUGGGGAUAACCAGGGCGCCCGUGAAGUCAACCAGUACAGUUCGUUCAAGGACUUCAUGGAUACCAAGCCACCAAUCUUUAAGGAGGCUUUGGAACCACUCAAAGCAGAUGAGUGGAUCAACACCAUGGAGCAGAAGUUUCGUCUUCUUCGGAUGACCGAAGAGCUUAAGGCUGAGUAUGCGGCACAUCAGUUGCAAGGACCCGCUGGGAUUUGGUGGUCCCAUCACCGUACCACCUACCCAGAGGGGACCCCAAUCACCUGGAGCCGCUUCACCAUAGCUUUCCAGGGAAAUUACAUUCCUCCUGGUGUGGUUGAAAUGAAGGUUGGGGAGUUCAUGAGGCUGUCCCAGGGGACGAAAUCUGUGAAGGAGUAUUUACACGCUUUCAAUAAUCUCGCUCGUUAUGCCCCCGAGUUUGUUAACAUGGAGGCCAAGAAGAUUGCUAGUUUCCAGAGAGGCUUGAAUCCAAAGAUGCUGAAGACCAUGGGUACAGGGGCCAGGGCUACCUUCAAUGCUUACAUCAGUGACUGUCUCACCCAGGAGAGCAACAACAACAACUACAGUGCAUCCAAGUCACGUAAAAGGGCUUUUGAAGCAGGAUCAUCCUAGUCCAGGGCACCAGUGACAGGGCGACAGCAGUAUCGUCCUCCUGCCCUAGGUGCUAGGUUCCGACCGCCGCAGAGAAGGAACACCGGGCAUCCAACGCAGCAGAAACCGUACAAAGUGGCGAUAGCCUCUGCCAAGCCAAAGGCAUUUCAAGCCGCAGCACCUGCCGUCAACAAUGCGCCCAAGGGUCUGUGCUAUAACUGCCACAAGAUGGGGCACUUUGCUAAGGAAUGUCCCUACCCCAAGAGGCAGCAGCCAACCUAUCCAGCUCGUGUGCACCAUACCUCGAUCGAGGAAAUCCCGGAAGGAGAACCGGUAACAGCUGGUAUGUUUUCUGUCAACCAACAUCUUGCAGUUGUUUUGUUUGAUUCUGGAUCAUCGCAUUCAUUCAUGAUCCAAGCAUUUGCACAAAAGCAUAGUCAACCAGUUACAGAUCUGGGUUAUGGCUACCACAUCAGCUCAGCAGGGGCAGAUGUGUUGACCAAUAGAGUGGUCCGAGGGGCAACCCUGGACAUAAGUGGCCGAGUUCUUCGGGUGAAUCUAGUGGUCAUGCCUGGGUUAGUUCUGGAUAUUAUCAUGGGCAUGAACUGGAUGAGAGAAUGGGAUGCUGUCAGAGAUACUGGAAAGAGGAUGUUAUCUCUCAGAGAACCAUAGGGCAGUAACUCUUUUCAAGUACCUCUGCCCCGUCGUCUUGACUUUGCUAGCAUCUCCUGUGUUACGCACGUGGUUCCUUUACCACAGAUCCCAGUAGUCUGUGAGUUCCCUGAUGUUUUUCCCGAGGAAUUGCCAGGACUUCCCCCAGAUAGGGAGGUAGAGUUUGCAAUUGAGUUGAUACCAGGUACAGCACCAAUAUCUAGAAGGCCGUACCGGAUGCCACCAAACGAACUCGCAGAGUUGAAGAAGCAACUGAAGGAGUUACUAGAUAAAGGGUUCAUCCGGCCAAGUUCGUCGGAAUGGGGUUGUCCAGCGUUGUUUGUGAAAAAGAAGGAUCAAUCGUUGCGCAUGUGCGUGGACUAUCGUCCACUCAAUGCCGUGACAAUCAAGAAUAAGUAUCCCUUGCCAAGGAUUGAUAUCCUGUUUGAUCAGUUAUCCAAGGCAAGAGUGUUUUCUAAGAUAGAUUUGAGGUCUGGAUAUCACCAAAUCAAAAUUCGUCUGCAAGAUAUCCCGAAGACUGCUUUUUCCACCAGAUAUGGGUUGUAUGAGUAUCUUGUCAUGUCCUUUGGGUUGACAAAUGCUCCUACAUACUUUAUGUAUCUGAUGAAUUCAGUCUUUAUGCCAGAAUUGGAUAAGUUUGUUGUGGUGUUUAUCGAUGAUAUCAUGGUGUAUUCAGAAAAUGAGCAGGAUCACGCCGAACAUCUGAGAAUCGUGCUGACACGAUUACGAAAGCAUCAGUUAUAUGCCAAGUUCAGGAAAUGUGAGUUCUGUUUGAAGAAAGUUCCUUUCCUAGGGCACAUUUUGUCUGAAGAAGGGAUUGCUGUGGAUCCAUCGAAAGUGCUGGAAGUCAUGGACUGGAAGGCACCAACGUCUAUCUCAGAAGUUAGAAGUUUUCUUGGUCUGGCCGGGUAUUAUCGUCGUUUCAUACCUGACUUCUCCAAGAUUGCUAAGCCAAUGACAAGUUUGCUACAAAAGGAUCAUAAGUUCGUCUGGACGGAAGGGUGUGAGUUAGCCUUCCGCACCUUGCGAAAGUUGCUAACCACUGCUCCCGUUCUGGCACAACCUAAUAUAGAAAAGCCUUUUGAUGUGUUUUGUGACGCAUCGAAGAGUGGCUUGGGGUGUGUGUUGAUGCAAGAUGGCAGGGUGAUAGCUUAUGCUUCCCGACAGUUGAGAAAGCACGAAAUCAACUACCCAACGCACGACCUCGAGUUAGCAGCAGUGGUACAUGCUUUGAAGAUUUGGAGACAUUAUCUGCUGGGAAAUAAGUGUCACAUUUACACUGAUCAUAAGAGUUUGAAGUAUAUCUUCACUCAGUUCGAGCUAAAUAUGAGGCAACGACGGUGGUUAGAGUUAAUCAAGGACUACGAUCUGGAAGUUCACUAUCAUCCGGGCAAGGCUAAUGUGGUAGCAGAUGCGUUGAGUCGUAAACCGCACUAUCAUGUGGUUCAACCGUUGUUUGAAGAUGGGUUCAAUCUUAUGCAUCCUGAAGUCUUAUGUCACAUACAACUCAGUUGUUCACUCGAGAGUCAAGUCAUUGAAGGACAGAAAACAGACAAGGGUAUUUUCCACAUCAAAGAGAAGAUCAAAGAUGACCCAAAAACUCAAUUUCGAGUUGAUGAGAAAGGGGUACUGUGGUUUCAACAUCGGUUAGUAGUUCCGGAAGAUCGGGAAUUGAAGAAUCACAUCAUGGAUGAAGCCCAUCUUUCUAAGCUUUCUAUUCAUCCUGGCAGUAGUAAAAUGUACCAAGACUUGAGACCCCACUUUUGGUGGACCAAGAUGAAGAAAGAAAUAGCCGCCUAUGUGGCCCGUUGUGACACGUGUUGCAGAGUUAAGGCCAUCCAUAUGAAACCUGCAGGUCUGUUACAACCGUUAUCAGUUCCGGAGUGGAAAUGGGAAGAGGUCAGUAUGGACUUUAUCACGGGUUUACCGACGACCAGGAAGGGGAAUGACUCGAUUUGGGUAAUCAUAGAUCGAUUAACCAAAUCGGCCCAUUUCAUCCCUGUGAAGACUCGUUACCGACCUCCUGAGUAUGCCGAUAUAUAUAUGGCUGAGAUUGUCAAGUUGCAUGGUAUUCCCAAGACAAUCAUAUCGGAUCGGGGACCGCAGUACACCGCCCACUUCUGGGAGCGCAUGCAUAAGAGCUUGGGGACCAGUCUGAUAAGAAGCACGGCGUAUCAUCCCCAGACUUCAGGUCAAACCGAGAGGCUAAAUCAAGUGUUAGAAGAUAUGCUGAGGGCCUGUGUGCUAUCAUCCAAGGGAUCGUGGGAAUCAUGGUUACCUUUGGCUCAAUUCUCCUACAAUAACAGUUAUCAAGAGAGCAUCAAGAUGGCCCCGUUCGAAGCUUUGUAUGGUCGGAGAUGUAGAACUCCGUUAAACUGGGUUGAACCUGGUGAAAGAAGAUACUAUGGUAUCGACUUUGUGAAUGAAGCAGAGAAAAAGGUGCAGAUCAUACAGCAACAUAUGCAAGCGGCACAGUCACGACAAAAGAGUUAUGCUGAUAAGAGAAGAAGGCCACUUGAAUUCAAUAUAGGUGACUGUGUAUCUUAAGGUUACACCAAUGAAGAAAGUCCAACGUUUCCGAGUUCGAAGCAAGCUUGCACCCAGAUAUGUGGGACCGUACCAAGUACUAGAAAGGAAAGGCCCGGUGGCCUACAAGAUUUAGUUACCUGAAGAAUUGAGCUCGAUCUUUCCGGUCUUCCAUGUGUCGCAACUGCGGAAAUGUCUGAAGGUACCUGAACAAAGAAUUGAACCUCGAGGAAUCAAGAUAAAAGCAGACCUAGAGUAUAAAGAGCAACCAGUGGGAAUUGUGGAUACUAAGGAACGAGUAACCCGAAGCAAAGUUGUCAAAACUUAUAAAGUGGUGUGGAGUCAUCAUGACGAUAGGGAUGCCACCUGGGAAACAGAGGAUUACUUGAAAACAGUUUAUCCAAAAUUUCAUAAGAAAUGGUUAGUAACCCAAAAUCUCGGGACGAGAUUUCCCUAAGGGGGGAAGGGCUGUAACACCCUAGGUGUUAAGCAUGCACUUAGUCUUAUCAAAGUCAUGCAUAAGCAUUCCCAUCAAGCAUAAGCAUCAUGAGCAUGUCACUCUUUUCAAAAUAUGAUUUUAUGUGCUUCAUUUCAUGAGUUAUAAAUAUGCUAAAAAUAUGAUACUUGCUCCUAAAAUGGUGAAAUAUUCAAACUAGGUUGAUUUAUGUGUAAGAAGAAUUUAGAAUAUUUUUGUGCAAUUUUUGGAGCCAUGGAAAUUGAGAAAUGGAAUUUAUACAAAAUAUCCAAAAUGAAUUUAUUUAAAAACAUAGAACUAAGUUUUAAUUUGUAAUUCAAAUUCUAUUUAGUAUUUGGUCUUGCUUAUUAAAGCAAAGUUGUAGAGUUUUUAGUUUGGAACAACUUUGCCUUUGGGAUAAAGUGGUGAAAAUGAUUUGAAAAUGGCCAAAAUGAAUUUAGAAGAGAAAUUGAGAAAAAAAAUUCAAAAAAAAAUAGAAAAGGGAAAAGGGGGCGCUAGCAGGCCGCGGCCUCACUUCUGGCCCGCUGGCCGAAGCCGGCCCGGCCCGCCCGCGCCUUCCCCUUCCCCUUCCCCGCGCUCGCGCCCGCGUCCGCGUGCGAACGGCCUCGCCGUGCCGCCGUGGCGCGCCGGCAGAGCCUGGCCGCCGCGUGGCGGGCAUGCGGCGGCGUGGAAACGCCCUGGUCGGCCAACCAGGAGCCCCCGCUCGCGUCCGCCGGAACUUCACGGCCGAUGUUUAUAGUUCAUGACAGCUGACGCUGCCGUCUGGUCGUGUUCUUUGGGGCCUUUUCUUNNNNNNNNNNNNNNNNNNNNNNNNNNNNNNNNNNNNNNNNNNNNNNNNNNNNNNNNNNNNNNNNNNNNNNNNNNNNNNNNNNNNNNNNNNNNNNNNNNNNNNNNNNNNNNNNNNNNNNNNNNNNNNNNNNNNNNNNNNNNNNNNNNNNNNNNNNNNNNNNNNNNNNNNNNNNNNNNNNNNNNNNNNNNNNNNNNNNNNNNNNNNNNNNNNNNNNNNNNNNNNNNNNNNNNNNNNNNNNNNNNNNNNNNNNNNNNNNNNNNNNNNNNNNNNNNNNNNNNNNNNNNNNNNNNNNNNNNNNNNNNNNNNNNNNNNNNNNNNNNNNNNNNNNNNNNNNNNNNNNNNNNNNNNNNNNNNNNNNNNNNNNNNNNNNNNNNNNNNNNNNNNNNNNNNNNNNNNNNNNNNNNNNNNNNNNNNNNNNNNNNNNNNNNNNNNNNNNNNNNNNNNNNNNNNNNNNNNNNNNNNNNNNNNNNNNNNNNNNNNNNNNNNNNNNNNNNNNNNNNNNNNNNNNNNNNNNNNNNNNNNNNNNNNNNNNNNNNNNNNNNNNNNNNNNNNNNNNNNNNNNNNNNNAGAAAAAAAAAAAACAACCGAGAGGCCGCCGAGACUGAGCGGCACCAUGCAUUAAUCUGGAAAAUUUGUGGGUAUUCUUAUGAUAUUAGACAAAUGGUAAAAAUAUGAAAUCUAUUGUUUGACAUUUAUAUCACAAUGAAGUAAUUAUACUUACUUUAUUAAUUAAUCUUGUGAUUUUUGAGGCUCAAAAUAAGUAACCAAAAAUUAUGAAAAAUUUACAGUAGACUUUAUGCUUAGCUGGUAGUCUCCUGUAAUUUUUGUGGAAUUUAUUGUUGAACAGAAUUGCAUGUGAUUUUUAAUGGGCCUAGAAAUGAAUAAAGAAAAUUAUGAAUGGUUGUGUAUAUAGGUUGAGUGGAAUAAGUUGGGUUUGGUGUAUCUUUGAAGCAUCAGGUGGGUUGCUGGUUGCAUUUGAAAAAUAAUUGUAGAAGAGAAUGCAAUAGAUGUUUGAUUCAAUUGUUUAUUCUUGGAUGAUGUUGACUACCUUGUAAUAAGCAUGACCAAGUACAUCACCUAUGCAUCAUGUCAUAACUCCUUUAGUACUUUCUCAUACAAACAUCCACUCGGGCAUCUCGCACUCCACUCACGAGCACACAUGCAUCAUACAGGCUCGCAGGAGAAUGAGGUGGGACCCGAGGAGCCAGAGGAGAUUCAGGAGCAGGAACCUCCGGAAGCACAGGAACCCGGAGAGGAACUGCAGGAGUGUCCAGAUCACCGACCCAGCACGUUUGAGAAAGGCAAGCCCCGGAGCAUUCUAAGUCUCCCUAUUCUCGCUAACUUAUGUGAUGCACUAUACUUGUUCUACUAUAUUGCAUUUAAGUGGUAGGAGUUGCCUGAUACCGUUGCUGCAUGUAUACUCCUUGUUAUCCCUACUCGUUUAUCUACCUUGUCCUAUGUAGAUAGGCGCGGAGUCUAUGCUUAGCUUGCUUAGCCCGGUAGAAGUCGGGUGAUUCCCUAUCACCUGCGAGAUAUAGGUGGAUACCUGCUUGAUUAAGCAGUGGUGCUUGGGGAAAGGAAUAACCAAGUGUGGAAUGUAAUUGGAGACCGGGCAGGGUCUUAUGGUGGGCUGACCAUAGUGCCCCUGCCUGUGUCGAUUAAGGACCGAUCGUUGACGGCCCUCUUGUCAUGUUGAACGCAUGCCUCACACUUAGCUCGAAGGAUAAGUUGUUCCGACCGCGAAGCCUGAACACUAUCUGGGCCGAGAAUCGAGCCGCCAUGCGCUGUAUUGGUGAUGUUGAGGAGAACGACGAGGGCGCGGCGUGCAACCUUGGUAUACCUUGGAUACCUCGGUCGCCGGAACGGUCCUCGGGUACUGGCGGUGCCUGCCGAACCCGCAAAUUGGUCCUGGAUAGUGUAAUACGGUGAUCUGUAGCUCACUUGAUCAGUGAGUGUGGUUUGUGUGGGGAAUACCUCGCCAGCUGGUUAGAAAUCGAUUCGAAUCGCCAUCGCUCCAGGACAGUGAGCACUUGACAUGAGCCCUGUCCUCGUAGUAAGGACUAUGGAACACUUGGGUUAUAAUGAAAGGGAUUUAUGACUGCUAUGAUGAGGUACUAUCAUAUCACCAUACUUGUUGUGAUAGCACAGGUGCAAACCUAGGUAAUAGGUAAUGAUACUUUCAACUUGAGCAAAUUAACAGAAGAAAGAUUUAUGUAGGUUAUGGUAAUAGAACUUUGCGGUUUUUGCAAAAUGGUUGUCAGCUACCCCACUAUAUAGCCUUCAUGAUCCUUAAAGAGUCUUUAUUUCAGUUUGUGACGGGUAAGUCUAGCUGAGUACCUUCUCGUACUCAGGGUUCCAUUCCCAUGUUGUUUUGCAGAUGGUCAAAUGUACUAUGGUUAUUGCAUCCUCUGUCUGUACCCAGCCAUGGGUGAUGAUUAGACCAAGGGCGAUGGUCACUCUGUCGCUUCAUUUGCUUUUGUGGGAAUGACCAAACUAUGGCACUGUAUCAGACUAAGUGCGUGUGUUGUAUUUUCGAACUAUGAAGCUUCCGCUACUUGAAGAACUUGGUUUGUAAUAACUUAAGCACUCCGAUGUAUUUUAUGAAUGUUGUAAUCUGGAUGUACUUGUGGAUGGCGACCGCUAAACUUAUUACGAUCUUGGCUGUUGUACGAUGUGUGGUUUGAAAUCCUUCGAGAUUUCACGGACUACCGGGAUUAUAUGGGCUUAAGCAUGAUGGUUUGACUAUGCAAAUGGUCAUUGUCAGGCUUAAUCUCUUAUAAUUUGGUCGGUUCUGUUACACGUUUCACGUGAUCUCUCUAUGUAAAUCUAACAUGUGGACCUCCUUUUAUUCUUAUUCCGAUAGACAAACACCAAAACUUAUGGAAUUCUAUUAGUGAUAAGCCCUAUAGCUAGAUAGUAUUCUCAUUUUAAUCCUUUCUCAUGCUAUGGUGACAGUUAAAAAGAGUACUUCUCUACCGUCAACAUCCCUGCAAAACAUAGUUAACUGAUUCCGACAUCUAAACUUGUAGGGCAAAAACUCUAUUUUCUCGACCUUUUUUGCAGUUCUAAAAUCUCCGAACAUAGCACAUGGAGAAUCGAAUGUAAAUUUUUUUCUUUAUGAUUUUUGUUUAGAGAUCGUCUCAAUCCAUGUUAUAGAUCAAAAGUUAUGGUUCUUUUAGCGAACAACACUUUUCCCGGCAAUCCGUCGCCCAAUAGUAGAUCCCAUCUACUACCGCCGCACAUCAUAUGCGCCCGACACUUGACCUAGGGUUCAAUUGGAUCAAUCUGAUUGAUCUCUAUCCGACCAUGACUAGAUUUACAUGUAUCACUUAACUCGGAUGGUGGAAUUUCGACCGGUACGAGUUGAUCGUUACAAUACCAGCAUAGCAACCAUAAACCAAGAUCAGAGACUCAUCUAAAACUGCACAUAUGUCUAUUUCGUAUCCAAUCAAAUCUAUAACAAUGCAGUAACAAUUUUGAUACCACUGAUGGAUUAUGAGGACACUACGCUAGCUAGAAAAUAAAAAUUUUGACCUCAUAAAAUAGGAUCAACUGCUAUUUAUAGAUCACGGGAUUACCACUAGGCGCACAUGUGCAGUGGAAGUGACUCUAUGUAGUCAUGCACAUAGUAGCAAUGUCGUGCAGUUGUGUGGUCAUCCACCACGUCAAUCCCUCUCGCGUGGUUCAUCCUUGUGCUCUAGAUGCAGCACCUCCGAGGUAUCCCACACGUGCGGGGAAGAAGCGUUACGCCUUCAGACUGCUAGGUCCACGAGGAGUAAUAGGCACGAGCGUGGGUGAGCGGUGGUGGCUGCCUAAUGGCACGAGAUAACCAUGGCCAUGCCCCCUCCUUGUCUUAUAUAGGCAUCCUCUAAUCAGCGCCGAGUUGGAGGCCUAAUUAGAAAACCGUAAGCCUUGUCUAAUUCGGGUCCAACCCGAAUUAGGCUUCCAGCCCCUUAAGUGUCCAACCUAUAACACCCUAGUGCUAUGGUUGCAUUCUAUCUCUUGCAUGACAUGAGCAUAAUCAUCAUCAUUUCAUUUCAUGAGCAUCAUGUCAUGUGGAGCAUAUCAUUUCAUGUGCUAUGUAUGCUUUUCUAUCUAAUUUAUGCUUGCUAUGCUUAUGAUCUUGUGUACUUUGUGCUAGGGUGUGUUUACAACCUUGGUAAAUAGUUUAUCUAUGCUUAACAUGCCCUAGGGAUCAAUGUUCAUGUUGGUCACUUGCUCUAAUUAUGCUUCUAAGUCAUAGUUUGUCAUAAGGUGACCUCUUGACCACUUUUGCUUAGGCUUUUAAAAAAUGCUUCACAAAAUGUUUGCAUGUCAAAAUUCUCUAAACCAACGUUGUAGCAAAUUUUGUAAGGAACUAAAAUUGUUUUAGGGACAUCUCAUGAAAAAAUGAUCACAAUAUGCUCAAAAAGGGCGCACAAUUCGAUUUGGAUGCUGUUUGGACAAAUUUUCUAAGUCUUCUACUCGACACAGUUUGCUCGAAUGAACUUUGGUGCUUUGCAUCUUUUCAUCUAGGUUGAUUUGGCUCUUGCUCCAAUUGACAAAGUUAUAGAUCCCAUUUGGUUCCUCAAGUUUGUCAACUGCACCAUCUCCUAAUUCGCAAUGAUUUGGGAGUUAAUCAUCGUUGAAAUAGCUAUGUCAGUCGGUGUUCGAAGCCCUGAUGGCAUUCUUUACGCACGCGUGCUGGCCUACCACAGCAGACUCGGGCUGCCAUCUGGCGACCGUACACUAUCAUUGGCCCCACCGGUCAGGUCGUCCGUGCCUUCAUGGCUACCACGCCACCCCACACUCGCCCAGCACCUCUCCCAGUCGCUCUGCUCUCUCUCUCUCUCUCUCGCUCGCGCUCUCUGACGGUAGCGACACCAUCGCCAUUGACGCCGAGCGUCUCACGAGCUCCACGCGCCCUCAUCUUCACGCCGUGCCUCCUCUCCGAGCGUUAGCGAGUCCACCACGAGCUCCUUCUUCUUCUCCAUCUCUCGGUUGCUCAAGAUCGACCCAAGGUAAGCUACAUUUCUUGAGUUCGCCGUCGUCAAAUUCACGGCAAACCUCGGCGCUCCCCUAUCCUUACCCUCUUCCUUCUUUCCAAGUCGCAUUAGGGCUUACUUAGGUCCGCGUCUUACCCUGCGUCACAUCCUAUAGCUAAUGGUGACGCCACCGAGCGGAAACACGACCACCGUGCCACCGCGCUCACCGCCGGCGACCACCCCGCACGUCGGUAGGUUCACCGGAGCCCGUAGAGUUAGGCCUUUCCACCUAGGAAGCUCCGCGCUAACUCGCUAAUGUUGUAGCUGCCUCAGUCUGAUGCUCUACCGACUCGAGACGGUCGGCGUAAGCUGGGAUAGCCCCGCUGUGCCGCCAUGACCGAUGGUGACCUUGCUCUGUUACUCCAGCUCUCGCACCACCAGCCUCUAUCGACGCGGAAGGACUCAGUGAACACCCUGGUGCCCUUGGAUCCACCGGAAAAGCUCACCGUCGGCGAGCGUGUCGUCUGGCUUCUAUGUCACUGACACGCGGACCACGAUGUCAGCGACCCCGUUUCCCUCCUUCCCAUUUAUUCAAUUUUAUAGAUUUUGCUCAAUCUUGCAAAAUUCAUAUCUCGUAUUUCUGAGCUCCAAAAUGUGUGAAACCAAUUUUGUGAUCUUCUCUGAGACGGAUAGUUUUUAUUAAAAUUAUAAAAUGUGCCAUGUUUUCUGUGAAAAAUAAUUAUUAUAAAUUAAUCUUGAUUAGUCAAAGUAAAUUCAUAUAUUUCUGUGUAAGGCUCCAAAUGUGAUGAAAAUUUUAUGGCAGGCUUUGUAUGUUAGUAGUAUGCUCUGGUAAUUAUUUAAUAAUUUUUGGAUGUUGUAUGACUGGUAUGUAAUUUAUACUUGCUUGAUUGCUUAAAUCCUUGUAUAAAUCACUAUAAAUAAUGCAUGCUUUUGCUGGUGUUCUACUUUGGCAUGGUUGGUGUUCAUGAUAGUAGAAUCAUAAAGAUAAUCUAAAAUCUGUUGUUUGACACUGUUUAACCUAAGUUUCCUAAUUUAUGGUUAAAAGCACCUUGUCAAAUGAUAAUUAUAUAUCUAAAGUUGGGCAUGUGCAAUUGCCCUGAAACUUUUAUGGUGAUGAGUAGGUGCCAUGCAUAUGCUUCUGUAAUUGUUGUUGAGUUUUCUGAGUACGUAUGCAUAUGUUCCUUAAUUAUGCUCUUUUGUGGAAAUAUAUUAAUAAAUGCUAUAUAAAUAAUGGUUUGGUAAGUAACAUAUGGUUUUCUGUUAAUCUUGUAUCAUAUGUGUUCUGGUGAGUCACUUGGUUGACUCUAAAUAUACUUUUCCAUGUUAGUAAAUAAUUAAUUUAAGGUUAAUUAACCUUUCUGGACAUCAAAGGAGUAAUCUGGUAAUUGCUUGAUGCUAAGCAUGUUUUCUGGGGAACUUGUCUAUACAAAAUUUGUUGUAAACUUUAUGCUCUAUCUGUGGUUAAAUUUUGGUGGCAUUUGGCCUAGUGGUUUAAAAGUUAUAGCUGUUCUAAGUCAGGUUCCAGAAGAAGGUGUUCUCUGUUUGUCUCGAACAGAACCUUGAACUUUUUUAUUUGACCUGUUUAACUUGUGAAUCAUGCUUAUGUGUCUAAAGAUGAAAUGUAGAUAAUUUUAUAACCUUUGCAUAAUGUCUUAAUUCAUGUUUGUAGGAUCUGUACAUCUCUAGUUAUGGUCUGUUCUCUGUGCUGCCUUACUGAGUAUAAAGUGAUGUUGGUUGGUGUAGCUACUGUGUAUCUUUGUUAAGUCUUGUGGUGUUCUUAGGUAAACUUGUUGAGGAGUUUACUCUGUAAAUGAGUGUCUAGUGAGGGUCUAUGAUAGUAAUCAUGUGAUGCAUCCAUCAUUCCCUUGUAUGUACACAUCCUUUACUCAGUGCACGUACAUGCAAUAGGUGCAUCGAAAGUCGGAGCUCAGUACGAGAUCGAGAGGGUGAACCCGGAAGACCAGGAGAACACAAAGGAGCCGGAGGCCCAGCCAGUAGGACCCAAGGAACACGAAGAAGAAGUCAAGUGUCCGAGUCACGAGCCCACGUCGUUCGUGAUAGGCAAGCCCCGGAGCAUUAUAAGUCUCCUAUUUAUUUUACCAAGCAUGAGUAAAUAUGUUAAUAUCUAUUGUUGCAUUACGUAUAGAAGUUGUAUGAAACCCUUGCUGCAUUAUAUCUUUCCUUGUCUAGAUAUCUUACCUUACCCUGGUAUAGAGUCAGGAUCGAGUAGUAGCUUAGGCAUGCUUAAACCGGUAGAAGUCGGGUGAUGUCCUGACACCUACGAGCUAUAGGGUCUCAUAAUAGAUCACGAUUGAAUAUAUUUGCUAUCGUGGAAAAGAACCUGGCUAAAAUGACUUAAGCCAGGCGGAGUUUUGCAAGGUGGUAGUAACUCCAUCUAUGGCAGCUAAGGACCGAUCGUUGUACGUCCUCUUGUCAUGUUGAACGCAUGCCUAACACUUAGUUGGCCGGAUAACUCGUUCUGACCAUGAAGCCUAGUAGUAUGACUCAGGCUGAGGCCGGAAGACCGCCAAGUAUAAAGUGCGCACUACUGGAGGAAGUGUGGUGUGCGGGGGGCCAUUGGCGUAAGACCAAGGGUAUGUGAUUUAAAAGUCCUAAUUGUCCUGGCAGAGUGGCAGCCCUGGGAGUGCGGCGUUGAUCGCAGCCGCAAUUCCUGAGUCGUACCAAAGGUGACCCGCUUGCUCUCCAACGGGGAAUGCAUGGGUGAGUGCUAGAAAUAACCCUCCAACUUGACAGAGCAGCGGCAAACGUAGCAUUCACUACGUACUCAAUGGUUCUAAGAUGAUGAUAAUGAUGGCAAUAAUGAACAAUUUGAUAAAACCAGAUAUGGUUAUUAUUGUGUGAUGUUAAUCAAGUGAGUGCUUUAGUAUAGGUCCUAAUCUAGUGGCAGGUUAAUGAUAAUUAACUUGAGGCUAAUAAGAAUGGUUUAUUUAUCCAACUUAAGCUCUUUAUGCAAAAACAUGUCAAGCCAGCUCCACUAUUUAAAGUUAGCCUUGCAUGACCCUUGGUGUCCUUGUUUUGGUUAGACGAGUAAGUCUACUUAUUCCUACUUAUUGCAGAUGACAUCUUCUAUGACAGUUUCUACAAGACCUGUCUUCACCCUGCUAGGGAUGAUGACUAACCGUUGGGCGUGGUUCUCUAAGACUUCGUACCUAACUUGCUUUUGGUGGAUGUGAUGAGACACUGGCUGUAAUAAAGUUGGUUUGAAAACAAUGUUGCUUCCACUACUAGGAACUUGUUUUGUAAUAACUUAAGUGAACUCUGAUGUGUGUCGCUUCGUCGACCUUGUAUGAAAUGCUAUAACAAUCGAUCUAUUAUGCUGAACUCAUUACAAUCUUGUUCCCAAGUUGGUUGGAAAUCUGUAACACCCUAAAUUUUGCUUCUUUGAAAAUAGAGAUAAAAUAAUUUAUUUUGUAUUUCUGUGCUCAUGAAAAUAUAGUAAAAUGAAAUUUUCCUUAAAUUAAAAUUCAUCAUAGGGUUUAGCAACAUUGUUGUGCGUACAUGCUGGAACAUAUGUUUAAUGUGAUGUUUGUUUGUUGCUCCUUUGUGUGUUCAGAGUGAACAAAGUUUUUAAAAUACGUUUACUCUAUCUUUAUCUCCGAUCAAAUUCCUUGUUGCUCAGCUCAAGUUUUUAUUUGGAGCUUCCUAAAAUCUUUUCUUUGUCACCCAAAUCGCUUCUUUUGAUUUCUCAUCCAUCAAGCAGUCUCUACAAACUUUUAUGGAAUUUUUCAGCUUCUGUUCUCACUUUUCUGUAAGUAUAAUCUAAUUUUUAGAGGCUCCAAAAUAAUCUUAUCAUGGACUCUAAAUAUUUUAUUUGAGUUCCUCAUGUUCCAUAGUGUCUCAGAGCUUUCAGAAUAUUUUUCACAGUUUAAAUAAUAAUUCUAGACUUUUCUAGAAUUAUUUUAUCUAUAAAAUUAAAUAAUUCCGAAAAUAAUAAAUCCUUCAUUUUACCUCAACGCUCAGCCUAUGAUCUCAAAGGCCAAUAUAUUUAUUUACUAGUGGACUUAAAUAAAUAAUCAGGCCUAUUAGUAAAGAUCGAGAUUGCAACAUCAAUUAGUACCAUAUUGCUAAUUGAUGUGGAUGUGAAGAGUUUUUCUCCCUAUAUAUAUGUACCAACUCCUUGGGUUAAGUACACCAAAACUACCAUAUGGGGAGCUUCUAGUUUGGAAAAUCGCUCGUAUAGUAAAAUUAUAUUUUUCUUCUUUUGCUGUCGGGCAGCCAUCGUGGACGCUUCUAUGCCCUGCACAAGGCGGAGCUCCCUACCGUGACCAUAGUUCUAUCUACGGUAGCUACCUCUCCGGCCAUCGUCCGUUGGUGAGAAAUCCAGCAUACAGCUCCUUCGUCUCUCCUUUACAUGAUUUGCACAGCUCACUAGGUCAGGCAAUCCUACAGGUUUUGUUCCGUAGUUAAGCUAUAGGUUGGUCAACUUGCAAGCGUCUCGCUCUGGUAUUUUUUUUAUCUAAAGGACCAUGUAUAUCCACCAAAUCUGAGCACAUGACGUGAUUGAGUUUAAGAUCUGUACGUGCACCCUUGAAGUCGUGCUGCAAUAGCUUGUGUCUUCAAUCUGUUUCCAGAUGGCAAGCUAACUUGUAAGUGUCUUGAUGUUCGUAGUUUUUUUAUUGAGCUUGUACUGACGUAAUAUACAUCCUAGUAACUAUGUUUUCUAUUAUCAAGUAUCUCUAAAUUUUAUAUUUUAAAUAGUAAUAUGAUUAAUAUGCACGCAACUAGUUUUAUAAUUAACAACCACAUAAGCAUAAUACUCUGAUAUUUUAUACAUAUAUAUCUUAAUAUGUUUAAUCGCUAUCACCAUAUUUUAUACAUAUACAUCUUAGUUUAAACCCACAUCACAAGCGGUUUGCGUAGGUGUUUCGCUUGUCCUUUUAAUUGGCAAAGUUAGUGUUUAAUUUAUUCAAAUAUACAACAAUAUUUAUAUGUACAAUAUGACUAGAUUUAACUUAGCUUUUAAAUUAAAUUAAGAUUUAUCUGAUCUAAAUUAAAUGUCUCUAUGAUUUUGUUUAACUAAUAUAAAAUAAAUCAAACUUGUAGUUGUUUCUUUUAUAAUAAAAAUAUAAACCUUUCAGUAGUCGUUUCUUUUUAUCAUAGCCCUCGGUGUUUCUAGUGUUUUCGUCACCAUAGUAAUUAGUUAUCUUUUAAUACGUUAUUUUCUUUUGUGUGGUGUAUUGUUCUUAGUUUCUUUUAUUUAUUGCUUGUAUGUUUGUCUAUGUGUGGUGUUUGGUAUGAGUAGAGAACGAGAACAAUUUUAUCGACGUUGAAGAUUAAGAGGGCAUGACUAGAAGAUAAUUGGAGAUUCUAUAAAGGAGUUGCUGUGGAUAUUAAGCAAUUGGAUCAAUGCAAGUAUAGCAUUUGGUUUAAUGUUAAGUAAUAAAUGAUAAAAAUGACUUUUUAGCAACUUGAUGAUUUAUCUGUACGUGAUCACCCGGGACAACAGUGCAACCAUGAGGGCUAUAAUGGCUCUGGCUUUAGCUCAGUACGAAGACCUUUUUAGAGGUUACCCAAAAGGGCGCUAGAGGGGCUGAACCGUUUUGGGUAUAGUGUGGCCUCUGUCUGUAUGUGUAUAGGCUGCGCGUCAUUGUGCCAUCGGAAGGGGGGCUCUAUAUAUGCGCGCGAAGGAAACCUUGCGGCCCUAACUUGUUAGACAAACUUUUGAAAGGCUUCAUAGUGAUCCCUGCCGACCUUCCUUGGUAGUGGGUUAAGAGGUCGACGGGCCUCGGGCGAAAGGGUAAAUCAUGACUCAUGGGUAAAGAUGUACAACCUCUGCAGAAUGUUAAAAACUAGUAUACUAACCGAGCUCACGGUCAGGAGCGGCCUUGGGGUCAUCUACAUUAACGGUGAUGAAUCUUGUGUGUUAAAUAUGCUCAUUAUUUAUUAUUUAAUGCUUUAUAUUAUUUAUGCCACAUUGAUCAUGAGAUUGUGGGAUCUAUACAAUUUAGUUGCUAUACUUGUUGAGUUCGACAUGGGCUCACUCUUGCUAUUUCAACCAAACCUCAGGAGAAGUUUAGGCUUGUGAUCAACCAGUCAGUCUAUCCGCUGUUUGUUAUCAAAGGUUAUCUCUUCUAUACUAAGUACGUUAUAUAUUUAUGCAUUGUCUUUUGAUAUUACCCUUUAUUUGUAGCUAUAUGUGAGAUUUGACUUCUAAAACUCACAUAUGGUGCGUAUCUAAUUUUGUUCUUAAAAUGGGCAUUACAAAGUGGUAUCAGAGCAAUGCUGACUGUAUGACGCGUGCCUAGUUAGAAAUUGGUCGUCAUAAGGUUUUGAAAUUGCCAUAAAUCCUUGUUCUAUAACCCUUAAUACUUUUCUCUACACUAUGUCAUUUCCAUUGCUAUUUGUCUCUACCUUGUUGCUUAUUUUAAAAGUCCAUGUUCUCACCUUCACACCUUGAGUUGGAUGCUUUUAGAACCUUCCCUUAUCAUCUUCUUGCGUAUUUGAAAUAUAAGUUUUAGGAUCUUUACCCUUACUAUGAAGAGAACGAUAGUAUCACAAGUUGAGUGAAGUAUGAACCUUCAAUGCUUAAUUGGUUGUCAUUAUGCUUAUGCUUGAUUUGGAUCUUUGUAAUGAGUGCAAUGAUCUUGUGGGAUUCCUCCACAAUUUCAUUUAGUUCAUAGGCCCAAGGUAUAAGGAUUAAUGAAAUAAGUAGUUGGGUUUGGCUAUCUCUUGUUUCUAUCCCUUGCUGAUUUCUGGAGCAGUCUGCAAUAAUCAUGGUGUAUCUCAAGUUCUGAUCGUGCAAAGUUUGUCAACUUUUUCUGGGAACAACUAGACUUCAAGAUCUUUCUCUCAUCGCAGGAAUCACCCUCAUAGCUAUUAUGGUUUGGAAGUUACAAAAAUCACAAAUGAUAUAGAUGGGCUGUCAAGAAUCUGGAACAGUUUCGGUUGAUUACUGUUUUAGACAAAUAUAACUAUAGAAUUUGUAAUAGUGUUCUAUAUAGAAGUUGUAGACAAGUUUCUAAGCUUUUCAAAGGUGUAAGCUGGAAGUUAUUCGGAUAAGUAGAACCUGACAUAUGAUAUUUACACUUGGAUGUUUCUGUACUGUUUCAAAAAUUUGGACAGAUCUAGUAAUUUCCUAUUUUCAGCCAAGUUAAAGUCAUAAUCUGGGAAAACGUUGUAUAUAAAAGUUGUAGAGGCUUUCCUAAGCUUUUCAAAAAUAUAAGGAUCAUCUCCAGAGGAGUUAAGUAGAUCGAGAUAUAACUUCUGGAAUUUACUACACUUUUGCUGAGACAUUGUCAGGAUGGAUUUUAAGUUUGGCUAUUUUACCUAAGCUUAAAGACAGAACCUAAGGAGGUUUUCUACAUGAAAGUUGCUGGGAAUUUCAUAAGUUUUCUAACGGUAUAAUCUAAAACUCCAUUGGAUUAACAGAAUAAGAGUUAUACCUGUUUUACUACGCUGGUCUUUUCAUAUCAUUAGAAUAUUUCAGGAUACCUGUUUGCUCUCUUGCACAAGAGUUCUUUGGGAUGUCGGAAGUUCUCAAUGUUAGUUCACUUCUCUGGAAAACAUGCAAGCUACCUUCCUUGUAUUCCCUAGUUGACCCUUUUAAGGGGGGUAGCCUAGUGAAAGGAGUUACAAGGAGAAUGAUUGGUAAAAGCUAGAUCAUCUAUAAGUACAUCAAGUGCUUGGUAAAGUUGGUUUUUGGAUUCAAGAUAUCAUCCCAUUAAGAGAGUAUUAACGGAGAUAUAAGUCAUUACUGAUACUCAUAUCUUGGAAGUGGUGCUUAUGAGGAUCAGAUGACACUAAAGUCCAUAGAGUUAUAUGCGAGACGUGAGAGUGAAGCAACUCAAUUGUGAUAAAAGGUACCAAUAGAUGGAACUUAGUGUUCAAACCAACCUUGGAUUAAGAGACUUGGUACAAGGAAUUUAAAAGACUAUGAUGUGUAGCAUCCAAAAAGGAUAGGAGAACCAGUCCUUGUCCACCAAUCAAUCUUGUCUUAAGGGGGGUAGUACCUUAAUAUCACUGGGUGAUGCAUUUUUUAAAACUAUCAUGAAGUGAUAACUGUCUUCUGUGAUAUCUCAUGGUUAUGUGCACACGAAGGAGUGAUCUAUGCUACUCAGUGGAAAAUUUUCUUAAUCGCAUCAUCAGGGAAAAGAAUUGAAUAUCAAGGUGUCCCACUCCUACCUAAGGAGGCAUAUCCAUGCUAAGUUAUUAUGUCUUUGAGUUGUAUGAGUCAAAAGCUGGGAGUCAUGAUGGAUUAGAUAUUCUACGGAAAAAUUUGUCCACAAGAUAUGACUAUAAGACAUAAGUGUUUAUCUUUGGAGUGCAAGUUGUGAAGUUGAAAGAGUUAUCGAGAUCUUUAUCCUGUGUUCCCUCAGAGGAGCUGUGUCUCUUCCGAAUCUCGAGGACGAGAUUCAUCUUAAGAGGGGUAGAAUUGUAACACCCUAAAUUUUGCUUCUUUGAAAAUAGAGCUAAAAUAAUUUAUUUUGUAUUUCUGUGCUCAUGAAAAUAUAGUAAAAUGAAAUUUUCCUUAAAUUAAAAUUCAUCAUAGGGUUUAGCAACAUUGUUGUGCAUACAUGCUGGUACAUAUGUUUUAUGUGAUGUUUGUUUGUUGCUCCAUUGUGUGUUGAGAGUGAACAAAGUUUUUAAAAUGCGUUUAGUAGAUCGAUCUUCGUUAACCGGUUCAUCUCUAUCUUUAUCUCCGAUCAAAUUCCUUGUUGCUCAGCUCAAGUUUUUAUUGGGAGCUUCCUAAAAUCUUUUCUUUGUCACCCAAAUCACUUCUUUUGAUUUCUCAUUCAUCAAGCAGUCUCUACAAACUUUUUGGAAAUUUUCCAGCUUCCGUUCUCACUUUUCUGUAAGUAUAAUCUAAUUUUAAGAUGCUCCAAAAUAAUCUUAUCAUGGACUCUAAAUACUUUAUUUGAGUUCCUCAUGUUCCAUAGUGUCUCUGGGAAUUUUCUCCGAAUUUUCAGAGCUUUGAGAAUAUUUUUCAUAGUUUAAAUAAUAAUUCUAGACUUUUCUAGAAUUAUUUUAUCCAUAAAAUUAAAUAAUUCCGAAAAUAAUAAAUCCUUCAUUUUACCUCAACGCUUAGCCCAUGAUCUCAAAGGCCAAUAUAUUUAUUUACUAGUGGACUUAAAUAAUUAAUCAGGCCUAUUAGUAAAGAUGGAGAUUGCAACAUCAACUAGUACCUUAUUGCUAAUUGAUGUGGAUGUGAAGAGUUUUUCUCCAUAUAUAUAUGUACCAACUCCUUGGGUUAAGUACACCAAAACUACCAUAUGGGAAGCUUCUAGUUUGGUAAAUCCCUCGUAUAGUAAAAUUAUAUUUUUCUUCUUUUGCCGUCGGGCUGCCAUCGUGGACGCUUCUAUGCCCUGCACAAGCCGGAGCUCCCUACCUUGACCAUAGUUCUAUCUACGGUAGCUACCUCUCCGGCCAUCGUCCGUCUCCGUUUGUGAGAAAUCCAGCAUACAGCUCCUUCGUCUCUCCUUUACAUGAUCUGCACAGCUCACUAGGUCAGGCCAUCCUACAGGUUUGUUCCGUAAUUAAGCUAUAGGUUGGACAACUUGCAAGCGUCUCGCUCCGGUAUUUUUUUAUCUAAAGGACCAUGCAUAUCCACCAAAUCUGAGCACAUGACGUGAUUGAGUUUAAGAUCUGUACGUGCACCCUUGAAGUCGAGCUGCCUCCACUGUAAUCCUACAAAUCUUUGUCGUUGCCAAUAGCUUGUGUCUUCAAUCUGUUUCCAGAUGGCAAGCUAACUUGGUAAGUGUCUCGAUGUUCAUAGUUUUUUUUAUUGAGCUUGUACUGACCUAAUAUACAUCCUAGUAACUAUGAUUUCUAUUAUCAAGUAUCUCUAAAUUUUAUAUUUUUAAUAGUAAUAUGAUUAAUAUGCACGCAACUAGUUUUAUAAUUAACAACCACAUAAGCAUAAUACUUUGAUAUUUUAUACAUAUAUAUCCUAAUAUGUUUAAUCGCUAUCACCAUGUUUCUGAAUUGUAAAUUGUUUAGUUUAAACCUACAUCACAAGCGGUUUGCGUAGGUGUUUCGCUUAUCCUUUUAAUUGGCAAAGUUAGUGUUUAAUUUGUUCAAAUAUACAACAAUAUUUAUAUGUAAAAUAUGACUAGAUUUAACUUAGCUUUUAAAUUAAAUUAAGAUUUAUCUGAUCUAGAUUAAAUGUCUCUAUGAUUUUUUUUAACUAAUAUAAAAUAAAUCAAACUUGUAGUUGUUUCUUUUGUAAUAAAAAUAUAAACCUUUCAGUAGUCGUUUCUUUUUAUCAUAGCCCUCAGUGUUUCUAGUGUUCUCGUCACCAUAGUACUUAGUUCUCUUUUAAUAUGUUAUUUUCUUUUGUGUGGUGUAUUGUUCUUAGUUUCUUUUAUUUAUUGCUUGUAUGUUUGUCUAUGUGUGGUGUUUGGUAUGAGUAGAGAACGAGAACCAUUUUAUCGACGUUGAAGAUUAAGAGUGCAUGACUAGAAGAUAAUUGAAGGUUCUAUAAAGGAGUUGCUGUGGAUAUUAAGCAAUUGGAUCAAGGCAAGUAUAGCAUUUGGAUUUUAUUUCUGUGACCAUGAUGCUGUGACUAGAUUAAUGUUAAGUAAUAAAUGAUAAAAAUGACUUUUUAGCAACUUGAUGAUUUAUAUAUAAGUGAUCACCCGGGACAACAGUGCAACCAUGAGGGCUAUAAUGGCUCUGGCUUUAGCUCAGUAUGAAGACUUUUUGUAGCUUGUUAGAGGUUUCCCGAAAGGGCGCUAGAGGGGCUGAACCGUUUUGGGUAUAGUGUGGCCUCUGUCUGUAUGUGUAUAGGCUGCGCGUCAUUGUGCCAUCGGAAGGGGGGCUCUACAUCUGCGCGCGAAGGAAACCUUGUGGCCCUAACAUGUUAGACGAAAUUUUGAAAGGCUUCAUAGUGAUACCUGCCGAUCUUCCUUGGUAGUGGGUUAAGAGGUCGACGGGCCUCGAGCGAAAGGGUAAAUCAUGACUCAUGGGUAAAGAUGUACAACCUCUUCGGAGUGUUAAAAACUAGUAUACUAGCCGAGCCAACGGUCAGGAGCGGCCUUGGGGACAUCUAUAUUAACAGUGAUGAAUCUUGUGUGUCAAAUAUGCUCAUUAUUUAUUAUUUAAUGCUUUACAUUAUUUAUGUCACAUCGAUCAUAAGAUUGUGGGAUCUAUACAAUCUCGUUGCUAUACUUGUUGAGUUCGACAUGAACUCACUCUUGCUAUUUCUCCCAAACCUCAGGAGAAGUUUAGUUAGAUCCUGUUGAGUGAAGUUAAUACCCGAAGUUUGGAGUUGUCUAUCCGCUGUUUGUUAUCAAAGGUUAUCUCUUCUAUACUAAGUACGUUAUAUAUUUAUGCAUUGUCUUUUGAUAUUACCCUUUAUUUGCAGCUAUAUGUGGGAUUUGACUUCUAAAACUCACAUAUGGUGCGUAUCUGAUUUUGUUCUUAAAAUCGGGUAUUACAAAAUCCUUCGAGAUUUCGGUUGACUCUCAGGAUUAUAUGGGCUCAAGUUUGGAAACUUGAUCGCUCUAGUGAUCAUUUCUACACUUGAACUCUUAUAAUUUGGUCAGUUCUAUGACACCCUAUGGGUUCAUGUACAUGUAGACAUGGGCCAAGUACUCCUACUCGCCCAACUGUUGACAGGGGCCUCUAGCAAGGUGUGACAACUCCUAUACGCAUGCAAGGAUCAUAUCAAACAAACCACUAGUUACACAUACAUUUUAUUCCCUUGCCACAUGAUAUUUGGUACAACUCGUGGGUUAACACAUAACCCAAGCAUGGGCAUGUAUUUAUUGAUCCAAUCACUUGAGUGAUCUAGUGAUAUCUCUCUCACAUAGAGAGGGGCAUGUUUCAUCUUGAUCAUCUAUGUCUCACAGCAUGUUCCCCGACAAACCCGAAGACCACCUUUAUAACUACCCUAUUACAGAGCAGCGUUUAAUAGUCCCUAAGUAGGUCGUUUCACAUUUGAUAACAUACGACAAUCUCAGGUCUAAGGACAUAACGUACAUGAUGUAUAAAGAGAUAAUAAGAACAUCUCAUGUUGGGUCAGUCCAGCCCCGUUCAUACAUGUGCCCACAUUAUUAGUUUGACAUCUCUAUGUCUAUAACUUGUGAAACAUAGUCAUCAACUAAUACAUGUGCUAAUCUAAUAUUCAUGUGUGUCCUCACAUGAACUCUGAUUAGGGACAACUUUAGAAUAACCAUAUAAGUAAAAGAGUUUCACAAAUAAUUCGCAUAAUUAUCAAUCAAUACAAGUUUUUCUAUAAUAGAUAUUCAUCGAACUCAUAAUAGAUGUCAUGGAUACAAUCGUAAUAUCAUCAUCUCUAUGAGUACCUCUAGGGCUUAUAUUCCCAACAAUGUGUUAAUCCCAAAUUUUGGUGAGACAAGGAACUGCCUGUGGGCCCGCUUCAUGGGAAGGAGCAACGGCCGGAUAGUGGAUUGACUAAAUAGAAGCGUGGAGGAAAGUAGUCGAUCAAGGGAUGUCAAAUCAAGGCAAGACAGAAGAAGACGUGUCAGGUUUUAUUACAAAGAAGGAAUUAGAGUCCGAAUUACCUUUUUGAGUAGUCGUGUAAUGUUAGGACACAUGACUAGGUUCUAGGGCUAUAAAUACUAGAACUUGAUCCUUGUAAUGAUAUAAUCAACCAAAAAAUACAAACACUUUUCAGCUCCGGCCACCAACCUUAGGAGUAGGAGUAAGAGUAGAUCUCAACAAGAUCUUCGAUAAAUCGAGUUGCAUCGGUUGAUUUUGACCAUCGGUUUGCUUGUGAGUAUUGUCAUGGUUCAUGUUUAGUUUAUCACGACUGCAUCUUUCGAACUCGAGUUAAGCUCAAUAUGAACUAGUUAUCGACUUAGAUCUUAUUUGUCAGGCUGCAUUAUUUUAAUCUCUUACAAAGAUCGAUUUAAGUUAAUUUUUGGCUCUAUUGAAUUGACAAUUUAAUAGAUUCAGUAAGUCAUCAAUAUUGUUUAAAGUUUAACGUUUUGUUCAUUAUAACAAUAUUCUGCCCAAUCAAGAUUCAGCAGAUUAGUUCAAGCUUUAAAUAUAAACACUUGUUGCAAAGUUUAAAUAAAUAACGAUUAUCAAGUAAAUUUAAGAUAACUAAUCUGUUGAUCUUGAUUGUUGCAUGUUAUGUGUUCGAGAUAUUUAUUUAAUCAUGAUUAAUUUGGUAACAAAACCGAAUUUACUUAUGGCGAAGUAAAUAGAUCUCGUUCGUGCUUCAUGGAUCCUAUAUCGACUAAAUAGCAGAUCUAGUUAAGCUUGAACGAAUAGCGCAUAUGUGUAAACCCGACUAUAGAAUUAAAUAAAUUAGUAAAUUGUGUUAAAUGUAGCCUGCUGGACUUUAGAGCAGGUGAAUAUAAAUUUAAUAUGUUUAUGAAAGUAACUUAUUAAGACCUUAGUCCUUCAGACCAGUGUUGACGGUCGAUAACGUCAACUUUUAUUAGAACUUUAAACCCAAAGGAGAACAUGAAUACACACUAGUAUAGGGUUUAAACUAACAAUUUGCAUGAGUUUUGCAUAUUCUAUGUUUUACAGAGUUGAUUUCACAGAGAGCUAAAAAGAGGGAUUCUUGUGCAUAUUUACCACGAAACUCAUCCGCGGCAGAAAAUAUGGUCAUCAGGCUCAAGAAGGGUCUAGAAAACACCCGAAGAAACGAGAGCCGUGGAAGCGGAAAGGUGGAGCCGGCAGGCCCCACCCUAGGACUAGUCGGCGCCCAGUUUUGCUCGUUGCCCGCCGCCUUCUGGAGUCUUCCUCCUAUGCAUCCUUGGAAGCCAAGCAAAGUAUCCCUCCAUCGAUUUUAAGUCAGUUUGAUCCGACGGUGCACACAAGAUGAAGACGCGGAUCGCUGACGUGGUGGUUCUUUGCCCCCUACUCCACCUCGACCUAUAUAAUGACGGCCAAGGCUCCCCUCAAGAGGCAUUCUACACCCCGACGCUUCAUAUUCUCUACAUAAUUAGGGUUAGGGUCCCUCUAGUUGUUCUAGUUCUAGUUCAUCUAGAUCUAGUUCAUCUAGAUGUAGCAAUUAGUUGAGAGUAGUUCAUCUAGAUCUAAUCUUGUUUAGAGAUUAGAGAGAUUUAGUAGAGGAGUAGAGAUUCUAGAGGAGUUCUGGCCUAUCGGUGCUUCUUCGUGGUUGUAUUCUUCUGGAUCCAGUUUCUCUCGCCCGGAGCUGCGUUCUUAGGUACUUUUGUACUUACCCUUCUGGUUUAAAUAAGCAUCUUUUUCUUAUUUGUUCUUUGGUUCACAACUCAUAUUGAGUGCUUUGACAUUGAUCGUAACUUGGUGGAAGUAGUAUUUUAUAGUGUAGGCGUGGUGCCUAGGCUAGGUUUACUUGUGAAUAUCCCCUAAUCAGCCGGAUAGUGGUAGUUCGCGUAGGUGACUUCAUAGCUGCGUUGAUUCCUCUAUAGUCCACUUCCCGUUGAUAAGAUUGAUAGGAUUAUAGAUGCCUGAUAUGGGGUUACUCUGAUUCUCCCCUUAUUCGGGUUACUUGCCCGAUAAGACUGUAUUAUACAAAGUUUACCGGAGUCGGAACCAGAGUGCAUUAAUAUUUACUUCUUCUUGAUAUGAUCUAGCCUAAUUGUAGGGUUAAGUCUAUAUACUAUGUCAUCAUCACAUCUGUUCCUUGUGGAUUCGAUAUUUAAAACCUCUAGGUAAUAUGUGACGCUGGUAUGAUAUAUGUGUGCGGAUAAUCCUACUUAAAUCUAUUUAAAUGGAGUGUAGUUAAUUUAUACCAACAAGUAUUUUCGGCGUCAUUGCCAGGGAACAAUUUGUUGAUUUUGAUUUAGUCUAGCUUACUCUUGUAUUAUACAUUUAUAUUUUCCUAUUUUUAUCCUAGUCUAUUCAUUAUUUUUGUGUUCAUCCUUAUUGAUGUUUUUAAUUAUAUUGCUAUUUAUCUUUAUGGCAUGUGCAAAAGCUUAAAGCGUAAACCUUAUCAUAAUAUCUAUAAGCUAUGCCCAUGUCUACAUAAUAUAAUAAACCCUUCUCAAUUAUAUCAUGGGAUCAUUAAUCCUGACCUUGGAUUGUUGGGCCCCAUGUUUAUUCAAAAUUUAGGAUCUUACCAAGAGUUACAUUAAAUCCCUUGAUUUAUCUUCUCGAGAGUUCUUUCUUAUCUUUUAAAAAGCAAGAUAUUAUGCUCAAAAGAGUUGCUCUAGCUAUUUCUGAACUCCCCAAAAGAAGAAAAGAUUUUAUUAUCUAAACUAAAAAUAGAAGUCUUGAUAAAUAAAUACAAUCAUAUCAUUCUUAAGAUUUAGCUAUCAAUCCUAAAUCUUCAAAAUUCCACUUAAAUGAAUUAGAUUUCCAGAUAGCUAAGAUGCUCAUAAAUUAAUGCAUAUCAGAUCUUCUUAGAAGAGUAUCUUGGAAAAAGCAUCAUCAAAUUCCUUUCCUUCCUAAAAAGACAUUGGGAAAAAUUCAAGGAUGGCAUGCCAAGUGAUGCCAUAGAAGGAGAGCCAAGCCACUUAGAAAUAGAUUCUAUCUUCUCCCCUUCUAUGGCCAUAAACCCAUCUCUAAACCCAUCCUUGACCCCAAUGAAUCUUUUUAUGCUCCUUCUAAUAAACUUCAUAACGACCCUAGAAAUCCAUCCAGACAUCCUAAGAAUAGGAGUCAUGAAAAUUAUAGGAAUACCCAAGAAGAGCAACAACAACAGUAGGAACACAUAGAACAUAUUAGAAAUACAUAUGCUAUUGUCAAAUAAUGGAAGAAGAUGAAGUUUUAACACUAGCAUCUAAACUUGGUCUAAAUUCAAAUGUUAAGCUUAAAUUAAUUUCUUUGAUAAAUAAAACUCACCCAAGUUUAGAAAAAGCUUUAGAUGAGACCAACCAUAGGGACAUCAAUUCAUGGGAAAUCCUAGAAAAUAAAAUAUCUAAUAAAUGUCAUAGGCAUGAAAUAAUAGAGGCAAACUUAUUGCCUAUAGACAACUGUUGAUAUUUGGGAACACAAUAAGGAAUUGAUCCGCAAGCGCACGGAUAUCGGUGAGCACUUCACCCGGGAAGUUAUCCAGAGUAUCGUAUUUAUUUUUUUACCACUAGGAGAAAGAGUGCAUCUGACUAACCGGUCUAUUACUACUAACCUUUAGGCACAAAGAAUGUCUUUCGAUAUGAGUGAUAAAUAGAGAAGACUGCAACCGUAGUCUCCUUCUAACCUUGGUAAGGAUAAUCUAUUAUUCUAAUGGGGAGGCUAACGGAAUCUAGACACCACAAAGGAUAUUCAACCCGCACCUAUAAACCCUAUCCUUCCUGCUAACGAGAUGUGAUCUACAAAGGUAACUCGGAAAUGUCACAUUCCUCACUACUACCACGGUCCAGCUAGUCAGGGAAUAUCUAUGAGUACCCCAGCCUAAACACCACGUUUAUGCCAGCAAUGAUUACUCUAAACUCUACGCGAAGAGAUUAAAGUAAACUCAUAAACCAUAAGAACAAUAAAACAAGAACUUACUAGAAUUUAGAAGUCGAAAUACUGAAGAAUCCUAGGAGCAAGCUUCGGGUUAGGAGAACUUGAUCCCGCAGGUACAAGCUUGGAGUAGACACCGACAGGCCGGGCUUCCUCCAAUCUACACCUCCACUCUAUCUCUCUCAAUCUAGUAGAAACUAGAAGAUCUAUUUCUACCUUACAUUGGUUGCUAAGCCUAAAAAGAAAUAUUAAUUAGAGAAGAGGUUUUCCUUCGAGGGCACCCCUCAGUCUCUAAGAUAAUUUCUUCAAGUCUUCUCCAGGGGCCAGGGGGUCUCCUUAUAUAGUCCUUCCCUUCUAUACGUUUUUGGUCGGUAGACGAGGUGGUACUAUGUUUUUCUUGAUCCAAUAGGUCGGUGGAAUAUCCCGUGCGAAGAGAGUCCCGAUUGACAUCCAGCAGGGGGCGGGCGCACAGGUCACCAGGGCGGGCGCCCUGGGCCUAGCCCCUUUCGGCCUCCGUCUUAUUCCCGUGGCUUCUGGAGUCUUCUAGAUGGUAGAAAAUUGCGUGUUGCGUUGUUAUCUCUAUGUAAUCCCGACAUGUGGGCCUUUCUUCCUUAUUUCUUGAUAACCCCCUACAGAAACAGAUAAACAACAAAACUCAUGGAAUUCUGUCAGAUCAAACCCUAAUUCUAGGUGUUGGUUGCAUAUGGGUCCUUUCCCUUGUUUAUUUGACAAUUAAAAUUAAUACUUAAGAACCGUCAACAAAUACCCCCAUACUUAGGCUUUUACUCGUCCUCGAGAAAAGGAUGGUUAAGAAAAAUAUCUGGGGUAAACAUUUAAAACAUUCUUUAUAUUUGCAGGGUGUUAAAAAUCCACUGUGUACCAUAGUCAGGGAUGUUUAUGGUUAAGAGUAAAGAUCCUUUCUUCUCAAUCCUGUCACUUGGAGCUUUUGUAUAUUUUUGAAAGAAAGUUAGCAUACCUUUUUAUCCUCAUAGGUUCUUCUCAGAUCACUCAUUAUCUUUUAUAUAUCUCACUGAGGUUGUUUUAUUUUGCAAAAAUUCUCAAGAAUACUUACUUUGCAUUUAUUGCCUGAUCAAAACGGGAUCCGAGGAGGGGAAUGUCAUACUCUUAGAUCAAAGACUUUGGAAAUUAAAAUCUUUGUCAACUCUUGCUGGCAUAUUGCUUAUUAGAGGGACCAUGGGCUAUCAUUUUUUUUCUUUUUUUUAAGUGGAUACCGAGGUACCCCUAAUUCUACUGCCGGACACUUGUCCAUUUUUUCUGCGAGGUUAUCGAGCACUUGCUCCUUUUUAUUUCCUCGAAAUAUCUCUAUUUUUGCAUAGCCCAUGCCUCUAAUGCAAUAAUACUUCUGAAGAGUGAAUCUUUCUGAAAUAAUGUCUUGAUCUUAGGAGCAUGAUAAAUCUCUCAACAAGGGUCUAACUCAUUUUGAACAAACUCAAUACAGAGUAGAUAGCUUUUGUAAUCAUAAUUAAUAUUUUUAGUUUUAUCAGGCAUAUAAAACACUGAGGAUGGUAGCUAGAAUUUGAAUAUUUUGAAAUAAAUUCUCCAAGCAACAAUGAUAUCAAGAAUAAGAAACUCAUACUCUACCAUCACAUAUUCCAUAUUGACUUAAGUAACAUAGGGUUUUAAAAUGAUUUUAUAAUAGUUGCAAGUUUUCAGAAAAUAUCACAGAUUGAGAUUAACCAUGAUUAGAAAUAUUUUAAUCUUUUUAAUUUAUCAUGUCGGAAACAGUAAUCUGCAUAAUAGAAAUAUGUAUGUGUAAAGUAAAGUGUGCAGAGUGUGUACCUGAAUCGUGGAGUGGUGUGGUCGGAGUGUGUUUAGCAUGUUGAGGGAUCUCCCCCAUACUUGUUUUCUGCUUUCUUGCACAAAAAUAAAGUAGAGACACACAAGACAUAAUAAUAAUAAUAAUACUCUUUAUUAAUCUUGAGGCAUUUAAUACAAAAGACUAGUAGCAAACUGAUAGCAAACUGAUGAUAAUAGUAAACUGAUGAUAAUAGCAAACCUAAACCGAAUUUAAAGAUAAAUGACUAAGAUGUAUUGCCUCAAGGUCUAAUCUAGAUAACUUAGCGGCGCUCUAAUUCCUUGAUCUUCUUGUUGGCACUGGCAAGAUCCUACCUAAGGCCUAGUAUAAUGGUGUUGUGGUUAGAGAGCUGCCUAGUGAGGGAAUUAAUCGAGGACUGGAGGUCUAUAAUAACUCUAUCUAGCCUGCGAACUUCCUCAUCAAUAUCCAUUAUAGUCUUGCGACGCUUGGGAGGUGUCUCGAAAGCAUUGAGAGAGUGCUUCAGGGCUGCCUUUGGAGGGAUGAAACGGACUUUGGCUGCUCUAAUCCCUUCAAAGUUAGGCCUUUCCUCCUCUGUAGUGUAGCGAACACUGCUGAUCUCGCCGCUCCGGUUGGUCUUGACUCCAACGACCCUCUCACUGGGUCUAGGUGGGAGGAUCCUCGUGCCAAUUGGCACCUUGAUAGUGGUCUUUGUCUUGGAUGAUGAUCCUUUGAGGAGUAGGUGUUGUGGCGGUGCGGUGAGAACUGGUUGAGCAUGGUAGGAUUGGGCGGAGCUACGUUGGCGUAAUGGCAUGGCUUCUAGCUGUCUUUCUGUGUUGGCCGGAACGAGAGCACGGGCAUCGGGGUCUUCCACAGGCUCCAUGUUGAGGUUGAAGGGGACGACUUCCCAAUCAUCGUGGUACUUCUCGGCCAUUGGAGCAGCAAGGAACUAAUCAAGCUCUAAUUGAAGGAGAGAAGGCUUGGUGGUUUUGUGUUUGAAAACUGAGGUCAGGGGUCUGUUUAUAUAGGGGUCAAAAAGUGCCUCUAUGGGUUGUUCGGGUUUCUCCCGUCGACGUGCGUGCGAAACUUUCUAUCCGAGGGAUUAUUCGAAUUACUAUAAUUGCAUUUUCCAUAACAGAGAAAGUCAGGACCGAGGGGGAACAGGAGCUGGGUGCCCGCCCUCUCUCUGGCCCCUCUGUGGGCCCACUUUUCCGAGCGCGUUUCUAGAUGCGAAAUUAUUUAGAAAAAUAUAUAUAUGACCCAAAAACAUCAGACUAAAAGUGUCGGGCUCUAAUUCUCCAUGGGAAGGUAAAAAUGGGCUACGUCUAUCUCUUCAAAUUCCUCAUUGGGCUCUAAAAAUAAUUUAAGACGUUGACCAUUUACCUUGAAUAACGUACCUUCGCUAUUUUGAAGUGUGAUAGCUCCGUGGGAUGAUGAAUUAAUUACCUUGAAUGGUCCUUCCCAUUUGCUGCAGAGUUUUCCAUGCUCGAAAAGCUUCACCCUGGAAUUUAAAAGUAAUACCUUAUCUCCGGGUGUGAACUCCUUCUUCUUGAUUCUCUUGUCAUGCCACCUCUUGACUCUUUCUUUGUAGAUCUUUGAGUUGUGAUAUGCCUUCUCUCACCAUUCUUCCAAUUCUGAUAGUUGCAUUCUUCUAUAAUCUCCAGCAACAUCCAGGUCAAUAUUCCAUCUCUUUAUGGCCCAGAGUGCUUUGAACUAUAGUUCAACGGGUAGAUGGCAAGUCUUCCCGUAGACCAAUUGGUAUGGAGACAUUCCAAUUGGGGUCUUGUAUGCUGUCCGGUAUGCCCAAAGUGCAUCGGGUAACUUGUCUUUCCACGCCGUUCCCAUUUCAUUUACUGUCUUCUGAAGAAUAUUCUUGAUUUGUUUGUUGGAAAUCUCUGCUUGGCCACUUGUCUGAGGAUGAUAGGGGGUAGCGACGUUGUGACGGAUUCCAUGUCUUGAUAGAUAUUGCUUGAAGCGUUUGUCAAUGAAGUGUGCUCCUCCAUCACUUAUCACUACUCUGGGAACUCCAAAUCUUGGAAAUAUAAUUUCUUCAAACUUUGAACUGACGUUGUCGGCAUGCUUGCAAGGUAAUGCCUCUACCCACUUGGAGACAUAGUCAACUGCCACCAAGAUGUACUCACACAUCUUUGAUGGAGGAAAUGGACCCAUGUAGUCUAUUCCCCAGACAUCAAAGAGCUCAAUCUGAAGAUUGUUGGUGAGUGGCAUUGCAUCCCUUGUAUUUAUGUUUCCGUGCCUUUGACAUGGCCCACAUCUUCUGAUAUAUUGCUUCGUGUCUUCAUACAUUGUAGGCCAGUAGAAUCCACACUACCAGAUCUUUGAAUGCGUACGGAAUGCUCCAUAGUGACCUCCAUAUGGUGAUGAAUGACAUCUGUCGAUGAUCUUCCAUCCUUCCUCAGUGGUCACACAUCUCCAGAGUAAGCCGUCAGAGCAUACUCGGAAGAGAUAUGGCUCAUCCCAUAUAUGUGAACGACUUUCUUGAAUAAGCUUCUUCUUGUUUGCUCCUGGUGGUACAUACCCUGAAACCAUAAAAUUAACAAUAUCUGCAUACCAGGGGUCAGACCUGUUAAUCCCAUAGAGCAUGUCGUCCCGUUGUGAAUCAUUGAUUGGGGUUUCCUGUGGACUCUUAAAAUACAUUCUAGACAAGUGAUCAGCAACAGAAUUUUCUACUCCUUUUUUAUCUUUUAUUUCUAAGUCAAAUUCUUGGAGUAAUAAGAUCCAUCUAAUCAGGCGAGGUUUAGCAUCUUUUUUAGUGAGCAAAUAUUUUACUGCAGCAUGAUCAGUGUAAACAAUUAUUUUAGCUCCAACUAAAUAAGAUCUAAAUUUAUCUAUGGCAAAGACAACAGCCAGAAGCUCUUUUUUAGUGGUUGCAUAGUUAAGUUGAGCUCCUGUCAAAGUUUUACUGGCAUAAGCAAUUGCAUGAUGCUUCUUAUCUUUAGUUUGUCCCUAUACUGCCCCCACAGCAUAAUCACUAGCAUCACACAUAAUUCCAAAAGGCAACGACCAAUCAGGGGGUUGAAUGAUUGGUGCAGAGAUGAGUGCUUUCUUUAAUAAAUUGAAAGAUGUUAGACAUGCAUCAUCAAAUUCGAAAGGAACAUCCUUGGCUAGCAAAAGAGUAAGUGGUCUAGCAAUAAAUGAAAAAUCUUUUAUGAAUCUACGAUAAAAACCAGCAUGGCCAAGAAAGCUUCGAAUUCCUUUUAUAUUCACAGGUGGAGGUAGUUGUUCAAUUACUUCAAUUUUAGCUUUAUCUACCUCAAUACCUCUUUCAGACACUAAGUGUCCCAGCACUAUUCCUUCUCUAACCAUAAAAUGACAUUUUUCCCAAUUAAGGAUUAAGUGCUUUUCUUCACAUCUUUGCAAAACCUUGUCUAUGUUUUCAAGACAACUAUCAAAAGUUUUUCCAUAAACAGAGAAAUCAUCCAUGAAAACUUCCAUAAUCUCUUCAAUCGUAUCAGAAAAUAUAGACAUCAUGCAUCUUUGAAAAGUAGCUGGUGCAUUACAUAACCCAAAAGACAUUCUACGGUAAGCAUAAGUUCCAUAUGGGCAUAUAAAAGUGGUUUUGCUUUGGUCAUCGGGAUGGAUCGGGAUUUGGUGAUACCCUGAAUAUCCAUCUAAGAAACAGAAGAACGAAUGGUUUGCUAACCGCUCUAGCAUCUCAUCUAUGAAAGGCAAAGGAAAGUGAUCCUUUCUCGUGGCUUUGUUUAGUUUUCUAUAGUCUAUGCACAUCCGCCAUCCUGUGACGGUGCGUUGCGGAAUUAGCUCAUUCUUUUCAUUCAUAAUAACAGUCAUGCCUCCUUUUUUAGGCACAACUUGCACUGGGCUUACCCACUCACUGUGCGGCACAGGAUAUAUAAUCCCUGCAUGCAGCAACUUUAUAACUUCCUUUUUAACUGCCUCUCUCAUAGUGUUGUUAAGUCUACGUUGGGGUUCUCGAGAGGGUGUAACAGAAGGAUCUGUUGGAAUACGAUGGGUAUAAAUCAUAGGACUGAUUCCUGUAAGAUCUUGAAGUGAGUAGCCAAAAACUGAGUGAUGUUUUUCAAGAAUGGUCAUUAAUCGCAGAGUUUGAUCCUGAGUGAGUUUAUCGCUAAUGAUUACAGGGAACUCUGGAUUAUUGUUUAGGAAAGCAUAGGUAAGACCGGGUGGUAAAGUUUUAAGCUCUAUGGGAGGUCCAGGUGUUUCUGCAAACUCAUCUAAGGGUUCAGGCUCAGAAGGUUCGUCUUCUUCUUCAGUGAAGAAAGUAGUUUCGUCUUCUAAGUCUGGUUCAUCUAAAAGCUCUAGAGAUGCAGCCUUUACCUCCUCCAUAGGAUCAGGCAAAAGAUAUGACUCGGCCUUAUUGUUUAAGGAAUGUGAAAUUGUUAUCGGGAAUUUAAAAGUUUUUUCCAAAAGAAAUGUGUAGCUUUCCAGUAUGACCUUCAUAAAGGAGUCUUCUAAAAGGUUGUCCUAUCAACAGGUCGAAGUCCCAUGUAUCAAAGAUAUAGAAGUUCAAAUGAACCAUGGAGCCUUCUACCGUAAGAGGUAGGACAUUAAUAAUUUCAAGACCUGGGACUAACCGUCUCGAAGAUUCCUUUAUGACCUUUGUUGUGGGGGUUAAGACAAGAUUUUUAAAUAGUUUAAGUGCAAAAGAUUCAGACAUGAUGUUGAUCCCCACAACAGGAUUAUAAAGAGCAUUAAAUCGAUCAGAAUUAUAAGCACAGCGUAUAGUUAUAGAGGGUGUGUCCAAACGGAUCACAUCAGAGGAAAGCUCUGAUUCCUCCAACCAUUCGCUACUCAUGACUGAGAUAAGCUCUCUCAAUUUAUAUUCACUUGGCAAAUAAAUGCUAAACUGACCGUUUUGGGGUUUGUCAAUAGAAUGGUAGUUUGAAAUAUUUCCAAAAUCGGCAAAAAGAUCGGAUUCUAUAUCCAGCAUGAAGUCCGGUAGUGGAAUUUCUUCCUCUUGUGGCUCAGAACUUGGGAUAGCUAAAGUAGAUGAAGAAUUUGGUAGAGUGUCUACUUCGGCUUCGUAGGUUUCAUUAUGAAGGGUAUUAUCCAUCUCAGCUUCUAGGAUUCUAUCUAGGAUCACUCUAGCUUCAUCAGCAGGGAUGCGAAAGAAAGAACCUCUAGACAUUGUGUGUAGCAUUUGUUUGUGAUUUUUAUGAAGACCUCGAAAAAAGUGGAAUAAAAGAACAGGGUCUUCAAGAUUAAGGUUUGGACCAGAUUCCAAAAGAUCAGAAAAACGUUUCCAGGAUUUUCCCAAAGUUUCAUUAUCUUUUUGUUUAAAAGAUAGGACUUCGAGUCUAAGGUCGGCUAUACGGUCAAGGGAAUAGAAAUCUAGACAAAAGUUGGCUUGUAAAACUCCCCAUUCACCUUGUUGUUGACUUACCUACUGACUGUACCAUUGUCUAGCUUCUCCCCUUAAGGAAAAAGGGAAAAGCUUCCAACGUAAAGUUUUAUCAGAAAUGCCUUCAAUGCGAACACAAUCACAUGUUUGCUCAAAAUCUCUAAUAUGAAGGUAAGGGUUUUCGUCUUCCUUUCCCGAAAAAGAUAGGUUUUGAAUCAUGGCAAUCAACCUAGAACUUAACAUAUACUUGGAUGUUUGGAUAGGCUGUGAUGAUUCCCAUGGUAAAAGGUCAGUUGCUGAAGGGAUUGCAGACUCAUGGAUUGAUUUAGAAUUUUGGUUUUCCAUAAGGUAAGAAUAAAGAAAAUAAAUAAAGAAUAUAAAAGAUAAGAAAAGAUAAAAGUAUAGUUACAAGCUAGUAGUAAGACUCAGCUUAUCUCAGCAACCGUCUUUCUCCCCGGCAACGGCGCCAGAAAUGCUUGUUGAUAUUUGGGAACGCAAUAAGGAAUUGAUCCGCAAGCGCACGGAUAUCGGUGAGCACUUCACCCGGGAAGUUAUCCAGAGUAUCGUAUUUAUUUUUUUACCACUAGGAGAAAGAGUGCAUCUGACUAACCGGUCUAUUACUACUAACCUUUAGGCACAAAGAAUGUCUUUCGAUAUGAGUAAUAAAUAGAGAAGACUGCAACCGUAGUCUCCUUCUAACCUUGGUAAGGAUAAUCUAUUAUUCUAAUGGGGAGGCUAACGGAAUCUAGACACCACAAAGGAUGUUCAACCCGCACCUAUAAACCCAAUCCUUCCUGCUAACGAGAUGUGAUCUACAAAGGUAACUCGGAAAUGUCACAUUCCUCGCUACUACCACGGUCCAGCUAGUCAGGGAAUAUCUGUGAGUACCCCAGCCUAAACACCACGUUUAUGCCAGCAAUGAUUACUCUAAACUCUACGCGAAGAGAUUAAAGUAAACUCAUAAACCAUAAGAACAAUAAAACAAGAACUUACUAGAAUUUAGAAGUUGAUAUACUGAAGAAUCCUAGGAGCAAGCUUCGGGUUAGGAGAACUUGAUCCCGCAGGUACAAGCUUGGAGUAGACACCGACAGGUCGGGCUUCCUCCAAUCUACACCUCCACUCUAUCUCUCUCAAUCUAGUAGAAACUAGAAGAUCUAUUUCUACCUUACAUUGGUUGCUAAGCCUAAAAAGAAAUAUUAAUUAGAGAAGAGGUUUUCCUUCGAGGGCACCCCUCAGUCUCUAUGAUAAUUUCUUCAAGUCUUCUCCAGGGGCCAGGGGGUCUCCUUAUAUAGUCCUUCCCUUCUAUGCGUUUUUGGUCGGUAGACGAGGUGGUACUAUGUUUUUCUUGAUCCAAUAGGUCGGUGGAAUAUCCCGUGCGAAGAGAGUCCCGAUUGACAUCCAGCAGGGGGCGGGCGCCCUGGGCCUGGCCCCUUUCGGCCUCCGUCUUCUUCCCGUGGCUUCUGGAGUCUUCUAGAUGGUAGAAAAUUGCACGGAGCGUUGUUUUCUCUAUGUAAUCCCGACAUGUGGGCCUUUCUUCCUUAUUUCCUGAUAACCCCCUGCAGAAACAGAUAAACAACAAAACUCGUGGAAUUCUGUCAGAUCAAACCCUAAUUCUAGGUGUUGGUUGCCUAUGGGUCCUUUCCCUUGUUUAUUUGAUAAUUAAAAUUAAUACUUAAGAACCGUCAACAACAACCAUGAAGAGACACCCUUGGAGUUUGAAAAGGGAGAUCAUAUUGUCGAGAAUAUGAAUUCAUUCAUGAAACACCCUAUCAGACCCAUGCUCAGAUGAGAGAUCUCCUGGAUCAAUUAGUCUCUAAUAUUAAGCUCCAUCAUUCCUUCAUUGAUAUGUCAUGCUCUGAAAUCUCUGCUAAAUUCUUGUCAGGUGACAGGAGGAGCAUUGUUGGGACGAGCAACUUGAUAUGACUCCCAUCAGGUCUAAGCUGCUCCCUGAAGUUAUCCAUAAGCAUAUAACACCUUUUCCAUAUCAUUGCAUUGUGAUAUGUUCAGUUGUCUCUGCACAGCACAUAGCCAAUCAUCUACCUCCAUAGGAUCAGCUGAGUGAGUAAAUACCGGAGGUCUUCCCUUCAUAAAUUCCUCAUGCUUAUCUCUCACAUAGACAGGCGGUGGGGUGGUGGUGGUGCAGGUUGAUGCUGAAGGUGCUGCAUAAAAGCAUGCAUCAUCUCAUUCUGAGUCUGCAUGAGCUCUUCCACAGUAAUUGGGGCAUUGCCACCUCUACCACAGCCUCUGCCUCUGCCUCUUCCCCUUGCUGCCAUCUGAAUUCCAAUGUACAGAAACAUAUCUCAAUAAUAUCCAACAUGAUAAAUACAAGAGAUAAUUGAAUCUGAUGUUUUCUGGGCGAUAUCCAACAUUAGUAGUUGAGAAAAUCAGUCAUAUUUCGAGUUCCAUAACUCAAAAGGAGACGUUCUUUACACCGUUGGAAAGAUAAAGAAAUUCUCUACAACUUUCAUUUAGGUCAUAUUAACACAUUCUGUGGAUAAAUUAGCCAAAACAGGGUAUAUCCGAAACUGUUCCAGAAUUCCAGACUACAGAGAAACCUCAACUUUGAACUGUUAUAUCUCACAGCUCUUAAUAGGUAAUAAUGUCAUUAUUGCGGCAUUGGAAAGAUAAUGAAGUCUAGUAGUUCCCAGAAAAAUUUGAUAAACUUUGCACGAACAGAAUUUCAGGUAUAUCAGAAUUAUUGCAGACUGCUUCAGAAAUCAGCAUGAGACAGAAACAGAAUUUUAACGAAACCGAACUAUUUAGUUCAUUAAUCCUUAUGCCUUAGGCCUAUAAACUAAAUGAAAUUGUGGAGAAAAUCCACAAGAUCAUUACACUCAUUACAAAGAACCAAAUCAAGCAUAAGCAUAAUAACAACCAAACCAAGCAUUAAAGGUUCACACUUCAAGCCUUGACUUAACUUGCGGUACUAUCGUUCUCUUCCUAUUAAGGGUAAAGAUCCUAAAACUCCUAUUUCAAUGACGCCAGAAAGUGGUAAGAGAAUGUUCUAAAAGCAUAUCAAGGCAAGGAGUGAAGGUAAGAACAAGUCUUUGAAAAUAAGCAUCAAGGUAAAGAUGAAUAGUAGGGAAAAAGAUAUAGUGUAGGAUAAAAUUUCAAGGUUUAUAGAACUAGGAUUUUAUAGCAAUUUUGAAAACUUAAGAUGGCCAAUUUCUAACUAGGCUUGCGUUCAAUAGUCAAUAAAGCUUUGAUACCAUUUGUCACACCCAAAUUUCAAGAACUAAAUAGAGUGCAUAAAAGACUCAUGUGCGCCCCAGAAACAGUCGCACACAGAAGUUGACAAACCUCAAAUGUUUAUUACAUAGUGGAAUAAUAAUUAUUACAUAGUUUCAAACAAAUAAAGAUACUCUCAAUGGAAGCACCACACAGGGACACUGUCAACAGGUUGACUCCAAGCCUAGUACUCAUAACGGUAGUCAUCAUUCCAGUCGUCUUCUUUAACAUAUCCCGAGGUGUUAUGAAAUAGCAAGAGUGAGCACAUGUCAUACUCAACAAGUAUAACCAGGGGUUCAUGAGGCUUAAUAAGCUAAUACUAGUUUAAUUGCAGUUAGCUUUUAUAUGUAGAUAGCAUGUUUAUAUUUAGAUAGCAAAUGAAAAGGUAGCAUAAUGAAAUCCCAUAACCACAUGAUCAAUGUAUACAAGAAUUAAGAAUAACACAUAUAAACAACAUAAUAAACAAUCAUUUAUCAUCAUUAAUCAUGUUUAUCAGUGUCCAUCUAUUCUGUCAGUUUUCUGGGCCGCCCGUAUUGAUGGGCAUGGCCAGUAUACCAGAUUUAACACUCUGCAGAGGUUGUACAUCUUUACCCAUGAGUCAUGAUUUACCCUUUCACCCGAGGUAGCGAGUCUCUUAACCCCCUUCCUAGGGAGGUCGGCAGGGAUCAGUAUGAAGCCUUUCAAAUGUUCAUCUAACAAGUUUGGGCGGCAAGGUUUCUCCUGCGUGCAAAUAUAGAGCCCCCUUCCAAAUGGCACAUUGACGCACAGCCUAUACACAUAAGGACAGAGGCCACGCUAUACCCAAAAUUGCAAGCCCCUCUAGCGCCCUUUCGGGUAACCUCUAACAAGCUAGAUAGGGUCCUCAUACAUAGCUAAAGCCAGAGCCAUAUAGCCCUCAUGGUUGUAUGAGUUGUCCUAGCUUUUGCCAAGGGAUAAGUCCUUAUGGAGGGUCAAGAUCAAUCUUGCAAAAUCUAGAGUUCUUUCUACCCAUAAUAAUCAAGUUUCUGGUUAGAUUAUUUUAUUUGUUUAUUGUAUAUCCAAAUAUUCAUGUUACAAGAUCAUGGAUUAUAAUCAAGCACUAGCAAGAACUACCCAAAUGUAUAUCCAAAUAGGUAUCAAGGAAUAAAAGAUAACAAUCAUCUAUGAUUUCAUUACGGUUGUCAUGGUGGACACACGCAUACGAUAUAUGUAUUAAAAGUGUGUAGGUAACAAGGAUAGUCUCAAGUUAUACUUGCCUUGACAAAGCUUUCUUGGAACUCCUGCUGGUCAUCAAAAGAUUGGCCUUGAUCACCAACGUAUUGCUCACUGUCUAUACCCGAUCAUCAAUCAGCAACACGCAUUCCAAUGGGGACAAUCAUACACAAAGUAAACAAGCUAUAAUUAGAACAAUACACCAACCGUGGUAAAACAAAUAUAAAAGUUUAUAAAAAUGUUCUACACAGCGCUACGAUCACACAGACAUAAAGAUCAUGAAAAUCAGAAUUAAAACGGAGAAGUUAUUAUUUUUCUAAGAUUUCCCAUAGAAAAAUAAUUAAUUAAAUAGUACCAUGAAAAUAAAAAGUUAGAAAUUGAGAAUACAGUGAUACUAACAUGUAGAGCUCGCAAAGACGAACCUAAUGCAAUUUGAAUGGACCAAAUCGGAGAUAAAAUGAGCAUUUUAUAAGCAUUUUAAAAUCAAUGGCAAACUUGUAAAUACUGAAAAGCGUAUUUUCCUUUAAACCGGCAAGAAUACGUUUUCAGAGCUGAAAAGCGUAAACCCGCCAAGGCGCCAUGGACCGUGGGUUGGUUCUCAAAAAUUCCAGGGGCUCUUUAACAAAAGUUACCCCGAAGGGGUAUCUUCCAAUCCUGAGCGUCGAUAGCAAUUUGGACGGGUGAGAGGGAUCGGGGCGGGUUUCGGCCAGCCGUCGGCGAGCCCCCAGGGUGGACGCCAUGGCCGGCGUCCAAGCUUCGCCGGAGUUCAUCGUUUUCACACUUUAGGGGAUCUCUGAGCAAAAGAACUACACCGGGGGAAAGAGAAUAAAGUCGCAAGCUCACCAGUGCCCUUCGUUCGCGCCGAGAAGGAGUAGAGAGGUCGUGCGAGGUGGCGGCUCGAUUUUGGGACUCAGUGAGAUCCAGUUUGAGUUCAAACGGCGGCUAGGGCUCGGGUUAAACGGCUUGAGUGCGAAAGGGGACCUGCGGGGUGAUGAAGGAGCUUUAUAGGGUGUCCCAAGCGCGAUAAACGGCAACAAAUCCCGCCCAGGCUGGGAUAGGCACGCCUGGUUGCUUUCAGUGGGAGUCCUGCUUGGCUACGUCUCGAAGAAGAAGGGGAUGGAAGCGCUGACACGUGGGCCCGGUGAGUCAGAGAAGAGGGAGGGAGAGUCAAGGCGCUGCCGUGGGGCCGGGGUGUUAGCGACCGUAGGGGAGAAAAGGGGAGGGCGCGCGCAGUAGGCCUGCUGGGCCGGUUUGGACCGAGAGGGGAGCCAGGUGAGCUGGGCCUCGCGUGGAACUGGGCCACCAGGCCGAACCGGAGGAAAGUCUACCUAUUUCAUUUUUCCUAUUUUGUUUUCUAAAGCUUUUUGAAAAGCGAUUUUAAAUCUUUUUGAGAUAAAACAAACACACAGUAAAAUAAGUAAAUAUUCCAGCAUGUAUGCACAAGCAUGUUACUAAACUUAUGAUAAAUUUUAAUUUCAAAAAAAUUUAUUUAUUUACUAAAUUAAAUGCUCACAAAUAUACUUAAAUAAAUCAAAUUAAAUCCUAUUAAUUAGAAAUAAAUUUUUUGGGUGUUACAGGAGUAAAAGAUGGACAAGUGUCCUAACCCAUGUUUUACUGCGAGUUCUAAGUUUAAAAGGAGGGAGUAAUUUUCAAAGAUCAAAAGUAGAAUUAGGAUUUGCCACUAAAUACUAUAUAUAUACCUAUCCACCUUAUUCCAUACACACGCACAUCUUGAUUUGAUUGUAUACCUUGAUUCUCUGUAGAUCCAUUGUUUGACUUUACAAUCUAUGAAUUGCAAGUAUGCUCAUCCAUGUUGUUGCCACUCCUAUAAGCUCCACUAUAUAUAUCCUUAGUUGUAGGAAGGCAUAACCUCAUUAAUGCCUAAGUGAGAUCCAUAAAUACUACAUAAUAAGAGACUUGAGGGUGUCAUACAAUUAAGCUCUGAGUUUGAUUUCGAAAAACUUGCAAAACUCCAGAAUAUUGGUACUGUGAAGAAUUUGAGACAUAGUGCUUGACUUGAUUUUUAUAUCUUUCGAUUACUCAAGACUUAUGGAAAAGUUGUAAAGCUCCAUGGUUAAAGGUAAAAUGGGUAAGUUUAAAAGUUAGACCAGAGGACAAUUUAUGUUUAAAAGUAAGUGUACUUAAAAGAAAUAAAAGCAUUGUAGCAACUCCUGAUCCAAGUUUAUAAAUUAGGCUUGGGUUGUUUGCUAAGGGACUGGCAAAAGGUAAGCUUGGAAGAAUUGUUGAUGGUCGAUAACAUCAACUUUUAUUAGAACUUUAAACCCGAAGGAGAACAUGAAUACACUAGUAUAGGGUUUAAACUAACAAUUUCCACAAGAUUUGCAUAUCUGUGUUUUCCAGGGUUUAUUUCACAGAGAGCUGAAAAGAGGGAUUCUAGUGCAUAUUUACCAUGAAACUCAUCCGCGACGGAAAAUAUCGUUAUCAGGCUCAGAAAGGGUCUAGAAGUCACCCGAAGGAACGAGAGCCGUGGAAGAGGAAAGGUGGGGCCGGCCGGCCCCACCCUGGGGCCGGUCGGUGCCCUGUUCUGCCUGUUGCUCGCCGCCUUCUGGAGUCUUCCUCCUACGCAUCCUUGGAAGCCAAGCAAAGUAUCCCUCCGUCGAUUUUAAGUCGGUUUGAUCUAACGGUGCGGUUCCUUGCCCCCUACUCCACCUCGGCCUAUAUAAUGACGCCCAAGGCUCCCCCCAAGAGACAUUCUACACCCCGGCGCUUCAUAUUCGCUACAUAAUUAGGGUUAGGGUCCCUCUAGUUGUUAUAGUUCUAGUUCAUCUAGAUCUAGUUCAUCUAGAUCUAGUUCAUCUAGAUGUAGCAAUUAGGAGAGACUAGUUCUUCUAGAUCUAGUCUUGUUUAGAAAUUAGAGAGAUUUAGUAGAGGAGCAGUGAUUCUAGAGGAGUUUCGGCCUGUCGGUGCUUCUUCGUGGCUGUAUUCUUCUGGAUCCAGUUUCUCUCGCCUAGAGCUGCGUUCUGACGUACUUUUGUACUGAACCCUUCUGGUUUAAGUAAUCAUCUUGUUCUUAUUUGUUCUUUGGUUCACAACUCAUAUUGAGUGCUUUGAUCUUGAUCGUAACUUGGUUGAAGUAGUAUUUCGUAGUGUAGGCGUGGUGUCUGGGCUAGGUUUACUUGUGCAUGUCCACUGAUCAGCCGGAAAAUGGUAGUUCGCGUAGGUGAGUUUAUAGCUAUGUUGAUUUCUCUGUAGUCCACUUCCCGUUGAUAGGAUUCAUAGGCUUAUAGGUGCCUGAUAGGGGGUUACUCUGAUUCUCCCCCUAUUCGGGUUACUUGCCCGAUAAGACGGUAUUAUUCAAAGUUUACUGGAGUCGGAACUAGAGUGCAUUAGUAUUCCCUUUUUCUUGAUAUGAUCUAGCCUAAUUGUAGGGUUAAGUCUAUAUUCUAUGUCAUCAUCAUAACUGUUCCCUGUGCAUUCGAUAUUUAAAACCUCUGCGUAAAAUGUGACGCUGGUACGAUAUCUAUGCGCUUACGGAAAAUCCUACUUAAAUCUAUUGAAAUAGAGUGCAGUUAAUUUAUACCAACAACAACCAGUGUUAAUGAGUUAUUGUUUAUUUAAUGAACAAAAGGAUAAACAUGCAUAAACUAUUUCCUGUAUACAAGUAAUGUAUCGGCUCAAUAGUUGAUCCAGCCACUUCCAUUCGUAAGCUUAGUAACCUAAUCAUAUUUAAAAGUAGUUCAAUGACUGGAUAACAAAUGUCAUAAUGCAUCAACAUUAUAUUAUCUUUAGGAGUUGACUUUCUAGUCAAUUUUCUUUGGUUAACGGCUAUUUCGAGCCAUAUAUUCUGGAACUAUCUGGCAACAACCGGCAGAUUCUAUAAUUUGACAUUUGUCUUUCUUCCUUAUCAAUUUUAGAUCAAAUUGACUCGCACGCCCCGAAUUCAAGUCACCAAGUUAAACUCGUGCAUUGAGGCUCAGGAGGUCCAGAAGUCUAGCUCCUACACACCCUCUGAGAGCCACCGAGAUUGUAGAGCAAGAAACAAAUUUUUGCACCAACAGAUGGUUAACAACCAACAACACCAUCCAUGUAUGCAAACAUAAGCGAUUUUAUCCGAUGGUGUGCAGAAUGUCAAUGGCACGGCAAUAUUAAUGCUUGAGAUGCUAUGUCUCUCACUAAUAAUCUACAAGUAGAAUUGUUUGAUGUUUGGGGUAUAGAUUUAUGGAACCUUUCCCUAAAACCAAUAAUUUCGAGUAUAUCCUAGUAGCCAUAGACUAUGUUUCCAAAUGGGUAGAAGCCAUGCCUUAUAAUUCGGCCAAUUCCAAAUAUCCCAUGAAAAUUUUUACGGAAGUCAUCUUUCCCUGUUUUGGAGUUUCUAGACAAGUCAUUAAUGAAGGAGGAUCACACUUCGUAGACACACAGUUUAGAAACUUUUUGACAAGUCUAGGAAUCCAACACCAUGUAGCCACACCUUAUCACCCUCAAAAAAGUGGCCAAGUAGAAACCUCUAAUAAACAAAUAAAGAACAUCCUGCAAAAGACAGUAGAGGAAAUGGGAAAGUCCUGGCAUGUUAAGCUCUAUGAUGCUUUGUGGGCAUAUCGAAUAGCCUUUUCUUUGACCCCCUACUGGUAUUUUAUUAUUAAAAUAUUUACAGACUACAAAGAGAGUGCCAAGACUAAAAGUCACGAAACAAAGAAAGUAACCAAGAAAAUGAAAAAAAAUUACAUAAAGUUCUGCAGCCAUAAAAGAAUCUGUGGAUGAUAUUUUGCUUUAGCUCGUAGAAUAACUAGAGCAAAUUCCUUUAUGAAAACUGAUUUGCAUCUUUGCACUGUAUGCGAGAUAUUUUGGAAAAUCAGGUCAUUUCUCAUCAUCCAAAUAGACCAACACAUAGUGAUAAUAAUUUCCAUGAAGAAAGGCGAUUGCAACUAAACUUUGAGGUUCUCUACUAUGGCCAGACGAUCGAAAGCAUUAGGUAUCACGAGAUGAAGAGUGUUCCAGCAAGCCAGCGAGAAGGGACAAUGAAAUAGCAGAUGACUGAUUUCUUCAUCAAUACCACAAGCACAGAGGACACAGCUGUAAUCUUGCAGCUGCAUAUUCUUUCUUCUGAGGAGUGCCCUGGUAUUCAAUCUCCUGUGAAGGACUAACCAAAAAAAGAAUUUCCUUUGUUUUGAUAAGAAGAUUUCCAAAGCCACUGGAAGGAUGGAUGGAUCUGCCUAUGACCAAUGAGAUGUCUAUAGGCUUUCUUGGAAGAAAAAUCUGGAGAGCCCCAGAUAUAGGACCAAGUGUCCUUAACAUCCUGUAUCUGAAGAUUUUGAAUGAGCAACUCCAAAUCCAAGUAUUGAGCAUAGGCUUCUGGAGGUAGAGGUAAAUUAAACAGAUCAUGAAGGGGAUUAGAAUUGCACGCCAAGAAUACAGAGAUGUCUGGGUUCUUCACAAAGGAAAAGAGUUCAGGAAAAGCUUGAUUCAGAAUUGUCCCAUUCCAGAGAUCUUGCCAAAAGAAACAAGACUUUCCAUCAUGAACUGUGACCAUGGCAAUCCCUUUAAAAGUAUCCAAAAGUUUUAGGAUAUCUUUCCACCAAAAAGAUCCUCUAAAAUUUGCCCUUACAAUUGGAAGUCUAUUCCUUGUGUAAUACUUAUCCCAGACCAUCUGAACCCAGGGAAUUGAAGCUCUAUUAAAGAAUUUGUGCAGAUGCUUUAGCAGUAAACUCUCAUUUUGAGCAUAGAGGUUUAGGACACCGAGUCCUCCUUCAGUUUUGGGGAGGCAAACCAGUGGCCAAGCUGCUUUUGGGGGCUUUUUACUUGUCAUGCCCGAGCCCCUCCAUAAACAAUGUUUUCUAUAUUUGUUAAUCUGUUUAAUCACAGUCUUUGGUAGCAAGAACGUGCACAUUGCAAAAGUUGGAAGAGCUGUCAAGACUGCAUUAGUGAGUUCUAAUCUUCCUGCCUCAGUCAAGAAGGAAGAGAAGGCUACAAGUCUUCUUUCACAUUUUGAAACCAAAUCGGAUAGCCUAUUAAACCCCAAUAGGAAUGUCCCCAUACCAAGUCGUGUAUGGAAAGACUUGUCACUUACCCGUAGAGCUAGAAUUUAAGGCUCAUUGUGCCAUAAAGAAGUGGAACAUGGACCUCGAGCUAGCCAGACAAAAUAGGAACAUGCAAAUAUUUGAGCUAGAGGAAUGGAGAGAGAGAGAGAGAGAGAGUGAGCUUAUCAUAGUGCCAAGAUUUAUAAAGAUAGAAUUAAAAGAUGGCAUGAUAAAGGAUUAAACAUAAAGAGUUUCACCCCGAAGAUAACGUUUUACUUCUUAACUCACGUGUGCGUCUCUUUGGUCAUGGUAAGCUUUGAAGUAAAUGGGAUGGACCAUUCAAGGUCGUUGUGGUAAAACCCCAUGGUGUCGUCACACUAGAAAGUGAUGAUGGAAGCUAUUUAAGGUGAACGGUCAACGCCUUAAUGUCUACUUUGAAUAUGAGAAAGAAGAAGCAAGAGAAAUAGACGUGGUAGGAUUUAGAGACCCUGAGCAUUGUGCAUGCUUCUUGAAUGCAAGCAACCUUGGGCCUUAACCCCUUUUAAUGGACCAAAGAAACGACUAAAAAGAUCUUUUCAGGGCCUCUCAUCAACCACACGUGCACAGAGUUCAAAAACUUUGGAAUUUCUGGCUCGGGACCCGGCGCCCACCGACUACACCCGGCGCCCACCAACCCCCUUCCACGAUUUCACGUCGGUUUGCCACGUGUUGGCCGAUCUACGCCUUUGGGAGUUCAGAAUUCCAAAUAUCAUCGAAAACUCGCAACAGAAAGAAGGAUGAGGAACUUUAAAUCCUGGCUCCAUCACUAAUCUUGAAUUAGUGAGAGAAGCAAUAAUACAUGAAACAGCUUGUUCCAGAAUAAAUUUUGAAUGCUCUAGUUUACUCGGGCCUUCCAAUUUUGUCUACAUUGGAUAAUCUUGGCACCAGCAUAUGUUACAAUACCAGCCAUUUCCAUCGAGUACCAUCCUGCACCCUAAACAAAAAGGUAUUCGAGAAUUAAAAGUUGCACCCUAAUCCACUAGCCUGAACCCAUAUUUGAGGGUAUUCGAGGGCAGUGUUCAUAAGCAGGAACAGGAUUUGGAAGCAUGUAGUCACUGAGCUGAGGAUGGCAGCAUAACAGCUCCCAAACAUCUGGAGAGUAUAGCCAGCAAAAAGAGCAUUGGUGGACCAAUUGGCAGCAUAUCAGCUCCCAACACCUGGAGAGGAUAGCAAGCAAAAAAGAGCAUUCGACCAAUUGAGAGCAUAACAGCUCCCAACACCUGGAGAGGAUAGCCACCAAAAAGAGCAUGUAGAUUGCCUAGGGUAACUUGAGGUUGCAAGGUCGUCUAGUCUCAUUCUUGUACUCCCUGCAUCACUUCUCAGAUAAUUUUGGAACUUAGAUGUCAGAGUAGGUACAGCAGGAUAUAAGUUAAUAGAACUUUGCUGGAGAAACCCACAUGCCAAAAGGUUGUUGUUCAUUUUGCAGCCAGUUCACAACAAUCCUGGGAAAUGGAAUGAAAUUAGAGGUUCAACACUAGUAUUCCAGCGAAAACAAAUUUCGUAUGCAAAUGCAAAUUUCGUAUGCAAAUGGACAUGUAGCACUUGAGAAUAAAAUGCACAAAGAAACACAAAUUCUCAUACAAAUUUAGGACCAUUCGGACAACACAUAUGAAAUUACCAUCAUAUCGAGAAAAAAUGCUGGACAUUUCUGUUCACAGAACUGCAAUAUGUGAGAUUACCCACGUCCUAUCCAAAAAGCUGAUGCAUGGAAAUUUCUUUGCUCAUAUAAUUAAGCCAAAAAUAGAAAAAAGAAAUAUAUUAACAUCAUUGCAAAGUAACAAAAAAAAGAAAAAAUUCCCUUGGCUCGGAGAUUCAGUUGGACACUGGAAAUGCAAAGUUAUAGAAAAGGAAAUGCAUUCCCAUGAAAACUUGAGAUAAGAAUAAUGGGUUCAUAUAGUGUGCAUAGGAUAAGAUUCUCACGAUAUUAUGAUAGUUUAACCUUCGUUCAAAAAAAGAAUAUUCACUAACCUGGGCCUGGGAAUUCUUUAGUUCAUCUUUAUACUUCAGUAUCAUCUGGUAAUAUUUCAUCCUCAGAUCUUUACCCUUCUGUUUUACCCUAUUCGUCACAAAGGCAUUGUAUUCCAUUUUAUCAAACGCAGAUUCCUCAUUCUUCUUAAACCAUUCGCAGAUCGCUUCUGUAAUAGCCAUCACAUAUACACCACAGUUAUAUGAGUCCUCCUGCUGUGGCACAGGGGCAUCACAGACAUCUUUGGCAAAAGCAGGGUUCAAUUCUUUUAUUCUUCCAGAAAUAAAUUUCGCCACUUCCUGGUUAGCUGGCCUUGCAGUGUCAUAAUGAUGGAGCAUGUGCCUUGUGUUGUGCAAAGCUAACAAGCUAUAAUGGACCCCAGUAUCAGAAUCAUAGGCAUUCAACUAGUGACUAUUCAGAGGAAUAAAUACUAAUUUAUAUUGAAGCAUUCUUGUGAUACCAUUCUUAUCGUGCAUUAACAUUGUUGAUUCAGCUUGACUUAACAGUAGGAUCUUCUCAUUUCUGUAGGUGGUAGAGAGGAAGGCAAAUAUUCUCUGAAUUACACCAUCAGUUAUCCACCGUGUACCAGUAAGACUUUCUAGGUCUAUUUGCAUCGCUUUAAGCUGUGCAUCACUUAGUCCAUCUGUACGCUCAGAUGGUACAUUAAGAUUUUUUAGGUUUGUAAACAGUGCUUGACGCCGUUCACUUAGUCCAUCCGUACGCUCAGAUGGUACAUUUUCCUGCAAGAAAAAGAAAACCAUAGCACAUUUAAAGCUAUAAGGCGCACUACAUGGCCUUGAUGGGAAACAAAACUAAAUCCGCAGCUGGAUCUUAUGGAUCAAGAAUCUACUUUCCAAAAGUGAGUGAGAUUAAGUAAUAUUUCUAAAACUCUAAGAAGCAAAACAGAAGUGGUACUGCAUGCACUGAGUUCUUCAGAAGUGACAUUGCUUACACUGAGUUAGCCUAAAUAUCCCUCAAACAAAGCUUUUCUGCAGAAGUAUUCUCUACUUCAGUGGUAUUCAUGAUAGCUGGGUCACGGACAGCUUCAUGGUUUAGUAUCAUCUGGUGAUAUUUCGUCCUCAUAUUGUGAACUUCACCCAACUCUUUUACCCUGUCUCUCAAUUCAUGUGUUAAUUCCUCAUUUUUCAUAAACCAUUCACAGAUCACUUCUGUAAUGGCCAGCACAUAUACACCACAAUUAUAUGGGUUCUGCCGCUGUGGCAUAGGGGGCUCAUAUAUAACCACUUUGGCAAAAGCAGGGAUCACUUUUCUAAUACUUUCAGCAAGAGAUUCUGCAACUGCCCGGUUAGCUGACCCUAUAAUGUCAUAAUGAAGGAACCUGUGUGUGCCUUUCUUUCUGUUGUGCAAAACUAACAAGCUUAAAUGGACCCUAGCAUCAGAAUAGGGACGCAUCUCUACACUUUUCAGAGGAAUAAAUACUAAUGAAAAAUCAAGCAGUGGUAAUCUUGCAAUAGCAUCCAUAUUGGACAUUGACGUCACUGACUCGCGUAACAAUAGGAUCUCCUCAUUUCUGAAGGUGGUAGUAGAGAAGAUGGCAAAUAUUCUCUGAAUUACACCAUCAGUUAUCCGCUUUGUACCAUUAAGACUUUCUAGGUCUGCAAGCAGUGCUGUAUGUUGUGCAUCACUUAGUCCAUCAUCUUUAUGCUCAGAUGGUAUAUUUUCCUGCAAGAAAAAGAAAACCACAACACAUUUAAAACUAUAAAGCGCAAUAAAUGGCCUUGCUGGGAAACAAAACUAAAUCUGCAGCUUGAUCUUAUGGAUCAAGAAUCUACUUUCCAAAAGUGAGUGAGAUUAAGUAAUAUUUCUAAAACUUUAAGAAGCAAAACAGAAGUAGUAUUGCAUGCACUGAGUUCUUCAGAAGUGACAUUGCUUACACUGAGUUCUUCAGAAGUGGCAUUGCUUAAACUGAGUUCUUCAGAAGCCUGAAUAUCCCUCAAACAAAGCUUUUCUGUUGAAGGAUUCUCUAGUUCAGUGGUAUUCAUGAAAGCUGGGUCACGGACAGCUUCAUGCACAGCAUCACUCAGUCCAUCAUCUUUAUGCUCAGAUGGUACAUUUGCGUGCAAGAAAAAGAAAACCAUAGCACAUUUAAAGCAUUAUGCGCAAUCUUCUGGAUCGAAUCUACAUUCCAAAACUGAGGAGUGAGAUUAAGUAAUAUUUCUACUUUAAGCAAAACACAAGUGGCAUUGCUUACAUCCAGUUCUUCUUCAAAAGCAUUCAGAUCCUUCAACCAAAGCUCUUUUGGUUUAGUCUUCUUUAGUUCAGAGAUAUUCUUCUUUUGAUGUUCACAUUCAGCUUCCAACUCCUCUACCAUCAGAGUAAAGUUAACAAUUGGCAUGAACAAGAGGUAGUCAUAUCCCCUUAUGAUUUCUUGUGCUUUGGCACCAUCCUGAUUCUCCCAAGAGGGCUUGGCUUGUUCAAAUUCCUCAAACUGCAUUUCUCUGAGCUUCGUAUGUAGGCCUUCUUUAUCCAUGUCAAAUAAUUUGAUUUCUCCGGUUCGAACAGCUUUAAUAAAUCUAACUUUGUUCUGUGCCAUUUUCAAGUCGCGGCCAGCCAUUUCCACUAGCUUUUGCUGCAUAUUGACAAUUACUAAAUGUGAUAUCAAAUAGUCCAAAGAAUAUGUGCCAUUCAAUUAUUAAAUGGAAACGUACCUGUUGGGUAUUCUUAACAUCAUUACCAAAAGUAGACUAAGUUCUCUAAAUCUAGUAACGGUGCCAAAAAUGCCAAACCUAUCCCUCACACCACUUAAGCCAAGUUGUCAUCCCCAGCAUGACAUGAGAGACGCGGUAUUGAAAUAUGCAAUUGCUCUUCUAAAUAAAUAAUGAAUGGGAUCUGCAAGCGCACAGAUUAAUACCGAUGCAGCAUUUUAACCGGGAAGUAUUCCAGGUAUCGUUAUUUAUAUUUUUACCACUGGGAAGGGAUUAGCAAUCAUCAAUAUUGAUUACAGAAUAGAAUAUGAAAUUGAGUAUCUAUCACUGCAUGUAUAAUUGAGAACAUUAUAUCUAACUCUUCAUACAGGGAUAAGUGUCACAUAAAAGAUAUAUGAAAUAAUAAUAGUGACAAGGAUAACUAAUCUGAUCUAGCCACAUAAUAAAUAUGAUAAGCACCUCAAUUAGAUACUCUAGAAAGUCAUUAGCAUGGUAUUAGAACGAACUACAAGAAUAUUCCCUAAAUUAUUCUUAACUAUAUAGUCUAGCAUUAUCAUAAUUAGUGCAAGCAUACUUAGCAAUCAUUGUGAGACAAGACUACGCCCAUGCAUAGUGAUAUUAGCAAGGAAUAUGAGAAACAUAGCAAUCACUCCCCUGUAAUAAUGUUGCUCUGCCAGCCCAAUACACGAGAGGGGGACUAUAUAAGAAUCAAUGAAGCUGUCACUAUCACGAACCACCCCACGAUCUGGCAUAUUGGGUACAAUCGCAGAUAAAUACGGUAUAAGCACCACGCCUACACAAUAUCUAUCAUUUACCCAUGGAUCCGAUGGAUAAACGCUAUACGAUCCUAAGCAUGUAUAUAGAUCCAAUCUAACUAAGCCAAGUACAUAACUAUGAUAAACUAAAAACAAUAUAAUCUUGAAUAUAAGCAAGUAGAGCAAAGUCAUAAGCAAUAUAUUGAAGUAGGACAAAGUCAUAUUCAUAAUAUUGAAGAACAAAGAUAAUUAGAAAGCAAUUAGAAGCACAAUUAGAGAAUUACCAAGAAUCCUCCUGACAGAUCCGGAAACCAAUCGAAGAUUGACUCCUUCUAGUUCUAAUCCUAUGUAGCUAUGCUAAUCUUGAUAUCUAAUUCAUGUGGUGGCUCUAAUCUUGAUCAGAGGCUUCUUCUCCCUUGAGGAACAAUGAAUUAGGGUUGAGAGGCUCUCUCCUCCAGGGGCCAGGGGGUCUGGUUUUAUAGUCCCUUCAAGUGAAUAUGGGCCGUUGGAUCAAACCGACAUAGAUUGUAUGGUUUAGAUUCAUCCUUUAGGUCGGUGGAAAUCUCCCGCUAAGCAGAGUCCUGAUUGGACUCAGGAGGUGGGCGGGAGCCCUGACCAACUGGGCGGGCGCCCAGGGUCUGGCCCCGUUUCGCCACCGCUUCGGUCUCGUGGCUUCUGGAGUCUUCUAGAUGUAAGAUAAUUGCACGGCACGUUAAAAUCUCUAUGUAAUCCUGACGUGUGGGCCUUUCUUCCGUAUUUCCUGAUAACCCCCUGCAGAAAUAGACAAACACCAAACUCGUGGAAUUCUGUCACAUAAAACCCUAAGUCUAGAUCUUGAUUUCAUUUGGAUCUUUUUCUUUAUUUAUUUGAUAAUUAAAUUUGAUACUUAAGGACCGUCAACAAACUCCCCCAAGCUUACCUCUUGCUCGUUCCUGAGCAAGGAUAGACUCAGCUAUGGAUCAUAAGUUGUUGCAAUAUCUUAAAAAAAUUGACGGUACACAUGCUUUUUAAAUAAGAUCUUAUCUCUGAGUUAGAGUAAACUGUCAAGACUUAAAACUUACUUACUUUACCUUCACCUUGGGACUUGUAACCGUCACUUCUGUCUUGAGUAGUUAAAAGAUAGAAAAGUCUAGCCAAGUGCCAGGUCUCUCAUUCUUGAUCAGCUAUAACUCUGGGGUUUUUGCAGAUUUUCAAAUAAAACUCAGAAAUUCCUUGUAUGACUUUCUCAGAUCUCUCUUUUGUGGUAUUUCUGGAUCCUUACCAAGGCAGUUAUGAUAUAUGCCUUCUCUCAAUAUAUGUAGUAUUUGUGGUAUGAGGCAUAGUGACAUUGCCUUCUCUCUCACCUUACUCUAAUAAGGCUUUUAAUAUCUGGAGCUCAUAGGUGGGAGAUAAAAUAUACAUACUUACAAGACAUUUAUUGUAUAGUCAAACUAUGGAUCCAAAGAAACAAAUCAAUAAGUCAAAUCAAGAUGUGCAUGUGUGGCGAAUGAAUGGUGUAUGGUGAUGAUGGUGAUAACAAUGGUGGUGGAAGUCUAAUUCUACUUUGCUCUUUUAGGGAAUACAUACCUUCCUUGCUUUUGAAACUUUAUGAGGAGAAUGAGAUGCUCUUCUUUUUCUUUUCUCUCGGGUGGGUAUCUUGUACCCAUAAUUCUACUGUCGGACACUUGUCCAUUUUUACCUCUCGUCUCACUUUUUCUUUUCUUUCGAGGUUCCGAGCACUUGCUCCUUUUUAUUUCCUCGUAUUUAUAUAUAUAUAUUUUUUAGAGCAGUCAUCUCAUGAGAUAAUAUAGCCAGUGGUAGUAACAAGAUAACUUGAGCAUUUAUUUCACAAGGGAAAACAUAAAUAUUUUUGGCUAUUCUCUCUCGGAUUAGGAGUAGAAUAUUUUUGAGUGGUUCUGGAGAUGGAAUUGGAUGGAUAUAUGUGGAUGGUACUUCCGGAGUAGAAGUAGCAUAUAUGAGUGAAUGUGCAAGUGAAUCUUGAUUUAACCACAUGACAAGCUCCUAAGGGUCCACACAGCUUGACCACACUCAAUGCUCAUAAGCAGUAAAUAGUAAAUGUGUGGCUCAAAGUCUAGCAAGCAUGUAUAUAUGGCUGUGGUAGGAAUUUAAACUCUCAUCAUACAGGAACUCAUCAUGCAACAUUUUAAAGAUUUUCAAAGAUAAAAUUCUCCAGAAUUCUAGCAUCUCUAGGAACAGAUAAACAGCAGCUCAACCUUCCCAUAUCGUAUCCGUUAACAACUUAGACUUCAGAUCAAGUUUUCAUCCCACAAGUUUAGAUCUAGAGCAAGCUUUAAAUUAUAACAGUUAUGUCUAAACUUGAGAGAGAACUUAAAAUGUGCAAAUUAGGCAGAGCAACUAUUCAUCAUAUCCAUGCUUAAGUUUUAUUUAGAUACAGAUUAGCAUAGCCACUUUAUUUAUUUAUUAAACACACUAAGCAAAAAAUAUAAGUAUGAAAUCUUUAUUUGGUUUUCCAUAGAUAUGUAUAUUUAUAUUCUAAAAUAAUAUAAGUAUAAAGAUAGAUAGAUAGAAAUGCUUAUCGAGAUAAAUGGGGGUGCUCUCCCCCAAGCUGAAUUUUGACGUAAUUUUUCUUGAUGUAGCUAGCAGGUGGCAGAGGUGUAUUUGAAAGUCAGCAGCAUUCUAACAGCGAUUAGAAUGUCCUCCGUCUGCUAGUCUUCCUGAUUCUUAAAUUCAGUGGAGUUCAAAUAGACAACAAAGCUUGUGGAACUUGAUUAAGUGUUAGCAUAAAUAUCUAGCCCUUAUCAUGUUGAGACUCCUUAAUUAAUUAUUACUCCUUGUUUUUAUAUUUUUAUUUUAUAAAGCAGAAAAGAAAUAUUUAUUUUAUUUUUAUACCACCACAGUGAAUGUACUUAUGGGUUUUAUGCCACUCGCAUACUCACAUGGGGCUUACUAUUUUUCACAUUUUUAUUUUCUUUUUAAGAUAAUACGAACAUGAUUAACUAAGUAAACUAGUUGAAAUAAUUGAAAGGAAAAGGAUAACUACCAAGUUUACCUCAUGGCAAGGCGUUCGGUGUUUUUAAGUCCUCCGAACGGGACUCUCCAAUUUCUUAAUCGUCCUGAGGUUUGUUGGGUGGUGUAGUCGGUACUUCCGGCAGCGCCUCCUCUUCAUGUAUAGUUAUCUUUAUUUUCCAUACCUGACUCGGUGCUUCAAUCUCCUCUGGAUAACUUUGUUUAAACUCAACGUCUUCUGACCUUACAACUUCUCCUUCAUAGUCUGCCCAUCCGUCCUUGAUGAUCUGCCUCCUCUGGUUGCGGUUGCGUCGCUUUUUGACCUGCUUAGAUUCUUCAACGAUAUAGUAAGGGUCAGUAAAAUAACGGCGUACCUUCUCUGAGGGGAAGUGCAUAUGGACUUCUCCGGUUCCAAUGUAGAUAAUUGCUUUAACGGUGCUAAGGAACGGUCUUCCAAGAAUGAUGGGUGGAUCAUACUCGUCUUCUCCCAUGUCAAUAACUAGAAAGUCUGUGUAGACAAAGUGAUCGUCUAUUUUGACUGGGACAUCAGUUACUGUUCAUUUAACUUCUCAAAAUGUCUGAUCUGCCAUCUGAAGCUGAAUGUAUGUUGGUCUUAGUGGCAUGGUUCCGAACAAGCCGAUAGGUGACUGCAGCCAUUAUGUUGACGCCCGAUCCGGUGUCGCAAAUCGUCUUGUAGAAGCUAUAUCCAUGUAUGGAGCAGUAGAUGCUUGGCAUUCCUAGGUCGUCCUUCUUGGUCAAAAACGGUGACUUAAGUUGUUGAUCUUGGCCUCCAUGAACUGCAGUGACCAUCUUAGCUGACUCGGUCCACACUUGCUUGUACCUAUUCCUCCUGUUGGUCCUCUUCCUUGAUUCACGUCUGGAUUGAUCUGGGAUUUGUGUAGUCUUGUUUUUGAAGAAAAAUGUCUCCUUCUUCCCUUUGACGUAGAAACUGAUCUUGGCAGCACUAGCGUAGAUGAUUGCUCCCGUGGUGUUCAAGAAUGGCCUCCCUAGGAUGAUAGGUGCUCUCUCAUCAUUUCCGGUCUUUACCACUACGAAGUCUGCAGGGGCAUAUAAGGUACCAACUCGGACACAAAGGUUCUUCACUAUUCCUUUUGGAAAAGUUAUCGUCUGAUCUGCAAACUGCAAACACAUGGUUGUCUCUAAUAAAGGAUAUGUAAAGAAUUUUUCAUAGAGUACCCUGGGUAUAAUGUUGACACUGGAGCCAAAGUCGCAGAGUGCUUCUGGGACGUCCACCAUGCCGAUGGAGAUCGGGAUGACGGGGCGUCCUGGAUCACCUCUCUUGACCGGCAGAAGGUCAGUAGAGAAUUCAGUGACGGGGUUACUCCAAUUACCUGCAUCAAAGAUGUCUACAAGAUUUGUAGAUUCUAAUCCUUCCGGUUGUGAUGGUAUACCGGGGUUAGUAGUAGGAACAGCAGCAGCUAUUUGAUUUAACUGAGAUUCAAUCAUUUUAUUAAAGCUAAUUUAAUUCUUGAUGGCAGUAGAGAAAUUAUCCAUUCUAUUAUUUAUAUUUUCUAGCAUUUUAUCAUUAGAUGCCAAUUUCUUAGAUAGGUUAUCCAUUAGUUUUCCUUGAUUAGACACUAACUCUCUCAAAGGUGGAAAAUUAUUAUUAUUGUUGUAAGAAUUGUUACCUUGAUAAUUACCUGAGUAGUUAGGCCUCUGUUGAUUCCAACCUUGAUUUUGUUGAGGACGGUUGUAGUAGUAGUAGUUGUUGUUGAUUUAGUUCACAUCCUCAAGUAUCUCAGGGCAGUGAUUGCCUGAGUGUCCAGUGUCUACACACUACUCGCAAGUCAUGUGAGAGUCGUAGAUGUGCAUAACUUCCUUCUUAUCUCCAGCUCUAUCGUCGAGCUUCUUUAUGAGCAGGUCUAGCUUUGCAGACAGCAUAUCUACCUCCUUCAGCUGAUGCAUACCUCCACCUCUCUUGCGUGUCUGGGUCCUCUCUUCAUUCCAGCCUUGAUUGGACGCCAUCUUUUCCACAAGAGCUGUGGCUUGUGGUAAGUGAUAAGAAUGCUCCUCCAGCUGCAGCAUCCAUGGUUUCUCGGGCACUGUUGCCGAGUCCAUGAUAAAAUGUCUGCAUCAAUAGCCAACUCUCCAUUCCAUGAUGGGGACAUUCUAGGAUGUAGUCUUGAAAGCGCUCCCAUGCUUCUGGAAUAGAUUCAUUAUUUUGUUGCUGAAAAUUUGUAAUCUUCCCACGGAGAGCAUUGGUCUUGCCCAUGGGAAAGAACUUUGCCAGGAAGUUUGUUGAACAGAGUGCCCACGUAGUAUUCUUCUGCUUUGUAGCGUAGAACCACUGCUUCGCUCUUCCUAACAGUGAGAACAGUGAGAAUGGGAAGAGGCGAAGUAGUAUAGCAUCUUUGGAAACUCCUGAUAUGGUGAAUGUGUUGCAAAUCUCCAGAAAGUGUUGUAAAUGAGCACUAGCAUCUUCGUGUGCCUUCCCACAGAACUGGUUGGAUUGCACCAUGUUGAUAAGUCCAGGCUUGAGCUCAAAGUUGCCAUCGAUCUCUGCAGCAGGUCCAGUGCGGAUGUUGUCCGUAGUGGGAGCUGAGAACUCGCGGAUUGAUUUGUUCGCCAUGGCUUUGAACUCUGAACACAAGUUCCGGUGAUCUUCUUGAUUGGAUGAAGCUUCUUACUGAAGUGUUGAUGAUCUCUUCUUAAGCUUGGCUCUCGUCUCCUUGAAUAAUGCUUCGGGAUUGUCAACAAAAUUUCCUGGAAGAUGUCUUCUAUUCAUACAUUCCCCUGCAUAAGAUAAAAUAGGAAAAUAUCGGGGUAAAACUGUAUGGGAGAAUAGAUAAGCUCAAUCAUAUUAGUGAUGCGAAUGAUAACUCAAAAUCUUUUAUUCUAUUCCUGAUUGGUAAUCAACCUUCCCCGGCAACGGCGCCAAAAAUGCGUGUUGGGUAUUCUUAACAACAUUACCAAAAGUAGACUAAAUUCUCUAAAUCUAGUAACGGUGCCAAAAAUGCCAAACCUAUCCCUCACACCACUUAAGCCAAGUUGUCAUCCCUAGCAUGACAUGAGAGAGGCGGUAUUGAAAUAUGCAAUUGCUCUUCUAAAUAAAUAAUGAAUGGGAUCUGCAAGCGCACAGAUUAAUACCGAUGCAGCAUUUUAACCGGGAAGUAUUCCAGGUAUCGUUAUUUAUAUUUUUACCACUGGGAAGGGAUUAGCAAUCAUCAAUAUUGAUUACAGAAUAGAAUAUGAGAUUGAGUAUCUAUCACUGCAUGUAUAAUUGAAAACAUUAUAUCUAACUCUUCAUACAGGGAUAAGUGUCACAUAAAAGAUAUAUGAAAUAAUAAUAGUGACAAGGAUAACUAAUCUGAUCUAGCCACAUAAUAAAUAUGAUAAGCACCUCAAUUAGAUACUCUAGAAAGUCAUUAGCAUGGUAUUAGAACGAACUACAAGAAUAUUCCCUAAAUUAUUCUUAACUAUAUAGAGAAGCAUUAUCAUAAUUAGUGCAAGCAUACUUAGCAAUCAUUGUGAGACAAGACUACGCCCAUGCAUAGUGAUAUUAGCAAGGAAUAUGAGAAACAUAGCAAUCACUCCCAUGUAAUAAUGUUGCUCUGCCAGCCCAAUACACGAGAGGGGGACUAUACAAGAAUCAAUGAAGCUGUCACUAUCACGAACCACCCCACGAUCUGGCAUAUUGGGUACAAUCGCAGAUAAAUACGGUAUAAGCACCACGCCAACACAAUAUCUAUCAUUUACCCAUGGAUCCGAUGGAUAAACGCUAUACGAUCCUAAGCAUGUAUAUAGAUCCAAUCUAACUAAGCCAAGUACAUAACUAUGAUAAACUAAGAACAAUAUAAUCUUGAAUAUAAGCAAGUAGAGCAAAGUCAUAAGCAAUAUAUUGAAGUAGAACAAAGUCAUAUUCAUAAUAUUGAAGAACAAAGAUAAUUAGAAAGCAAUUAGAAGCACAAUUGGAGAAUUACCAAGAAUCCUCCUGACAGAUCCGGAAACCAAUCGAAGAUUGACUCCUUCUAGUUCUAAUCCUAUGUAGCUAUGCUAAUCUAGAUAUCUAAUUGAUGUGGUGGCUCUAAUCUUGAUCAGAGGCUUCUUCUCCCUUGAGGAACAAUGAAUUAGGGUUGAGAAGCUCUCUCCUCCAGGGGCCAGGGGGUCUGGUUUUAUAGUCCCUUCAAGUGAAUAUGGGCCGUUGGAUCAAACCGACAUAGAUUGUAUGGUUUAGAUUCAUCCUUUAGGUCGGUGGAAAUCUCCCGCAAAGCAGAGUCCUAAUUGGACUCAGGAGGUGGGCGGGUGCCCUGACCAACUGGGUGGGCGCCCAGGGUCAGGCCCCGUUUCGCCUCGGCUUCGGUCUCGUGGCUUCUGGAGUCUUCUAGAUGUAAGAUAAUUGCACGGCACGUUAAUAUCUCUAUGUAAUCCCGACGUGUGGGCCUUUCUUCCGUAUUUCCUGAUAACCCCCUGCAGAAAUAGACAAACACCAAAACUCGUGGAAUUCUGUCAGAUAAAACCCUAAGUCUAGAUCUUGAUUUCAUUUGGUUCCUUUUCUUUAUUUAUUUGAUAAUUAAAUUUGAUACUUAAGGACCGUCAACAGUACCUUUCUUUUCUCAUAAAAAGCAAGCCUCAAGGCGAGUAUAAAUGACACAAUUUAGUUACAAUACGACAAAAGAAAUAAAAAAUGGAGGUCUUGUAGCAAAAAGGUAGUACAUACUUUGCUCUGGACUGUCAUUCUUUUUAAUUAUGCCAUUUGAAUCCAACAAAUGCAUAUUUGAUGUUCCCAUUGAUGUUCUCAGUUCAAACUUCCUCUGAAGAUCUACUUCAUUGGCUUGCACCAAAUUCUCAGAAUUCUCAUGCAAGUGUAUCAUUAUUUCAACAUCAUUGCCGCCUCUCUUUUUUUCAUAACUCUGUAAAAUUAUUAUGAUUAAAAACUAGUGGACAACAAUCAUUUCAUGAUUAAAACAUACUAUGUAAUCAAUUACCUUGAUGAAUUUGUCUUCUCCGUCCAUAAAAGUUUUAAGCUUCCUUUCAUAAUUCUCCAUCGAGAUCUUCACUGGGAGCUCACUUAUUUUUAGUGUAGUUUUGUCAACAACCUUUAUGAUACCACUAGCGGUAUAGGUAACACCUGAUUUCUUGGUCUUGGUAGUUUUGUUUUUGACACUCACUUCUCCCUGUUGGUUCAUGUACACAAGAUAAAACACCAACAUUAGAUUUUUUUAAGACAAAAAUAAAAACAGAAUUGUAAAAAAAACAUGUAUUACUAACGUGGAAAUGUCUGAACCACGGUUUCAUUUCUUCCAACGUCUCUGAUCCCUGUAUCUUUAGUUUCAAAUUGUGUACAAUGUCUUUGGGAUUGUAACAAGGAAUCUUUGUGCUCCAUCCAGUACCAAUUCCUUCAGCGCCAUUGACUAAAAUCAUUGGAAGGUUGGCAAAUACCUAAAAAGUGACAACCAGGCCUUAGCUACUUAUUAUAAAGGUCAAAUUGCUGAGGAUGGAUGGAGCAAGUGGUGCCUAGUUAUUACCAUGAAGGUUCAAUUGACUGCCCAUCUUCACACAGAUAAUCGAGCAGAAUAUCAUCAUUUUCGUUAAAUUUCCUGCAAGUGAUACUUGAUAACUCUAUGAAGAUAUAUCUAGCACUAGCAGCAUCUUUGCCUGCCAAAAAUGAAAAACAAGCAUGAAUAAAAUGUUUAACAACUAGUUUUCUCAUAGUGGCUUGUUAACUCGCCUCUAAUCUUGUACCAAAUUGCCCAUUGGGACGCAAAAGGUUGAUAUUGUUGCUUCCAACAAAAUCUUGAGCCAUUCUUACUAUUGUGUUUGAUAGAUUUCCUUCACCGUGAUGAUAAGCAGAACAUUCUGCCACAGACGCGGCGAACUUUGCCACCUGUGAUCAAGUAUUAAAUUAGCAAUAUUAUAAGGCUAAUUUAGAGAGAACAUGACACAUAAAUCAUAAUAUGGCAGCCCGACCAGAGGCUCAACCCUUUUCUACUUAUAAGUUAGGACUGAAGCUUUGGAGUGGAUAUGAUUCUCAUCAUCAUAGACUAUAUGGAACAAGCUUGAGAUUGACAACCCACAAGACAAGAGUUUCAAGCAAGCUAGUCUACCUUUAUAUAUUCAGGUGCCAGUAUACAUAAGGAAACUAAAACUAAAUAUAUAAUGGCGAUCCAAUCUAAAGAAACUAUGGAAUACAAAAGAUCGAAGCCUACCAUAUUCUCGGCUAUAGCGCCGACUGAUAUGAAAAUAUGUGGAAAAGAUUCAUAUUAGAAAAAACAAAUGAUAGUUGGGAUGUCAUACCUUUGUUUCCUUGUUCAAUUUUUUCUUAAAUGCGCUGAACAUUAUCUUUCUCUGCCCUUUUUUAAAUCCAUCUACCGAUGCAUCUCUAAUACCAUGUAUAAUGUGAGCCCUUUCUUAAUGAAGUCAAGGAUUCUUUUGUUUUCCCAGUUUGAGGAAGUACACUUUCUUCAGGAUGAAAUUUUUGUUAUCACAUUAAUGUUGGUCCUUAAAUUAACCUGAAUGAAUCUUUAAAAAUAAUAUCAAGACCGACCUUGCAGUUAUGAAGAAAGUUAUAAAUCCAUUUCUUCCUUUCCUCCACUUUAUGUUUACUGAAUGCUGUCUUGAUAGCCUUAUCAUCUUCUUCAUUCACCCACACAAAAUAUUUCUGAUGGAUGUCAAUAUCUAUGAAAUAUUGCAUCCCUUCCUUAAGUGUGCUCGUGCCUAACCCCAGUAUGUAUGAAAAAUGUCCAAGUUGAAGACCACAUAGAAAAAUUGAAAUGAUUAAAAUUUGAGCAAAAAAACACACCUUAUAGUACUUUAUAGACCAUUUACUUAAUUCUGUCCCAUGUUUACUUUUCUCCCAUGCCGUAUACUCGUUUAGUGUAUAGAAAACCUGACUUGGACAAUCUCUUGUAUAAUCCGUAACCUAAACAAGUUUUAAUCCGUGACAUGGUAAGUUUUAUGAGUCUUAAUAACUGAAACCUUAACAAAAAAUGUUAAAGCAAGUAACAAGUGGCAUACCUUUAAAAUUGGGGUAACUAAUUCACACAAAAGGAUUUAGAUUUAAUCUUCAGAAGGGAAGGCCAAAAAACAUGAAAUAAGUUAAUGAUCAAUCCUUUAAUAUGAAAUCCAUCUGGAUCCUGGUCGGUCAUGACCAUAACUUUACCAUAUCUCAAAUUCUUCAAAUCUUUUUCAUCAUUAUAGUGUUUUUGUAGUCUAAACCAAUAAUCUUUCUCAUAUUGUUAAUUUCCUCAUUGUCCAAGAUGACGCAUCUCUCACAUUCAGUAGCUUACCCUUCAAUGCAAGAACUCCAAAGUAGUCCCUACGAACAGAACCUAGCUGCUGAGGAGAACAAAACUUACUCAAUACUCUUGUCAAUAUAAAAGGAACAUAUGUGCAAUGAAAUGUGCAAUCAACAGUUACUAAUUGCAGGGGAACUUCAAUAUAAGAAUAAGAACUACGUGGAAAAUAAUUUUUCUAACAUCUUGAUCUAAUCAUUAACACAUGUGUGCACAUAUGAAACUUGGGAUUCCCAAAUACAAGUCCGAUUAUAACCUUUUAUCCUAAAGACUCAAGUCCAAUCAUAACCUUUAAUCCUAAAGACUCAGCUAACUAAAAAAAAUCUGAAUCAAAAACUUUUUGCCUUGAUUAAACUCUUGGCUGAAAUUUGAGUUUUUCAUAAAAAUCAAGGAAAUUUGGGACAGACCACACUAAAUCACUAAAUCUGCCAUUGAUACUUGGUGUAUCAAAAUGGACUUAAUUAAUAAAGGGUUGGGGUCAAAGUCUAAAAGAUCAUACUAGAAAAUACAAGAAUUUGCUAAAAACAAGUUGGAGGUGUUAGAAAAACAGGAGGAGCUUGAUGUGCUCAAGCUGGAUAUAAAGUCUUCCAUUCAAUCUAAGUUUCAUGAAAGAGAAGGAUAUGGCAUAGGGGAUCUAAUUCUAUGUGGUUCUUGAAAGAUCAUAACAACUCUGAGUACUUUCAUAGAAUAGCUCAUGGUAGAAAGAGAAAGAACACCAUUUCUUUGCCUAAACCACAAUGAGAUCAUUAUUGAGGGGGAUGCUGCCAUCGUGGAGGAUGCUUCUUAAUAUUAUAAUUUCUGCUAGAAUGUCUUGGGCACAAGAGGUUUGACAAGAGAUAGUGUGAACGGACUACUUCUGGCACUAAUAAGAUUGAUGUGGCUAAAAAGUGAUUCUUUCGGCAAGGUCAUUUGAAGCGAAAAUACCACUUGAUCAAAUGGAAUGAGAUCACUAAACCCAAAAACAAAGGAUGGUUGGGGGGUCACAGACCUAAGGAAAAUGAACAUCAGUCUCCUAUGUAAAUGGUGGUGGAUGGUGGUUGCUGAGAAUGUAUGUGGAAUAUGAAAAGAUAAUAUUAGGAAGAAGUACGAAUACCAGUUUGUGACAUGAUAAGUGGUGUGAUCAAGUCUCCUUAAAAGACAAGUUCCUCAAUUAUAUGAUAUCAAUGUUGAACAAAACGUUCUGUUUCUUUUAUGAAACAAAGAAGUUAGCAUCCCUCUUUUAGAAGAUGGCUCAAUUGAGAAGGUUACUGUUAGAAUAUAAUUAUAACAGCCCAUAUUGGGUUUACGGCUCAUUGGCCUUGUACUCCUAGCCUGACUUGUAUUAGUACCACAUUGUAAUAUGUAGAUGUACUGCAAUCCUUCCGGGCUUUAUAAUGAAGGUCAGCCCUUAUGGUUAGGGUGUGUGGUGUUUCUACAUGGUAUCAUCCAAAUUACGAUUUUUUUCCUUCCGCUCGCGGCCCCCCCCCACCCCCUGCCCGUGCGACCUCUCUGAGGCCGUGCGCCACCGCACUAGGCCGCGCCGCCCCCAGGCCACGCUCAGGUCGCGCCGCCGCCAGGGCGCUGCCCAGCCGCGUCGCCUCCUUCAGACUGCGCCGCUGCCAGGCCACGCCACCUUCUCAGGCCGCGUCGCCGAUCCUAAUCGCGCCGCCGCCGAUCCAGCCGCGCGAUCAUCUUCUUCACGCUGUGUCGUCAUGACGACUCCGGCCACCGACUCUAGCACGUCCAGCUCGACCUCCUCGGCGACCUCUGGUGACGUCAUGGCGGACGCCCUCGCUCCUCCGUUCUUCGCCCCUUACGCUGCCAUCAACGUCAAGCAGCACGUGCCGAUCGUCCUCAGCCUCGAGCGCCCCAACUUCAACAAGUGGAAGGCGUUCUUCACCGCCCUCUGCGCCAAGUACGGGCUCCUUGGCCACAUCGACGGCACGCUGCCCGCACGUCCGGCUGAUCCUACAUGGUCUCAGCCCGAUGCCUGCAUUCGUGGCUAGAUGUAUGGCUCUGUCGAUGAUCCUGUCCUUGAAUUCGCCAUAGACGACGCCGACCACGACGCCCGUGCCCUCUACGUCUCCAUCGAGGCCUUGUUCCAAGCUAACAAGGAACCACGCACCGUUGUCCUCGGCCAAGAAUUCUACAGCAUGUUCCAGGGUGACCUCUCUGUCGACGCCUACGCCCAGAAGAUGAAGCACACUGCGGAUGGCCUACGGGAGGUCAGGCAUCCUGUCUCCAACCCACAGCUUGUGCUCAACCUCCUGCGUGGUUUCAACCUCCGCCUCGCCAACACCGCCGACAUCGUCACCAACACGUCGCCACUCCCCGACUUCCGGUCCGUCACCAACAUGCUUUGUGUUAAGGAGCUACGCCUUGGCAACGAGGGCAAGGAGGCUUCCACCUCAGCCUUUGCAGCCAGCAUGAUCUCCUCUUGCACGUCGCCCUCCUGCCUAUCCACCUCCUCUGCCUCCAAUCGUGGCAGCGGUGGCAAGGGCAAGGGCAGUAAAGGCAAAGGAGGGCGCAGCGGUAACAGCAGCGGCGGGUGACACAACCAGUAGGGAGGAGGCGGCCGACAUCACCAACAGCAGCAGCAGGUCCAGCCGGCCGGUCCCUGGGUUUGCUACAACCCUUGGGCCGGUGCCUGGGCUCCCCCCCCACCCCGCAGUAGCAGUGGGCUGCGCCCCCUGCCCAGCAGUGGCGCGUGCCGCCUGCACCUCCUCCACAGGCGCACACGGCCUUUGCGCCACCCUAGUACUCCUCCAGGCCUCCGGCGUACGCGCCUCCCGGCACCUGGGAUCCAACCGCCCUCAUCAUAGCCCUCAAUCAGAUGGUAGUUCAGGGGUCUGAUUCCUGGGUGAUAGACAGUGGAGUGACAUCCGACAUGUCCUCCAACGACGGUACACUUCUCUCUCUUCUCCCAUCACCACCGUCUUCUAUCACGGUCGGUAACGGACAUUCCAUUCCAGUUUAUAGUCAUGGCACAUCUCUUUUACAAUUAGCUGAUCGUUCUUUUCGUCUUGAUAAUGUUCUUGUCGCUCCACAACUCACUUGUAAUCUGUUAUUUGUUCAACAACUUACUCGCGACAAUAAUGUUUCUAUUGAGUUUGACGCCUCAGGUUUUUUUGUUAAGGAUCUCCAGAACAAGAUGGUCCUUCUUCGGUGCAAUAGCCACGAGGAUCUCUACACCAUUCCACACAUGCCUCCUCGUUGCCAUGUUGUUGUUGUCUCCCCGGAGCUGUACCAUUCUCGUCUUGGUCAUCCUGUACCUUCCGCCAUCAACACUUUGCAUAAACUUUCAGCUAUUAAAUGUAAUAAAGCCGCCCACCGCCUUUGCCAUGCCUGCCAGCUCGGCAAACACGCUAGGCUGCCUUUUGCUAGUUCACUUUCUAGUACAUCAGCACCUUUUGAACUCGUUCAUUGUGAUGUUUGGACCUCUCCAAUUUUGAGUAUUUCCGGCUAUAAAUUUUAUCUUGUGAUAGUUGAUGAUUUUACACAUUAUUGUUGGAUAUUUCCUCUUCGUCAUAAAUCUGAAGUUCAUGCUCAUAUUGUUCAAUUUGUCACUUAUGCUCACACACAGUUCAGUCUUCCUGUACGCUGUUUUCAGGCAGAUAAUGGGACUGAAUUCAUCAACAAUGCCACCGCUGCCUUCUUGGCCAGCCGUGGCAUUCUUCUCCAUAACUCGUGCCCCUACACAUCUGCUCAGAACGGCAAAGCACAGCGCAUGCUGCGCACCUUGAACAACACCGUUCGCACACUUCUGAUUCAUGCAGCCAUGCCACCAUCUUAUUGGGUGGAGGCUCUCUCCGCUGCUGUGUUUCUGCUCAACCGGCAGCCAUCCUCGUCCAUCAACAACGGUAUACCCUAUCAUCUUCUCCAUCACAAGAUGCCCGACUACUCCAUCCUUCGAGUUUUUGGUUGCUUGUGCUAUCCAAACCUUAUUGCCACGACUCCUCAUAAAUUAUCUCCUCGCUCUACGGCGUGUGUCUUUCUCGGUUACUAUCCUUCCUAGAAGGUCUAUCGGUGUCUUGACCUUUCCACUCGCAAGAUCAUAAUCUCAUGACACGUCAUUUUUUAUGAGACUCACUUUCCGUUUGCGGCUUCCAAGCCCCACUCAGACUCUGUUGACUUUUUGUUACAGGACAUACUGCCCGCGCCUCCUCUGUCCACCUCGGACACUGAGGUCAUGACGCCCCUGGAGGAUGCCAGUGAUGCCGAUGACCCCGUUGGACUAGACCUAGCCAUUGUGUGGCAUCGCGCUGCCCGCCGGGUGCCCUUGGGUGCCUUGCCCCCACCGCUAGCCCCCUCCGUAGGCAGCGUGGCUGCUCCUGCAGCCGCUGCAUCAUAGACAGCAGCACCGCCUCCUCUCCACAUCUACACUCAGUGUCCUCGUCCGACUGCACCAGCGGCCGCCGCUCCUACAGCUGCAGCAGCAGCACCGGUGGCGGUACCGCCGGUCCUCCCUCCUCCCUCCCGGGAGACGCGAUCCCAGACGGGAUCGUUACCACCGCCCAUCCAGCGGUACGGUUUCACUGUAGGUUCCACGACGCUGGCUUCCCCGCUGCCCGCCAACUCACGUGCUGCUAUGGCGGAUCCUAAUUGGCGGGCGGCCAUGACCGACGAGUACAAGGCGCUCAUCGACAAUGGCACCUCACAUCUUGUACCUCGACCACCACGUGCUAAUGUGAUCACUGGCAAGUGGGUCUUCAAGCACAAGUAUUAUGUUGAUGGCUCUAUCGCCCGUCACAAAGCACGGUGGGUUGUUCGUGGUUUUUCACAGCAGUACGGCAUCGAUUACGACGAGACGUUCAGCCCAGUUGUCAAACCGGCCACCAUCCGUGUCGUCCUCGGCAUCGCUGCUUCUUCAUCCUGGCCGAUUCAACAGCUGGAUGUGAAGAACACGUUUCUCCGUGGUCAUCUGGAUGAGACUAUCUACUGCCAACAGCCACCUGGCUUCGCCGACCCGGCCGCCCCCGACCACGUCUGCCUCCUGUACAAGUCCCUGUAUGGACUUAAGCAGGCGCCCAGGGUUUGGUACCAGCGGUUUGCCGGCUUUGAUCAGCGCUCCGGCUUCACUGCUUCGGUCUCCGACAUGUCCCUCUUUGUUUACAAGGAGGGCCCCGACGUCGCCUACCUGCUGCUCUACGUCGACGACAUCAUUUUGACUGCUUCGUUUCCUGUUCUACUUCGGCGCAUCAUCUGGCUUCUUCACUUUGACGGCCUCUUCCUCUCCCAGCGACAGUAUGCUACGGAGCUGCUCCAGCGUGCCGACAUGGCCGAGUGUCACUCUACAGCGACUCCUGUGGAUAGUCAGGCCAAGCUCUUAGCUACAGAUGGUGCUCCGGUGGCGGAUGCUACCAGUACUGCAGUGUGGCUGGCGCUCUGCAGUACCUCACGCUGACUCGUCCGAACCUCGCCUAUGCCAUCCAGCAGGUGUGCCUCUUCAUGCAUGACCCGCGUGAGCCUCAUCUAGCGUUGCUCAAGCAUGUCCUCCGGUAUGUGAAGGGCACUCUGUCCACCGGGCUUCACCUUGGUGUUGGCGGCAUCGACAGUUUGACCACUUACUCCGAUGCUGAUUGGGCUGGAUGUUCGGACUCUCAGCGCUCCACUUCAGGCUACUGUGUCUUCCUCGGUGACAACUUAGUCUCUUGGUCCUCUAAAUGACAAACUAUGGUUUCUCAUUCGAGUGCGAAGGUUGAGUAUCGUGCCGUUGCUCACGAUGUGGCUGAGACUUGUUGGCUCCGACAGUUGCUUCAGGAGCUCCAUGCGCCCAUUGCUUCAGCAACGAUCGUCUACUGUAACAACGUCAGCACCGUCUAUAUGACUGCCAACCCAGUACAUCAUCGUCGCACGAAGCACAUUGAGAUAGACAUCCACUUUGUUUGUGACAAAGUGGCCUUGGGACAGGUUCGGGUGCUCCAUGUCCCAUCGUCUCAUCAGUUUGCAGACAUCAUGACUAAAGGGUUACCUGUACAAUUGUUUACUGAUUUUAGGUCUAGUCUUUGUAUUCGUGACACUCCCGCUUAGACUGAGGGAGGGUGUUAGAAUAUAAUUAUAACAGCCCAUAUUGGGCUUACGGCCCAUUGGCCUUGUACUCCUAGCCUGACUUGUAUUAGUACCACAUUGUAACUUGUAGAUGUACUGCAAGCCUUCUAGGCUAUAUAAUGAAGGUCACCCCCCUGGUUAGGGUGUGCGGUGUUUCUACAGUUACAUGAUAUCUUGUACCACAAUACUAAUGAUGAUUGUGAUAGAGCAAGAUGCAAGUUCCCUCAAUUAUAUGAUAUCAAUGUGGAACAAAACUGUUCUAUUUCUUUUAUGAAACAAAGAAGUGAGCAUCUCUCUUUUAGAAGAUGGCUCAAUUGAGAAGGUUACAUGUUAUCUUAUACCACAAUACUAAUGAUGGUUGUGAUAGAGCAAGAUGGGAGUGGGAAAAAUCUGGGAACUUCUCUAUCAAAUCUACUUAUAAGAAGCUAUGUAGGCAUGACUGUGGGCCUAACUUCAAACAAGUUUAGAAGGCUAAGAUACCUCUGAAAUAUAAACUUUUAAACAAAAUUGGAAAGGUGAUGAAUCAGGCACGGAGAAGGAAACUGUAAGUUUGGUGCUAAUUGUAGAUCCAGCAGUUUAGAGCAAUUCUGGAAUUAGUUUCAUUGGAUUAAGUUUGGUGCUGAUUGUAGACCUAGCAGUUUUGACCAAUUCUGGACUUGAAUUCAUUGGAUUAUACCAAAGGGUAAAUCUGUCUACAUUUUGGGCUUAGGGAACUGUUUGCUGGGUACUGUGGUUAACUCCAAAUGCCACAUGUUUUGAUAACAAGAGGAUUAGACCUCCUAGUCAGAUCAUGUCUUAUGUGUUUUGACAACCAGACGUUGGAUAGUUUGGCACACUUGGACAGGUGUUUUUGCUAGUUCUGCUGGUUGGUGAUCCCUUAGUGAUUAGCCUAGUGGCCAGGAUUAACUUUUUUUAAGUUUCUUAGAGCACUAAUAAAAUUUGGUUUUUAAACAUAUGUUACUCACAUGUUGUCAAUAAAAAAAGAACAUAUGUGCAAUCAAAUGUGCAACCAACAAUACUCUUGUUAAUAAAAAAGGAAUAUAUGUGACAAACUUAUAAUUGUAAUACUCACAGCUAGAGCUUUUGCUGAGUCUCCUUCGGUAAUAAUCAAAGUGCAUUUGUGAGAGUCCACUCCACCAACACGAGUUGCAUCCUCAAACUUCGUUGGAUUUGCUUCAAUGCUUUCAUCCUCUUCUUUAAGUGCCCAUGCAAGUGUCUCCUUUAAAGCACAUCUAAAUAUUUCUUUAAAGAUAAAAGAAUGUGCCACUGAAAUUUUUUUACUUCAUAUUAGCAAUACACAGGCAUCAAAGCAACAUACAACCUACAUUAUUAAGAAAACAAAACCACAUACCUUCAGUGAAAAACUCCUCGAACUUAGCAUUUCUGAGAGCAGGAUCAAUGUAAACUUUUGCAUUAUCUGUUUACUUUGUAUUAGCAAUAUGGAGGCUUAUAAGAAACACAACUUAAAUUUUAAAAAAACACACACACACACAAUCACAUACCUUGAAACUGUGGUUCACCAUAAAAAAAGGGAUAGUCCGCAUUUAUGAAGACACAUAAGUGGCUCUUCACAUCACUUGUCUGUAUCUCAAUGUUCUGAACAUUCUUCAUUUUCCUUUUGAUUGAACUUUUCAGAUGUUCUUCAACAUGUCUUGUGAUAGUAUCAAAUUGAAAUCCUCCCUCUAUUACAACACCAUUAACAAAGUUGAACUGAAACAAAUACAAAGAUAGUGAGUUGCAAAACAAACGCAGCCGAUAGAGAAUAUAGCCUACAUAACUUUGGCUGGGAACACAAACCUGUUGGUAUUGGCCAUUUCUGCUUAAAGUAAUACACACCUCCCAAGCAAAGGCUAACUUUUGUUAUACACUGAAAUAAAAUACAAGAGUAAAUAUUUUAAAAACAGACAUAUGGUUUUGUUUAUCCUAAAUAAAACUUUUGUUUUUAUGAAUAUUUGAAACCUUUUUGAUGUCUUCUUGGAAGGAGAUGGCAGGUACAAAUCCACAUAACUUGAAAAAUUAUUAGUGAGCAAAUGGCCAUCUAGAUGAACCUUUAGUUUCUGGUUGUUUCUUCUUUUGUAAAGUGCAGCCAGAUCUACCACCCUUUUUCUCAUAAGGGCUGUCAUAUCAUCUUGAAGCUCAUUACAGUAAAAACUCAAUGUGGUCCAAUGACACCCAUUAGAGCAUUCUGUGAUUUUAGCAUUUCUUUUCUUCCCAGGUUUGCCAUAAAAAAACUAAAUUUGUGUUGAAUAAGAUAUGAAAUUAGUGUUUAGUUAAGUCAUUUUAAAAAAAAUAAACUUACACCUUUUAUGCUACUACUAAUUUCUGAACUAAGUAGAGGUUAAAAUAAACAAUACACAUUAGGUGACAACAAAAGUAGUAAACACACAUUAUGACACAAAUAAAAAUUUAUACUUGUAUUAAAGUACUCCCUCCGUAUCAGAUUUAGAAGUCGAUUUGGACAAGGUUUGAGUCAAAUAUUGGGAAUAUAAAUCAUCAAUAACUUUUAAAUUGUUGAGUUUGCAAAUGUGAAAAAUUAUAUGAAUAGAUUUGUCUUGAAAAAUACUUUCAUAAAAGUAUAUCUAUAUCUAUAUCAUUUUGUCCUAAAUAUUUUAUAAAAAUAAGAGGUCAAAGUUGUGUUUUGGAAACCAUGUCACUAUUCUAAACGACUGCUAAAUUCGAUACGGAAAUAGUAUAGAUUUAUCUACCUUUUAUCUAAAAAAACACUCUUGAAUAGACCCUGACAACAAAAUCAUACUGAAUCCAUCCAUCCCAAAAUAUAGCAACUUAGGAGGGGAUUGGACACAACCUAGUAUUUUGGGAGUAAUUACAUGGUCAUUUAGUGCAAAAUAUAAUUUGAAUAAGCCUUUAGUACGAAGCACUAUACCUUCUUGCAUUUCCGGUCACUUGCAUUAAAUGUUGUGAUCACAAAUCAUAAAAAGAUGGAUGAGCCUUGAGGAUCCAUAUAUUUUCUAAUGGAGGAGUUUCUGAGCAAGAGAGUAUACCAGGGGUCGAGGUUAUCAUUUUCAAACGGAAAGAAAACUCCAAAGCAACGUAUGGAGAUAUAGCGCUCGUCCACUUUAAUGUUAACAUCCAGGUCAAUCUUGUCGUUUGUAAGGAUCUCUGUAUGGAGUUCUUGUUCAAGUUCAAAAGACAUUAAUAUCUCAUCAAAUAUAGUUUGUAGAAUUGGGAUGUAGUUGACAUUUCGAUGCACCAUGGCAUGGCCGUUGUAAACCCAUUGCAUUUUUGUUUGCAUCUUUAAUAAAUUGUGCUUGUCAAGCACCUGCCAAUGAGAAAUUUUACUACAAUUGUGAGGGCUACAGAAAAGAAAAAACGAAAUGUGCCAAUGAGAAAUAUUACUACAAUUGUGAAGGCUACAGAAAAGAAAAAAAAUGAUAUGUGCCAAUAAGAAAUAUUACUACAUUUAUCUGGAGGGGGGAGCUGCCGGCUCGUUGAUUGCUUGGAGAGGGGGUGCCAGCUCGUUGAUGGCUUCCCGCUGGCUCUGGGUUGCAUCGCCGCUCGCUAGGGGACGCUUGCGAGGGUGCAAGCCACUAGCGGCUGCGUCGCCGCUCGCCAUGGGACGCUUCGUCUUGUCAGCUUGGACAAAUGCACCGAGAGGGAAAAUUUUCCAAAACAGUAAGUGAGCAUUGUGUGGUCUAAUAGAAGUUAAGCAAUCUGCAAAAAAAACAACAAAACCACUUGAAAAUAUCUCAUGGUAGACAAUGUUCGUUUCAUGUGUCCAGUCACCAUUCAUAUGCUCUAUCAAUAUCUCUAGAUCUCUUUGAGGUGACAUGUGAAACAGCAACAAACAAGCAUCGGUAAAUACAGGUUUUUUGGGUAGUUACCAGCAUUGGACAAUGCCUGCCCUUGGCUCCUAUUGAUAGUCAUUGCAUAGCAUACCUUAACUUUAAAUUGGUGCCUCUCUAGAACAAAGGGCAGCUUUGUAUUUGUAAGUGUUAGACAAAUCCUUGGAAUCAGAACAACAUGCCCCAUGUGUGUGACGGUCAUUAUCUAUAUAUGCUUCUAUUAAAAUAUUGAAGGGCUAUGAAUGCAGGUACAAAGAAGAAAUGUGUUGUAACUGUCCACAUCUGGUUCGUAUGUCACGCUCCACUAUCCAAAGAGAAAUGGAAAAAGUCUACAAACCCCUCUCAACUAUCCAGUGUACUCUACUUCACCCCCGAACUAUAAAACCGGAUAUUCUAACCGGUCAAAUAACACCCUUGAGCAGUUUUGAAGGGUGGUUUUGUCUUUUUCUUUUUAAUUUAUUUCCGCCGAAUCUUUGAAAAUCAUAAUAAAUCACAAAAAAAUUAUAAAAGGAAAAGUCUAAUUUUGUUGAACUUUUGAUGAGUAGAUCUACACAGUGCAUAUAUAAUAUGGUAUACUUUAGUAUAAAGUUUUUGCUGUAGUACACAGUGAAUACAUGCAGUUUCGAUGGUCUAGUUAUGGUAAACUUUUUAUGGUGGGCUCAUUAUUAUAUGCUUGAACUAUGAUAAAAAAUUUAUACUCGUUGAAUCACGUAUAACUUAGUUAUAGAUAAAGCAUAGAUUUAACAAAAAUAAAGCUAAAUAAAUCUAUAACUAAGUUAUACGUAAUGUAAUGUGUACGAAAUAAUUACUAUAGUUCAACAAGACAAUAAUUAGCUCAUCAAACAAAUUCACCAUAAUUGGACGAUAAAAACUGCAUAUAUAAAUUAUUCUAAUUAAUUAUAGAAAAACAUAGAUCCAAAGCUAUAGCAAAAACUUUAUACUAAGCAUACCAUAUUAUAUAUUCACUAUGUAGAUCUACUUAUGUGGAGUCCAACAAGAUUAGAUUUUAUAUUUUAUGAUUUUUCUUUAAUUUAUUAUGAUUUUUCAAAGAUUCAACAAAAAUAAAUAAAAAAGAAAAAGACAAAAGCACCCUACUUGAGGGGGUUAUUUGACCGGUUUUAAAAAGUUUAAAGUGUAGAAUAUUCGAUUUUAUAGUUUAGGAGGUAAAGUAGUCCACUCUAGAUAAUUUGUGAUUAUGUAAACAUUUUCUAAAGAGAAAUCACGGCCAGCAGAAGAAAACAGUGCCCUUAGAAGGCACAGUCGCAGCAAAGGGCACAACAAUCUCAAGCAAACAAGCAUCUAAGGCAAGCCACACCUAAUUGUCGCCCCACCCUCUCUCUCUAGGGCAAUCAUAAAAGCAACUAGUACAAACCGCACGCCCUUGUGCACGAGGAAAAGUGAGCAUCCAGUGAUGUAUAAUAAUUAGAGUACAUUGAUCAAUACACACUUGCGGGAUGUAUAUAUUACAUAUGGCUGCAUAGAGUACAUUGAUAUAUAAGUAUCUAUGUACAUAUUACAUAUGGUAAGUUCGUGAUACAUAUUACACAUAUUAGCAUGCAUCAGCUGAUAAAAGGGUAGAUAUAUAAGUAUUUUGAGAUGUAUAUUUCACAUAUUGGAUAGAGUAAUCUUAAGUAGAACUGGUGCUGAACAUUCUAAGAUUGGUCUGGAUCUUACAUUCCGUGUCAUGUUCCCAGAUGAACAUUCUAUAAAUCUCCUUGCCCUCUUGAUGAAACAGUACUCCUGAAUCUAUCUGAUGACACACUCCAGCCAGUAACUGUAGAUGAGCAAAUUUGGAUGACAAAGAUGGAACAAUAUCCAAAACAGCUGAAUUGCUAAUUCAUGAACAAUUUGAGAGCUACUUUGUAACAGAAAAUCAAACGUAGUCAGGUACUAUCAAUGUGUACACGCAUGUUCUAUUUAGACUGAGGUAAUGUAAGCCAUAGCAAGAAUAAGAUAAAGCAGAUAAAUAAUAGCAUCAUGUGUAUUUUGCGGGGCACAAGGAUAUGAAUUUGUGUGCAGUCAUACCUUCACGGCUACAUCACCACACAACAAGGUGGCAGGUGGAACAUAGCGUCGAUUUUCAGGAGUAACAACGUGUCCAUGAACAACCAAGUAGUUAUGAUAAAUUCAUCAAUUAUGGGAAAACAAAGGAUUGGAAAGAAGUUGCUUCUGCCCUAUAAUCAACAGUUGUAUAUUAUGCUCUAUUGAACCUGAAGACACAGCAAUGACCUGGGCUACCAAAUCCUUGUACAUUUACCUCCAAUAAAUGGAAGAGGAUUAUAGUUUCUAUGUAAGCUUGUGGAAACAAAUAAAGUGGUUCUCAUUGGAUGUAUAAAGGCAUGUCUUAAGUUGCACAAAUGAAGGACAUCAGGAAAAUUUCUAAAAAUUUAUAUACCAACCCUAUCUUAUGUUGUAAUGCAACACAUUUUCUUCUUCUGAAAGGAAACAGCAAAGCAAAGUGGCAAGUUGUUGACGGUCCUUAAGUAUCAAAUUUAAUUAUCAAAUAAAUAAAGAAAAGGAUCCAAAUGAAAUCAACAUCUAGACUUAGGGUUUUAUCUGACAGAAUUCCACGAGUUUUGGUGUUUGUCUAUUUCUGUAGGGGGUUAUCAGGAAAUAUGGAAGAAAGGCCCACAUGUCAGGAUUACGUAAAGAUAUUAACGUGCUGCGCAAUUAUCUUACAUCUAGAAGACUCCAGAAGCCACGAGACCGAAGCGGAGGCGAAACGGGGCCAGAGACAGGGCGCCCGCCCUGUCCUACUGGGCGCCCGCCCUGCCCCCAAGUCCAAUCAGGACUCUGCUUUGCGGGAGAUCUCCACCGACCUAAAGGAUGAAUCUAAACCAUACAAUCUAUGUCGGUUUGAUCCGAUGGCCCAUAUUCACUUAGAGGGACUAUAAAACCAGACCCCCUGGCCCCUGGAGGAGAGAGCCUCUCAACCCUAAUUCAUUGUUCCAUCAAGGGAGAAGAAGCCUCUGAUCAAGAUUAGAGCCACCACAUCAAUUAGACAUCUAGAUUAGCAUAGCUACAUAGGAUUAGAACUAGAAGGAGUCAAUCUUCGAUUGGUUUCCGGAUCUGUCAAGAGGAUUCUUGGUAAUUCUCUAAUUGUGCUUCUAAUUGCUUUCUAAUUAUCUUUGUUCUUCAAUAUUAUGGAUAUGACUUUGUUCUACUUCAAUAUAUUGCUUAUGACUUUGCUCUACUUGCUUAUAUUCAAGAUUAUAUCUGCGAUUGUACCCAAUAUGCCAGAUCGUGGGAUGGUUCGUGAUAGUGACAGCUUCAUUGAUUCUUAUAUAGUCCCCCUCUCGUGUAUUGGGCUGGCAGAGCAACAUUAUUACAGGGGAGUGAUUGCUAUGUUUCUCAUAUUCCUUGCUAAUAUCACUAUGCAUGGGCGUAGUCUUGUCUCGCAAUGAUUGCUAAGUAUGCUUGCACUAACUAUGAUAUGCUAGACUAUAUAGUUAAGAAUAACUUAGGGAAUAUUCUUGUAGUUCGUUCUAAUACCAUGCUAAUGACUUUCUAGAGUAUCUAAUUGAGGUGCUUAUCAUAUUUAUUAUAUGGCUAGAUCAGAUUAGUUAUCCUUGUCACUAUUAUUAUUUCAUAUAUCUUUUAUGUGACACUUAUCCCUGUAUGAAGAGUUAGAUAUAAUGUUCUCAAUUAUACAUGCAAUGAUAGAUGCUCAAUCUCAUAUUCUAUUCUGUAAUCAAUAGUGAUGAUCGCUAAUCCCUUCCCAGUGGUAAAAAUAUAAAUAACGAUACCUGGAAUACUUCCCGGUUAAAAUGCUGCAUCGGUAUUAAUCUGUGCGCUUGCAGAUCCCAUUCAUUAUUUAUUUAGAAGAGCAAUUGCAUAUUUCAAUACCGCGUCUCUUAUAUCAUGCUGGGGAUGACAACUUGGCUUAAGUGGUGUGAGGGAUAGGUUUGGCAUUUUUGGCACCGUUACUAGCUUUAGAGAACUUAGUCUACUUUUGGUAAUGAUGUUAAGAAUACCCAACACAAGUAACAAUACUCAGGACAUAAGGCAUACCAAUAUACUGAGGUUGUGAUAUCCAACUUCACCAUCCUGAAAAGAGCACACAUGAAGGGAGCAAAGGGAACCAGGUUGAGGUGGACCAAUGGGGGAUUUUGGGGACGAUGUGGCCCGGUUGGUUGGAUGGGGUGAACCUUUGGUUUGUAGGAGUAAAUUUGAAAUACAUAUAAGAGAAGUGUAAAGGGCCAAAGCACAAAAAUAGUGUCCUGUUUAUUUUAAGUGUCUUUAAUUCUAUGAUUUUGCCUACAUGAAUGCAACAGAUGAGGCAUGAGAGCAACCUCAAAAGCAUUGGAAGGUCAAUAUAUAUGGUCAAGGUGGAAAAUAAUUUCAUUUUUUAGGAGAAAAGAACAUAAAUGGAGAAGUCGGUGUUAUUUUUGUCAGCAAAAUGAAUAGGUAAGAAGUAAUUAAUCCUCAGAUUUGUUUAUGCAAAUGGUACUUUAUGAGCAUCACAUGUAGCAAACUGCAGCAAUCAGAACCAAUACUGGGACACAUCAGGUGAGCUCACUGAGACAACAACAAGCAACUUUGUUCAGAAUAGAUGGAAAACUGCAUUUUUUGAUAUAGUGUGAUGUGAUAGUGUGAUCAAAACUACGCUUUUUAAAAUUAAAGAAGCAUUAUGCAGCACUCAUAUGGAGCACCAAACAAGAACUCAACAACUCGGUGUUAUAAGAGAACAUUCUACACUUAACCAUGCACCUAAUCCCGGAAGGCCAGAAUACAAAUACUGUUGCAAGGAGUUUUAAAAUACCAACUACUAUUACUUUAAAGUGGCAGUACAGUAAUUGUAUUUGCAACUUGAGAUGCAAGUACUAACACCUGUAGCAGAAAACUAAAGUGAAACUUAUUAGAAAUUACCACCUAUAAUUCAGUGGACAAGGGUACCUGACCUAUUGAAACUUUGGGGGUUCAGUUGAGCUUCUCAGGUAAUCUUGUCAGUGUCAUUUUAAGUUGUGCUUGACCUGCACCAAGCAGCAAAAGUGCUUUGAGUAGAAAAAAGGCAAAAACUUUAGUAAGUUGACCAGCCAGCUCCAUGUUUGUUUCACUGCAGCUCUUUCUUUUUCCAUGCACCAAAGGACUAAAUGCUCUAAAUAUAUGUUUCAUGGAAACAUUGCAAGGCAGCGUAUAGAUGUGUAGCUAUCACUAAUCAUCAGUUAUCCAUGAAGGCUAGAAUACAUCUGACUAUAUGACAUAAGUAUUUGAGGGGCAGGGGUAUUCACUAAGAUAAUUCUGUAGUACUGAUAUGAAGUAAUUAAGUAUGGAAAAAAAUUAAGUGUAGUACCCGAUUUUAAGGACAAAACCAGAUAUGCACCAUAUGUGAGUCUUAGAAGUCAAUUCUCACAUAAAAUAAGGGGUAAUAUCAAUAGACAUUGAUCACACGGUUUUCCUUGAUCUUUUAGGUCGGUGGUGCACGAUCCAAGAGUUUGGUUCGGAUUGGCUCCGAGACCUGGGCGGGCGCCCAAGCGGGGAGGGCGGGCGCCCUGCCCCCGAGCCCGUUGUUGGGUAUUCUUAACAUCAUUACCAAAAGUAGACUAAGUUCUCUAAAUCCAGUAACGGUGCCAAAAAUGCCAAACCUAUCCCUCACACCACUUAAGCCAAGUUGUCAUCCCCAGCAUGACAUGAGAGACACGGUAUUGAAAUAUGCAAUUGCUCUUCUAAAUAAAUAAUGAAUGGGAUCUGCAAGCGCACAGAUUAAUACCGAUGCAGCAUUUUAACCGGGAAGUAUUCCAGGUAUCGUUAUUUAUAUUUUUACCACUGGGAAGGGAUUAGAAAUCAUCACUAAUGAUUACAGAAUAGAAUAUGAGAUUGAGCAUCUAUCAUUGCAUGUAUAAUUGAGAACAUUAUAUCUAACUCUUCAUACAGGGAUAAGUGUCACAUAAAAGAUAUAUGAAAUAAUAAUAGUGACAAGGAUAACUAAUCUGAUCUAGCCACAUAAUAAAUAUGAUAAGCACCUCAAUUAGAUACUCUAGAAAGUCAUUAGCAUGGUAUUAGAACGAACUACAAGAAUAUUCCCUAAGUUAUUCUCAAUUAUAUAGUCUAGCAUUAUCAUAGUUAGUGCAAGCAUACUUAGCAAUCAUUGCGAGACAAGACUACGCCCAUGCAUAGUGAUAUUAGCAAGGAAUAUGAGAAACAUAGCAAUCACUCCCCUGUAAUAAUGUUGCUCUGCCAGCCCAAUACACGAGAGGGGGACUAUAUAAGAAUCAAUGAAGCUGUCACUAUCACGAACCACCCCACGAUCUGGCAUAUUGGGUACAAUCGCAGAUAAAUACGGUAUAAGCACCACGCCUACACAAUAUCUAUCAUUUACCCAUGGAUCCGAUGGAUAAACGCUAUACGAUCCUAAGCAUGUAUAUAGAUCGAAUCUAACUAAGCUGUGGGGGUAUAAACCCCUAUACCCUCAUGGGCCUAUAUGGGCCGCACCAUCAGAGGUGGCUCGGCCCACAAGAUGAAGACGUGCGGCGCACGACUGGUCGGCGUGCACCGCAAGGCUACAAGAUUUUGUACCAAAUAGGAUACUUUGCUUGUAACUCUGUCCCUUCAGGAUAUAUAAGGAGGGGCAGGGGUCCCCUAGAGGACAGAUCAUACAUCAUAUUCUCUCAACACAAAUCAAUACAACCAGACGCAGGACGUAGGUAUUACGCCAACUCGGCGGCCGAACCUGGAUAAAAAGCUUGUCCGUGUCUUGCGUCACCAUCGAGUUCGUAGUUUGCGCACCGUCUACCGAUAAACUACUACCGUGGGUAUACCCCAAGGUAGACUGCCGACCAGCUUUCGUCGACAGUGGCGCGCCAGGUAGGGGGUGUGCGUGCAACUUUCCCGACGAACGAGAUGGUCAUUAUCCCCGACUUUGUGGCCAUGGCGGGCGACUUCACGUUCACCGUCAGCUUCAACAGCUUCACCGCCACGACCACGGAGGAGGCGUAGAUCCGAUCUGCGCCAAUCACUUCUUCAUCGACGUCGGCGGCGGCUUCAACCACGCUGGCUACGACUCCAACUACUCCAGCAACGUCUCCGACCACGCCGACAACGCGUCACCCGCUUCUCUGCUACAAAGGGAGGCAGAUCGACGACACCGACCUGCUCAGGCUAUCGACCAAGUUGUGUGGCCUACUUGCUCUGACCACGAGUCGCAAUAAUAAUCGCCGCGAAGAACGGCGCUACGACAGCCGCGACCACCAUCACGACAACAAGUCAAGCAACUCUCCCGACCAGACUUUCGUCCAAAGAUAAGUACAAUUCUAAUAUUUUAUUUAUUUUUGGCAUAAUAUUUUUAAGAUUAUUAUUCUUCAAAACAACUUUUUUAGCCGACUAGUUUUUUCUCCUACACGAGCUUUCUAGAGCCGGUACUGUCUCCGACUCCUCCCUACACGUGCACGAGAUCCGCCCUCUGCGUUCCGGGUGGUCGGCAGUAGCUCUCUGACGUGGCUGACAAUCCUACGCGUGCCUAGGUUCCGCACCUCAUGCUGAUUGUUGGCUAGACCAGAGCUGGUACAAGCUCUAGGAUGAAUUAACUACUCGUGCUAAUUUUAUAACAAAAAAUCUAAAACUUAUCUUAGUACUGAUUUUUUAUCUAAAGGUUAUUUAUACAUCAUGUACUACCAAUUCUUUAUAUUUACUUUUUAGGAGUUUGGCCCAGUCGACAAGCUACGCUUGGAGACUCGUCGACUAUUCCCUACGCUGUGCCCGGGGACUGCUCCGACCACCGAGCACGUUUACGUUUCCAACCACGCUCGGGGACUUGUCGACUACUCUCUAUGCUGUGCUCGAAGAUUGUGCCGACCACCGAGCACGUUUACGUUCCCAACCACGCUCAGGGACUUGUCCACCGGUCUCUACGCCGUGCUCGGGGACUGUGCCGACCACCGAGCACUAUACGCUCGGGGACUGUUCGACCAGCUCACCAAUUUAAGAACUUGGGGACUGCACCGACCACCGAGCACUAUACGCUCGGGGACUGGUCGACCAGCCCACCAAUUUGAGAAUUCGGGGACUGCACCGACCACCGAGCACUAUACGCUCAGGGACUGGUCGACCAGCCCACCAUGAGAAUUCGGGGACUGUACUGACCACCGAGCGUUAUAUGCUCGGAGACUGGUCGAUUAGUCUAUUCAAUUGCAGACGAGCAUGAUAUGCUCGGGGACUGGUAAAUUCAAUUUUUUAGACCUUGCUACAAGGCUCAUACUUCGCCUUCCAGCAAGCUCGGGGACUACAUCGGUACGAUGCAUCUGGCGAUGCAUCUCAGUUUCAGAAUUUCUUUAAGAACUUUUCUUUUGACCCUGGCACCACGUGUCUACGUCACCUACUACCAGGCUCGGGGACUAAGUGGGCACACUUCACCUUGCGGUGAAUAUGCUUGCUAUUUUGAGGUCUAUACUUUUCAGAAAAGUAAAGUGGGCACACUUCACCAGGAAAGAAAUCUUUUUUAAUUAAGAGCACCAUGCAUUCUUCGAACAACCUGCUUCUUCGAUGUCAAUGUUGAUCAACUGUCUUUUGAGUUUGUCAAAAUACCGUUGCAACUGUUUGGGCGACUUUCCUGCUUAUUGAAGACGUCAAGUCUCACUGAUCGAAGAAGCUCAAGACGGCGUGUUACAUCACAAUACAUGGUGCUCGGGGACUAGCUGUGGGGGUAUAAACCCCUAUACCCUUACGGCUAGACUUCGGCCAGGAGGCUUGGCCCAUUACGAGACGAGUCCAAGGCUUGAUCCGACAACCUGGAGUUUCGCGCAAGGAAACAAGAUGUGGAGAUCAAGCAGGAUUCUAGUCGGUUAGAAUAGAAAUUGAUAUCGAAUUAUUCAUGACAAUUGUAACCGACUAGGAUUAGUUUCCGGAUCUGUAACCCUGCCCUCCAGACUAUAUAAGGAGAGGCAAGGGACCCCCCUAGGACAUCAUAUUCUCUCAACACAAAUCAAUACAACCAGACGCAGGACGUAGGUAUUACGCCAACUCGGCGGCCGAACCUGGAUAAAAAGCUUGUCCGUGUCUUGCGUCACCAUCGAGUUCGUAGUUUGCGCACCGUCUACCGAUAAACUACUACCGUGGGUAUACCCCAAGGUAGACUGCCGACUAGCUUUUGUCUUUGGACGAAUUGUUCUAAUUGCAAGAAUCGAACACCAAGUACAUAACUAUGAUAAACUAAGAACAAUAUAAUCUUGAAUAUAAGCAAGUAGAGCAAAGUCAUAAGCAAUAUAUUGAAGUAGAACAAAGUCAUAUUCAUAAUAUUGAAGAACAAAGAUAAUUAGAAAGUAAUUAGAAGCACAAUUAGAGAAUUACCAAGAAUCCUCCUGACAGAUCCGGAAACCAAUCGAAGAUUGACUCCUUCUAGUUCUAAUCCUAUGUAGCUAUGCUAAUCUAGAUGUCUAAUUGAUGCGGUGGCUCUAAUCUUGAUCAGAGGCUUCUUCUCCCUUGAAGAACAAUGAAUUAGGGUUGAGAGGCUCUCUCCUCCAGGGGCCAGGGGGUCUGGUUUUAUAGUCCCUUCAAGUGAAUAUGGGCCCUUAGAUCAAACCGACAUAGAUUGUAUGGUUUAGAUUCAUACUUUAUGUCGGUGGAGAUCUCCCGCAAAGCAGAGUCCUCAUUGGACUCAGGGGCAGGGCGGGCGCCCUGACCAACUGGGCGGCCGCCCAGGGUCAGGCCCUGUUUCGCCUCCGCUUCGGUCUCGUGGCUUCUGGAGUCUUCUAGAUGUAAGAUAAUUGCGCAGCACGUUAAUAUCUUUACGUAAUCCUGACAUGUGGGCCUUUCUUCCAUAUUUCCUGAUAACCCCCUGCAGAAAUAGACAAACACCAAAACUCGUGGAAUUCUGUCAGAUAAAACCCUAAGUCUAGAUCUUGAUUUCAUUUGGAUCCUUUUCUUUAUUUAUUUGAUAAUUAAAUUUGAUACUUAAGGACCGUCAACACCCGUCCGGUCUCCCGUUCGUUCCCAUGGCUUCUGGACUCUUCUAGAUGGAGGAAAAUUACGCGGCACGUAAUUAUCUCGUUGUAAACAUGACAUGUGGGCCUUCUCUCCAUAUUUUCUAAUACCCUGCAGAAAUAGAUAAACACCAAAGCUCGUGGAAUUCUGUCAGAUAAAACCCUAAUUCUAGAAGUUUGGUGCAUAUUGAUCCUUUUCCAUGUUUAAUUGAUGGUUAAAUUUAGUACUUACGGACCGUCAACACGUACUUAGUAUAAAAGAGAUAACAUUUGAUAACAAACAGCGGAUAGACAACUCCAGACUUCGGGUAUUAACUUCUCUCUACAGGAUCCAACUGACUGGUUGAUUACAAGCCUAACACUCCUCCUGAUGUAUGGGGGAAAUAGCAAGAGUGAGUCCAUGUCGAAUUCCACAAGUAUAGCAACUAGAUUGUUUAGCUCCCACAAUCUCAUGAUCAAUGUGACAUAAAUAAUGUAAAGCAUUAAACAAUAAAUAAUGAACACAUUAACACACAAGAAUCAAAACCCUUAAUGUAGAUGUCCCCAAGGCCACUCCUGACCGUGAGCUCGGCUAGUAUACUAGUUUUUAACACUCUGCAGAGGUUGUACAUCUUUACCCAUGAGUAAUGAUUUACCCUUUCGCCCGAGGUGAUCAGCCUCUUAACUCACUACCAAGGAAGGUCGGCAGGGAUCACUAUGAAGCCUUUCAAAAGUUCGUCUAACAUGUUAGGGCCGCAAGGUUUCCCGGGCGCGCAGAUAUAGAUGCCCCCCUUUCAAAUGGCACAACGACGCACAACCUAUACACAUAAGGACAGAGGCUCGCACUAUACCCAAAAUGGUUAGGCCCCUCUAGCGCCCUUUUAGGUAACCACUGACAAGCUAGAAAAGGUCUUCAUACUAAGCUAAAGCCAGAGUCAUUAUAGCCCUCAUGGUUGCACUGUUGUCCCGGGUGAUCACGUACAGAUAAAUCAUCAAGCUGCUAAAAAGUCAUUUUUAUCAUUUAUUACUUAACAUUAAUCUAGUCACAGGAUCAUGGUCACAGAAAUAAAAUCCAAAUGCUAUACUUGCCUUAAACUUAGAUCCUUCUUCUAGUCCAAACCUUCAACGGAUUACUUCUUCUUGAUUGCCAACUCCUUCUGAUCACCAACGUACUUUCUCAUUGACUGGACAAGAUCAUAGAGCACCACACAAACAUCCAAGCAAUCAUACAUGAGCAAACAAUAAAAAUUAAUUAGAACAGUACACCAACAAUAAAAAGGUUUGAAAACUAAUCUACGUAUUACUACGAACACACAGGUGAAAAAAGCAUGCUAAUUAGAGCGCGAUGAAAAAGAAAUGACUACUGAGACUUUUAUAUUGUAUAAAAGACUAUGCUUGUUGUUUUAUUUUGGUGAAACCAUAUAAAUAAAUUAUUAAGACCAUAUUAAUUAAAACAUAAUUUAAUUCAAAAGCUGGGCUGAAGCUACUCAUGUUUAGUUUAUAAACAUUAUCAUAUAAUUUAAUCAUGUUUAGUACAUCCUAGGAGUUAAAUUAAAUUGUAAAUAUGGGAUCUAGCAAGAUUGCCACACCUUUAGUCCGCAGGUGCCUACAGCUUCUGUGGACACCGGACGUCAUGGCACCUGCGCCCUGUGUGUUUGCAUCUAUUCCUCUCGUAUGGCCACCAAUCAUGCACGCUGUUGGGGAGUACGGAUGCGUGAGUGCCCUCAUUGAUCGCGCUUAGACGUACGCGCGUGACUCAUUCAUGUCGUGAUGCUUCUCAGGAGCUGACAACAUCUCCAUUAUCUAGCUGUUGUUCCCAACACUUCAGAAUUAUGACACCGGCCAACGUGCAUACUAUCGUGCAAGACCGAAGGAGAUAAUGAUCAGAUUAGUUUUCUCACCAAUCAUAGAGAGUGACGUGAAGCCAUCAGCCAUUCUUGAUUCCUUGCUCCUAGUCCAGGUCGUCCUUGAUCCUAGCCCCUCGUCCCUAUGUAGAUGAGCUGUGAUCGAGGCCGCCGCUCAUCUCGAUGGAACAAUGCGGAUGGUGCCUUCUGUUUCGGUGGUGAAGACUGAAGACGAAGCCAGCGCCGUCGGUGCGGGAUCAGGGAAGUUGACCAAGUGAACUUGAUUUGUAGGCCCAUGGCGAUAGCCAAUUGCUGUCAUACUUGAUCGAUCCUUCAUGGCUGGCUUGCAUAGAUGCAGGGCGGGGUUAGACCUAGAGGAGGUGCGGCCAGUGCAGCUUGGAGGAUGAAGCUGGGCUAGGGCUGUGCUACGUGCGGUGUUUAGCCAAAAAAAUCGUGUCGACGACGGUCUGCCACACAGAAAGCUCAUCAUGAUGGCGCCCUAGGAAAAAAUAUAAUUCAUAUUAUCUUAGGAUAAUUUCAAAACUAAAGAUUUCUCUUAGGGUAUUUCGUGAUGAUGGCGCCCUAAGAGAUUCGUAUAUAUAUAUAUAUAGGAAGAAAAACUCCCCACAUCAACCUCAAUUAGCAAUAUGAUACUAAUUGAUGUUGCAUCCUCCAUCUUUACUAAUAGACCUAAAUAAAUAUUAAAGCCCAUUAGUAAAUAAAGGCAUGGGCUUGAGGGAGUCGUUGGAAAAUUAUGCUUAGAUUCUUUUUCUUCUAUUUUCGAAAUCAUUUAAUUUCAUAGAUAAAAUAAUUCUAGAAAAGUGUAGAAUUAUUAUUUAAGCCAUGAAAAAUAUUCCGAAAGCUCCAAAAAUUCGGUGAAAAUUCACGGAGACAAUAUGGAGCAUGAGGAAUCCAAAUAAAGUAUUUGGAGCACAUGAUAAUAUAAUAUGGAGCAUCUAAAAAUUAGAUUAUGCUCACGGAAAAGACCGGAAAAUUUUCGGAGAAGUUUGUAGAGAUUGCUUGAUCGACAAGAAACUGAAAGGAGUGACUUAGGUUUGAAAGAAAAGAUUCUGACAGACUCUGAACAAAAUCUUGACUCGAGAGACAAGAAAUUUGAUUGUAGAAAAAGAUAAAUAUGUGCCUAAUAAGGAAGAUCGAUCUACUAAACGAAUUUUAAAUAUAUUUCUUACUAUCAACAUACAAAGAGCAACAAGCAAAUAUCACAACAAAUCUUAUGCAUCUGCAUGCAUACACUACAAUGUUGCUAAACCCUAUGAUGAAUUUUAAUUUAAGAAAAAUUUUUAUUUUACUAUAUUUUCAUGAACACAAAAAUACCUAAUUAAAUCAUUUUAGACCUAUUUCAAAGGAUGCAAAUUUUAGGGUGUUACAUUAAGAACUAAGAAUGGACCUUUGGUUUUUAUAAACCUGAAUGCUUAUACCAAAAUAUGGGUUGAAUGUAAUAGUCAAGUGGUCGUAAACCAAGCAAAGAAUAUUUGACUUAGAAGCCUAUAUCCAUUUCACUGUUGUCACCACAUCCAGAUGGAUUAUUUUCUUAGCACUAUAAGUUGCUAGAACCUUGGGCACAAAAAGAUUUUUUACUCACCUAUGCAGGGAAGGCUUGUUUUCAUUGUUCUCUAGGAUGAUGUGCUCGAGUAUAUUGCUAUGAAUGUCCAUGAGAUGUGGAACUUAGUAGUGGAGGAACCAUUCCAAUUGUCAUGUUGCCAAUGUUGUAGAGUCUUCUCAAAUCAAGAGCACCAGUCAUACUGAACAACGCCAACCAACAGGCCAGCUAUAUUCACCUAAAAAUUUAUUAUGAAUUGCAUACGAGGCAAAGAAAACUAACCUAACAUUCAUAACAGAAUACCAAACGAGGAAAGGAUCCUUACUCAGAAUUCAGAAAAACAAUAAAAUGGGACAAUCUCUGGUUGUUGAAUGGCUAGAUAGACCUGUUUUUAAUUCGAGUGUUCCAUCCUGGCUCUCAUUGCCAUAACCAUAUAUAUAGUAUCUAUUGCGGCACCUAGGUCUGUCCCUGUUAUCUAAAAAUCGAAACCGUUACUCCGAAAGGGAAGAUCCAUUUUUAUCAAAUUCCUAUACAGAGUAUAUGGUUAGUAGGUCAGAUUAGAUCCUACUGGGAUAAGUAGGAGCUGCUGACAUAUUUGUAGGUCCUCUGUUGUGCAUACCAUGCUUGAAGGCAACAAAGGGGAAAAACAUGAGUGAGCCUAGCAGCAGACAUAAUACGUAAUCAGAAUCAGAAAGCACUUCACAUGUGAAAAAAGGAAAGAUACAAAAAGGGUCAUGUGGAUGCCUAUGGAUAAUAUGUAUUGAUUACUUAUCAUUGAUGGGACCAAACAGAUUUCUAAUCAAUUGAAAUUUAUUUUGCACAAGAGGAUAAUGUUAUCCUGAUCCACACCAUUCUGUGCAUCUAGAAAAGAUAUGAAGGAAAGACACAACAGCCAAAAUGAAAGAAACUCACCAACACACCUUCCAAUCUUAUUAGUCUACGCAGAUCCUCUUGGUUGAGGUCCUACAUCACAUAGCAUAGAGGAAAGGAGCAUCAGCAAGCAUGAAGCAGAAGGAAGAUGUGCUCCAAAUUCCCAAGAACACAAUAUUGAAGAAUAGACAGAAAGAAGUGUGUGGGUAAGAUCAUGUAACCCUGUUGUUUCCAUCAGGUAGAAAUAGUGUACAUAGUAUUUUGAUGUUUAAUUAUUGUACUGUGAAGUAUGUAAAUUUAAGAGUAAGGAAAACCUGAAGUUUAUUACGUGACCGAAGAUGUGUAAGCAUGUCUAGAUACAUGUGUUGGUUGGCUGUUUAGAUUUGCAUGUGUACAUACAUGUGUUGGUUGGCUGACACUGACAAAUAGAAUUAAUCUAAGAAAUAAAAUACGAUAAUGCUUUUAGAUUUGCAACUGUUUAAUCUGCAUUAGACUGCAAAUAUUACCCAGGUGAGAAAUUCUGCAGGAGUCAUGUUUAGACUAUUUGAGCAGAACCUCUAAAGAACCCUACAUCCUCAAGCACAAGCGUCGUGUAUCAGUGAAAGGAAUAUCCAAAACAUCAUGAAGGUACAAAUGAAGCCAAAAAUGAUACAGGGCAGCAUCACCUAUAGAGCACGGACCUAGCAGAGGGGCAUAGAAGGCAAGCAAACCACAGUGCACUGUGUUACAUCGGGCUGGACUAUGUGCAACCACCCGUGCUGGCGUGUCGGCCGAUUCGGAGCCGAGGUCGGAACUAUGCCGGUAUGUUACCCACACUAGGGUCGCUGCCACCUACGGCGGGGCAAAACCCUAGGUCACCCCAUCGCCACCGCCACCGCCGCCACGUUGGGGGCCCGCUGUCGCUCCGUACGUCACGCGUGGGGGGUGUGGAUGAGAACAAGGGCCGCGGUCAUCGUGCCGAGUGGCAGCCAUUGUGGAGGUCCACUUGUGCCACUGCCCUGUCCGCAUCGGAAGGGAUGGGGAGAGAGAGAGAGAAUGGAAGGGAAGAGACUGCCGAGACUUAUACGCACAGUGGACGGAGAAGGAGGGGGCUAGCGCUGCGCUGGCUUGGGGCGUCGUCAUGCCGUCGCCCCUGCCUCGGCCGCACCGCCCGUGGGGCACUGUCGUCUUGUCGCCUCCACCUCGGGCUCGAGAGUGAGGAUGGGGAGGUCAUGCUAUUUUUUUAUGAGGAGUGGGGAGAGCGCUAGAUGUUUUUGUGGAGGCCGACGUGGGCUGCUCCUGGCCACACAAAGGGAAUCAGCCAAUCAGGCUAAGAUGGACCAAUGGGAGGGGGAGGAGGUGAGGUGGCAUUGAGGUGCACCAAUGGCAGAUUUGAGGAGACGUGGCUGGGGUGGCGACACGGGGAGCAACUUAGAAUUGUUAGGGUAAAUUAGUCCAAAGAUUUUAGAAAUAAAAAUAAGAAAUUCGCAAGAUAGUAGAAGUGUAGUAGUUUCGAAAUUUAUACUAUACAAUCUGCAGUAAUUGAAAACUAUCUGGAAUUAUUUGCAAGCUAGUAGCAUGGAAAAACUAACCCUUUCAUGAAGUCCACAAUAUUAGCAAGGCAAAAUUGUAUCCAAAUCAUGUUGGAUGGUCAAAGUUGCAGAACAAGAUUUAGGGCCAAAUGAACACCGUCCUUAGAAUUUGCAACAUCUGAGUUGUCUGCUACUUGGCUAAAUCAAAUUGAACAAACAUUGACGAUGUUGCUUAUCUCCUUGCAGUGACAAGAAAGAGGGGACAAAGGGGAAGCAAAAACAAACCUCAGAGGAACUCAUAGCGGUGCUUAUCUCGUCCUAGGGUUUAUUCUUUUGAGUUUAAAGUGUCUGCAACAUAAUUUAAGGCAAGGUCCAAUAGCAUUAGUUUGUUUCCAAUCAGAAAAUUCGGAACAUAAAUUGAAGAUGAUGCAAUCAAGUUUGACAGAUCUUCAAGAAUAUAUUGUAUUGUGUGUUGCCUUAAAUUUUGUUUUAUAGGAAAAAGAAAGUUGUUCAUGUACCUCAAGAGCACUAAAGUUUGCAUACAUAGGUAUUGAAAGGGAAUAAAGAAUUAAAGAAAACCCAGAUUACCUUGGUCCAGUAGUGGUUACACAAGAGGAAUCUGCAAGUCAACAAACCACAUCUAGAAAAAGAUAAGGAUACACUGACAUAGUUCAAUUUGAAGCAUAGAUCAUUGAAAAGAUCUAACAAAUAAAAUUAAGAUCUUUUGUAGACAAUAGAAGCAUAAUAGCUGGCAAAGUUAGACUGUAAACCUACAGUAAAUGAAAAAUAAAUAUAAUCUCCAAUUAAAACUAUUGGCAAGCCGGUAGC